UAUAACUCAAAUCCAAUUCCUCUAAUAGAGUGAGGUUACCCAGUGAAACAGGUAGCUCACCAUAAACAUCACAUUCAGAUAUACGGAGGUAAGUGAGUUUUGUAAGCAUACCUAUCUCAUCUGGGAUGGGACCAUAGAUGGAAGAAUGGCUAACGUUGAGAUGGAGGAGGCUGGGAAAUGAAGAAAACUUCAACUGGCUAAGCUCAACCAUUGUACCAUCGAUAUAUGAAUAGGUAAUCUGAAUAACAUGUCCCUCCCUGUUGCAGGUGAUGCCGUCCCAUGUGCAAUGAUGAGAAGUAGUGUUUUCCAUGUACCACCACCAAGUGGAGUUGCGGAGAGCCUCGGCCUCAGCCUCCACCUGUGCGUCAGUUGUAGCAGCAGCAGCAGGAGGUGAUGAGAUCAAGAGCAUGUUAUAUGAUAACAAUACCACUGAAACCACCAACACCCUACAAGUAUUAAUGGAACACCACUCCAUUCUUUCUUAUUUUGGAUUAAUAUUGCUAUAUAUGCCCCAGUUGAUGGUUUUAUAGAAGGGGUGUUGGUGUUGAUCCAACAACCGUCUUCUUUCACCCACACAGCAUCUCAAGCAAGUCAAACAAGUCUUCUCCCAACUCUCCAUUGGACAUUAAUUUGUUGGGAAAUGAGGACGUUUAUUUUGGAAAUUAUGUUUUAUGAAAAAGAAAAUUUGUAAGCAAAAAUUAAAACCAUUAGUAACCAUGAUCAAACCAUAUUUAAUUUUUUUUUCAAAAAUAAAUUUUAUGAUGGGAAAUUAGUAAUCAUGAUCAAGCCAAAGCCCAAGGUUGUACACGUCACACAACUGUCUUUUCAUGAAUGGUGAGGUGUGCUUGGAUGGGAGUUCGUGACCUGCAAAAGCCAGAAAUUUUAUAUAAUAGUAAUGAAUAAUAAUAAAAUAAAAUCACAAAACAUGUUUAAUAUUGAUAUAAACUAAAAAAUAUUAUAUAAAAGUAAUAGUCAAAAGGCUGCAUUUUUAUUAUUUGAUUGUUAUUCCACUUCAUGAUUAGCUUGUCUAACAUUUCAUUUGAAGUUUCUUUCAAGCAAAGCAAGUCAACCAAGUCUUCUUAGGUCCACUUCUUAGACUUUUGAUUAUUAGAAGUUUAUGCUGCUAAUUAACUUAGAAAUUUCUUUAUGAUAGUAACAUGUAAGGACCACAAAGAAAGCUUAAAUUUGACUUGGAUCAAGCUUAAAAAAUUAUUAAUUUUACUAAUUUUAAAUAGGAAUCAAUUUUUAUUUUAAAUUUUAAUUUUUUUCUAUUUGUUAUGCAAUCAUCAAAUAUUUAUUUUUUGCUUUUUUUUUACUAAUAAAAAAUAAAAUUAGCUCCUACAAGCUGUGCUCUGUUUUUUUCUAUCCUAAACAAAGCAACCCUCCUCAAAUCAUUUUUAAAACACGAUAUUGAAAAUUUCCUAUAUUAUAUGUGACAUGUGAGACUACACAAAAAAGAACACAAAAUAAUAAUAAUAAAUAAAUAAAUGCAAAAAAGUCUUUCGAGAUUGCAAAGUUUAUUAUAUAAGGAAUUAAUGAUUUGAAAUGUUAAAAGUUAAUUAUAUUUUAUUUUCCAUGCUAUACAUUUUUUAUCAUGCAUCGAGUAAGAAAAAUUUUAAAUUCUUUUUUCUUUUCUUGCUCACUUUCUAGAAUUAAUGAUGCCUUCAUAACUCUUGUUUUAGCCACGCAACAAGUCAAGCAAGUCGUCUUCCACUCUUGAUUGGAAAUUUAGUGGGAACUAAACAUAAUUAUUUUUAAAAUUUUUAAAUAAAAACUCAAAUGAUAAUUAUAUAAAAAAAUGAUUAUUCACAAUUUUUUUUAAAACAUGAAUUGUGGGAAACAAUCAUACCCCACCUGUAUUUGGAAAAUGAUAUGUUAGUUUUUUUUAUGUAUAUAUAUAAUUCCAAAUAAUAAAGAUAUUACAAUUUUUAACAUUAUAUUGUAACUAAAUGUUUUAUUUGUCUUAUUAAUUUCACUAAUUUUAAAAAGGAAAACAAAAUAAUUUUUUAAAAAGGUUUUUCUAUUUGCUACAUAAUUAGUAAAUACAUAUUUUUUAUUUUAAUAAUAAUAAAACAUAAAAUUAAAAUUAUUAAAUAUUUUAAUAUUAAUAUAAACUAAAAAUAUACUUUAACCAAUAAUUUAUUUGGUUCUUUUCCAAGUAAUAGGUAGACAAGAAAGUCUUUUCAGUCUCAUUAUCAAUGAUUUUUAAUUUUAUUCUAUGUAAAAUUCCACAAUCGUGUGUCUGUCACUAUGUUUGGAAAAGUCGUUCAAAAAGUGUACCAUCCAUAAAUUAUGUUAAUAUUUUUUCAUUUUUUAUUUUACUUUAAAUCACACCUACUUUUUCCUUGUGCAAGUCAAAGCAAGUCUUCUUAGACGCUCAGAAGCAUAAGCGUAUACCUAACAAAAUAAAAAGCUCUAAUAGGAAUAUUAUAGAAAUCCUGUAUUCCAACCAUACUCAAUCAACAACAACCCAAAAUAAAAAUAUUUUAAUUAACUUUUAAAAAUUAAAUCAAAUUUUAAUUUUGAAAAACUCUCAAUUUAGGUUUACAACCAAUCAACAACAUUUGGUGUCAUAUCGUAUUAUUCUACCAAAUAGAUAUCACGUAGGUAUAUAUUAAAAAAAUAAUUAAAAAAUAACAAAAAUAUAAAAUCGAUAGAGAGGGAAUAUAAUUGAAAGUGAGAGUUUGCAUGCACAAAAUACAAACUUUUCAAUUCUUUUUUAAUUUUUAUUUAUUAUUUUAGAAAGAGUUUUUAAAAUGUAAUGUGUAACUUGAUAAAUAAGAGAAUAAGAAAUAAAAAUCAGUUGAAUACAUUCCACCAUUUUACUCAUCAUUCUCUAAAAGAGGAAUGUAAUGUUGAAGAUUUUUGUAACUUGACAUGUUGAAGAUGAAUUUCUAUUUUGUGAUGAAAGAAUAUAAAUAAAUUGAAAAAUAAAAUUAAUGACAUUGUUCACCAUAAUACAAUAACCGUUAUUGGCAAAUACCAACAAGAAGGUAGCACAUUAUAUUAUUUAAUCUAAAUUGAUAAUUUUGUUUCAUUAUCCGCAAGUAGGGCAUUUUACAUUACUAUAUUAUACGUUUUAUUGAAGCCUCAAGGUUGCUGCAUAAUUAACCAAGAUGUAAUACAUGUAAAUAUUCUAAUUAACAUUUUUAUAUAAUACAUGUAACACUUCUCAAAAAGAUGAGAAUAGAAGGUUGAAGAUUUUUAUAAUUGCAACAAAAAAAGAAAUAAAUAAGUUCAAAAUUGUUUAUAUAUAAAAUAAAAUUAGAUCCUAUAGGCUCUCUAUAUAUUUCUCUACUAGACAAAGCAAUUUAAGUCAAGUCAAGCAACCCUUCUCAAACACUUCUAAAACACUAGGUUGGAAAUGCUCCAUUUGUUUAUUAGAUAAAGCAAUUUAAGUCAAGUCAAGCAACCCUUCUCAAACACUUCUAAAACGCUAGGUUGGAAACGCUCCAUUUGUUUCUCUCCUAGAAAAAGCAACUUGAGUCAAGUCAAGCAACCCUUCUAAAUCAACUUCUAUAAGGCUAGGCUCGAAAUUUCUUAUAUGAUAUGUGACAUGUAAGACCACAUAGAAAGAGCACAAAAUAAUAAUAAAUAAGUUCCAAGAGGUCUUACCAAAUUUGACCCCAUGUAUACAUAUUAAUAAAUAUUCUAAAAUUUGAUAAAUAAUUUUUAUAAACUUUAUUAUUCCUUAUUUUUCAUAGCACAUGUGAAACAAAGCUAAUUUUGAUUAAAAAAAAACACUCAUGAGGAGAUGAGUGAAAAUAACUAAUGAAAAUGAUAAGAUAUUUAUUUAAUAAAAUUUUAAACUAAUGAGAACUAGAUGUAUUUAAUCAAAACCUUAAAUGAGGAAAACGGACCAAUGGAUGGCUUUCCCGUCACUUUAUGUUGUUGGUGUUCAAGUGCUCUUUGUGAUCUUGGGUUUAUUUCUUUACAAAUGUUCUAAAUUCAAUUUUUUUUUUCUUUUAAUUUACAACAACUUGAAAAUACCCUAAAUUAUGUGUGACCAACUAGUACAUGAAAGAUACAAAAAAAAAAAAAAAUAUAAGUUAAAUCUCAAUAAUUUUUUAUAUUCCAAGAUGUAAUACAUGUAAAUAUUCCAAUUAACAUUUUUAUAUAAUACAUGUAACACUUCUCAAAAAGAUGAGAAUAGAAGGUUGAAGAUUUUUAUAACUCGACGUAUUCAAAAUGAAUUUCCUUUUUGCAACAAAAAAAAGAAAUAAAUAAGUUCAAAAUUGUUUAUAUAUAAAAUAAAAUUAGAUCCUAUAGGCUCUCUAUAUAUUUCUCUACUAGACAAAGCAAUUUAAGUCAAGUCAAGCAACCCUUCUCAAACACUUCUAAAACACUAGGUUGGAAAUGCUCCAUUUGUUUAUUAGAUAAAGCAAUUUAAGUCAAGUCAAGCAACCCUUCUCAAACACUUCUAAAACGCUAGGUUGGAAACGCUCCAUUUGUUUCUCUCCUAGAAAAAGCAACUUGAGUCAAGUCAAGCAACCCUUCUAAAUCAACUUCUAUAAGGCUAGGCUCGAAAUUUCUUAUAUGAUAUGUGACAUGUAAGACCACAUAGAAAGAGCACAAAAUAAUAAUAAAUAAGUUCCAAGAGGUCUUCCCAAAUUUGGCCCCAUGUAUAUAUAUUAAUAAAUAUUCUAAAAUUUGAUAAAUAAUUUUUAUAAACUUUAUUAUUCCUUAUUUUUCAUAGCACAUGUUAAACAAAGCUAAUUUUGAUUAAAAGAAAACACUCAUGAGGAGAUGAGUGAAAAUAACUAAUGAAAAUGAUAAGAUAUUUAUUUAAUAAAAUUUUAAACUAAUGAGAACUAGAUGCAUUUAAUCAAAACCUUAAAUGAGAAAAACGGACCAAUGGGUGGCUUUCCCGUCACUUUAUGUUGUUGGUGUUCAAGUGCUCUUUGUAAUCUUGGGUUUAUUUCUUUACAAAUGUUCUAAAUUCAAUUUUUUUUUCUUUUAAUUUUAAACAACUUGAAAAUACCCUAAAUUAUGUGUGACCUACUAGUACAUGAAAGAUACAAAAAUAUAUAUAUAUAUAUAUAUAUAUAUAUAUAUAUAUAUAUAUAUAUAAGUUAAAUCUCAAUAAUUUUUUCUCUCAUAAUUUUUAAACUUGCAUUAAAAAAAAAGGCCAGUUAAUGAUUUCAUUGGACAACUUGCAUAUUGGUACUCUUUUUUUUUCACCAUUUAAAGAUUCCAUUUCACGGACUGCCCUUUUUUUAAUUAAAAAAAAAAAGACUUUUGUUAAUUAUAACAAGAAGUAGAGAUUGAUGUUAUUCCUUGGUUCUAAAAUGUUAUCUUUAUUAAUUUAUAUUAUUAUUAUUAUUAUUAUUUAUCAAAUAACAUCAAAACUAUGGUAUCAUCUUUCUUAUUUCAAUUCUUUUCUAGAGUAGUUCGGGUGUGCAAUAUGUUUUUGAAUAUUAUAAUUUAAAAAAUAACAUUUAAGAUUUAAGCAAAAAAAAUGUAUUUAUUAGUUGAAUUUUUGUUCUUCAAGAUAAAAUUUAAUAUUUAAGCUAGCGAAAAAAUGUUGAACAUCGAUCCGUUUAACCAUAUCCACUAAAAAGUACAUGCAUCCCCAAAUGUAAUCCUUGUUAUAAAUAACUUAUUAAUUGUUUCUUUAAGCAGCUAUCGAAGUCUUGUUUGAAUAUAAUAUAUAUAUAUAUAUAUAUAUAUAUAUAUAUAUAUAUUUAUUUUUUUUCUUAAAAUAUUUUUUUUAAUAUUUGAGAUAGUUAAUUUUUUUUUAUAUUUAAAUUGUAUUUAAAACCUUUACUUUUAUAUAAGUCUUUAUAGAAUUCUUAUAUUUUAUAUAAAAAUUACUAUUAAUUUAAGUUUUUAAAAACAAAAAAUAAAAAAUGUACCAAUUUAUAAAAAUUAUAAAAUAUAUUUUUGAUAAGUAAAAUAAAACCCGAUAAUCUUUAUAAAAUUUUCUAUUAGAUGGGACAUCUAUAAUUUAAAAAAAAAAAAACGAAAUGUUGAAAGGAAUGUCCCCAACUUUCACGAUAAAUGAUACAAUAACCAAAUUAUUGAGGCAAAUAUUCGGACAAGAUUUCUUGUCAAACAAGCCUUCUCUACUGUUGAUUGGGAAUUGAGUGGGAAAUGAGUGGAGCAUAAAUAUAGACAGACUAAUUGGGGUUCGAGCUUUUUCUAUGCACAAAUUGGAUGGUGAAAGAAAAUAUACUAUUAAAAUAUUUAUAAUGAAUAAACUUAAUUAAUAUAAGCAUAUUCUACCAAUUUAAUCAUAUAUAUAUUUUACUUUUUAAAGAGUACGUCAACCAAGUCUUCUUAGUUACCCUAAAUAAGAGAGUUAGUCAUGGGUUGUGAAUGAAAAUUUUACAAGGUCAUUCUUUGGUAGUUUUAUAAGUCACUGAGAAGACAAAUCAUGUUCUCCCUUCUUCUUUCCCAUCUAGCAUGCUGUGCUUCCCACUAUUUCAAUUAUCAAGAUGGAAAGUCCACUCCAAAAAUGUGGAAAAUUAAAAUGAGAGGCAUAACCGGAUGAUAAUCAUAAGUAAUAUUUUUUUUUUCUUUUUUUCUUAAAAAAAUUUGAUUUGUUAUCCCAAUUGACGGGUAAGCUUAAGUCAAGUAAGUCUUCUUUGGUGACUUCUCCGACUCUUGAUUGGAAAUUAGGUGAUAAAUGAAGAAAAUAUCCAUUUUAAAAGCGGCUAAUUGUGGAAAAACAAUUUAUCUUAUUAAAUUAAUAUUUUCAAUAUAGACAUGUUAAUAUGGAUUUAUAAUAAUUUAUUUAUAAAACACUCCAAAAAUACAUGAUAAUCAUGGAAACUAAUUUGACAAAAAGUUAUAGAAUCUUUAUAAAUUUUUAAAUUAUGCUACAUGGCAUAUGGAAAGAAAAUAUGCAAGUCAAAGAAAGAAUUUAUAAGGAAUCCACCUCAAUUGGUAGAGGGAUAUUCUACCAAUGUAGAUUUGCCUAUAAUUCACUUAUGAUUAUGGAUUUUCAAAUAGUAGAUAGACUUGUUUCAUGAAUUCUUGAAGUGAUAGAAAGUGAAAAAAUACCUAAGCUUCUUUAAAGGCCACUAAAUGCGGAAAACAAUUUAGUUGUUUUGUUUUUGUUGAUUUCCAUGUGAAUAUCCCUAAUUUGUUGGGAUUUUGAUUUUGAAUUCAAAUCGGGAUUUGUUUCCCACUUUCUAUUUUGAGUUUUUUUUCCUUUUCUUUCAUUUUCUUAGGCAUGUAUCUCCUAGAUAGUAGAUAGAUUUUUAUUUGGUAGAUUCGAUUCUUAGCUUGUUGUUGAUGUUGUACAUGCUCUAUAGAAAAAUAUAGAAAUAUAUCAAGUUUUUUGCAUGGUACCAGAGCGGUUUCCCACUAGGACAGACUCCUAUUAUCUAGCAUUUGUUUUUUUUUGGCAACAGGCAACCUGAAGCCCUUGCAGCUAUCUCGUUGUGAAUUGUCUUCUCCAACCUAGUCACAAUUUGUCCUUCGUUCAUCAGUCCAGCCAUGAUUUAGUCAAGAUGUGAUUUGAUCCUGUUACGAAUUGAUCCAGUCCAGACAAAUCUUUUGGAAUGACUAUUGAUAGUAAAAAAUCAGUCUCUAAAGUGAACUCUAGGUUGAAGACUGUCACUUCCAAUGACCAUGGAGGAUCCGAUGGCUCUUUUCUUCCCAUCAUAGGUCACAAGUUGAAUGGGAAUAACUAUCUACAAUAUUCUCAGUUCGUUCUUAUGUUUAUCAGUGGCAAGGAUAAGGACGGCUACCUCACUGGAGAAAUUGUUCAACCCAAAAAUGAUGAUCCUAGAUUCGGAACUUAGAAGAUAGAGAAUAAUAUGGUCAAAUCAUGGCUUAUCAAUUCCAUGACCAAUGUGAUUGGUGAAAACUUUCUUCUCUAUAAGACCGCAAAAGAGAUGUGGGAUGCAAUUAAAGAAACAUAUUCCACCAAAGAAAAAACAACAUAACAGGUUGAUAUCGAGACUGUUCUUCAUGAUCUCCAUCAAGAGGAUUUAAUCACCACCAAUUACUACAAUAUUCUUGGUCACCACUGGCAACAAUUGGAUGUUUGUAAGGAGUAUGAUUGGAAUUGCCCCAAAGAUGCUGCCAAGUAUCAAAAUAUUGUGGAGAAAAGACGACUUUUCAUGUUCUUAUUAAGCCUCAACAAGCACCUUAAUAAGGUUCAUAGGAGGAUCCUUGGUACCAAACCCCUUCUAACAAUCUGUGAAGCCUUUGCCACUAAAUACCUAAGCUUCUUUAAAGGCCACUAAAUGUGGAAAACAAUUUAGUUGUUUUGUUUUUGUUGAUUUUCGUGUGAAUAUCCCUAAUUUGUUGGGAUUUUGAUUUUGUAUUCAAACCGGGAUUUGUUUCCCACUUUAUGUUUUGAGUUUUUUUUCCUUUUCUUUCAUUUUCUUAGGCAUGUAUCUUCUAAAUUGUAGCUAGAUUUUUAUUUGGUAGAUUCGAUUCUUAGCUUAUAUAAUGUCGAUGUUAUACAUGCUCUGCAGAAAAAUAUAGAAAUAUAUCAAGUUUUCUGCAUGGUAUCAGAGUGGUUUCCCACUAGGAUCGACUCCUAUCCUCUAACAUCUAUUUUUUCUGGCAAUAGGCAACCUGAAACCCUUACUGCUAUCUUGUUGUGAAUUGUUUUCUCCAAUUUAGUCACAAUUUGUCCUAGGUUCAUCAGUCCAACCACGAUUCAGUUCAGACGUGAUUCGAUCUUGUUACAAAUUGAUAUAGUCCAGACGAAUCUUCCAGAAUGACUACCAAUAGUAAAAAAUUAGUCUCUAAAGUCAACUCUAAGUUGGAGAUUAUCACUUCCAAUGACCUUGGAGGAUCCGAUGUCUCUUUUUUCCCCAUCAUAGGUCACAAGUUGAAUGGGAAUAACUAUCUCCAAUGGUCUUAGUUCAUUCUUAUGUUUAUCGGUGACAAAGAUAAGGAUGACUACCUCACAGGAGAAAUUGUUCAACCCAAAAGUGAUUAUCCUAAAUUCCGAACAUAGAAAAUAGAGAAUAAUAUGGUCAAAUCAUGGCUUAUCAAUUCCAUGACCAACGAGGUCAGUGAAAACUUUCUUCUUUACAAAACCGCAGAAGAGAUAUGGGAUGUAGUUUGAUUACUACUCAAAAAGUGCUAUUUUGUACCUUGUAAUUAACUCUUUUAAACACUUUUGAGUAGUAGUUAUUACCUUUUAACUCAAUUAGCAUAUUAAGUACCUUUGCAAUCAUUUCUAAUCAAAUUGUGUAAGUUUUGGUGUUUUUGAUAGUAAUUUGAUCACCAAAGCAAUCCAAGAUCGAGGAGAGUUCUAUGGAAUCCAUGGCAAAGCAAUUGGAAGUUCAUCAACAUGAAGAACCAAAUAUUUGAAGCUUUAUAGUCCUUUUCCAUAAGCAAAUCAUGAAUGCAAGGAGGGAAAGCAAAGAGAGAAAUCUAACAUGAAGCAUUCAAGAGGACAACAACUGUUAGACUCUUUUGAAGCACUUCCUGGAGCUUAAUUGAUGCAUAUUAUAUGUUGUUUCCAAGCUCGGGAAGUCAGCAAUCCAAUGCUUCAAACGGUGCACGAUUCGGAGUUGAAAUGAAGAAGUUAGAGCCAUUGGAAGCCGAUCACACCAAGCUGAAGGCCAAUUUCGCAGGCUGCGAAAUUAGCCUUUGGCUGCGAAAUGGUGUCCUUCAGGUUGCGAAAUUUCGCAGGCAUCUUGCACGCCUACGAAAUCAUCCUGAGUGCUUCUAGAUAUUUGUGACCGACAUUUUUAGAUUUUUUGCUUCAGAUAUUUGAUGUCUAAAUCCCCAUUCUCUCCUUGUAAUCCACCAAUUAUAGGAUUCCUUAGUUAUUAAGUAAGAACAAAGGGUAAAUAGCCUCAUAUAUAUUAUUUGUAAUUUCCAUUACAGAUAUAUCUUGGGAGCUUGUUCUCAGAGACAUCAACUUUUUGUAUAGUUUUGGAAGGAAGUAAAAUACAGAGCUUUGCUCUGCCUUACCUACCCAAUUUGAUUGUAUUGUAUUUAUUUUUUCUUACUAGCCAAACAAGCUUUGAGGAUGUUUCCUUAGAGAAUGAGUGGCUAGGCUUUUAGUUUCUUGGAGCUAAGAUAGCCGCGUAAGGCCCUGAAUGCAAGAAUUGGUAGUUUUGUUGUUUCAGCUAUUAAUGAAGAGAAAGUGUGACCCGUUAAUGAUUUCUAUGUUUUUAGUUAACUUAAAACGCCUUCAAUUCACCUGGGCCGACACUUGGUAAGGCAAGUGAUCUCCGUCCAUGGAGAUGCACUAGUUUAUCUCUUGCAAGCCUUUGGGUGGUGACUUGAAGGUAGGAUUUUCUAGAAUUGCCAACACUUGGUAAGCUUUUGGACUCUAAGGAGACAUCCAUUAGUUAUCUCUUGCGAGCUUGAGAAGGGAAGUCCAAGGUUAAUGAUCACCUUGAGUGGCGAAUGCUAGGUGAGAGGCAUGAGCCAUUGCAAGUUGCAUCAGUGAGAGGGAAUUAGUGCUGAAAUCCAUUAAUGGGAAACAUCUGUACAACACCAGUUAGAGAAUUAACUAUAUGUUAAUUCUCUAAUGCGAGGAAAAGAUUCAAGUGACCAGAGCUCUGUUUUUGCAUGAGGAGCUUGACCCCAAUGAACCUAAAACUCCAAGGAACGCUUUUCUUCAUAUGUAAUUCCCAUUACUUUCUUUUUAGUUAGCUUAAAACAAAUCCUUUUUCAACCAAAUUUUAUGUUUUCUUCUUAAGCUAACCUUGAAAUGAAAAAACACCAAUUCAACUUUGAAUUGGUAUCAGUUGUAAGUUGAAAACCCUUCCCAGUGAACGAUCCUAGAGCCACUAUGCUAUAUUAGCUAAGGCUAUCCUAGUGCAUGGUGAUAUAGGUUAUAAAUUUUGUUGAUUACUCCUGUCUGAGGACCAAACUCAAGGUACACCAACUAGGCACGCGAUCAUAGUUAAAGAAACAUAUUCCACCAAAUAAAAUACAACAGAACAGGUUGAUAUCAAGACUAUUCUUCAUGAUCCCCAUCAAGGGGAUUUAACCAUCACCAAUUACUACAAUAUUCUUGGUUGCCAUUGGUAACAAUUGGAUGUUUAUGAGAAGUAUGAUUGGAAGUGCCCCAAAAACGUUGCCAAGUAUCAAAAGAUUGUGGAGAAAAGACGACUUUUCAAGUUCUUAUUGGGCCUCAACAAGCACCUUGAUGAGGUCCGUGGGAGGAUCAUUGGUACCAAACCCCUUCCAACAAUCUGUGAAGCCUUCACAGAGGUAAAGAGAGAGGAGACCUGGAAGAAACUCAUGUUAGGCAAGCAAACUGCUAUAGCUACUACUGAAAGUUCUACUCUUGCAACUCGAGGUCAGUUUAGCAACAAUUGAGGAAAUCAACAGCAACAAAAGUGAAGACUUUGGUGUGACUAUUGCAAGAAACAUGGUCAUACAAAGGAUACAUGUUGGGAUAUCUAUGGUAAACUUGCAGAUUGGAAAUCAAGGUCAAAUAGACGUGAUAGUCAAACAAACAAUGCCACCACCGAUUCCACCUCCUAACCCAAAUCAAACCCGCUUAGCAAAGAACAAUUAGAUCUUUUAUAGAAACUACUCUAAUAGUCACAACAACCUAAACCAGCUCAACCCACUUCCAUAAUUGGUACUGGUUUUAUUGCAUAAAAAUGUAAUUUCUUGAGUGCUCUAAAUGCUAAACAGAAAAGGACAAGACCAUGGAUUGUUGACUCUGGUGCAUCUGACCACAUGACGGGAGAUGCAAAUGUUUUUGACACAUAUGAUCCUUGCUCUUCGAAUUAUUUUGUCCGCAUUGCUGAUAGAUCAUUGUCUAAGGUUGGUGGUUCCGGUUCAGUGACUAUUUCACAGGACUUAACUCUUCACUCUAUCUUACUUGUUCCAAAUCUAGAUUGCAAUUUGUUGUCCAUUAGUAAACUGACAAAAGACCUUAAGUGUGUUACUAAAUUUUUUCCUAAUCACUGUGAAUUUCAGGUUAUGGAUUUGGGGAUGAUGAUUUAUUUCAAGUUAUGGAUUCAGGGAUGAUGAUUGGCAAUGCUAAGGUGCAUGAGGGACUCUACCUACUUCAAGCUAAUGAGUAUCCUAAUCCCAGUCAUUCUCAAGCUCAUUCUAUUCAGUCUUCCAAUUCUAUUCUUUCCAUUCGUAGUGAUAAUAAAAAUGAUGCCAUAUUGUUGUGGAAUUAUAGAUUAGGCCAUCCAAAUUUUUUUUAUCUUGAGAAAAUGUUUCCAUCAUUAUUUAAUAAAAAAUCCUAGUCUUUUUAGUGUGAAAUUUGUCAAAUGUCUAAACAUGUGCAUAAUUCUUAUCCUAACCACGUUUACAAGACUUUUCAUCAUUUUUCAAUGAUACACAGUGACCAUUUGAGAUCAAGAACAUUUCUGGAUCAAGAUGGUUUGUCACCUUUAUCGAUGAUCAGACUAGAUUCACUUGGAUAUUUCUCAUGAUAGAUAAAUCUAAGGCUGGCCAAAUCUUUAUAAACUUUCAUAAAAUGAUCCAAAAUCAAUUCUAAGCCCAAAUUCAAAUUCUCAAGACCGUUAUUGGAAGAUAAUACUUCCAUUAUGCUCUGGGUACUUAUUUGAUGAAUAAUGGAAUUAUAUACCAAAGUUCAUGUGUUGAUACUCCUCAACAAAAUGGACUGUCAAAGUCCUUGUCAAGUCCUUCUCCAAUCUUAUCCUAAUUCUCGGCUAAUCUCCUCCAUUCCCAUCAAAGUGUUUGGUUGCAUUGUCUUCGUCCAUAUUCAUUCCCAACAUUACUCCAAACUUGAUCCAAAAGUUGUCAAAUGUCUCUUCCUUGGGUAUUCUCUUAGCCAAAAAGGGUAUAAAUGUUAUUCUCCUACUCAAUGGAAAAUUUACAUAUCCAUGGAUGUAACAUUCUUUAUUAUUCAACUCGUUUACCCUAAAACUGGUAUUUAGGGGGAGAAUGGACUUAGUGAAUAUUAGUUUUUGAACAUAAAUACUGAUUUUCUUGAUACAAGUUUUGAUUUUUCCUGCCUUUCUUCAUCUUUUCUUCCACUUGAGGUUGAGACAUCUUCUAAUCUUCAAUCAAAAUCCAUUUUUAAGACCAUAUAGCCUGCACAAUCUUCAAGUCCUGACCUUCCUCCUGACCAAACUCAACAUCCAACCUCAUCUAUUGUCUAUACCAGAAAAAAAAGGCUUAGAAGGUGGGAAAAAUCCAAGUGCAUCCAAUGCAAAACUAAGAGUUUGAAUCAGAUUCAAAAGAUUCUGAAAAUUGACUAGGUAACACCACUGUUGAACCUCUUUUGGAUGAAAUUUCUAAUGAUUUAGAUUUGCCUAUUACUCUAAGAAAAAUGGUGAGGUCUUGCACUAAACAUCCUAUUCAGAACUUUGUGUCCUAUAAUGAGCUAUCUCCAUCAUAUAGGGCAUUUUCAAUGAAGAUAACUGAAGUGCAAGUUCCUAGAACUAUUCAGCCAAUCGGAUUGGAGAAAAGCUAUUUUUGAUGAGAUGGGUGCUUUGGAAAAGACGGGUACAUGGGAGAUUGUUGAUCUACUGAAAGAUAAGAAUAUGAUAGGAUGUAAGUGAAUCUUUACAGUCAAACAUAGAGCUGAUGGAAAUGUUGAUAGGUUGAAGACACGACUCUUUCCAAAACGAUUUACUCAAGCUUAUGGAGUUGAUUACUAAGAGACAUUUGGCCUAGUUACGAAACUCAAUACUGUUAGAGUCUUACUAUCUCUUGUUGCUAAUCUGGACUGGUCACUAAACUAGUUAGUUGUGAAGAAUGCCUUCCUCAAUGGUGACUUGGAGGAGGAAGUGUAUAUGGAGAUUCCCCUUGGCUUUGAAAGAAACAAUGACUUUAAGAAGGUAUGUAAACUCCGAAAAGCAUUAUAUGGCCUUAAAGAAUCUACUCGUGCUCGGUUUGACAAAUUCACAAAGGUCAUAAAGAAAAAUGGUUAUAUUCAGUGUCAAUUUGAUCACACCUUGUUUGUUAAGUUCUCUAAAGGAGGAAAAAUAACUAUUCUUAUUGUGUAUGUCGAUGACAUAAUUCUUAUUGGAGAUUAUGAUGAAGAGAAAGUUAGUUUGGAAAAUCUCCUCACUAAGGAAUUUGAGAUAAAAGAUUUGGAUGAUCUCAAGUAUUUCCUAUGAAUGGAAGUGGCUUGAUCUAAGAAAGGAAUUUGUAUUUCCCAAAGAAAAUACAUCCUUGAUCUUCUAGAGGAGACUAGUAUGCUUGGGUGUAAACCCUUAGACAUCCCUAUGGACUCUAAUGUCAAGCUUGGCUUAGAUCAAGAGGGUCCUUCAGUUGACAAAGGGCGAUAUCAACAACUUGUAGGGAAGUUGAUAUAUCUUACCCACACAAGACCAGAUAUUAGAUUCUCUAUUAGUUUGGUUAGCAAAUUUAUGAAUAAUCCUACCAAAGAACACUUAGAUGUUGUCUAUAAAAUCCUUCAAUAUCUUAAAUGGGCUCCUAGAGAAGGGUUAUUUUUAAAAAAGAACUCUAACAGAGAAAUUAUGAUCUACACUAACAUAGAUUGGGUUGGCUCUUCUAUAGACCAUAGAUCUACAUCUUAUUAUUGUUCAUAUGUUUGGGGCAAUCUCGUUACAUGGUGAAGCAAAAAACAAACUGUUGUUGCUAGGAGUAGUACUGAAGUUGAAUUCAGAGCUUUAGAAAAUGAAAUUUGUGAGGGCAUGUGGAUUAAAAGACUAUUGGAAGAACUCAAGUUUCCUAUUGAUAGUCCUAUGAGAAUUUUUUAUAAUAAUCAAGCAACAAUUAGCAUUGCUAAAAAUCUUGUUCAUCACGACAGGAUUAAGCAUGUGGAGAUUGACUGUCAUUUCACUAAAUAGAAGAUUGAUGAGGGGAUUAUCACUCUUGCAUACAUGCUAACAACUCUUCAAACAAUCUACAUCCUUGCCAAAGCACUUCCUAGGGUCAACUUUGAAGAAAUGAAGUCCAAGUCGGGCAUGCUAAACAUUUAUAGCCUAGCUUGAGGGGGAGUGUUGAUUUUCGUGUGAUUAUCCUUAAUUUGUUGGGAUUUUGAUUUUGUAUUCCAACCGGGAUUUGUUUCCCACUUUCUGUUUUGAGUUUUUUUUUUCCUUUUUUUUCAUUUUCUUAGGCACGUAUCUCCUAUAUUAUAGCUAGAUUUUUAUUUUGCAAAUUCGAUUCUUAGCUUAUAUAAUGUCAAUGUUGUACAUGCUCUAUAGAAAAAUAUAGAAAUAUACCAAAAUUUCUCCAGUUUUAAAUCAUAUCAAAUUUUUUACUUCAAAAUGAUUACAUUGAAAAACUCCUAAAUUUUGACUUUGAAAUGAUUAACCUUCCAAAGAUUAUUAAAAUUGUUAUCCAUUAUUUCCAUUUACAUAGAAUUUGAGAAGGACUAUAUAAUGCUUGAAAAUUUAAACAGUAUAGAAUAAAAAUAUGAUCUAUAUUGAAUUAGAAUUUUUUUUUAAAAUAAAAUUGGGACAAGCUACCUACUUAAGGAAUCCUCACACACACACACACACACACACACACACACACACACACACACACACACAUAUAUAUAUGAUCUAAGUUGAAUUAGAAUUUUUUAAAAUAAAAUUGGGACAAGCUACCUACUUAAGGAAUCCUCAUAUAUAUAUAUAUAUGACUAAGAAAAAUGAUAAAAAAGGGUGUACAAAUAUCACAUGUUAGAAAUUUUCAAAUAAAAUUGUAAUUUUAUUAAAUUGUAGAAAAAUCUACUUCAAAUCUCCAGUUUAAUUUCAAAUUAUUCUUUCAAUAAUUGUUGACUAAGUGCUUGCAAAAUUUUGAUCUCAAGUUCUAUUGAAGAUUUGAUGUUGCUUGCUUGAACUUCAUUUAGACUUUAACUUGCUUAUGGUUUGAGUUUGGAUUGGCUUAUUUUUUACUUACAUUUUAGAAAUGAACAACAUCUUAGUCUUUGAGAUUUGAAGCUUGAUUUUAUUCUUGGCUAGGCUUGUUAGGCUUUGACUUCAUUUGAGCUUUGGCUUAAACAAUCCUAACCAAGUGCUUGAGUAAUAAUCUUAGACAACAAAAUUUAGAAGAUUUGGCUAUUAAAGUUUGAUUCUUGAUUUUUUGAAAGAUAUUCAUGAUUUGAAAAUAUUUUGAAGAAAUUAAAAACUCAUCAAAGAAAUUUUGAAGAUUUGAGAAAACUUUGAAAUCUCUUUUGAAGAUUGAAAAAGCAAUGAAUACUUUCAAAGAAGCCUUCAAUUUCCCAUAAAAAUGUUUGGGAAGCUUUAAAGGAGACCAAAUUUUUUUGAAGAAGUUUGAAGGCCAUCAUAGAAGCUUUUUGAACUUAUAAUAAAGCUUUCGUUUUACCUUCUUAAUUAUGUAUUUUUUACUUAUUGUGUGAAAUAUACCUUCAAGGUGGUUUCCUUUAUUAAUAAAGAUAGGAAUAACAAUACUUAAACAAUUUUCUAGCUCUUGAAAUAUGUUUUUAAUUAUUUAACUAAACUUAAUUUUUAAGGAGAUAUAAAAGAACAUAUUUAGAUGGUCUUUAACCCCUUGAAAACUAUUCUUUAAGGAGAAUCGGUGAUUAACCGUUUUUUUUAAAAUCAAGUCCAUUAUUGUCUUAAUUUAUUGUAAUAAUUUUCUUUUUGUUGUCAAUAUUUAUCUUUUCUCUUAUUUAAUCUAUAGAUAAUUUUUUGAGGACCCAUUAAUUUGUACUUAAAUAUUGGUAUAGAAAGUUAAAAUUAUGUUUUUAAGAUAAAAAGGAGUAAAAAUCAUUGUUUUUACCUUCAAUAUGUUAACACCCUAUUUUGGUAACUAAUGUGCUAUAUUGUGGGAACUGUAGCAAAGAGAAGAUAAAAACAUGUUUUUGUUAGGAUAGAACCCUUAAAAACAUGAUAUGAAGUAACAAAUUUGGAAUUCAUUAUUUAAUGAUAUUCCAAUUUCAUUUUUAUCUAUUCUUGUUCCAUGCAUUACACUUUAUAAACAUUCUUGCCUAGCAUCUUUUGCAUUGUACGUGAUUUGGGUGCAUUAGGAAUUUCCCAAAAGAUCCAAAUAUCGAGUUCCUUGCAAAUAGAUAACUUUUUCAUAAUCGAUUCAGGUCUAGGCAUCAUGAUAUCUCAUGGUGAAAGACCACCGAAAGUCUAAUAGGGAACAUCCAAAAAGGGAAAGAGGAGUGAAUGGGUGAUAUGAAAAUUAAAAUAAAGAGUUAUAUAUAUUAUAUUAAAUUUUUCUUACCCUAAAAUUUUUUAGGGAAGUCCUAAUUAGCACUUUGGGCAAAUGUCAAACAUAUACUCUAGUAUCUUUGGAGAAUAAGGGAUUAUAUGUUUGUGAGUCUUUGUGAUGAGUUGCUACUCUUUUCAUACCGAGAAAUUGGACUUCAAUAUGAUAAGAACUCUUGUAGGUCUACCUUUGGGUGUGUGUGCACUAUAAGUGGUUUUUAUUUUAUUUCUUUAUUUAUUUAUUUUAUAGAAACAAAGGAAGCCUUUUGGCUUAUGGGUAGUUCCCUUGACCAUAAUGUCUAAGAUCCUAUUAUGUAAUAAUAGUGGGUUGGUGGCAUGGUCUAAAAAACUAAAGUACCACUAGGAAAGGAAACACAUAUGGAGGAAGUGUAACCUUAUUCUGAGAUAAUAUGGAGAGUUGAUGAUACAAUGGAGUAGAAUUCUUUCUACGGUUCCCAAUCUAUUUUUUGGGCUAGUGGGAUUUUGUUGGGAUUAUACCCCUAAAAACAAGGCAUGAUGUAACAAAGUUAGACUUAACCAUCCCCUUGCUAUCCUUUUUGGUGUAUUGACAUUGCCUUGAGCAUUUAGCCCAUGUCUUAUACAUUGUACAUGACUUUUGUGUAUUAGGAGUUAUACAAAAGAUACAAGUCAUGGGUUCCUUGUAAGUAGAUAAGUUGUCCACAAUCGGUUCAUGGAUUUAAGCAAUCCAAUAGAGACUAUAGUGCAUCACCUUCUAAUUAGAGGGAUGACUUAUCUUGGUGAUUCGACUCAUGGUAGCUUAGCUUUAAAGGCGUAUCAACAAAAUUUAUACCUUAAAUACUAUUACUAAAGUAGCCAAGCUACUAUAGCAUAGUGGUUCUAGGAUCGUUCACUGGGAAGGGUUUUCGCAAACACUAGUGAUAUUCAAAUUAGGAAAAUAGGUGAUUUUCUUAUGGAUGUUAGCUUUAAAAGAAGAUGUAAAUGUUUUAGAAAGAUUUAAACUAAUCUAAGCUAACAUUAAAGACUAAAAUGAAAGGGUGUAAAAACAAGUUUCUCAAAGAUAGGAUAGCUAUGCUCUGGCUCUUAUGCAAAUUGGAAAUCUCAGGAUAGGCUCCUCGCGUUGGGGUUGCAACUAUGGUGAUGCUUGCUUCCCGAACCGGUAUGGAUUUAGCAAAUCAAGUUUUAAUCCUUUAAAAUGGCAAAACAGAUGAUAGUGAAUUUCAUCAAUGGUUUUUCACCUUAGACUUCCUUUGAAUGGCUCGUAAGAGAUAACUAAUGGUCUAAAGCCAAAAGCUUACCAAAUAUUGGCAACUCAAAGUCAUUCCAGGUGAUAAACUCACCUUUCAAUGGCCAUUGAAAUUGGUUCUAACGGAUUAAUGCAAAACUUGGAAUUGAAAACCUCACCUUCCAAUAGCUCGUAGGAGAUAACUAAUGGAUAGAAAUCCAAAAGCUUAUCAAGUAUUGGCCGUUGGAAGUUGUCCAAAGGAAAUAAAAACCAAACUUUGCAUUAAUGAACCUUUAAUGAAAAACGACUACCUUACCUUCCAGGUGCGAGAAAUCUCCAUGGGAUUGCAUCCAAGCCAUCACAUAACAUCCAUACUUUGAGAAACUAAAAGUUUUAGCCAAUCAUCCUCUGAGGAAAAGCCCUCAGAGGCUGUUUGGCUAUUAAGAAAAUAGAAAUGGGGAAGAACAAGAGAAGAGAGAAAAAAACAGAGCUUUAUAUAUUUCUAAGUUAAUGUACAGAGGAUCGAUCACCCAAAUCUCCCUUCUUUUGGAGGUGUUGUGCACCUCUAUAUAUAGCAAAAUUACAAGAUAAAGCCUUAUGUUGGCUGAAUACAAGGUUACAAAAGGAAUUUACACGAGAAAAUAUCAAGCUAAAAAUAUCUGGGAAGUCGGUGGUGCGUGCAUGGAGAAACAGAGGAAAAUUCACACCACGCAUGGGCUGUGCGAAUUUGGAAGGUGUUGUGCGAGUGUUGUGCGAGUUUCACACAAGCUUCGCACAACCUGAAGGUGUUGUGCGAAUUUCAAGGUGUUGUGCGAAUUUCGCACAAGCCUGGAGCAGUUGUCUUCCGAAGGCCAUAUAUUCCUCAUUUCACCUCCAAAUCGUACACGAUUUGAACCGUUGGAUUCUUCACUUCCUGAGCUUUGAAAUGGUAUAUAGAAUGUAGAAAAUGAACUUUGGGAAGUGCUCCAAAAGUGUAAAAGAAGACUACAGCUGCUGUCCUCUGUUUUCUUCACUUUGCUUGCUUUUCCUCUUUGCUUCUCUUUGCUUCUCUCCUUUGCUUGGCUUGUCUUAAUGAUCCAAAAAGCUGUCAAAACACUAAAAAUAGCCACAAAUAUGAUUAGAAGUCAUUGCUAGGUCCUUAACAUGCCAAUUGGGAUAAAGAUGGAGAACUACUACACAAAAGUGCUUAAAACAUAAUGAAUUAAAGGUGUAAAAUAACACUUUUUGGGUAGUAAUCACUUGGCCAUCAAGAUGGGUUUCCCAUGGUGAGUGCACUAGUGUAUGUGAUGCAAAUUGGACAGGACCUAGGGUGAAUCAUGACACAAAACUAUCAAUUAUCAUGAUUCACCAAGCUACUACACUACAUAGACUUUCAAACUUGAGAAGAUAUUGAGCUUGUGCAAAAAUCAAUAGGAGGCUUUGACUUAUGGGUAAGACUUUAAAGUGGUCAUAUAUCCCUAUGGAUUUGGUCACUAUUGAUGGAGGCUGGUGGCAAUGGGUAUUCUCAAUAGAGACACCAUGAUAUCUCAUAAGAUUGAGACAAUGUGUCCCCUUGGGUGAUCUAAAAACAUGUGAUCGUGAAAUCUGUGGCCAUAGUAAUUACUUAAGUGGAAUUUGACAUAUUCUCUUCAAAGCUAGAGUAUGUUAUUUGAUCACAUAAUAAGUGGGAUCUAUAACUCAAGGAUUUGAGAGGUAAUCUUGAUAGGUGAAAACACUAUCUUGUUAGAUUAUGAACACUAGUUCAUGGGGAGUCUACAUGCAGUGGAUAGUAGGUCACAAACUCAAAUACUUGGUGUCUCGUUUUAAUAUAUAUAAGGUACUGGAGUGUAGUUGACUCUCUAUAGUGGGAUGCUAAGUUAAUUUCAUAAUUGUUUAUAAGAGAGCCAAUACUCCUAUGGGUCCCAAUGGUCCUCGAUCUGGGGUCAUAUUCCUUGAUGGCAUGGUUUAUGAUGGUUAGGUGGAUUUUGAAGGGAAAAACUCAGAUCACUCCGCUUCCCAAGCCCAGAUUUGGUUAGCAACAUGCAUAACUAUCCUAGGCCUUUUCUAAAUCCUAUGCUCAAUGAAAAAAAAAAUAACAUUUUUAAACCUUAAAAGGAUUCAUAAAGAGCUAACGAAAACCAUAUCUCAGAUUCCGAUGUUCCUAAAUCAAAUCCAAGUGGUGAAAAUGAAGAAUGAAAUCACAAAAGUCUCAUAAACCCGAAGUCUUCCGUGCAAUGAAUUGAAUUGAUCUUGACACACCUCCAGUGGGGAUGGAAAGGAAUGUGGAGGCUAUAACUCUUUCUUUUUCUCUUUGGAGAUGGAAGAUGGCUCUCUAGAAAAACUAUAUGAACUUUAAGCCCUAAGAUGAGAUUUAUAGGGUUUUCUACUAGGCUUAAGUAACUUGAGCUCACUAAGUGCUUGGGUCACUUAAUCUAGCCCAAAACGGGUCCUAAUUGAUUAAUUAACUCAAUAGGGCAUGCUAAUUAAUCAAUUAGCCCAAUCUAGAGACCUUGCUCACUUACCCUUGUGCAAUCUUUGUGUAAUUACCAAAAUGGCCUUAUGCACAAAAGUGAACUUAGAGCUAAUUCGACUCUCAUUACCCAUGCCAACAAGGUAUAUGAGCUCAGAGCAAGGACUAUUAGAACCCAUAUGAAUAUUAGGUCCCUCAUAAUCCAAUUCUAAAGUUGAUUCAACAUCCCACUAGAAAGAAUCAACUGAACUCCAGUAUCCUAUGUAAAUAGCAAUGAGACAUUAUGUGCUCAGGUUCUUGACCUGCUAUCCAUUACAUUUAGUCUCCCGAUGAACUAGUGUUCGUAGUCUAACAAGAUGAAAGCUAUCAACCUUUCAAGACUAUCUCUACUAUCUUUAAGUUAUAGAUCCUCCUAUUGUAUAUUCAACUGACACGUCUUAGCUCUCAAAGAGCCUAUGUCAAGUUUCACUUAAGGAAUUACUAUGACCAUAGUUUCUAUUAACACACCUCCUUAGGAUCACCUAAGGGGAUACACUGUCUCAAUCCCAUGAGAUAUCAUGGUGCCUACAUUGAGAAUACUUUUUGCUACCAACUUCUAUCAACAAUGACCUGAUCCAUAAGGAAUAUAUGAUCAACUUACGAUCUCACCCGUAGGUCAAAACCAUUGCUAACUUUAGCAUAGGCUUAAUAUUCUCUCAAGGUUGAGAGAUAACACAAUGAAGCAACUUGGUGAGGUCAUGACUACUUGAUAGCCUUAAGUCAUGACUCACCAUAGGUCUUGUGCAAUGUGUAACCAUACACACUAAUGCACUCACCAUGGGAAACCCCUCCCCAUAGCCAAGACAAGUCAUCACUCCAAUUAGGAAGUAGUGCACUACAACCUCUAAUGGGUUGCCUAGACCCAUGAACUAGUUGUGAACAAGUAAUCUAUUUGCAAGAAACCCAUGACUUGGAUCUUCUGUGCAACUACUAAUGCACCUAAGUCACAUACAAUGCAAAAUAUGCAAGUAAGAAUGCUCAUAAAAUAUAAUACAUGGAAUAAGGAUAGACAAAAGUGAAAUUGGAACAUCAUUUAAUAAAUAAUGAAUUCCAAAUUUAUUACAUCAUGUCAUGCUUUUUAGGGCUCUAUCCUAGCAUUCUCCUACUAGCCCUAAAAGCAUCAUGCCUAUAAAGCAUGCCAAAUACUCAUUUGAAACCUAUGCUAUCCUUGUGACUAAUAAAGACUCUCCUUGUCAAUGUCUUGGUGAAGGGAUCCACCAGGUUCUCCAUAUAAGGUAUCUUGUCCCAUAUCAUGUCACCUUCUAAACUAUUUCAACACUUUGGAGCACAAGCACAUAAGCACUCGUUCUCCUAAGAUACUUCAGUAUAUGCUUGAUAGCAGUUUAGUGUUUUGGACCUGGAUUAAACUAAUAUCUACUUACCAUACCCAUUACAACAAAAUAUUUAGCCUAGUACAUAGCAUCGCAUGCAUAAGGCUACCCACUAUAGAGGCAUAGGGUAUUGAUUGGAUGCGUUUUUUCUCCUCAGGUGUUUUAGGACACUGAUCCCAAGAAAGAAGAAUUCCAUACCUAAAAUGUAACAAACCUUUCUUGGAAUCUUGCAUCACAUACUUGACCAAAAGCUUAUCUAUGUAGGUAGCUUGAGAUAGCACUAGUUUCUUAUUCUUACGGUCCCUAGGGACCUUAAUCGCAAGAAUAUACUACACUUCUCCCAGAUCCUUAAUCUGGAAUUGAGUAGAUAACCAGAACUUUACUGAUGACAAUAACCCUACAUCAUUACCAAUGAGUAAAAUGUCGUCAACAUACAAGAUCAUAAAGACCAUCAUGCUUCCUUACUCCUUCUUUUUACACACAAGGUUCAUCCUCAUUUUGAUCAAAGUCAAAGGUCUUGACUGCUUGAUUGAAACAUUUAUUCUAUGAGCGAGAUGCUUGUUUUAGUCCAUAAAUGGAUUUAUGCAAUUUGUAUACCAUAUGCUCUUAACCCUUUGCUACAAUACCUUUUGGUUGCACCAUAUAGAUGCUCUCAUCAAGAUUUCCAUUUAAGAAUACAAUCUUGACAUCCAUUUUCCAUAUCUCGUAGUCAAGAUGUGCUGCAAUGGAUAGGAGUAUUCUAAUGGACUUGAGCAUGGCUAUCGACGAGAAGGUCUCAUCAUAGUCAAAACCAAGUUUCUGACUAUAACCCUUCACUACAAGCCUAGCCUUAAAAGUCUCAACCUUUCCACCCACUCCUCUCUUUCUCUUGUAGACCCACUUACACCUUAUGGGUUUUAUACCUUCAAGUGCUUCUACAAGCUCCUAGACUUGGUUAGAAUGCAUAGAUUCUAACUAUACUUCCAUAGUCUUUUGCCAAAAAUGUGCAUCCACAUCGCUCAUUACUUCAUCGUAACAUGUGGGAUCGAUCUCAUGUUCCUUUAGAAUGACCUUAAAAGACUCUCCCAAAACAUGAAUUGGUCUAGUUGUUUAACAACCCUCCCACUACAACGAAGCAUCAGUGUACUAGAAAUGAGAAUGGUUGGUACUAGAUCCAUAGUAUUUGUAGAUUGUUUGCCUUAUUACAUGUUAUAUAGUCUUCAUAAAAAAUCUAGUAUUUGUAGUAAGCAGCACCUUUUGAUAAUCCUAACUAUAAAGUAGUAAUCCUGAAAUCCUCUUAGAUAUCCUAUAAACUAAUACACCUCUUUAGAAAAAGAAGAGGUAUUACACAGUCUUUUGAUAUAUCCCCAAAGAAUAUGGGAAGUAAUGAGAAACCAAUCACCGAUCUCACUUUGUCUACCAAAGUUUAAUAUAUUCUUUCCAUUACUCCAUUUUGCAAUGGAGUCCUUGGGGCACACAAUUGUGAUAUGAUCUCAUGCUUCAUUUGGAAAGAAUCAAACCUACUAGACUAACCACCUCAAUCUAAUCAAAGUGCCUUGAUAUGUUUACCCAUUAGGUUAUCUAAUUCUGCCUUAAAUUCAAUGAGUUUAUUCAAGGCAUCAUAUUUCCUAUCUAUAUAUCCAAAGCUAGAGUAUUUAUCAAUAAAAUGAUCAAAGACUCACACUUUCAAUAUAUAAACACAAAAAGGUUCACAUACGUGAGUAUGCACUAACUCCAAACAUUCCUUGGUUCCAAGUCCUUUAAAAAUAAAAGGGUCUCUUAGUCAUUUUACCAUCUAUAUAAGAUUCAUAAACUAAAAGAUCUUCUAGAUUAAGAAGGUCCAAACUUAAUUAGUAUUUGGAUCAAUAUGACUUAGGCAUUAGAAGCCAAAUGUUUGAUUAGUUCUAGGUUCUUUCUUUUGGUGAGAUUUAACUAUUCUCAUUACUUGGCAAAGUGAUAAUGGAGUCUCACACAGAAAGGGUAAUACCUCCCACUAACAUGCACAACUAAUCUUACAAUUGAAGCUGAGAUAAGUACAAUCCCAUCAUGUGACCUUCUCACUUGUUGAAAACCUUGUAAAGAACUACAGAUAGUGGGCCUGGAAUCUAUCCACCACUAUGUAUUCAACAACAAGAACAUGAUGUGUACUUGUCUAUUCUUAAACACUCCAAGCAUUCCAUUUUUAAGUGUCCUAAAAGGCCACAAAGGAAUCAUUGCCCAUGAGUUUGUUCUCUCAUUAUUUUUCUUGAACUUUCCUUAUUUGGUGUUGUUCUUUUCCUUCUUAGUAGAAGAACCUAAAGAACCUUGACUUCCAUAUGAACACCUUUCGACUCUUUGAGAAUCUUCUUAACCAUACUAAAGGAAUCCGGUAAGAUCUCUAGGAUAACAUGAAUCUUGGUGUUCAUAAUAGUCCUAAGGGCAACUUGUUUAGUUGACUUACUCUUAUUACCAAAUAACCCUUUCAACUUUAAAGAGAAUAUCAUAGACUAUGGAAAUAGACAUAUGUUGUUUUUGCAACACUUUAUCUAAAGACCCAAGUAUGAGAGACUUGGCCUUUUGAUCUGUCUUAUGCCAUAUUUGAUAUGUUUCUCUUACUUCAUGAUAGGUUUGUUCAAUGGAAAUAACAAACUCUACCAAAAUCAGCUUCUAUGCAAUUAAUACUAUACCCAGAUUAUUUAUAGUCUAUCAUUAGGUCCAAUUUAAACAAAAGAUAAUAGGCAACAAGUUAAAAACAUGAUAUCUAUAACAAAUAUAAUAAUUCCAUGCAUUAAUAAAAAGAAAUUGAGCAUUCAAGGAAAAUUGGUAAUUAAUUUAGCAAAAAAGUAGUGUUCUCAAACUACAUAUCCUUUUGAAAGGUAUCCUAGUAUCAUAAGAAUCAAGCCAACUUUAUGUAGGUCACGACUCUUAUUACUAAGGUAGAGUCCCUCUCUAAUUGAUCAACUCUAAUUAAACUUUAAAAGUUAUCCUAAGGCAUUGAUCAACAUACCUUUAUGUUUAGCCCUUAGUCCAUGCAAGUGGGACCACUUUAGGUGAUUUUACCACUUUAGGUGAUUUUACCACUUCAUGUCUAAGUUAAGUAUGUAACCAAGAUCCUUGACAUCAAUGUUACCAAGUGAAGAGUUCCAUCUUUAGGAUUGACUACUCUCACUAUAAACAUAUAUAGUCUUGUCCAUAAAGGAUAGUCUUUAUCCCUUGAUUCCUUGGGUCACCCUAUCUUUAGGAUGGUGAUGCACCCAAAAUCAAGAUGGGCUUGAUCUUGGAGGUUAUGGGCUUGCCUAUGGCCUACUCUUACUUAAUAUUUUGGAAAAGAGGCUUUAAGAUAAUUUUGGUAACUAUCUUAAAAUAAAUUAUCUAUCAUGAGAAUUUCCAAAACUUUUAUUUAUCACUUGAAUUGGGACUCUUGUACCAAAUAGGGAUAUAUUUCAUAUUCCUUAUCCUUGAACUUUCCUUUUCAAACUAAACAAAUUCCUCAUUCUCUCAGAUGAGAAGAGGUUGGAAGACCAAUUUAAUUGUCAUUCUACUUCUCUCUAGGGAGGAAGGCUUGGAAAACCACUUAAGCCAAAUAAAGAAAAGUCCCAAAAGGAAUUUGAAAUUCCAAAUGACAACAACCAAUUCCUUAAAUAAAUAAUAAUGGAAAUAAAACUCAUGAAAAUGUAUUCUUUUAAGAAAAUCCAAAAUUACCAUUUUAAUUUAUUUUAUUUGAAACAACAUCUUGGUAAGCUAUAUUAAUAAUGAAUCAUCUAUCAUAUAUUUUUCUAAAAAUAAUUUAUUUCUUUAAAUUAAAAUCUUGUGCUAAAUAGGAAAGAUUUUAUUUCAUAAAGGCUUGGAAAACUAAAACUUCUUCCUUAUAAUAAAAAAAUUCUUAGAGAUCUAAAAUUUAAAAAAAAUUAUUUUGGAAAAGAAAAUCUCUAAAAGUUUAAUUUUGAAAUGGAAGUAGGUUCCUUAUUACUUUCCAACUUAUCUUUUCCUAAAAUAAAAUUUUCCUAAUCCCUAUCACAUUCCAAUUUAAUAAAUUAUCUAAAACAAGAAAAAAAAUGAAAAUUCAUUUACUUAAGAAUGCCAAAAUAUAUUCUAUGUCAAAAAUAAAAAGGCAUAAAAGAUAUAAAAGGAAAUUAAAUAAAUAAUUUUCAUGGUCUUAUGGAUCUUGCUGCAAAUUUGGAUAAAAUCCAAAUUAUCAAAAUAGUCCUGCAACCAAAGAUAGGGUUAAUGAAAAAAGAAAAACCCAACAAGCCCAAUUGCCACAAAAAAAAAGCCCAAAAAGAGGCCCAAAAAAUUGAGUUCAAACAACCAAAAACAAUUUGGCCCAAACUCAAUCCCGUAAUUGCAUGCCCUUUGAGCAGCCUUGCUUCAAUCAGCCAUAUCUCCCUCGUUUCAACUCUGAAUUGUGAUAUGUUUGAAGCAUUGGAUUCCUGUAUUCCUAAGCUUGAAAACCAUAUAUGGUUUUCCCCAAAGAUCUCAUGGGAGGUAGCCCCGAUUUUGAGUUAAAUUCAGCAUCACUGUGCUGCCAUGGUCUUUGCGCAACCUUACUUCAAUCGAUUAUAACUCCCUUGUUUCAACUCCGAAUUGUGAUCUAUUUGAAACCUUGGAUUCCUGACUUCCUAAGAUUGAAAACCACAUGUGGUUUGACCUAAAAAAACUCAUGGGAAGGUAUCCUGAUUUUAAUCGUAAGAUGACAAAAUUGUGCUGCCAAGGAUCUCAAAUCAAGAAUUUCCAAGAAUCUUUCUUUUCCCUUAAAUCACCAUAGGAACUUAUGAAAGAAACUUCAAGAAGCCUUAUUUUCUCUUUUCCAAAAAAGGGAAUGUGCGCGGAAAUUUUGUGAUGCUUCAGACUGCUUCCAUAAUCUCCAUAUGUUACAAAAAAUGAUAAAAAAAAAAGGAUUUGGAGUUUACAUAUCAUUCUAAGAUAAAAAUGGGAUUUUUACAAAAGAACAAAAAUCCUAUGCCUCUUUUGAGGCUUACAACCCAUCUAGAAAAAGUAAACAACAAUCCCAGUAAUUAUUACAUCCCUAAUAAAAAACAAUCACAAUAAUAAAGAAUCCACAUUAAUUAUCCCUAGUGUCAUGGGAUAAACACAUACCUUACAAAAUAAAGUUAGCACACCCUAUAAUGGUUCUAGCACGAUUACUAACCUAUGGCUCUAAUACUAGUUGAUGGGAAAAACCUGGAUAUUUCCGUUUUCUAAGCUCGAAUCAGGUUAGGAACAUGUAUAACUAUCUUAGGCUUUUUCUAAAUCCUAUGCAUAGUGGAAAAAUAACAUUUUUAAACUUUAAAGAGAUUCAAAAGGCGCUAAAAAAAACCAUACCUCAAAUUUGGAUGUUCCUGAAUCAAAUCCAUAUGGUAAAGAUGAAGAACGAAAUCGCAGAAGUCUUGUAAACCCGAAGUCUUCUGUCCGAUGACUCAAAUCUUGAUCUUGACACACUUCCGGUGGGGAUGGAAGGGAGGGUGAAGGCUACUUUUAGGAUAGAGCCCUUAAAAGCAUGAUAUGAUGUAAUAAAUUUGAAAUUAAUUAUUUAUUUCAUGAUGUUCCAGUUUCACUUUUAUCUAUCCUUAUUCCAUGUAUUAUACUUUAUGAACAUUCUUAUCUGCAUCUUUUGCAUUUUAUGUGACUUAGGUGCAUUAGGAGUUGCAUAGAAGAACUAAGUCAUGGGUUCUUUGCAAAUAAAUGACUUGUUCACAACCGGUUCAUGGGUCUAGACAACCCAUUAGAGGUUGCAGUGCACCACCUCCAAAUUGGAGGGAUGAUUAGUCUUGAAUACUGGGAUAGGUUUUCCAUGGUGAGUGCACUAGUGUGUAUGGUUACACAUUGGAUAGGACCAAUGGUGAGUCAUGACUUAAGGCUAUCAAGUAGUCAUGAUCUCGCCAAGUUGCUUCACUGUGUUGUCUCUCAACCUUGAGAGAAUAUUGAGCUUGUACUAAAGUUAGUAGUGGUUUUGACCUAUGGGUGAGAUCGUAAGCUGAUCAUAUAUUCCCUAUUGAUUGGGUCAUUAUUGAUGGAAGUUGGUAGCAAUAGGUAUUUCCAAUAGAGGCACUAUGAUAUCUCUUGGAAACUAUGGGCAUAGUAGUUCCUUAAUUGGAGCUUAACGUAAGCUCUUUGAGAGCUAAAACAUGUCAGUUGAAUACACAAUAGGAGAAUUUGUAACUUAAGGAUGGUAGAGGUAGUCUUGAAAUGAUGAUAGCUUUCACCUUGUUAGACUAUGGACACCAAUUCAUGAGGAAACUAAACAUUAUGGAUAGCAGGUCACAGACUUGAGCACGUAAUGUUUCAUUGUUAACUUAGGAUACUAGAGUUUAGUUGAUUCUUUAUAGUGGGAUGUUAAAUCAACUUCAGAAUUGGAUUAUGAGGAAGCUAGUAUUCCUAUGAGUCUUAAUGGUUCCCGCUUUGAGCUCCUAUACCUUGUUGGCAUGGAUUAUGAGGGUCGGACUAGCUCUAAGUUCACUUUUGUGCAUAAGGGCAUUUUGGUAAUUAUAUAGGUUGCACAAGGGUAAGUGAACAAGGUCUCUAGAUUGGGCUAAUUGAUUAUUUAGUAGGUCUUGUUGGGUUAAUUAAUCAAUUAGGACCUAUUUGGGCUAGAUUAAGUAACCUAAGCCCAUGUGGGCUUAAGUCACUUAAGCCCACUUAGGAACCAUAUAUAUACCCUUUAGGGGUUAGGGUUUGCAUAGUUUUUGUCUUCCACCAUCCAGAAAGAUAGAGAGUCAUAGCCUUCACCAUUUUUUCCUUCCCAUCGGAAGUGUGUCAAGAUCAAGGUUCGAGUCAUCGGGUGGAAAACUUCAGGUUUAUGAGACUUCUGCUAUUUCUUUCUUCAUCUUCACUACGUGGAUUUGAUUUGGGAACAUCCGAAUCUGAGGUAUGGUUUUCUUAGCAUUUUUUUUAAUCCCUUAGAAUUUUAAAAAUAAAAAUUUUAUGUUGUAUAUAUCCUUUAGAAAAGGCUUAGGAUAGUUAUGCAUGUUCCUAACUUGAUCCGGGCUUGGAAAACAGAGAGAUUUAGGCUUUUCCCAUCAACUAUGGCUUUCUAUCUUUCUGGAUGGUGGAAGACAAAAGCUAAUGAAACCCUAACCCUUGGGAUAUUUAUAAGGUUCCUAAGUUAGCUUAAGUGACUUGAACCUACAUAGGCUUGAGUCACUUAAUCUAGCCUAAAAUGGGUCCUAAUCGAUUAAUUAACCCAAGGAGGUCUACCAAUUAAUCAAUUAGCCAAAUUCAGAGACCUUGUUCAGUUAUCCCUAUGUAAUCUUGCGUAAUUACAAAAAUGCCCUUAUCACAAAAGUGAACUUAAAGUCGAUCCGAUCCUCAUAAUCCAUGCCAACAAGGUAUAUGAGCUCAAAGAGAGGACCACUAGGACCCAUAGGAAUACCGGCUCACUCAGAAUACAAUUAUAAAGUUAAUUCAACAUCCCAUUGUAGAAAAUUAAUUGAGCUCCAAUAUCCUAUGUAAAUAACAAUGAGACAACAAGUACUCGGGUCCGUGACUUGCUAUCCAUUAUGUUCAGUCUCCUUAUGAACUAGUGUUCAUAGUCUGUCAUGGUGAAAGCUAUCAACCUUUCAAGACUACCACUAUCAUCCUUGAGUUAAAAACCUCCUAUUGUGUGUUCAAUUGACAUAUCUUAGCUCUCAAAGAGCCUAUGUCAAGUUCCACUUAAGGAACUACUAUGCUAUAGUUUCCAUGAAUACACCUCCUUAGGAUCACCCAAGGGGACACACUAUCUCAAUCCCAAGAGAUAUCAUGGUCCUUCUAUUGAGAAUACCUAUUGCUACCGACUUCCAUCAAUAGUGAUCCAAUCCAUAAGGAAUAUAUAAUCAGCUUAUGAUCUCACACGUAGGUCAAAGCCACUGCUAACUUCAAUACAAGCUCAAUAUUCUCUCAAGGCUGAGAAACAACAUAAUGAGGUAGCUUGGUGAAGUCAUGACUACUUGAUAGCCUUAAGUCAUAACUCACCAUAGGUUUUAUCUAAUGUACAACCAUACACACUAGUGCACUCACCAUGAGAAACCCAUCCCAAUAGCGAAGACCAACCAUCCCUCUUAUUAGGAAGUGGUGCACUAUAACCUUUAAUGGGUUGCAUAGACUGAUGAAUUGGUUGUGAACAAGUCAUCUAUUUGUAAGGAACACAUGACUUAGAUAUUUUGUGAAACUCCUAAUACAUCUAACUCAAGUACAAUGCAAAAGAAGCAAACAAGAAUGCUCAUAAAGUAUAAUACAUGAAAUAAGGAUAGAUAAAAGUGAAAUUAAAACAUCUUUAAAUAAAUAAUGAAUUCCAAAUUUAUUACAUCAUGUCAUACUUGUAAGGGCUCUAUCCUAACAGUUGUCUCUCAACCUUGAGAGAAUAUUGAGCUUGUGUUGAAGUUAGCAAUGACUUUGACCUACAAGUGAGAUCGUAAGUUGAUCAUAUAUUCCCUAUGGAUUGGGUCAUUGUUGAUGGAAGCUAAUAGUAAUAGGUAUUUUCAAUAGAGACACCAUGAUACCUCUUGGGAUUGAGAUAGUGUCUCCCCCUUUGGGUGAUCAUAAGAAGGUGUGUUCAUGGAAACUAUGGUCAUUGAAGUUUCUUAAGUGGAACUUGAAAGACUGAUAGCUUUCACCUUGUUAGACUAUGAACACUAGUUCAUAGGGAGACUGAACAUAAUGGAUAGUAGGUCAUGGACCCAAGCACUUGGUGUCUUGUUGUUAUUUACAUAGGAUACUGAAGUUUAAUUGAUUCUCUGUAGUGGGAUGUUGAAUCAAAUUUAGAAUUGGAUUAUGAAGGAGCCCGUAUUCCUAUGGGUACCAAUGAUCCUCGCUUUGAGCUCACAUACCUUAUUGGCAUGGGUUAUAAGGAUGGGAUUGACUCUAGGUUCACUUUUGUGAGUAAGGGUGUUUUGGUAAUUACGUAAGGUUGUACAAGGAUAAUUGAAGAAGGUCUUUAGAUUGGGUUAGUUGAUUAAUUAGUAAGCCUUGUUGGGUUAAUUAAUCAAUUAAGACCCCAUUUUGGGCUAGAUUGAGUGAUCCAAGCCCUCAGUGGGCUCAAGUCACUUAAUCCUAGUAGGAAACACUAUAAAUACUCCCUUAAGGGUUAGGGUUCCCUUAGUUUUUUCUAGAGAGUCGUUUUCCAUUUCUAAAGAGAGAGAGAGAGAGAGAGAGUCAUAGCUUCCACCCUUCCUUUCAUCUCCAUUGGAAGUGUGUCAAGAUCAAGGUUCGAGUCAUUGGGUGGAAGACUUUGGGUUUACAAGACUUAUGCGAUUUUGUUCUUCAUCUUCACCAUGUGGAUUUGAUUCGGGAACAUUUGAAUCUAAGAUAUGGUUUUUGUUAUUACUUUAUGAAUCCCUUUAAAGUUUAAAAAUGCUAUUUUUCCAUUGAGCAUAGGAUUUAGAAAAAGCCUAAGAUAGUCAUGCAUGUUCCUAAUCUAAUCUAGGCUUGGGAAAUGGAGAGAUUCAUAUUUUUCCAAUCACACAUAGCAUCGCAUACUUAAGACUAUCCAUUUUAGAGUCAUAGGAUACCGCUUUAAUGUGAUCUUUUUCCUAUGAUGUCCAAGGACAUUGAUCUUGAGAAAGAUAGCCCUAAACCCAAAGGGUAACAAACCCUUCUUGGAGUUUUACAUCAUGUACUUGACCAAAUACUCAUCAAUGUAGGUGACAUGACAUAAUUUUCCUAUUCUUGUAGUCCUAAAGGACCUUAACCCAAGAAUAUAUUAUGUCUUUCUCUAGAUUUUCAUCUAGAAUUGAGUAGGCUAGUAGGUCUUUACUAAUGAAAAUAUCCUUACAUCAUAUCCAUUGAGUAGAGUGUCAUAUACUUGUGCUCUAACCAUGCUUCCCUACACUUUCUUGUACACAUAAGGCCCUUUGCUAUGAAAAUAUUUGGUUGUUAUAUCUUAUAAACGAGACACACUACAAUAGAUAGGAGUAACGUAAUGGAUUUAAAUAUGACAAAUGUUGAAAAGGUUUUCCAUAGUUGAAACAAAGUUUCAAACUAUAACCUUUAGCGACAGUCUUAGCCACAUAAAACUUAAGUUUUCCAUUUACUCCUAUGUUCCUCUUGUAGACCAACUUACACCUAUAGGUUUUAUCCCUUUAGAUGCUUUUAUAGGAACUCAAACUAUGUUAGAAUAUAAAGAUUCUAACUACCUCUUCAUAGCUCCUUGCCUUAAUGUGAGCAAAACACUGUUCAUUGCUUCAUCAUAAUCUAUGAGAUAUAAAACUCCCACUACGAUGAGGCACUAGUAUACUAGAAAUCAUAGAAAAUGUAUGCCUUUAAUCCUUUGGCUCUGUGGUAUCCUAUAUAAUGUGGGACUAUCUUCUAAUAUAUCCUCCAAUCUGUCUCACUUUUUACCUUAUUCCUUAUCAUAUAAUCUUCAUAAAAAAUCUUAUAUUUGUGUUAACAAAUAUCUUCUAAUGAUCUUAACUAUAAAUGUAAUGACCAAAAAAUCUUCUUAUAUAUCCUAUAAAUUGAUAUACCCCUUUAUAAAAAAUAAUAAUUAUACAAUCUAUAAGAAAUAUCUUGAAAAAAAUCUGGGAAAAUAUGAGAAACCUAAUCCAUGAUCUCACUAUUUCCAUUAAAGUUUGAUAUCUUCCUUUCACCUCUCUAUUUUAUAAUAGACACUAGUGCAUGUUUUUGGGAACACUGGAUUACUUUGUUCCCAUGCCUAGGAUCAUGUAGGGUGCAUUCAAAUCUAUCAUAAGCUCUCUAAAUCUAUCGCGAUGAAUAAACAAGUAUUAAAAAAAAUAAGGAUACCAUAGAAAAGAUAGAAAUAUAUAAUAAAACAACAUACCUUUGAUCCGGAUGUUCCCGAAUCAAUUCUAAUCGAUGUAGAUAACUCCAAAGUCAUAAUGAAUCUCAUAAACACCAUGAUUUUCUGCUCAAUGACUCUUCCUUGUGUCUAGGCACUGAGAUGGUAGAUAUCUCAAGUGUGGAGGUUAGGGUUCUCUCUCUAGAUUGAAGAGGAGAAUAGCAAGAAUUAGAAACCCUAACCCUAAAAGGGGUAUUUAUAGGCUUCAUAUUAGGCUGAAGUGACUAAAGCCCACCAUGGGCUUGGGUCACUUAAUCUAGCACAAAAAGGUUGCUAAUUGAUUAAUUAACCAUACAAGACCAUAUUAAUCAAUUAGCCCAGUUAAAGGAUAGCACUCACUUAUCCCUGUGCAACCUUAUAUAAUUACCAAAACACCUUUAUGCAAAAAAGUGAAUGAAAAACCCAUCCAACCCUUAUAAGUCAUGCCAAUAAGGAAUAUGAGCUUAGAGUGGGGACCAUUGAGACCCAUAAGAGCACUAGCUUUCUCAGAAUCAAAUUCUGAAAUUGACUUAACAUCCCACUACAAAGAGUCAACUGCACUCCAAUACACUAUGUAUAUUACAAUGAGACACCAAGUGCUCAGGUCCGUGACUUACUAUCCACUGCAUGCAGACUCCAUAUGAAUUAGUAUCCAUAAUCUAACAAGGUAGUGCUAUUACCUAUCAAGAUUACCUCUCAAAUCCUUGAGUUACACAUCCCACUUGUUAUUGGAUCAAAUAAUAUAUCCUAACUCCAAGAAGCAUAUGUUAAAUUCCACUAAAGAAAUUACUAUGGCCAUAGAUUUCAUGAUCACAUGUCCUUUAGAUCACCCAAGAGGACACACUGUCUCAAUCCCAUGAGAUAUCAUGGUGCCUCUAUUGAGAAUACCUAUUGCCAACAAUCUUCGUCAACAGUGACCCAAUCCAUAAGGAUAUAUGACCACUUUAAGGUCUCACCCAGAGGUUAAAUCCUCCAAUUGAUUUUGGCACAGACUCAAUAUCCUCUAAAGGUUGAGAGUCCAUGCAAUAUAGUAGCUUGGUGAAUCAUGAAAAUUGAUAGUCUUGUGUUAUGAUUCAUCGUAGGUCCUGCCUAGUGUGCAUCACAUACACUAGUACACUCAUCAUGGGAAACUCAUCCUGACAACCAAGACAAUUUAUCUUUCUAAUUAAGAGGUGGUAAACUAUAGUCUCUACUGGAUUGCUCAAAUCUAUGAACCAAUUGUGGACAAUUUAUCUACUUAAAAGAAACCCAUGACUUGUAUCAUUUGUGCAACUCUUAAUACACCUAAGUCAUGUACAAUGUAAGAGACAUGGGUUGAAUGCUCAAAUCAAUGUCAAUACACCAAAGAGAUAACAUGGGGAUAGUUAAGUCUAACUUUGUUACAUCAUGUCUUGAUUUUAGGGGCUCAAUCCCAACUAACUUCCACUAGCCCCGAAAGCAGAUUGGGUACUAUAGAAAGAUUCUGCUUCACAAUCAUAUCACUUCUCUGUACUAUCUCAUAAUAAGGCUACACUUCUUCUUUAUGGGGUUCUUUUUCUAGUGGUAUUUCAGUUCUUUAGACCAUGCAAUUGUCUCACUGUUAUCACUUAAUAAGAUCUUAGACGAUAUAGCCAAGGAAACUACCUAUAAGCCAAAAGGUUUCCUUUGUUGCUAUGGAAACAACAAAAAGCCAUUUAGAGUGUACACAUACCCAGAAGUAGACUUGUGAGAGUCUUUAUCAAAUUGAAGUCCAAUUUUCCGAUACAAAAGGAGUACUAACUCAUUGCAAAGACUUACAAACAUAUAAUCCCUCAUUCUCAAAGACAUUAGAGUAUAUGUUUGACAUCGAACCAAAGUUCUUAGCAGGAAAUGGACUAAUAUCCACUUAUUAUUCCUAUAACAAAGCUGAUAUUUGGUUUAACACAUAAUAUUGCAUACUUAAGGCCAUCUAUAGCAGAGGCCUUAGAUACCGCCUUAAUGCGAUCUCUUUUCAUAAAUGUCUAAGGACAUUGAUCCUAAGAAAAACAACUCCAAAUCCAAAGAGUAACAAACCCUUCUUGGAGUUUUACAUCAUGUAGUUGACCAAAUGCUCAUCUAUGUAGAUGACAUUACAUAAUUUUCCUAUUCUUAUAGUCCUAAAGGACCUUAACCCCAAGAAUAUAGUGUCUUCCUAUAAAUUUCAUCUAGAACUAAGUAGACUACCAGAUAUUGAUUGAUGACAAUAUCCCUACAUCCUAUCCAAUGAGUAGAUUGUCAUCUACCUGCAAGAUCUUAAAGCAUCACCACGCUUCCCUUUGGUUUCUGGUACACACAAGGCCCUUUGCUAUGAAAAUGUUUGGUUGUUAUAUCUCAUAAAUGAGACACACUACAAUAGAUAGGAGUAAUAUGAUGGAUUUGAGUAUGACCACUAUUGAAAAGGUUUUCUUUGGUUGAAACAAAGUUUCAAACUAUAAUCUUUAGCUACAGUCUUAGCAACAUAAACCUUAAGCUUUCCAUCUACUCCUAUGUUCAUAGGUCUUAUCAUUUUAGGUGCUUCUAUAGGAACCCAAACUAUGUUAGAAUACAAAGAUUCUAACUACCUCUUCAUAGCUCCUUGCCUUGAGUGAGCAUAAACAUUGCUUAUUACUUUAUCACAAUCUAUGGGAUAUGAACCUCCCACUAUGAUGAGGCACUAGUGUACUAGAAAUCAUAGGAAUGGUAUGUCUUUAACCCUCUGGAUCCAUAGUAUCCUAUUCAAUAUGAGACAAUCUUCUAAUAUAUCCUUCAAUUUGUAUCACUCUUUGCCAUAUUCCUCAUCAUAUAGUCUCAUAAAAAAUCUAACAUUUAUGUCAACGAAUAUCUUUUGAUGAUCCUAACUAUAAAGGUAAUAACCCAAAAAUCCUCUUAGAUAUCCUAUAAACAGAUAUAUCUUUUAGGAAAAAGAGGUAUUACAUGGUCUAUAAGACAUAUCCCCAAAAGAAUCCGGGAAAAAAAAUGAGAAAUCUAUCCAUGAUCUCACUAUGUCCAACCAAAUUUGAUAUUUCCACCUCUUUGUUUUGCAAUGGAGACCCUGGUGCGCAUGACUAGGAAAUAAUCUCAUGCUUUAAAGGAAAGAAUCAAACUUACUAGACAUAUCACCUUGAUCUAAUCGAAGUGACUUGGUAUGUAUGUCCAAUAGGUUAUCCGAUCCCGCCUUAAAUUUAAUGAAUGUAUCUAAGGCAUCAAAUCUUCUAUGGACAUAUCCAAACCUAGAGUAAUCAUCACUAAAAGUGGUGAAAUACCCAUACCCUCCCCAUGCAUAGACACUAAAAGUUUCAUACAUGUUAGUAUGCACUAACUCCAAACAUUCCUUAGCUUUAAUCCUCUUGGUCAUUUUACCGUCUAUACAGGAUUCGUAAACUAAAAGAUCAUUUCAAAUUAAAGAGUUUAGACAUUACCAAUCUUUGGAUCCUAUUUAGAUUAAUAUGACCUAGGUCUAGAAACCAAAUGUUUAAUUAGUGCUAGGUUUAAUCCUGAGAUUUGACUAUUCUCAUCACUUGGCAAAGUAAUAAUGGAAUACAUAUAAAGGAAGAAGAUAUUACCUCCCACUAACAUGCAUAAAUAACCUUGCAUUUGAAGUUAAGGUAACUAUAAUCCCAUCAUUUAACCUUCUCAUUUGUUGAAUAUCUUAUAAGGACUUACAGAUAGUGGACCUGGAAUCUAUCCACCACAAAUGGUGAAAUCCACCACUAAAUAUUCAACAGUGAGAAAAUGAUGUAUACUUUCCUUUUUCCUUUAGGUAAACUGGCCAUUUCUUUUCUAGUGCCUAAAAGGUCACAAAGGAAUCACUUGCCCUUGACCUUGCUCUCUUAUUCCUUAUCUUGAACUUUCCUUAUUUGGCAUUGUUCUUCUUCUUCUUAAGAAGAACCUGAAGAACCUUUGACUACCAUAUGAACACCCUAUAAUCUUUGAGAAUCCCUUUAGCCAUCUCAAAGGAAAAUGGUGAGGUCUCUAAGAUCAUAUGUAUACUUGGUGUUCAUAAUUGUCCUAAGAGUAGCUUUUCAAGGCUGAUCUAUCCUUAUUACCAAAUAACCAUUGCAAACUAGAAAGAUAAUAUCAAAGUCUCUAAUAGUAGAAAUGUGUUACUAUUGCAACACAUUAUCCAAAGUUCCAAGUAUUAGACGCUUGGUCUUUUGAUCCAUCUAAUACCGCUUUGAUAUUCCACUCUUUUCUCUUGCUAGGCUAGUUCAUAAGGAAUAGCUAGCUCUACCUAAACUAGCUUCUAUGCAAUUACUUACUAUAUCUAGAAUACAAUUAGUCCAAUUGAUUAGUUAGGUUUGGCCUAUUAUGAGAAAAAGAGUGAUAAUAAAACCAACAUGAUAUCCAUAACAAAGAAUAUGACCAAGCAUAUGACAUAAUUGAGCAUUCAAGGCAUUUGGUAAUUAAUUUAGCAAAAAUGUAGUGCUCCCAAACUAUAUAUCCUUUUGCAAGGUAUCCUAGUAUUAUAAGAAUCAAGCCUAGGUGGGAUAGGUCAUGACCUUAUUACUAGUAAGAGACCCUCUCAAAUUGAUCUCCCCACCUUAUCCAUAAAAGUAUCUUAAGGCAAGAUUAACAUAGCUUUUAUUUAGCCUAUAGACUAUGCAAGUGGGACCACAUGGGGCAAUUCUACCACUUCAUAUCCAAUGUCAAGUGUAUAACCAUUGUCCUUGAAUUAUCAAUGUCACCAAGUAAAGAACUCCACCUAGGGGUGGUCGCUCCCACUACAAACAUAUCUAGUCUCGUCCAUGUAGAGAGUCCAUAUCUCUUGAUUCUUAAGGCUAACCCACCGUAAGGGUGGUGAUGAACCCAAAUCAAGAUGGGCUCAACAAUGGAUGUCUUGGGCAUGCCUAAGGCCUUCUCCCACUUAAUGUUUUGAGAUAAAUAAGAGCAUUUUAAAACCAUUAGUAAUUUCCCUGAUGAAUAAAUUAUCUACUUUGAAAAUUUUCAAAAAUAUUUAUUUACUAAUUGGAAGCCUAGUAUAAUAGGAGAAGACCAACAUGAAAAAUUUUAAAUUUCCAUGACAGUAAUUUUCAAAAAGAUUUUUUAUAAAAUAUCCACUUUCAAAAUUUUAAAAUCUAUUUUCAUUACAUUAUCCUUCUAUAUAUAAUUCCAAUUAAUAAAUAUUUUAUCUAGGAAAUGUUUCAAAUAAAUUUAUUUCCAUCAAAUUACUAAGCCUUUUGCUAAUAAUCUUUUAAUGAUAAAUUAUCUCUAAUGAAAAAUUUCAAAAUAUUUAUUUUCCAAAUUGGAAACUCUUGUGUAAUAAGAAAAUUACUAAUUCAUGAUAUUUUGAAUAAUCUUGAGAGCAACUUAUCCAAGAAAGGAACUUUUGCUUCUCAUAUUCAAAAAUCCUCAUAAGAUUUACUUUCCUUAUUCCUUACACUUUUCCAAAUUAAUAAAUAUUUCCAUGAAAAUUUCAUAAUAAUUUAUGUCAUUAAUUACUACCAAAAGUAGGACCUUUUAAUAAUUUCUUAAUAGAUAAAAUAUUCUCCAUGAAAAACUCCUAAAAAUGCUUAUCUCUAAAAAGGAAUUAAACAGUCCAUUGUGGAAAGUAUUUUUAAAAUAUUUUAUAUCUUCAUUAAAUUACUAAAACUUUCCAAAGUUAUUUUGGUAACCCUUCUUAUCAUGAAAUCUUUAUCAUGGGAUUUUCAAAACCUUAAUUACUUCUAAACCAAGAUUCCUGUGCUAAAAGAAUUGCUUUCUUAUUCCUUAUCAUUGAAUUAUCCAAACAGAAUGGUUUCCUCCCUCUCUUUGAGGAAGAGAGCCUAGAGGACAAACUGUAGGUAUAGUUUAAAAAAUAGAUAGUUCUAAAGAAAUAACAAUCUUCAUAGCAACAACAAAUUUAAAAAGAUAAUCUUAGAAAAUAUCUUCUCAUGAAAAUUUACUAAGAAUACCAAAAAACUUUUCUUUAGGUUCUAAAACUUAUUUUGGUAACCACUCUUAAUUAUAAGUUAUCUAUCAUGAAUUUUCAAAAUUAACUUUUUUUCUUUCAAUUAGAAAUCCUAUGCAAAAUAGGAAAAAUACUAUUUUACAAAGAUUUGGAAAAAUAAGAGCUUUUCCUUAAGAGAAAGAUUUUAUUCUUAGAGAUCUCAAAGAUUUGAGAAGAUUUUAAGUAAAGUUCAAAUCUCAAAGAAUUAAAUUUAAAAGGGAAGAAAGCUCUUAAUCCUUUGCCAACUUAUCUUUUUCUUUAAAAUAUAAUUUCCUAACUAUACACAUUCCAAUUUAAAUAAGUUUUCCAAUUUGAAAAAAACACGAAAAUUUAUUUUCAAUUAAGAAUACCAAAAUAUCUUGAGGCCACAUAUACAAUCUAUCAAUAUAUAUAUAUACAUAUAUAUAUAAGGGAAUAACUAAAUAGAAAAAUUCUCAUGGCCUUUAAGGAUCCAAUUGCAUAUUUGGUAAUUAAAAUUUGGAUAAAAUCCAAAUUACCAAAAAUAGUCCUACAACCAAAAAUAGGGUUAGUAAAAAUAGAAAACUCAAAUGGCCUUAUUGCCACAAAAAUUGAGCCCAAGAAGAGGCCCAAAAUUCAGCCCAAACAACGAAAAGAAUCGGGCCUGUAUGCAAUCUCGUAACAGCAUGCUCUUUGAGCAGUAUUGCUUCAAUUGGUCAUAUCUUCCUCAUUUAAACUCCAAAUUAUGAUUCGGUUAAAGUAUUGGAUUCCUAACCUCCUAAGCUUCAAAACCAUAUGUGAUAUGCCUCAACAAACUUACUGGAAAUGGCUGUGAUUUUGACUCAAAUUUGACAUCACUAUGCUGCCAUUCACUUUGCACAACCUUGCUUCUUUUAACCAUUUCUCCCUCAUUUCAACUCCGAAUUGCAAUCUACUUGAUCCAUUGGAUUCAUGACUUCCCAAGCUUCAAAUCCAUAUAUGGAUUGCCUCAAGAAACUUUUAUAAUGUAGUCCCAAUUUUGAGUUCAAUUCAACAUCAUUGUGUUGCCAUGGAUCUCAAACCAAGAACUUCCAAGAUUGCUUCUUUCUUCUUUAACCACCAUAGAAUCACAAAAAGAACUUUCAAGAUUCCUUCUACAAUAGAAGGAUGCAAAAAAUUGAAAUUUUUACACCAAUAAAAAUUCCUAUGCUCCUUUAAUGGAGCUUAUAGCCCAUCAAUUGAAAAGAAAAUAUUUUUACAUUCAAAUAAAAAUCCUAUACCCCUUUUGUGGUGUACAACCCAAUCUAGAAAACAAAAGGUAAAGAAGAUAUCCAUUCAUAUUCAUUGAUUCAAAUGAAUCAAUAACAAUAAACCAAUCCAAAUAUAUUAAUACAUUAAAAUGAUUCUCCAUUCAUUCAUCCAUUAGGGUCAUGGGAUGAAUAAAACAACCCUGCAAAAUAGAGUUAGCACAUCCUAAACAGAUCUAACAAGAUAGAACCUACCCUAGGGCUCUGAUACCAAUUGUUGGAAACCCUAGAUUACUUUGUUCCCAUGCCUUGGAUCGUGUAGGGUGCAUACAAAUCUAUCCUAAACUCUUUAAAUCUAUCACAACAGAUAAAUAGGUAUUAAAAAAAAUAAGGAUACCAUAGAAAACAUAGAAAUAGAAAAUAAAGCCACGUAGCUUUGAUCUAGAUGUUCCCAAAUCAAUUCUAAUCAAUGUAGUUAACUCCAAAGUCAUAAUGGAUCUCGUAAACACCAUGAUCUUCCACCCGAUGACUUUUCCUUAUGUCCAGGCACUAAGAUAGUGGAGAUCUCAAGGAUGGAGGCUAAGGUUCUCUUUCCAUACUAAAGGAGAGGAUAGUAAGACUUAGAAACCCUAACCCCAAAAGGGGUAUUUAUAGGUUACCUGUUAGGCUUAAGUGACUUAAGCCCAUCAUGGGCUUGGGUCACUUAAUCUAGCACAAAAAGGUUGCUAAUUGAUUAAUUAACCAUAUAAGGCCUAAUUAAUUAAUUAGCCCAGUCAAGAGAUAUUACUCAUCCAUGUACAACCUUACAUAAUUACCAAAAUGCCCUUAUACACAAAAGUGAACGAAAAACCCAUCCAACCCUCAUAAGCCAUGCCAACAAGGAAUAUAAGCUUAGAACGAGGACACUAGGACCCAUAAGAGUACUGGCCACUCAGAAUUAAAUUAUGAAAUUGACUUAACAUCCCACUACAAAGAGUUAACUACACUCCAGUACCCUAUGUAUAUUACAAUGAGACACUAAGUGCUCAAGUCUGUGACCUACUAUCCACUGCAUGUAGACUUCCCAUGAAUUGGUGUUUGUAAUCUAACAAGGUAGUGUUAUCACCUAUCAAGAUUAUCUCCCAAAUCCUUGAGUUACAGAUCCCACUUACUAUAUGAUCAAAUGACAUAUCCUAGCUCUAAUAAACAUAUGUCAAAUUUCACUAAAAGAAUUACUAUGGCCACAGAUUUCAUGAUCACAUGUUCUUUGGAUUACCCAAAGGGAUACACUAUCUCAAUCCCAUAAGGUAUCAUGGUGUCUCUAUUAAGAAUGCCUGUUGCCACCAACCUCCAUCAACAGUGACCUAAUCCAUAGGGAUAUAUGACCAUUUUAGGGUCUCACCCAUAGGUUAAAGCCUCUAGUUGAUUUUGGCACAUGCUUAAUAUCCUCUCAAGGUUGAGAGUCCAUGUAGUAUAGUAGCUUGGUGAAUCAUGACAAUGGAUAACCUUGCAUCAUGAUUCGUCAUAGGUCCUAUCCAGUGUGCAUCACAUACACUAUUACACUCACCAUAGGUAACCCAUCCCGAUGACGAAGACAAGUCAUCCCUCCAAUUAAGAGGUGGUGCACUACUGUCUUUACUGGAUUGCCCAAAUCCAUGAACCAAAUAUAGACAACUUAUCUACUUACAAGGAACCCAUGACUUAUAUCUUCCAUGCAACUCCUAAUGCACCCAAGCCAUGUACCAUGCAAGAGAUAUAGAUUGAAUGCUCAAAUCAAUGUUAAUACACCAAAGAGAUAGCAAGGGGAUAGUUAAGUCUAACUUUGUUACAUCAUGUCUUGCUUUUAGGGGCUCAAUCCCAACAUACAUAAUUGGGAAAUAAUUCCAUGCUCUAAUAGAAAGAAUCAAACUUAAUAGACAUAUCACCUUAAUCUAAUCGAAGUGACUUGGCAUGUAUACUCAAUAGGUUAUCCGAUCAUGCCUUAAAUUCAAUGAAUGUAUCCAAAACAUCAAAUUUCCUAUGUACAUAUCCAAACCUAGAGUAAUCAUCACUAAAAGUGAUGAAAUACCCAUACUCUUCCCAUGCAUGGACAUUAAAAGUCUCAUACAUGUUAGUAUACACUAACUCCAAACAUCCCUUGACUUUAUUCCUUUUAGUCAUUUUACCAUCUAUACAGAAUUUGUAGGCUGGAUGGUUUUUUGGAAUCAAAUAGUUCAAACUUUAUCAGUCUUUAGAUCUUAUUUAGAUUAAUAUGACCUAAGUCUAGAUACCAAAUGUUUAAUUAGUGCUAGGUUCAAUCCUGAGAUCUGACUAUCUUCCUCACUUGACAAAGUGAUAAUGGAAUACAUAUAAAAGAAGAGGAUAUUACCUCCCACUCACCUGCAUAACUAACCUUACAUUUGAAGCUAAGAUAAGUAUAAUCCCAUCACUUAACCUUCUCACUUAUUGAAUAUCCUAUAAGGACUUACAAACAGUGGGCCUAGAAUUUAUUCACCAUAAAUGGUGAAAUCUACCACAAAUGGUGAAAUUCACCACUAAAUAUUCAACAACGAGAAAAUGAUGUAUACUUUCCUUUAGGUAACUGAGCAUUCAUUUUCUAAUGUCCUAAAAGGUCAUAAUGGAAUCACUUUCUUAUGAGCUUGUUAUCUUAUUCCUUCUCUUAAACUUUCCUUAUUUGGUGUUGUUGUUCUUCUUCUUGAUAGAAGAACCUGAAGAACUUUUGACUUCCAUAUGAACACCUUAUAAUCUUUGAGAAUCCCCUUAGCCAUCUCGAAGAAAAAUGGCAAAGUCUCUAAGAUAAUAUGAAUACUGGUGUUUAUAACAGUCCUAAGAGUAGUUUUUCAAAGCUAACUUACCCUUAUCACCAAAUAACCAUUGCAAACUAGAAAGAGAAUAUCAAAGUCUCUAGUAAUAGACAUGUGUUGCUAUUGCAACACAUUAUCCAAAGAUCCAAGUAUUAAACACUUGGUCAUCUGAUCCAUCUAAUACCACCUCGACAUACCACUCUUUCUUUUUCCCAAGUUAGUUCAUAAGGAAUAACCUGUUUUUCCUAAACUAUCUUCUAUGCAAUUAAUUACUAUAUCCAGAAUAAAAUCAAGUCCAAAUGAUUAGUUAGGCUUGGUCCAAAGUGAGAAAGAGAGUGAUUAUAAAUAACAUGAUAUUUGUAACAAAGAAUAUAACCAAACAUAUGACAUAAUUGAGCAUUCAAGACAAUUGGUACUUAAUUUAACAAAAAUGUAGCGCUCUGAAACUACAUGCCAUUUUGCAAGAUAUCCUAGUAUCAUAAGAAUCAAGCUUAUGUGGGUAGGUCAUAUAACUAGUUAGAGACCCUCUCAGAUUGAUCUCCUUGCCUUAACCAUAAAGGUAUCUAAAAGCAAGAUCAACAUACCUUUUAUUUGGCCCAAGACUAUGCAAAUGGGACCGCGUGGGGGAAAUUCUACCACUUCAUAUCCAAUGUCAAUUGUUUAACCAUUGUCCUUGAACUAUCAAUGUCAUCAAGUAAAGAAACUCACUAUAGAGUGGUCACUUUUAGUACAAACAUAUUUAGUCUUAUUCAUGUGGAGAAUCCAUAUCUCCUGAUUCUUAAGCCUAACCUACUGUGGGGUGUUAAUGAACCCAAAUCAAGAUGGGCUUGACAAUGGAGGUCGUGGGCAUGUCUAAGGCCCUCUCCCACUAAGUCUUUUUAGAUAAAUAAAUGCAUUUUAAAACAUUAGUAAUUACCUUAGUGAAUAAAUUAUCUUCUUUGAGAAUUUCCAAAAAUAUUUAUUUCCUAAUUGGAAACCUAGUGUUAUAGAAGAAUGUCCAUACGCAAAAUCUAAAAUUUCUAUGAGAGUAUUUUAUCCAAAAAGGAAUUUUGAUAAAAUGUUUACUCUCAAAUUUUAAAAUCUAUUUGCAUAAAAAAUUCUCUUUCUUCACAUAAUUUCAAUUAAUAAAUAUUUUGUUUAAGAAAUAUUUUCAAAGAAAUUUAUUUCCAUCAAAUUACUAAAUAUCUUCUUUGUUAUAACCUUUAAUGAUAAAUUAUUUCUAAUGAAAAUUUCCAUAAGAUAUUUAUUAUCGAAAUUGAAAACUUAGCGUAAUAAGUAAACCUCUAAUUUAUAAAAUUUUGAAAACUUGAAAGCACCUUAUCCAAUUAGGAAAGAUGUAAUUCUUCAAGGAUUCUCAUAAUUUUUUUUAAAAAUAUUUUAAAUCCUUAAGAAUAAAUUUAGAAAUGAACUUUAGCUCUCAUACUCAAGAUUCCUUAUAAAUUUAAUUUCCUUAUUCCUACAUCUUUCCAAUUUAAUAAAUAUUCUUAAAUAUGAAAUCUAAUUUUCAUAAUAAUCUAUUCCAUUAAAAUUACUAAAAAUAAAACUUUUAAUAAUUCCCUUAAUGAUGAAUUAUCCAUCUUGAAAAUUUCCAAAAACAAAUAUUUACUCUCCAAAUUAAGGAUUAGUGUAAUAAGAAAGUUUCCAAAAACUUGAAAAAUAAAAACUAGAGAGCUCUUUAUCCAAAAGGGAAACUUUUAUUCUACAAGAAUUCUUACAAAAAAAUUUAAAGAAAAUAAUUUAGAAUCCUUUGAAAUAAUCUAGAAAAAGAAACUUUGCUCUCUAAUUUAUUUCCACAAUUUUUUUUUCUUAAUCUACACUAUUCCAAAAUUAAGUAAACAACAUGCUUUGGAAUCUAAUUUUCAAGAAAAUUUAUAUCCAUUAAGAUUACUAAGAGUUUCAUAGAACUUUCAUAAGAAGCUUUCAAUAAUUUUGGUGACCUUCUUAAAAUAAAUUAUCUAUCAUGAGAAUUUUCAAAAGCUUUGUUUAUUCACUAAAUUGGAAUACUUGCGCUUAUAAGGAAUAUCCAAUUUUAUAAAAAUUUUAAAAUAAAAGAGUAUUCCCUUAAUAUAGAAACUCAAGUCCUUGAAGAUCUCAAAAUUAGAAACUUUGAAAAAGAGAUCUUCUAAGUACUUUUUGAAAAGGAAACUAGAUUCUCUCACAAAUUUUAAAAUAUCUUUCCAUAUAAAAAUUCCUUAAUAGUGACAUCAUUCUAAUUUUGAAUAAAACUUUAAUUUGUAAAUAGCUUUCUCAUAAAAACUUAUUUUCCAUAAGAAAAUCCAAAAUUAGUAACUUUCAAAGCACUUCUCAUCACAUGAAAUAUAACAAUAUGCAUAAAAAAAAAGAAAAAAAAAAGAAAUAUUCAAAAAGAGAUCCCAUGGCCAAGGGAUAUUUUUUACAACUUUCCAAUUGUGAACCAAAGCCAUUUGUCUUCAACUUGACACCAAUAUUUGGCAUCAAAACUUGCCAAAAGAAGCUCUUGCAUAGCUGCCACAAUUCAGUAACUUUCAAGCCCAACAAGUGGCCUAAGAAAUGAGUCCAAACAAGCAAAAAGAAUCAGACUCGUAUGCAAUCCCGUAAUAGAAUAACCUCUUUGCAACUUUGCGUCAAAUGACUAUAUCUCCCUCUUUUCAACAAUGAAUCACAAGUCGUUUACACCAUUGGAUUCCUGACUUCAUAACCUUCAAAACCAUAUGCAACUUGCCUAAAGAAAAUCAUAAGAGGCAGCCCCGAUUUGGAGUCAAAUUGAAUGUUGCUAUGCAAUCAUGGAUCUCACAAAAACAAAACUUUUUUAUUAUUAUUAUUCAAUCAAAAGAAGGAUUCAACCUUUCUUCCACAUCCAUUAAAAUCCUUGAAUCUUCAUAAAUGAUGCUUUAAUAAAGAUCCAAUCUUUAUUGACAUCAUUAAGGAAUUCUUCUCUUGUAGCUCUCCAUAGAUAAAAAAAAACAUGACUUUAUAUCAUAAAAGAAAUCAUAUGCUCAUAUAAUGGAGCUAAUAACCCAAUUUAUAGAAAAGAUUAAAACUUUACAAGAGAAGAAGAAAACUUAUGCUCCUUUAAUGGAACUUACAACCAAAUCUAUGAAGAAACGAAGAAAACAAAUUAUCCCAUUCAAUCAUCACAAGCAAUAAUAAAAAGAAACAUACAUGCUUCUCUUGUCCAUGGGAUAACAUCAAGGUUGCAAAAAAGAUAUUAGCACGCCCUAAAUAGAGAUCUAAGCAUGUUUAUAACAUUAUGCUCUAAUACCAAUUGUUAGUAUCUUAGAUCUAAGCAAUACUAAUUUUUAUAAAAUUGAUCUUUUAGGGUUAAAGUAGUAACCUUUAGGUUUGGAUGUUCCCAAACCUUAAAUUCCACUUAUUGAAGACAACCUUGAAGUUGUUGAAAGUCUUAUAAACUCACAACUCAUUCUAUACUUGAUCAAAGAGGUAGACUUCUUAAGUUGAACUCAUAAAGUUGACUUUGAUUACUUUCAAAGGAUUUGUUGUCAUGCUCAAACCUUAUUAUCCACAUACCUUGUUUGACUAUGAUUAUUAUUUGUUUCCCGGGGUGAGUCAGUACAAAAUAUUGAAUCUUUGGUUAAGCAAAACUCUUUUACUUUUAUCCAAGAUUUAUGCUCUUAAAUGUAUACUGCUCACUUGUAACAUUUGAAAACACCACCAAAGUGGACACAAAGGCAACCAUGAAUGAAAAAAAAUAAAAAAUCAAUUGACCAUGGUGUACAAUGCCUUUACUUUCAAAAAGAAAAAGAAAAAGAAAAGAAUAGGAGGAUGAUAUCAUACUAAGGGGGAGUCAAGUUAUGUUGUAUGUAGAUCAACGAGGCCGUGUUAAAUAUAAAUCUGGUGAUCUUAGUUCAAAUUGACUGGAUGUGUUCUUUAAUUUGACUAAAGGCAUGAGUAGAUCUCUUCUAAGUAAUUAAUUUUGAAAUAUUGAACUAGACUAUAAGUCAUAUUUCCUUGAAAAUCAAUAUCAAUGUUGACUCUCUUAUACAUUUAUAGUUAUGCAUUAGGUUUUCAAAUAUGAAAUUAUGAUUAACUCUGAUCAUUGAUCUUGAAAUUUCAUUCUUGAUGGAUCAACAUAUACUAUAUGAAGUAACAUACUUCAUCUAUUCCUAAUUCAGCUAAUGUUGAAGGUUUAUGACCUUAACUAUCUACUCUUUAUCGUUAAAAUUUGUUUCAAUUGGUAUCAAUCCUUGUUUAUAUGUUAGUUAGUUGAGUAUUCUAUCCAUUGUUAGAACUUUUUUUGGCUUUGGUUGCUCAAGCACUAUAUUUAGCGUCCUUCAUGCUCAAGCACUCAAGCCUCAUCAAACGUCUCUACUACUCAAGCGCUCUAAGUUGCAUCUAGUGGCGCAUCCAUCGAGCGUCUUGUUCGAGUGUUAAUCUGUAUCGGUAUGUCUGAGUAUAAAAAUCCAUUCAACAUGUCUUUUUUCUUUUCAAACAUUUUCCUAUUCUCUCAAGAGCUCUGGGACUUUUUUUAUUUUUAUUUUUUUUAUUUUUAUCAUUUGAGGUCAAGUUUCCUUGUUUUUCACAUUUUUGACUUCAUGGUAUUGCUCUACACAUUGUUUAGGGCAUUUCUAGCUGUUUAGAUUUUUUCUGAAAUCUUCUUGGUUUUCGAAUCCUUUGGUAUUCUCUUGGAUAUGGCUAAGAUGACCCCAUCUGGGACACCUAAACCCCUUAAAGGAUUUUCACUUCAAUUUUCUUUCGACUUUAUGGCUCUACCAAUGAAUUUUUACUUUAUCAAAAGCCCCUAGUUCAAUAUUAUUUUUUUAUCCAUUGCUGUCACAUUGUGUUUGUGGGUUCAUUUCCUCAUUUGACCCUAGAACCUCAUAGAAUCAUAUUAUAUAGAGAUGGUGUCAAUGAAGUUCAACUCAUUCCAGUUUUGAUGCAUAAGAUGAAUUCAAUAAGAAAGGCUUGUGCAUCACUAGAGGAUGAGUGUUACUAACUCUUCCCAUACAUAUACUUUAGUAUCGCCUUAUCCUUAGUAUUUCCCAUCUUCACAUGCAAUUUUUUUUUUUUGUUGAUCUUAUAAUGGCUAUAUGCGUCAAGUUUUGCUCUGCCGCCACUGAACCUUUAGUGAAUUUGUUUUUUUUUUUUAUCUAGAUGUUUAUUCAUUACUUAUCUUAUGUAUCAAGAAUCAUAUUUUUAAUAUACAUAUUUUGUUCAUCUUUCUUCUUAUCUCUUAUGUGCUUUGGUAGUUAUAUUUCUAAUACUUUGUCAUUUUGUGACAAAAAAAAAAAAGAUAAUUGCAUAUUUAAUAUUUAACUCUGUUAAAUUAAGAUAAAAGGGAGAUAACAUUGAAUAUUUAGUUCACCUAAAAUGAGGAGUUAAAAAAUGGUGAAAAUAAAAAACUCCUUGAUUUAAGGGAAGUUAGUUUUUGAAUUCUUUGAUUCAUUAAUUUAGGUAAUUUAAUUGAAAUAUUGGAGGAAACUAAACAUAAGACACUGAAGUAAAUCAAAUCAGCCAUAGGAAAUAUGACUUUACGAUUCAAGAGAGAUACCUAACACGGAUGUUUCCUGCAAAUUACUUUUGUUAGAAUUGUCGAUCUCUCUCUAGAACUAAUCCUAGUUGUAGAAGCUUUUUCCCAAGGCUUUCACUACUUACCUUAUUGCUGGAGAAUGCCCCCUGCUCUUUACUAAUAAAUUAUUGGGUCUCAUCUAUCUUCGAAUAUGUUUGGUUGAUUUGCAUACAUUCAAAUUCCUCUCGACCUUUUCUUUGUACCUUGGUGUCAUUAAAGGACUCUGUUUUUUUUCAUGCUUUCAUAAGACAUCAAUCAAAGUCUCCAACUAUCCUGUUUUGUUUUCAUAAUAUUAUUUUAUCCCUCACACUACUUUGCCUUUGGUAUAAUUUCUUGUAUGUGUUCAGGUUACAAGGUUGGAAGAUAAGUACUUCAAAGCAUUACAAAGUUUUCCCUUAAUUCAAUUUUAGUUGAGUGUUAAUGUGUGUUAUGUAAACUCCAUUAUGAGGAUUGGUAUUGAAAGGCUUAUGGCAUUGCAAAGUACUUCAUAGGUACAUCUAAAAAAGUUUGGCUUAUGGCAUUAAAAGACUUAUUUGAGGUAUAAAAGGAUCGGUAUCAUUUUUUAACUUAAAAUGUUUUUCAAAAAGCAGGGACCACUCAAGCAAUUAAUCUCGCUCAAGCAGUAAGAGAGCUCAAAUGGUUAAUCUGCUCAGGCAGUCAGCCCAUUCAAGCAGAGAGCUCUCAAGCAGUCUAAGUUUGCUCAGGCGGUCAUGACAAUCCUAUCGAGUUUAAAAAUGUAUUUUCAAUGAAUUUCAACCCAACUAUAAUUUGGAAACUUAAGAUAUUGAUAUCCUUAUGGCUUUUGCCUAUAAUUUUUUAAAUCACCCAUUCACUCCUCUCAUCUCCCCCCUUCUAGGUGUUCCCUAUUGGACUUUCAGUUAUUCCAUUUUUUUUUAUAAUUGUAAGAUUUACUUAUGUGAUAAAAAUUGAGAAAAUAAAAAAUCGAUAAAAUCUAAGGAAAACCAAGGAAAGUGCAUGUCAAAGGAAAAUGACAACAACAAGUAUUUAAAAAACAGAAUUUUAUCAACCUAGGAUGUCUAAGUGGGAAUGUGCAAAAGUAGAAAAUUAAUUCAUGUGANNNNNNNNNNNNNNNNNNNNNNNNNNNNNNNNNNNNNNNNNNNNNNNNNNNNNNNNNNNNNNNNNNNNNNNNNNNNNNNNNNNNNNNNNNNNNNNNNNNNGAAAAACAUUGAAAAUCAUUUUAAAAUCAUGGAAAUCACAAAGAGAACAUAAGUUAUGCAACCAGAGAGGAAGACAACAUCUAUGUUGAAGAAAGAGUGUGCAUUAAGGAGAAAACUGUGCAUUAAGGAUGAAGACACAUGCAAAAGUAAACUAUGCGCUAAAAGAGUACACAGGAGGAAUUGUGCAUCGAGGGAAGCGCCAAGUGUGCAUUAGAAAAUAAAAGAGGAGCACCCGCAAAAAGAUAGUGCACUAAAGUAGCUUGCAUGCUUGGGAAUCACAUGCCUAAGAAGCACUACUAUGCGGAUGAAAGUGCGUGUGAAAAUUAUGCACUGAAGAGCUACACUAAUGUGCGCAAUAAUGCACUAAAGAAAGUUAGACUAUGCAUUGAAAAGUGCACACUAUAGGACACCAGUGUGUGCACUAGAUUAUGCAUUAGAUGAAAAAGUGUACAUAAUUGCUUGUGUACUGAAGAACAAGUUGUGCACUAAAGGACUUGCACAUAUGAAAUGUGCACCUAAAUGAAGGCUAAAGAGCACAUAAAGAUUGUGCAUUAAAGAGGAGCUAUUGUGUCAUGGGAAAAUCCUAAACCUCUAUGGUCCCCAAGCCUGAAUCAAGUUAGGAACAUGUGAAAAUAUCUUAGGCUUUUCUAAAUACUAUGCACAACAAAAAAAAAAAUUACAUUUUAAAACUUUAAAAGGAUUCAAAAAGUGCUAACAAAAGACAUACUUUAGAUUCAAAUGUUCCCAAAUCAAAUCCAUGUGAUGAAAAAUGAAGUUGUAGAAGUCCCAUAAACCUAGAGUCUUCCACUCGAAGACUCGAACUUUGAUUUUGACACACUUAUGAUAGUAAUCAAUUAGGGUGGAGGCUAUAGCUCUCUCUCUAAAGGAGAAAGAUGACUCUUUAGAAAAAGCUAUGAAAACUCUAACCCCUAAAGGGGUAUUUAUGGGGUUCCCCAUUGGGUUAAUUAACUUAAGCCCACUAAGGGCUUGGGUCACUUAAAUUAGCACAAAAUAGGUCCUAAUUGAUUAAUUAACCUAACAUAACCUACUAAGUAAUCAAUUAGAUAUGUAAUCUUGCACAAUUACCAAAGUGCCCUUUUGCAAAAAAGUGAACCUAGAGCUAAUCUAACCCUCUUAACUCAUGCCAACAAGGUAUAUUAGCUCAGAGUGGGGACCAUUAUGACCCAUAGGACUACUGGCUCCAUUAAAAUCCAAUGCUGAAGUUGAUUCAAUAUCCUACUAUAGCGAAUCAACUAAACUCUAGUAUCUCAUGUAAAUAACAAUGAGUUGGGUCUGUGAUUUGUCAUUAAUUAUGUUCAAUUUCCUAAUGAACUAGUGUUCGUAGUCUAACAAGGUGAAAACUAUCAGCCUUUUAAGACUGCCCUACUAUCCUUAAGUUGCAAUCCUUCUAUUAUGUGUACAACUGACAUGUCUUAGCUUUCUAAGAACUUAUGUCAAGUUCUACUUAAGGAACUACUAUGGUCAUAGUUUCCAUGAACACGUGUUCUUAGAAUGAUCCAAGGGGACACACUAUCUCAAUACCAAGAGAUAUCAUGGUACCUUUAUUAAGAAUACCUAUUACUACCAACUUUCAUUAAUAGUGACCCAAACCAUAGGGAACAUAUGAUCAGCUUAUGAUCUCACCCAUUAAUCAAAAGUCAUUGCUAACUUCAACAUAAGUUCAAUAUUCUCUCAAGGUUAAGAGAUAACAUAAUGAAGCAGUCUAGUGGGGUGAUGACUACUUGAUAGAAUUAAGUCAUAACUUACCAUAGAUCCUAUCCAGUGUGUAACCGUACAUACUAGUGCUCUCACCAUGGGAAACCCAUUCGAUAACUAAGACUAGUCAUCCCUCCAAUUAGGAGGUGGUGCACUACAACCUCCAAUAGGUUGCCUAAACCCACAAACCAACACGAACUAAUCAUUUAUUUACAAGGAACCCAUGACUUAAAUCUUUUAUACAACUCCUAAUAUACCUAAGUCACAUAUAAUGCAAAAGAUGAAACCAAAGUGCUUACAAAGUAUAAUGCAUGGAAGUAAGAUAGAUAAAAGUGUAAUGUAACUUUAUUAAAUAAAUAAUAAAAUCCAAAAGUCUAUUACAUCAUGUCAUGCUUUUAAGGGUUCUAUCAUAACAGCAUGCACAUAAGAACUAUGCAUUGAGAAGAGAAGGUCUAGGUACUAGGUAGCAUGUGGAGGGAAAUGUGCACUAAGAAUAAGAAUGGCAUACCAAGAAGCAUGCACACGUAAGAUAAAAUCACACUAAGAGGACAUAGAAUGUGUGCAAAUAUAUGAAAUAUGCACUUAAAGAACUGCCAAUGCUUAUAUGCAAAGACAUUGUGGACCGAAAAUCGCAUACUAAAGAAAAGUGUGCUCACAUAAGAGAAAAAGAGAGACAUGCAUGCAAGUGUACAAAUUGGAAAACAAUUCAAGAUGUACAUACUGAGAUAAGGAUGCUCAAAAUACAACCUAAAUAAAGAGAUGCACACGUGUAAUGCACACCAAGAAGUUAUGUGCAUGAGAAAGACACACAAAUAUUUCAUCUAAAGAGGAAAAUUGUGCACUAUUCAAUGCACCAAAACAAGACAUGAAGUGGGCAUAAAACAAUACGCAAAACAAAGCAAGACACCAAGUGCAAGCCUACUACUCAAGACAAAGAACAAAGUAUGCAAACCAAAAAUGCAAAAUAAGAGGAUGCACUAAUAGGGCAAAUGACUUGUGCAAUUUGACAUGCAAUACAAAAUGAACGCUAGAAAAAGAAAUAGACGUGCUCAACCCAAUUCACAAACAUAGUCAAACAUCGGUUGAAUGUACAACUUAGUGCAUAAAAACAAAAUAGAACAUGCAAUCCUUAGCACAACAUGAAUAGAAUAUAGGGAGCAUGCAAUCUAGGUUCACAGUCAUGAACAUCAAAUAGACUAACAAAAAUGCGCAAAUCCUAAGAUGUGAACACAAUGAAACAAAGCCUAAGAUAUGCAGUCUUGAUGCACAAUCUUGAGCACUACAGAAGACCAAAGCAAAUAGGUAGCCACAGAGAACCAACUACAAAUGAGUGGCUUCAAAAUUCACAAAACAAACAAUAAACAGAAGAAAAUCAAAUGAGAAAAAAAAACUCAAAAUAAAAUAGGUAAAAAAUAAGAAAAGCCUCAUAUCUUGCAUUAUUAGUGGGCUUAAAAAAAACAAGUGAGAUAUCCAAACUAGAUUUAAAAAAAGAACAAAAACAAGAUUUCAAGAUGUUAUAUGGAAAGAACGAACUAAAUUCAGGUUAAUCUCAAAUAAACUAAAGAAAAAUAGGGUGAAUAGAACAAUGACAAGCCUAUAAACAUCCCAAAAUUGACAAAUUAAUGUGUGGCCUCUAAUAUCCAUAUCCAAUCAACAAGCAACUUUUAACGAUAGCUAAUGAAAGAAAAACAUAACCAAAUAUGGGUCUCAUAAUGAAAAGAGCUUAACUGAGAAGAGAUGUAUUAGUUAACCUUUUCUUCUCUUUGUUUAGUUCUUUACUUUCCUUCUCUUUCCUUUUCUUCUUUCUCUAGUCCUUUUCUUUUUUUCCCUAAGCUCUUUCUCUCUAUCUCUCUUUUUACCCAACAAAUCCCUAAUGACUAGAAUAUUUUUGUGCAUCUCUCUCUCUCACACACACAACAAUGUAGAAUGUGCUCUCACACCUCUUAAAAAUGAGAGAAAAAGUCCUCUACAAAAUGCCAAAAGGACCUUCCGAGCAAGGAUCUUAAGUUAAGGUUCAUAACCAAAUUAAUGAAUGUAGGUUAAACCUAAGGUGCCAUAGAAAGUCAUGAUAGAAUCAACAAAAAUUUCCCUAAUGGUCUCUAAAAAAUUGCUCAAAUAACAACGAACUACCAAGGGACAUGAUAAAUGGAAGGGAUCCUAAGUGCAUGUUAUGAAAGAGUAUAGGGCAAGGGGAAAAUAAACAUGAAAUAAUAUGUGAGGGUCCGUAGGUUCCACAAUCCAACUGUUUGGAUAUUACCCUUAAAAGCAUGACAUGAUGUAAUAAAUUUGGAAUUCAUUAUUUAUUUAAUGAUGUUCCAAUUUUACUUUUAACCAUUCUUAUUCCAUGUAUUACACUUUAUGAACAUUUUUACCUACAUUUUUUGUAUUAUACGUGACUUAGGUGCAUUAGGAGUUGCACAAAAGAUCUAAAUCAUGGGUUCCUUGCAAAUAGAUGACUUGUUCACAACUAGUUCAUGGGUCUAGGCAACCAAUUAAAGGUAGUAGUGCAUCACAUCCUAAUUUGAGGGAUGACUUGUCUUGGCUAUCAGGAUAGGUUUCCCAAGGUGAGUGCACUGUGUGUAUGGUUACACAUUGGACAAGGCCUGUGAUGAGUCAUAACUUAAGGCUAUCAAGUAGUCAUGACCUCGCCAAACUACUCCAUUGUGUUGUCUCUUAACCUUGAGAGAAUAUUAAGUUUGUGCUAAAGUUAGCAGUGGCUUUGACCUAUGGGUGAGAUCAAAAGUUGAUCAUAUAUUCCCUAUGGAUUAGGUCCCUACUAAUAAAAUUCGGUAACAAUAAUUAUUUUCAAUAAAGGUACCAUGAUAUCUCAUGGGAUUGAAAUAGUGUGUCCCCUUGGGUGAUUCUAAGGAGGUGUGUCAAUGGAAACUAUGGCCAUAGUAGUUCCUUAAGUGGAACUUGACAUAGGUUCUUUGAGAACCAAGAUAUGCCAAUUGAAUACACAAUAGAAAGAUUUGUAACUUAAGGAUAGUAGAGUUAAUCUUGAAAGAUUGAUAGCUUUCACCUUGUUAGACUACGAACACACCAGUUCAUCGGGAGAUUAAAGAUAAUGGAUAACAAGUCACAAACCCGAGCAUGUAAUGUCUUAUUGUUAUUUACAUAAAAUACUAAAAUUCAGUUAAUUCUCUAUAGUGGGAUAUUGAAUCAACUUUUGAAUUGGAUUCUGAGAUAGCCAACUUAUGGGUCCUAGUGGUCCCUACUCUGAGCUCAUAUAUCUUGCUGGCAUAGAUUGUGAAGGUCAGAUUAGCUAUAGGUUCACUUUUUUUCAUAAGAGUGUUUUGGUAAUUAUGCAAGGUUGCACAGAGGUAAGUAAACAAGGUUUUUAGAUUGGGCUAGUUGAUUAAUUAGUAGGCCUUAUUGUAUUAAUUAGUCAAUUAGAACUCAUUUUGGGCUUAAUUAAGUGACCUAAGCUCAUGAGGGCUCAAGUCACUUAAGAUUAAUUAGGAACCUUAUAAAUACCACCUAAGAGUUAGAGUUUCCAUCACUUUUGUCUUCCACCAUCCAGAGAGAAAGAGAGCCAUAACCUCCAACAUUUUUCUUGCUUAUCAAAAGUGUGCUAAGAAUAAGAUUGAGUCAUCGGGUGAAAGAUCAUGGGUUUACGAGACUUCUAACAACCUUAAGGUCAUCUUCAACACUUGGAAUUUAAGAUUUGGGAACAUCCAAACCUAAAAGGUUAGUACUUUAACCCUAAAAGAUCAAUUUUUUAAAAACUGAUAUUGCUUCCAUUGCUUAGAUCUAAGAUGUCAACAUGGAGUGCAAGAUCACGGUUUGAGUCAUCAAGCGAAAAAUAUUAGGUGUACGAGACUUACAAAUUCAUUGUUCAACUCAUUGUUCAACACCUUCACUAUGUGGAAUUGAUUUGGGAACAUCAAAAUCAAAGGAAAAUUUCUCUAAUGACUUUUCUCUUGAUCCUAGAAUGGUAAAAAAUUGAUUUUUGCUUCUGUUGCAUAGGAUCUAGAGGCUUAGGGUAUUUUUGCAUGCACCUAUACGAUAUAGGGUAAGGGAAUGAAGAAAUCCAAGGUUCCUAGCAACGUCUCCUUUCCAUAAUUUUCUUUCUCAUUUCUCAUGUGAUUCGACUCAUGGUAGCUUAGCUUUAAAGGCGUAUCAACAAAAUUUAUACCUUGAAUACUAUUACUAAAGUAGCCAAGCUACUAUAGCAUAGUGGUUCUAGGAUCGUUCACUGAGAAGGGUUUUCGCAAACACAAGUGAUAUUCAAAUUAGGAAAAUAGGUGAUUUUCUUAUAGAUGUUAGCUUUAAAAGAAGAUGCAAAUGUUUUAGAAAGAUUUAAACUAAUCUAAGCUAACAUUAAAAACUAAAAUGAAAGGGUGUAAAAACAAGUUCCUCAAAGAUAGGAUAGCUAUGCUCUGGCUCUUAUGCAAAUUGGAAAUCUCAGGAUAGGCUCCUCGCGUUGGGGUUGCAACUAUGGUGAUGCUUGCUUCCCGAACUGGUAUGGAUUUAGCAAAUCAAGUUUUAAUCCUUUAAAAUGGAAAAACAAAUGGUAGUGAAUUUCAUCAAUGGUUAUUCACCUUAGACUUCCUUUGAAUGGCUCGUAAGAGAUAACUAGUAGUCUAAAGCUAAAAGCUUACCAAAUAUUGGCAACUCAAAGUCAUUCCAGGUGAUAAACUCACCUUUCAAUGGCCAUUGAAAUUGGUUCUAAUGGAUUAAUGCAAAACUUGGAAUUGAAAACCUCACCUUCCAAUAGCUCGUAGGAGAUAACUAAUGGAUAGAAAUCCAAAAGCUUAUCAAGUAUUGGCCGUUGGAAGUUGUCAAAAGGAAAUAAAAACCAAACUUUGCAUUAAUGAACCAUUAAUGAAAAACGACUACCUUACUUUCCGGGUGCGAGAAAUUUCCAUGGGAUUGCAUCCAAGCCAUCACAUAACAUCCAUACUUUGAGAAACUAAAAGUUUUAGCCAAUCAUCCUUUGAGGAAAAACCCUCAGAGGCUGUUUGGCUACUAAGAAAAUAGAAACGGGAGAGCUCUGUAAAAUUUUCUAUCUAUAUAUCAAUAUAUCGAUAUAUCAAUAAUAAUUGUUACAACGGAUGCAAGGGGAUAUAAAUAGAGAAGUUUUUCCAACCUUCCUAGCUAAGAAAUCUUAUGAUUGGUGGAUUACAAGGAGAAGAAUGGAAAUUUAUACAAAAAUAUCUAAAAGAAAAGAUCUCGUGUGGAGUCGGCAGAAACAGGGGAAAAUUCGCACGUUGGAGUUCCAAUUUCGCACUUUGGUUUGAGGUGUGCGAAAUUCCCACACUUUGGACUGAGGAAUUCGCACCUUGAUUUCCAUCGUGCGAAAUUAUCCCUCAGCUUGAUGCAGUUGUCUUCCGAAGGCCAUAUCUUCCUCAUUUCAGCUCCAAAUCGUACACAGUUUGAAGCGUUGGAUUCUUGACUUCCUGAGCUUUGAAAUGGUAUAUAGCAUGUAGAAAAUGGACUUCGGGAAGUGCUCCAAAAGUGCCAAAGAAGACUGCAGCUGCUGUCCUCUAUUUUCCUCUUUGCUUCUCUUAGCUUCUCUUUGCUUCUCUUUGCUUUUCUCCUUUUGUUGGCUUGCUUUGGUGUAGCUAAAAGCUUGCUUUAACUUGUCCAAGUAGCUCCUCCAUCAUUUGGCAUGCUUGAAUUGAUUCAUAAGCUGAUAUAAACAUGUAAACUUGCCACAAAAUGGUUAAAACCAAUUACUAAGGACCUUAAUGAAUUAAUUGGGUUAAAUGAAUAUGAUUACUACACAAAGGUGCUUAAAACCAUUAUAAUUAGGUCUACAAAAUAGCACUUUUUGGUAGUAAUCAUCAUGCUAUGCAUUCCUUUAUUUGUCUUUGUUGCAUUUUUUCCUACUCUCAAACUUGAGACUUAUCUCAAAAUAUAUGGAUAGGGUCUUUUAAAUAAUUCAAGUUAAUUCAGGUAUUAAGAUAGAGCCCUUAAAAGCAUGACAUGAUUUAAAAAAUUUUGAAUUCAUUAUUUAUUUAGUGAUAUUCCAGUUUCACUUUUCUAUAUCCUUAUUCCAUCCAUUAUGCUUUAUAAGUAUUCUUACCUAGAAUGUUUUGCAUUGUACAUGACUUGGAUGCAUUAGGAGUUGUACAAAAGAUCCAAGUUAUGGGUUUUUUGCAAGUAGAUGACUUGUUCACAACUGAUUCAUGGACUUAAGCAAUUCAUUUGAGGCAAUAGUCUACUACCUCAAAAUUAGAGGGAUGGCUAACCUUUGCCAUCGGGAUGGGUUUCCCAUGGUAAGUGCACUAAUGUGUAUGGUUACACAUUGAAUAAGACCUACAAUGAGUCAUGACAUAAGGCUAUCAAGUUGUCAUGAUUUCACCAAGCUCCUUUAUUAUAUUGUCUCUCAACCUUGAGAGAAUACUAAGCUUCUGGCCAACUUAGUGAUGGCUUUGACCUAUGGGUGAGAUCUUAAAGUGAUCAUAUAUUCCUCUAUGGAUUAGGUCACUUUUGAUGAAAGCUGAUAGCAAUAAGUAUUCUCAAUAAAGGAAUCAUGAUAUCUCAUGGGAUUGAGAUAAAUUGUUCUUUUGGGUUGUUAGGACAUUGAGUCUUGUUUAUAUGUUGUUAAUUUUGUUCUUUUUUAUGUUUGGUCAUAGAAGUCUUUUUAGAUAGUAACUUGCUCUCCAUUGAAGAUCAAGCGUUGCAAUCUAUCUAAUCGGGAAGUCAUAAGUAUGUCUAAAAAGGUUUAACUUGUGGCAAUUGAGGAUCCAUUGAAGUAUAAAGAGGAUUGGUAAGUUUUUUGAACUUAAAAUUAAUUUUUGUCAAGUUUUUGAAAAAUAGAGGACACUUAAUGAUUCGUGCCCAGCUGGUGUAUGCCUUGUUGAUUGGUGUUCAAUCAACUGGUGUACUCUGAUUUCGGUCCUCAGAUGGGAGUAAUCAACAAAACCUAUUUCACCAUAUACUAGGGUAGCAUUAGCUAGCAUAGCAUAGUGGCUCUAGGAUCGUCCACAGGGAUGGGUUUUCAAAUUACAAUUGAUAUUAGUUCAAAAACUGAAUUGGUGUUUUUUCUUUUCAAGGUUAGCUUUAAAAGAAAACAUAAAUAUGUUUGAAAAGGUUGGUUUUAAGUGAAACCAAAAAUAAAGUAACUAAAAUUACUUACAAAAAAAAGUGCUUCUUAGAGUUUUAGAUCACUAGGCUCAGGUUCGUCAUACAAAAAAGGAGAUUCCAGUCACUUGGAUCUUUUCCUCGCAUUGGGGAUUUAACAUAUAGUUAUUUCCCAAACCGGUGUGGUACAUAUGCUUCCCCUUAAUGGUUUCAAACAUUAAAUCCCUAUCACUGAAUCAUCUUGCAAUGGUUCAUACCUCUCACUUAGUAUUGGCCAUUCAAGGUGAUCCUUAACCUUGGAUUACCCGUCAAAAGCUCGCAAGAGAUAACUAAUGGAUGUCUCCUGGGAGUUCAAAAGCUUACCAAGUGUUGGUUAUUCUAGAUAAUCCUACAUUUAAACCACCUCCCAAAGGCUCGCAAGAGAUAAACUAGUGUAUCUCAAUGGACGGAGACCACUUGCCUUACCAAGUGUUGGCCUAGGUGAUUUUAAGGGAUUUUAAGUUAACUAAAAAGAUAAAAACCAUUAACGGGUCACACUUUCUCUUCAUUAAAAACUAAAACAACAAAACUUCCACUUUUGCAUUGGGAACCUUACCUAGCUUUCAUCACUCCAAGAAAUAAAAAGCCUAGCCACUCAUCCUCUGGGAAAACAUCCUCAGAGUUCGAUUUGCUAGAAAUAAAAAUAACGAGAAAACAAAAUGAGAAGGUAAGGCAGAGCAAAGCAUUGUGUAUUACUUUCUAAAAAACUAUACAAAGUGUCAUCUCCGAGAAAAACUCCCGAGAGAUCCUUUUAAAAGAAAAAUUACAAUAGAUAUUAUAUAGAGAGGCUAUUCACCCCUCCUGCUAACUUCCCAACCAAGAAAACUUGUCAUUGGUGGGUUACAAGGAGAAAAUAGGGAUUUACACACAAAUAUCUGAAGAUAAAUAUCAAACGGAGUCAGUGCACAAAUAUCUCAAAUUAUAGGUGGAUUUCGCAAGUUCAAAUGCAACUUGCGAAAAUUUCGCAAGUUGAAAUUAUCCAUUUCACAAGUUACGUAAUUGUCUUGCAACUUAUUAGCUCUCUGUCCUGCAGUGAUUCCUUUCCUCUUCCUAUUUCGCAAGUUACGAAAAUUUCGCAAGUUGGAUUCCACAACUUACGAAAUUGUUGGAUGGUUGAUUUCUUCUGUGCUUUUCCUCAUUGCAUCCUUGUUUGGUUUUGGCGAAGGGUUAUGAAGCUCCAAAGCUUAGUUUCUUCAGGAAUUUGAGCUUCAACUUGCUUUGCCAUGAACUAUACAAAGAUCUUCCUCACUCUUGGAUUGCUUUGAUGAUCAAAAGCUAUCAAAAACACCAAAACUUAACACAAUUUGAUUAGAAACGAUUGCAAGGGUCCUUAACAUGCUAAUUGAGUUAAAAGGUAAUAACUACUACUCAAAAGUGUUUAAAAGAGUUAAUUACAAGCUAUAAAAUACACUUUUUGAGUAGUAAUCACUCCCCCCAACCGACACAUUGCUAGUCUCUUAGCAAUGAAGGAGAGAAAAAUAAAAAUAAAUAGUACUAUAAUUUACAACAUCAUGCUGAUCACUUCAAAAAAUUUCAAGUGGCAUGAUGAUCAAACUUUCACAUGGGACAUUAAAGAUAUAAAACUCAAACUUCAACAAGAGUUAUCAAAUAACUUGCCUAAUCACAAUUCAUAAAGAGAAGACAUUAUGCAAAUUUUAGUUUUAAAAGAAUUUCCACUCCCAAAGGGUCAAUCCUUACUUUUCCACAAAAAUCUAAGUGUUACUUAUUAGUUUCUGAAUAUAGUAUGCUGAACUAAUCUCUCCCCCCAACCUAGUUCUUUUUCAAAACUUAGCAAACUAACAACCUCCAAUAGGCUAAGAACGCACCUCAUUUAUUUCACACUAUUUUUUUCUUGUAGGAGUAUAAAGCUUAAAAGUAUUCUUUUUUAAAUUGUCCAUGUAACAGGGGUCCAUCGAUGACUCCCAACCAAUUAAGGUUUAGAGCAUCAAGCUUCAAGGAUCUUUCGACCACUAACUCCUCGGAUUUUACCCCGGACGUUUGAGAUUGGAAUUCAAUACCUAAGCACCUACACUAUGUUAAACUCAACCUAUUCACCUUUGUAACGAGCAUUGAGGUUGGUGACUCCCAACUAAUGAUGGCUUAAGGCACCAGGUUUUAAAGAUUUUCACCAUAUACCCCUCAGACCUUGCUCGGGUUUCAAGGUAAGUAAACAUUAAAGGCUCAUUGGCCUUUUCUAAGGUGUCCCAACACUAUUAAAAUGAGGUCAAAGGUACCAAGUCUAAAAUUUCCUAAGUCAAGGGGCGAAAUAGUUUUUCAUCUUAUAAUCGGAACCUAGUGUGCACAGUGUGUGGUAAGCUUAAAGUGGAAGAAAUAAGGUUGAAUUCAACAGAAGUUUCAACAAUUCAACAACUUUAAUAAGCAUAAUACAAACUCUAAGUCAAGUAAAAAGACAAAAAUUCAAUUUUUCCCAUUUCAUUUUGAGAAUUUUUCCUUGAUAACCAUGAAGAGUAUUCAAUUUUUUUUUAAAAAUUUAGACAAAAAGUAACUAAAUUACCAUUUAUAACCUAGCAUUAUAAACAAUACUUCCUUCGUCAACUCCCCCCAACCAUGCUGAACAUUGCCCUCAAUGUUUGAAGAGUAAUUGAAAAUAAAGGAAGGAAGUGGUACAUUCUGAGUGGAAUAGAGUCUGAAUUGUAUAGGAGAAACCACAUGAUUCAAGAAAACAAAAAAAAAAUGAGUAGAGGAAAUAAAAUAAAAAUAUGCCAAGUAUAGUAAAAAAUGAUGGAUAUGUAUUACUUUAAGAAAGUACAAUAUGAAAUAUGCACAAGUAAUACAUCCAAUCCCAGUAUAUAAAACAUAAAGAACAUGAGAUUAAGAGUUCUACUAUUAUAAGUAAAUACAAAAAUUAGAUAGAUGAUCAAGUAGUGGUGGGAGGAUCAUGUGGAGACAAUGGCUCUACUGUGGUCUCCUGAGUGCUCUAGAUAGGAGUCUCGACCUCUGCUGUAGUAGUCUCCUCAUGGGGCAUAGUCUGCUCUGCUGGAGUAGCCUCCUGAGAUGGAAUAGCUUGCUCAGCUAGAGUAGCCUCCUCAGAUGGAGUUGUAGGCUCUGAUGGACCAGGCAUAUCAUGCUCAGGUGGUGGUGGAAUACCUAAAUGCUACCGUAUCUGACUAAGGAUGGCAGUAUGUUGGGUUUGCAUGGCAAUAAGUUGAUCCUGACGUGCACGUAUGACUGUUAUCUGUUGGGCAAGAACACUUUGAGUAGUACUCAAUGUCUGCAAUGUAUGACAUAGGCCUCUAAACUCUAAACUGCAUAUAGUGAUAGAAGACUUAAAUGGAGGAGGUGCUGAUGUAGCUGGUACAACUGGUAGAGCUUCAAGAGUGGUAGGAGGAGCAAAAAAUGUAGCCUCGAGCGUGGGCACUGUAGAAGGUGCUGCAGGGGCAGGUAGUAUGAUCUCUGUAGGUAUCUCAGCCCGUUGUGCCUGUGGUGGCUGCUCAUCCUAUGGUAACUCUGGAGGUGCUGGCAUAUUUGGGGCUCCUGGGGGUGCAACAUAGGUCGUCAAACGAUUCCAUUUGUCGAGAGUGAAUAGCUCUCGAAAAAUGAGGCGGUGCUCAAGCUGAGGCUCAGAAGGAUAGCCCAAAUGCUCUAAUAUCUAAUAGAGCAGGUUGGGAAAAAGUAAUGGAAUGGCAUUUGCUCUCUGGAGCUUCUUCCUAUGGACCUUCUCUUUAAAGUAGAGAAGAGAGGUCAUAAUCAAAAUAUGAGGGCCAAAAUAGAAACCCUCUGAUAUCCGGAAUAAAGCCUCCAGUAUAGCUCAUAUCCUCUGCACCAUAUGCUGAAGUGGAAAUAUGUUGGGACGCAACACCACAUCUAGAAGAAGCAUCCCAGGUGGAAACUCCUUCCUAAGAAGAAAUGAGCGUGUAGAGGUCCCCUUAGACAAUAUACGGACCAUGUUUCUCUGAGAGAAAUGGGACCACUCUCUGUAAUCUGCUGGACUCAUAGGCUCAUAUGGCAUGUGCAGGGCCUCUGCAAUGUGUCUAGCUCUUAGGAUACCAUGGCGUCCAUCAAUAGUGAAGUGGAUGACAGUAGGAUCCCAGACGCGAUGAGUAGUCAUAGACUGAUAAAACUCUAGUGCUACUUUGGGAUAGAAAAAGUCCCUAGGAGUCAUCAGGUGCUCCAAAUGGUUUCUCUGCAGUAGGCAAAAUGAAUCUCUAAGUUCUGGUUGCUGUCUGAAAGUCUCCAUAUCAAAACAUAGCUUGGAGUGGAAUGGCCUAGCUCGACAAUCCAAAUUUCCCUCUAUAGGUGGCUGUGUAACCAUAGGUCGCCUGAUAAUCACUUCUAGAGUCAUCCUAGAAGGAAUUUGAGACUCUGUAGCAGGGGGCUGAGGCUGUGGAGGUGCAGAUGACUCUCAUGGGCCUGAAACUCUGGCUUUCUUUGCAGAAGGGCGAUGAACUGAUUUCUUGGGGUGCGAAGUGCUUGCCCCAGGUGUAGUGGGUGAUCUCCUCGUCUCGUACCUAUGCUGAGGAGGGCUAGAUGGCACUCCAACCUCAGAAGGUGGAAUGGUAAAGGCCUGUGGAGCCUCAGAUGUGGAAUCCCGCGUAGGUGAAGCUCUUGGCAUUGGAUUGCGGGUUGAUGGAGAUGCGAUGUGGGCUCUUCUUGUCUUGGCCAUGGCUGAAAUGGAGAGGCUUGUGUUCCACAGGGUGAGCGGAGGUGCGCGAAGUGGUUCUUCUUCAAACGCACAACCUCUGGGCUUCCUACUAUAGAAUUUGGGGGGUUUCGCAACUUAUAGGGUUAUUUCGCAACAUGAAAGGGUUGUGCGAAAUGAAAAUGGAAAAAAUCAGAGGUUUAAAUAUGAAUUUAAACGUCGGUUGGCAUUUUCGAAAGUUAGCCUAAAUUCGCAAGUUGGUUCGCAAGUUGCCCCUUUUCGCAACUUGAUUCACAGGCUGUGAAACUUGAAAUUGAACUUGCGAAAUGGCACACGUGUGCUUGGAGGUGCUUUCGCAGGCUCCAAAAAUUUUCGCAAGUUGAAUAGUGGACUUACGAAUUUGAGCUUUGAGGAUUUCACAAGUUGGACCCUAUUUUCACAAGUUGGAAUUUUAGCUUGCAAAAUUUUCGCAAAUUGAAAUAUUGCUCUAUUUUUCAGGCUUUUUCUCCUUCUUUGGUUCUUUAAGGCUUUCCUCCAAUUCCUUUGAAGUUCCUCCUAAUUUUGAUCAUCCAAAAAGUCUACGUUAGAUCAAAAUAAAAUAAAUUCAAGCUAGAAUUAAAAUUAAAACAAAUAAUAAAGCUUUUAAAUCAACAAAAUUGAAACAAAAAACAUGGACUUUGGUUAGUCUUCAAAAAGACUAAGUCCAUCUACUCCUUUUUGGUUAAGAUUGUUGUGGCUCAAGAAGACUGACUUCCUCCUUGUCUUGAUUGAAAGGCUUCAUGAAUGGCUUGAAACGGUGGUCAUUGACUUUGAAAGUGUCUGUGCUGUUGGAAUUGAGUAGUUCAACUACUCCAUUGGAAUGCACUUGGUGAAUAAUGAAAGGGCUUAUCCACCUUGAUUUUAGCUUUCCUGGAAAGAUGUGGAGCCUAGAGUUAUAGAGUAAGACUCUUUAUCCCUUUUGAAAUUCUUUGUUGGAGAUUAACUGAUCAUGCCACCUCUUCAUCAUAUGUUUUGAAAUUUUGGAAUUGAUGUAGGCAUCAUUUCUCAAUUCCUCCAUCUCAUUAAGGUCUAAGCACCUCUUCAUCCCGACUCUGUUCAAGUCCAUGUUUACCUUCUUAAUUGCCCACCAAGCCUUGUAUUGAACUUCCACAGGGAGAUGGCAUGCUUUACCAUAGACUAGGCGAUAAGGAGACAUGCCAAGAAUAGUCUUGUAAGUUGUUCUGUAUGCCCAUAGUGAAUCAUGGAGCUUAACAAACCAAUUUCUUCUACUUGUGUUCACCACCUUCAUCAAUAUAUUCUUGAUUUCCCUGUUUGCUAACUCAACUUGCCCAAAAGUCUGAGGGUGGUAAGGUGUAGCUACCUUGUGCUUCACCCCAUACUUGGCUAAGAGAGUUUCAAAAGGCUUGUUGCAAAAAUGAGUACCUUCAUCACUGAUUAUGGCCUUGGGCACCCCAAAUCUUGAGAAGAUGUUCUCUUUGAGAAACUUGAGAACAACUCUGUGGUCAUUUUGUUUACACAGGAUUGCCUCAACCCAUUUAGAAACAUAGUCUACCCCCACCAAAAUGUAAGAGUUACCAAAAGACAUAGGGAAAGGUCCCAUGAAGUCAAUGCCCCAAACAUCGAAAAAAUCAACUAUAAAAUGGGGUUCAUAGGCAUUUGGUUCCUACAUGUUAACUUCCCAAGCCUUUGGUAUCUAUCACAGCUCUUGCACAUGGCGUGAGCAUCUUUGAAAAGUGAUGGCCAACUGAAACCUGAUUGCAACACCUUCAUGGCUAUUUUCUGAUAGGCAAAGUGGCCUCCACAUGCACUUUCGAGGCAAUGACUGAGGAUCCCCUGUUGCUCUUGUUCAGGGACACACUUCCUUAUUAUUUGAUCUGCACAAUACUUGAAAAGGAAAGAUUCUUCCCAAUAGUAGGCAUGAAUUUUUGUAAAGAAGUGCUUCCUAUCUUGUGCUUUCCACUCACUUGGAACUUCACUAGUAACUAUAUAGUUAGCAAUAUGAGCAUACCAAGGAGCAUCUUCUAACAACAUGAGUGACUCCUUCGGAAAAUCAUCAUUAAUAGGAAAACCAUGGGAAUUAUGCGAUAUAGCCAGCCUAGAAAGGUGGUUAGCUACCACAUUCUCCACUCAUUUCUUGUCUUUGAUUUGGAGAUUGAACUUUUGUAGUAAGAGAAUCCAUCUAAUCAGCCUUGCUUUUGCAUCUUGCUUUGUCAAUAAGUACUUCAAAGCUGAGUGGUCAGUGAAAACCACAAUGAAAGACCCUACCAGAUAAGCACGAAAUUUGUCCAAGGCAAAAACUACAGCGAAAUAAUUCUUUCUCUAUGGUUGUGUAGUUUCUUUGUGCUUCAUUUAAUGUUUUACUUGCAUAGUAGAUCACAUAGGGCUUUCCAUCAUCUCUUUGACCAAGAACAACUCCUAUAGCAAAGUCAUUGUGAUUACUACUCAAAAAGUGUUAUUUCAUAGCUUGUAAUUAACUCUUUUAAACACUUUUGAGUAGUAGUUAUUACCUUUUAACCCAAUUAACAUGUUAAGGACCCUUGCAAUCAAUUCUAAUCAAAUUGUGUUAAGUUUUGGUGUUUUGAUAGCUUUUUGAUCACCAAAGCAAUCCGAGAUUGAGGAGAGUUCUUUGGAAUCCAUGGCAAAGCAAUGGAAAGCUUAGAAACAUGAAGAACCGAAGCUUUGAAGUCCUUUGCCAUAAGCAAAUCUGGAAUGCAAGGAGUUUGGGAUCCUCCCUAAAAAAUGCCACGUGGCUCUCUCUCCCUUAUGUUGAUGCCUUGCGUCCUAGUGAUCCACGUAGCUACCAAGUGGACGCACGCUUUCAACCCUGAUUGAGUUCUGGUUCAGUCUUCCCUACAAAAGAUGUCCGGACAGGGCGUCCGGGCACACCAUCGGAGGGCGGCGGAACGUGGGCUGUGGCAGGCUGUUGAUUACUACUCAAAAAGAGCUAUUUGAUAGCUUGUAAUUAACUCUUUUAAAUACUUUUGAGUAGUAGUUAUUACCUUUUAACCCAAUUAACAUAUUAAGGACCUUUGCAAUCACUUCUAAUCACUUUGUGUAAGUUUUGGUGUUUUUGUUAGUAAUUUGAUCACCAAAGCAAUCCAAGAUUGAGGAGAGUUAUUUGGAAUCCAUGGCAAAGCAAUGGAAAGCUCAGAAACAUGAAGAACCAAAGCUUUGAAGCUUUAAAGUCCUUUUCCAUAAGCAAUCCGGAAUGCAAGGAGGGGAAGUAAAGAGAAAAUCUGCCAUGAAGCAUUCUUGAUGACAGUCAUUUUAGCCACUUUUGGAGCACUUCCUAAAGUCCAAUUUAUGCAUUCUAUGUGUCGUUUCAAAUAUUAGGAAGUCAAAAAUCCAAUGCUUCAAACGGUUCACAAAUCGGAGUUGAAAUGAAGAAGUUAGAGCCAAUGGAAGCAGAUCACUCCAAGGUGAGGGCCAAUUUCGCAGGGCUGCGAAAUCAGCCUUUGGCUGCGAAAUGAUUUCGCAGCCAUCUUGUUCGUCUGCGAAAUUUCGCAGCCAUUUUGUGCGCCUGCGAAAUUCUCCUGAGUGCUUCCAGAUAUUUUCGACCGACGUUUUUUGAUAUUUUGCUUCAAAUAUUUGUUGUCUAAAUCCCAAUUCUCUCCUUGUAAUCCACCAAUUAUAGGGUUCCUUAGUUGUUAAGUAAGAACACAAGGGUAAACAACCUCUUAUAUAUUGUUUUUUAAUUUUCAUUUUCUAUGGAUCUCGGGAGCUUGUUCUCAGAGAAUCAACUUUUUGUAUAGUUUGAAAGGAAGUAAAACACAGAGUUUUGCUCUGCCUUACCUUCUCACUUUGAUUGUAUUUUUCAUUCACUAGCCAAACAAGCUCUGAGGAUGUUUCUUCAGAGGAUGGGUGGCUAGGCUUUUUGUUUCUUGGAGCUAAGGUAAUCGGGGAAGGGCCGAAUGCAAGAAUUGGUAGUUUUGUUGUUUCAGCUGUUAAUGAAGAGAAAGUGUAACCCGUUUAUGAUUUCUAUGUUUUUAGUUAACUUAAAACGCUUUCAAUUCACCUGAGCCAACACUUGGUAAGGCAAGUGAUCUCCGUCCAUGGAGAUGCGCUAGUUUACCUCUUGUGAGCUUUUGGGAGGUGACUUGAAGGUGGGAUUUUCUAGAAUUGCCAACACUUGGUAAGCUUUUGGACUCUAAGGAGACAUCCAUUAGUUAUCUCUUGCGAGCUUGAGAAGGGAAGUCCAAAGUUAAUGAUCACCUUGAAUGGCAAAUGCUAGGUGAGAGGCACGAGUCAUUGCAAGUUGCAUCAGUGAGAGGGAAUUAAAGCUGAAAUCCAUUUAAGGGAUGCAUCUGUACAACACUGGUUGGAGAGUGAACUAUAUGUUAACUCUCCAAUACGAGGAAAUGAACCAAGUGACCGAAACUCUGUUUUUGCAUGAGGAACCUCCCCUGUGAACCUGAAUGAUUACUACUCAAAACAUGCUAUUUUGUAGCUUGUAAUUAGCUCUUUUAAACACCAUUGAGUAGUAAUUAUUACCUUUUAACCCAAUUAGCAUGUUAGGAGCCCUUGCAAUCGUUUCUAACAAUUGUGUUAAGUUUUGGUGCUUUUUGAUAGCUUUAUGCUCACCAAAGCAAUUUAAGAAUGAGGGAGAGCUAUUUAUAGUUCAGGGCAAAGCUUUUGAAAGCUUAAAUUUAUGAAGAAAUCAAGCUAUGGAGCCUCAUAAUCCUUUGCCUUAAUCGUUCAAAGUUUACAAGGGAGAAACAAUGGAGAAGAAGAAAACAGGGGAUGAAAACAGGGGACACAGCUGCAGUCUUUUAGUGCACUUUUGGAGCACUUUCCAAAGUCCAUUCUUUACAUUCUAUAUACCAUUUCGAAGCUCAGAAAGUCAAGAAUCCAAUGGUUCAAACCACGUAUGAUUUGGAGCUGAAAUGAGGAAGAUAUGGACUUCGGAAGACAACUGCAUCAAGCUGAGGGACAAUUUCGCACACCACUGUUUAAGGUGCGAAAUCCUCAGUCCACUGUGCGAAAAUUUCGCACACCUCAAACCAACAUGCGAAAUUGGAACUCAGCGUGCAAAAAUUGGAUAUUUUUGCCGACUCUUUUUCUUCUGAUAUUUUUGUGUUUAAAUUUCCAUUUUCUCCUUGUAUUCAACCAACCAUGUAAUUCCUUAGCUAGGAAGUAUCCAAGGAAGGGUAAAACUACCUUCCUAUAUAAAUUCUCUUGUAAUCACUGAAAACAGAUCUUCGUCGGGGAGCUUUCUCCAGGAGACCAACUAUUGUAAAUUUGUUACUUAGUGAAAUACAGAGAUCUCUUUUACUUUCCUUUUCUCUCUUCUAUUUUCUAUUUUCUUGCAAGCCAAACACCCUCUGAGGAUGUUUUCCCAGAGGAUGAGAGGCUAAGCAUUUAGUUUCUUGGAGUAAAGGAAGUUAGGUGAAAAGUCCAGAUUAAAAGGUGGAAAGUUUCCGUGCAUUAAAUUCAGGUAGUUGGAGUCCAUAAAUGGUUUCUAAAGCCAAGGUUUUGCCUUAAAUCCCUUAGGAUCACUUUGACUGGCCAAUACAUGGUAAGCUUAAGGUCUCUGUGGAUGCUUAUUGCUAGAUCCAUAUCAGUCCAUUAGUUAUCAUGUACGAGCCAUUGGAAAGUGAUUCAAGGUGAUAGCCCAUAGUGUCUUAAGCCAUUAAUGGACCUUGAUUACCAUCUCUAGUGAUUUUUAUGGAUUAAAACUUCAUUGUCAAACCUAUACCGGUUCGGGAAAUAACUAUAGGUUAAAUCCCCAAUGCGAGGAGAAAAAUCCGGAAUUUUCCACUUUGCAUCUGGAACUUGAACCUAGCAACCUUUAGCUCCGGGAGACUUUCUUUCUUCCACUUUUUACUUAGUUCUAUGUGAGUUUAGUUUAAAUCACCACUUUCAAAACAAUUUUAUUUUCUUUUAAAUUUCAAGUUUGUGCUAAAGGAAAUCAUCAGAAUCAAUUUCUAAUUUAGAGUCUAUCAUUGGUAGAGUGAAAACCCAUCCCUGAGUUCGACCCUAGAACUGCUAUACUAUAGUAGCUUUGCUACGCCAGUAUAAGGUCAUAGGUUUUAUAAAUGUUUUUGAUUAAAAGAUCCGGCUGGGAAGUCAAGCGAAGAAUCACUGAACCUCCAAGGAAUGUUUUCUUUAUAAAGUAAUUCCCAUUACUUUCUUUUUAGUUAGCUUGUAACCAAAUCUUUUUCAACCAAAGUUUAUGUUUUCUUUUGAAUCUAACCUUGAAAUGAAAAGGCACCAAUUCAACUUUGAAUUGGUAUCGGUUGUAAGUCGAAAACCUUUCCCAGUGAACGAUCCUAGAGCUACUAUGCUAUACUAGCUUAUGCUAUCCUAGUGCAUGGUGAUAUAGGUUAUAAAUUUUGUUGAUUAAUCCCAUCAGAGGACCAAAAUCAAGGGCAUCAGCUGGGAAUACACGAAUCAGCUGUCGGAAUGACGUAGCAAGGCUUGCUCACUUUAGUCAAUGAUCCGGACAACAUAUCCGGAUAGGAUAUGCUAUCGUCCGGGGUGUGAUGAUCGCGAGUACCGUGUGCUUCUCCCUGAGGGAGUCCGGAUAGGGGAGCGCGCCACGUGUCCUCUUGGGGAAUUCGGAUGGAGUGCUCCGGAUAGCAAUGCGCGCUCCGUGUCAUCAGGGGGAGGGGUCCCUACACCUUGCACACGCAGACGGUCCCCCUUGCGACGUUCCACCUUCUCCGGAUAUCUCACAUCCGGAAUUCUGUCCGGCCGACGUUCCACCUUCUCCGGAUAUUUCACAUCCAGCGCCUGACGCCGGAUGGGAGAGGAGGGCGUUUCAACUUCCCCGGUCAGACAUAUCCGGAUCCUCUGAUAGCGCUUACCCGGAGAGUUUCGCAGCCAUUUUGCAUAGUGCCGCGGUGUUCUCUUGAAGCUUCCCGAUAUGUGCGACCGACAUUUUGAGAUAUUUUUCUUUAGAUAUUUGAUGUCUAAAUCCCCAAACUCUCCUUGUAACCCACCUAUCAUAGGAUUCCUUAGUCUUUAAGUAAGAACAAAGGGUGAAUAACCCCUUAUAUAUAGCUUUGUAAUUUUCUUUACAAGAAAGAUAUAUAAUGUAAUCUCUCGAGAGCUUGUUCUUAGAGACAACCUUUUGUAUAAGUAAGAAAUAUAUCUACAGAGCACUUGCUCUGCUUUUCAUAUAUAUUUUUGUUUUCUCGUUAUUUUUCUUUCUAGCCAAUCAAACUCUGAGGAUUUUUCCUCAAAGGAUGAGAGGCUAGGCUCUUCGUCUCUUGGAGUGAAGAAAGCUGGAUAAGUUUCCAAAUGCAAGAAUUGGAAGUUUUGUUGUUUUAAGUUUUAAUGAAGAGAAAGUGUGACCCGUUAAUGGUUUUUAUCUUUUUAGUUAACUUAAAACGCCUUCAAUUCACUUGGGCCAACACUUGAUAAGGCAAAUGGUCUCCGUCCAUUGAGAUACACUAGUUUAUCUCUUGCUAGCCUUUGGGAGGUGGUUUGAAGGUAGGAUUUUCUAGAAUAGCCAACACUUGGUAAGCUUUUGGACUCUUAGGAGACAUCAAUUAGUUAUCUCUUGCGAGCUUUUGAUAGGUAAUCAAAGAUUAAGGAUCAGCUUGGAUGACAAAUGCUAGGUGAGAGGCACGAGCCAUUGCAAGAUGCAUCAGUGAGAGGGAUUUAGUGUUUGAACCCAUUAAGGGGAAGCAUCUGUACCACACCGGUUAGAGAAUUAACUAUAUGUUAAUUCUUUAAUGCGAGGAAAAGAAACAAGUGACCGGAACUCUCCUUUUUGUAUGAGGAACCUGAGCUUAGUGAUCUAAACUCCAAGAAACACUUUUCUUAGUAAGUAAUUUCCAUUACUUUAUUUUUGGUUUCUGAUUCGUGCCCACUUGGUGUAUCAACUGAUUCAUGUCCAACUGGUGCUCCUUGAUUGAGGUAGUAAUCAACAAAAUUUAUAACCUAUUACACCAUGAACUAGGGUAGCAAAGACAAAGCUACUAUAGCAUAGCGGCUCUAAGAUCGUUCACUGGGAUGGGUUUUCACUCCACAAUUGAUAUCAAUUCAAAGCUGAAUUGGUGCCUUUUCAUUUCAAGGUUAGCUUUAAAAGAAAACAUAAAGAUGUUUAAAUGAAAAAGGUUUGGUUUUAAACUAACCAAAAAUAGUAACUAAUUUUACUUACAAAGAAAAGUGUUUCUUGGAGUUUAGAUCACUAGGCUGAGGUUCCUUGUACAAAAAGGGAGUUCCGGUCACUUGUUUCUUUUCCUCGCAUUAGAGAAUUAACAUAUAGUUAAUUCUCUAACCGGUGUGGUACAAAUGCUUCCCAUUAAUGGGUUCAAACACUAAAUCCCUCUCACUGAUGCAUCUUGCAAUGACUCAUACCUCUCACCUAGCACUUGCCAUUCAAGGUGAUCUUUAACCUUGGAUUACCCGUUAAAAGCUCGCAAGAGAUAACUAAUGGAUGUUUCCUUAAAGUCCAAAAGCUUACCAAGUGUUGGCUAUUCUAGAAAAUCCUACCUUCAAACCACCUCCCAAAGGCUCGCAAGAGAUAAACUAGUGAAUCUCAAUGGAUGGAGACCACUUGCCUUAUCAAGUGUUGGCCCAGGUGAUUUAAAGGCGUUUUAAGUUAACUAAAAAGAUAAAAACCAUUAACGGGUCACACUUUCUCUUCAUUAAAAACUAAAACAACAAAACUUCCAAUUCUUGCAAUUGGAAACUUACCCGGCUUUCUUCAUUCGAAGAGACAAAGAGCCUAGCCUCUCAUCCUCUGAGGAAAAAUCCUCAGAGUUUGAUUGGCUAGAAAUAAAAAGAAUGAGAAAACAAAAAUAUAUAUGAAAAGCAGAGCAAGUGCUCUGUAUUUUACUUCCUUCCAAAACUGUACAAAAGAUCCGUCUCUGAGAACAAGCUCCCGAGAGAUUGAUCAUAUAUAAAGAAAAUUACAAACUAUAUAUAAGAGGUUAUUCACCCUUUUUCCAAACUUAAUAACUAAGGAAUCCUAUGAUUGGUGGGAUACAAGGAGAGUUUGGGGAUUUAGACAUAAAAUAUCUAAAGCAAAAUAUCUCAAAAUAUCUCAAUUGUCGGUCACACAUAUCUGGAAGCUUCAGGAGAAUACUGAAGAAAAAUAUCUCAAAAUGUCGGUCACACAUGUCAGGAAGCUUCAGGAGAACACCGUGGCACUGUGCAAAAUGGCUACGAAACUCUCCGGGUAAGCGCUAUCAGCGGAUCUGGAUAUGGCUGACCGGAGAAGUUGAAACGCCCUCCUCUCCCAUCCGGCGUCAGGCGCCGGAUGCGAAUAUCCGAAUGGAAUGGCGGCGGAGCAAAAUUCCGGAUGUGAGACAUCUGGGUGGAAUGGCGGCGAAGCAAAAUUCCGGAUGUGAGACAUCCGGGUGGAAUGGCGGCAAAGCAAAAUUCCGGAUGUGAGACAUCCGGGUGGAAUGUCGGCGGAGCAACUCCAUCCGAAUUCCCCGAGAGAACAUGUGGCACGUUCCCCUAUCCGGACUCCCUUAGGGAGAAGCACACGGCACUCACGAUCAUCACACACCCGGACGAUAGCAUAUCCUAUCCGGAUAUUCUGUCCGGAUGAAAAGAAGAGAAAAGAGCCCACAUUCCGCCGCCCACCGAUGGUGUGUCCGGACGCCCUGUCAGGAUGAUAGCAUAUCCUAUCCGGACAGCUCUUCAUUGCUUUGCCAUGGAUUCCAAAGAACUCUCCUUAAUCUUGGAUUGCUUUGGUGAUCAAAUUACUAACAAAAAACACCAAAACUUACACAAUUUGAUUAGAAUUGAUUGUAAGGGUCCUUAAUAUGUUAAUUGGGUUAAAAGGCGAUAACUACUACUCAAAAGUGUUUGAAAGAGUUAAUUACAAGCUAUGAAAUAACACUUUUUGAGUAGUAAUCAGUUUCACUUAAAAACCAACCUUUUUCAACCAAAGAUUAUGUUUUCUUUUAAAGCUAACCUUGAAAUGAAAAGGCACCAAUUCAUCUUUGAAUUAAUAUCAAUUGUGAAGUGAAAACCCAUCCCAGUGAACGACCCUAGAGCCACUAUGCUAUGCUAGCUAAGGCUAUCCUAGUACAAGGUGUAAUAGGUUAUAAAUUUUGUUGAUUACUCCCUUCUGAGGACCACAAUCAAGGGACACCAGCUAAACACGAAUCAGCUAAGACACCAAUUGGAAACGAAUCACAUUGGCAUCACACAUCACUUCAAAAGGUAGUUGCCAGUUAGGAGCCCUCACCAUUGGAGCGGUUGUCAAGAACUGCUUCAGUUGCUCAAAACUCUUUUGACAUUUUUCAUCACAUACAAAUUUAGCAUCCUUCAGCAAUAGUUCACAAAGAGGCUUUGAAAGUUUAAAGAAAUCUUUAAUAAACCUCCCGUAGAACCCAACAUGGCCAAGGAAUUGCCUCACUCCUUUUACAGCUGUUGGGGAUGGCAAUUUCACAAUAAGUUCCACCAUUGCUUUAUAAACUUCAAUGCCUUUCUUGGAGAUGAUGUGGCCAAGGACAAUUUCUUGUUGUACCAUAAAAUGACAUUUCUCCUAGUUAAGCACUAAGUCUUUUUCAAUGCAUCGGUUCAGAACAAUUCCAAGUUGACUAAACAUUCCUCAAAUGUGCUUCCAUAUAUGGUGAUAUCAUCUAUAAAAACUUCCAUAAUACGCUCCACCAUAUCACUGAAAAUGCUUAACAUACAUUGUUGGAAUGUUGCAGGUGCAUUGCAUAAACCAAAAGGCAUUCUUCUGUAGGCAUAUGUGAUUACUAAUCAAAAAGUGCUAUUUCAUAGCAUGUAAUUAACUCUUUUAAACACUUUUGAGUAGUAGUUAUUGCCUUUUAACCCAAUUAACAUGUUAAGGACCCUUGCAAUCACUUCUAAUCAAUUUGUGUAAAGUUUUGGUGUUUUGAUAGCCUUUUUGAUCACCAAAGCAAUAUGAGAUUGAGGAGAGUUCUUUGGAAUCCUUGGCAAAGCAAUGGAAAGCUCAAAAACAUGAAGAACCAAAGCUUUGAAGUCCUUUGCCAUAAGCAAAUCCGGAAUGCAAGGAAGGGAAGCAAAGAGAAAUCUGCCAUGAAGCAUUCUUGAUGACAGUCAUGUCAGCCACUUUUGGAGCACUUUCUAGAGUCCAAUUUAUGCAUGCUAUAUGUCGUUUCGAAGCUCAGGAAGUCAACAAUCCAAUGCUUCAAACAGUACAUGAUUCGGAGUUGAAAUGAAGGAGUUACAUCUAUUGGAAGCCAAUCACUCCAAGUUGAAGAAAGAAUUUUACACGGCUGCGAAAUCACCCUUUUGUUGCGAAAUGAUUUCGCAGCCAUCUUGCACAGUGCUCUGGAAUUUCUCCUGAAGUUUCCCGAUAUUUGCGACCGACUCUUUUAGAUCUUUUCUUCAGAUAUUUUUGUAUAAAUUUCCAUUCUUCUCCUUAUAAUCCACCAACCAUAAGAUUUCUUAGUUAGGAAGGUUGGAAAAACGUCUCUAUAUAUAUUCCCUUGCAUCCACUGUAAAAGAUAUAGAUAUAUCAUAUAUAGAAUCAACGAACAGAGCACUUGCUCUGUUUUUCAUAUAUAUUCUUGUUUUCUCGUUAGUUUUCUUUCUAGCCAAUCAAACUCUGAGGAUUUUUCCUCAGAGGAUGAGAGGCUAGGCUCUUCGUCUUUUGGAGUGAAGAAAGCCGGGUAAGUUUCCAAAUGCAUAAAUUGGAAGUUUUGUUGUUUUAGUUUUUAAUGAAGAGAAAGUGUGACCCGUUAAUGGUUUUUAUCUUUUUAGUUAACUUAAAACGCCUUUAAAUCACCUGGGCCAACACUUGGUAAGGCAAGUGAUCUUCGUCCAUGGAGAUGCACUAGUUUAUCUCUUGCGAGCUUUUGGUAGGUGGUUUGAAGGUAGGAUUUUCUAGAAUAGCCAACACUUGGUAAGCUUUUGGACUCCAAGGAGACAUCCAUUAGUUAUCUCUUGCGAGCUUUUGACGGGUAAUCCAAGGUUAAAGAUCACCUUGAAUGGCAAAUGCUAGGUGAGAGGCACGAGCCAUUGCAAGAUGCAUCAGUGAGAGGGAUUUAGUGUUUGAACCCAUUAAUGGGAAACAUCUGUACAACACCGGUUAGAGAAUUAACUAUAUGUUAAUUCUCUAAUGCGAGGAAAAGAAACAAGUGACCGAAACUCUCCUUUUUGUAUGAGGAACCUGAGCCUAGUGAUCUAAACUCCAAGAAACAUUUUUCUUUGUAAGUAAAAUCAGUUACUAUUUUUGGUUAGCUUAAAACCAAUCCUUUUUCAUUCAAACAUCCUUAUGUUUUCUUUUAAAGCUAACCUUGAAAUGAAAAGGCACCAAUUCAACUUUGAAUUAACAUCAUUUGUGAAGUGAAAACCCAUCCCAGUGAACGAUCCUAAAGCCACUAUGCUAUAGUAGCUUUGUCUUUGCUACCCUAGUAUAUGGUGUAAUAGGUUAUAAAUUUUGUUGAUUACUCCCUCAAUCAAGGAGCACCAGCUGGACAUGAAUCAGCUGAGACACCAAUUGGGCACGAAUCAAAUGGCGCCAUUGCCGGGGAUGGUGCCACUUUACAGUGAUAUCACCUUUUCAGAGUACUUGUGAUCUUCAUCACAAGUUUGGUGACUUUUCUUUUCCUUUUACUAACUCUUUUUAUUGUUCAUAUUUUAGUAUACCUUUUAUUUAGUUUUUAGUUUACCUUAAUUUUUUUUCUUUGAAUUGUUUUUCUUUUGUGUUCACUGUUUUAAAUUCACAAAUUGCUAGUUGUGCAUGCCAUAUUGAAUACCAUAGCAGAGAAAGCCAUGAACUUCAUGAGUUAUGUGGUUGAAGUCUCAAGAGGAUGGGAUGAACCAAAUGCUAGAGAUAUGGGAAGAAUGACGUCUCAACCUAAUGCUAAGGGUGAGAUGUAUAUUUUAAAUGACGGCAUAGACAUGAGGACAAAGUUUGCAGCUAUGGCAAGGAGAUUAGAAGAGCUAGAAAUGAAGAAGAUGCAUGAAGUGCAAGCCAUCUCUCAGACACCAUUGCAACCUAUGCCCUGUUCCAUUUGUCGAUCUUUUGAGCACUUGGGGGAAGAGUGUCCUACCAUUCCAGCCGUGAGGGAAAUAUUUGGUGAUUGCAACACCUACAAUUCCAAUUGGAGGGACCAUCCAAAUUUCUCUUGGAAACCACAGCCACCUCAGUAUCAGCAACCUGCUCAAGCACCACAGCAAGCCUCAAGCCUUGAACAAGCUAUGGUGAAUCUUAGCAAGGUCGUGGGAGACUUUGUUGGAGCUCAGAAAUCCAUCAAUGCUCAGUUCAGUCGAAGAAUUAACAGUGUAGAGAGUUCAUUGAUUAAAAGGAUGGAUGAAGUGCAAAAUGAUCUAUCUCAUAAGAUAGAUAAUCUCCAAGAUUCAAUCUCAAGGUUUGCCAACCUCAACAUAGUGCAAGAGAAAGAAAACUCUCCUUCUCAACCUUAUCAAAAUUCCAUGAGUAUCCAUGAAAUGGAGGCUAAGGAGGGAGAACCUUCACAAAAGAGGGAAGUUAAAGAAGUGAUCACUCUGAGGAGUGGUAAAGAGGUUGAUCUGCCCACAUGCAAGCUAGAGCAUAAGGUAGAGAGUGAAACAGAGAAAGAAAAGAGGGAGGAAAUCAAAGGAAAUAAAAAAGGGAAAAGCAUAGAGAAAGAUGACUAUAUAGAUGAAGAACCACAGAGGAUAGUCAUCAAGAAAGAAUUGAUGAAGAAACACAUGCCUCCACCUUUUCUCCAAGCUUUGUAUGAGAAAAUCAUACAAACCAAGUCUCAAGUGAGGGAUGCAAGCUUCAUAUGGGAUCCGGGCAAGUUAAAUCAGGAUCAAAUUUUUUUUAUGGACUUAGUCUUUCUAAAGACUAGCUAGUCCAUAUCUUUUUGUUUUACUUAUUACUUGUUUUAAUUUUGAUUUCAAUGCUUUAAUUCUAAUUUGUUUUUAUGUAAUAUAGGUUUUUGGAUGAUCAAAAUCAGGAGGAAUUGCAAAGAAAUUGAAGGAAAGUCGUUUGGAGUAAAAACGGAGAAAAAACAGGGCAAAAACAGGAGGAAAACAGGGGUCUGCGAGAUUUCGCAGCCUCAGGCCCCUCUCUGCGAAAAUUUUCGCAGCUGCGAAACCAAGUUUUGGCACACGAGUGCCAUUUCGCAGCACAGUGACUCCCAUUUCGCAGCUGCGAAACGGUUGCGAACCACCAAAGCAUGAAAGAUCCUAUUUUCGCAAGGAAAGCUCCAUUUCGCAGAGGAUUUCGCAGCUGCGAAACCACUUUUGGCACACGAGUGCCAUUUCGCAGCACAGUGACCCUCAUUUCGCAGUUGCGAAACGGCUGCAAAAUGCCAAAGCGUAAAAACUUCCAAUUUCGCAGCCAAAGCUCCAUUUCGCAGGGUGUUUCGCAACUGCGAAGCCACUUUUUGGCACACGAGUACCAUUUGGAAGCCCCGUACACUCAUUUCGUAGCUUUGAAAUGGCUGCAAAACCUCCACACCUUAAAAUCCUUCAGCGCGCACACCAUAAACAGACAUGUCACAACCGUACCCCCAUUUCGGCAACUGUUGGACACAAUUCGAUCACUUACUGAACCUCAAAUUAUACAUACCAUAUCUUGUUUCAAAUCUUGGGAAGUCAGGAGUCCAUAGCUUCAAACAGUGCUCGAUUUGGAUUUGAAACGGAAAAGUUAUGGCCGUUUGAAGAUGACUGUGCAAACCAUAAGCGGAAAUGUCGCACCUCCAUUUUGCUACUGUUGAACACAUUUUUGAAACACUUCCUGGAGCUCAAAUUAUGCAUACCAUAUCUCUUUUCAAAUCUUGGGAAUUCAGGAGUCCAUAGCUUCAAACGGUAUGCGAUUUGGAGAUGAAAUGAAGAAGUUAUGGCCAUUUGAAGACGAACAUGCAAAGCUGAGCGGGAAUUUUCUUCCCAUUUGGCUGCGAAAUGAUCUCCAAGCUUCAAAAUGGCUGCGAAAUCACUUUUGAGCAGCGAAAUGGCUAUGAAAUGAUCUCCAAGCUUCAAAAUGGCUGCGAAAUCACCUACAAGCUUCGAAAUGGCCUUCAAAUUGCGAAAUUGACUUGCAAAAUGGAGGGUGAUUUGCAAAAACACCUUGCAAAGCCAAGGAAAGUUGCUAAAAUGCCAACAGAGCCCCGCGACCAUGCAUAUGAAGAGGAGAGCCCCGCGCACCCUGAGAUCACACACACUAAGCCUCUCAUUCCAUUUCUGACUUCCUAAAACCAUCAGAGCCCAUAGCUCCAGCUCAGAGCUCAUAGCUCCAACUGAGAGCUCCAGUUGAAGAGACUAUGCCACCUAAGGAGACUACCAGAACAGAGGCCAAAGUCCUGAUCCAACCCAUUCAAGAGGCCACCACAGAUGCAUCAGCUCCACAGGACCCUACCAUUGCUUGAUCAUCUUUUUACUUUUUGUCUUUACAUAUUAUAUUAGUAUAGAUAAUUCCAUGUUUUGAUGUCUUAUAUUCUGAGAUUGGAUGUAUUACUGAUAAUACAUCAUAUAUAGACAUCAUUUUUGUUUAAACUUAGCAUUUUUCUAUUUUCACUAACUCUGUUGUUUUUUUGAAACAUGUGGUUUCUCCUAUACGACUCAGACUCCAUGUCACUCAGGAGGUACCAUUUCCUCCCUAUUUUUCAAUCGCUUUUGUCACAUUGAGGACAAUGUUCAGCUUGGUUGGGGGGAGAUUUGAGGAAGUAAGUAUUGUUAAUAAUGCUAAAUUAUUUUGGUAAUUUAGUUGCUUUUUGCUUAAUUUAAAAUUUUUUUUCUACUCUCCAUGGUUAUUAAGGAAAAAUUUUCAAAAUGAAAAGGGAGAAAUUGAAUUUUAGUCUUUUUACUUGACUUAGAUUUUGUAUUAUGCUUACUAAAGUUGAUGAAUUGUUGAAACUUCUAUUGAAUUCAACCUUAGUUCUUCCACUUUAAGCUAUUCACACACUGUGCACAAUAGGUUCCGAGUAUAAGAUGAAAAACUAUUUCCCUCUUGACUUAGGAAAAUUUUAGACUUGGUACCUUGACCUUAUUUAAUAGUGUUGGGACACCUUGUAAAAGGCCAAUGAGUCUUUGAAGAAAAAAAAGAAAGAAAGAAAAAAUGUUUGCUUGCCUUGAAACCCGAGCAAGGUCUGAGGGGUAUAUGGUGAAAAUCUUUAAAACCUGGUGCCCUAAGCCUUAAUUGGUUGGGAGUCACCGACCUCAAUGCUCGUUACAAGGGUGGAUAGGUGGAGUUUAACAUACUGUAGGUGCUUAGGUAUUAAAAUUCAUUCUCAAAAGUCCGGGGUAAAAUCCGAGGAGUUAGUGGUUGAAAGAUCCUUAAACCUUGAUGCCCUAAACCUUAAUUGGUUGGGAGUCAUCGAUGGACCCCCGUUACAUGGACAAUUUAAAAAAGAAUACCUUUAAGCCUUGUACUCCUACAAUGAAAAAAUUGUGAAAAAAGAGGUGCGUUCCUAACCUAUUAGAGGUUGAUCAGUUUGCUAAGCUUUGAAAAAGAACUAGGUUGGGGGGAGAGAUUAGUUUGACAUACUAUAUUCGGAAGCUAAUAAAUAACACUUAGAUUUUUGUGGAAGAGUAAGGUUUGACCCUUUGGGAGUGGAAACUCUUUUAAAGCUUAAAUUUGCAUAAUGCCUUCUCUUUAUGAAUUGUGAUUAGACAAGUUAUUUAAUAACUCUUGUUGAAGUUUGAUUUUUAUUUCUUUAAUGUUCCAUGUGAGAGUUAGAUCACAUCAUGCCACUUGAAAAUUGUUUUUUGAUCAGCAUGAUGUUGUAAAUUAUAGUAAUGAUUAUUUUUAUUUUUCUCUCCUUCAUUGCUAAGGGACUAGCAAUAUGUCGGUUGGGGGGAGUGAUUACUACUCAAAAAGUGCUAUUUCAUAGCUUGUAAUUAACUCUUUUAAACACUUUUGAGUAGUAGAUAUUGUCUUUUAACCCAAUUAACAUGUUAAGGACCCUUGCAAUCACUUCUAAUCAAUUUGUGUAAAGUUUUGGUGUUUUGAUAGCCUUUUUGAUCACCAAAGCAAUAUGAGAUUGAGGAGAGUUCUUUGGAAUCCUUGGCAAAGCAAUGGAAAGCUCAAAAACAUGAAGAACCAAAGCUUUGAAUUCCUUUGCCAUAAGCAAAUCCGGAAUGCAAGGAGGGGAAGCAAAGAGAAAUCUGCCAUGAAGCAUUCUUGAUGACAGUCAUGUCAGCCACUUUUGGAGCACUUUCUGGAGUCCAAUUUAUGUAUGCUAUAUUUCUUUUCGAAGCUCAGGAAGUCAACAAUCCAAUGCUUCAAACGGUGCAUGAUUCGGAGUUGAAAUGAAGGAGUUACAGCCAUUGGAAGCCAAUCACUCCAAGUUGAAGAAAGAAUUUUACACGGCUGCGAAAUCACCCUUUUGUUGCGAAAUGAUUUCGCAGCCAUUUUGCACAGUGCUCUGGAAUUUCUCCUGAAGUUUCCCGAUAUUUGUGAUCGACUCUUUUAGAUCUUUUCUUCAGAUAUUUUUGUAUAAAUUUCCAUUCUUCUCCUUGUAAUCCACCAACCAUAAGAUUUCUUAGUUAGGAAGGUUGGAAAAACGUCUCUAUAUAUAUUCCCUUGCAUCCACUGUAAAAGAUAUAGAUAUAUCAUAUAUAGAAUCAACGAACAGAGCACUUGCUCUGUUUUUCAUAUAUAUUCUUGUUUUCUCGUUAGUUUUCUUUCUAGCCAAUCAAACUCUGAGGAUUUUUCCUCAGAGGAUGAGAGGCUAGGCUCUUCGUCUUUUGGAGUGAAGAAAGCCGGGUAAGUUUCCAAAUGCAUAAAUUGGAAGUUUUGUUGUUUUAGUUUUUAAUAAAGAGAAAGUGUGACCCAUUAAUGGUUUUUAUCUUUUUAGUUAACUUAAAACGCCUUUAAAUCACCUGGGCCAACACUUGGUAAGGCAAGUGAUCUCCGUCCAUGGAGAUGCACUAGUUUAUCUCUUGCGAGCUUUUGGUAGGUGGUUUGAAGGUAGGAUUUUCUAGAAUAGCCAACACUUGGUAAGCUUUUGGACUCCAAGGAGACAUCCAUUAGUUAUCUCUUGCGAGCUUUUGACGGGUAAUCCAAGGUUAAAGAUCACCUUGAAUGGCAAAUGCUAGGUGAGAGGCACGAGCCAUUGCAAGAUGCAUCAGUGAGAGGGAUUUAGUGUUUGAACCCAUUAAUGGGAAACAUCUGUACAACACCGGUUAGAGAAUUAACUAUAUGUUAAUUCUCUAAUGCGAGGAAAAGAAACAAGUGACCUAAACUCUCAUUUUUGUAUGAGGAACCUGAGCCUAGUGAUCUAAACUCCAAGAAACAUUUUCCUUUGUAAGUAAAAUCAGUUACUAUUUUUGGUUAGCUUAAAACCAAUCCUUUUUCAUUCAAACAUCUUUAUGUUUUCUUUUAAAGCUAACCUUGAAAUGAAAAGGCACCAAUUCAACUUUGAAUUAACAUCAUUUGUGAAGUGAAAACCCAUCCCAGUGAACGAUCCUAGAGCCACUAUGCUAUAGUAGCUUUGUCUUUGCUACCCUAGUAUAUGGUGUAAUAGGUUAUAAAUUUUGUUGAUUACUCCCUCAAUCAAGGAGCACCAGCUGGACACGAAUCAGCUGAGACACCAAUUGGGCACGAAUCAAUAUGUUCCAAAUGGACAUGUGAAAGUGGUUUUCUCCUGGUCUUCAACAUCAAUUUCUAUUUGAAAAUACCCGGAGAAGCCAUCCAAGAAACAAUAGAAAGGAUGGCCUAAGACUCUCUCCAACACUUGAUCAAUAAAUGGCAAUGGAAAAUGAUCGUUCCUUGUCACAACAUUCAAUUUUCUAUAAUCAAUACACACCCUCCAACUUGAAGUGAGGCGUGUAGCAACUUCUUCUCCCUUAUCAUUUUGCACUACUGUGAUCUCUGAUUUCUUUUGCACUACUUGAGUAGGACUCACCCAUGGGCUAUCUGAUAUGGGGUAGAUAAUACCGGCCUGAAGUAGCUUAAGAACUUCAGUUUGCACCACCUCUUGCAUAUGAGGAUUCAAUCUUCUUUAAGGUUGACGAAUUGGCUUAUUUUCUUCUUCUAUGUACAUAUGAUGCGUACAGACUAAAGGGCUGAUACCUUUCAAGUCAGAUAUUUGCCAUCCUAUUGCUUUCUUACAUCUCUUGACAACUUCAAGUAAACACUCCUCCUGAGGAGUGGUAAGAGAUGAAGAUAUAACAACAAGGCACUUCUUAUUCUCUUCUAGGUAUGCAUACUUCAACUCCGUGGGUAAUGGCUUCAAACUAAGCUUUGGGGCCUUCUCUUUAACAGCUUCUUGUAUCUCCUCCUCAUUGAACAAAGGUAGAAUUUCUUUUAUCCUCCUCUAACCUGGUAGAGUAGCAAGCAAAUUUGAGGGUUCAGGCAACCCUUCAUCAAGAUCCCUAAGACUUUCAUUCAACUUCUCUUGUAUUUUCUAAUUACAAUGCUCCUCCACUAAAGUGUCAAUGAUGCACACCUCUUUUGGACCUUCUUAUUCUUUCAGCUUGAUUGGCUUCUUGGACAUAUAGAAGAUAUUGAGUUCCAAUGUCAUGUUCCCAAACAUGAGUUGCAUGAGUCCAUUCCUACAAUUGAUGAUUGCAUUUGAUGUAGCUAGGAAUGGUCUUCCAAGUAUGAUAGGAACAUAAUUCGUUUCCUUGACAAUUGGGUCCGUAUCAAGAACAAAAAAAUCCACUGGAUAGUAGAAAUUGUCAACUUGAACUAAGACAUCUUCAAUCAUCCCUCUUGGAAUCUUCACUGAUCUAUCUGCUAGAGAUAGAGUGAUUGAUGUUGGCUUCAAUUCACCAAGUCUCAAUUGCUUGUAGACAGAGUAUGGUAGCAAAUUCACACUUGCCCCCAAGUCCAACAAAGCUUUCUCCACUAAAGUCCCUCCAAUCAUCACUGAGAUGGUAGAGCAGCCUGAAUCUUUGUACUUCACUGGAGACUUGCACUGUAUGAUGGCACUUACUUGCUCAAUCAAGAAGGUUUUCUUAUUCACAUUCAACCCUCUUUUGAUAGUGCACAAGUCCUUCAGGAAUUUUUCAUAAGUCGGCACUUGUUUGAUCAUGUCUAGCAAUGGGAUGUUGACCUUCACUUGCCUCAAUACUUCAAGAAUUUCUGAUGCAUUGCUGAUUCCCUUUUUCCCAUGCAAAGAUUGAGGAAAAGGUGGAGGCAUGUGUUUCUUCAUCACAUCUCCAUUGAUAACUAUCUUCUCUGGAUCUUCAUUCACUAUUGAAUCAUGGUCCUCUUUCCUUCCAUUGCUUCAUUUCUUCUUUCCUUUGAUUUCCUCCAUUUUCUCUGUCUCUUUUUCACUCUUUGUUUCAUCAUGUGGCUUGGGUGUUGGUAGCUCAACCUCUUUACCACUCCUCAGAGUGAUCACGGCUUUGAUGUCCCUCACAUGUGAAGAUUCUCCCUUAUGAGCUUCCACUUCAUGGAUACCCUUGGGGUUUUGGUGAGGUUGAGAAGGAAACCUUCCCUUCUCUUGCACUGUGUUAAGGUUGGUGAGCCUUGAGAUUGAGUAUUGGAGAUUAUCUAUCUUUUGAGAUAAAUCGUUUUGCAUUCCAUCCAUCAUUUUAUUCAAUGUAUUCUCUACACUGUCAAUUCUUUGAUUGAGUUGAGCAUUGAUAGAUUUCUGGCCUCCAACAAAAUCUCCCACGAUUUUGCUUAGAUUCACUAUUGCUUGCUCAAGAUUUGAAGCUUGUUGAGAUGCUUGGCCUGGUUACGUGUACUGAAGUGCUCUUGGUUUCCAGGAGAAAUUUGGAUGGUUCCUCCAAUUUGAAUUGCAGGUAUUUCCAUAUGAAGCAUUGUUAUUGGUCUUGAAUUGUCCAAUGAUAUUCGCUUGAUCCCCAAACAUUUCUCUAACACCUGGAAUUGUAGGACACUCCUCCACCAAGUGCUCAUAAGAUUGACAAAUGGAACAAGGCAUAACUUGCAUUGGUGUUUCAGAAACGGCUUGCAUUUCACGUAUCUUUUUUAGUUUUAGCUCCUCCAAUCUUCUUGUCAUAGCUCCAACUUUUGCUUUCAUGUCAAUAUUUUCGUUCAAGGUAUACAUCCCAACCUUAACUUUAGGAUCAUUUGGUUGAGACUUCAUUUUUCCCACUUCUCCCUUGUUCGGUUCAUCCCGUCCUCUUGAAACUUCAUCAACAUAAUUCAAGAAAUCCAUGGCUUCCUCCGGAUUCUUACUCAUGAAAUCUCCUCCACACAUAGUCUCUAGGAGUUGCUUCAUUGAGGACGACAUACCGUCAUAAAAGUAGCUUACCAAUAGCCAUGUAUCAAAGCCAUGGUGAGGACAAGCAUUGAUAGCUUCCAUGUAUCUCUCCCAACACUCAGAAUUUCUCAUUCUCUUUAGCUGAGAAGUUUGAAAUUUGCCUUUUCAAGCCAUUGGUCCUAUGAGUAGGAAAAAAUUUCUUGAGAAAUUUAGCUUGCAAAUUAGUCCAAGUUCGGAUAUUCCUUGGCCUUAAAGAAUUAAGCCAAAUCUUGGCCUUAUCCUUUAGAGUGAAAGAAAAUAGUUUUAGCCUCAUCAAGUCAAUUGAAGCUUCGGCCUCUUGGAAUGUAUUACAAACAUCUUCAAAGUCUUUGAUGUGCGCGUAGGGAUUCUCACUUUCCAUCCCAUGGAAAGUAGGUAGAAGUGGCACAAUAUGCAGUCUGAUUACUAGCUGCUCUGUAAGAGGCACUAUGCAUGAUGGUGCACUCAUACGAGGUGUAUGCAUGCGGUCCCUCAUUGAUCUGAAUGCAUUGGGAUUGUCCUGUUGACCAUGGUGACUAUGUUGAUCUUCAGGUGUAGCUUCCAUGAUGUUCAAGCACAAUUCCAACUCUGUUUAGUGAGGUGUUUCAAUUUUUACAAGUCUUCCUCCACUGCCUCGUAUCCAAUAUGGCAUACACAACUAGUAACAACUGUAACAAAAACAAAGAAAACAAUACUACAAAAAAAAAAAAAAACUAAGAUUAACUAAAAACUAAAUUAAAAGAUAGGCUAAAAUAUGAACAAGUAAAAGAAACAAUUAAAAAUAGUUAGUAAAAGAAAAGAAAAAUCACCAAACUUGUGAUGAAGAUCACCAAACUUGUGAUGAAGAUCACAAGUGUUUUGGAAAAGGUUAUAUCACUAUAAAGUUGGCACCAUCCCCGGCAAUGACGCCAUUUAAUUCGUGCCCAGCUAGUGUAUGCCUUGUUGAUUAGUGUUUAAUCAACUGGUGUACUAUGAUUUCGGUCCUCAGACAGGAGUAAUCAACAAAAUUUAUAAACCUAUUUCCUCAUAUACUAGGGUAGCAUUAGCUAGCAUAGCAUAGUGGCUCUAAGAUCGUCCACAGGGAUGGGUUUUCAAAUUACAACUGAUAUUAAUUCAAAAACUGAAUUGGUGCUUUUUUUUUUCAAGGUUAGCUUUAAAAGAAAACAUAAAUAUGUUUGAAAAGAUUGGUUUUAAGUGAAACAAAAAAUAAAGUAACUGAAAUUACUUAUAAAGAAAAUUGCUUCUUGGAGUUUUAGAUCACCAGGCUCAAGUUCGUCAUACAAAAAAGGAUAUUCUGGUCACUUGGAUCUUUUCCUCGCAUUGGGGAUUUAACAUAUAGUUAUUUCCCGAACCGGUGUGGUACAGAUGCUUCCCCUUAAUGGUUUCAAACACUAAAUCCCUAUCACUGAAUCAUCUUGCAAUGGUUCAUACCUCUCACCUAGUAUUGGCCAUUCAGGGUGAUCCUUAACCUUGGAUUACCCGUCAAAAGCUCACAAGAGAUAACUAAUGGAUGUCUCUUGGGAGUCCAAAAGCUUACCAAGUGUUGGCUAUUCUAGAUAAUCCUACCUUUAAACCACCUCCUAAAAGCUCGCAAGAGAUAAACUAGUGUAUCUCAAUGGACGGAGACCACUUGCCUUACCAAGUGUUGGCCUAGGUGAUUUUAAGGGAUUUUAAGUUAACUAAAAAGAUAAAAACCAUUAACGAGUCACACUUUCUCUUCAUUAAAAACUAAAAUAACAAAACUUCCACUUUUGCAUUUGGAACCUUACCUAGCUUCCUUCACUCCAAGAAAUAAAAAGCCUAGCCACUCAUCCUUUGGGAAAACAUCCUCAGAGUUCAAUUUUCUAGAAAUAAAAAUAACGAGAAAACAAAAUGAGAAGGUAAGGCAGAGCAAAGCUCUAUGUAUUACUUUCUGAAAAACUAUACAAAGUGUUGUCUCCGAGAAAAACUCCUGAGAGAUCCUUUUAAAAGAAAAAUUACAAUAGAUAUUAUAUAGAGAGGCUAUUCACCCCUCCUACUAACUUCCCAACCAAGAAAACUUGUCAUUGGUGGGUUACAAGGAGAAAAUAAGGAUUUACACACAAAUAUCUGAAGAUAAAUAUCAAAUGGAGUCGGUGAGCAAAUAUCUCAAAUUACAGGUGGAUUUCACAAGUUCAAAUGCAACUUGCGAAAAUUUCGCAAGUUGAAAUAAUCCAUUUCGCAAGUUGCGUAAUUGUCCUAUAACUUAUUAGCUCUAUGUCGUGCAGUGAUUCCUUUCUCUUCCUAUUUCGGAAGUUGCGAAAAUUUCGCAAGUUGGAUUCCAUAACUUGCGAAAUUGCUGGAUGGUUGAUUUCUUCUGUGUUUUUCUUCCUUGCAUCCUCAUUUGAUUUUGGCAAAGGGUUAUGAAGCUCCAAAGCUUAGUUUUUGCAGGAAUUUGAGCUUCAACUUGCUUUGCCAUGAACUAUACAAAGAUUUCCCUCAUUCUUAGAUUGAUUUGGUGAUAAAAAAGCUAUCAAAAACACCAAAACUUAACAUAAUUUGAUUAAAAACGAUUGCAAGGGUCCUUAACAUGCCAAUUGAGUUAAAAGGUAAUAACUACUACUCAAAAAUGUUUAAAAGAGUUAAUUACAAGCUAUAAAAUAACACUUUUUGAGUAGUAAUCACUCAAGCAAGGAGCAGUGAUCAACCCACCAAAGUGGGCUUGAGAGGUAAUGAAUUUUCAGCCAAGAUUCUUUCACAUAAAUUUGAUUUGGAAGUCUUUUAAAACCAAACCUCUUUGAGAUUUACUCCUAUGUAUACCUCCUUAUAAUCCCUUAAGGGUUAGAGAUCGAAAAGAGAUCAUAGAGAGUUUAAAGAGAUUUCAAAAUGGAGUCUCCUAGAGUGAAAGCCUAAAGGGCCACAACAUUCAUAAUCUCUCAUUCAAGGAUUUGAUAUUUGAAUCUUGGUUUGAAGACCUUCAUCCCUUCAACAAGGCUGAAGUGUAUUCAUUGGAGCAAUCAAAGGUUGCUACAUCGUAGAUGUGGUUCAAGUUGUAGGUACUGAAGAGCAAGUCUUUAGGGUAAAGGAGCCAGGUAAAUCUGUGUAACUUGAUUUCAUAUAAUGGAUUUAGAUUAGUGGGUCUUAGACGUCAUGGUUUUUUAUCUCCAUAGUUAAUGUGGGGGGUUUUCCAUGUAAAAAUUCGAUGCCCAUUGCAUAUCUGUUAAUGUCAUUACUAUAUCUUUGAAUACUUGAUUAUCAUUGUUAUCCCUAACAACUUGUAGGUUAUCCCUAAUAGAUUAAAACUAUAUUUUAAUUCUUAAAGAUUUCAAGUAUAAUUCAUUUGGUUAUACAAGGUAUCCUUGGGAUCUCUUAGGAUAAAAUUUGAGGAUAAUAUAUAUAAAUAUUUAUUUUAAAUUUUAAAAACACCCAUUCAUCCCCCCUUUGGGUGUUCCCUAUUGGACUUUUGAUUUUUUAUGGGUGAUCCUAAAUUAAGGAAUUACUAAGAGGUUGUGAUUUUGGUAGUAUUUAAUGGAAUAAAUUCUUAUGAAGUUUUCAUGAGAGUAUUUAUUAAAUUGGAAAGGUGCAAGGACAAGGAGAGUAAAUUUGUGAGGAAUUUUAAAUAUGAGAGAAAAAUUUCCUUUAGUAGAUAAGGUGCUCUCAAGAUUUUCAAAAUCUCAUAAAUUGUUAAUUUCCUUAUUUCACUAGAGUUUCCAAUUUGGAAAUUUUCAUUAGAGAUAAUUUAUCAUUAAAAGAUUAUUACCAAAAGGCUUAGUAAUUUGAUGGAAAUAAAUUUUUUUUGAAACAUUUCCAAGAUAAAAUAUUUAUUAAUUGGAUUUGUGUAAGAGAAAGAGAAUUCAUUCUCUUAUUACACUAGGUUUCCAAUUAUGAAAUAAAUAUUUUUGGAAAUUCUCAAAAAUAGAUAAUUUAUUCAUCAAAGUAAUUACUAAGGAUUUAAAAUGUUCUUAUCUAUCUUAAAAUAUUAAGUGGGAGAGGGUUCUAAGCAAGCCCACGACCUCCAUUGUCAAGCCCAUUUUGAUUUGGGUUCAUCACCACCCUUUCAAGAUGUAUUGGAAAAAAGAACUAGAUUGUGUAAUGAUGCACUAAAAAAGAAUACAUGCCUAAAAUAUAUGAUCCUUUCUUGAGUAGACCAUAUCAUGGAACAAUAAAAAAAAUGUUUUCACCUUCAAUCAUAAAUGACACUUCUAGAGAAAAUUAUAUUAGACAUGUUUGCAGUGGGAGUGACCACCGCUUCAAUGAGGUUCUUUACUUGGUGACAUUAAUAGUUCAAGAACAAUGGUUAUACACUUGACAUUGCAUAUGAAGUAGUAGAAUCACCCCCAUGUGGUCCUGUUUGCAUUGUCCAUAGGCCAAAUUUAGAAAGUAUGUUGAUCUUAGCUUUAUAUACCUUCAUGUUUAAGACAGGAAGAUCAAUUUGAGAGAGUCUCUAACUAGUAAUAAGGUCAUGAUAUGCCCCACGUAAGCUUGAUUCUUAUGAUACUAGGAUACUUUGCAAAAGGACAUGUAGUUUGAGAGCACUAGAUUUUUGCUAAAUUAAUUACCAAUUGCCUUGAAUGCACAAUUAUGUCAUAUGCAUGGUUAUUUUCUUUGUUACAUAUAUCAUAUUGGUUAUUUAUUAUCACUUUGGACAAAACCCAACUAAUCAUUUGGACUUAGUAUUAUUCCAGAUAUAAUAACUAUGUACUUGCAUAGAAGCUAGUUUAAGUAGAGCUAGCUAAUCCUUAUGAAUAACCUAGCAAAAAAAAAUAGUGGCGUAUUAGAGGUGGUAUUAGAAGAGUUAGAAGACCAAGUGUUUAAUACUUUAUCUUUAGAUAAUGUGUUGCAAUAACAACAUGUGUCUAUUAGUAGGGACUUUGAUAUUCUAUUUUUAGUCUACAAGGAUUAUUUGGUUAUAAGGGCAGGUUAACUUAAAGAAGCUACCCUUAGGACUAUUAUGAACAUCGGAUUUUAUAUGGUCUUGAGGACCUUGCCAGUUUCUUCAGGAUGGUUAAAGGGAUUCUUAAAGAACAUAGGGUUAUAUAAAUACUUUCUUACCAAAUCAAGAUGACCCUUUUGGGCUAGAUUAAGUGACCCAAGCCUUGAUAGGCUCAAGUCACUUAAGCCCAGUGGACAAUGCUAUAAAUACCCCCUUAUUCAAUUAGUCGUCUUCCACUUUUAGAAAGAAAAAGAGAGCUAAAGCUUUUUUCUUUCCAUUACCCAUAGUUUGGAAUGCCAAGAUCGUGGUUCAAGUCUUCGGAUGAAAGAUCUUGGGUGUAUGAGACCUUUAAACUUUUUCUUUUCCACGUGGAAUUGAUCUAGGAACAUCCAGAUCCAAGUAUGAGUACUACAUAUCUAGAUCUAUAAUUAAUGAUGAUUUUUAUUGCCAUUUUACUCACUAUGAUAGAUUUAAAGAUGCCUAGGGAUAGAUGCAUGCACCCCACAAGAUCUAGGGACAAGGAAUAGAGAUAUUUAGGUUUCCCAACACUAUCACCAAUAACACACUAAGAGCUAUAAAUUAUGCACUCAGUGAAAUAUGAUGAGAAUAGCACCCUCUAAGGGUGAUAAACAAUAUUUUACACUUAGAGAGCACUUCAAUAGCGCAACUUUAAGUGAUAGUGUAGAUUGCAUGUUUAGGAAGCCACCAUAUUACACACUUAAAGAACUCUUCUCAAAUUGCGCUUGGUUAAAUAGUGCACAUUUCUUAGGCAUCCAACAAUGGCACACCCAACAUAGGAGAACCCUUUGUAGGUUGUGCACUCUAAAGGCAUCAAUCCACAUUGUACACUUGGAGAAGUGCACUUAAAGUGUACACCAUUGAGUAAAGGUUUAGAUUGCUCACCUAAGAGUUAGGCUACAUAGUGUACCUCCUAUUAUGCACUAGCAGAACCUCUAUCAAGCUAUGCACCAUUCAAGCGCACCUUAUCCCAACAUGUAUAGUGCUCACAAAACUAGUAACCAUUAGUGCAUUAUUCAUUCAACAAUAAAUCAAAUGCAUAUCAAUAUUCAUUAAUGCGCAAUUUUGUCACCAAUAACUUAGUACACUUCCCCUUAAUAAAGCGUCUUCUCUCACUUCAAGAAGUGCACCCCAUAACUCAUCUCACUACAUUAUCCUAAUAACUUCACCAGGCAUGAGCUCCAAAAAUUAAUCUUUCAUCAAGUUGCAUACCAAAUAGUGCCCCUAAGGCUCCUAAAUGUUCAAUCAUCACAUCAUUAUGUUGCCACACUAACAAAACAAGAAGUGCAACCACCAUUCAUACUACACUGACAUGUUUUGACUAAAACGACCACAUCGAUACAUUACUUAUUAGGAUAGAGCCUUUAAAAGGAUGAUGUGAUGUAAUAAACUUUUGGAUUUUAUUGUUUAUUAAAAAAAUUUCUAGUUCACUUUUAUAUAUCUUAAUUUCGCACAUUAUACUUUGUAAGAAAUCUAAUCUGUAUCUUUUGCAUUGUAUAUGACUUGGGUACAUUGGCAAUUGCAUGGAAGAUUCAAGUCACGAGUUCCUUGCAAGUAGAUGACUAAUUCACAACCAAUUUGUGGGCUUCCCAUUAGAAGUUCUAGUGCACUACCUCCUAAUUCAAGAGAUGGUUGGUCUUGGUCAUUAGGAUGGGUUUCUCAUGGUGAGUAUACUAGUACAUAUAGCUACACAUUGGAUAAGACAUACGACGAGUCAUGAUUUAAGGCAAUGAAGUAGUCGUGACGCUACCAAGAUUCUUUAUUAUAUUGUUUCUCACCCUUGAGAGAAUAUUAAGAUUGUGUUAAAGUUAGCAGUAGCUUUGACCAAUAGGUGAGAGAUCAUAAGUUGAUCAUAUAUUUCUUAUCGAUUAGGUCGCUAUUAGUGGAAGUUGGUAGCAAUAUGUAUCUUGAUAGAGGCACCAUGAUAUCUCAUGGAAUUGAAAUAGAGUGUCUCUUUGGUGAUCUUAAGGAGAUGCGUUCAUGUAAAUUAUGACUAUAAUAAUUCCUUAAGUGGAACUUGGCAUAUGAUCUUAGAGAACUAAGAUAUGUUAGUUGAAUACACAAUAGGAAGAUCUAUAACUCAAAGAUAUUAGAGCUAGUAUUGAGAUGUUGAUAACUUUCACCUUAUUAGAUUAUGGACACCAAUUUGUAGGGAGAUUGAAUGCAAUAGAUGGUAGAUCACGAACCCGAGCACUUAAUGUCUCAUUAUUAUUAACAUAAGGUAUUGGAGUGCAAUUGAAUCUCUAUAAUAGGAUGUUGAAUCAACUUUAGAAUUGGAUCCUAUAGGACCAUUCCAAUGGUCCUUGCUUGAGCUCUUAUACCUUAAUGACACAAUCUAUGAGGUUUGGAUUAACUUCAGGUCCACUUUUGUGCAUAAGGGCAUUUUGGUAAUUACAUAAGGUUACAUAACUGUUAGUGAAUAAAGUCUUUACAUUGAAUUAUUUAGGACCUACUUUUUACUAGAUUAAGUAGCGUAAGCCCUUGGUGGGCACAAGUCACUUAAGCUCAAGUAGGGAACCUUAUAAAUACCCCUUAGGGGUUAGGGUUUCCAUCACUUUUUGAAGUGAACCAUCUUCCACCAUCUUCCACCAUCUUGAGAGAAAGAAAAAACAAGAGCCAUAGCCUCCACCCUCCCUUCCUCCCCACUUGUUGUGUGUUAAGAUAAAAAAGAGCCAUCAAGUGGAAGAUAUUAUGUAUUUGAGACUCUAACAACUUUGAUUUUCAACUUCACUACAUGGACUAGAUUUAGGAACAUCAAAAUCUUAGAUAAUGUUUUCUAAUGCAUAUUUUGAAUCUUAUUAUUGUUUUAAAAAAUGUAAUUUGGUCUUUGUGCAUUGGAUUUAGCUUUGGAAGAUUUGCAUGUACUUAACUUGAUCCUAGAAUAGGAAAUGAAGAGAUUUGAGUUUCCCCACAUCACCUACAUGGGCAAGAGGUGUAGCUUAGAGGAAUAAAUUUGAAGUAAUAAAAAGGAGAGAGAUUUUUCACCUAUAAAUAUGGGAACUGUAGAUAGCAGUCUCUUUUACAGGGAGACUUUCUUAGAGGUGGCACCUUAUCUCUUAGAGAGGAGAUACAUUCUUUUCUUCUGGAGUAAAGGUGUUAAGAAAAUAAGUUAGUUUUUUUUUCUCUCUUUUCCUAUUCUUGUAAUUUAUUUUUUAUUUUAGUAAAGUUUUUUGUUUUUAAUUUCAAUAAAGAUUUUGGUCUUAAAUUUUAAUAAAGUUUUUUGUUUCAACUUGAUGUUUCUAUAUUCAUUUUUGUGUGUUUUCUUUUCUAUCCUUGUGUUUUUGUUUCUUAGUUUGUGAAGGGGACUAAGGUCUCGUAUCUUUGUUUGAUUCACCGUGAUUUAGCUAUCUAUGGUUGAAAAAGGCUCUACUAAGGUCUAUGGUCAUGAGAACCAAAAUGAGUCUCCACAUGCCAGAGUUAAUGGUUAUGAGGACCAAAAAGAGUAACCAUGGUCAUGAAUCUAUUAGAUAAGAACAAACUUUUUGACAUAAGAAUAAACCCAUCUAAAUCAUUUGAUUGAGAUGACCAAAAGGAGAAAUUAGAUCUAGUUGAGCCUUUGUUGAGGUGGUUGAUUCUCUUAUUAAAUAGAACCAUGUUUUUGGUGCAAAACCCUUUGCUCGAUCUAAAAGCCACAAGCACUAGGCUAGGACCAAGUGAGUGAGUUAAGCUUGAGAGAAGGAAUUUCAAUGACUUUCCUAUCUAGAAGCCUGUGUUCUUUUUCUUUUCAAUUUAUAGAUUUCCUACCUCUUCCCACCCAAAAAAAGGAAGAAAAAAAACACUAAAAAUAUGUUUCAUCCUACACACUCACACCCUAGGUUCCCACCUCUGAUAUUGUCAAUCCUAAGUUAUUUAUGGAGACGACCUAAUCUCUAUACAACUAUUAGUUCCUCUUUGUUUCUUUAGUUUAAGAACUAAAAGUUUCAAUUACUAAACUAGUUUAAAUUUUGCUUGAAUAAAAUUUUAUUAUCAAAUCAUUUUCACAUUAAUUUUAUUAUUUUAUUUUUAAACCUGCAAAUACAAACCCGAACCAAAUAACACUCUUGUUGUCACAAUACAUAGGAGUAGGACGAGAAAGAGAAACACCGAUAUCAACAAGUAACCAACAUUACAAAACUAUCUUUCUAGUGGUAGAUGGAAUAUUAUGAAACAAUAGUUUGUUUCUUGGUCUUUUUAAAACAAAAAGGCAAAUCCCCCAAUAAAAUAUACAAAAUCUAGUAAUAGACUUGAGAUCCUCAAGAUCACAAACCCAUAAUCAGUAUCAAAAUAUGCAUGCAACUCCAAAGAGGAAGUGGAUAGAAGUAGAAGGCUCCAAAAUAAAGUGCCCUUAAUAUACCAUAGAAUAUGAAGAACAACUACCCAAUGAACUAUAGUAAGGGAAGCAACAAAUUGAUUAACAAUGUGAAAAACAUAAAUAAUGUACCAUCAGAAAAAGAAUAAUGAACAUUAACUUCAAGAGGAGUAUCAAUAGUCUUAAUAUCAAUAAGGUGAGUACAAUUGAGAAUAUCAACUAUGUAUUUAAACUACGAGAGACGAAACUUUUUAGAGAAUAAGCUAUCUCAAUACCCAAAAAGCAUGGUAGAAAGCUCAAAUCCUUCAUAAGAAACUAAGUUUGAUUUCAACAUUACAAUUCCAUCAACAUCAUCACGUAUGAUAAUCAUGUCAUCAACAUGUAGAGAAAGUAGAAUACCCAUUGUAAAUUAGGUGGAAUUAAAAUGAAUGAAUGGUUUUUUCUAUUCUCUUUUUAUUUAGCAAAUCCUUUUGAUGCCCAUUGUAUGCUUCUUGUGUAGCUGGGGUAUAUAGUUUUCUUUAAAUUUUAUAAUAUGCUCUUCUAGCUUAUUAGAAAAUCAUAAAGAGGACCCCUUUGGCUUUUUUUUAUAUUAUUUUUCUAUACUUAAAUGACAAAAAUGAUGAUUGAGGUUUGGCUUUCUUGCUUAUAUAUACUCUUUUGGUAAAUGCUUCAAAGCAUAUUCAUGAUACUAUCCUCUUAAUCUUGAGGAUGAGGUAGCAAAACUUCACGAAGGUAUUUGCAAAGUAGAAUGUACAACUUCUAGAUUAAAUUUGUUUGGAACUGUUUAUAAAGUUUGGAUUUGAAAUUAUUAUGAACUAUUUUUAAUAAAGUAUGAUUUUUAGAAACCUUAUCAUGUAAUCUAUUUAUACAAAUAAUAAUAAUAAUAAUUUCGAUGUCUUCUACAAUAUGUUUUCACUUCUAUAUUGUCUAAAUAACAUUUUCUAAUAUGUUGUCAUAUGUAUGUUUUCUAAUAUUAAUUUCUUCCAAUAUUUUACUUGGGAAUGAAAAUGAAAUACUAUAAUAACAACAUUUAGUUUGAACUAAGUUAAUUUAAUUUUGUUUUUUUCCCUACACACACAUAUAUAGAGCCCAUCUAAAAAAGGAUUGAUUGGGGUUCAAUUCUUUGAACAAAUUUCAUCAUAAAUGAAAAUAUCCUAUUAAAAUUGUAACAAUGAAUCAAUUUAAUUAGUAUAAACAUAUUCUACUAAUUUAAUCAUGUAUAGUUUACUAUAAAAUAUUUCUAAUUCUUUCUUAUUUCAAACUAAAAAGUUAAUUUUUUAAUCAAAACUUUUUGUUUUUAAAAAUAAGUGAUACAAAAGGUUGACAAUUUUUUUUUAAAAAAAAAAAACAUAGAAGAAGAAUAAAUUUAUGAUAUAUGAAAUAUGUAUAUAUCUCAACUUAGAAUUAUUGUAUUCUAUGUAAAGAGGAUAUAUAAAGAGACUGGGUCAAUAAAUUAUCUUAUUGAAUAUUUGAUUGAACAUGAUAUAUGGUAAUUAAUGGAUGAGAUCAUUUACCCUAUCCUAAAGCUAACCAAUCCUAGGAUAAGAUAUGUUAUCUCAUCUCUUAUCUCAUCCAAUAUUAUGUAUAUCAAGUCAAGUAAUACAAUUGAGUUGCAUGGGAUGUGGACUACUAUUACUUUAAGAAGAAAUAUAGAAGUGAUAUAAACUAUUAAUAAGUACCAUAUGGGUAACUCUGAGUGAUUCAAUUUAACAUCCACCUAUCUAAAUAUAUUUAUAAUAGAUCAUCUUGGCUUAUGAAAAUUACAAAGUUGAAACAAAAUUUGGAGCACAACUAGUAAUAUGAAAACAAAUCAAAAUUGGUAUCAUCGCUACAUGCUAGUUACCUAAUUAUAUUUCUAGAGCAUUCAAUUGCCAAAGUGAAAUCCCAUGAAAAGGGCCAAGAAAUGGUGAUUGAGUAAGAAGCUUUGAUGAGAUGUGUUGCAUUGUUGGACGAGAUCUCGGAUUAGAAUGUAUGCAUUUGAGUGCCAACCAAACCACAAGAACUACAUCUCUAGCAACUUGUUGAUCUUGAGGAGAUGGGAGACGUGAAUCUAACAUAUCAGUGAGCAUUAUGUUUUGAGUUGAUGAGGAAGACAAUAAGGUGAAAAGUUCUCCUGGAUGCUUUCCCAUCAUUGUCUCAAGCGCCACCACUCCAAAGCUGUAAACAUCACAUUUUUCUGUCACGACCAUAGUGUAGGCAAGCUCUGUUAAGAAUCAAAACAAGAAAAAAAUAUUACACAUAUGAGCAAGAAACAUUCAUUUAGUUUUCUCAUAUUAUCCAUACUUAUAAAACGUUGAGAAUAUUUCAUAGCAUUGCAUUGACAUUUGGCUACAUUUUAUUUCUAAAUUAUGAUGAAAUUAUGUUAAUUUUUACAACUUAUAUGAAACCUUCGAAAAACCAUUCUAAGGAGAUUUUAAAAAUAUUUGGGACUUACUAGGAAAAUGAAGACAACUAUUUAGAAAAUGCUUGAGAGACCAUUGAUAAGUAUUUUGUAUAUAAAGUUCUCUUACUCUCAAAUAUCUCAAACCAUUUUUUACAACAUUUUUUAAAUAACCAUUAAGAAUUUCCUUUCUUUUUUUUUUUUUUGGAACUUUAGACGAAAUAAUUAAAAAAUAUAUAUUUAAGAUAUUUCAACUUCUAUGAAGGCCCUUUGGGCCCAUAACAAAUAAUAUCUACAUAGUUACGAGUGGGUCAUUACAAAUUGUAUUAGAGUUAAUCUAUAACCAUUAUGUAGAAGUUUGUUUGGCUCUACAAUCUCAUGGGACAUAAAUAGGAUGUUGUGUUUGCAUAAAGGAUGAGUGUGUUAUCCCACUAUAGAUAUGAAACAAAAAGUUCUGACAUUAAAUAUGAAUGAGUUUCCCUUAACCUUAUAGACAAUUUUUAAAUUCAUGUGGGCUCCUUGGACCCAAAGUGAAGAAUAUCUAUAUAGUUGGGAGCUAUUAUUUAGUUUGCAUGAGAAAUAUAAUGAAAAAUAAUAUAUUAAAGAUUUAGAAGAAUUUAUUCACUUUCAAGCUCUUCAUAAUUUUGAAAUAAGUAAUAAUAGUAGAAAAAGUUUGGUUUGGCUAGUAAUAAUAUUUCCUUUCCUUUCAUCCAACAUAAUUUGUGACUUAUAUGAAGUAUAUAAUAAGAAGUAUGAUUGUACUAAAUACUUCGAAUCUCAAAGAUAACAAACUUAUUAAAACGAAAACAACCAAAAGUUCAAAAGAUAUAUCGAAAGAGUAAAAGCUGAAAGAAAAACUGGUGUGUACUUACCUGGUGCUAUGUAACCAUAAGUGCCUGAAAGAAGGGUUUGAUUAGAUGAAUCAGGAUGUAGCAGUCUAGAGGUGCCAAAAUCCGAUAGAAAAGCAUCCAAUUUGGAGUCCAAAAGAAUAUUAUUGCUUGAUAUGUCCCUAUGAAUAAUGGGUGGAGUACAAUCAUGAUGCAUGUAGCAUACGGCAUGGACUAUGCUUUUAACCACAUUCACCCUUUUAAUCCAAUCCAAUUCCAAAGCUUCAACUUCAUUACUCAAUACACAAUACAAGCUUCCUCUUCCCAUGUAAUUGUAAAUCAAAAACAUGCAUCUUUUGUGUAGACAAUAGCCUUGAAGUUUUACAAUAUUUCGAUGGCGUAUCUUUGAUAAUAUUUGCACCUCAUUUUGAAAACUUUUCAAGUAUGUUGCCUCAUCUGUUUCCCAUCCAUGAAGCUUUUUCAGGGCUACCACAUUGCCUGUAGGCAAUUGAGCCUUGUAAACACUGCCAUAGCCUCCUGUACCUAUGCAAUAUUUGAUGUCAAAGUCUUCUGUUGCUUUAAUGAUAUCUUCAUAGGCAAUCUUCCCAUCAUAGUUCCAUACUGAAAAUAUAUCUCCAUUUUUUGUUGGUAUUUCCUUGGUUUGAAUUUUUCUUGUCUUCCGUGAAAGCAGGAGAAACCCAAGGACCACAAAAAAAAAGAAACAAGGUUGUAGACAAAGAAAUAACAAUGAUGCGUGUGGUUUUGUAUUCUUCUUUGCAAUGAGGCAAGCCUUUGAUGUCACCACAUAAACCUUUGUUAUUGUCAAAUGAACCUUGGGAAAAUUUAGACUGCAAUUCAAAGGGUAUAUGACCCUCUAAAUCAUUGUAUGAUAAAUCAAGUGAUGGCCUUAUGUGGUCAUAUAUUAGAAGAGUAGGAAUGGAACCAGAGAGUUUAUUGUGGGAGAGAUUCAAGUAUACUAAGCGCUUCAAGUUUUGGACUUGGGAAGGUAUCUUUCCAUGGAUCAAGUUGUCACUAAGGUCGAGUCUAGUUAGAUUAUUCAAAUUUCCUAUCGAAGAAGGGAUCUGACCACUGAUUUGAUUUCCACUAAUGUUGAACUCAUGUAAAUGAAUGAGAUAACCCAAAGAUGAAGGAAUAACACCGGUAAGAUUGUUGUGAUCCAAUCUAAGAUGGAUUAGAUUCUUCAGAUUCCAAAUUAUAGGAGGGAUAGAACCAUUGAUUUGAUUAUAACAAAGAUACAGAUCUGUCAAAUUGGUAAGAUGACCAAAUGACAAGGGGAUGCCACCCUGGAUUUGAUUGUUGAAGAGAUGUAAAUAAGUCAAAUUGGUAAGAUGACCCAAAGAGGAAGGAAUAGCACCGAUGAGGGAGUUAUGACUAAGGCACAAUUGAACCAAAUUCUUUAAAUUUCCGAUUUCAGAAGGGAUGGAACCGUUAAUUCGAUUGAAAUUAAGGAAUAAGUAUUCCAGAUUGCUUAAAUUGGCAAGGGGGGAAGGGAUGACACCAGAAAGAGAGUUAGAAACCAAAUACAAAUGAGUAAGAUUCUUCAAAUUCCCAAUUUGGGAAGGAAUAGAACCAUUGAUUUCAUUGAUGCUAAGGUCUAAAUAUUUCAGAUUCUUCAAAUAUCCAAGAGAGGGAGGGAUGACACCAGAGAGCCCAUAGUUAAAACUCAAAUCCAAAUGAAUAAGAUUCUUCAAAUAUCCAAGAGAGGAAGGGAUGACACCAGAGAGAUUGUUAUAAGCCAAAUCCAAUUCCUCUAAUAGAGUGAGGUUACCCAGUGAAACAGGUAGCUCACCAUAAACAUCACAUUCAGAUAUACGGAGGUAAGUGAGUUUUGUAAGCAUACCUAUCUCAUCUGGGAUGCGACCAUAGAUGGAAGAAUGGCUAACGUAGAGAUGGAGGAGGCUGGGAAAUGAAGAAAACUUCAACUUGCUAAGCUCAACCAUUUUACCAUCGAUAUAUGAAUAGGUAAUUCGAACGACAUGUCCCUCCGUAUUGCAGGUGAUGCCUUCCCAUGUGCAGUGAUGAGAAGUCGUGUUUUCCAUGUACCACCACCAAGUGGAGUUGCGGAGAGCCUCGGCCUCAGCCUCCACCUGUGCCUCCGUUGUAGCAGCAGCAGCAGGUGGUGAUGAGAUCAAGAGCAUGUUAUAUAAUAACAAUACCAUUGAAACCACCAACGCCCUACAAGUAAUGGAACACCACUCCAUUUUUGCUUGUUUUCGAUUAAUAUUGCUUUGCCCCAGUUUCAGCCUUUAUUAACUCGUGUUUCAGCGGCUGCAACUCAAGCCAGUCAAAGAAGUCGGCUGGAAAUUCAGCGGAAAUGAAGAUAAGAUCAAGAGCAUGUCAUAUAAUAACAAUACCAUUGAAACCAACCAACGCCCUACCAGUAAUGAAACACCACUCCAUUUUUUCUUGUUUUCGAUUAAUAUUGCUUUGCCCCAGUUUCAGCCUUUAUAACUCGUGUUUCAGCGGCUGCAACUCAAGCAAGUCAAAGAAGUCGGCUGCAACUCACGCAAGUCAAAGAAGUCAGCUGGAAAUUCAGCGGAAAUGAAGAUAAUUAAUAUUUUUGAAAUUUUAAAAUAAAAACUCAAACGAUAAUGAUAUUAUAAAAAAAUAAUAUUCACAAUUUUUUUUUAAAUUAAUUUUAGGAAAUAAUAAAACCUCACCUGUAUUUAGAAAAUGAUAUAAUAUUUUCUAACUCUAAAUAUAUGUAUUAUAAAAAUAUUACAAAUUUUAACGUUAUGUCAAUCAUUGCAAAAUAAAUGUUUUAUUUACCUUAUUAAUUUCAUUAAUUCUAAAAAGGAAAUCAAGGCAAAUUCUAUUUUAUCUUUUCUUCUUUUGUCUUCAAAUCAUACCUACUUUACAGGUGUUGAGCAAACUACAUAAAGUCAACCAAGUCUUCGUGGGCUCAUGUGGCUGGAAACUAGGUGGAUGAAGUAUGAAUAGAGCAAAAAUGUAUACCUAAAAAAAUAAAAAACUUCUAUAAGAAAAUGGUAGAAAUCUUGUACUGCAAUGAUACCUGAUCAACAACUCAAAUAAAAAUAAAAAUAAAAAAUUAAUUAACUUUUAGAAACUAAAUCAAAUUUUCAUCUUGAAAAAUUCCCACUUCAGUUUUACAACCACUUAAACAACAUUCCGUAGUAUGAUUUCACCAAUAGUUAUCAUGUAAGUAUAUAUAUAUAUAUAUAUAUAUGAUUGAGUGGGAAAUAUAAUUGAAAGUGAGAGUUUACAUGCGUUCUAAAUUAUAUGCAUUGCAUAAAAUACAAACUUUUCAACUCUUUUUAAUUUUUUUUAUUUUAUAAAUAUUUUUUUAAUGUAAUAUGUAACUUGAUAAAUAAGAGAACAAAAAAUGAUGAAAGUCAUAUAUAUUAAAAAUAAUAAAAAUAUAAAAUAAUUGAGGGGGAAAUACAAUUGAAAGUGAGAGUUUGCAUGUGUUUCAAUUAUAUGAAUUACACAAAGUACAAACAUUUCAAUUUUUUUAAAAAAAUUUAUUUAUUAUUUUAGAAAUAUUUUUUUAAUGUAAUAUGCAUGGUUUUAAAAACUAGAUGAGACCGUCGAUCGGUCACCGUUUCUAUCCGAUUCACACCUUUGAGUUGGACAGUUUUUGAAUCGCCUUGAGACUGAUGAACCGAUUGACCUGACCGAUUUUGGACAAAAAGAACGGUUCAAAAAAUAUAUAUCAAUCUCAAAACACUAUCACCAUGAUGACGCCAUUCUGACGGUCCUAACAUUGACUCUUCCCAUAAGUAAUAAUUCAAUAAAUUGUUUUAAAGUUUUGAUAUAGAAAUGUCAAAGUGACUAAAUUUGUGGCUCUAAAUUAAUAAUUUUGUGAAUUUUAAAUUUAGUUAUUAAAUAAGUUAAAAAAAAAUCUUGAUAUUUGAAUUGAUUAUCUUUAAAGAGAAAAACUUUAAAAUAUCCAUUAUAUACAUAUAAAUAUGUUAUUGAAUGAAAAUACCAAUUAUAUACAUAGAAGUUUGUCAUUGAUUGAAAAUAAGAUAUGUGAUAGAGAAAAGUUAUUUUUUUGGUAUCAUAAUUAAAUUUAAAAAAUAAAAUAAAAUAGUGAAUUAAUAAUUCAAUAACAUAUCAAUAUUUUAAUUUUAACAUUUCAUAUCUGUGGUUAAAUAUGAAUUAUUAAAUAAAAAUGUCAUAAAAUAAUAUUUGAAUAUACAAACCCAAGAUUAUGAGUCUUUCACUCACAUUUUUAUAUUUUUUUUUAUAUUUUAUAUUUUUAUUUUUAUUUAUUUUAUUUUUUUAUUUCCAUUAUUAUUUAUUUUCAUUUUACAAUUGUAAUUUUUUUAACUUUAUGGUUUCUAAAAUUAUAAUUUUAAUUCAAAUAAAUGAAAAUAUUAUGAUUUUAAAUAAAUUUAUGAAAAUAUUGUGUUACUCAUAAUUUAUCAUUUUUAUUUUUAAAAUUAUUUUUAAUUUUAAUAAUAUAUAAAAAUAUAUAUUUAUGACGUCACCGGUUCAAUGCCGAUCCGACUAGUGAACCGGUAACUUUUUCAUUUCAAUGAUCGAUUCGAUUAUGAAAACAUUGGUAAUAUAUCAAAGAAGAUAAAAAUCAUUUAAAUAUAUUCUAGCCUUUUACCCAUCAUUCUCUAAAAAAAGAAUGAAAUGUUGAAGAUUUUUGUAACUUGACAUGCAGAAGAUAAAUUUAUAUUUUUUGAUAUAAAAAAAUUAUAAAAAUUGAAAAAUAAAAUUAGGGACAUUGAUCAUAUAAUACAAUGGAUGUCAUUAGCAAAUUCUAAUAAGAAGGUAAAAAAAUUAUACCCUUUGUAAGUGCAUUUUUAAUUUAAGUUGAUAAUUUUAUCUUUUUUAUUCACAUGUAGGACAAUUUAUAUUACUAUAUCAUAUACUUCAUCAAAGAUUUAAUGUUUCUAAUAAUUAAUCAAGGAUGAAAAGGGUUUUUUUUUUUUUUUUUUUUUUUUUUUACAUAUAACGAAAACUAAAAUUAUUUCUUGUUUUUAUUUUUUUUACAUAAUAGCAAAUAUUUCUUAUUUUUUAUUUUAAUAGUAAUAAAUAAUAAAAUUAGAAUUAUUAAACAUUUUAAUAUAAUUAUAAACUAAAACAUACUACAUAACACAUUAAAACCAUCAACGCAUUAUUUGAUCAUUAUCUUAAUUACAUGGUUAGCCGAGAUUGUUGAGGGUUCGCAUUACCGGGACCACUGCAACUGCCUGAUGGACGCGCCUCCUCAAUUGAAGAUUAUGCUUCCUUUCUUCGACCUGCAAAAGAUGUUCGGAUAGGGCGUCCGGACACACCCUCCGAUGAUUUUGUUAGUUUUUCUCUCUUAACACUUUGAUAUUCUCUCUUGGGCCCUCCUCCUUAGGAAAAAUGCUUACCUUCUUUUAUUGUGUGGGGGCCUUUUAGAGUGCUAGGAGCUUUGUCCCUUUUAAUGGUGGGAAGACUUUUUGGCUUGUCAUGAUGGUGCUUAGAUGGUGGCAGAGCCAUCAUUAUCCUGCAGGUGGCUGUAAGAGAUUAUUGGGGGGAUGACUUGUCGUCAUCCUUGUCUUUUCAUCCUGCAGGCGGUGCAGGGCAGGUCGUGGCAAAUUGCCUGAAGUGACCUAGAAGGGUCCUGUCAAGCUAUUGAGUCUGCUUUUAGUAGUAUGAAUAAUGAUGGCCCGUGAAACGCGAUCAAGACUUUUGUCUAAGACGCUAGCCACUGAGUCCAGACAGGACAUCCGGACAAGGGAGGUGUGGAUGGCAUGCCCGUCCCAUGGUCAUCUGGAUGGAGGGUUGGACGCGCCACGUGUCCAAUGGAGGAGUGCUCUUAUGGUGGGAUAUUAGAGUAUGGGAGGAUUCUCACCUCCAUCAUUGCCAGAGUCAUAUGCUGCCAUGGUGCUUAUGCUGCUUUCACUGCACACAAGUUAUUUUGAGUUUCUAAUUAACCUUAACAGAACAAUAAAAAUUAGACUCCAAAAGAAUCAAGUGAUUAAAUUAAGUUAAAUACACACCUCUUUUAUCCACCAAAAGCAAACCUAAAUUAAAAGAUGAAAAAAAAAUAAAAAAUCAAGGAGCUGAAGUACUUACUAAGAUAAUUGGAAAUGGGUCACGAAGCUUAAGAAAAAUUUAAAAAUUAGAAAUUUAAUUCCUUCUCCAAAGCACUGCUGACAAAGGAGAGAGAACUUUAAUGUUAGCACUGAUUCAUUCCCAAUUGGUGUCUCAGCUGAUUCAUGUCCUCUCAAUGGUCCCUGAUAAUGGUACCAUUUGAUUUGUGUCCAGUUGGUGUUCCUUGAUUGUGGUCCUCAAAAGGAAGUAAUCAACAAAAUUUAUAACCUAUAUCACCAUGCAUUAGGAUAGUCUUAGCUAAUAUAGCAUAGUGGCUCUAGGAUCGUUCACUAGGAAGGGUUUUCAACUUACAACUGAUACCAAUUCAAAGUUGAAUUGGUACUUUUUCAUUUCAAGGUUAGCUUAAGAAGAAAACAUAAACUUUGGUUGAAAAAGGUUUUGUUUUAAGCUAACUAAAAAGAAAGUAAUGGAAAUUACUUAUGAAAGAAAGCAUUCCUUGGAGUUUUAGGUUCAAAGAGGAGGCUCCUCAUGCAAAAACAGAGCUCCGAUCACUUGAAUCUUUUCGUCGCAUUAGAGAAUUAACAUAUAGUUAAUUCUCUAACCGGUGUUGUACAGAUGUUUCCCUUUAAUGGAUUUCAGCACUAAUUCCCUCUCACUGAUGCAACUUGCAAUGGCUCAUGCCUCUCACCUAGCAUUUGCCAUUCAAGGUGAUCAUUAACCUUGGACUUCCCUUCUCAAGCUCCAAGAGAUAACUAAUGGAUGUCUCCUUAGAGUCCAAAAGCUUACUAAGUGUUGGCAAUUCUAGAAAAUCCUACCUUCAAGUCACCUCCCAAAAGCUCGCAAGAGAUAAACUAGUGCAUCUCCAUGGAUGGAGAUCACUUGCCUUACCAAGUGUUGGCUCAGGUGAAUUGAAGGUGUUUUAAGUUGACUAAAAACAUAGAAAUCAUUAAUGGGUCACACUUUCUCUUCAUUAAUGGCUGAAACAACAAAACUACCAAUUCUUGCAUUUGGGGCCUUACCUGGCAACCUUAGCUCCAAGGAACUAAAAGCCUAGCCACUCAUUCUCUGAGGAAACAUCCUCAGAGCUUGUUUGGCUAGUAAGAAAAAUUAAAUAAUAUACAAUACAAUCAAAACGAGAAGGUAAGGCAGAGCAAAGGCUCUGUAUUUUACUUCCUUGCAAAACUAUACAAAGGAUGUCUGAGAACAAGCUCCCGACCUCUUGUAAUGGAAAUUACAAACAAUAUAUAUGAGGGUAUUUACCCUUUGUUCUUGCUUGAUAACUAAGGAAUCCUAUGAUAGGUGGAUUACAAGGAGAGUUUGGGGAUUUAGACAUCAAAUAUCUAAAGCAAAAAAAAAAUCUAAAAAUGUCGCAAAUAUCGGGAAGCUUCAAGAGAAUUUCGCAGCCGUGCAAGAUGGCUGCAAAAUUUCGCAGCAUGAAGGACACCAUUUCGCAGCCAAAGGCUGAUUUCGCAGCCAUCCUCUUGUGAUUUCGCAGUCCGCGAAAUUGGCCUCAACUUGGAGUGAUCGGCUUCCAAUGGCUCUAACUCCUUCAUUUCAACUCCGAAUCACGUACCAUUUGAAGCGUUGGAUUUCUGACUUCCCGAGCUUCGAAACGACAUAUAGUAUACAUAAUUUGAGCUCCAUGAAGUGCUCCAAAAGUGGCUGACAGAGACUGUCCUCUAGAAUGUUUCAUGGUAGAUUUCUCUCUUUGCUUUCCCUCCUUGCAUUCUGGAUUUGCUUAUGGAAAAGGACUCUAAAGCUUCAAAGCUUUGGUUCUUCAUGUUUUUAAGCUUUCCAUUGCUUUGCCAUGGAUUCCAAAGAACUCUCCUCAAACUCGGAUUGCUUUGGUGAUCAAAUUACUAACAAAAACACCAAAACUUACACAAUUUGAUUAGAAAUGAUUGCAAAGGUCCUUAAUAUGUUAAUUGGGCUAAAAGGUAAUAACUACUACUCAAAAGUGUUUAAAAGAGUUAAUUACAAGCUAUCAAAUAGCACCUUUGAGUAGUAAUCAAGCACAAAAAGGGAUCUUCGUGAUGCUAUAUUUUACACCGCACAUGCUUGUGUCUUCUAUACCUUCCAAUUUGCAAAUAACUCUGCCUCUUCUAAUCCACAUCAAUCAAUGGUUUCCUUCUCAUAUUUCCAAUUGAUUGAUCUGAUCUGAUUUUCAAAGUGGGUACAUGCAUCUUCUUUCUAACAUGGAGAUUACUUGCCAAGCAAUUGGCUGCGCGCAUUAAUCAUUUCCCAUGAUAUCUAGUUGCAUAAAGAAAAGUAAGCUCUCAAGCCUUUUGCUAAUUGAUUAAAAUCAUAGUGAAGAAGACAAUAAUUACAUAAUAAUCAAAUACUGUUCACAGUGAAUGAGACAUGAAAGCUCUAAGCAUUUUCAAAAUUCUUCUACUAAGUGAACAACCAAAUUGUAUCCAGUGUAAAGGUCAAAUCAUCUUCAAGUAACUUGCCUGCUUCUCAUGGUGCAUUAUCUAAAAAUCUAAAAAUCUUGUGACGAAUGACUAAGGCUUCCAAGAAUAUUUGAUGUAUUGAGCCAACAAAUAUUAGACAUAGAAUCGACACACAUAAGUAUUGUAGUCCUUUGUCCUACUAAAAAGAAUGAAUAAAUUAUUAGAUCAAUUAUUAGUGUCUGAAUACUGUAAUUUAAGUGUUAUAUUCUUGCUUACUUCACCACAAUAUUAAAGAAGAUUUGACAUUAAAAAAAAGUAAUAAUUAUUCAUAUUCAUGCCAUGAACAAGGACCUCUUUUAUGUUAUGGAUAUAUAAAAUAUAUUAACAAUCCAUUAUGCUAUGUUUGAGAGCUCACACACAAAACAAAGUAUUGGAAUAAAUUAAUAUAAAUUCAGGACUGAUAGCUCCUAUCCUACUUCCGCCCUUUUUAUGAAAGCAAUUUCCCAUGCUUGGGCCAAACUUGUGAUCGGGAGGAGCAAAUUGGGGUGGGUAAGCAUAAUUGAUAUUUAUUCUUGCCCAAUUUUCCCCUCAAUUUCUGUAAUUCGAUUAUAACAAGCUAAAUUAGGUAUCAAUAAUUACUAUGAGAAAAAAAAAUGGGAUUAAAGGUAUUUCUCUUCUUAGCAAUCAUACAUUACAAAGAGAAUCAAGAUUGCUUACCUAUCAAUUUUCUUUUCUUCUACAACAAGUUAAAAUUAUAGAAUAAAAUAAAUUAAUAAAAUGAAAAUACUAGCAACCAAACUAGUAAAAAAUUUGUUGGACCUUCAAAGAGAUGAUGAAGAGAAUACUAAAAAUGAUGAAAAUAUUGUUGGCAACAACAAUAAGAGUAUAGUACUGAUGUGACAACAAUAAUGACAAAGAUUACUAUGACAUUAGAGGGAAAGAGUACCCAUGAUGCGAAUCAUUCAUAGAGAUGUGAACAACGAUAGUGAUAGAGAUGACUAUGAUACUAGAGCUAUAAUUGGAGUGAAGCUAAGAUAAGUUCCUCACAAGCGUUGAGGUUCAUUGAUAAGAAUUAUCACAUCAAUUUCUUGUCUUAAGGAUGCUCAUCUUUGCUAUAGUUUUUUUUUUUUUUUUAAUCUUUGAAUUUUGGGAUAAUUUUGUUUUGGACCCAGCUAGGCCCAAAAAUUAAGUAUUGGUCCAUAUAAGUUCACCAUUUAAGCCCAAGACCCAAAGGAAGUGUGAAAAUCGAGAAGAAGGAUAUGAAUUUUUUAUCUUUCUGAAAAUGACCUUUGUUGACUAUGAAAAAAGAAUUUAGAAAAAUCCACUCUGAAAUUCUAUUUAUGUUACCCUAAUUUUACUCUCUUCGACAUUUCAUUUCAGCCCUAGAUAGUGGCAUUUUUCAUCUCUUCCAAUUUCCUCCCUCGCUUCCAUUUCAUUUGAGGCCUAAACAUUGCCCUAAUCUCUGAGGCGAUUUCCUUAUCUCUCAAUUUCGUCUCUCCCAACCAUUUGAUUUCAAGCCAGUGGCAUUUGUCAUCUCUACUGAUACAUUACCCUCAUCAAUCCCCAUCGAUGUUACCCUUCGUGUCAUAGUAGUUGGAUAUUUGAGGUUAGUUGGUUCUCCAAUUUCAUUUUCUCUUGAUUUCGUCUCUCGACCAUUUGAUUUCAACCCAAAUACAUUGCCCUAAUUUCUCUCCUGAUUUCAAUUUGUUGUCUAUUGUUCUCUCGUCAAUCCCCACCGGCGUUGCCCUCUAUGUCAACCGUAGUUGGAUAUUUGAGGUUAGUAAGUUCUCUAAAUCUAGCCCUAGAUUUGUUUAAUCCUACAUUUUGUUUAAUUGUCAUUGGUAUGGGGAGAGAGAUUCUUGUUUUCUAUUAACCUUCAGUUUACGAAGUAAAUUUAGGGUGCUAUUAAUAUUUUUUGCAACCUAUCUGUGAAUGGAAAUAGUUUUUAUUUAUUAUAGUGUUUUUUUUUGCUGAGAUACAUAGGUGACUUAUGAAAUUUGGGUGCUUGGGUUUUCUCUUUUUACACUAAUGGAUUUUUUCGAUAGUUGAACCAAAUUCUAGGGAAGGAAUGUUUCAAAAUUAUGCACCAUCCCUACUUAAUUUUUGGAUAGUAGUAUUCAUUUGUACCCUGUUUUAUUGGUGAUACUACUAGUGGCCCCCGUUUUUUGUUCCAAGAUAAACAUGCUUAGUUGUUAUCUGCCUUUUAUGAGUGGUUAUGAAUUGUUCUCCUCAUGACAUAAAUUGAAAUUAUUAUGCGCCUAAAUAUAGUGAGUAUCUAAAUGGAAUUCGAUGAUGGCACCAAGAAAUAAAAUGUGCCAAUAUUCUUAAAAAAAUAAAAAUAAAAAUUAUUGACCAUGUUACCCUUCAACCUUGAGGACUAGGGUUAUGGAAUCAGAUUCAACCAACAUUGGCUCACACUUACCUCAAUAUGAGCAUGAACCUGUGUCCCGUGUGAAGGAAUAGAUAGCUUAUAUGACUUAUCAACACCAUUUUGUAACUACACAACACAACAAAUUUCACUGGCAGAAUUGGCAUUUCUUCAAUAAAAUAAACAGAAUAAUGCAAACUAAAACAAACUUCGAACAACUUUUAGAGACAAACAUGUGAAUAUGAAAAUAAAGUUCUAAUGAAAAAGGAAAUCAUACACUACUAUUUUCCUUAAGGAAAAGAAUUUUGUUCCAAACCUUCGGCUCAGGGUUUGAUUUCCACCUCAAAAAAAGUACUCAUCAAAUAGAAUGUAUAGAACAUCACUACAGUUCCCAUACCAAGUCAAUUUUUAAAUUUUUGUAAGCAUAAAUUGAAAUUAUAUGAACAGUAAAACUCCUAUGCAUUACAGUACCUAAAAACCGAAUCUCUUAUCUUCAUUCAUAAAAAAAAAGUGCUUACUCAAAAGUUGUAUUCAGAUCAUGAUUUAACUUCAAUUAUUUAGAGAUCUCCUUAUGGAAUAAAUAAAAGGGUUUGCUUGAACAAUGUCAAGUGUACCAAAUGGACUUGGUUUUCUUAAUCAAGUCUCUGAAUCAGUGUUAAGUUUGCUUUAAUAAUAGAAAGGUUUUUUUAUUCUGUUAGUAGUUCAGAGUCAUAUGCACACGAGCAUAGGUGUAAAUGAUGCUAUGAACAAGCUGUGGAACCUCAAAUUAGUUUAUCAAUGUAAGGUUGAAGACCUAGUCAGGUACUUCAUUCAUAGGAACAUGAAUUACUUUUAUGAAGAUUAUGGAGCAUAAGAUCACAUAUGUUAUUGAAUAAGCUAGGAUUUAGGGCUUGGUAGUUAAAAGUUGUAGUAGAAGUGAUAUUCUGAUGCCUAGGUUAAAUGUUUCAGUAGCUACUAUGUCUCAUGUAUAUGUUAUUAUUUGUUAUUAUUUGUUUCAAUCCAUUAUUCUGAUUUCAGGGAAUGUUUUAUUUUUUUUCAUGCUUGUCUUUAUGAAAAAAAAAAAAAAACUUUCAAAAGUGACCAACACUAAGUCAUGCUAGGGUGAGCAUUUCUUAGGGUCAAACAAGGCACCCACUCCACUUUAGCCCAUGUCGUUGCAAUUUUCAAUAUAAUAGAAAGAACACAAAAUACAAAAAAAGUAAAAAAAAUAUGUUUGUGUUAUUACCUAUUAUUACUUCAAUUGACUGUCAAUAGACUGCGUAAUUAAUAGUUAAAAGUUAUCCAUCUUAACUUCUCCAUUUCAGCAUGCUUAUUUGAUGUGGGUAGGCACCAUUAGUAUAGGGCCUUCCCUAUUAUUAUUCUCCUUCCUAAUACAUAAAGGGGUUUCAAUCAUACAAUUAAUGGGGUCUCAAACAUAAAGAAUUUUAACAAAUAUGGAUGUGACAAUUCAUCCCUAAACCUAAUAAAAAUACCCUCAGUCCUCCACAAACCUUGGUUCCAAUUCCAAAAACUGUACUAACCCAAAAACCACUUCAACAGAUGGAACAUAUUUUCAUGUUCAAAGGAGGUCAUUGGGCAUAUACCCCACUACCAGUUCUGCAGCGACUUUAGAUCUUCAAGGGAAUUCUUGCUUUUCAAAUUUGUUUGACCCAAAGGAAUUGUGGAGGAAUUACAUGAUCUUCACACAAUCUUUUCCCCCAAACUUCACCAUCUUUCUCCACGAACCAUACUCAAAUUCUCUCUUUGAAUUUAUUUUAUUGGACAAUAUACCCAGGUCAUAGCCACAUACACAUUUUAAAGAUAUCUAACAUGGCAACUUCAAUUGAUCGCAUAUAAAACCCAAAUUUUACAAACAUCUGCUAUGGAAAUUUGAAGGGUAUAUUUGUCUAAUAAUAUUCUAUAUCUUCUCUCUCAAUUAUGCAACUUAUAUGGCCCAAAGGUUAAUUUUUCAUUAGAAAUGAGUGUGUGAGUUCUUCAAAAGCAUUUGAAAUCCAUCAAGAUAGGUAGUCUUGUACACCCUUGUAUAGUUAACACAUUUGCCUUGUACACUUAGUGCAAAUGCCUUGUACAGUCAUAGAAAUUCCAUAUAGGUACAACUGAACAAGUGCUUAAGGGUGGGUAAACAAUGUUUCCAUUCUCAUGGAUCAAGGAAAAUGAGAAAAAAAAAUUACCUUAAUUUCGGUUCAUAUUCAUGAUUAGUGGAUGAUCUAAUAAAAUGAAUGAACAUGGUAGACAUCAAAUAAAAUGCAUGCAAUGGGUGUGUGGUCAAGCAAUGUGUGUGAAGAAUGUCCCCCAUGAUUGGAAAAAGUAAAUGAGUAAGUUCUUCAAAAUCAUUUCAAAUCCCUUAAGAUAGACACCCUUGUACACUUUUGUAUAGUUAGUACAUUUGCCUGGUACACUUUGUGUAAAUGCCUUGUAAAGUGGUAGAAAAUCGACAUAGCUACAAUUGAAAAUGAGAGCAUAUGGGUGGGGUAACCACAUUCCAAUGUCAUGGCUGAGCAAAAAUGGGGAAAAUGAAACCCAAUUUAGGUACCUAUUCAUCAUUACUACGGUAGCUCAUCCAAUGAAUGUGUACGAAGAGGAAUGAGGAAUGUCCCACAUCCUUAGAAAAGGGAAAUGAGCAAGCCAGUUUUUCAAAAGGAUUUGAAAUCCUUCAACAUAGGUACCCUUGUACACCUUUGUAUAGUAAGCACAUUUGUCUUGUACACUUAGUGUAAAUGCCUUGUAUAGUGGCAAAAAAUUGACAUAGCUACAACUGAACGCAUGCAUAUGGGUGGGCUAACCAUGUUCCAAUGUGAUGCCUAAGGUAAAAGGGGGAAAUGAAACCCAAUAUAGGUUCAUAUUCAUCAUUAGUACGGGAGGUCAUCAAAUGAACAUGUAUGAAGUAAUAAAAUUGAAUGGGAUCAGUGCGUGAUCAAGGAAUGUGUGUGACAAAUGUCCUUCAUCCUUACAAAAUGGAAAUGAUUUUAAACAGAUUUGAAAUCCUUUAAUAUAGGUACCUUUGUACACCCUUGUGCAGUUAGCACAUUUACUUUGCACAAUUAGUGUAAAUGUCUUGCACAGAGGAAGAAAUUCCAUACAACUACUACUGAAUAUCUGCUCAUACAUAGGUUAAUCAUGUUUGUAAUGUUUUAGUUCAUAAAAUAAGGAAAAACUGAAGUAUCAAUUUCUUCCCCAACUACUAGUCAUCAAACAUAAAGGAGUUUCAAUCAUACAAUUAAUGGGGUUGUGUUUUGGAUCAUAGCAUAAUAAUUUUCAUAAAUAUGAAUGUCACAAUUCAUCCCUAAACCUAAUAAAAACACACUCAAUCCUCCAUAAACCUAGGUUGGAAUGCCAUAAAAUAUAGUUACCCCACAAUUCUACUCCAAAAGGCCAUAUACCUUAUUUAACGUAUUUUCAUCUUCACAGGAGGUUGUUGAGCCACUGGCAUCAUCAUGACCACACUUGUAGCUGCUUUAGAUCUUCGUUGGAGUUAUUCCUUUUCUCUAUUUUGUGUAGUGGACCAACCUCACAAUCAUGACAACCAUCUUCUUUGCUUUUAAUAUACGUUUGAUUUGAAGGAUAGUUAUUAUGGAGGAAUUGCAUCAUCAUCAGAGAAUCUUCUUCCCCAAACUCACCGUCUCUCUCUGUCAACCAUACCCAUUUCUUUUCUUUGGACGAUUGACCCAACAAGAAGAUUUUUAAGUCGGAUUUUUAAGACAAGUGACAUGCCAAACUUAAGGAGAUCUUCUCCAUUUAUGAGUUGCUCACAAUCCUCAGUUGUUGAAGGAAUUGAUUGGGGGACGUCAGAGUCGAGGGAAAAAAAGGGGUAGGAGUGGUGACCGACCUUUAUUUCAAAUUUUUAAGAUAAGUGACGUGGCAUUUUUUUAUUGGUCUCUUAAUAUUUAUAUCCUCCCCAUCAAUUAUGCAACUUAUAUGGACCAAAGCUUAAUUUUUGGGCCCAGUUGGGUCCAAAACCAAUUGUCCCUUAAAUUUUUGCUACUUUUGUAUGUUACUAAUGGAAAUGUUCAUUAUUGAGAGUAGGAAUGACUUUGCUAAAGAUUAAAACUCAUUAUUUCAUGUCGGUGAAAAUGAGUAUGACUUCAAAGGUGGAUAGUGUGAUAAGAUUUAGGGUUUGAGAUUUGAGAGAGAGGGAGUUGUUAAUGGAAAUGGGGUUAUCUUUUUCCACUUUUCACUUUAUAUGGGGAGUAUUUGGAAAUAUUAAGAAUAUAAAAAACAAAUUAAUUUGUCUUUUUCAUUGAUAAGAGGGGCAAGUGGGAGUGGGUUAACACAACCUAAACUUGUCCAAGAUAUAUAAUCCCAUGCUUGACUUGCUUCAGUUAGGAUUUUUUCAAAUCCAUUCCAUUAGAAGUGGCAAUGAUAGCUAAUGCCACAUAUUAAAAACAAAACCAAAAUUAAGUACUAUUUAUUAUUUUUAAAAAGAAAAAUAUGAGGAUGAUGUAAAAUUAUUAGCAACAUGUGUUCAAAAAUCAUUUUGGAAACUUUUUGUCCUCUUGAAAAUGAAUAAUUUAAAAAAAAAUUGUUUUUCAAUUUGUGUUUUAAAUAAGGUAAGUUUUUAACAAUUGAAAAUGAUUAAUUAGUUUUGUAGGUACACUGGAAACUAUUGGUUAGUCGCAAAAUAAGAAUCUUCUAUAAAGUUAAACAAAUGUUUUCCUAAUGAAAUUCAUAAUUUCCCUACAGAUGAUCAAUAUAUCAAAUGCCACAAUAUUGAAGGUCCAUCAAUAAAACUGAGAAAGAUUAAGUUAGUCUAAUUGUUACGCCUACAAAUAAAAGAAAUUGCAAAAUAGCUUAUUCAAAAACCAACUAUACAGACCGAGAUGCAAUAAUACUAUCAAGACUAAGAUCCAUGUCUUUGAUAAUGUUUAUAUUCAAAGUACUUUAAAUGAAAUUCUUGAUGAAAAAAUAACUUAUUAAGCAUUUCUCCAGUAAAUACUAUAAGUGAUUUUUCAACUUUUUAAAUUUUACUAAACGCUUAUUUUUUUCUUUAAAAAUACUUUUUAAAAUUGCUAUCAAAUGGGCUCAAAGAUGAAAAGAUUUCUCAUCUCCAUAUGUCGAUGCAAAUAUAAAUAUAUGAACAUUUCAUUUAGUUUCAUAUGAUAUAGAUGGUAAAUAAUUUAAUUGGUGCAUAUUAUUUUAAAAUUAACUCUUAUAACACUAGUCAACAAUAAGAUCAUCCAAUUCUCUAGUGUGGGAUGCUCAUGUCCAUCUAGUAUGACUCUUAAUUUGUGUAGCCGUAUCUUCGUCCAUCCAUCCAAGGAUUUGGACGGAUAAAGACUAUCCAAGCACUACUUAUUACUACCUGUCAAGCACUAAAUACAAAACACAUUAAGAACAUUGAGUGUCACAACCAUUACUAAGCAUAAAUGACAGACUUUAGAGCUCAAAAACUGUUAUGCAAGCCAAUUAAAAGGCAUUAAAGGCAAUUGAAACACAUGGGACAUGUUAUGGCUUGGCUGAAGAUAAAUAGCCAUCAAACGUCAGAAUGAAGGUAGACAAUUAGAACCCAUUGACCUCUUACCCAACUCCCCUCUGUCUAAUUUAAGCUUCAGAGAGGUGUGCCUUGGAAAACCAUCUGGACACUCUUUAUUGUAGGUAUACUUGUCGUCCAAACCAAGAGGAGGCCAACCAGAUGCAAACAUUGUUGGUCAUGCACCAACAUCUAGGACUUAAAAAAAAAAGAGUGGCAAGCCCCAUGUUGCUUCAACUAGUAGUUGUCAAUUCUAAAUACCCCACACUCCAAAUAACACCCUAAUUAGUUAGGGUUGUUCCAAAUCAUCACUACUCACUCUUAGAAAUUUCAUGUUUAUUCCUUUAAGUUCUUGCCCAUACAAUCAAAAUUCAAAUAAAUUUACUAUAUAACAAAAUUAUUUCCACAUGUAUAAAACUAUUAUAUUUUAAAUAUGAGUCUUUUAUUACGAAGUUUUUUUACAAACUGAUAAAUAAAUACAACAUUAAUUUCAUUUGACAUUUGCUUCAAUAUAUCAUAUAAUGCAUUUCCUAAAUUCCUAAAUAAUUUUGUCUCAUUUAGAUUAAUUAAAUUGUCUUAUGCAUUUCUAAGCUUCCUUAGUAAUUUUAUUUUCGUUUAGAAAAUAGUAACUAGUGUUAUUUCAAUUAGGAAGGUAACUUUACUCUCAUGUGGCUACUUUAUUAAGCAUUUUACUAUUAAGGAGCAUUAUAUAUAUACCAAAAUCUUGCAAGUUUAAGCUUUUAGGAAAAUUGUUAAUUCAACAUCGUAUCAUAAAUUUAUUUCAAAUUUUAUAUAAUGAGUGGAAUUAUGCACUACAAGGAAAAAGGUAUAUGAUGACAUUUAUAACGAGUCACCAUAAACAUAAGGUGUCACUACAACAUAGCGUCACCUUCUCCACUGACACCAUAGAGGGUACCAAUUGGUGACGUAUUUGGAAGUGACACCAAAGUAGAUAAAUGGUGAUCCAUUCAGAAGUGACACCAUAUAUUUCUAGUGAUGAUAAGGUGUCACAUUAAAUACAUCAUCUUUGAGUUAUGAUGUCACAUUAAAUGCAUCACCUUUGAGUUAUGGUAUCACAUCAUUGUAAAUUAUUGUGGAAUAUAUGAUUGGUUUUAGUUGUUGAUUUUUGUAAUGCUUAUGAAUUAAUAAGAUUAAAUUGUUUAUAUUUUGUCCAUAAACAUAACAAUCAUAUUAUAUUUAACUCAUUUUUCUGUAAUGUUUCUAAAAUAACUCAUAAUACAUUGAUCAUCUACUAAUAUUUGUAUAUCAAAUGUUCACAAAAGGAUAGUACGUCCAACAUAUCAAACCCAUCAAAACUAAAAAAGAAGAGUGAAUACAUACCAAAACAUGAUUUAGAAAUGUUAAAGAUCCCAAGAUUCAUGUAUACCUCCAUUUCAUAAGCAUAAAACCAGCUAACCAUAAAAUGACAUAGAAGUCCCAUCUAAAAAUCUAAAUUUCUCAGUUGCAAUUAAAGUAACGUUUAUGUCCUACAACGUAUGACAUAAGAGUUGCAUUUAAAAACCCAAAAUCUUGUUGCCUUCUUCUUUCUUUUUAUUCUCCAUUUCACCCUCCCAAGAGUGUAUACCUGCAUUUCAAAAUUUAAUGAGUUUUAGAGAUUUUUAUUGAAGAAAAUAAGCAUGGAUCUAUGUUAUCAUAAAUGAACAAAUCUAAGAAUUAAUUUUUUUUUCAAAUAGAAACAUUAUUCAAAGAAUAAGCAUUACUAUACAAUACCUAUGGAAAAAUUCAUGUAGUAGCUAAGGGACUCACCAUGCAUGGUGAUCAUGAUGCAUCAACAUGAUUCAUGAUUAGUUGUAGCACAAAAGUAGCCCAUUCUCCUCUAAUUUCAUCGAAUUCUACUUGAGAAUAUGUUUUUUUUAUUACCAAACUGAAAUCAAAUAAGAAAAUAACAUUAAAAUGCAUAACAUUUGGAAGCCUAAAACUAUGUACAAUUCAUUAAAUAAGUAAUACCUUUGAAGCAAUAAUUGUAGGAUCAAAAAUUAUCUCUUUAAUGAAUCUCAUAACAAAGUAGCCACAUUCGAACCCUCCUUCUUGUCUUGGACAGUAAUCGAUCAAUUAUAAAAUAACAUUAGUACUCACAUAUAUAAAUGGUGCAAAUGCAUAAGCUAAUGUGUAAAGAAAAAUUUUUGGAUGUCACCUGCACUAGUUGCUAAGAUGGCUCCCUCUUAGAUGUUUUCUUUGCAGAUAUUCGAAGAGCCCUAUGUAAAUAAGUUACAUUUUUAAAAUACGUAAAUGUUAUAUGUUUUAAUAUAUAUAAAUAAUAAUAAAAAUGUGUUUGAGGUGAAUGUAUUUUUUUUUUAUUUAAAAAUAAUACUAUGAAAAAUAAUAGGAAGAACUUACAUGUUUACGAUAUCCUUUAAGUCCUCACAUGGUUUGUGAUGCAUAGGGUCAAGAUAGUGGACUAUCAUUUUCCUUGGCUCAAGCACUACCUAAAUAUAAACCCUUUAAGUCCUCAUAUCUAUUUCUAUUAACAAAAUAUAAAAACUUUCCAAAACUCAACUACUUAAAUAUAAAAACAAAAUCAAAUAAAAUAUCUAGCUAAUUGGAUUUUAGAAACUAAAUAAACUAUAAAUAAACUAAAUAAAAUAUCUAUGUCCAUGAAUUAAUUGAAGAGGAUAGAAAGACACAGAGAGAACAUGACUAUGGUUAUGAUUUCCAUCUUAUCAUUUCCUGUCAAUACCACACAUACCCAUUUUAAGGUUGGACACUACUUUUGUUGCUAGACUUGGAAAGGGAAUUUCAAAAUUGAAAACAUAAAUAAACCCUUAUGUAAAAAAAAAUAACAUUAAAAUAUAAUUGAGCAUUAAAAUAUUUACUCUCUUUCAUCACUUUCAUUUGAAUAUUAAUAAUCUCUUAUUGAGAUAGAUACUUACAAUUUAACAAAAUAGAAAUUCCUAAUAAUAAAAAAUAUAAAAAUUUCUAUUUCUAUUAACAAAAUAUAAAAACUUUCCAAAACUCAACUACUUAAAUAUAAAAAUAAAAUCAAAUAAAAUAUCUAGCUAAUUGGAUUUUAGAAACUAAAUAAACUAUAAAUAAACUAAAUAUAAAAACUAAAUAAAAUAUCUAUGUCCAUGAAUUAAUUGAAGAUGAUAGAAAGACAUAGAGAGAACAUGGCUAUGGUUAUGAUUUCCAUCUUAUCAUCUUCCGUCAAUACCACACAUGCCCAUUUUAAGGUUGGACACUACUUUUGUUGUUGGACUUGGAAAGGGAACUUCAAAAUUGAAAACAUAAAUAAACCCUUAUGUAAAAAAAAAAAUAACAUUAAAAUAUAAUUGAGCAUUAAAAUAUUUACUCUCUUUCAUCACUUUCAUUUGAAUAUUAACAAUCUCUUAUUGAGAUAGAUACUUACAAUUUAACAAAAUAGAAAUUCCUAAUAAUUAAAAAUAUAAAAAUUUCUAUUUCUAUUAACAAAAUAUAAAAAUUUUCCAAAACUCAAAUACUUAAAUAUAAAAACAAAAUCAAAUAAAAUAUCUAACUAAUUGGAUUUUAGAAACUAAAUAAACUAUAAAUAAACUAAAUAUAAAAACUAAAUAAAAUAUCUAUGCACAUGAAUUAAUUGAAGAGGAUAGAAAGACACAGAGAGAACAUGACUAUGGUUAUGAUUUCCAUCUUAUCAUCUCCCGUCAAUACCACACAUGCCUUCCCGGAUUGGUUCUUUUGGGGUUGGAUACUCUCAACGAAAUUCUAUAUCUCAUUCCCACUUAGAUACAAACAGAAAAAUCAUUCUUUUUUUUUUCCUCUCUUGUUUUUUAGAAAGGAUGAAGAUUAUGUGAUAGUAUAUCUUAAAAAAAUUCUGUACCUGUCAUUCUCACACAAAUACAUAUUAAAAAUCAUUCAUUUUUUCCUGUUUUUCACUUUUUUUUAAGGACUUGAUCAUGUGUUUGGUUUAGAUUAAAAAAAUCAAUUAAUCUAUAGUUUUUUCUUCCAUGCUGGAAGAUUAAACCUAAAUUUUUCUUCCCUACAACUCAAGAAAACACAAUUCACAAAAAUCAUAAUACAAAGAUGUUGAAACAAUUAAUAUAAUGACAUUAAUAAAAGAAAAAAAAAUUAUAGAUCCAAGAGAUUUUGGGUUACCUGGGAGUCCACAAAGUGAAGAAUGUCGGUUUUGAGCGUGUUGACUAUGGAUGGGUGAGAGAAAAGGUUGAAGAAGAUCAUGAUUUUAUAUAUAGGAUUUAUAUAUUGAGAUAUUUUGGAUUGUGGGUGAGAUAUGGAAACAAUGGGAUUUUUAUAUAGUAUCCAUCAUUAUUAAUUCUAAAAGUGGGCUCAUUAAGUUAUAAUACUUAAAAAAAUUUAUUUUAUAUGAUGUCACUUCCCAAAAAAUGACACUAUAAAUAUAAAAUUAAUAUCAUCUAACUACCUCAAUUGAAGAUUUUUUAUAUGAUGUGUCACCUUUAUUAAUUAUAAACCCUAUGGUGUCAUUAUUUUAAAAGUGACACCGUAAAUAGUGACACCAUAAACUAUUUUUGUAGUAGUGAUGAAAAAUGGAAAUGCAUGUGGAUUGAAUUCUUACCUUAAGAUCUCAAAAAUUACUUAAACAGAUUUAAAGUUCUUCCUCAACUCUCUAGAUCUUCAGACCUUUGUUUAAUAAAUCAAACCUAAAGUGAAUUAUAACUUAAUUUAAGUUAUUAAGUAGACUAAACAUAUUUGGUAAAAUAACUUAAUAUUAAAAUGCAAAAUUAAAAAUAACUUUAAGUAGUAAGUCAAAAUAAUUAACUUCUUUUUAAUCCCAAACUUUUUUUCUUUUGGUCUUAUUUACACACAUUUAAUGAGUAUAUAUUAAACAACUAUGACUCCAAAUCCAUGACUCAUUUUUUCUACUAAAUAUUUUAAGGUUAUUUUAUAAAUUUACAAUCUUUAAGUAUGGAUGUUAAAUAACAAAUUUAUUGCUUAAGAUUAAUGAAAAUAAAUAUUAAUUAAAUUUUUUAAUAAUAAACAUGAAUUAAAACUAAUGAGAUAAAUAUGUUAAUUCAAUAACUUAAAAUAAAUUCUAAGUUAAUUUUAUACCUUACUACUUAAAAUAAAAAAAUAAGUAAUAAGUUUUAAGUUAAUGACUUAAAACCAAUUUAACUUAAAGUUAACUUAAGUCAUUAAAUAAUAAGUAUUAAGUUUUACCAAACAUCCAAGUUGACUUUAAGUUAAAUUAUUCUUAAGUUGUUAACUUAAGACUUAUUACUUAAUUGUUACUUUAAGCAUUAAGGUUGUUUUGUAAAGUUAGCUUAAAGUUUAUUCUAAAUCAUCAAAUUAACUCCUUUUCCCUCAUUAAUUUUAACUAAUAUUUAUCUUUAUUGAUUUUAACUCAUAUUUAUUUUCAUUAUUUUAAACAAUAAAUUUAUUUAUAUAACAUUCAUACUUAAAGUAUUGUAGAUAUAUAAUACAACCAUAAAAUGCUUAUUACAAAAAAAUGAGUUAUGGAUGUGAAAUCACAGUUUUAAAAUGUAUUUACUGUGAGCAAAUGAGACAAAAAUAAUUUUACAUUAAGAAUAAGUUAACUAUUUUAACUUAAUACUUAAAGUUCAAAGUAACUUUAAGUUAUAAUAUUAAGUUAUUUUAUUAAGUAGACUAAAUCUAAUUUCUCAAACUUGGUUGCAGAAGCCUAAUGAUAGGAACUCUUUCUUAUUAUACAAAUAAUGAUCACAUGAAAGAGAGUCAUGAUUUUCUUUCAAAAACUUGCACAGUUAUUUCUCACUCAUAUGUUUUGAUGUCUUAUUCCAUAACUUUAGGAAAGCGUAUUGUCACGGACUUAGUCUUUUCCUAAGCUCGUGUGGCACCUAGACAAGUUAAGACACUUGAUCUUGCUAAGUCAGCCUUACUCCCAAUGCUUAGCUUACUAAGCUAAGAUACUCACAACUUGGAAACUUUAGAAGGUGUAGUAGGCAACUCUUAAAGAAUGGAAGCUUUUGUUGCUCAAAGGAAGCUUUACAAGUGCUUUGGGAACUCACUUGCUUGGUUAGGAAGUGAUUUGGGUGGUGCCUUGGCCAAAUGAGGCCUUAACCUAUUUAUAGGCACCAAUAGAACUCUUUGGAACCUUGGAGGGUUCCUUACAAAUCAAGAAUAAUCUAGAAUCUCCUACACUAGUCUAUGUACAAGGGUAUGUACAAGAUGACUUUGGAAGAUUCUAUAACACCCCACACUAUUCCAAUGCUCUCUUAGCCAAGUAUAGAGAUGUGUGGACAUCUCUAGCCCUCUCUAGAAGCUUCCAUGCUCUUCCACUUUGUAGCUAAGUGUAGAUGUUUCCAGGGGUUUCUAGAAGCUUCUCACCUCCUAUAUAAGCCCAUGGGGAGAGUCAUUUGAAGCAUCUUGUGAUUGUAUGGUCUCGAUAGCAUUCAAAUUGCCCUUUUACACUUCCUCUUGGUAUAUGUAGCAAACCUCUUCUUUUGCAACAAAUAACCUCUUUACCACUACCAAAAUAACUUUUAUAUCCUUGUUUAACUUGUGCAAAUCUAGACAUUAGUUUGAGGUUGGAACGUUGGUCUCUAGACAUACAUUAUUUAUUCAUCCUAAUUGCACCAAUGUCUCUAUCUUUGUAAUUUGAAAACAACUUCAAUUAAGGGAUAACAUGCAUGAUAUAAGGUUAUUGUCUCUACAAUCCACUCAAUUUUGUGAUCACUAAUAGGGAUUUAAUCCAAGUGUUAAGUUGACAUGAUAUAUAUAAUUGAUUCAUUACCAAAUAGCUUAAACAUUUAUAUCAUAUAUAUUGAUAGCUUAACAUGUUUUUAAAGCCUUAGUUCAAGGGAGAUCAUGCAUGAUCUUGAGCUUCACACAUAGUUAUUUCUCAUAAUUAUUGAACUUGCAUACAAACCGAAAGAAGGUUUUCUCUUAUACAAGGUAUUGAGGGUUUAGUCCAAGUGCUACCUCAUUACCAAAUAAUUUAAUUAGGGAUGACAAUACAAUAAGUUUUUUUUGGUACUCAUCUCAUCCUACCGUGAAUAGAAUAGGUUUGAAAUGAAGAUAAAUAGGUUAGGGAUAGAGAUUUUUUUACAUAUAUAAACCAAUGGUGGGUUUAGGUAUUACCUUGUACCCUCCUAUCCUAUCGCAUCCCAAGUAUAUGCAUAAUUAAAUUUAAAAAUAGUUUUUUUUUAUUUACUCAUUUUUAACACAAAAUAAUAAUUAAAACAAAAUCUACUUCUUGAAUAAAAUAAAUUAUAAAAAUUUAUAAUAUUUAUUUAUAUAUAAAAUAUAUUUACUUUUAAUAUUUUAAAAUUUUAAAAAUAAAUAGGGUUGGGUGGGGCCUGUGCAACACAAGUAAUAAGAAAUUUUCAUACCAGUAGCCUUGCCCUACCUUACACCGCCCUGUUUAAUUUUUUUAUUGGGUGGGGGUAGCAAUAGAUUUAUAUAAAUGUGACAAGAUUGGAAUAUGGGUGAUCCAUUCCAAACCCGUCCCAUUGUCAUCCCUAAGUUUAGCUUUUAGAUUAUGUUGGUAGCUUAACAAUCACCAACAUUCAAAAGUUCAUGUUGUAGUAUCCUUGUUCUAUUCCAUUACCUAAGGCUGCCUCUUCUUUUCCUUUCUGUAAACACAGUAGUUCUAUUUCAUAUGGCUUUUUUUGCCACAAUAUCCAGACAUCUAUCCACUAUUGAUACCAAACUCUCAUCAUUCUUAUAUGCAGUGGAUGUAGUAUUCUUUUUCUCUCUCCUUUUUCUUUCUUAGGUUUGCCUCCUUUAUUUCCUUUCCCAAACAACACAGUUCUUUUCUAAAUUGCUCUCUUUGCCACAAAGAGCAUUUCAUUUUCUCCUUGGAUUGAAAUCUUUCGUUGGACUUAUUAUAAUAAUUCUAUUUUCUAUCUAUUUAUAAUAUGAGUGUUCCUUCUUUUCUCUACAUCAAACAAAUACUAUUCACAAUAGAUGUCUUGCAACAAACACAAUAGCAAAGAGACUUGCAUCUCAUCAUCAAUUGCCAUUUUCGUAGUAACUAAUUGAUUUACCGUGCUUUGAAAAGCACUUCACAUGGUUGGCCACUGAAGUGUUUCCUUCGACUUCAAUCUAGUUAACACACCUCAAUGUGGUAACUGAAAUGUAACUCACUUUUUUCAGUUGCCUAACUAGACACCUCAGCCAAGUUAUUAGUUUAUUGAAUUAGAAUCUUUUUUAGAGUAAUUUUAAAAAGCGUUUCUAAUAUUUGAAAAUUUUUAUCUUUUAAAGUAUUAUAAAGGUUAAAAAUAUUUUCUAAAAUCACUAUCAAACACACUCUUAAAUUACUAAUCUUGUGAGUCUAACCUUUCACCCCGUCGCCUAGACAAAUACUUUAGUAGAGUUGCUAAAACUUAAUUGGACUGGCCUCUCUAGUUGGAGAAAAUAGCCCUUAAAUAGAUUAGAAACAAGCAAAAAGAAAAAAAAAAAAAGCUUUCUAUAGCAAGAAUUGAACAAGGACUUACAACAAUGUAGAAUAGAUCUCAACUAGAAAUUAGAAAUUAGAAUGUAAACCAACAACACAUUACGAAACACAUGAGUAUCCAUCCAAGAUAAACACCAAUGACCUUACUUGGAAAAAACCCUUCGAGGAGGUGAAAGAAGCCAUUCAAAAAUGAAUGUCCAUCAUAUAAAAUAGGAAUUAAUCGGUGUUCGUGCAAGUCUUUUUCCAAAGAUAUGGGAAGGGAACUAGAAAUGGUGUUAUUCUCAAGCUUACAAAACCAGCACACAGAGUGGAAAGGAUCUCACCAAAUACAAUUGCCACAUUUGAUAUGGAGAAAACCCUUGGUUCAACCAAAACCAAGAAUGGUGAAGAAACAUCCCUAUUCUAGCAUAAAAGCCCAACAUAAUUAGGCUCAAGUUGCUACUGGAAGAAUCAGCCCACACAAUGGGUUUCUUGCGAUAACACAGAGACAGAGGUUCACCAAAUGGUCCCCAAGGACUAGACCCCCCAUCAGAAAAAGGGAAUGUAAUGAGUGGGAAUUGCCAUCAGUAAGGCAUAUGCAGGAGACUCAACUCUCUAGCCAUUGCUCUAUGGAAAUUUAAAAUGCCUUUUGUUAGCUAAUAAUAAAUUUAUGAUUUAUGACAAUAUUCUUUGGAAGAUCUAUUACUGGGAUACAAGUUUCAGAUUUGAGUGAUUUAGCCCUAUGGCAAGAACAUGAUUCUUAAAUGUAAGACUAAAGAGUAUAUUUGUAGUGAUUCUAUGAAGGCCAAAAGUGCUCUCUAAUACUUGAAGCAUUUUUCUUAUAAAAAUUAGGGUCCUAUUCAGUUUAACUUGUUUUUUUCUUACAUUUUUAAAGAAAAUAAAGAACAAUUUGGAAAAUAUGUUUGGAUAUUUCUAUUUCUAUUUUCCCAAGAAUUGAGUUUAGAAAAUGAAAAAGGGGAAAAAUGCCAAAUUGGUAUUUUCAAAAUUUAAUUAAAAAAGUGAAAAGAGUUUCUAAAACGUAAAAACACAAAAGUAAAUAAUGUAAUUAAAAAACAUGAAAGAAAUGCAAAUAUGAAUUUGAUAAUAAUAUUACAAUAUUAUAAUCAUCUUCCUCUUUUUUACCAAUAAUAUUACAUUUUUAUAUUAAAAAAUAAAUUAUUUUAAUAAGCCAAAAUAUGCCCAAUUGAUCAAUUGCUUCGUUAAUUAUAAAUAUAUUAAAAAAAAUAUUAGAGUAUCAAAAUAGAAAUUUUUAUUAAAGUAUCAAAAUAACUAAUAAAACAAAUAAAAUAAAAAAUAAUGAAAAAUAUAAUUUCAUUAUUUUUCAUGUACAAAAAUUAGUACCAAACAAAACAACACAACAAUUGGUCAAUUCCUUUAUUAACUAUUAAUAUACUAUAUUUUUUAUUAUAUAUUAAAAUAACUAUUAGAGAUGAUAAUUGAAAGAGAAUAAUCAAUAAAUACAAUUUAAUUAUUUUCAUUGUGUUUGAUUAAAAAAUAUAUAUAUAUCCAGUACUAAACAAGGUUUCCAAAUUUUUAUUUUUUGAAAACCAGUUUUUAAUUUUUUUAAACAAAAAUAUUACAAAGAAAUGAAAACAUAGAAAAUAAAAAAUAUUUAAAGAAAAAAUUAAAAGUAGAAAAUAAAAACUAAAAAUAUUUUCCAAACCAAAGGCAACUUAAAUUACUGUGUAAUAUUUUAGAAAAUAUUUUUUAAAAAUCUCUAGAAUAAAAUAGAUAAAACAUGGAUCUAAACAUCCUUGCAUCCAUGAAAAUAUUUUUGGAGAUAAAAUCGGAAAUGAGAAUAGAAAAUUAUUUCAUUUUUAUUCAUUUUGAUGUUUAGAUCAUUUAUUAAAUAUAAAAAUAGGAAUAAAAAGUUAUUAUUAUUGGUUUUUUUUAAUAUUUGUUUAAACAGAAGAUAUGUAAAGAUACAUCAACCGAACCCAAUAGGCUUCGGAGAAUUAAAAACAAUGGCUAGUUUGAACUAGCAGACUAAUAAUAGAGACAAUUAUCCAACUUCUCAUACCAAUGUUAUCAUAAGAUAAAAGUUGAAUCAUAAAUACUUGUACAAGACAUUCAUUACUUGAAUUACAAUCUCUGUUUCCUUCUUCAAAAACCCAUAAUAUCAUAAUUAAAGCAAAAAGUGUUAUACACCAAGUAUACAUACCAUGUACAAAGGGUAAAAAAACCCAAAGGGAAAGAACCGGUGGUAAGAGGAUGCGGGGGAGGUGACAUCUCUUACUAUAUAAUCCAUUAGAAUGCCUUGGCGGCCUUGAAAGUAAGGAGCACUGCCAUGGACUUGUAUCCUUGGAGGAGUAAGAGCUGCCUGGCAAUCCUAAAUUUUGAAAUUAGAAGACUCUGCUACUCAGGAGAAGUGGAAGACUCUGCAGUUUAGUCUCCAACCUUGCAUCACUUUCUAUCAGAGAUAGUGAAUCUAAAGUUGCCAUUAUCGGAGUCGGGCCUCCACAGGCUUACUUCUAUUUCAUCAUUGCACAUUUCUGUUGUAUUUCUAGAUAUUCCUUGGCUUCUCUGGCUCUCAAAAACCUCCCUUCCUUUGAAAGUAAAUCCAUCUAUGGGUGCCCUAAAAUCUGGUUCAUAACCUGAAACAUCUUCAGGACUUGAGACAAGUGAAAAGUAUUUUUGUUUUUAAAAACUCAAUCAGGUAUGGCUAUUUGCAACUCAAUCCCAGCUCCAGAUUGUCCUCUCCAUGGACCUAUUUGUUGAAACUCUGAUUAAUUUCAACUUUAAAUUCAGAUGGGAGCUGCUUUAUUCCUUUGACAAAUAGAUGGCUUUAGCAGCAGUUGCAAAGUGACGUUUUCUCUAAACUUGCCGGCCUCAGUUCUGUGCACAAGCAUGGUAAGUUAUACUGUUCUAUUGAAUUUGCAUGCGGUUUUAUGGUUUUAAUAAAUAAAAUAAAUAUAAAGCUAAAGCUAUGUGUAAGCUCUCUUGCCAUGCUUAAUUGGACUGCUAUUAUUUAUUUAAGAUCAAGAGAUAGAAAGUUUUUCUGCAUUUCCAGUUAUAAAUCUAUAAUUGAGUUUGUUUUAUAAACAUAUUCAAGUUUAUUCUCUGUUUUUUCUUUCCUUCCUUUUAUUUUUAUGAUUUUCUAUUAUCAUUUGUGUUAUUAAAGAUGAAAGCUCAUUUUUUACUCGCUUUUAUAGAAGUACUUCUACAAUGAAGAAAUUCAGGUUAGGAUUUUGCUAACACAAUAAAAUCUUUGGCCUGCUUGAUAUCUAGUAUCAAGUUUUGCCAAAGGCCAUAGCUUCUAUUGGUUAUCUAUGAGUCAACCAUUGCUGGAUGGAUAUGAAUAGGAGCUUGUCCUGCCUAUGGGCAGGGAUAUGCGCGCAAUCACCUGUUUUCUGCUUUUUAAGUAUCAAAGUACAAACUAACUGCUUCUACAAUAUCAUUUCCAUUUUAAUCAGCAUUGAAAGUAUGUUGCUUUUUUAAGUAUCAUUUCCAUUUUAAUCAGCAUUGAGUGUGUCCUGUCAUGGUUGGUUGGACCACUUAACAAAAAAACAGCAAGGCCUUUUCUUCAAAAUCUGCAUUCGACAGGUUCUCUGUCAAUUCUUUGCUUUUGCUUUUACGAUAACUUGUUGCAAACUUAUUUAAAAAAAUUGUGCCCUUCUCUUGUUGGCUAGGUAUUUAACUUAUGCAUAAUCUUGUGAUGCAGCUAUGGCUAGAGAUACUGUACUUGUUAUGCUCUUUUCUAGUUGGGCAUGUAAAGGGCUCUAGGGAUGUCCACUUGUCUUCAAGUGCAGUUGAUUUCUUUGGUACAAAAAUGUUGACUACAACUACAGAAGAUAAACUUGAACUAGUUGUUAAGCAAACUCUUUUAUGUUAUAUUAAAAAAUUUCUAAAGAAAAUUUCUAUUGAGAAAACUAGGGAUGUUUUAACCCUCAACCAUAACUUAAUUUGUGUUUAAUGUGUGAUAUUGUCGUCUUUACUUGGAACAUGUCUAUGAUGGUGCUUGUCUAUGUUUCAUCAUUGCUUAUUUAUUUUAUGACGUCUUUGUUGAGCAUUUUAGCUCCAGGUGGAAGAGCUGUGUUGUCUGAGAUGCAUAGGGAACUGUCUCAUUAGUGACUAUGCCAAUUGGAUGAGGAUUCUGGAGAGAACUCUCUAUCUGAUCCAAGUAUCUACUGACUUCUGCCAUGAACUCUUGAAUAGAAGCAAGGAUGGAAGCUAGUUUGUCUGACAUCUCAACUGAACUGUCUAAACUUUGAUAUGAAUCUGAUAUGAUCAAUCGACCUCCAACUCUCCUCUAAGAAUAUGACUUCAAACUCAACCAACUCCUAAACUAACUCCCUACAAUGCAAACAAAAUGGAUGAAGGACAUAAGAUAAGACCCUAAAAGACAACAGUGCAACAUGCAAACACAUGGUCCUGAGGUGGCAAUCUGAAAUCUGGAUGUAUGAUGAGAGCUCUAGAGUCAUAAAGGUGUCCACUGUGAGAUGGCUACAAAUGUGACUAGAGAAUUCCUAUCAAUAAUCCAAGAUGAAAGAGGUGUGAGAAACACACUAUCACGAGAUUGAUACUCCAUCUAUAACCACAUAUCCUUGACUCAACCUUCAACCCAAGCUCCAUAAGAGAAAAGAUAAGGUGAUCAAGGCGACUCUCUCAAAAAAGGUGUGAAUGUGAAAACAUGCCUUUCACCUUUCCAUAAUGAAAAUGUGAGCAUCAAGUUGAAAAUUGAAUCAAGGAUCAAACAAAGAAUGGGAUACUAGGCUCAUGAUAAGUGUACGGUAUAAAGAGAUGAUCAUAAUCAAUGAACAUAUCCCAAAGCAUCAAGCAAGUGACAACAAAGUGAAAGGAUGUGCCAAGCCAAGAGAGGGAGACGAAAGCUCUAGGGAGAAAGCAUGCUAAACUCAUUGAGUGAAAAGAAUAAUCUAAAGCGACAUGACAAAAGGUGAUCCAACUGAUACUGAAACUUGUACCGAUCUCUGAGCACUCUCAAUUGGAAACCAAAGGUAAAAGCACUGGGUCCAGGUGAUGAGUAAGACGGCCCUGAAGGCUCUCAGAUGCACCCACGUGUGAGGAAGGAAUCCUAAUCAAAGGAUCUAAGCUCAUCCUAUAAGUUUAAGGUGGCUUUAAAAAAAGAAAGGUAGGCUUUCAAGGGUCCUUAGAAGAAGCAAUCAUACCCUUCGGUGGUACGCAACCUUCUGUACGCCUCCGAAGAGACGGGGCGCUUCCAUGCAAGGUGGACAUCACCUCCACACAUGCACUACCUCGCAUCCCAGGGGGCUCCUAUGGUGAAGGCCCUUCUAAUGGUUAGCAUAUCUCAUAACUUUGGUCACUCAUCAACAAUCUAAGGUGCAUAGUGAGUUUGUGGGUGCAUCUGAAAAUCCUAUGAAACUAAAAAGAAAACACAUUGGUCACACAAAUAUCCUAAAAUCCAGCUUUGGGCUAUACAAGUCUUCAAAGAUCGGACUCCAAUCAACAUCAAUGUGUCGGCCACCUCCAAAAUGCUCCCAAACAUAGAUAUAGCCCAUCACUAGACCUUACUUCAAAUCACUAGCUUGGUCGAAGAACAAUCAAGGUGAUAAGUCUCAUAUCAAAUAAGAGAUCAAGGGAAACAAAGUCGAUGGAGUCUAAGGAAUUGGAAAUAAGGGGAUAGGUGUGAGACCCACACGAACAAGCAAUACAUGCAUCAUGUAGAAGGAGAGUAGUCAUACAACAAACAGUUAUGCAAAGCAGGUAUAUAUCAUACAAAUCUACACACAAGCUAAGUAAGAAGUAGGAUAAUCGAGAUGAAUAUCUAGCAAGAAUAAAUGGCAUGCUCAGAGUUAAUCGAGAUAAUAUGUAACAAAGAGAAUAAACAUGUCAAGAUGAGCAACAUUGAGAAUAUACAAGUCAGGGUGAGCAGAGCAAUCACACAGUAAGGAGAGUUGAUAUGUGAACACAAACAAGAGGAUCAAAUGAUAUAAUCAAGAUGUCAAUGUCUCAAACAAAUACACAAAUCAAGCAUGCAUCAGAGAUAAACAUAUCAAAAGUUCUCAAUGUGCAAUCAACAGUCAAACAUACAAAAGCACAGAGAGAGAAGGGUACCCACUAAUCGACCAAUCAAACGUCACAUUUGCCUUAAUCUAAGUUCAAGUUUGACUGUCUAGUGAUCCCCAAUGGAGUCGCCAUUUUACGGACCCCGCAUUUCUCCACAAUGCGUUCCCACUCGAAUGGUGAUACUCACUUUUUAUUUUGAAAAAAUGACUUUUGAAAAGUUUUUGGAGUCACCACUUAUUUUUCUUUUAUUUUUAAAGGGAAAAACAAAAUAAGAAAAAAAAAACUCUAAAUGUGACUCCUGAAGGAAAAACAGGUCUGUGAAAAACCAAGUCUAGGUUCGGGAGUGAGGUUACCUAUUGAGAAAGUACGGUGAUAAGUUGUAACACCCCUCUAAGCACCUAAAAAUGGGUCUCUACUAAUCAACUAAGACAAGUGUAGCAAUUGAUUGAUUAAUUGUGGAUACCAAAUAGUGAUCAAGGGUGUGCUAGCAAGUCAUGCAUGAUAAUGGAUAAAUAAAUAAGUAUGAUUAGGUAUGAGAUGCACCUUAGCAGCGAAUAAGGAUGUGCUAUCAUGAAACGGGGUUAGCUCAAAUAUAAAGUAAUGCGUGUCACAUAUUAGAGCCAAAAAUCAAUCAAUAAACAAUCAAACAUAGCAAACAAAAUCAACAAUCGGAUGACGAAUGCCUCAUAUGUUAGGCCACACCAAUGCCCAAAUUAUUUUUGGCAUGAAUUACUUCUACAAAUUCCAUGAUUUUUGGAAUUACAGACUUGUAUUCAUGGUUAUUUAAAAACAUUUAAAAAAUCAAGAAAAAAAAAGUGAAAAAUGCUUGCCCAAGAGAAAAAUGGCAGCAAAUUUAUUAAAAAUUGGAUUUUUGGUGACCCAAAACUCUAUGGAUGAAUAAUAAUAAUAAAAAAAUUGAAUAGUUAAAAUUAUUUGAAAAUUGGAAUUAAAAAAAAAAACAAUUUUUGAAAGCGAAGGUGAAUAAUUAAGAGAACAUGGCCUAUGGGAUUGCAUGUUAAAGGUGGCUAUGCAUGGGUGUAGAAGUGGCCCAGGGUAGGUAGUGAAUUGGCCAUUGAAUCACUUUAUUGGACAUGCAACUUGCUGUAGUGGUUUGCAUCCAUGGAUAUUGACUGUACCGAAACUUGGAAUGUCGACCAUGUCGUUCAUCGGAAAUGUACCAAGUGACAUGCUUCAUGGUGGCGGGAUUCAUAUGCUGCAUCACUUUCUUCUUAUAUAAAUACUCAGCACCUUUGGCAAUGCCAUUGCACUAGAACCACUAUAAAGACCUCUAACAAUGAAUGAUGAUCUAGCCAUACACCAUUAACGAGCUUCUCACCAAACUGCUACUUGCUGAAACUGUUCUUUAUCGUGUUAUACCCAUAUCUUGCACCGUCCAUUCCAUGCAUGACUUGAUUAAGUCCUUCAAGUAAUCAGGCCAUAGCUUAGCAAAAAUAGUCCCCUGACAUCCCUUUAAGACUAGGUAUGCUGAAGUGAUUUGAGUGUCAUGAAGGAGAGGCGAAGGACGGGUAUUGCACAAUUGGAAUCGCAGCACAUGCAACCGUUCUUCUCAACCAUGGUAACAUGAAUUCUACACGUUCAUCCUUAGUUUAAGGGACAAUGGGGGUCAGUCGACAUGGCAACAAUGACAUUCAGAAAUGCAUCCCUGCAAAUCUUUCCAAUAAUCUUUCCCAGAACCACCCAACAAGCCACCUGAAGGAAAUGGAUGUCCUGGAUUAAUGUCAGAAUCCUUAUAUCUGAUAUGGACGUUACUAAUGGGAAAUCUUAAGGAUUCCAAUUAUGGUUGCAAACAGAGAACCCAACCAUGAAUUUGCAUUAGCUGGACUUCCUUCUUGCUAUUGAUGAAGUUCCAACUUCAGUUGCAGUGAAUGGUAUCCCCAACUCCGGACUACUGUCAUUUCUUGAUGGGAUUCAAGGCAUUGAACUUACAAAAUCAUCGUAGCCUUAGUCUUCAUGCACAGAAGACCUCUUUCUCUCAAACUCCUGGACACGACUUUUUCAAUAGUGGUAAGCAUCGGGAUAUCUAGCCCAUUUUCUGACCUUGUAUGAGACGCUCCCAGAAAACCCUUCAGAAUUGCUUAGGGAGUUGCAUCUUUAGGACCACCAGAAGCAUUGGGAACCUCAUACUUUUUGGUUGUCAAAGCACAAGGGUGGCAUUUGGUUUUGUCGAAUGGCACAGCUAGCUCAUCACCUAAUUUCUGACCAAUAUGAAAUGAUUGAGACACUUCAGCGAGUUCCUUGACAUCACUUCUUGUAUGAUUCAACCACUCAUUUCCUUUUUGGACAUUUGGAAUCCAUGAAUUCAAAGAACUCGUACGCAUUUUCACAGGGACCUUGAUACAUGAUUUUCCCAUAAGAGAGGAGAAUCUUAUCAUUAAAUAGGUUGCAGGUUUCUGGUACUGGUUGGAGGAGGCAGAUCAGAGCAGUUCCAUUAAGAAUGAGGAUGAACUGCCUGAGUGAACUUACAAUCUGAAAAGCUAUUGAACUAUCCAAACGAAUUACCAUUUCAUCCAUGGAAAAAAGCUCUGUUUGUUUCUCCAUCGACUAAUGCACCAAUUAUCACCCCAUCUCCUCAUUGACCAAGAGCUUUCCUGACUCCAUCUUAUCCUCAUCAAUAAUCUCCAGUAAUAGCUCUUUCCAUUCUGUCUCUAGGCAUUUCAAUGUGGUCCAUAUGGCUUACAGGUGUCUAGAAAUUUCCAACAGUAUGUAAAGUGGUUCACAUGGGGCUCUCUCAAAAGCACCCCAACCAAAAUGGCCAGCCCAAAUGGGAUACUCAACACCCCGAACUUACCAGAAUCAGGGGAAUAAGAGGAAAAAAAAAAAGAAAAGAAAAAAUAGGAGCAGAGCGAGGACUGAAGAAAUAACAAAAGGAAAUUAAGCAGAUAACGAAUAUACAAAGCCUCAUUUCAGGUGACAUCCAUGGACUAAUAACAGGUGGAAUUAACAAAGAAUGCAAGCAUGAUUCUUAUAUAUCAAGUCCAGGGAUGAAGCCAUGCAUCAACUACUUACGGGAGGAGUCAAGGAAACCAAGAUAAAAUCAAACAAAGCAUGUAUGCAAACAAACAGAUUCGGUCAAACAGACUAAUAAUCCUUCAAGUCCAAGCCAAUCAAUAAAAUAACACCCAAGAAUCUACAAAAAAAUGUAGAAGAAUAAUAUGAAAAUGAGGAAAUGUGAGGUUCAGAGAGACCUUACCUGGAAGGCUUCCUUUCGAGCAAGAUUUUUGUCCAACUUCCCAACUAUUCUUCCUCUGCUCCAACUCCCUUUAUCUCACAACUUUUCUUGCUUUCUAUGUUCCUCUAGACACUCUUUAUAGCUCCCCUUCCUUCAGCUCCCUGUUUUUCCUAUUGUUCUCCUUCUCCUCCAUUCCUCUUCUCAACGGUCUCUGAAUCCUCUCCUUACAUGUCACCUGCUGGUUUCCCACAGAAAAAAGUCCUUGCCAGCCCACUAUCUCAUACACCUGCUGCCAAAACCUCCUAAAGGGUGGUAAAAAUAUCGCCCCUAAAAUAUCCCAAAACUUCUAGAUCAAAAUGAGGGUCUACACCUUAUAUUCCACAAGCCAAACCUUUUUAGACAUACCUAUGACUUCCUAAUUGGACGAACAACAACCCUUAUUCUUAAAUGGAGAGCAAGUUACUAUCUAAACAAACUUUUAUGACCAAACAUUAAUUGGAACAAAAUUGCCAACAAUUAUAUAAGACUCAAUGUCCUAACAAUCUCCCAUUUUGGUAAUUUUAUGACAAAACAUCAUCAAUAAACCCACCUAAACUCUCAUAAUGAAGUUUACAUAAUACACAUUAAUGCUUAAUUAAAAAUAAACUAAGGGAAUGCUUUGCAAUGCUUUGUAGUACUUAUCUUCCAACCCUGUAACCUACACACAUACAAAAAAACUAUACCAAAAGUAAAGCAAUGUGAGAGAUAAAAUAAUAUUAUGAAAGCAAAAUAGGAUAGUUAGAGGUUUUUCUUGACACCUUGUGAAAGCAUGCAAAAUGAACAGAUUCCUAUAGCGACAUCAAGGUAUAAUGCAGCUUAAGAGGAAUAUAGAUGCAUGCAAAUCAACCAAAUAGAAUAUAAGCUAAAUAAGACCUAAUUAUUUAAUAGUAAAGUGAAGGGGGCGUUCAUCAACCAUAUUACUAGCAAUGAAAGCCUUAGGAAGAAGCUUCUAUGACAGAGAUUAGUUCUAGAAAGAUAGAACAUUCAAACAGUAAUAUUUUCUAGAUGAUAGGAAAAAAAAAGCUUUUAAUUCCAAAUGGUUUCUAGAUGUGAUGAACCGGGAAAGUCAAAAGAUCAAGUUAUUGGUCUGGUCAUCGUUGCUGCUGGAAUAGGUGGAGGAACGGGUACUAGUGGGGCUCCUGUGAUUGUAGCUGCAGAAUCAUUGGGGAAGGGUCCUACAUCUUGGCUGAGAAAUAGAGUUAUUGAAUCAAUAUAUAGCCUUGAGGCUCUCUUAUUGUUUCCAUUGGAAUUGUUGAUAACUAAGGAAUGGAAGAGUAUAAAGCUUGAACUUCAGCUUCUGACAUCAGGUUCACUUGACGGCUAAGCACCCAUUGCUUGAAUGGGUUGGUUAGGAAAAUCACUACCAGAAUCACCAUCACUUAGGUGGUGUUUGUUUUUUUGGCUUUUUGCUGAAAGUAAUUUAUUUUUGAAAUUUAAGUUGUUUGUUUUUCUACUUUUUUAUGACUUAUUAUAAACUUUUUACUAAAUAGAAAAAAUCAAAAUAUGUAGUUUUUUCUUAAUAGAAAAAAUAACACAUUGAUUUUUCUUUACUUUUUAAUACUUAAUAGAAAUAAAAUAUUAUAAAAACAAAUAACCUAAUAUUUAACAUUAUUAAGCAUUAAGGUUCUAUUUAGAAUUAAGUAAAAAAACAAACACCACCUAGGGUGGUGUUUGUUUUUUUACUUAGUGUUUACUAUUAUACAAACUCUGUAGCAUGGAGGUCUGAUGGAUCUAAUAAUGGUGUUUGGAGUGCUAAUAAGCCUUCUCGGUACACUGGUGCUCAUGCAAUUGCUGGAAGCAAGGCACAUGCCAGAUUUUCAAUGAAACUGAACCUCUAUUUCACUGCACUGCUUUAAGCUUAGAUCCUGGCAGUCUGUGAUAUCUCUGUUGGGGAAAGAAGUAUGAGCAAGGUGAAAUCACAACUUGGUAGAGGAGAAUAAAUGUCGAUGCAUGAAAUGGCAAACAAGAUGAUGUUUGAGCUAUAUUUUGUCAGCCUGAAGAAGCAGAGAUGCUUGGUAAAACAAUAUUGGAGACUUGCACAGAUCCCUACUCUGAUGUUAACAAACCAAAAUGAAGUUUCUGGUGAAGAACUGAAACCAUUUCCAGAGAGGCUUUAUGUGGUUCUUUCUAGAGAAACCAUUGAAGAAAUCAUUGGAACGCCAAGGGAGCUACCAUCCUUCUGAAUUUCCAUCUGGAGAGCAUCUUCUUUUGCUUAAUCCACCAAAGAAGCAAUUCAGUAGCCAAUUGCCAUCUCUCAACGGCUCACUGGAACUGCAUUGCAAAAAUUCAGCUCAGCUGAGAAGUUUGCCAUUGGAAAAUUGCAAUUUGGUUGGUCCUGUGCCAAAAUCUUCGGGGAUUGGUAAUAUUAAGACUGUCAAUGAAUAACAAGAACACAACAGCCCAGGAUCUGCUCUCUUAGCCAGCUCGUACCAAAUCAUUCUCAUUGGAAACAGCUCAGAUGGGUUUGAGCUGAAUCAUUUGGGAAAUGAAUAACUUAUGAUUGAUUGCAUAAAUGGUGGGGCCUACAAUCCAGAAGAAAACCCUCUCAGAAGACACAAGCUCCUUCCCAUUCUUUCCCAUUCUGUUUGUUUCCAGCCUUGAUACCUUCAAUACCUGGCAGUCUCCACACAACUCAUCCAAAGUCCCUCCAUCAAAUUUGAACCCAAAGCCAAACAACUCCGUGUCUAAAACCUUAGGACUAGCUCACCACCUUGUUUUUCUUCAUACCCACCACCUUCAGCUUCACUCAUCACCAAGCCAACUUCUCUCACAUCCUCCACUACUCAUUUCCUACCCAACCUAGCUCUAUCUUUCUCACUUAACAAGUGCUGGUGAUGACAGUGAAGACUGGUCACACCUCUCUUUACUCGGCUCCAGCGAUGAGACUAAUGCCUUUGAUGAUUCCGAUACUUUUGUUUCUCCAGUUCAGGGGUUUGCCUGUAUUGGAUGAAUGGCUCCAAGAGUACAUAAAGGAAAGAUUGGUGAUGUUAGUAGCCCCAAGGAUGGUGAUAAAUCUGCUGAGGAAUCCCUAUUGGUUUUACUUCAUGCACUUGAUAAGCUGCCUGUGAAUCUUCAAGCCCUUCAAAUGUGUAACAUUGGCAAAUCUGUUAAUCAUUUACGUACUCAUAAAAACUUAGAAAUUCAGAAGAAAGCAAGGAAUUUAGCUGAUACAUGGAAGAAACGAGUUGAGGCAUAAAUGAAUAUUAAUGAUGCAAAGUCUGGUUUAAGUCAGGCUGUUCCAUGGUUCUCGAGGCCACGUCUUUCUGAAGUUUCUCAUGAUGGGAACAGACACUCUGGCGGCUUCUCUGAGAUUGCCAUGGAGAGCUCAGUCAUGCAGCUUUCUUCAUCUAAAACAGCUCCAGUUAAUAAGAUUAUACUGGGGGUUGUCUUCAAUUAACUAGAUUCAAUACUAACCAUUGUUGCCUGACUUAGUGUUAGAGAUCCAUUGGACAAAGAGGAUCUUGCAGAGGCUGCAAAAGCUCAAUUUUCUCAUGACUACAGUGAUCAUCUUGCACUUGUUCGGUCUGGAAAGAUGCUGAAAAGGACCAAAUUGGAUAUGAAUAUUGAUGGAAAAAUUUUCUUUCGGCACAUUCAAUGAAAGCUAUUGAUUCUCUUCAGAAGGAGUUCUUCUCUUUGCUAAAGGAUACUGAACUGGUUGAUGACAACAUGAACACCUACAACGCAUGGAACUAUGAUGAGCAUCUCAUUUGAGCAGCUAUUUGUUGUUGUUGUAGUAUGUGGCUCAUAUUUGAGCAAAAAGACAUAUGGAGAGAAAGGGGCAAAAUGUUGGAGCGAAGUAGAGCGAUGGCAUUUUUCAUUCAGGGUUUGUACUUCUUUGUUGUGGGGCGAAUGAUAGGUUGGGGGGUGUUGCCCCCCGCAGUACAAUUCAGGGGUAUUUUUGGAAUUUCAUUCCUAAGGGUUAGUAUAAGUACCCUUUUUAUGUAACCUUAAUUUUAACAUAGUGAAAAUCCUCUUUUCCCUGUUCCCGAUGACAUAGGCUACCCGAACCACAUUAAAUCUUUGUGUUCUUCUUUCUUGCUUUUUCUAUUAUUUUUGCCAUAAAUCGUUGCACGGAUUUCAACAAUUGUGGCCCGUAUCCUGAAAUUUGCUCUGUUGUGCAAAAUGAAAUGUCAUUCUCAUUGAAAACAAUGGAGGAUGGUCAAGUGAUCUUGCAUUCGAAUUCAAUUAAUGCUCGAGAGUGUAAACUCUGUUUUCCUCUAGGAUUCAAUAGCUAUGUCUGAUUUAGUGUUUCUUCUAUUUGGGGGCGACAUCUUGAGAGAGAUUAUGAUGGGUACCUUGAAGAAUCUUGGACAUUCAGUGCUUGAAAAUAUACCAAUGACUAAGCAUUCCAGCAAGAUUUUGGAACCAAAAUGCAAUUGGAAAGGAGCAGUUUGUAAUGAGAUUGCUGGUUUGACUGCUAUUUCAGUUGAUCUUUCAUUUGUUCCUUUGGUUGAAUCUAUUGGGAUGGAAGGAAGGGACAUGGUGUUUUCUUCCAAAAGUAGCUUAUCAUCAUAAUCAAAUGCUGGAAACAUCCUCAUGGACAAUAAGGUGGGUUCACUAAUGGGGUCUCCUUUGAGAGAUAUCCAGCACAAUGAAACUGUAUAAAAUGAAGAUCUUUUGUCUCAUUCAGAAAGGUUCAAACGGUUGGAACAUAGAUGCUAUUGUGGUAAAUGAUGUCAUUGAGCAAGGAAUUGAAACCACUAGCAUCCAUAGAGUAGACACAAUUGCACCCCGACCCCCGCGUGUGCAUGGUCAUGCAUGGCCACCUUGGUGCACACUCUCCUCCACCAUAUGCUUCUUUUUGGUGACUUACACUUUUUUUGUAAUCAGAUUUUCAAACCUAUUUUCAAUUGAAUAAUCCUUGCUGUCAAAAUUUGAUUUUCGAAACUUCAGCUUUCAAAUAAUUUUAAUUCUACUCUAGUUUUCAAAUAAUUGUAAUUCCCCCAAUUUUUCUCCCUUCCUUAGAGUUUUAGGUCACCAAAAAUCCAUUUUCAAUAAACAUUUGAUGUCAUUUUUUCUUUGGCAAGCAUCUUUCACCUUUUUUCCUUGAUUUUAAAUAAAUUUAUCUAUUUUCACGUUUUUAAUGAGCAUGAAUGCAAUUUCCAUAAUUCCAAAAUAAUGAAAUUUAUGGGCUUAAUUCAUGCAAAAUCAAUUAGGCAAUGGUGGGGCCCAACAUCUGUGAUUGAUAUUGAUUAACUUAUCCACUACUCUUACAUGCAUGUGAUUAUUUUAUACAUAAGCUAACCUUUUUUUUCAUGAUAGCACAUUAUUAUUUGUUGCUAAGGUAUGCUCCCACUCCCACUUUGCUUAUUUAAUCUCUAUGAAUGACUUGCUUCCAUUAUGUGAUUAUUCCUUGGUAUCCAUUGAUCUCCUUAUCAAUUGCCACACUUACCUCACCUUAUUUAGUAUUGACCAAUUUUUAGGGGGCUUAGAGGGGUGCUACAACUUGUCGUUGUACCUUUCCAAUAGGUAACCUGACCCUCACACCUAGACUUGGUUUUCACAGACCGUCUUUUCAUAUUAGAUGUCAUAUUUAGGGUUUUUCUUUCUUAUUUUGUUUUCCCUUUAAAAAAUAAAAUAAAAUAAAAAUAAGUUGCAACUCCAAUUUUUUUUUUUCUAAAAUUCAAUUUUCUUCACAAAUAAAAAAAUGAGUCUCACCAUCGAGUGGGAACUCAUUGUGAAAAAUGUUGGUCCACAAGUAUAUUUCUCUAAAACACAAACUCGAGGUAUUACAAAUCAUGCUAAUAUAUCAAGUAAAUAAACAAUCAUAUGCCCAAAAUAAAAUAAGGCUAAAGGUAACAAAAAGAUAUAAACACUAAGCUCAACAUCUUUGAACCUAUACCUAUGAUGAGCAAUCAAUUAGGCAUAUGCCCAAGGAUUUCCUAUGGUACUUAAACCUAAGAAAUCCAGGGGUUUGGUAAGAAUAUCUGCUUAUUGAUGUUCAGUGGGGACAAACUCUAGAGAAAUUACUUUUUCUUCUACAAGAUCCCUAAUGAAAUGAUGAAGAAUUUCAAUGGGUUUACUAUAGAAAUGAAUAAUAGGAUUCUUUGAGAUAUUUGUAGUACUAGAGUUGUCAUAGUGUAUGUUUAUAGUCCCUUGUUCAAUUCCAUAGUCUUUAAGCAUUUGCUUCAUCCACAAGAGUUGUGUACAAUAGCUCUCAGUAGCGAUAUACUCAGCUUCAAAAAUAGAUAAGGAUAUAGAUUUUUGUUUCUUAUUAAGCCAAGCCACAAGACAAUCACCAAUAAAAAAACAAGCAUCAGAUGUGUUUUUUCUAUCCUCAACAUUUUCAGCCUAAUCAACAUUGGAAUAUCCAACAAUCACAAGAGAAAUUCAUACGGAUACCACAAACCAUAAUCAAGAGUAUCAUUUAUAUAAUGAAUAAUUCUUUUAACAAACAUUAAGUGUGACUCUUUGGGGUUUGCUUGAUACCUAACAUAGGCUCUAACACUAAAAGAUAUGUUAGGACGACUUGCAGUAAGGUAAACUAAGCUUCCUAUCAUACUUCUAUAAAGCUUUUGCUCAACAUCCUUUCUAGAUGCAUCCUUGUUAAGCUUAGCAGUAGUGCCCGUAGGUGUCCUAAAGGGUUUGGAGGAUUCUAGACCAAAUUUUUUAACUAAUUCCCUAGCAUACUUGGAUUGAGAAAUAAAGAUCCCAUAUUUUAGUUGCCUAAUCUGCAAUCCUAGGAAGAAUGAUAAUUCACUUACCAUGCUCAUCUCGAAUUUAGUCUUCAUCUCUUUGGCAAAACUAAGGGCAAGGCUACUAGAUGUAACUCCAAAAACUAUAUCAUCUACUUAAAUCUGAACUACUAGCAACUCACAAUUGGACCUAUUUAUAAAUAAGGUUUUAUCAACUCCCCCUAUUUCAAACUUUUUCUCCAAGAGAUAGGUUGUGAGCUUCUCAUACCAUGCUCUAAGAGCUUGCUUUAAACCAUAAAGGGCUUUCUUUAACCUAUAGACAUAAUUAAGGAAUUUCGAAUCCUCAAAUCCCUUAAGUUGCUAAACAUAAACCUCUUCACCUAGAAUCCCAUUUAGAAAUGCACUCUUAACAUCCAUUUGGUAAAGCUUUAUCCUCAAGGAGCAUGCUAUUGCCAAAAGUAUCCUAAUUGAUUCUAGUCUAUCUAUAGGUGCAAAUGUUUCUUCACAAUCAAUCCCCUCUAUCAUUGAGUAUCCUUGGGCAACUAGUCUUGUUUUGUUUCUCAUAAUAACCCCAUUCUCAUUUUGCUUGUUCUUGACUAUCCAUUUUGUACCUAUUACAUGUUUAUCUUUUGGCCUAGGGACUAAAUACCACACAUCAUUCCUAGUUAAUUGUUUUAACUUUUCCUGGAGUGUGGUACUCCAAGAUUCAUCUCCUAAAGCUUCCCCACAUUCUUUGACUCCAAUUGGGAGGUAUAGCAUACAAGACCCAUCUCAUUUAAUCUUGAUUGUCUCUUAGUAACCACUCGUUCAUUUACAUUACCUAUAACAUUUGAGAUUGGGUGGUUCUUAGGUAUCUUGGAUCUAUGUUUAUCCUUUAUUUCUUUAGGAGUGUCAUCUAAAGGUACAACUUCAUCAUUAUUAGGGUCAAUGUUUUUAUCAAGGAUGUCAUUAGGGUUUUCUUUUGUGGUCUCCAAGUCUUUAGGGUCAUUCCCAAUUGAUUCCUAGAUUAAAAUUUGAUUAUCAAUUAUAUCCUGAUCAUACCCAAUAUCAUUUAUACUACAUUAGAAGAUUCCUAGAUGAUGUGAGAAUUUUGAUUAUACACCUUAUAGGCUUAGCUAGAAGUAGAAUAGCCUAGGAAGAUACCUAAAUAAGAUUUAGCAUCAAAUUUACCAAGGUUCUCUCCAUCCCUAAGUAUAUAGCAUUCACUGCCAAAAUUCAUAAAAUAUUUAAGAUUAGGUUUUCUCCUAGUCCAUAAUUCAUAAGAUGUAUUCUUUGUUCCUAACCUGAGAAAAAUCCUAUUGGCAGAAUAACAUGUAGUAUUAAUUGCUUCUACCCAAAAUUUCAUAAGGGUAUUAUACAUAUGAAUUAUGGACUCUAUUCUCUUUUUCUACUACUUCAUUUUUUUUUAGGAGUUCUAGGGGUUGAAAACUCAUGUUUAAUUACUUUUGAUUCACAAAAGAGGUCAACAUCCAUCCACAUUGUUGAACUCUCUCUUCCCCCUAUCACUCCUAAUCCUUACAAUUGGAUGGCUAAUUUCCACUAGUAUUCUAUUAAAUAAAGACAUUAAAUGUUCUAUGGCCUCAUAUUUCUCCUUAAGAAAACUCACAUAGGAGUAUCUUGAAAAAUCAUCUACAAUCAUAAGGACAUAUCUCUUGCCACCUCUGCUUUUAGUGUGCAUUGGACCCAUAAGAUCUAUGUGAAGAAGCUCUAAAGGUCUAAUGGUCCUUAUCUCCUUAACCUUUUUGUGUGAACUCUUAGUUUGUCUUCCUUUCAUGUACUCACCACAAAUGGGUUUAGGUUCACCACUAAGUCUAGGGAUACCUCUAACCUUUUCAAUAUUCACUAAGUGCACAAAGUCCCUAUAAUUUAUAUGACCAAACCUUCUAUGCCAAAGCUCAGUAGGAUCAAGCUUAGCCUUACUACACAUAAGAGGUGUUCUAGAGUUAGGAUUUAUGGCAUAAUAGUUAUCAUCUGUCCUAUGUCUUGUGAUGACUAUUUUUCCUUCUUUAUUAACUACCUCGAAUAAGUCUUGUUGAAAAUUCACUUUAUGAUCUUUAUCCCACAUUUGACUAAUGCUUAGGAGGUUUGCUUUGAGUCCUUCAACAUAUAGAACUCCAUCUAGUUUGGGACAACCAGGGAUAACUAUACUAUCUUUGCCUUUUACUCAAGUUAGGCUUCCAUCUCCAAAAGUAACAACUCCACCAUCAUAGUUUUCUAGAGAAGUAAAGGAGGAUUUGUCUCUUGUCAUGUGUCUAAAGUACCCACUAUCAAGGUACCACUUACUAGAAGAUUUAGCUUUAAGAGCAUUGAACACAACUUGACAUUUAGACCUAUCAUUUCUCAACCAAACUUGUUAUGUCUUGGGUGGUGACUUGGAGAAACUAGAUUGACUUCUAGGUUUUUGAUUAGCUUUGUUUCCUUUCCCAUUGUUCAAGAUGUUAUUUUUAAGGGAAUUAAAUUCAUUCAUAAGUCUGUUCAUUUGAGAUUCAAACCUUUCAAGAAACCUAGUGUAGCAUCUAAAUUGAGUGUGUCCAGUUUUCUUAUAGUGUGUGCAUAGUGAUGUCUUUUUAGGAGAUUUUAUUUUUUGUUAGGGGCACCAUACUUACCUUUGACAAACAUAGUUUCUCCAUUAUAGGGAGUUUCAUCUUUAUUAGUGUACCCUAAUCCUCUUUUAUCUCCAUGGGUUUUGCAUUCAUCAAGAAUUUCAUUAAGCACUUUAGUUCCAGGGUGAAAAUUUUCAUUCGCAAAUGAAGAAGGCUUAUUAUUAUUGAUUUCUUGAGUGUGAGCAUUAUUCUUCUCAAGGAGAAAAUGAUGCUCAUAUUUAAGAAAUCUGACUUUCUCAAGAAAAUUAAACUUUUCAACAUUUAGCACAUCAAUCUUUUUUUUAUGAGCUUUAAGAACAUCAUGAUUUUUCAUAGAACUUUGGAUCAAUCUUUCAUGCUCAACAACAAGAUUACUCACAAAUUAAACCCUUUGUUCAUUAGUAAACUCAUCAUCAUCACUAUCACUAUCACUAUCACAAUCAGUAUCAUCCAUAGGUUCCAUAAACGCAACAAAAGCUAACAUGUCAUUGGAAUCAUACCUUGCAUCUUCAGAAGUUGUGGAAGCACUCUCUUUAGAGUUUGAAUCACUCCAUGUUGCCUGCAUAGACUUUUUGAUAUUUUUUUUGGGCUAGGACAAUCUUGAGCAUAGUGUCUUAGACCUCUACAAUUAAAGCAUUCAACUUUCUUACCUUUGGAGGAACAUUUUACUUUCUCAUUGGAUGAUUAUUCAUUAGGUUUUUUUCCUUCUCCAUAUUCUCGAUUAUUGUGGAACCUUUUAUUGAAUUUCAUGACCCUUUUAAUCCUUUUGGCCAUAUGGGCAAAUUCAUCCUUAGUUAUAUCAUAUGACAUUUCAAUAUAUUUUUUCUCAUCCUCAGAAGCCUUAAAAGUAGAGUCUUUAGGCUUUUGGGAACUAGGUAGGGUCAUCUCUUAUGUCUAAAAAGAGUCAACUAGUUCAUCAACUCUCAUGGAAUUGAUGUCCUUGCUCUCCUCUAUGGUAGUUAUUUUGGGUCUAAAUCUCUCUAGAAGAGAUCUCAAUAUUUUCCUAACUACAUUAGAAUAUGGAAUAGGUUCUCCAAGGUUGAAUGAAGAAUUUACAAUAUGACUUAAUUCAGAAUAAAAAGAAGAAAAAGAUUGAUUUUCAUGCAUCCUAAUAAUCUCAAACUUAGUAGCAAAUAUUUGUAACUUAGAAACCUUUAUAGCAGACGUACCUUCAUGAGUGACUUGAAGAAUAUCCCAUGUUCCUUUACACGCUUGCAAUUUGCAAUCCUAGAAAACUUGUCUAGACAAACUCCAUUAAAAAUACUAAAUAAAGCCCUAGCAUUGGCUUAACUACCUUCAUUAUCGGUUUUGUCCCAUUCAUGUUUAAGUUUAAGUUCUCCUGUUGAUCUUCCUUGAGCAUCAAGGAUCAAUGGUGGUCCCCAACUGAAUUGCAUACCCUUUUGCCUUGAAUUUUAAGGGAAAACAUCAUUCGUGCUUUCCAAUGAGAGUAAUUAUUCCCAUCAAAAUAGGGUAGACUAUUCAAAGAGGCACCACUUUUUUACUGUUCCAUAUCAGACUUACAGGAUCAAUAAAAUUUUGAUUUUUAUCCUAUAUGAUCAAUAAAAAUUUGAUUUUUAAACAAUGAAAGCUAAAUCUUUAAUCAAUAGGAUAGAGAAUCGGUUUUUUAUCUUGUUCUAAUACCAAUUGAAAAAUGGGUAUUGAUCAAAUACCUCUUAAAUAAUAAUUGAAAGUCUAAUAGGAAACACCCAAAGGGGGAGGAGAGAAUGGGUGAUUUAAAAAUUUUAAAUUAAUAUUUAUAAAUAAUAACUAACUUUUUCUUACUCUAAUAGAUAAUAGGGAUAUCCCAAAUAACUAAAUGGAUUAUACCCAAAAUAUUUAGGUUUAUAAAAAUAUGAUUUUUAACUUUUAGGGAUAUCCCGCAAUUGGUUAGGAAUAAUAUAAUUAUGAAUAUCCAAAUUAUACCUUAUGAGAUGUUAGGUAAAACAAUAAUUAGUUAUAGGUAUAACAACCAUAACCUCCAAGAUAACCAAUCCAACAAUUUCAAUAACCAAUCAAUCAUAAAGGAAUCUCAAUAACAACCUAACUAACCUAUUCAAUAUAAUCAAUAUCAUCAACUAUAAUAUAAGCAGUAAUAAAAAGAUAUGCAAUGAGGCAUAACAUUUUUACAUGGAAAACCCCCACGAAUUAUGGAAUAAAAAAACACAAGGUCUAAGACCUAUCAAUCUAAACCCAUUAUUCGAAAUCAAGUUACAUAGAUUUACAUUACAUAGAUUUACAUAGUCAUUUUACCCUAAAUACUUUCUCUCCAGCACCUGCAACUUUAUCUAUGUCUGUGAUGCAACAACUCCUUAUUUCUCCCUAGUAGAUCCUUCAGCCACUCUAAAGGGAUUAAGGUCUUCAAAAAAACAAUUGAAAUAUCCUAAUCCUUGAAUAAGAGAUUGCGAAUGGUGUGACAAUAAGGAUUUCUCUCAAUAACUCACUCCCUCAUGAAUGAAAGGUCUCAACGAUAUAUUUUCAAUCUCCCCAAAAAUCUCUACACAAUCUUUUAUCCUUAAUGGGUUAUAAGAGAUGUAUUUAUAGGCAAAAGUCAUAAGAAUUUCGAUAUCUCAAGUUUCCAAAUUUGAGUUUGAAUGAAAUUCAUCCAAAAUAUGUUUCUAAACUCGGCAAGAAUAACAUGAUUGCUUAAGUGGACUUAGACCGCUUGAGCGGUUCAUACAACUUGAGUGGGUUGACUACUUGAGCGAGAUUAACCACUUGAGCCCCUAUUUUUUGAAAAAAAAAAUAUUAUAAUUCCAAAAAUGAAACCGAACCUUUUAUACCUUAAAUAAGUCUUAUAUGCCACAACACAAACCUUUUUAGACGUAUCUGUGACUUCUUAGUUAGAUGAACAAGAACCAUUGAUCUUCAAUGGAGAGCAAGCCACUAUAUACAAAGACAUCUAUGUCCAAACAUUGAUUGGAACAAAAUUGCCAACAAUUACACAAGACUCAAUGUCCUAAUAAACAAGAUCUCUAGUUUGGGUUAAUUGAUUAAUUAGAUGAACCUAUCUAGUUAAUUAAUCAAUUAGGACCCAUUUUAGGCUAGAUUAAGUGACCCAAGCCUUGAUGAGCUUAAGUCACUUAAGCCCAAUGGGUAACCCUAUAAAUACCACUUUUAUGAGUUAGGGUCUCAUAUAACUUUUUGAUAAGAAUUGUCUUCCACCUCUAGAGAAAGAGAGAGUCAUUGCUUCCUUUCUUCCAUUAUCCACACUUUAAAGUGUUAAGAUCAUGGUUUGAGUCAUCUUCCGAAAGAUCUUGGAUGUACAAGACCUCCAGACUCUUUAGGCUUCUUCUUGAUUAGAUGGAUUUUGAUUUGGGAACAUCCAAAUCACAGGUAUGAAUACUAUAUCUCUAUAUCUAUAGUUAAUAAUAGUUUUUAUUGUCAUUUUAUUUCAUUAUGAUAGAUUUAGAGAUGCCUAGGGAUAAAGAACAGAGUACUAAGGCAUGAGAACAGAGUACUCUAGGGUUCCCAACACCAAGAUCAUCGUUUAAGUCAUCGGUCAGAAGAUCUUGGGUGUACGAGACCUUUGGUUCAUCGAGUGGAAUUGACUUAGGAACAUCUCAGUCAAAAGUAAAAUUUAGUAAUGACUUUUCUCUAGAUCGUAUAAUGUUAAAAUUUAUUUUUUACUUUCGUUACAUAAGAUCUAGAUCUAGAGGCGUAAAGAAGUUUACAUGCACCUAUACAAUCUAGGGCUUGGGAACAAAGAGAUCUAGGGUUCCUAGAAAUUGGUAUGAAUGCCCUAUGAUAAGAUUUUUCAUGUUAGAUAUGCUCUAAGGUGUGUUAACUCUAUUUUGAAAGGCUUGUUUUUCAUUUGAUGGCCCUAGGGAUGAAUAUAUGUGGGUUUUCAAUAUAAUAUGAUGGUUAUAAUUAUGAUUGGAUUGUUUUAUUUUUGCUAGAAUAGGUUGUAAGCUUCAUGUUUAGGAGCAUAGGAUUUUUCUUGGUUGUAAAAAUCUCUCCUUUAUUAGAUUGGUUGUAAACUCCAUUAAUGGAGUAUAAUAUUUUUGUGAUGUAAAAGAUCCUUUUUUUUUUUUUUAACAAUCUAAUAACUCAUGAAAGACAAGAAAGCAAUCUAAGAUGUCAUUCUUAACCAUCAUGACUCCCACACCAACCAAGGUAAGUUUUUGGUGGAGAAAACAAUCAAAAUCUACAAAAGAAAUAGUCUCAAGUGCUCAGGAAAGGUGACUUGGGUGCUCGAGCAAUCACUUAUCAUGCUCGAGCGAUAUGAUUGAUCGAGUGGUGCUUCCAAUGAUGGUAAGUUGCUUCUAGCAUCCUCAAAAAAAUUUGAGCGCUCUAGUGUAGGUGACAAUAGAUGUGCAAUAAGGAAAUACAACAACAUAAAAAUUGCAAUUCGGGAUUUUUGUAAUAGAUUAGGGUAUUUAUGUAACUAACCCUAUUUUCUGUUACAAAUAUAACUUGGGAAAAUUUGGAUUUUUUAUCCAAAUGGGUUACCAACUUUAUGUAAUAGUAUUCCCAAGGCGAUGGAAACCAGUUCAUUAAUUUAUUAUUUAUUUUAUUUCAUAUUUUUUUCUGCUUAGCAUGUGUUAAAUAAAGAAUAAAUUGGAAAAAUGAUUUUGGAUUUUUCUUAAGGAAAAUAGAUUUUCAUGAGAAACGUUUUCCAAUAUUAUUUUUCUUUUGAACUAGUCGUUGUUAAAGACAUUGUUAUUCCUUUUUGGAUUAUCCACUUGGUUAAUAGGUGGUUCUCUAAGAUCAACCCCUUAGAAAAGGAGGAAAUCAUUUUGUAUAUGGAUAGUCUAAGGAUAAAGGAAUAAGAGAGAAAUUCUUUUAUCACAAGACUCUUAAUUUAAGAAGUAAAUAACAGAAUUGGAAAAUCUCAUGAUAGAGAAUUUAUUUUAAGAAAGGUUAUCAAAAUUACUAAAAGUCACUAUUUUCAAAAUAUUAAUUAGGAGAGGGCCUUAGCAAAUACGAUAACCUCCAUUGUCAAGCCCAUCUUGAUUUGGGUUCAUCACCACCCUCACAGUGGAUUGUAAGCCCUAGGAAUCAAGGGAUAUAGACUCUCCUUAUAGACAAGGCUUUACAUGUCUGUAGUAGGAGCAACCACCCCCAUGGUGGGUUUCCUUGCUAAGUGAUAUUGAUAGCUUAAGGACAAUGGUUAUACACUUAACAUUGGAUAUUAAGUGGUUGAAUCACCCCACACAAUCCCACCUACAUAGUUCAUAGGUCAAAUAAAAAGGUAUGUUGUUCUUGCCUUUAGGUAACGUUCAUGUUUAAGGUAGGGAGAUCAAUCUGAGAGAGUCACUAACUAAUAAUAAGGUCAUGACCUAACUUAUGUAUUCCUAAACAUAACUAAGGCUAAUAAUAAGGUCACUAACUAAUAAAUCGUGUUGGAAGAAGGAAUGCCCUAAAUUCCUAAAGAGAUAGUUAGUUAUGCAUUUUUAUUUUCUAGUUGAAUCAUGUUUAGUGUUGGAUUCUACUAAUUCUUAGUGGAUAGAUUCCAGAGCUAUUGAUCAUGUUUAUAAUUCAUUACAGGGGUUUCAACUAAGCCGAAGGCUAAAUGAUUGAGAUAUGUAUCUAACAUUAGCUUCUGAAGCGAGACUUGUUGUGUAGGCAAUGGAAGAUGUUACCUUUAUAUUUUCUUAUAAUAGUCUUAUAAUAGUCUUUUAGUAUUAAAGGAUUGUCUUUAUGUUCCCGAGUUUAUGAAGAAUUUGAUUUCGAUUUCUAAUAUAUGUAAACUGAAUUAUUCAUCUUUUUUCUAUUAAACAGGUUUGUAUUAGAUUGAAUGAUUCAUUUAUAUGCUCAAGAUCAUUGAUAGAUAAUCUUUAUCGUGUUUCUCUAUUAUCUAUUUUGUGAAGUAAUGAGAGUUAUCAUAUUUCAUAGAAAAUGAAGGAACCUAGCAAUAAUCAAAUAUAACUUUAGCACUUAUACGUAGGUCAUAUAAUCUAAACAAGGCCUAAAGAUUGGUUAAGUUUAGAACUUUACCAUUCUUGAUUCAAAAGAUCUUACAGUUUGUGAAUCUUGUAUAGAACGUAAAAUGACCAAGAAGCCUUUUACUGCUAAAGAAUAUAAAGCCAAGGAAUGUUUAGAGUUAGUGCAUCUUGACAUUUGUGCAUCUUUCAAUGUCCAUGCACAAGAAGGAUAUGAGUAUUUCAUCACGUUUACAAAUGAUUACUCCAUGUUUGGAUAUGUUUACCUGAUGCAUAGGAAGUUUGAUGCCUUGAACAAAUUCAUUGAAUUUAAGACAGAAUCAGAAAACUAAUUGGGUAAAUGUAUCAAGGCACUUCAAUUUGAUAAAGGUGGUGAGUAUAUGUCUACUCAAUUUGAUUCUUUCCUUAAGGAGCACAAGAUUAUAUCCUACUUGAGUGCACUAGGAACUCCACAAUAAAAUGGAGUAAUAGAAAGAAGAAAUCGAAUGUUGAUGGACAUGAUGAGAUCUAUGAUGAGUUUCUCAUCACUCUUGUAUCCUUUUGGGGAUAUGCCUUAGAUAUUUCAUCUUACCUUCUCAUUUUCACAUUUAGGGGUGCCUAAGACAUGUGCUGAAGCUAAAGGUAGACAAAUUGAAAGCAAGGCUUGAUGUAUAUCAAUUUUUAGGUUAUACAAGAGGAAUGAGAGGCCUUUACUUUCACAUCCAGGUCGAUCAAAAGGUAUUUUUCAGUACAAAUGCCAAAUUUAUGGAAGAAGGUUAUAUGAUGAAUAAUAGGGUAAAACAUGAUAUAGAUUGGAGGACACUUGAAGACACUCCCACACUAGCACAAAGGACUAUGAGACAACAAGUUCCUACACCUACCAUUCUAGUCAAUUCUAGUACAUUCAUGGCUCAUUGUAGUGGAAGGAUUGUUAUACAACCAGACAAGUUCAUGUAUUUGAGAGAGUUUAUCAAGGCAAUUCCAAAGGAACAUGAAACCGAUCCCAUAGAUUAUAAUAACGCAAUGAGUAGUAAUGAUGUUAUUCUUUGGCAAAGAGCUAUGGAGGUAAAGUUAAAAUCUAUGUAUUCUAACAGAAUCUAGGAUCUUGUAGAAGUACCUGAACUGCUAAAACUCAUAGGCGGUCUAAAAAAGGAAGAGAAGUAAAUGGAAAGAUUGAGACAUACAAGGCUAGGCUGGUAACGAAGAGUUAUAGUCAAAAACUUGGUUUUAACUAUAAGGAGACCUUCUCACCAAUAGCCAUGCUGAAAUUCGUCUGAAUACUCCUAUCCAUUACAAUGCACCUUGAUUGUGAAAUAUGACAAAUAGAUGUCAAGACAAUGCUCUUGAAUGGUGAUCUUAAAAAGAGCAUCUAUAUGAUGUAACUAGAUGGAUUCAUAGCAAAAUGAUAAGAACAUCUUAUGUGCAAGUUGCAUAAAUCCAUUUAUAGAUUAAAUUGGGCGUCUUGCACAUGGAAUAGGCAUUUUGAUUAGGCUAUCAAGACUAUUGAUUUUGAUCAAAAUGAGGAUGAGUCUUAGGUGUACAAGAAGAUGCAGGAAAGCAUGGUUGUGUUUUUGGUCUUAUAUGUUGAUGACAUUCUAUUCAUUGGGAAUGAUGUAGGGUUAUUGUCAUCAAUUAAGAUCUGGCUAUCUACUUAAUUCUAAAUGAAAGGUCUAAGUGAGACACAAUAUAUUCUUAGAAUUAAGGUCCUUUGGGAUUGUACGAAUAGGAAGAUUGCGUUGUCUUAGGCCACCUACAUUGACAAGGUUUUGGUCAAGUAUGUGAUAAAGGACUCUAAGAAAGGUUUCUACCCUAUGCUUUUGCAAUGGGUAGCCUUAUGUAUGUGGUGCUAGGUACCAGACCAGAUGUUUUCUUUGCUAUAGGAUGGUGAGUAAAUAUUAGUCUAAUCUAGGCAUGGAGCAUUGGACAAUAAUCAAGCAUAUACUCAAGUAUCUUUGAACAACGAGGGAUUAUAUGUUAGUAUAUCAUUACGAUAAGUUGUUACUUCUUGGGUAUAUGGAUUCAUACUUUCAGUCAGAUAAAGACUCUCACAAGUUUACCUUUGAUUUUGUGUUCACUCUAGGUGGUGGGACUAUUAUUUAAAGAAGGUUGAAGCAAUCUUGUAUUGCUAACGCUACUAUGGACGAUGAGUAUAUUGCUACUUCUAAAGCAGCAAAGGAAGUUAUUUGGCUUCGAAGGUUCCUGUUAGGACUUGGGCUAGUGCUCUUGGCUAUAUCACCCCUAGUACUAUUUUGUGAUAAUAGUGGGAUGGUGGCAUAGUCUAAAGAACUAAAAAAAACCACCUGAAGAGUAUUACUUGAUACGUAAGAUAGUAAUGAAGGGAGAUGUGGUUGUGGAGAAAAUCACUUCUACUGAGAACCUGAUAGAUCCCUUCACAAAGACUUUAUUUACUAGAGUCUUUAAUGGUCAUAGGGUAGCUUUUGUGUCAAAUGUGUUCCCAACAUGCUCUAAGGCUAGUAGGAUUUUGUUGGGAUUAAGCCCUAGAAAGCAUGACAAGAUGUAAUAGAUAUAGAUUCAUUUAUAAUUUUAUUUAUUUAUGUUUCUUUAUUUUGUGUUAUUAUCCUAUUUGUAUUAAUUGGUUAUUUAAGCAUACACACCCCACAUUAAUUGCAUUGUACAUGACUUGGGUGCAUUAGGGGUUACAUAGACGAUCUAAGUCAUUGGUUUCUUAUAGAGUGAUGAGUUGUCCAUAGUCGGUUCAUAGAUUUAGGCAAUCCAUCUGAGACUAUAGUGCACUACCUCCUAAUUGGAGGAAUAACUUGUCUUAGUUGUCAAGAUGGUUUUCCCAUGGUGAGUGCACUAGUGCAUGUGAUGAACACUGCAUUAAGCCUACGGUGAAUCAUGACAUAAGGCUAUCAAUUGUCAUGAUUCACCAAGCUACUAUACUAGAUGAACUCUUAAGCUUGAGAGGAUAUUAAGCCUAUGCCAAAGUCAAUAGGAGGCUUUAACCUACAAGUGAGUUCCUAAGGUGACCAUAUAUCUCUAUGGAUUAUGUCACUAUUGAUUAAGACUGGUGACAAUAGGUAUUCUUAAUAGAGGCACCAUAAUAUCUCAUGGAUUGAGAUAGUGUGUCCCCUUCGAUGAUCCAAAGGACAUGUGAUCUAGAAGAUUUGACAUUUUCUUUAGUGGAAAUUUCACAUAUCUCCUUGGAGUUAGAGUAUGUCAAUUGAUCACAUAAUAAGUAGGAUUUGUAAUCUAAGGACUGAAGACGUAAUCUUGAUAGGUGAUAACACUAUCUUAUUAGAUUGCAGACACCAAUUCAUGGGAAGUCUACAUGUAGUGGAUAUUAGGUCACAAAUUUGAGCUUUAUAUCAUUGUUAUUUACAUAAGUAUUGGAAUGUAGUUGAUUCUCUUAAAUGAAAUGUUGAAUCAACUUCAAAAUUAGAUUUUGAGGGAUCCAUUACUCCUAUGGGUCCUAGUGAUCCCCACUCUAAGCUCAUAUAACAUGAUGACAUGAUUUUUAAGGGUUAGAUUGGCUCUAGGUUCACUCUUGUGCAUAAGGGUAUUUUGGUAAUUACGUAAGGUUGCAUAGGAGAUAGUGAACAAGGUCUCUAGAUUGGACUAAUUGAUUAAUAAGAUGGGCCUAUGUGGUUAAUUAAUUAAGACAUGUUUUAGGCUAGAUUAAGUGACUCGAGCCUUAGUAGGCUCAAGUCACUUAAGCCUAGUAGGGAGACCUUAUAAAUACCCCUUUAGGGGUCAAUGUUUCCAUCACUUUUCAAAGACAGUCGUCUUCCACUUCAGAGAGAGAGGGAGAGAGCUAGGAUUCUUCCCUUCCAAAGUCCACACUUUAGAGUACCAAGAUCGUGGUUCAAGUCAUAGGGCAAAAGAUCUUCGGUGCACGAGAUCUCCAGACUCUUCAAGCUUCAUCUUUAACUAGUGAAAUUGAUUUGGGAUGUCUAAAUCAAAUUUAAAGUUUUCUAAUGACUUUUCUUUGGAUCCUAGAAUGUUAAAAAAAAAAAAAUUCAUUUCCGUUGCAUAGGAUCUAGAGGCAUAGGGUAGUUUGCAUGCACCUAUAUGAUCCAAAGCUUGGGAACAAAGAAACCUACCCAAAAUAAAAGGUACUCGAUAUGAUGAUUUGAAAUUUUUGCAAGGAAUUACAAUUACACUGAAUGUAGCAACAACCUCAUAUGAAAUUCUCGGUGAAGUUUCUAAUUCUUCAAAGCUAGUGAAAAGGCAUUACAAAGUCUUGCAAAGCCAUGUUUGUUGAAAGGUAUUUCUACAUCCAAGUUGGAAUUUUGUGAGCACUAUAUAUUAAGCAAAAACAACAGGGUAAAGUUUGGUAUUGCAGUCCAUCGCACCAAGGAAACAUUAGAUUAUGUGUAUACAAAUGUCUAGGGACAUACAAAAACAACUUCUUUAUGAGGUAAGCAUUGGUUUGUGAAUUUUUUUUAUGAUUACUUAAGAUAUGUGUAGGUGUAUUUAAUGUGAUAUAAAAGUUAUGCUCUUAAUGUGUUUCUCAAAAGACAAUGGUAGAAAAUAAAGUUAUUAAAAAAAUAUAUAUUAAGAAGCAUAUAUUAAACAAUGAUGGGGAAUAUAAGUUAAAUCCUUUUACGCAAAUUAGAGAAAAAAAAUGAUUGUGUGACACUUACCAGUCAUGAAUAUUCUACAAGAAAACAGGGUAGUAGAGAAGACAAAUCACAAAUUGUUUGAGAAGUUGAGGUGCAUGUUGUCUAAGAGCAGAUUGAGGAAAAGAGUUUUAGGUUGAGGUUGUAACAUAUACAUGUCAUCUUAUUAAUAGAUUACCUUCUAUAAUACUUGAGAUCAAGACUCCCAUGGAGAUACGAUAUGGUACUCCAACUUCUGAUUAUGAUUCAUUACAUAUAUUCAGUUGUUCUUCUUACUACCAUAUUUAGAGAAUAAGUUAAAGCUUAGAUCCAAGAAAACAAUUUUCUUAGGUUUUAGUAGUGGUGUUAAAGGCUAUUGUUUAUGGUACUCUUUGCAAAGGAAAAUCAUUGUGAGCAUGGAUGUUGUGUUGAGUGACGAUGUUAUGUUAAAAAAGAGUUUCACAGAAGAUGGAGUUUGGAAGUCAAGUUGAAACUACUAUGAUGUCUUCUCUAGAUCAUUCAAGUAUGGAUUUAGAUGUCAUAGUAGAUGAACUAGAGUUUACUUCCCUAAGGUCCAAUGAAUAUUUUAAGUCAAUUGCAGUAAGUAGACCACAUAAAGAGAUAUUGUCACCUGCAUGACAUGUUGAAUUGGUUGCAUAUGCAUCACCCAUUGUUACUAAAGAUAUUCCAGACACUUAUAGGGAUGCAAUUCAUAGUCCUUAAAGUGAAGAUUGGAAAUUGGAAAUAUAGAAUAGAUGAACUCUCUCCACAAAAUUAAGACAUGGAAAUUAGUUCCAUUUCUUCCAUGAAGAAAGUUGUUGGAUGUAAAUGGCUAAGCAAAUAAAGAGAACUCAAUAAAAAAAAAGGUGAUAUAAGUUUCAAGGUUAUAUUAGUUGCAAAAGGGUAUGUAUAACAUAAAUAUAUUCAUGAUAAUAAAGUGUUUUAUCCUAUUGUUAAUCAUUCUUCUAUUAGAUUAUUGUUCGCUCUUAUUGCUCAAUAUGAUUUGGAGUUGUCUUAGUUAGAUGUUAAAACUGCUUUUCUCCAUGGUGAUUUAGAUGAAGAGACAUAUAUGUCUUAACUAGAAGGGUUUUAAAGAACUAAGAAAGAAUAAUUUGUUUGUAAAAUUGAACAAAUCAUUAUAUUCAUUUGAAGCAAUCCCCAUGGCAAUGGUACAAGACAUUUGAUCAAUUUAUAAUAGAAAUAAUUACAUUAGAAGUAAAUUUGAUCAUUAUGUUUAUUUUAGUAAAUUAUCUUAUGAAAAUUAUAUUUUUUUUGUUAAUAUAUGUCGAUGAUAUGUUGAUUGCUUGUAAGCCUCUGAUAGUCAUUCAUAGGUUAAAAAAUUAGUUGAGAACUAAAUUUGAAACUAAGGAUCUUAGAAUGCAUGAAAAAUUAUUGGAAUGAAGAUGACAAGGGAUAGAAGAAAGGGGAUUGAUGAAUUGUCACAACAACAAUGUUUGUAGACAUUACUUUAGCAUUGUGGUAGGACUUCCAAAAUAAAAAGUGUACUCCUUUGGCACCUCAUAUGAAACUCAAUGUAGAGAUGUCUCAUAACUUAGAUGAAGAAGUAAAGUGCAUAUGCAUAAUGUUCCAUAUGCUAGUGUCGUUUGAAGUUUGAUGCAUACCAUGGUUUGUAAUAGACUUGAUAUUCCACUUGUUGUCAUCAUGGUUAGCAGGUAUAUGCAUAAUCCAAUGGCUCUAGCAAACAGUAAAAUAAAUUUUAAGAUAUAUUCUAUGCACAACUGAUGUUGGAAUAGUAUUUCAACAAGAAUGUUCAACACAAGAUAUGGGUUAUGCAUAUUCAGACUAUACAACUAAGCUUUGUAAGUGUACGUCUAUUAUAGGUUCUGUAUUUACACUUGUAGGUAGACCUAUUUGCUAGAAAUCAACAUCUAUUGUGGCUUUGUCUGCUACAGAGCUAGAAUAUAUGAUAAUUAUAAAAGCUUUCAAGGAAGCUAUUUGGUUACAUGGUUUGGUUAAGGACUUGGGAAUCAAACAUGUCACAUCAUAACUUAUUGUGGUAGUUAAAAUGUCAUUCAUUUGGAAAAUAAUCAAAUUCAUCACUCCCAAACAAAGCAUAUUGAUGUUUGAUUUUAUUUUAUUAAAGAAAUUCUAGAAGAAGGUGAUAUCUUUCUUCAAAAGAUUGCUACUAUAGAUAAUCUAGCUCAUAUGCUGACAAAGAUAGUUUAUGGGAUCAAGUUCAAUCAUUGUGUAGACUUAAUCCAUAUUGAGAGGAUAUGAGUAUCCUCAAGUGCAUUUGGCUACAAGAUCCUUAAAAGAAUUUGUGUAGCGUUCAAUCUUGGCAAGGUGGAGAUUGUUAAAUUGGCUUCACUUAAGUUAAUCAACCAAUUGCAAGAGAAUUUUGAAGCCUUAAUAGUUGAACCAUAUAUUGUUUUUUUAGGUAAAGUCUAUAGUUACAAUGCAUGUAGUUGGAUUGAAAAGUUUCUUGGGGAACAUAGGAUAUAAUUGAUGUUCUCUACAUUGGUUUUUCUUUUUUCUUUUUUCAAUUUUGAAAUUCCAGAGAAAACUAUCUUACAAAGGAGAAAAUACCACACUUAGGACAAAGAGUACUUUGUAAUUAUUCUAUACUCUUUUGAGAUCUUUAGUGAAUGAUCUUACUAUAGGCAAAAACCUUGAAGCUUUACAACGUUAUGAUGUAGUAUUUCCAAUAAUAUAGGCACUUCAUUUUCAAAACCUUUCAAGUAUGUUGCCUCAUCUCUUUCUUGUCCAUGGAGUUUUUUUCGAGGCUACCACAUUGCCUAUACAUAAUUAAGCCUUUAAACACUACCAUAGCCUUCGAUACCUAUGUAAUUUUUUAUAUCGAAAUCUUUUGUUGCCUUGAUGAUGUCUUCAUAAGCAAUCUUACCAUCAUAGUUCCAUGCCAAAAAUAUAUAUCCUUAUGGAUGUUACUUUGGUUUGAUUUUUUCUUAUCUUCAAUGAAAGUGGGAGGGCCACAAAAGAAAGAAACAAAGUGGUAAAAAAAGAAAUAAUGAUGAUGAGUAUGAUUUUAUGUCCCUUCUUAGAAUGAGGCAAGUCUUCUAUGUCCACACAUAAACCUUUAUUGUGGUCAAAUACUGUAAAUAGAUGUUCAAACUACAUUAGAUUCUUCAAAUCCCCAAUUUCAAAAGAGCUAGCAUCGUUGAUUUGAUUGUAACAAAGAUAAAAAUGAGUCAAAUCAGUAGAUGCCCCAAAGAUGAAGGAAUAACACCAAUAAGGGAGUUAUGACUAAGAGACAAUUCCAAGAAUUCUAGGUUGGUAAAAUAUCCAAGUGAGGAAGGGAUGACUCUGGAAAAAGAGUUAGAACCCAAAUCCAAGUGAAUCAGAUUCAUUAAAUUCCCAAUCUAGUAAGGAAUAAAACCAUGGAUUUCAUUGCAACUUAGGCUUAAAUAUUUAAGCAAGUAAACAAUAAUAGCACAAAAUAAACAAGAAAAUAAUAACAUAAUUAUUUCCUCAUGGGCUUUAAGGAUCUUAUUGCAUAAUUAGUAAUAAUUUGGAUAAAAUCCAAAUAAAAAAUAUUACCAAAAAUACCUAUAACCAAAAAUAUGAUUAUAAAAUAAAAAGAAACCUUAAAAAUGAUGGGAGAAACUUGAAUCUCUUCAUUUUCCGAGCCUAGAUUAGGCUAGGAACAUGCUUAACUAUCCUAAGCUUUUCUAAAUCCCAUGCAUAGUGAAAAAAUUGCAUUUUUAAAACUUAAUAUGGAUUCAAUAAGUGCUAACGAAAACAUAAUUUGGAUUAAAAUGUUCUUAAAUCCAAUACACAUAGUGAAGAUAAAGAAGGAAGUCACAGAAGUCUCAUAUACCCGAAGUCUUCCAUUCGAUGACUUGAACCUUGAACUUAACACACUUCAGGUGGGAAUGUAAGAGAAGGUAAAGGUUAUGGCUCUCUCUCUCUCUCUCUCUAGAGGUGGAAGACAACUCUUUAAAAAAAACAAUGGAAACCCUAACCCUUAAGGGGUAUUUAUAGGGUUUCCCACUAGGCUUAAGUGACUUAAGCCCAUUAAAGGCUAGGGUCACUUAGUCUAGCAAAAAACAAGUCCUAAUUGAUUAAUUAACCUAAGAAGGCCAAUUAAUUAAUUAAUUAGUUCAAUUUAAAGAACUUGUUCACUUGCCUUGUGCAACCUUACGUAAUUACCAAAAUGUCCUAAUGCAUAAAAGUGAACCUAAAGUUAAUCCAACCUUUAUAACCCAUGCCAACAAGGUAUAUGAGCGUAGAAUAGGGACCAAUGGGGCACAUAAAAGUACUAACACCCUUAAAAUCCAAUUUUGAAGUUGAUUCAAUAUCCCACUACAGAGAAUCAACUAAACUCCAAUAUCCUAUGUGAAUAACAACAAGACACCAUGUGCUCGAGUCUAUGACCUAUUAUCCAUUACGUUCAGUCUCCCCAUAAACUUGUGUCCAUAGUCUAAUAAGGUGAAAGCUAUCAGUCUUUCAAGACUACCUCUACUAUCCUUGAGCAAUAGAUCCUUCUAUUUUGUAUUCAAUUAACAUAUCUUAGCUUUCCAAGAGCUAAUGUCAAGUUCCACUUAAAGAACUACUAUGACCAUAGUUUCCAUGAACAUACCUCCAUAGGAUCAGCCAAGGGGACACUCUAUCUCAAUCCUAUAAGAUAUCAUGGUGCCUCUAUUGAGAAUACCUAUUGCUACUAAUUUCCAUCAAUAGUGACCCAAUCCAUAGGGAAUAUAUAAUCAGCUUACGAUAUCACCUAUAGGUCAAAGUCAUUGCUAACUUGAACAUAAGCUCAAUAUUCUCUCAAGAUUGAGGGACAAUACAAUGAAGCAGCUUGGUGAAGUCAUGACUACAUGAUAGCCUUACAUCAUAACUCAUCGUAGGUCUUGUCCAAUGUGCAACCAUACACACUAAUGCACUCACCAUGGGAAACCUAUCCCAAUGGCCAAGACCAGUCAUCCCUCCAAUUAGGAGGUAGUGCACUAUAACCUCUAAUGGGUUGCCUAAGCCUAUGAACUAGUUGUGAACAAGUCAUCCAUUUGCAAGGAACCCAUGACUUAGAUCUUGAAUGCAACUCCUAAUGCACCUAAGUCACGUAUAAUGGAAAAAAUGCAUGCCAAAGUGCUUACAAGAUAUAAUGCAUAGAAAUAGGAUAACUAAAAGUAAACUAAAACUUUAUUAAAUAAAUAAUAGAAAUUCACAUGUUUAUUACAUCAUGUCAUGUUUUUAAAGGCUCUAUCCUAACAAAAAAAAUACCCUAAAAAUGUCAAAUAGCAAUCAUUUGCACUUUAGCGUCCCAAGGGUCGCUGGAAGGACUACUCUAUCACUCAUGCUGCCUAAGCACUAAUAUGAUCACUUAAGCAUUGAGGCCACUUGAGUGCUAAUCUAAGCGCUUAAGCACUACAUCCUACACAUGAGGUUGGUUCUAUAACUAUUUCAACCAUCGUUUCUAUGAAAGCCUCAUCAUUUUGGAUGACUUUUUGCACCAUAGAUGCUCGUGAAUGCUUGGAAUCUUUAAUCUUCAAGUUUUGGGUUACCAAAGACGGAUAAAAUUUCGAUUUUUACAUUAAGAAAAACCUUAUGCUUCGUUAGAUGGAGUGUACAGUCCAUCUAAGAACAAAAGACUUGAUAUUUACUUAUAAAAUUAAAAUUUUAUGCUCCUAACCAUGAAGUUUCCAACCUAGUCUAUACAAAGAACAAAUCCAAACACUUAAUCACAAUUAUAAACAUCAUAUUCAUAAAAAUAACAUCCAUACAUUCAUCCCUUUAGGUCAUGGGAUGAACAAACAUGCCUACAAAACCAAGUAAGCACACCUUAGAAUGGAUCUAAUAAGCUUUUUCGUAACCUAGGGCUUUGAUACCAAUUGUUGGGAAAACCUAGAUUGCUCCAUUAUCAUGUCUUGGAUCGUUAGGGUGCAUGAAAACCUAUUCUAGGCUCUCUAAAUCUAUCAUACAAUAGAAACAUUGCAAUUGAAACCAAAAAGAAUACCAUAGAUUUAGAGAUUAGUGCCAUACAUUUUAUUUAGAUAUUCCUAGAUCGAUUCCUAUCAUUGUAGAAAGCUCCAAAAUUGAAGAAAAUCUUAUAAACAUCAUGAUUUUCCACCCAAUGACUUCUCCUUGAGUGUAGGUGCUAAGAUGGUGGAGAUCUCAAGGGUUGGAGGCUAGGUUUCUCUCUCUAGACUAUAAGGAGAGAAUGGUAAGAUUGAACUUCACUAGAAACCCUAAUCCCCUAAAGGGGUAUUUAUGGGCUUCUUACUAGGCUCAAGUGACUUAAGCCCACUAUGGGCUUGGGUAACUUAAUUUAGCCUAAAGGGUGCUAAUUGAUUAAUUAACCCUAUAGAGCUCCAAUUAAUCCAUUAGUCUAAUCCAGAGAUAUUGCAUACUUAUCCUUAUGCAACCUUGCAUGAUUACCAAAGAGUCAUAAUAUUCAUAAGUGAACUAAAAACUCAUCCAACCCUCAUAAACUGUGUCAUCAAAGAAUAUGAGCUCAAGUGAGGACCAUUAGGACCCAUAGAAUAGUACUGGCUCUCUCAGAAUCCAAUUCUAAAGUUGACUCAAUAUCCCACUAUAGAGAGUCAAUUGCACUCCAAUACCCCAUGUAUAUUACAACGAGACACUAAGUGUUUGGGUAUGUGAGUCUCUUCAUGAACUGGUUAUUGAUAGUCUAACAAGAUGAAAGCUAUUAGCUUUUGAAGACUACCUUUACAAUCCUUAAGUUACAGAUCCUCAUCUUAUUAUGUGAACAAAUGACAUACUCUAGCUUACUAAGAGCAUGUGUCGAAUUCCACUAAAGGAAUUACUGCAAGCCCAUAAACUUCAUGAUCAUGUGUCCUUAAGAUCACCUAAGUAGACACACUAUCUCAAAGUCCAUGAGCUAUCAUGGUGUCUAUAUUGAGAAUACCUAUUACUACUAGUUCCAUCAAUAGUGACCCAAUCCAUAGGGAAUAUAUGAUCAGCUUACGAUCUCAACCAUAAGUCAAAGCCACUACUAGUUUCUACACAAAAUCAAUAUCCUCUCAAGGUGAGAGACUAUAUAGUAUAGCUACUUAGUGAUGUCAUGACUCCUUGAUAACCUUAUGUCAUGACUCAUCGUAGGUCUUGUCCAAUGUGUAAACUAUACACACUAGUGCACUUUUCAUGGGAAACUCAUCCCGACAACCAAGACUAGCCAUUUCUCUAAUUAGGAGGUGAUGAAAUACAACCCCAAAUGGAUUGCCUAAGUCCACAAACCGAUUGUGAACAAAUUAUCUACUUGCAAGGAACUCAUGACUUGUAUCUUAUGUGCAAUUGCUAAUGCACCUAAGUCAUGUACAAUGCAAGGCAAGAGAUGCUAAGCCAAAGUGGUCAUAGAGAAUAAUCCAUGGAAUAAGUAUAGAUAAGAGUGAACUUGGAAUAUCAUCAUGAAUUUCAAAUUUGUUAUAUCAUAUCAUGCUUUCAAGGAAUCUAUCCUAACACUGUGUACCUUGAGUAUAUAGUUUUCUUUAAAUUUUAUAAUAUAUUGUUGCUUUCUUAUUAAAAAAUCAUUAAAAAAAACCUCAUUUAACCCUUUGUAUAUUGUUUUUCUAUACUUGAAUGAUAGAAAUGGUGAUUUAGGUUUGGCUUUCUAGCUUAUAUGACUUUUAUGGUAAAUGCUUCAAAGCAUAUUCAUGAUACUAUCUUGCUAAUGUUGAGGAUGACGUAGCACAACUUCAAGAAGGUAUUUGCAAAGUAGAAUGUACAAUUUCUAGAUUAAAUUUUUUAGAAAUGUUUAUAAAGUUUAGAUUUGAAGAUUACUGUGGAUUAUUUUUAAUAAAAUAGAAUUUAUAGAUAUCCUAUUAUGUAAUCGCUUUAUACAAAAACAAAAAAAAAAAAAACAAAAAAACAAAAAAAAAAACAGAAACAAAAAAAACACAAAAAAAAAAAACAAAAACAAAAAAAAAGGGUUUAAUUUUGAUGUCUUCUACAAGAUGCUUUCACUUUUAUAUUAUUUAAAUAACAUUUUCCAAUAUGUUGUCAAAUAUAUGUUUUCUUAUAUUAAUUUCUUCCAAUAUUUUACUUAGGAAUAAAAAUGGAAUAUUGCUAUUAUUUUUAAUGUUGCAAUUAUUUUUCCUACACACACACAUAGAUAGAGCCUAUCUAAAAAGGGAUUGAUUAGGGUUUAAGCUUUUUCUUUGCACAAAUUUGAUCAUGAAUGAUACUUACAAUGAAUCAACUUAAUUAAUAUAAACAUCUCAUACUAAUUUAAUCAUAUAUAAUUUACUAUAAAAUAUUUCUAAUUCUUUCUUAAUUCAAACUAAAAAUUUAAUUCUUUUAAUCAAAACUUUUUGUUUUAAAAAUGAGUAAUACAAAAGGUUGACGAAAAAAUUAUAAAAAAAAUGUAGAAGAAUAAUAAAUUUAUGAUACAUGAAAUGUGUAUAUAUCUCAACUUAGAAUUAUUAUAUCCUAUAUUAAAAGGAUGUAUAAAGGGAUUGGAUCAAUAAAUUAUCUUAUUGAAUGUUUGAUUAAAUAUGAUAUAUGAUAAUUAAAGGAUGAGAUCAUUUAUCCUAUCCCAUAGCUAACCAAACAUGGGAUAUGAUAUGUUAUCUCAUCUCUUAUCUCAUCUAAUAUUAUGUAUAUUAAAUCAACUAAAUACAACCUUACUUUAGAAGGUAAUUCAAUUGAGAUGUGGGGAUGUGGACUACUAUUACUUUUAAAAGAAAUAUAGAAGUGAUAUAGACUAUUGAUAAGUUGAGUGCAUUAUGGGGGGGAUACGUUGAGUGGAUUCAAUUUGACAUCCACCUAUCUAAAUAUAUUAAUAGAUCAUCUUGGAUUAUGAAAAUUAUGAAGUUCAAAAACAAUAUGGAGCACACACUGGUAAUAUAAAAACAAAUCAAAAUUGGUAUCAUCGUUGCAUGCUAGUCACCUAAUUAUAUUUGUUGAAUAUUUAGUUGCCAAAGUGAAAUCUCAUGAAAAGAUUCAAGAAAUGGUGAUUGAGGAAGAAGCUUCGAUGAGAUGUGUUGCAUUGUUGGACGAGAUCUCGGAUUAGCAUGUAUGCAUUUCAGUGCCAACCAAACCACAAGAACUACAUCUUUAACAACUUGUUGGUCUUGAGGAGAUGAGAGAUGUGAAUCUAAUAUAUUAGUGAGCAUUAUAUUUUGAGCUGAUGAGGAAGACAAUAAAGUGACAAGUUCUCCUAGAUGUUUUCCCAUCAUUGUCUCAAGUGUAAUCACUCCAAAGUUAUAAACAUCACAUUUUUCUGUCACAAUCAUAGUAUAGGCAAGCUAUGCUAAGAAUCAAAAUAAGAAAUAAAUAUUGCACAAAUGAGAAAGUUACAUUCAUUUGAUUUUCUCAUAUUAGCCAUAACUAUAAAAUGUUAAUAAUGUUUCAUAGCAUUCCAUUGACAUUUGGCUACAUUUUAUUUCUAGGAUUGUGAUGAAAUUAAGUUAAUUUUUACAACUUAUAUGAAAUCUUUGAAAAACCAUUCUAAGGAGUUUUUAAAAAUGUUUAGGUAUUAUUAGGAAAAUGAAGACAACCAUUUGGAGAAUGCUUGAGAGACCAUUGAUAAGUAUUUUGUAUAUAAAGUUAUCUAGCUCUCUAAUAUCCUAAACCAUUUUUUUUUAUAACUUUUUAAAAUAACUAUUAAGAGUUUUCUUUUUCUUUUUCUUUUAUUUUUUUGGGAAUUUUAGAAUAAAUAAAUAAAAAAAGAGAGAAAAAUAUGUUAAAGAUAUUUCAACUUCUAUGAGGGCCCUUUGGGCAUAUAGCAAAUAAUAUUUACACAGUUGGAAGCACAUCAUUAUAAAUGAUAUAAAGUUUGUUUGGCUCUAUAAUCCCAUUGGACACAAAAAGGAUGUUAUGUUUGCAUAAGGGAUGAGUGUGAUAUCUCACAAUAGAUAUUAAAACAAACAGUUCUAAAACUACAUAUGAAUGAGCUCUUCUUAACCUUGUAAAUGCAUUUUGAAAUCGUGUGGACCCUUAAGCCUAGACCAAACAAUAUCUACGCGGUUUGGAGAUAAUAUCUAGUUUGCAUGAAAAAAUAAAGAAAAAUAAUAUAUUAAAUAUUUUAAAGAAUAUAUUUACUUUUGAGCUCUUCAUAAUUUUGAAAUAAGUAAUAAUAGUAGAAGAAGUUUUGUUUGGCUUGUAAAAAUAUUUCCUUUCACUUCAUCCAAUAUAAUAUAUCACUUCUAUGAAGUAUAUAAUGAGAGGUAUAAAAGUACUAAAUACAUCCAAUCUCAAAGAUACCAUACUAAAACGAAAAAUAGCUAGAAGUUCAAAAGAUAUAUCGGAUAAGUAAAAGUUGAAAGAAAUAUCAGUGUGUACUUACCUGGUGCUAUGUAACCAUAAGUGUCUGCAAAAAGUGUUUAAUUGGAUGAAUCAAGAUGUAGCAGUCUAGCGGUGCCAAAAUCCAAUAGAAAAGCUUCUAGUUUAAAAUCCAAAAGAAUAUUGUUGCUUGAUAUGUCCCUAUGAAUAAUGGAAGGAGUACAGUCAUGAUGCAUGUAGCAUAAGGCAUGGACUAUGCUUUUAACCACAUUCACCCUUUUAAUCCAAUCCAAUUCCAAAGCUUCAACUUCAUUGCUCAAUACACAAAAUAAGCUUCCUCUUUCCAUGUACUUUUAAAUCAAAAACAUGAAUUUUUUUUGCAGACAAUAGUCGUGAAGUUUUAUAAUAUUCUGAUGUUGUAUUUUUGACAAUAUCUGCACCUCGUUUUGAAAAGUUUUCAAGUAUGUUGCCUCAUCUAUUUCCUAUCCAUGAAACUUUUUCAGGGCUACCACAUUGCCUGUAGGCAAUUGAGCCCUAUAAACAUUGCCAUAGCCUUUGGUGCCUAUGCAAUAUUUGACAUCAAAAUCCUUUGUUGCUUCAAUGAUGUCUUCAUAAGCAAUAUUACCAUCAUAGUUCCAUAUUGAAAAUAUAUCUCCAUUUUUUGUCGAUGUUGUCUUGGUUUGAUUUUGUCUCGUAUUCUGUAAAAGCAAGAGAAACCCAAACGUCGCAAAAAGAAAUACGAUGGUAGAUAUAGCAAUAACAAUGAUGCAUAUAAUUUUAUGUCCUCUUCUACAAUGUGUUCAACCUUUGAUUUCACCACAUAAACCUUUUUUGUGGCUAAACACCUUAGGGUGAUGUUCCAACUAUAAUUCAAUGGGUAUAUGGCCCUCCAAAUCAUUAUACGACAAAUCAAUUGAUGACCACCUAUAUAUUGGAAGAGUAGGAAUGCGACCUAAGAGGUUAUUGUGAGAGAGAUUCAAGUUUUCCAAGCUCUUCAAGUUUUGGAGCUGGGAAGUUAUCUUUCCAUUGAUCAAAUUAUCACUAAGGUCUAAGAUAGCCAAAUUCUUCAAGUUCCCUAUCUCGAAAGGAAUGCAACCCUUGAUUUGAUUUCCACCAAUAUUGAACUCAGUUAAAUUAAUGAGAUAGCCCAAAAAUGAAGGAAUAACUCCCAUGAGGUUGUUAUGAUCCAAUCUGAGAUGGAUUAUAUUCUUCCAAUUCCAAAUUAUAGGAGGGAUGGAACCAUUGAUUUGAUUAUAACAAAGAUAAAAAUGUGUCAAAUUGGUAAGAAGACCAAAUGACAAGGGGAUGGACCCUGGAUUUGUUUGUUGAUGAGAUGGAAAUAAGUCAAAUUGGUAAGAUAACCCAAAGAUGAAGGAAUAACACCAACAAGGGCAUUAUGACUCAGGGACAGUUGAACCAAAAUUUUAAAAUUCCCAAUUUCAAAAGAGAUGGAACCGUUGAUUCGAUUUAAAUUAAGGUACAAGUAUUCCAAGUUGGUUAAACUUCCAAGAGAUGAAGAAAUGACAAAGGAAAGAGAGUUAGAACCCAAAUCAAAAUAAAUCAGAUUCUUUAAAUUCCCAAUUUCAUAAGGGAUGGAACCGUUGAUUCGAUUGAAAUUAAGGUAUAAGUAUUCCAGGUUGGUUAAACUUCCAAGAGAGGAAGGAAUGACACUAGAAAGAGAGUUAGAACCCAAAUUCAAAUGAAUCAAAUUCUUUAAAUAUCCAAGAGAGGAAGGGAUGGCACCAAAGAGAAAGUUAGAACCCAAAUCCAAAUGAAUCAGAUUGUUCAAAUGUCCAAGAGAGGAAGGGAUGGCACCAAAGAGAGAGUUAGAACCCAAAUCCAAAUGAAUCAGAUUCUUCAAAUAUCCAAGAGAGGAAGGGAUGACACUAGAGAGUGUAGGGAAUUAAACCGAAUUCCCAACCCGUGAGAAACAAAAAUUUAGAGAAAACACAUGCCAAAGAAAAACAAUCACACGCACAAGACAGUAUUUAUGUGGUUCGGCAAUUUGCCUACGUCCACGGAGUUGCAAGGAUAUCACUAUUAUAAGGGAAAAAUACAGAGUACAACCACAACGAUUACAAUAUUUUCUCUCUAUAUAUAACACGGCAACCACACCACACUAAAAAACCCUAAUUACAAAAGGUGGUUCCACAAUGGGCUAAAUGGGCCCAAUAGGCCUCAGUAAAUCUCCCAUUAAAAAGCCAUGCAAUAUUAUUCAGGUUGGGUAGUCAAAUCGGAUCAAAUAAAACUAGGCUCCACAAAGCCCAAAAAAUCUCCCACUUGGAGACUAGUCCAAUCACUAACAUCAAACCGCUAUCCUCCAAGAAACAAUCCCUCAUCCCUGCAACUCAUCCUCCUAUCCUCAAGCUAGAAGACCAAUUGAAGCUACGCACAACUUCAACUUCUCAAUAGUGACACCCUUAGUCAACAUGUCUGUCGGGUUCUUAAAUCCAUAAAUCUUCUCAGGUAUUACCAGUUUAUCUUCAACAAGGUAACGGAUAAAGUGGUAUUUUGUUUGUAUAUGCUUCGACUUUGAAUGAAAAGCUGAAUUUUUGGCAAGAAAAAUUGCACUCUGACUGUCACUGUGAAGAAUGUCUAUCUCCUAUUUUUUACCCAAUUCAUCUAAGAAACCAUGCAGCCAAAUCAUCUCCUUUCCAGCUUCAGUUGCUGCAACAUACUCAGCUUCUGUAGUAGACAGAGUAACAAUCUUCUGUAGAUUUGAAGCCCAUGAUAUAGCUGUACCACCUAGAGUAAAAACAAACCCAGUAGUACUCUUUCUACUAUCAAUAUCACCAGCAAAAUCAGCAUCUACAUAACCUUGUAGUUUCAAACUUGCACAUGUGAAGCAAAGACAUGUAUCUAAUGAACCCUUCAGAUAUCUUAGAAUCCACUUGACUGCCUCCCAAUGCUGCUUUCCAGGCCUACUCAUGAAUCUACUCACAACUCUCACUACAUGUGCAAUGUCUGGCUUUGUACACACCAUAGCAUACAUCAAGCUGCCAAUAGCUGAGGCAUAGGGCACCUUGCUCAUAUGGUCCCUUUCUUCUUUUGUCUUCGGUGACUGUUCUUUGCUUAGUUUGAAAUGACUGCCCAAGGGUGUGCUCACUGGUUUAGCUUCAUUCAUGUUGAACCUGCUGAGAACUUUCUUCACAUACUCUGACUGUGAAAGCUUCAAUGUACCAUUAGCUUUGUCCCUAAUAAUUCUCAUACCAAGGAUUUGUUUUGCAGCUCCCAAAUCCUUCAUUGCAAACUGUUUGGACAAUUGUUUCUUCAGAUUAUUAAUCUUUCAAUGUCAGACCCUGCAAUAAGCAUAUCAUCCACAUACAAUAGUAAUAUGAUGUAAGAAUUGUCAAAAGACUUAACAUAACAACAGUGAUCAGCUUCACAUCUCUUGAACCCAAUUCUAUGCAUAAAACUGUCAAACUUCUUGUACCACUAUCUAGAAGCUUGUUUAAGGCCAUACAAGCUUUUUCUCAGUUUGUAGACUAGAUUCUCUUGUCCUUGAGCAAUGAACCCUUCUGGUUGAAUCAUGUAAAGGUCUUCCUCCAAGUCACCAUGAAGAAAUGUUGUCUUCACAUCUAACUGCUCAAGAUGUAAGUUUUCUGCAGCUACCAUUCCCAGUACAAGUCUGAUUGUUGACAUCUUCACAACUGGAGAAAAUAUCUCUGUAUAGUCAAUGCGCUCCUUCUGCUGGAACCCUUUAACAACUAAUCUGGCCUUGUAACGUUUGCUACCAUCAUGCUCAUUCUUUAUUCUGUAUACCCACUUGUUGUGCAAAGCCUUCUUUCCUACUGGCAAUUCAGUCAGUUCCCAUGUUUAAUUCCCCAACAAGGAAUCCAUCUCAUCCUUCAUGGCUAACUCCCACUUGCUUGAAUUCUCAUCUUNNNNNNNNNNNNNNNNNNNNNNNNNNNNNNNNNNNNNNNNNNNNNNNNNNNNNNNNNNNNNNNNNNNNNNNNNNNNNNNNNNNNNNNNNNNNNNNNNNNNUCUGGCUCACCACCAUCAAUCAACAAGAGAUAAUUUAAAACAGGUGAAUAACGCUACGGAGGUCUAAUGUUCCUGGAAGAUCUGCGAACUUCAGCUACAGGUGUACUCAGAUCUACCUGUGAAUUUACAUUCUCCUUAUCUUCUUCACCCCCUUUUUGGACAGUACUUUCAGUCAAUUCAUCUAAGUUGACAAACUCAGAUUUCUUUUGAUCUAUCUCUAUAAUAUCUGACACUAUAGUUGACAUGUCCUUGUACAUAACUUGUUCAUUAAAUAUCACAUUUCUACUUCUGAUGAUUUUCCUGUUUUAUUCAUCCCAAAACCUAUAGCCAAAUUUCUCAUCACCAUAGCCAAUGAAAAAACAUAUUUUUGACUUUGCAUCAAGUUUACUACGAGCAUCAGAAUCAAUAUGAACAUAAGAAACACAACCAAAAACUUUUAAAUGUGAAAACUUCACCUCUUUGCCGCUCCAAACCUCCUCAGGAAGUCUGAACUCCAUGGGAACUGAUGGUCCUCGAUUUAUCAGGUAAGCUGCAGUGCUAAUAGCAUCAGCUCAAAAAGUUUUUGGUAGUCCAGCAUGCAACCUCAUACUUCUAGCACGCUCAUUGAGAGUUCUGUUCAUGUGCUCAGCCACACCAUUCUGUUGUGGUGUCCUAGGAAUAGUCUUCUCCAUCCUAAUUCCCUGUGCAGCACAAUACUCAUUGAACCCUCCAUCUAUGUACUCUCCUCCAUUAUUUGACCUCAAACAUUUUACUUUCAAACCUGUUUCUGUCUCAACCAUGGCCUUCCACUUCUUAAAAGUUUCAAAUUCAUCAAAUUUAUUUUUCAGAAAAUAAACUCAUACUUUUCUGCUUGAGUCAUCAAUAAAAGUGAUGUAGUACCUCGAACCUCCAAGGGAUACAACCGGAGAAGGCCCCCAUAAAUCAGUGUGUACUAGUUCCAAUUUUUCAGCCUUCAGUGUCCUGCCAGUUUUCAAGAAGCUCACAUUUUUUUACUUUCCUAAGAUGCAACUUUCACACAUGUCAAAAUCAAUGGACUUCAAUUCUGGUAGUUUUCCUUUUGACAACAGCAUCUUCAUCCCUUUCUCACUCAUGUGACCAAGUCUACGGUGCCAUAGGAUUGUAUCAGUACUUGCAUCAGCAACUGCAAUUGUGUCUCUUGGACAUGAGGUCAUAUACAAAGUACCAGUCUUCUUUCCACGAGCCAAUACCCUAGCUCCCUUUGUAACCUUCCAAGUACCACCAACAAAUAGUAUUGCAUGUCCUUCAUCAUCAAGUUGUCCAACAGAAAUCAGAUUCCUCCUCAGGUCAGGAAUAUGUCGAACCUUCUCCAGUAACCAAACAGACCCAUUGGGCAACGAUAUCUGAACGUCUCCCAGACCCACAACAUCCAAGGCUGAACCAUCAGCCAAAUACACCUUACCAAAAUCACCUGCAACAUAAUUCUGUAUGAUUUCUCGGUGUGGAGUGGUAUGAAACAAAGCUCCUGAAUCCAAAACCCAAUCAUCAAGUGGACUGUCUACUGCAAGAAGUAAUGCAUCCUAUACCUCUUCUGUUACAGCAUUAGUAGAAUCAUCCUCAUUCUUCUUCUUUGGACUUUUGCAUUGCCUUUUAAAGUGACCUGUUUUCCCACAGUUCCAGCAUUGUACUUGUUGGCCUGAUCUAGAUUUACUUCUGUUCCGAUUAGAAUUUCUAGAUUUUGAUCUACCCUGGUUUGAAUUUGUGUCAUUACCUCUGCCUCUUGUCUCAAGGUUUAGGGCAGAACCAGAUCUUGAGGUUUCGCCUACAUCUUUUUGGCGAAUCUCCUCAGCCAGAAUUAAAUCUCGUAUAUCAUUGUACUUGAGCUUUUUCUUUCCCGUAGAAUUGCUUACUGUCAUCCUCAUUGCCUCCCAACUAUUUGGCAAAGAAGCCAAGACGAUCAAAACACGAAUCUCAUCAUCAAAAUCAAUUUCUACAGAUGACAAUUGAUUUGUGAUUGUAUUAAAUUCAUUCAGAUGUUGUGCUACUGAUGCAUUCUCCGCCAUCUUCAAAUUGAACAAUUUCUUCAUUAGAUGCACCUUAUUGUUUGCGGACGACUUUUCAUACAUACCAGACAAAGCCUUCAUCAAAUCUGUUGUGGUCUUCUCCUUUACAACAUUGUGUGCAACAGACCUAGACAGAGUUAACCUAAUAACUCCUAUAACCUGUCUGUCAAGAAGCGCCCAUUCCUCAGCCUUCAUACUCUCAGGUUUCGUCCCCAAAAGAGGCAGAUGCAAUUUCCUCCCAUAGAGAUAAUCUUCAAUCUGCAUCCCCAAUACGCAAAGUUUGUGCCAUCAAACUUUUCUAUUCUAGACGCCUUUCCUGCUUCCUCUGCCAUUGCUCCCACUUAAACCUAACCCUAGGUUCUGAUACCAAUUGUAGGGAAUUAAACCGAAUUCCCAACCCGUGAGAAACAAAAAAUUAGAGAAAACACACGCCAAAGAAAAACAAUCACACGCACAAGACAGUAUUUACAUGGUUCGGCAAUUUGCCUACGUCUACGGAGUUGCAAGGAUAUCACUAUUAUCAGGGAAAAAUACAAAGUACAACCAUAGCGGCUACAAUGUUUUCUCUUUAUAUAUAACACGGCAACCACACCACACUAAAAAAUCCUAAUUACAAAAGGUGGUUCCACAAUGGGCUAACUGGGCCCAACAGGCCUCAAUAAAUCUCCCGUUAAAAAGCCAUGCAAUAUUAUUCGGGUCGGGUCAUUAAAUCGGAUCAAACAAAACUAGGCUCCACAAAGCCCAACAGAGAGCAAAUAGUUAUAACUCAAAUCCAAUUCCUCUAAAAUAGUGAGGUUACCCAGUGAAAUAGGUAGCUCACCAUCAAGUCUACAACCAAAGAUAUGAAGGUGAGUGAGUUUUGUAAGCUUACUUAUCUCAUAUGGGAUGCUACCAUAGAUGAAAGAAUGGCUAAGAUUGAGAUAGAGGAGGCUGGGAAAUGAUGAAAACUUCAACUGGCUAAGCUUACACCGUGGGCAAUAGUGAUGUGAAUAGGUAAUCUGAAUAACAUGUCCCUCCCUGUUGUAGGUGAUGUCAUCCCAUGUGCAAUGAUGAGAAGUAGUGUUUUCCAUGUACCACCACCGAGUAGAGUUGCGGAGAGCCUCGGCCUCGGCCUCCACUUGUGCGUCAGUUGUAGCAGUGAUUCGUCCCUAGCAGCGGCAGUGGCAAUGGCACCAUUUGAUUCGAGGUUCGAUCCCCGGCAACGGCGCCAUUUGAUUCAUGCCCAAUUGGUGUCUCAGCUGAUUCGUGUCCAGCUGGUGCUCCUUGAUUGAGGGAUUGAUCAACAAAAUUUAUAACCUAUUACACCAUAUACUAGGGUAGCAAAGACAAAGCUACUAUAGUAUAGUGGCUCUAGGAUCGUUCACUGGGAUGGGUUUUCAUUUCACAAAUGAUAUCAAUUCAAAGCUGAAUUGGUGCCUUUUCAUUUCAAGGUUAGCUUUAAAAGAAAACAUAAACUUGAGUUGGAAAAGGUUUGGUUUUAAACUAACCAAAAAUAGUAACUGAUUUUACUUAUAAAGAAAAGUUGUUUCUUGGAGUUCAGAUCACUAGGCUCAGAUUCCUCAUACAAAAAGGGAGUUCCGGUCACUUGUUUCUUUUCCUCGCAUUAGAGAAUUAACAUAUAGUUCCUUCUCCAACCGGUGUUGUACAGAUGCUUCCCAUUAAUGGGUUCAAACACUAAAUCCCUCUCACUGAUGCAACUUGCAAUGGUUCAUGCCUCUCACGAGCACUUACCAUUCAAGAUGAUCGUUAACCUUGGACUACCCGUCAAAAGCUCGCAAGAGAUAACUAAUGGAUGUCUUCUUGGAGUCCAAAAGCUUACCAAGUGUUGGCUAUUCUAGAAAAUCCUACCUUCAAACCACCUCUCAAAGGCUCGCAAGGGGUAAACUAGUGCAUUUCCAUGGUUGGAAAUCACUUGCCUUACCAAGUGUUGGCCCAGGUGAUUUAAAGGCGUUUUAAGUUAACUAAAAAGAUAAAAACCAUUAACGGGUCACACUUUCUCUUCAUUAAAAACUAAAACAACAAAACUUCCAAAUUAUGCAUGUGGAAACUUACCCGGCUUUCCUUACUCCAAUAGAAAAAAAGCUUAGCCUCUCAUCCUUUGAGGAAAAAUCCUCAAAGUUUGGUUGGCUAGAAAUAAAAAGAAAUGAAAAAUAAAAGAGAAGGAAAAACAGAGCAAGGCUCUGUAUAUUCUAUAUAUUGAUUGAUAUUACAUAUAUGAUGAUUUUACAGUGGAUGCAAGGGAGUUUAUAUAGGAAGAUAAUUUACCCUUCCUUGGAUAUUUUCUAGCUAAGGAAUUACAUGAGUGGUUGAAUACAAGGAGAAAAUGGAAAUUAUACAAAAAUAUCUGAAGAAAAGAUCUAAAAGAGUCGGUGCAAAAAUAUCGGGAAGCUCCAGGAACAUUUCGCAGGUGAAAAAUGGUGUCUGCGAGGAUAAACCAUCUUGCUUCAUUGGCUAUCUCUCUUGCUCUUCCUUACAUCUUUAUACACACCACUUCUAGUCCUUACAAACUCGUAUCUCUUUCAUAACUUUUUCACACUCAAGAGGGCUGCGAAAUAUUUUCGCAUCAACAAGCUGAACUCGCCCCGCUGCGAAGUUGGCUUUCAUCUUGUGGUGUUUGGCUUCCAUCGCGGCGUGAAACUUCAAGGGAAAUCCAAAGCACUGUGCAAAAAGGCUGCGAAAUUCUCGCAACAAAAGGCUGAUUCCGCAACACUUUAAAGUGAUUGACUUGCAGUGGCUGUAACUUCUUCGUUUCAACUCCGAAUCGUGCACCGUUUGAAGAAUUGGAUUCUUGACUUCCUGAGCUUUGAAAUGGUAUAUAGAAUGUACAAAAUGGACUUCGGGAAGUGCUCCAAAAGUGCACAAGAAGACUGCAGCUAGCUUUCCUCUGUUUUCUUCACUCUGUUUUUCCUCUCUCCUUGCUUCUCUCCUUGCAUACUUUGAACGACUUUGGCAAAGGGCUAUGGAGCUCCAAAGCUUUGUUCUUCAUGAAUUUAAGCUUCCAAAAGCUUUUCCAUGAACUAUAUACAGCUCUCCCUCAUUCUUGGAUUGCUUUGGUGAUCAAAAAGCUAUCAAAACACCAAAACUUAACACAAUUUGAUUAGAAUUGAUUGCAAGGGUCCUUAACAUGUUAAUUGGGUUAAAAGGCAAUAACUACUACUCAAAAGUGUUUAAAAGAGUUAAUUACAAGUUAUGAAAUAGCACUUUUUGAGUAGUAAUCAAGCAGCAGCAAGAGGUGAUGAGAUCAAGAGCAUGUUAUAUUAUAACAAUACCACUGAAACCACCAACACCCUACAAGAAUUAAUGGAACACCUCUCCAUUUUUUCUUAUUUUCGAUUAAUAUUGCUAUAUAUGCCCUAGUUGAUGGUUUUGAAAAUGUGAAUCUCAAUAAUGAACUACACCUAGAGGGGGGUGAAUAGGUGUUGUAGAACAAUUUAAAAAUUCUCCCAACAAAGAUUACCUAACCUUAGACUAUCUUAAUGUCAAGAAUUUUUUCUUCCAAUAACUUUCCAACAAAGCAAAACAUCCACAAGCAAUAAUGUAUGCAUCAACACCCUCCCAACAAUUUAUAAAUGCAAAACACAUGCAAAUGCUUCAACACCCCUCAAAAAUAAAUCAAAAUAUAGAGUGAGAGAAAGAGACAAUGAACACCGGAUUUUUAAUGUGGAAAACCUCCGAAGAUAUCAAAAACCACAAUCCUGUCACCGAUUGAAAACUCCACUAUGAAGAAUAAAAACUAAGUACAAGGUUUUACCUAGCUCAAGCCAACCAAUCCUUCCCGGAAUACUUGACUAGUACCUUCAUUUUCAGUUUCUCCUUUUGGAGCACACUUGGAGUCCACACCAAGUUCAAUCUCGGCCUCUUCUUGAAUCCACACAAGAAGAAAAUGGGUUUUUGCACAAACCCAAAUAGAAUGAGAGAUUGAGAUGUGAAUGAAGUAAUGAAUCAACCCAUUUAUUGCUCAAGAAAAUCCAUUGAAAACUAGUUUGGAAAACAUUAAGAGAAGUGGAUUUUCUUUGCAAUCAAAAACCCCAAAUUAGGAAAGCAAAAAUGAGAAAAUGAAGAACACUUGGAGUGUGGCUGCUCUCCCCACGUUUUUAGUAGUCUCUCUACACAGAAAAUGAGAGAAGAUUGGUUUUUAAAGUGUAAAAAGAAACCCUUAAUCUAAUGGCUGAGAUUUGAUAAAAAAAAACAUUAGUUGGAUAGAUCCACCCCUACACCUGGAUCGAUCCAGAAACAGAGAAAUGAAAGCCUUGCACCAAAAACCAUUUUUCCCAACUUUCUAACACAUUUAAAGAUUAAAAACCGGGUUGAUUCACAUCCAAUCACCACAAACUCGACUACAUACCUCGGUCUCUUAGCAAAGUCUUAGUCUUCAAAGUCAAGUAGUCCGAAUAGGAAUAGGAAAGCCGAGUUAGGGAGCACUUAGGAAUUUUGUCCGGAAUUGCCAACUUAGCUAAACACUCACAGGUUUUAUAGAAGUGGUGUCGGUGUUGAUCCGACAACUCUCUUCUUUCACCCACACAGCAUCUCAAGCAAGUCAAACAAGUCUUCUCCUGACUCUCCACUAGACAUUAAUUUGUUGGGAAACGAGGACGUUUAUAUAUCACCCAUAGUGAUAUAUAAAUCUUGUAUUCACAAAUUUUUUAAAAUAAAUUUUAUGAUGGGAAAUUAGUGAUCAUGAUCAAACCAUAUUUAAUUUGCUCUACCAAGACAACCACAUGAUCAAAUCGUGCAUUUUGUUUUUAUUUUGAACCAAAAAAAAAAAAGAAAAAUUUAGUAUAUAGAAACAUGCUUAAUGUUAAUGUAGACUAAAAAUACAACCCCAUAAGUACUUAUCCAAACAACAUAUUAGCUGACUAUAAUUCUUGGGUACCUGUCAGAUGGUUGCACAUGUAAUCUCUAUAUAUUAAAAAUUAAUAAAAAUAUUGAUACACAAAACAUGUAUUAAUAUUUUGUUUUUGUACUUAAAUUUUAUUUUCUACUUGUUAUAGUUAUCAAGCAUUUAUUUAUUUUUUAUUUUUUAUUAUUUAAUAGUAAUGAAUAAUGAUAAAAUUAAAAUCACAAAGCAUGUUUUAUUAAUAGCAUUUUUAUAAUUUUAUUGUUAUUCUACUUCAUGAUUAGCUUGUCUAACACUUCAUUUGAUUUUUCUUUCAAGCAAAUCAACUCAACCAAGUCUUCUUAGGCCCACUUAUUAGACUUUCGAUUAUUUUCUAUUAUGCUGCUAAUUAACUUAGAAAUUUUCCUAUCAUAGUAAUUUGAUAAAAAAAAAUUAUCAAUUUCACUAAUUUUAAACAGGAAUCAAUAAAUAAAUAAAAACAUUUGAAAAAGUUUUUCUAUUUAUUAGGCAAUCAUAAUUUUUUUUCUUUUUUGCUAAUAAAAAAAUAAAAUUAGCUCCUAUAAGCACUCCAUUUUUUUUCUCUCUUAAACAAAACAAGUCCAGUCAAGCAACCACCCUCAAAUCAUUUCUAAAACGCCAUAUUGAAAAUUUCCUAUAUGAUGACAUGUAAGACCACACAAAAAGAACACAAAAUAAUAAUAAUAAUAAUAAAUAAAUAAAUAAAUGCAAAGUAGUCCUCCCAAUUUGCAAAGUUUACUAUAUAAGGAGUCAAUGAUUUCAAAUGUUAAAAGUUGAAAAUUUUUAAUUUCUUUUUUCUUUUCUUGCUCACUUUCUAGAAUUAAUGAUGCCUUCAUAACUCUUGUUUCAGCCACGCAACAAGUCAAGCAAGUUGUCUUCCACUCUUGAUUGGGAAUUUAGUGGGAAAUGGCCAUAAUUAUUUUUGAAAUUUUUAAAUAAAAACUCAAACUAUAAUGAUAUAACAAAAUAAUUAUUCACAAUUUUUUUUUUAAAUGAAGUGUGGGAAAUACUCAUACCUCACAUGUAUUUGGAAUAUAUAUAUAUAUAUAUAUUCCAAAUAAUAAAGAUAUUAAAAAUUUUAACAUUAUCUCAAUCAUUGCAAAAUAAAUGUUUUAUUUGUCUUAUUAAUUUCACUAAUUUUAAAAAAGAAAUCAAAAUAAUUUUUUAAAUGUUUUUCUAUUUGCUACAUAACUAUUAAAUACCUAUUUUUAUUUUAAUCAUAAUAAAACAUAAAAUUACAAAUAUUAAAUACUUUAAUAUUAAUAUAAACUAAAAAUAUGUUUUAGCCAAUAUUUUAUUUGGUUCUUUUCUAAGUAAUAGGAGGUCUUUUCAAUCCCACCACCAAUGAUUUUUAAUUUCAUUUUAUGUAAAAUUCCACAAUGGUCGUGUCAUGUCCGUCAUGAUGUUUGAAAAAGUUGUUCAAAAAGGAUAAGGGUACUCUAAUUUAUUUAUUUUUUAAAGAAUUAAGACUUAAUUUUACUGACUUUCCUUCGAGUUAUUUGAUGAAAUUUCAAACAAAUGAGAACGAAGUAUAUUAAUACUUUUAUAAUCUUGGGUUUAUUUCUCUACAAAUAUUCUCAAUUUCAUGUUUUAUUCAGCACUUAAUGAUUCUAUUGAGAACUUGCAUUUUGUUACUCUUUUUUUUCACCAUUUAAAGAUUUCAUUUCACAGACUUCCUUUUUUUCAUAUUUAAAAAAGAAUUUUGUUAAUUAUAACUCCAAGGAGAGAUUGGUGUUGUUCCUUGCUUCUAAAAUGUUAUCUUUAUUAAUUUAUAUUAUAACUUUUUUUAUCAAAUAUUAUCAACAUGGUAUCAUCUUUUUUACUUCAAUUCUUUUCUAGAGCGAGGAGUUCUUAUGUGCGAUAUAUUUUCCAAUAUUGCAAUAUCAAAGAUAAUAUUUAAGAUUUAAGGAAAAAAAAACUAUAUGUAGUUCCGAUUUGAGUUUUGUUCUUCAAGAUCAAAAUUUCAAAGAUAACAUUUAAGAUUUAAAAAGAAAAAGAAAAAAAAAUGAACAUCUAAUCAACUAUAUGCACUAAUAACUCUUCAUCCUCAAAUGUAAUAAUUAUUAUAACUAGUUUAUUAAUUGUUUACUGUAAAUAAGUUAUUAAAGUCUCAUUUGGAUAUAUUUUACAUUAUUUUUAAAAAAAUAUUAUUUAAUAUUAAUGACUAUUAUAUAAAACUUGGAAACUCUUAUAAAAAAAAAUAUACAAUUACCUUAUGUUUCCCAAAAAAAAAUUUUAAAUUUUGAGAUAGUAAUUUUAAAAAAUAAAUAAAUCAAUUUUUUUUUAACCAGUUUUAAAACUUUUAAAGAGCUCUUAGAAAUUACCAAUAUUUUUUAUUUUUAAAAAUAGAAAAUAGAAAAUAGAUCUAAACAACUAUUAGUUAAUUCAUUUGUACAAUUAGUAAAAUAUAUUUCACAAGUGCAAUAAAACCCAAUAAUCUUUGUAAAACUUUCUAUUAGAUAAGACAUCUAUAAAUGAAAAAACCAAAAAGUUGAUAGGAAUGUACCCACUCCUCAUACGGUUGAAGAGAGCAUAAAUGUAGAGUCAUAGUGUGUGAUAUUAAUCCAUUUACAUUAAUAUAUAGAGUCCAUCUAAAAAGAGACUAAUUGGGAUUCAAGUUUUUUCUUUGCACAAAUUCAAUCGUGAAUGAAAAUAUUCUAUUAAAAUAUUUAUAGUGAAUUAACCCAAUUGGUAUUAACAUAUUCUAUUAAUUUAAUCAUGUAUAGUUCGCUUUAAAUAAUCUUUUUUUAAAUAGUACAUGAACUUGUUUAUGGUAUAUAUAUUUAAUUCCACCUUUUUUUGUAAUUAAAUUUUUCUCUACUUGUCAUAUAAUCACCAAAUAUUUUUUAUUUUCUAUUUUUUAAUAAUAGUGAUAAAAUUAAAAUCACUAAUAUGUUUAGCAUUGAUAUAAAUUAAAAAAAUAUUCUAUGACAAUAAAAGUCAAAAGAUUGCAUUUUUACUAUUUGGUUGUCAUCCACCUUACAUGAUUAGUUUGUUUAAGACUUUAUUUGAUUUUUCUUCCAAGCAAAGUAUGUCAACCAAGUCUUCUUAUGUCCACUUCUUAGACUACCCACUAUUUUCUAGUCAUGCUUCUAAUUAACUUGGAAAUUUCCCCGAUUUGAAAGCUUGAAAGCCCAGAUUUGAUCAUAUAUGCAUGGAUGAAGAUAUAACAUUAAAUAUUUUAAAAUUUUAUUAAAAAAUAUACAUAUGAAUCACUCUAAUUAAUACUGCCACAUUCUUCCCAUUCAAUAAACAAUAAUAGCAUAAAAUAAAUAAAGGAAUAAUAACAUAAAUAUUUCCCCAUGGCCAUUAGGGAUCUUGUUGCAUAAUGGUAAUAAUUUGGAUAAAAUCCAAGUAACUAAUAUUACCAAAAAAUCUUGCAACCAAAAAUAGGGUUAUAAAAUUUUAAAAAAAUACCCCCAAAACGUCAAAUAGGCAUCAUUUGCGCUUGAAUGUUCGAAAAGCUGCUGGAAGGACUACUUGAUCAAUUAAGCCGCUCAAGCACUAAUAUGGUCGUUUGAGCGUUUAGGCUACGCAAGCACUAAUCUAAGUGCUCGAGCACCACAUCCUACACUUGUGGAUACAAGGUUGUUUCUACCACCGUUUCUCCGAAAGUGUCACCUUUUUAGAUGCCUUUUUGCACCAUGGAUGCUUGUGAAUGCUUGGAAUCUUCAAUCUUUGCUUUUGGGUCACCAAAGAUGGAUAAAAAUCUAAUUUUUACAUUAAGAAAAAUCUUAUGCUCCAUCAAGCGAAGUGUACAAUCUAUCUAAAAACAAAAAAAAACAAAAAUAUUUUUACAUGUAAAAUAAAAAUCCUAUGCUCCUAACCAUGAAGCUUACAACCUAAUUUGUACAAAUAACAAAUCCAAACAUUCAAUCACAAUUAUAAACAUCAUAUUCAUAAAAAUAACAUCCAUAUAUUCAUCCCUUUGGGUCAUAGGAUGAAUAAACAUAUUUGCAAAACCAAGUAUGCACACCCUAAAAUGAAUCUAACAAGCUUUUCCCUAACCUAAGGCUCUAAUACCAAUUAUUGGGAAAACCUGGAUUGCUCCAUUCUCAUGCCUUAGAUUGUUAGGACGCAUGAAAACCUAUUCUAGGCUCUCUAGAUCUAUCAUACAAUGGAAACAUGGCAAUUGAAACAAAAAAUAAUACCAUAGAUUUAGAGAUUAGUGUCAUAUAUACUUGUGAUUUGGAUGUUCUUGGUCAAUUCUUAUCAUUGUAGAAAUCUCUAAAACUAAAAAAAGAUCUCGUGAACACCAUGAUCUUCCACCUAAUGAUAACUUCUCCUUGAGUCUAGGUGCAAAGAUAGUGAGAUCUCAAGGGUUGGAGGUUAGGGUUCUCUUAUUGAUUGUAGUGAGAGAAUGGCAAGACAAAACUUCACUAGAAACCAUAACCCCUAAAGGAUUAUUUAUAGGCUCCUUACUAGGCUUAAAUGACUUAAAUGACUUAAGCUCACAAUGGGCUUAGGUUAGUACUAAAUCUAGCCCAAAAAGGGCACUAAUUGAUUAAUUAACCCUAUAGGCCUCCAAUUAAUCAAUUAGCCCAGUCUAGAGAUAUUGCUCACUUACCCCUAUGCAACCUUAUAUAAUUAUCAAAAUGCCCUUAUGCAUAUAAGUGAACUAAUAACUCAUUCAACCCUUAUAAACGAUGUCAUCAAAGGAUAUCAUGAGCUCGAGUAGGGACCAUUGAACCCAUAAGACAGUAUUGUCUCUCUUAGAAUCCAAUUUUGAAGUUGACUCAACGUCCCACUAGAGAGAGCCAACUACACUCCAAUGCCCUAUAUAUAUUACAAUGAGAUACCAAGUGUUCGGGUCUAUAACCUACUAUCCACUAUAUAUAAUCUCAUUUUGAACUGGUCGUCCAUAGUCUAACAAGCUAAAAGUUAUCAACCUUUCAAGACUACCUCCAUAAUCCUUGAGUUACAGAUCUUUUUAUUAUGUAAUCAAAUGACAUACUCUAGCUCACUAAGAGCAUAUGGUGAAUUCUACUAUAGGAAUUACUACAGGCAUAUAAAUUUCAUGAUCACACAUCCUUAAGAUCACCUAAAGGAACACACUAUCUUAAAGUCCAUGAGAUAUCGUGGUAGCUAUAUUGAGAAUAACUCUUGCUAUUAGCUUCCGUCAAUAGUGGCCCAAUCCAUAAGGAAUAUAUAUGAUCAACUUAAGAUCUCACCCAUAGGUCGAAGUCAUUGUUAACUUUUGCACAAGUUCAAUAUUCUCUCAAGGUUGAAAGGCAAUACAGUAUAAUAACUAGGUGAUGUCAUAACUACCUGAUAGUCUAUAUCAUGACUCACUAUAGGUCCUAUCCAAUGUUUACACAUUAGUGCACUCUUCAUGGAAACCUCAUCCUGACAACUAAAACUAUUUAUCCCUCUAAUUAGGAGGUGGUGCACUACAAUCUCAAAUGGAUUGAGUAAGUCCACAAACCGACUAUGGACAAAUCAUUUAUUUGUAAGGAACCCAUGACUUAGAUCUUUUGUGCAACUGUUGAUACACUCAAGUCAUGUACAAUGUAAGAAUGGUAAGCUAGAAUGCCCAUAGAGAAUAAUGCAUGGAAUAAGGAUAGAUAAAAAUGAACCUAGAAUAUCAUCAAAUAAAUAAUGAAUUUCAAAUCCGUUACAUCAUGUCAUGCUUUUAAAGACUCUAUCCUAACAAUGUGUUCAUUGGUAUAUAGUUCACUUUAAAUUUUAUAAGAUACUAUUGAAUGCUUAUCAGCAAAUUACAAAAAGGACCCAUUCAGCCUUUUUUGUAUUGUUUUUCUAUACUUGAAUGAUAAAAAUGGUGAUUUAGGUGUAACUUUCUUGCUUACAUGUACUUUUACAAUAAAUGCUUCAAAACAUAUUCAUGAUACUGUCAUGUUAAUCUCAAGGAUGAGGUAAAAGAACUUUAAGAAGGUAUUUGCGAAGAAGAAUGUACAAUUUCUAGAUUAAAUUUUUUUAGAAAUGUUUAUAAAGUUUGGAUUUAAAUAUUAUUGUGGAUUAUUAUUAAUAAAAUAGAAUUUAUUAGAUAUCCUAUCAUGUAAUCUCUUUAUUUUAAAAAAAAUGUUUAAUUUUGAUUCAUUCUAGAAUAUGCUUUCACUUCUAUAUUGUCUAAUUAACAUUUUCUAAUAUGUUGUCAUAUAUAUGUUUUCUAAUAUUAAUUUCUUCCAAUAUUUUACUUAGGAAUGAAAAUGGAAUAUUGCAACAACAACAUUCAAUUUGAACUAAAUUUAAUGUUUCAACUAUUUUUCCUACACACACACACAUAUAUAGGGACCAAAAAAGGACUAAUUGGGGUUAAGCUUUUUCUUUGCACAAAUUUGAUCAUGAAUGAUAGUUACAAUGAAUCAAUUUAAUUAGUAUAAACAUAUUCUACUAAUUUAGUCAUGUAUAGUUUACUGUAAAAUAUUUCUAAUUCUUUCUUGUUUCAAACUAAAAAUUUAUUUAUUUUUAAUCAAAAGCUUUUGUUUUAAAACUGAGUAAUACAAAAGGUUGAUAAAAAAAUUGAAAAAAAUGUAGAAGAAGAAUAAAUUUAUGAUACAUGAGAUAUUUAUAUAUCUCAGCUUAGAAUUAUUAUAUCCUAUGUAAAAAGGAUAUAUAAAGAGAUUGGAUUGAUAAAUUAUCUUAUUAAAUGUUUGAUUGAACAUGAUAUAUGAUAAUUAAAUGAUAAGAUCAUUUACCUUACCCCAAAGCUAACCAAACAUGGGAUAUGAUAUGUUAUCUCAUAUCUUAUCUCAUCCAAUAUUAUGUAUAUCAAAUCAAUUAAAUAUAGCCUUACUUUAGUAGGUAAUUCACUUGAGAUGUGGGGGAUGUGAACUACUAUUACUUUUAAAAGAAAUAUAGAAGUGAUAUGGACUAUUGAUAAGUACCAUGUGGGGGAUAAGCUGAGUGGAUUCAAUUUAACAUCCACCUAUCUAAAUAUAUUAAUAGAUCAUCUUGUCUUAUAAAAAUUAUGAAGUUGAAAAACAAUAUGGAACACAUAUUGGUAAUAUCAAAGCAAAUCAAAAUUGGUAUCAUCAUUGGAUGCCAGUUACCUAAUUAUAUUUCUUGAAUAUUCAGUUGCCAAAGUGAAAUCCCAUGAAAAGGUUCAAGAAAUGGUGAUUGAAUAAGAAGCUUCGAUGAGAUGUGUUGCAUUGUUGGACGAGAUCUCGGAUUAGAAUGUAUGCAUUUAAGUGCCAACCACACAACAAGAACUACAUCUCUAGCAACUUGUCGAUCUUGAGGAGAUGGUAGACGUGAAUCUAAUAUGUCGGUGAGCAUUAUGUUUUGAGCUGAUGAGGAAGACAAUAAGGUGAAAACUUCUCUCGGAUGCUUUCCCAUCAUUGUCUCAAGCGCUACCACUCCAAAGCUGUAAACAUCACAUUUUUCCGUCACAGCCAUAGUGUAGGCAAGCUCUGUUAAGAAUCAAAACAAGAAAUAAAUAUUGCACAAAUGAGAAAGUAACAUUCAUUUAAUUUUUUUUCAUACUAGCUAUACCUAUAAAAUGUUGAGAAUGUUUCAUAGCAUUGCAUUCACAUUUGGCUACAUUUUAUUUCUAGAUUGUGAUGAAAUUAAGUUAAUUUUUACAACUUAUAUGAAACCUUUGAAAAACUAUUCUAAAGAGUUUUUAAAAAUGUUUGGGACUUAUUGGGAGAAUGAAGACAUCUAUUUGGAGAAUGCUUGAGAGACCAUUGAUAAGUAUUUUGUAUAUAAAGUUCUCUUACUCUCUAAUAUCUCAAACCAUUUUUUUACAACAUUUUUUAAAUAACUAUUAUGAGUUUCCUUUUUUUUUUUUUUCUGUUUGUUUGGACUUUAGAAGAAAUAACCAAUAUAUAUAUAUAUAUAUAUAUAUAUCAAGGCCCUUUGAGCCCAUAACAGAUAAUAUCUACACGAUCAGGAGCAGGUUAUUACAAAUGGUAUUAGGGCUUAUCUGUAACCAUAGUAUGGAAGUUUGUUUGGCUCCGCAAUCUUAUGGGAUAAGUGUGAUAUUCCAUGAUAGAUAUGGAAAAAAAAAUAAAAAUUCUAACAUUAUUUAUAAAUCAACUUCCCUUAACCUUAUAGACAUAUUUUAAAUUCAUGUAGGCUCCUUGGACCCAAAGUGAAAAAUAUUUACACAGUUGAGAGUUAUUAUCUAGUUUGCAUGAAAAAUAUAAAGAAAAAUAAUAUAUUAAAAAUUUAGAAGAAUUUAUUUACUUUCAAGCUCUUCAUAAUUUUGAAAUAAGUAAUAAUAGUAAAAAAAGUUUUGUUUGGUUGGCAAUAAUAUUUCCUUUCCCUUCAUCCAAUAGAAUUUGUGACUACUAUGAAGUAUAUAAUAAGAGGUGUAAAAGUUCUAAAUAUAUUGAAUCUCGAAGAUACCAAACUUAUUAAAACGAAAACAACCAAAAGUUCAAAAGACAUAUCGGAAGAGUAAAAGCUGAAAGAAAAACUGGUUUGUACUUACCUGGUGCUAUGUAACCAUAAGUGCCUGCAAGAAGAGUUUGAUUGGAUGAAUCAGGAUGUAGCAGUCUAGCAGUGCCAAAAUCAGAUAGAAAAGCGUCCAGUUUAAAGUCCAAAAGAAUAUUGUUACUUGAUACAUCCCUAUGAAUAAUGGGUGGAGUAGAGUCAUGAUGCAUGUAACAUAAAGCAUGGACUAUGCUUUUGAUUNNNNNNNNNNNNNNNNNNNNNNNNNNNNNNNNNNNNNNNNNNNNNNNNNNNNNNNNNNNNNNNNNNNNNNNNNNNNNNNNNNNNNNNNNNNNNNNNNNNNAUUCGAUUUCUACGAAUGUUGAACACAUUUAAAUGAAUGAGAUAGCCCAAAGAAGGAAUAACACCGGUAAGGUUGUUGUGAUCCAAUCUGAGAUGAAUUAAAUUCUUCAGAUUCCAAAUUACAGGAGGGAUGGAACCAUUGAUUUGAUUAUAACGAAGAUACAAAUGAGUCAAAUUGGUAAGAUUACCAAAUGACAAGGGGAUGAGACCCUGGAUUUGAUUGUCGAUGAGAUGGAAAUAAGUCAAAUUGAUAAGAUUACCCAAAGAUGAAGGAAUAGUACCAAGAAGGGCAUUAUGACUCAAGGACAAUUGAACCAAAUUUUUUAAAUUCCCAAUUUCAGAAGGGAUGGAACCGUUGAUUCGAUUGAAAUUAAGGUACAAGUAUUCCAGGUUGGUUAAACUUCCAAGAGAGGAAGGAAUGACACUGGAAAGAGAGUUAGAACCCAAAUCCAAAUGAAUCAGAUUCUUCAAAUAUCCAAUAGAGGAAGGGAUGGCACCAGAGAGGUAAUUAUAACUCAAAUCCAAAUGAAUAAGAUUCUUCAAAUAUCCAAGAGAGGAAGGGAUGGCACCAGAGAGGUAAUUAUAACUCAAAUGCAAAUGAAUAAGAUUCUUCAAAUAUCCAAGAGAGGAAGGGAUGGCACCAGAGAGACCGUUAAGACUCAAAUCCAAUUCCUCUAAUAGAGUGAGGUUACCCAGUGAAACAGGUAGCUCACCAUCAAGUGCACAAUAAGAGAUACGGAGGUAAGUGAGUUUUGUAAGCGUACCUAUAUCAUCUGGGAUGUGACCAUAGAUGUAAGAAUGGCUAAGGUUGAGAUGGAGGAGGCUGGGAAAUGAAGAAAACUUCAACUGGCUAAGCUUAUACCGUGGGUUAUAGUAAUCUAAAUAGGUAAUCUGAAUAACACGUCCUUCCCUGUUGCAGGUGAUGCCGUCCCAUGUGCAAUGAUGAGAAGUAGUGUUUUCCAUGUACCACCACCAAGUGGAGUUGCGGAGAGCCUCGGCCUCAGCCUCCACCUGUGCGUCAGUUGUAGCAGCAGCAGCAGCAGGAGGUGAUGAGAUCAAGAGCAUGUUAUAUGAUAACAAUACCACUGAAACCACCAACACCCUACAAGGAUUAAUGGAACACCACUCCAUUUUUUCUUAGUUUCGAUUAAUAUUGCUAUAUAUGCCCCAGUUGAUGGUUUUAUAGAAGUGGUGUUGGUGUUGAUCCAACAACUCUCUUUCUUUCACCCACACAGCAUCUCUAUCUAUUAAAAAUUAAUAAAAAUAUUGAUACCUAAAACAUGUAUUAAUAUUUUGUUUUUGUACUUAAAUUUUAUUUUCUACUUGUUAUAGUCAUCAAGCAUUUAUUUAUUUUUUAUUUUUUAUUAUUUAAUAGUAAUAAAUAAUGAUAAAAUAAAAUCACAAAACAUGUUUAAUAUUGAUACUAACUAAAAAAUAUUAUAUAAAAGUAAUAGUCAAAAGACUGCAUUUUUAUUAUGUGAUUGUUAUUCCACUUCAUGAUUAGCUUGUCUAACACUUCUUUGAAGUUUCUUCCAAGCAAAGCAAGUCAACUAAGUCUUCUUAGGCCCACUUUUUAGACUUUUGAUUGUUAGAAGGUUAUGCUGCUAAUUAACUGAGAAAUUUCCUAAUGAUAGUAACAUGUAAGGACCACAAAGAAAACUUAAAUUUGACCAUACAUGGAUCAGGAUAUACUAUUAAAUAUUUUAAAAUUUGAUUAAAAAUUAUUAAUUUCACUAAUUUUAAACAGGAAUCAAUUUUUUUUUAUUUAAAAAAGCCUUUUGAAAAAGUUUUUCUAUUUGUUAUGCAAUCAUCAUUUUUUUUUUUUUGCUUUUUUUUAACUAAUAAAAAAUAAAAUUAGCUCCUAUAAGCAGUACUCUGUUUUUUUUUUUCUCUCCUAAACAAAGCAAGUCAAGCCAAACAACCAUCCUCAAAUCAUUUCUAAAACGCGAUAUUGAAAAUUUCCUAUAUGACACGUGACAUGUGAGACCACACAAAAAGAACACAAAAUAAUAAUAAUAAAUAAAUAAAUGCAAAGAAGUCCUUCCCAAUUUGCAAAGUUUAUUAUAUAAGGAAUUAAUGAUUUGAGAUGUUAAAAGUUUAUGAUAUUUUAUUUUUUUUGCUAUACAUUUUUUACCAUGCAUCAAGGAGGAAAAAUUUUAAAUUCUUUUUUCUUUUCUUGCUCACUUUCUAGAAUUAAUAAUGCCUUCAUAACUCUUGUUUUAGCCGCGCAACAAGUCAAGCAAGUCGUCUUCCACUCUUGAUUGGAAAUUUAGUGGGAAUUGAACAUAAUUAUUUUUAAAAUUUUUAAAUAAAAACUCAAAUGAUAAUGAUAUAACAAAAUAAUUAUUCACAAUUUUUUUUUAAACAUGAAUUGUGGGAAACAAUCAUACCUCACCUGUAUUUGGAAAAUGAUAUGUUAGUUUUUUUAUGUAUAUAUAUAAUUCCAAAUAAUAAAGAUAUUAAAAUUUUUAACAUUAUAUUGUAACUAAAUGUUUUAUUUGUCUUAUUAAUUUCACUAAUUUUAAAAAGGAAAACAAAAUAAUUUUUUAAAAAGGUUUUUCUAUUUGCUACAUAAUUAGUAAAUACAUAUUUUUUAUUUUAAUAAUAAUAAAACAUAAAAUUAAAAUUAGUAAAUAUUUUAAUAUUAAUAUAAACUAAAAAUAUACUUUAGCCAAUAAUUUAUUUGGUUCUUUUCCAAGUAAUAGGGAGACAAGAAAGUCUUUUCAGUCUCAUUAUCAAUGAUUUUUAAUUUUAUUCUAUGUAAAAUUCCACAAUGAUUCGUGUCGUGUCUGUCACGAUGUUUGGAAAAGUCGUUCAAAAAGUGUACCAUCCAUAAAUUAUGUUAAUAUUUUUUCAUUUUUUAUUUUACUUUAAAUCACACCUACUUUUUCCUUGUGCAAGUCAAAGCAAGUCUUCUUAGACGCUCAGAAGCAUAAGCAUAUACCUAACAAAAUAAAAAGCUCUAAUAGGAAAAUUAUAGAAAUCCUGUAUUCCAACCAUACUCAAUCAACAACCCAAAAUAAAAAUAUUUUAAUUAACUUUUAAAAAUUAAAUCAAAUUUUAAUUUUGAAAAACUCUCAAUCCAGGUUUACAACCAAUCAACAACAUUUGGUGUCAUAUCGUAUGAUUCUACCAAAUAGAUAUCAUGUAGGUAUAUAUUAAAAAAAUAAUUAAAAAAUAACAAAAAUAUAAAAUCGAUUGAGGGGGAAUAUAAUUGAAAGUGAGAGUUUGCAUGCACAAAAUACAAACUUUUCAAUUCUUUUUUAAUUUUUAUUUAUUAUUUUAGAAAGAGUUUUUUAAAUGUAAUGUGUAACUUGAUAAAUAAGAGAAUAAGAAAUAAAAAUCAGUCGGAUACAUUCCACCAUUUUACUCAUCAUUCUCUAAAAGAGGAAUGUAAUGUUGAAGAUUUUUGUAACUUGACAUGUUGAAGAUGAAUUUCUAUUUUGUGAUGAAAGAAUAUAAAUAAAUUGAAAAAUAAAAUUAAUGACAUUGUUCACCAUAAUAUAAUAACCGUUAUUGGCAAAUACUAACAAGAAGGUAGCACAUUAUAUUAUUUAAUCUAAAUUGAUAAUUUUGUUUCAUUAUCCGCAUGUAGGGCAUUUUACAUUACUAUAUUAUACGUUUUAUUGAAGCCUUAAGGUUGCUACAUAAUUAACCAAGAUGUAAUACAUGUAAAUAUUCUAAUUAACAUUUUUAUAUAAUACAUGUAACACUUCUCAAAAAGAUGAGAAUAGAAGGUUGAAGAUUUUUAUAACUCGACGUAUUCAAGAUGAAUUUCCUUUUUGCAACAAAAAAAGAAAUAAAUAAGUUCAAAAUUGUUUAUAUAUAAAAUAAAACUAGAUCCUAUAGGCUCUCUAUAUAUUUCUCUACUAGACAAAGCAAUUUAAGUCAAGUCAAGCAACCCUUCUCAAACACUUCUAAAACACUAGGUUGGAAAUGCUUCAUUUGUUUAUUAGAUAAAGCAAUUUAAGUCAAGUCAAGCAACCCUUCUCAAACACUUCCAAAACGCUAGGUUGGAAACGCUCCAUUUGUUUCUCUCCUAGAAAAAGCAACUUGAGUCAAGUCAAGCAACCCUUCUAAAUCAACUUCCAUAAGGCUAGGCUUGAAAUUUCUUAUAUGAUAUGUGACAUGUAAGACCACAUAGAAAGAGCACAAAAUAAUAAUAAAUAAGUUCCAAGAGGUCUUCCCAAAUUUGACCCCAUGUAUAUAUAUUAAUAAAUAUUCUAAAAUUUGAUAAAUAAUUUUUAUAAACAUUAUUAUUCCUUAUUUUUCAUAGCACAUGUGAAACAAAGCUAAUUUUGAUUAAAAAAAAACACUCAUGAGGAGAUGAGUGAAAAUAACUAAUGAAAAUGAUAAGAUAUUUAUUUAAUAAAAUUUUAAACUAAUGAGAACUAGAUGUAUUUAAUCAAAACAUUAAAUGAGAAAAACGGACCAAUGGGUGGCUUUCCCGUCACUUUAUGUUGUUGGUGUUCAAGUGCUCUUUGUAAUCUUGGGUUUAUUUCUUUACAAAUGUCCUAAAUUCAAUUUUUUUUUCUUUUAAUUUAAAACAACUUGAAAAUACCCUAAAUUAUGUGUGACCUACUAGUACAUGAAAGAUACAAAUAUAUAUAUAUAUAUAUAUAUAUAUAUAUAUAUAUAUAUAUAUUUUUUUUUUUUUAAACUUGCAUUAAAAAAAAAGGCCAGUUAAUGAUUUCAUUGGACAACUUGCAUAUUGGUACUCUCUUUUUUUCACCAUUUAAAGAUUCCAUUUCACGGACUGCCCUUUUUUUAAUUAAAAAGAAAAAAGGACUUUUGUUAAUUAUAACAAGAAGUAGAGAUUGAUGUUAUUCCUUGGUUCUAAAAUGUUAUCUUUAUUAAUUUAUAUUAUUAUUAUUAUCAUUAUUUAUCAAAUAACAUCAAAACUAUGGUAUCAUCUUUCUUAUUUCAAUUCUUUUCUAGAGUAGUUCAGGUGUGCAAUAUGUUUUUGAAUAUUAUAAUUUAAAAAAUAACAUUUAAGAUUUAAGCAAAAAAAAAUGUAUUUAUUAGUUGAAUUUUUGUUCUUCAAGAUAAAAUUUAAUAUUUAAGCGAAAAAAUGUUGAACAUCAUCCGUUUAACCAUAUCCACUAAAAAGUACAUGCAUCCCCAAAUGUAAUCCUUGUUAUAAAUAACUUAUUAAUUGUUUCUUUAGGUAGGUGUGGACCCCGCAUUUCGGCUUAUGCGUUUUCCACUCGAUGGCAAGCUCGAUUUUUAUUUAAAAAAUGAUUUUAUUUUUUCAAAUGAUUUUGAGUCGCCACUUAUUUUUGUUUAAUUUUAAAAUGGUAAACAAAAUAAGAAAAAAACCCUAAAUGCGACUCCUAUUUUUGGAAAAGGUGAUUUACGAAAAACUGGAUCGGACUCGGGGAUCAGGUUACUUAUCGGGAAGGUACGGUAAAGACCGUAACAACCCUCUAAGUCCAUAAAAUUGGGUCUCUACUAAUAAAAUGAAGCUAACAUAGGAAUCAAUGAGAAAAUUAAUGACUACUCGAAUUGAUCAUACACAUAUGAGUAUCAGAACAUGCAUAGACACUGAUCAGAGUGAAAGUGGGUACGUACCUGGACAAUAAGCCAUCAUGCGCUAUCAAGAGAGAGAGUUAGUGCACAGUGAUGAAUAUAAAAUAUGUCACUCAUAUCACCAAACAAGAUGAAGAACCAUCAAUAGCAUGCAUGACAUUUCAUUUAAAUCCCUUUUUAUUUUAAAGGAAGUUUAUUUGAUGUUGGGCCCCACCAUAGCCCGAUUUAUUUUUGCAUGAAUCAAUUUUGUAAAUUUCAUUAAUUGGAAUUACAAAAUUGAAUCCUUGCUUAUUUCAAAACCUUGUAAGGAUAGAGAAAAUGUGAAAGUUGCUUGCCAUGAAGAAAAAUGGUGGCAAAAUUUUAUAUAAAAAUGGGAUUCUUGGGUGAUCCUAAAAAUUCUAAGGAUGAAAGAGGGGAAAAUUGGAAUUAUUUGAAAAUCAGAAUUUGAGAAAGAUUUUUACAAAAUGAGAUUUGAGAAAUCAUUUUCAAGAUCAGAUAAGAAGAAAUCCCAGAAUAUUACAUGGAGCAGCUUCUUGACGGGUAGAGUUUCUCUUCACAACUUUGAGAAUACGUGACAUAAAGGAGGUGCCAUCAAGAGAAAGAGCAUGUCCUGCAGCCUCUUUUGGCAUGAACUCUACAUAGUCAGACCCCUUUGGUUGCCUUGUAGCAGCAUCAGUUACUAUAAUCACUUUUACCACUUCCCCAAACUUAUUAAAAUGCCGAGAAAGACUAUCCUUGGUUGCAGUAAAAUGAACAUUGUUAACAAAGAUGGUCCGAGAAUCAGCACCCUCUAAAGGACGACCAGUAGGAUAUGAACCAGGAGCAGAUAGCUACAUCUUCUGAGACUCUCCCUGAGUAUCUACAGCAGGUUUUGCAUUUCCAUUGCCAACCGAGACAGGGUUUCCAUUUGCCUUCAUUAACUGCACACCAGAUUUGCCAGUGCCUGUUUCAUUUCCCCGCACAGGUUUCUGACCAUCCUCUUCCUCAACCUCCCUUAGUCCCUGAUAAUGAGCUGGUUUCCAUGUAUUCACAUUCACAGAGAUAUUCACAAUCUUACGAGAGGUGUUUGCUAAAGCACUAAGCUGACCCUGAUCUUUACUUCGCAUUGUUCGCAUACCUUCAUCAGCAUUCUUAGCCACACUGUACUGCACCAUUCAUCUUCCCAUGGAGAUUCACUGACCAUGAUGCAGUCAAGUCUUUCUGUACAACAAUAUCAUCAUCAAGAAACAGUAUCUUAUCUGACUUGGGAUAAACCUCAGGGAGAUAAAACCUCAGGUGGUUAAGCAUUGAGAGAUACUUGGGAUUCCUGUACUUUAGAUUAGAAGAGCCUGAUGACAGAGUACUGGGAUACCUCUGAUUGAAAUAUAAUGCUUUCAUAGCAGCAGACUCGAGCUGCCUCAGAACUGGGCAGUAGAAUGAAUUAAGCCACUUAAAUUCAUCAACGUUUUCCACAUGGAUGGUUACUUUUCCUGGGGGUUCAACAGAAACCACAUAUUCAUGGCUUCAAAAUUCAGCUCAUCAGUAACCAGAUAGAAUACAUGUUUUUCUGGUUCCUUGGCGUUCAAGAUGGUUGAGUUGACAACAACCAAUGGUCAAGCACAUAGACAAGCAGUGGAUUCCAUUAGGAAUUGUCUUGGCUGCUAAUUGACUCAGGAAUGUGCUCUGCUUUUUUCAAGCUCCUGACUUGUUCCUCUGCUGACUGAAGCAUUGCUCUCAGCUUCCCAGUGGCUUGUCUGAGGGCUCUUUGGGCUCAUUGAUCAUAUCUAGUAUCUCAGGAAAAGUCAAGCCCUUGCACUGGUCCAGACUGGUGAGUUCUUCAAUCAUAUUGGCAUUUUCAAAGUUUAUCUUGUGACUCAUUCCAUGCAAACUUUAUCAGUGGGUCAGAUUCAACUCUUCCAUUGACUUCACUUGCCACAUCUACAUGGACUACCCGUGCGUGGCCUCUGCAUGAACCCUUAGCUGAAAGAUCUUAUCUCCGCCACUGCCACCUUCGAUGCAGCCAGAAAGUUAAAACCCGAUGAAGUUGACUGUUGCUUAUUUUCUAACUGAAGCACCCGAAAACCUCCAUUGUCAGGAUCAAACCUUGCAGUAGAUCUUCCAUCUUUCUCAUGCCAGAGAUCAUGAUCAGCCUCCCCUUGAGGAAAUUGCAUAUUUGAGGCCCCUCCAGGCAGGCUCGAUCAAGGGACCAUUUGUAGGAACCAUGGCAGUCAAAUUUACCUGAGGAUAUCCCACUGAAGCUAGAAUGGAAGGUAAGAAUGGAAGAGGUAGGUGAGUGAGAAAUGGGUAUGGUAAUAUGCAUGGGGAUGCGGGUAUGAAGAGUAAUGAAUGGAGUUGUGGGUAGUAAGAAAAUUGGGUGAAUCAGGUAUUAGAGAAGGGUGACUGCAUAGAGAUAUGGAGAAUGACCUUGUAUACGUGGUAUCCAUGCAUGCGGGUAGGUGUAUUUGGGUAUGGGAUGCCGUGCUCACUAACAUCAGGUGAGAUGACAACCCUUACAUUACUGCCAGAUUGUAAAAUCUCUCUGACCUUGCUUAUAUGGUUCACAUAUGCUUCAACCAAUCCAAGCUCAUGACGUGUCCCUUCACCCGCUUGCCUUAUUUCAAGUUCACUUGUGAUAACCCCAAGUUAAGUUCCUGUAACUAGCAAAUCUCAUAUUUGCUCAUUAUAAGCUUCUAGAACACAACCAGAUGUAUCACAUCAGAGUUGCUGCAAGAGGCUUCAUUAAUUCUACCUCGGGAUUCGCUACAGUUGUAGGGGGGACGGGACUGGCAGUAUGGAACACUCCAUCAUAUCCUUCAAAGGCAGAACAAAGAGCUCCGUACUUCAGCAAAUCUGCCCUAAAAGAGUUUCAGGUUCUCAGAUGCUUUCUCAAGUUUCUUCAAAUCAGCAUCCUUUCCAUCACUGGGAUCUCUAACAGUUCCAUGGACAAUGUAGCCCUUGGAGAGAAGAAGCUUGACGACCUAUGUAGCAAUGUACCCAUCGGCGCCUGUCACACACACUCUGCCCUUCUCUGCCAUUAUCAAAUCAAUCCACAGUUUUUCUUGUUUUUAGCUCCUGACUUCCGUCCUUCAGUGUAAAGCCAUUCAAAUGUUGAAGACUUCGAGAUGAAGAAUAAACCUGCAUGCGGGCUUAGCAAUAACCCGAUUUCAUCUUCAGUAAAUGAAACUAACAGGCAGUAACCUUUAAGGGAUUGGCAAUGAGCAUCAUAUCCCAAUAUCCUAAACUUUGAGCCAAUCAUGUCAACUAGUGCACAGAUUACAUGCAUCGUUUCCUCUAGCAAAUGCCGAAAUCCUGUAGUGGUGUACCUGGAAGUGCUGAAUGGGAGGAAUGAGCAUGAAGUCGGCCAUGCGCGUGAGAUUGGUGCAAAGCAUAGCCAUGGGUGGUGUGUGAAAUUGGUCUUAGGAGUUCGGUGGGUACGAGGCGAUGGAUUUGAUGGCCAUAGGAGCAUGCAUGAUGACUACGUGCACAUGGGAUUUGAGAAAUUGGAAGGAGUGGAAUGAUGAGAGAAAUGGGUGGUGCGGUGUGUUCAAGACUAAUGAAGAAGGAAUGCAACGUGGGCAUGGUGAUUGUGAGGAUGUGGCUAACAAAUUCAGCUGGGUAUGAAAGAAGGUUUAGGUUAUUGGAAGUGAGUAAUGGCAAGGCAUGGGAAGGUUUAGAGAGAAGUGGGUAUGAGGGUGCAGAGAGAAUGAAGGCUAUGACGGCCAUGGCUUUGCUUGAGUUGUGAUUGAUAAUGGGAUGCUGCUGCCUUCAUAUGAUGCAUGGAUAGAGGAGCUUUCACGUCAAGAAACGACAAAGAAAGAACUUGGGUGCGCACCGAUGACUACUCAAGUGGUGAUGUAGCUCCUGCAAACUGAAGUCGUUAUUGUCCAACAGUGCCAACUGUGGGCCUUGAGCUUACAACUCAUUAGAAACCCAAAACUUGAUUCCCCAGCAUGAGAAAAGCACCAACGCCGUUUGCCAUCUUCCUCACUCGAGGAUAAUCAAAAUCUCAAGGAUAAACACUGCCAUCAACAAUAAGAAGUUUUGGUCUCAAUAGAUUAGUUUCUUCUCAAGCAUGUCAUAAACAGCAAGACCAAGACCUGUAGAUUCAUCGAGUCGUUGGGGCCUAGACUCACAAUAAAUUGAGGUGCCUGAUAUCCGUCUUUUAGGAGCUAUGAAACUAUGAGACAAGUGGCCUUACGAGGUAAGUCCAAGCCUAUGAUCAUGCCAUGUAGAUUGAGAAGGACAGUGCAUACUUCAAAGGUAGCUGGAGAAACUGACAAUGGUUGAACAUUGACGCCUCACGUCUUUCCCUUUAGGUGGAAUACUGCCAAAGCCCUCUUCUGACAGAGGAUUUCUAGCUCAUCAAAGAAUUCAUUGCCGCCAUAGUAUCCUCUACCAGACAAUCCCUAAGAAUAUUUGUUUGUGAGGCAAGAGCUAACAACUUCCAUCACUGCUCGGGAUAUGAAAUUCUCUGAAGCAAAUGAGUUCUAAUAUCUUCAUUUAUCGUUGUUUUUCUUUGUAAAUAAUUACACACACUUCAUGACCAGCUGCAUUCAGGCCAUAGUCAAUACAACUGACUUCGCUUCCUCCAUUUUCAGGCACAAUGAUAGACACAAAGGAAAGUAACUUCCCAGUAAUCAAGCUUCUUUCGAUAUAAGAUCUGCAUGGCUUAGCCGAGUUCAGUUUAAUUGGAUGUCGAAUCCCAUGGUCAGUAGACCCACUUGGAGCGAAACUGAACCCUUUAAUCCAAAUGGACCGUUACAGAGAGCACAAAGCAGCAGUAGUAUUCACGAAACCCAGAGCAUGAGGGCGGGCUGUGACCAUGGCAGAGAUUCCAAACUAGAAAGCAAGCACAAAACCGUCCAUGGAAGAGGUUAUCCAAGGUUUUGGAUGCUUAUGAAGUUUUCCUGCAAGUUGAACGAAUCUGUGACAUAGCCCUUUCUGAUCUAACCUGCAUCGUUUCAACAUGUACCACACCAUCCUCAUUCACGGUACCUCCAAUCACUAUGUCACCCUUCUUUCUUCACCAUGGGCAUAGCAUCCUCUGUGAGCAUGUUCUUGAACCCACACUUAUUCUCCAGCUUUACCUCAUGGAAACACGUCAACCAAAAUACCCCACCCAUCAAGUGACCAAUUCAACUCUGAUACCCAACAUCUCAAACGCACCAGCCAUAGAGGCACAAAAGGGAAGGAAAGGGGGCCAAAACAGAAAAGAAACGAGGGAAGGAUAAACGAGGAAUAAAGUAAAACAUAAGUGUAUAGAGCCUCAUUUCGGGUGACAUCCAUGGGCUAAUAUAAGUGAGGAGAUCUCAAGCUAGAGUUACAAAAUAUAUGAGGAACAGAGUUCCAUUAACUCCAAGCCAAACCACAAGAACAACAGUAAGAUCAACAACAAUAGAGUACAAAAACGAUCCAGAAAUCAACAAAAUUCAGCACGUAUGAUCCAAUCCAAAUUGACGAGCAAUGCAGAGCAAACCAAAAUAAGAAAAGGACGAGAAGAAUAUGAAUCAAAGUAAGCAAGAGAGUCACCUCAAACUCACCUGCAGACGCUCCUUUCCUCUGUUAUCUCCUCCUCCAACUGAAUAAAAUCCUCUGUAAGUCCUUCCCAAGCCACGCAGCCUGCUACAUUCCUCAGCUGAAAGGAUCUUCUCUCAUUUCCCUCAAAAAUCAAUAUCUUCUCCCACCCUCAGCCGAAUAGCCUCCUCAUCCCCCAGAAAACCUCCGUUUUCUCCCUCUAGUCUUUUUCUUCUUCUCCCAAAUAUCCCUCUGUCACAGCUGAAAAGCACCCCUUCACUCUGCAGAAGACGCUCCCCCUAACAAACUCUGAACGUCCCCUUUCCAGGUGUCCAUCUUUCAUUGGCUCUCUUAAGCACCACUGUGAUUCCUUGGCAGCCAAUCAGGAGGCAACACAUGGCUCUUGAAAAAGCCCUCCACCUGGCAAAGAAAAUAACCUGCAAGAAAAAAGUGAAUAAGCCCCAAAUGGGGGUCUACAGCAGGCUAUUGAAGUCUUGUUUGAAUACAAUAUAUAUAUAUAUAUUCUUAAAAUAUAUUUUUUUAAUAUUUGAGAUAGUUAAUUUUUUUAUAUUUAAAUUGUAUUUAAAACCUUUACUUUUUUAAUAUAAGUCUUUAUAGAAUUCUUAUAUUUUAUAUAAAAAUUACUAUUAGUUCAAUUUUUUUUAAAAAAUAAAAAUAAAAAAUGUACCAAUUUAUACAAAUUUUAAAAUAUAUUUUUGAUAAGUCAAAUAAAGCCCAAUAAUCUUUAUAAAAUUUUUCUAUUAGAUGAGACAUCUAUAAAUAAAAAAAAAAAAACGAAAUGUUGAAAGGAAUGUCCCCAACUUUCACCAUAAAUGAUACAAUAACCAAAUUAUUGAGGCAAAUAUUCGGACAAGAUUUCUUGUCAAACAAGCCUUCUCUUCUGUUGAUUGGGAAUUGAGUUGGAAAUGAAAGGAGCAUAAAUAUAGAGAGCCCAUCUAAAGAGAGACUAAUUGGGAGUCAAGCCUUUUCUAUGCACAAAUUGGAUAGUUUUGAGAAGACAAAUCAUGUUUACAUCUUCUCCCUUCUUCUUUCCCAUCUAGCAUGCUGUGCUUCCCACUAUUUCAAUUAUCAAGAUGGAAUCUCCACUCCAAAAAAGUGGAAAAUUAAAAUGAGAGGCAUAACCGGAUGAUAAUCAUAAGUAAUAUUGUUUUUUCUUUUUUUCUGAAAAAAAUUUGAUUUGUUAUCCCAAUUGACGGGUAAGCUCUCAAGUAAGUCUUCUUUGGUGACUUCUCCAACUCUUGAUUGGAAAUUAGGUGAUAAAUGAAGAAAAUAUCCAUUUUAAAAGCGGCUAAUUGUGGAAAAACAAUUUAUCUUAUUAAAUUAAUAUUUUUAAUAUAGACAUGUUAAUAUGGAUUUAUAAUAAUUUAUUUAUAAAACACUCCAAAAAUACAUGAUAAUCAUGGAAACUAAUUUGACAAAAAGUUAUAGAAUCUUUAUAAAAUUUUAAAUUAUGCUACAUGGCAUAUGGAAAGAAAAUAUGCAAGUCAAAGAAAGAAUUUAUAAGGAAUCCACCUCAAUUGGUAGAGGGAUAUUCUACCAAUGUAGAUUUGCCUAUAAUUCACUUAUGAUUAUGGAUUUUCAAAUAGUAGAUAGACUUGUUUCAAAAAUUCUUGAAGUGAUAGAAAGUGAAAAAAUACCUAAGCUUCUUUAAAGGCCACUAAAUGUGGAAAACAAUUUAGUUGUUUUGUUUUUGUUGAUUUCCGUGUGAAUAUCCCUAAUUUGUUGGGAUUUUGAUUUUGAAUUCAAAUCGGGAUUUGUUUCCCACUUUCUAUAUUGAGUUUUUUUCCUUUUCUUAGGCAUGUAUCUCCUAGAUUGUAGAUAGAUUUUUAUUUGGUAGAUUAGAUUCUUAGCUUAUAUAAUGUUGAUGUUGUACAUGCUCUAUAGAAAAAUAUAGAAAUAUAUCAAGUUUUUUGCAUGGUACCAGAGCGGUUUCCCACUAGGACAGACUCCUACUCUCCAGCAUUUGUUUUUUUUGGCAACAAGCAACUUGAAGCCCCUACUGCUAUCUCACUGUGAAUUGUCUUCUCCAACCUAGUCACAAUUUGUCCUUGGUUCAUCAGUCCAGCCAUGAUUUAGUCCAGAUGUGAUUUGAUCGUGUUACGAAUUGAUCUAGUCCAGACAAAUCUUUUGGAAUGACUAUUGAUAGUCAAAAAUCAGUCUCUAAAGUCAACUCUAGGUUGAAGACUAUCACUUCCAAUGACCAUGGAGGAUCCGAUGGCUCUUUUCUUCCCAUUGUAGGUCACAAGUUGAAUGGGAAUAACUAUCUACAAUGAUCUCAGUUCGUCCUUAUGUUUAUCAGUGGCAAGGAUAAGGAUGGCUACCUCACUGGAGAAAUUGUUCAACCCAAAAAUGAUGAUCCUAGAUUCGGAAGUUAGAAGAUAGAGAAUAAUAUGGUCAAAUCAUGGCUUAUCAAUUUCAUGACCAAUGUGAUUGGUGAAAACUUUCUUCUCUAUAAGACCGCAAAAGAGAUGUGGGAUGCAAUUAAAGAAACAUAUUCCACCAAAGAAAAAACAGCAUAACAGGUUGAUAUCGAGAUUGUUCGUCAUGAUUUCCAUCAAGAGGAUUUAACCGUCACUAAUUACUACAAUAUUCUUGGUCACCACUGGCAACAAUUGGAUGUUUGUGAGGAGUAUGAUUGGAAUUGCCCAAAGAUGCUGCCAUGUAUAAAAAGAUUGUGGAGAAAAGACAGCUUUUCAUGUUCUUAUUAGGCCUCAACAAGCACCUUAAUGAGCUCCAUGGGAGGAUCCUUGGUACCAAACCCCUUCCAACAAUCCGUGAAGCCUUUGCCACUAAAUACCUAAGCUUCUUUAAAGGCCACUAAAUGUGGAAAACAAUUUAGCUGUUUUGUUUUUGUUGAUUUCCACGUGAAUAUCCCUAAUUUGUUGGGAUUUUGAUUUUGUAUUCAAACCGGGAUUUGUUUCCCACUUUAUGUUUUGAUUUUUUUCCUUUCCUUUCAUUUUCUUAGGCAUGUAUCUUCUAAAUUGUAGCUAGAUUUUUAUUUGGUAGAUUCGAUUCUUAGCUUAUAUAAUGUCGAUGUUAUACAUGCUCUAUAGAAAAAUAUAGAAAUAUAUCAAGUUUUCUGCAUGGUAUCAGAGUGGUUUCCCACUAGGACCGACUCCUAUUCUCCAACAUCUAUUUUUUCUGGCAAUAGGCAACCUGAAACCCCUACUGCUAUCUCAUUGUGAAUUGUCUUCUCCAACUUAGUCACAAUUUGUCCUAGGUUCAUCAGUCCAACCACGAUUCAAUUAAGACGUGAUUCGAUCUUGUUACAAAUUGAUAUAGUCUAGACGAAUCUUCCAGAAUGACUACCAAUAGUAAAAAAUUAGUCUCUAAAGUCAACUCUAGGUUGGAGAUUGUCACUUCCAAUGACCAUGGAGGAUUCGAUGUCUUUUUUUUCCCCAUCAUAGGUCACAAGUUGAAUGGGAAUAACUAUCUCCAAUGGUCUCAGUUCAUUCUUAUGUUUAUCGGUGACAAAGAUAAGGAUGGCUAUCUCACAGGAGACAUUGUUCAACCCAAAAGUGAUUAUCCUAAAUUCCAAACAUAGAAAAUAGAGAAUAAUAUGGUCAAAUCAUGGCUUAUCAAUUCCAUGACCAACGAGGUCGAUGAAAACUUUCUUCUCUACAAGACCGCAGAAGAGAUAUGGGAUGUAGUUAAAGAAACAUAUUCCACCAAAGAAAAUACAAUAGAACAGGUUGAUAUCAAGACUAUUCUUCAUGAUCUCCAUCAAGGGGAUUUAACCAUCACCAAUUACUACAAUAUUCUUGGUCGCCACUGGUAACAAUUGGAUGUUUAUGAGGAGUAUGAUUGGAAGUGCCCCGAAAACGUUGCCAAGUAUCAAAAGAUUGUGGAGAAGAGACAACUUUUCAAUUUUUUAUUGGGCCUCAACAAGCACCUUGAUGAGGUCCAUGGGAGGAUCCUUGGUACCAAACCCCUUCCAAUAAUUUGUGAAGCCUUCGCAGAGGUAAAGAGAGAGGAGACCUGGAAGAAACUCAUGUUAGGCAAGCAAACUGCUAUAGCUACUACUGAAAGCUCUACUCUUACAACUCGAGGUUAGUCUAGCAACAAUUGAGGAAAUCAACAGCAACGAAAGGGAAGACUUUGGUGUGACUAUUGCAAGAAACAUGAACAUACAAAGGAUACAUGUUGGGAUAUCUAUGGUAAACUUGCAGAUUGGAAAUCAAGGUCAAAUAGACGUGAUAGUCAAACGAACAAUGCCACCACCGAUUCCACCUCCCAACCCAAAUCAAACUCGCUUAGCAAAAAGCAAUUAGAUCUUUUAUAGAAACUACUCUAACAGUCACAACAACCUAAACCACCUCAACCCACUUCCAUAAUUGGUACUAGUUUUAUUGCACAAAAAGUUAAUUUCUUGAGUGCUCUAAAUGCUAAACAGAAAGGACAAGACCAUGGAUUGUUGACUCUGGUGCAUCUGACCACAUGACGGGAGAUGCAAAUGUUUUUGACACAUAUGAUCCUUGCUCUUCGAAUUAUUUUGUCCACAUUGCUGAUGGAUCAUUGUCCAAGGUUGUUGGUUCCGGUUCAGUGACUAUUUCAAAGGACUUAACUCUUCACUCUAUCUUGUUCCAAAUCUAGAUUGCAGUUUGUUGUCCAUUAGUAAACUAACAAAAGACCUUAAGUGCGUUACUAAAUUUUUUCCUAACCACUGUGAAUUUCAGGUUAUGGAUUUGGGGAUGAUGAUUUAUUUCAAGUUAUGGAUUCAGGGAUGAUGAUUGGAAAUGCUAAGGUGCAUGAGGGGCUCUACCUACUUCAAGCUAAUGAGUAUCCUAAUCCCAGUCAUUCUCAAGCUCAUUCUAUUCAGUCCUCCAAUUCUGUUCUUUCCAUUCGUAGUGAUAAUAAAAAUGAUGCCAUAUUGUUGUGGAAUUAUAGAUUAGGCCAUCCAAAUUUUGUUUUACCUUGAGAAAAUGUUUCCAUCAUUAUUUAAUAAAAAUUCCUAGUCUUUUUAGUGUGAAAUUUGUCAAAUGUCUAAACAUGUGCAUAAUUCUUAUCCUAACCAAGUUUACAAGACUUUUCAUCAUUUUUUAAUGAUACACAGUGACCAUUUAAGAUCAAGAACAUUUAUGGAUGAAGAUGGUUUGUCACCUUUAUUGAUGAUCACACUAGAUUCACUUGGAUAUUUCUCAUGAUAGAUAAAUCUAAGGUUGGCCAAAUCUUUAUAAACUUUCAUAAAAUGAUCCAAAGUCAAUUCUAAGCCCAAAUUCAAAUUCUCAAGACCAAUAAUGGAAGAUAAUACUUCCAUUAUGCUUUGGGUACUUAUUUGAUGAAUAAUGGAAUUAUACACCAAAGUUCAUGUGCUGAUACUCCUCAACAAAAUGGACUAUCAAAGUCCUUGUCAAGUCCUUCUCUAAUCUUAUCCUAAUUCUCGGCUAAUCUCCUCCAUUCCCAUCAAAGUGUUUGGUUGCAUUGUCUUCGUCCAUAUUCAUUCCCAACAUUACUCCAAACUUGAUCCAAAAGUUGUCAAAUGUCUCUUCCUUGGGUAUUCUCUUAACCAAAAAGGGUAUAAAUGCUACUCUCCUACUCAAUGGAAAAUUUACAUAUCCAUGGAUGUAACAUUCUUUAUUAUUCAACUCGUUUACCCCAAAACUAAUAUUUAGGGGGAGAAUGGACUUAGUGAAUAUUAGUUUUUGAACAUAAAUACUGAUUUUCUUGAUACAAAUUUUGAUUCUUCCUGCCUUUCUUCAUCUUUUCUUCCACUUGAGGUUGAGACAUCUUCCAAUCUUCAAUCAAAAUCCAUUUCUGAGACCAUAUAGUCUGCACAAUCUUCAAGUGCUGACCUUCCUCUCAACCAAACUCAACAUCCAACCUCAUCUAUUGUCUAUACCAGAAAAAAAAAGGCUUAGAAGGACGAAAAAAUCCAAGUGCAUCCAAUGCAAAACUAAGAGUUUGAAUUAGAUUCAAAAGAUUCUAAAAAUUGACUAGGUAACACCACUAUUGAACCUCUUUUGGAUGAAAUUUCUAAUGAUUUAGAUUUGCCUAUUACUCUAAGAAAAAGGGUGAGGUCUUGCACUAAACAUCCUAUUCAGAACUUUGUGUCCUAUAAUGAGCUAUCUCCAUCAUAUAGGGCAUUUUCCAUGAACAUAACUGAAGUGCAAGUUCCUAGAACUAUUCAGCCAAUCAGAUUGGAGAAAAACUAUUUUUGAUGAGAUGAGUGCUUUGGAAAAGACGGGUACAUGGGAGAUUAUUGAUCUACUGAAAGAUAAAAAUACGAUGGGAUAUAAGUGGAUCUUUACAGUCAAACAUAGAGUUGAUGGAAAUGUUGAUAGGUUGAAGACACGACUUGUUCCAAAAGGAUUCACUCAAGCUUAUGGAGUUGAUUACUAAGAGACAUUUGACCUAGUUGCAAAACUCAAUACUGUUAGAGUCUUACUGUCUCUUGUUGCUAAUCUGGAUUGGUCACUAAACCAGUUAGUUGUGAAGAAUGCCUUCCUCAAUGGUGACUUGGAGGAGGAAGUGUAUAUGGAGAUUCCCCUUGGCUUUGAAAGAAACAAUGACUUUAAGAAGGUAUGUAAACUCCGAAAAGCAUUAUAUGGCCUUAAAGAAUCUACUCGUGCUCGGUUUGACAUAUUCACAAAGGUCAUCAAGAAAAAUGGUUAUAUUCAGUGCCAAUUUGAUCACACCUUGUUUGUUAAAUUCUCUAAAGGAGGAAAAAUAACUAUUCUUAUUGUGUAUGUCGAUGACAUAAUUCUUACUGGAGAUUAUGAUGAAGAGAAAGUUAGUUUGGAAAAUUUCCUCACCAAGGAAUUUGAGAUAAAAGAUUUGGAUGAUCUCAAGUAUUUCCUAUGAAUGGAAGUGGCUUGAUCUAAGAAAGGAAUUUGUAUUUCCCAAAGAAAAUACAUCCUUGAUCUUCUAGAGGAGACUGGUAUGCUUGGGUGUAAACCCUUAGACAUCCCUAUAGACUCUAAUGUCAAGCUUGGCUUAGAUCAAGAGGGUCCUUCAGUUGACAAAGGGCGAUAUCAACAACUCGUAGGGAAGUUGAUAUAUCUUACCCACACAAGACCAGAUAUUAGAUUCUCUAUUAGUUUGGUUAGCAAAUUUAUGAAUAAUCCUACCAAAGAACACUUAGAUGUUGUCUAUAAGAUCCUUCAAUAUCUUAAAUAGGCUCCUAGAGUAGGGUUAUUUUUCAAAAAGAACUCUAACAAAGAAAUUAUGAUCUACACUAACAUAGAUUGGGUUGGCUCUCCUAUAGACCAUAGAUCUACAUCUUAUUAUUGUUCAUAUGUUUGGGGCAAUCUUGUUACAUGGUGAAGCAAAAAACAAACUGUUGUUGCUAGGAGUAGUACUGAAGUUGAAUUCAGAGCUUUAGAAAAUGAAAUUUGUGAGGGCAUGUGGAUUAAAAGACUAUUGGAAGAACUCAAGUUUCCUAUUGAUAGUCCUAUGAGAAUUUUUUGUGAUAAUCAAGCAACAAUUAGCAUUGCUAAAAAUCUUGUUCAUCACGACACGAUUAAACAAGUGGAGAUUGACUGUCAUUUCACUAAAUAGAAGAUUGAUGAGGGGAUUAUCACUCUUGGAUACAUACUAACAACUCUUCAAACAAUCUACAUCCUUGCCAAAGCACUUCCUAGAGUCAACUUUGAAGAAAUGAAGUCCAAGUCGGGCAUGCUAAACAUCUAUAGCCUAGCUUGAGGGGGAGUGUUGAUUUUCGUGUGAAUAUCCCUAAUUUGUUGGGAUUUUGAUUUUGUAUUCCAACCGGGAUUUGUUUCCCACUUUCUGUUUUGAGUUUUUUUGUUUUUUUUCAUUUUCUUAGGCACGUAUCUCCUAUAUUAUAGCUAGAUUUUUAUUUCGCAAAUCCGAUUCUUAGCCUAUAUAAUGUCAAUGUUGUACAUGUUCUAUAGAGAAAUAUAGAAAUAUACCAAAUUUUCUCUAGUUUUAAAUCAUAUCAAAUUUUUUACUUCAAAAUGAUUACAUUGAAAAACUCCUAAAUUUUGACUUUGAAAUGAUUAACCUUCCAAAGAUUAUUAAAAUUGUUAUCCAUUAUUUCCAUUUACAUAGAAUUUGAGAAGGACUAUAUAAUGCUUGAAAAUUUAAACAGUAUAGAAUAAAAAUAUGAUCUAUAUUGAAUUAGAAUUUUUUUUAAAAAUAAAAUUGGGACAAGCUACCUACUUAAGGAAUCCUCAUAUAUAUAUAUAUAUACGACUAAGAAAAAUGAUAAAAAAGGGUGUACAAAUAUCACAUGUUAGAAAUUUUCAAAUAAAAUUGUAAUUUUAUUGAAUUGUAGAAAAAUCUACUUCAAAUCUCCAGUUUAAUUUCAAAUUAUUCUUUCAAUAAUUGUUGACUAAGUGCUUGCAAAAUUUUGAUCUCAAGUUCUAUUGAAGAUUUGAUGUUGCUUGCUUGAACUUCAUUUAGACUUUAACUUGCUUAUGGUUUGAGUUUGGAUUGGCUUAUUUUUUACUUACAUUUUAGAAAUGAACAACAUCUUAGUCUUUGAGAUUUGAAGCUUGAUUUUAUUCUUGGCUAGACUUGUUAGGCUUUGACUUCAUUUUAGCUUUGGCUUAAACAAUCCUAACCAAGUGCUUGAGUAAUAAUCUUAGACAACAAAAUUUAGAAGAUUUGGCUAUUAAAGUUUGAUUCUUGAUUUUUUGAAAGAUAUUCAUGAUUUGAAAAUAUUUUGAAGAAAUUAAAAACUCAUCAAAGAAAUUUUGAAGAUUUGAGUAAACUUUGAAAUCUCUUUUGAAGAUUGAAAAAGCAAUGAAUACUUUCAAAGAAGCCUUCAAUUUCACAUAAAAAUGUUUGGGAAGCUUUAAAGGAGACCAAAUUUUUUUGAAGAAGUUUGAAGGCCAUCAUAGAAGCUUUUUGAACUUAUAACAAAGCUUUCCUUCUACCUUCUUACUUAUGUAUUUUUUACUUAUUGUGUGAAAUAUACCUUCAAGGUGGUUUCCUUUAUUUAUAAAGAUAGGAAUAACAAUACUUAAACAAUUUUCUAGCUCUUGAAAUAUGUUUUUAAUUAUUUAACUAAACUUAAUUUUUAAGGAGAUAUAAAAGAACAUAUUUAGAUGGUCUUUAACCCCUUGAAAACUAUUCUUUAAGGAGAAUCGGUGAUUAACCAUUUUUUUUAAAUCAAGUCCAUUAUUGUCUUAAUUUAUUGUAAUAAUAUUCUUUUUGUUGUCAAUAUUUAUCUUUUCUUUUAUUUAAUCUAUAGAUAACUUUUUGAGGACCCAUUAAUUUGUACUUAAAUAUUGGUAUAGAUAGUUAAAAUUAUGUUUUUAAGCAUAAAAAGGAGUAAAAAUCAUUGUUUUUACCUUCAAUAUGUUAACACCCUAUUUUGGUAACUAAUGUGCUAUAUUGUGGGAACUAUAGCAAAGAGAAGAUAAACACAUGUUUUUGUUAGGAUAGAACCCUUAAAAACAUGAUAUGAAGUAACAAAUUUGGAAUUCAUUAUUUAAUGAUAUUCCCAUUUCAUUUUUAUCUAUUCUUGUUCCAUGCAUUACACUUUAUAAACAUUCUUGCCUAGCAUCUUUUGCAUUGCACGUGAUUUGGGUGCAUUAGGAAUUGCCCAAAAGAUCCAAAUCUCGAGUUCCUUGCAAAUAGAUAACUUUUUCAUAAUCGAUUCAGGUCUAGGCAUCAUGAUAUCUCAUGGUGAAAGACCACCGAAAGUCUAAUAGGGAACAUCCAAAAAGGGAAAGAGGAGUGAAUGGGUGAUAUGAAAAUUCAAAUAAAGAGUUAUAUAUAUUAUAUUCAAUUUUUCUUACCCUAAAAAAUUUUAGGGAAGUCCUAAUUUGCACUUUGGGCAAAUUUCAAACAUAUAAUCUAGUAUCUUCGGAGAAUAAGGGAUUAUAUGUUUGUGAGUCUUUGUGAUGAGUUGCUACUCUUUUCAUAUCGAGAAAUUGGACUUCAAUAUGAUAAGGACUCUUGUAGGUCUACCUUUGGGUGUGUGUGCACUGUAAGUGGUUUUUAUUUUAUUUAUUUUAUAGAAACAAAGGAAGCCUUUUGGCUUAUGGGUAGUUCCCUUGACCAUAAUGUCUAAGAUCCUAUUAUGUAAUAAUAAUGGGUUGGUGGCAUGAUCUAAAAAACUAAAGUACCACUAGGAGAGGAAACACAUAUGGAGGAAGUGUAACCUUAUUGUGAGAUAGUAUGGAGAGUUGAUGAUACAAUGGAGUAGAAUUCUUUCUACGGUUCCCAAUCUAUUUUUUGGGCUAGUGGGAUUUUGUUGGGAUUAUGCCCCUAAAAACAAGGCAUGAUGUAACAAAGUUAGACUUAACCAUCCCCUUGCUAUCCCUUUUGGUGUAUUGACAUUGCCUUGAGCAUUUAGCCCGUGUCUCAUACAUUGUACAUGACUUUUGUGUAUUAGGAGUUAUACAAAAGAUACAAGUCAUGGGUUCCUUGUAAGUAGAUAAGUUGUCCACAAUCGGUUCAUGGAUAUAAGAAAUCCAAUAGAGACUAUAGUGCAUCACCUUCUAAUUAGAGGGAUGACUUAUCUUGGCCAUCAAGAUGGGUUUCCCAUGGUGAGUGCACUAGUGUAUGUGAUGCAAAUUGGACAGGACCUAGGGUGAAUCAUGACACAAAGCUAUCAAUUAUCAUGAUUCACUAAGCUACUACACUGCAUAGACUUUCAAACAUGAGAAGAUAUUGAGUUUCUGCAAAAAUCAAUAGGAGGCUUUGACUUAUGGGUAAGACUUUAAAGUGGUCAUAUAUCCCUAUGGAUUUGGUCACUAUUGAUGGAGGUUGGUGGCAAUGGGUAUUCUCAAUAGAGACACCAUGAUAUCUCAUAAGAUUAAGACAGUGUGUCCCCUUGGGUGAUCUAAAGACAUGUGAUUGUGAAAUCUGUGGCCAUAGUAAUUACUUAAGUGGAAUUUGACAUAUUCUCUUCAAAGCUAGAGUAUGUUAUUUGAUCACAUAAUAAGUGGGAUCUAUAACUCAAGGAUUUGAGAGGUAAUCUUGAUAGGUGAAAACACUAUAUUGUUAGAUUAUGAACACUAGUUCAUGGGGAGUCUACAUGCAGUGGAUAGUAGGUCACAAACUCAAAUACUUGGUGUCUCAUUUUAAUAAAUAUAAGGUACUGGAGUGUAGUUGACUCUCUAUAGUGAGAUGCUAAGUUAAUUUCAUAAUUGAUUAUGAGAGAGCCAAUACUCCUAUGGGUCCCAAUGGUCCCCGAUCUGGGCUUAUAUUCCUUGAUGGCAUGGUUUAUGAUGGUUAGGUGGAUUUUGAAGGGAAAAACUCUGAUCACUCCACUUCCCAAGCCCAGAUUUGGGUAGCAACAUGCAUAACUAUCCUAGGCCUUUUCUAAAUCCUAUGCUCAAUGAAAAAAAUAACAUUUUUAAACCUUAAAAGGAUUCAUAAAGAGCUAACGAAAACUGAUUACUACUCAAAAAGUGCUAUUUCAUAGCUUGUAAAUAACUCUUUUAAACACUUUUGAGUAGUAGUUAUUGCCUUUUAACCCAAUUAACAUGUUAAGGACCCUUGCAAUCAAUUCUAAUCAAAUUGUGUUAAGUUUUGGUGUUUUGAUAGCUUUUUGAUCACCGAAGCAAUAUGAGAUUGAGGAGAGUUAUUUGGAAUCCAUGGCAAAGCAAUGGAAAGCUCAGAAACAUGAAGAACCAAAGCUUUGAAGUCCUUUGCCAUAAGCAAAUCCGGAAUGCAAGGAGGGGAAGCAAAGAGAAAUCUGCCAUGAAACAUUCUUGAUGUCAGUCAUGUCAGCCACUUUUGGAGCACUUCUUGGAGUUCAAUUUAUUCAUGCUAUAUGUCGUUUCGAAGCUCAGGAAGUCAGAAAUCCAAUUCUUCAAACGGUGUGUGAUUCAGAGUUGAAAUGAAGGAUUUACAGCCAUUGGAAGCCAAUCACUCCAAGCUGAAGGAAGAAUUUUGCACGGCUGCGAAAUCACCCUUUUGCUGCGAAAUGAUUUCGCAUCCAUUUUGCACAGUGCUGUGGAAUUCCUCCUGAAGUUUCCCCAUAUUUGCGACACGUUGGAAGCCGAACACUGCAAGCUGAAAGCCAACUUUGCAGCACUGCGAAAUCAGCCUUUUGCUGCGAAGUGAUUUCGCAGCCCUUUUUGUGCAUCUGCGAAAUCUCGCAAACCUCUUUUUCACCUGCGAAAUGGUCGUUAGUGCUUCUUGAUAUUUGCGACCGACAUUUUGAGAUAUUUUUCUUCAGAUAUUUUUGUAUAAAUUUUCAUUCUUCUCCUUGUAAUCCACCAACCAUAAGAUUUCUUAGCUAGGAAGGUUGGAAAAACUUCUCUAUAUAUAUUCCCUUGCAUCCAUUGUAAUAAAGAUACAUAUCAUAUAUAGAAUCAACGAACAGAGCACUUGCUCUGUUUUUCAUAUAUAUUCUUGUUUUCUCAUUAGUUUUCUUUCUAGCAAAACAUUCUCUGAGAUAUUUUCUCAGAGGAUGAGAGGCUAGGCUCUUCGUCUCUUGGAGUGAAGAAAUCCGGGUAAGCUUCCACAUGCAUAAUUUGGAAGUUUUGUUGUUUUAGUUUUUAAUGAAGAGAAAGUGUGACCCGUUAAUGGUUUUUAUCUUUUUAGUUAACUUAAAACACCUUUAAUUCACCUGAGCCAACACUUGGUAAGGCAAGUGAUCUCCGUCUAUGGAGAUGCACUAGUUUAUCUCUUGCGAGCUUUUGGUAGGUGGUUUGAAGGUAUGAUUUUCUAGAAUAGCCAACACUUGGUAAGCUUUUAGACUCCAAGGAGACAUCCAUUAGUUAUCUCUUGCGAGCUUUUGACGGGUAAUCCAAGGUUAAAGAUCACCUUGAAUGGCAAGUGCUAGGUGAGAGGUAUGAGCCAUUGCAAGGUGCAUCAAUGAGAGGGAUUUAGUGUUUGAACCCAUUAAUGGGAAGCAUCUGUACAACACCGGUUGGAGAAGGGACUAUAUGUUAAUUCUCUAAUGCGAGGAAAAGAAACAAGUGACCGGAACUCUCCUUUUUGUAUGAGGAACCUGAGCCUAGUGAUCUAAACUCCAAGAAACACUUUUCUUUGUAAGUAAAAUCAGUUACUAUUUUUGGUUAGUUUAAAACCGAACCUUUUUCAUUCAAAUAUCUUUAUGUUUUCUUUUAAAGCUAACCUUGAAAUGAAAAGGCACCAAUUCAGCUUUGAAUUAAUAUCAUUGGCAAAGUGAAAACCCAUCCCAGUGAACGAUCCUAAAGUCACUAUGCUAUAGUAGCUUUGUCUUUUCUACCCUAGUAUAUGGUGUAAUAGGUUAUAAAUUUUGUUGAUUACUCCCUCAAUCAAGGAGCACCAACUGGACACGAAUCAGCUGAGACACCAAUUGGGCAUGAAUCAAAAACCAUACCUCAGAUUCCGAUGUUCCUAAAUCAAAUCCAGGUGGUGAAAAUGAAGAAUGAAAUCACAAAAGUCUCAUAAACCUGAAGUUUUCCGUGCAAUGAAUCGAAUUGAUCUUGACACACCUCCAGUGGGGAUGGAAAGGAAUGUGGAGGCUAUAACUCUUUAUUUUUCUCUUUGGAGAUGGAAGAUGGCUCUCUAGAAAAACUAUAUGAACUUUAAGCCCUAAGAUGAGAUUUAUAGGGUUUUCUACUAGGCUUAAGUAACUUGAGCUCACUAAGUGCUUGGGUCACUUAAUCUAGCCCAAAAUGGGUCCUAAUUGAUUAAUUAACUCAAUAGGGCAUGCUAAUUAAUCAAUUAGCCCAAUCUAGAGACCUUGCUCACUUACCCUUGUGCAAUUUUUGUGUAAUUACCAAGAUGCCCUUAUGCACAAAAGUGAACCUAGAGCUAAUUCGACUCUCAUUACCCAUGCCAACAAGGUAUAUGAUUACUACCCAAAAAGUGCUAUUUUACACCUUUAAUGCAUUAUGUUUUAAGCACUUUUGUGUAGUAGUUCUCCAUCUUUAGUCCAAUUGGCAUGUUAAGGACCUAGCAAUGUCUUCUAAUCAUAUUUGUGGCUAGUUUUAGUGUUUUGACAUCUUUUUGGAUCAUUAAGACAAGCCAAUCAAAGGAGAAAAGCAAAGAGAAGCAAGGAGGAAAACAGAGGACAGCAGCUGCAGUCUUCGUUAGCACUUUUGGAGAACUUCCCGAAGUCCAUUUUCUACAUUCUAUAUACCAUUUCAAAGCUCAGGAAGUCAAGAAUCCAACGCUUCAAACCGUGUAUGAUUUGGAGCUGAAACGAGGAAGAUAUGGCUUUCGGAAGACAACUGCUCCAGGUGUGCGAAAAUUUCGCACACCCCCUUAGCUGUGCGAAUGGUGUGCGAAAUUCGCACACCCCUUGCGUGGUGCAAAUUUUGCUCUGUUUUUGCCGACUCCACUUUAGAUAUUUUCCUAUGUAUUUUUUGAUGUAAUUUCCUUUCUUAUCCUUGUAACUAACCAGUCACAAGCUUUUGCUUUUGUAAAGACUAUAUAAGGGGUGGAAAUUACCUCUUGGAUAUGAAAUAUACGUAUUACGUUUGACACUUAGAAAUUUUUACAGAGCUCUCUCGUUUUCCAUUUUCUCUCUACUAUUUUCUUUUUCUUGGAAGCCAAACAACCUCUGAGGAUGUUUUCUCAGAGGAUGAGAGGCUAAACUUUUGGUUUCUUGGAGUGAUGGAAGCUAGGUGAAAAGUCCAGAUGCAAGGUGGAAAACGCUCGUGCAUUAAAUUCAGGUAGUUGGAAUUCAUAAAUGGCUUUUAAAUCCAAAGUUUUGCUUUAAAUCCCUUAGAAUCACUUUGAAUGACCAAUACAUGGUAAGCUUUAGGUCUUUAUGGAUGCUUAUUGCUAGAUCCAUAUUAGUCCAUUAGUUAUCAUGUACGAGUCAUUGGAAAGCGGUUCAAGGUGAAGACCUAUAGUGUCUAAAGCCAUUAAUGGACUUUGACUACCAUUUAUAUUGAUUAUUAUGGAUUAAAUCUUCAUUGUUAAGCCUACACCGGUUCGGGAAAUAACUAUAGGUUAAAUUCCCAAUGCGAGGAGAAAAAUCCGGAAUUUUCCACUUUGCACUCUAAACUUGAUCCUAGCAAUCCUGAGCUCCGGGAGACUUUCCUUCUUCCAUUUUUAAUUAGUUUAUGUUAAUUUAGUUUCAAACACUUUCAAAACAAAUUUUAUUUUCUUUUAAACUCUAAGUUUUUUUUUUUUAUAAAGGAAAUCAUUAAAUUCAAUUCAUAAUCAUGAGUAUAUCACUGGUAGAAUGAAAACCCAUCCCAGAGUUCGACCCUAGAGCCACUAUACUAUAGUAGCUUUGCUACACUAGUAUGAGGUCAUAGGUUUUAUAAAUGUUUUUGAUUAAAUGACCCAUUUGGAGUUACAUGCGAAUCAGUAUAUGAGCUCAGAGCAAGGACUAUUAGGACCCAUAUGAAUAUUAGCUCCCUCACAAUCCAAUUCUAAAGUUGAUUCAACAUCCCACUAGAAAGAAUCAACUGAACUCCAGUAUCCUAUGUAAAUAGCAAUGAGACAUUAUGUGCUCAGGUUCUUGACCUGCUAUCCAUUACAUUCAGUCUCCCGAUGAACUAGUGUUCUUAGUCUAACAAGAUGAAAGCUAUCAACCUUUCAAGACUAUCUCUACUAUCUUUAAGUUAUAGAUCCUCCUAUUGUAUAUUCAACUGACACGUCUUAGCUCUCAAAGAGCCUAUGUCAAGUUUCACUUAAGGAAUUACUAUGACCAUAGUUUCUAUUAACACACCUCCUUAGGAUCACCUAAGGGGAUACACUGUCUCAAUCCCAUGAGAUAUCAUGGUGCCUAUAUUGAGAAUACUUUUUGCUACCAACUUCUAUCAACAAUGACCUGAUCCAUAAGGAAUAUAUGAUCAACUUACGAUCUCACCCGUAGGUUAAAACCAUUGCUAACUUUAGCAUACGCUUAAUAUUCUCUCAAGGUUAAGAGACAACACAAUGAAGCAAUUUGGUGAGGUCAUGACUACUUGAUAGCCUUAAGUCAUGACUCACCAUAGGUCUUAUCCAAUGUGUAACCAUACACACUAAUGCACUCACCAUGGGAAACCUCUCCCCAUAGCUAAGACAAGUCAUCACUCCAAUUAGGAAGUAGUGCACUACAACCUCUAAUGGGUUGCCUAGACCCAUGAACUAGUUGUGAACAAGUAAUCUAUUUGCAAGAAACCCAUGACUUGGAUCUUCUGUGCAACUACUAAUGCACCUAAGUCACAUACAAUGCAAAAUAUGCAAGUAGGAAUGCUCAUAAAAUAUAAUACAUGGAAUAAGGAUAGACAAAAGUGAAAUUGGAACAUCAUUUAAUAAAUAAUGAAUUCCAAAUUUAUUACAUCAUGUCAUGCUUUUAAGGGCUCUAUCCUAGCAUUCUCCUACUAGCCCUCAAAGCGUCAUGCUUAUAAAGCAUGCUAAAUACUCAUUUGAAACCUAUGCUAUCCUUGUGACUAACAAAGACUCUCCUUGUCAAUGUCUUGGUGAAGGGAUCCACCAGGUUCUCCAUAUAAGGUAUCUUGUCCCAUAUCAUGUCACCUUCUAAACUAUUUCAACACUUUGGAGCACAAGCACAUAAUCCCUCGUUCUCCUAAGAUACUUCAGUAUAUGCUUGAUAGCAGUUUAGUGUUCUGGACCUGGAUUAAACUAAUAUCUACUUACCAUACCCAUUACAACAUAAAUAUUUAGCCUAGUACAUAGCAUCGCAUGCAUAAGGCUACCCACUAUAGAGACAUAGGGUACUGAUUGGAUGCGUUUUUUCUCCUAGGUGUUUUAGGACACUGAUCCCAAGAAAGAAGAAUUCCAUGCCUAAAAUGUAACAAACCUUUCUUGGAAUCUUGCAUCACAUACUUGACCAAAAGCUUAUCUAUGUAGGUAGCUUGAGAUAGCACUAGUUUCUUAUUCUUACGGUCCCUAAGGACCUUAAUCCCAAGAAUAUACUACACUUCUCCCAAAUCCUUAAUCUGGAAUUGAGUAGAUAAACAGAACUUUACUGAUGACAAUAACCCUACAUCAUUACCAAUGAGUAAAAUGUUGUCAACAUACAAGAUCAUAAAGACCAUCAUGCUUCCGUGCUCCUUCUUUUUACACACAAGGUUCAUCCUCAUUUUGAUCAAAGUCAAAGGUCUUGACUGCCUGAUUGAAACAUUUAUUCUAUGAGUGGGAUGCUUGUUUUAGUCCAUAAAUGGAUUUAUGCAAUUUGUAUACCAUAUGCUCUUAACCCUUUGCUACAAUACCUUUUGGUUACACCAUAUAGAUGCUCUCAUCAAGAUUUCCAUUUAAGAAUACAAUCUUGACAUCCAUUUUCCAUAUCUCGUAGUCAAGAUGUGCUGCAAUGGAUAGGAGUAUUCUAAUGGACUUGAGCAUGGCUAUCGACGAGAAGGUCUCAUCAUAGUCAAAACCAAGUUUCUGACUAUAACCCUUCACUACAAGCCUAGCCUUAAAAGUCUCAACCUUUCCAUCUACUCCUCUCUUUCUCUUAUAGACCCACUUACACCUUAUGGGUUUUAUACCUUCAAGUGCUUCUACAAGCUCCUAGACUUGGUUAGAAUGCAUAGAUUCUAACUAUACUUCCAUAGUCUUUUACCAAAAAUGUGCAUCCACAUCGCUCAUUACUUCAUCGUAAUAUGUGGGAUCGAUCUCAUGUUCCUUUAGAAUGACCUCAAAAGACUCUCCCAAAACAUGAAUUGGUCUAGUUGUUUAACAACCCUCCCACUACAAUGAAGCAUCAGUGUACUAGAAAUGAGAAUGGUUGGUACUAGAUCCAUAGUAUCUAGUGUAUAGUGAAACUAUCUUCUAGAUUGUUUGCCUUAUUACAUGUCAUAGAGUCUUCAUAAAAAAUCUAGUAUUUGUAGCAAGCAACACCUUAUGAUAAUCCUGACUAUAACGUAGUAAUCCUGAAAUCCUCUUGGAUAUCCUAUAAACUAAUACACCUCUUUAGAAAAAGAAGAGGUAUUACAUAGUCUUUAAGAUAUAUCCCCAAAGAAUAUGGGAAGUAAUGAGAAACCAAUCACCGAUCUCACUUUGUCUACCAAAGUUUAAUAUAUUCUUUCCAUUACUCCAUUUUGCAAUGGAGUCCUUGGGGCACACAAUUGUGAUAUGAUCUCAUGCUUCAUUUGGAAAGAAUCAAACCUACUAGACUAACCACCUCAAUCUAAUCGAAGUGCCUUGAUAUGUUUACCCAUUAGGUUAUCCAAUUCUGCCUUAAAUUCAAUGAGUUUAUUCAAGGCAUCAUAUCUCCUAUCUAUAUAUCCAAAACUAAAGUAUUUAUCAAUAAAAUGAUCAAAGACUCACACUUUCAAUAUAUAAACACAAAAAGGUUCACAUACAUUAGUAUGCACUAACUCCAAACAUUCCUUGGUUCCAAGUCUUUUAAAAAUAAAAGGGUCUCUUAGUCAUUUUACCAUCUAUAUAAGAUUUAUAGACUAAAAGAUCUUCUAGAUUAAGAAGGUCCAAACUUAAUUAGUAUUUGGAUCAAUAUGACUUAGGUGUUAGAAGCCAAAUGUUUGAUUCGUUCUAGGUUCUUUCUUUUGGUGAGAUUUAACUAUUCUCAUUACUUGGCAAAGUGAUAAUGGAGUCUCACAUAGAAAAGGUAAUACCUCCCACUAACAUGCACAACUAAUCUUACAACUGAAGCUAAGGUAAGUACAAUCCCAUUAUGUGACCUUCUCACUUGUUGAAAACCUUGUAAAGAACUACAGAUAGUGGGCCUGGAAUCUAUCCACCACUAUGUAUUCAACAACAAGAACAUGAUGUGUACUUGUCUAUUCUUAAACACUCCAAGCAUUCCAUGUUUAAGUGUCCUAAAAGGCCAUAAAGGAAUCAUUGCCCAUGAGCUUGUUCUCUCAUUAUUUUUCUUGAACUUUCCUUAUUUGGUGUUGUUCUUUUCCUUCUUGGUAGAAGAACCUAAAGAACCUUGACUUCCAUAUGAACACCUUUCAACUCUUUGAGAAUCUUCUUAACCAUACUAAAAGAAUCCGGUAAGAUCUUUAGGAUAACAUGAAUCUUGGUGUUCAUAAUAGUCCUAAGGGCAACUUGUUUAGUUGACUUACUCUUAUUACCAAAUAACCCUUUCAACUUUAAAGAGAAUAUCAUAGACUAUGGAAAUAGACAUAUGUUGUUUUUGCAACACUUUAUCUAAAGACCCAAGUAUGAGAGACUUGGCCUUUUGAUUUGUCUUAUGCCAUAUUUGAUAUGUUUCUCUUACUUCAUGAUAGGUUUGUUCAAUGGAAAUAACAAACUCUACCAAAAUCAGCUUCUAUGCAAUUAAUACUAUACCCAGAUUAUUCAUAGUCUAUCAUUAGGUCCAAUUUAAACAAAAGAUAAUAGGCAACAAGUUAAAGACAUGAUAUCUAUAAAAAAUAUAAUAAUUCCAUGCAUUAAUAAAAAGAAAUUGAGCAUUCAAGGCAAGUUGGUAAUUAAUUUAGUAAAAAAGUAGUUCUCUCAAACUACAUAUCCUUUUGUAAGGUAUCCUAGUAUCAUAAGAAUCAAGCCAACUUUAUGUAGGUCACGACUCUUAUUACUAGGGUAGAGACCCUCUCUAAUUGAUCAACUUGCCUUAAACUUUAAAAGUUAUCAUAAGGCAUUGAUCAACAUAGCUUUAUGUUUAGCCCUUAGUCCAUGCAAGUGGGACCACUUUAGGUGAUUUUACCACUUCAUGUCUAAGUUAAGUAUGUAACCAAGAUCCUUGACAUCAAUGUUACCAAGUGAAGAGUUCCAUCUUUAGGGUUGACUAGUCUCACUAUAAACAUAUAUAGUCUUGUCCAUAAAGGAUAGUCUUUAUUCCUUGAUUCCUUGGGCCACCCUAUCUUUAAGAUGGUGAUGCACCCAAAAUCAAGAUGGGCUUGGUCUUGGAGGUUAUGGGCUUGCCUAUGGCCUACUCCUACUUAAUAUUUUGGAAAAGAGGCUUUAAGAUAAUUUUGGUAACUAUCUUAAAAUAAAUUAUCUAUCAUGAGAAUUUCCAAAACUUUUAUUUAUCACUUGAAUUGGGACUCUUGUACCAAAUAGGGAUAUAUUUCAUAUUCCUUAUCCUUGAACUUUCCUUUUCAAACUAAACAUAUUCCUCAUUCUCUUAGAGGAGAAGAUGUUGGAAGACCAAUUUAAUUGUCAUUCUCCUUCUCUCUAGGGAGGAAGGCUUGGAAAACCACUUAAGCCAAAUAAAGAAAAGUCCCAAAAGGAAUUUGAAAUUCCAAAUGAAAACAACCAAUUCCUUAAAUAAAUAAUAAUGGAAAUAAAACUCAUGAAAAUGUAUUCUUUUAAGAAAAUCCAAAAUUACCAUUUUAAUUUAUUUUAUUUGAAACAAUAUCUUGGUAAGCUAUAUUAAUAAUGAAUCAUCUAUCAUAUAUUUUUCUAAAAAUAAUUUAUUUCUUUAAAUUAGAAUCUUGUGCUAAAUAGGAAAGAUUUUAUUUCACAAAGGCUUGGAAAACUAAAACUUCUUCCUUAUAAUAAAAAAAUUCUUAGAGAUCUAAAAUCUAAAAAAAAUUAUUUUGGAAAAGAAAAUCUCUAAGAGUUUAAUUUUGAAAUGGAAGUAGGUUCCUUAUUACUUUCCAACUUAGCUUUUCUUAAAAUAAAAAUUUCUUAAUCCCUAUCACAUUCCAAUUUAAUAAAUUAUCUAAAACAAGAAAAAAAAAAUAUGAAAAUUCAUUUACUUAAGAAUGCCAAAAUAUAUUCUAUGUCAAGAAUAAAAAGGCAUAAAAGAUAUAAAAGGAAAUUAAAUAAAUAAUUUUCAUGGUCUUAUGGAUCUUGCUGCAAAUUUGGAUAAAAUCCAAAUUAUCAAAAUAGUCCUGCAACCAAAGAUAGGGUUAAUGAAAAAAGAAAAACCCAACAAGCCCAAUUGCCACAAAAAAAAAGCCUAAAAAAAAGCCCAAAAAAUUGAGCUCAAACAACCAAAAACAAUUUGGCCCAAACUCAAUCCUGUAAUUGCAUGCCCUUUGAGCAGCCUUGCUUCAAUCAACCGUAUCUCCCUCGUUUCAACUCUGAAUUGUGAUAUUUUUGAAGCAUUAAAUUCCUGUAUUCCUAAGCUUGAAAACCAUAUAUGGUUUUCCCCAAAAAUCUCAUGGGAGGUAGCCCCGAUUUUGAGUUAAAUUCAGCAUCAUUGUGCUGCCAUGGUCUUUGCGCAACCUUACUUCAAUUGAUUAUAACUCCCUUGUUUCAACUCCAAAUUGUGAUCCAUUUUAAGCCUUGGAUUCUUGACUUCCUAAGAUUGAAAACCACAUGUGGUUUGACCUAAAAAAACUCAUGGGAAGUUAUCCCGAUUUUAAUCUUAAGAUGACAAAAUUGUGCUGCCAAGGAUCUCAAAUCAAGAAUUUCCAAGAAUCUUUCUUUUCCCUUAAAUCACCAUAGGAACUUAUGAAAGAAACUUCAAGAAGCCUUAUUUUCUCUUUUCCAAAAAGGGAAUGUGAGGAAAAAUUUUGUGAUGCUUCAGACUGCUUCCAUAAUCUCCAUACGUUGCAAAAAAUGAUAAAAAAAAAAAGGAUUUGGAGUUUACAUAUCAUUCUAAGAUAAAAAUGGGAUUUUUACAAAAGAACAAAAAUCCUAUGCCUGUUUUGAGGCUUACAACCCAUCUAGAAAAAGUAAACAACAAUCCCAGUAAUUAUUACAUCCCUAAUAAAAAAAAUCACAAUAAUAAAGAAUCCACAUUAAUUAUCCCUAGUGUCAUGGGAUAAACACAUACCCUACAAAAUAAAGUUAGCACACCCUAUAAUGGUUCUAGCACGAUUACUAACCUAUGGCUCUAAUACUAGUUGAUGGGAAAAACCUGGAUAUUUCCAUUUCCCAAGCUCGAAUCAGGUUAGGAAUAUGUAUAACUAUCUUAGGCUUUUUCUAAAUCCUAUGCAUAGCGGAAAAAUAACAUUUUUAAACUUUAAAGAGAUUCAAAAGGCGUUAACAAAAACCAUACCUCAAAUUUGGAUGUUCUUGAAUCAAAUCCAUGUGGUAAAGAUGAAGAACGAAAUCGCAGAAGUCUUGUAAACCCGAAGUCUUCUGUUCGAUGACUCAAAUCUUAAUCUUGACACUUCCGGUGGGGAUGGAAGAGAGGUGAAGGCUACUGUUAGGAUAGAGCCCUUAAAAGCAUGAUAUCAUGUAAUAAACUUAAAAUUAAUUAUUUAUUUCAUGAUGUUCUAGUUUCACUUUUAUCUAUCCUUAUUCCAUGUAUUAUACUUUAUGAGCAUUCUUAUCUGCAUCUUUUGCAUUUUAUGUGACUUAGGUGCAUUAGGAGUUGCAUAGAAGAUCUAAGUCAUGGGUUCUUUGCAAAUAAAUGACUUGUUCACAACCAGUUCAUGGGUCUAGGCAACCCAUUAGAGGUUGUAGUGCACCACCUCCAAAUUGGAGGGAUGAUUAGUCUUGAAUACUGGGAUAGGUUUUCCAUGGUGAGUGCACUAGUGUGUAUGGUUACACAUUGGACAGGACCAAUGGUGAGUCAUGACUUAAGGCUAUUGAUUCGAUGCCCAGCCGGGUCUUUUAAUCAAAAACAUUUAUAAAACCUAUGACCUUAUACUGGCGUAGCAAAGCUACUAUAGUAUAGCAGUUCUAGGGUCGAACUCAGGGAUGGGUUUUCACUCUAUCAGUGACAGACUCUAAAUUAGAAAUUGAUUCUGAUGAUUUCCUUUAGCACAAACUUGAAAUUUAAAAGAAAAUAAAAUUGUUUUGAAAGUGGUGAUUUAAACUAAACUCACAUAGAACUAAGUAAAAAGUGGAAGAAAGAAAGUCUCCUGGAGUUAAAGGUUGCUAGGUUCAAGUUCCAGAUGCAAAGUGGAAAAUUCCGGAUUUUUCUCCUCGCAUUGGGGAUUUAACCUAUAGUUAUUUCCCGAACCGGUAUAGGUUUGACAAUGAAGUUUUAAUCCAUAAAAAGUCACUAGAGAUGGUAGUCAAGGUCCAUUAAUGGCUUAAGACACUAUGGGCUAUCACCUUGAAUCACUUUCCAAUGGCUCGUACAUGAUAACUAAUGGACUGAUAUGGAUCUAGCAAUAAGCAUCCACAGAGACCUUAAGCUUACCAUGUAUUGGCCAGUCAAAGUGAUUCUAAGGGAUUUAAGGCAAAACCUUGGCUUUAUAAACCAUUUAUGGACUCCAACUACCUGAAUUUAAUGCACGGAAACUUUCCAUGUUUUAAUCUGGACUUUUCACCUAGCUUCCUUUACUCCAAGAAACUAAAUGUUUAGCCUCUCAUCCUCUGGGAAAACAUCCUCAGAGGGUGUUUGGCUUGCAAGAAAAUAGAAAAUAGAAGAGAGAAAAAGAAAGCAAAAGAGAUCUCUGUAUUUCACUAAGUAUCAAAUUUACAUCAUUUGGUCUCCUGGAGAAAGCUCCCCGAAAGAUUCAUUUUCAGUGAUUACAAGAGAAUUUAUAUAGGAAGGUAAUUUUACCCUUCCUUGGAUACUUCCUAGCUAAGGAAUUACAUGAGUGGUUGAAUACAAGGAGAAAAUGGAAAUUUAGACACAAAAAUAUCAGAAGAAAAAGAGUCGGCAAAAAUAUCCAAUUUUCGCACGCUGGAGUUCCAAUUUCGCACUUUGAUUUGAGGUGUGCGAACUUUUCGCACAGUGGACUGAGGAAUUCGCACCUUGAUUUCCAUCGUGCGAAAUUGUCCCUCAACUUGAUGCAAUUGUCUUCCGAAGGCCAUAUCUUUCUCAUUUCAGCUCCAAAUCGUACAUGGUUUGAACCGUUGGAUUUUUGACUUUCUGAGCUUUGAAAUGGUAUAUAGAAUGUAAAAAAUGGACUUCGGGAAUUGCUCCAAAAGUGCAAUGAAAGACUGCAGCUGUGUCCCCUGUUUUCAUCCCCUGUUUUCCUCUUCUCCAUUGUUUCUUCCUUGUAUACUUUGAACGACUAAGGCAAAGGAUUAUGAGGCUCCAUAGCUUGAUUUCUUCAUAAAUUUAAGCUUUCAAAAGCUUUGCCAUGAACUAUAAAUAGCUCUCCCUCAUUCUUAAAUUGCUUUGGUGAGCAUAAAGCUAUCAAAAAGCACCAAAACUUAACAUAAUUGUUAGAAACGAUUGCAAGGGUCCCUAACAUGUUAAUUGGGUUAAAAGGUAAUAAUUACUACUCAAGGGUGUUUAAAAGAGCUAAUUACAAGCUACAAAAUAGCAUGUUUUGAGUAGUAAUCACUCCCCCCAACCGACAUAUUGCUAGUCCCUUAGCAAUUAAGGAGAGAAAAACUAAGCAAACGUAAUAAUAUACAUAAAAGAGGUCAUGCAAUUCAUUCCAAAAAAUAAUUGAGAGGCAUGACUGAUAUCCAAACACAUCUCCCCUGGUGAACUAAAGAUAUGAAGAUUCAAAAUGCAAUAGGAGUUGUCAAAGCUUAAAACUUAAACAAAAAGUACAAAGAGUGGAGAUUAUGCAAUUAAGUAUCAAAAGAAUCUCUACUCUCAAGGUUCCAAAUCAAACUCUUCCAUAAUAAGCUAAGUGUUAAUGAGAUUAGCUUCCGGAUAUAGUAUAUACAACUAUCCUCACCUUCCAACCUAAGCUUUUCUCGAACAUUGGCAAAAUUAAUCAACUCUUAAUAGGUUAGGAACGCACCUUCUUAUUCACAAUUCUUUUUACUCACUAAUCUUAACCAAUUCACCUAUGUAGCAAGCAGAGGAUCGAUGACUCCCAACCAAUCAAGGUUUAGGGCAUCGGGUUUUAAAGGCUUUCGCCACCCCUUCGGAUCAUGCUUAGGUUUCAAGGAAAGAAUAGAAGCUUAUUCUUUUUUUUUUUUUUUUUUUCAAAGACUCAUUGGUCUUUAUGAGGUGUCCCAACACUAUUAAAGAGAGGUUAAGUAAUGAACCAAGUCAAAAUUUUCCUAAGCUUAGAAGGUGAGAAAGUUUUACAUCAUAUAUCCGGGAUCUAAUGUGCACAGUGGUGUAAAGCUUGAAAUGGAAGAAGAAAGUUCGAAAUCAAAGAGGCUUCAAUAGAUUAUCAACUUUGAAAGCAUAAAACAAACUCUAAGACUUAAAUAAUUAAGUUAAAACUCGACUUAUCCUAUUUUAUUUUUGAGAAAUUAUCUUUAACAACCAUAGAGAAUGAUUCAAAAAACUUUUAAAAAUUUUAAAUUUUAAGCAAAAAUCAACUAAAAUACCAAAAUAACUUAGUAUUAACAACAAAACUUCCUUUCUCAACUCUCCCCCCAACCAAGUUGAACAUUGUCCUCAAUGUUUCAAAAGCGAUUAAAAAUAAAGGGAGGAAGUGGUACCUCCUGAGUGAGACAAAGUCUGAGUGUAAAGGAGGUAUGGAGUACCUUAAACCACAUGUUCCAAGGACAAAAGAGUAAUGAGAAAAGGGAAUAUAAUCAAAAAGGAUAUAUAUAUAUAUAUAUAUAUAUAUAUUACUUGUAAAAGAAAUAUACAAUGUAUGAUUUCAAGUAAUACUUCCAAUCCCAGUUUAUAACACAUGCAAAAGAUGGGAUUUACAAGUCUAAAAUAAAAAACAAGUAAAAUAUAAAAAUAUCAAAUAUGAGGGGUGUCAUGUGAUGGCUCUGCUCUGAUCUCCUCCUCUGGUAUGGGCUGCUCAGCUGGUAAGCUCUCCUUAUCUGGCACUAGAGGCUCGGAUGGUGCAGACCUAUCAUGCCCAAAAGGUGUCUGCAUACUCAAAUGCUGCUGAAUCUGAUGAAGGAUCGUGGUAUGUUGGGCCUGAGUAGCAAUGAUCUGAUCCUGGUGUGCCCGAAUAGUGGUCAUCUGGUGGAUAAUAGAAUCCUGAGCAGUGCUCAGUGUCCGCAAUGAACGCUCUAAGCCUCUGAAUUCCGUAAGAGAAACGGUGACAGUGGGCUCAGAUGAAAGAGGAGGUGCUGGGGUAGCUGGCAUGACUGGUGGAGCACCCGAAGUGAUAGAAGAAAUAGGAUGUAUAGGCUCAGGAAUAUGCUCUGAGGGGUGUUCUGCAGGGGCAGGAGGUGUGGUCUCUAUGAGAAUCUCAUCCUGCUGGGCCUGAGGCAUCUGCUCAUCUUGGGGUAGCUCUGGAGGUGCAGGCACAGCUGGGGCUCCCUGGGGUGCAAAGUAGGCUACCAAGUGAUGCCAUUUGUCGAGAGAGAAGUCCUCUCGGCAAUGGCGGCGCCUCUCAAGACGGGGCUGUUCAGGAUAGCCCAGGUGCUCUAAAAUCUGGCAGAGGAGCCUCGAAAAUAGUAAUGGGAUGCCAUCUGCCUUUUGAAGCUUCUUCUGAUGGACUUUCUCUUCAAAAUGAAGAAGAGAAGUCAUAAUCAAAUGAUGAGGGCCGAAAAAAUAGCCCUCAGAAAUCCUAAAUAACGCCUCAAGUAUAGCUCCUCGCCUCUGAACUUUGUGCUGAAGGGGGAAAAGGUUGGCACGCAGGAGCACAUCAAUAAGGAGCAUCCCAGAUGGAAGCUCUCUCCUAGUCAACACUGAGGCUGUAGAAGUCCCCCUGGACAAAAUGCGGACCAUGUCACUCUGAGAGAAUGAGGACCACUCCCUGAAGUCUGCCUGAAUCACAGGCUCAUAAGGUAUACGGAGGGCCUCAACAAUGUGACGAGCUCCAAUGGCACCCUGGCGUCCAUCUAUGGUAAAUUGGAUGAGGGUAGGAUUACGGAGGCCUCGAGUAGUCAUAGAUUGAUAAAAAUCUAUAACUACUCUGGGAUAGUAGAAUUGCCUAGGAGUGAGAAGAUCCUCCAUGUGAUACCUCUGUAGUAGUCGGAAUGAAUCUCUGAGCUCUGGCUGCUGUCUGAGGGCCUCUAUAUCAAAGUAGGUCUCGGAAUGGAAGGAUCGAUCUCUGCAAUCCAAGUUGCCCUCUAUCGGUGGUCCGGCUAUCAUGGGACGCCUGAUAACAGUCUCAGGAGUAAUCCCCACAGGAAUCCGAGAGUCCUCUGUAGGUGGCUCUGACUGAGGUGCGUGGGAUGGUUCUCCAGGACCCGAGAACUUGGUUCUCUUCGCUGGUGGCCGAGAAACAGAGUUCGUGGCUUGAUCGGCUGGUGGCACAGGGUCCGUGGGUGGUCUCCUGGUGGGGUAUCGGCGCUGAGAAGGGGCUUCCCCCUCAGAUGGGGGAAUGGCCGGGGCCUGAACAGGUGGCGAAGCUGCGGCUCCCAUGGCGGCUCGAUGUGGUCGAGGUGUCGGUGAGGAUGGGGAGCCGGAAAGGCCUCCUCUGGUCUUCGCCAUGGCCGAAAUGGAGGUGGGUGACUGUUUGGGAUUCCAGAGGCUUCUCAGCUGGUUCGUGGGGGAGUCCUUUGAGCUUCUGGACUUCAAGGGAUUAUAUAGGAAUGAGGUUUAGGGGGUUUUUUAUGUUUUAAAAUUUUCCAAGGCAACCGAAAAGUCGUUUUUGGACGUUAGGCACAAUUUCGGGGGUAAAAUUUUAAUUUAAAAGUCCGUUGAAAAUUUUUUUGGAACUUAAAAUUUUACCGUGCGAAAUUUUCGCACCUUGGUCUGCAAAUUUCGCACCUUGAAAUUAGGUGUGCGAAAAUGGCACCCCUUUAACUGAGGAUUUCGCACCUUAAAAUGAGGUGUGCGAAAUUUUCGCACCUUGAAAUCAGGUGUGCGAAAUUUUCGCACCUUGUUUCGCACGGUGCGAAAAGUGGCUUGAGGUGUGCGAAAAUGGCACUCGUGUGCCAGGAGGGGAUUUCGCACAGUGAGAAAAUUUUCGCACCUUGCACAGUGGUGUGCGAAAUUGGUUUUUAGGGAAUUCGCACCUUGAAAUCAUUUUUCGCACCUUGAAAUAAAUUUCGCACCUUGGUUUUGGGGUGUGCGAAAAUGGCUCCCUUUGGACCGAGGAUUUCGCACCUUGGUUUUGGGGUUUGCGAAAUUUUUGCACCUUGGAAUCAGGUGUGCGAAAUUUUCACACCUUGAAAUCAGGUGCUCUGUUUCCUUGGUUUUACUCCCCUUUCUUGCUUUUGAAGAGUUCUCCCCAUCUUUCAUGAUUUUUUUCUGAAAUUUAUCAUCAAAAUUGACUUGAAUUAAGACAAAAUAAACUAAGAUUGAGGAAAAAUUAUAAUAAAAAGAAAUAAAAAUAAUGAUAUAACUAUAAAAUUAUAAAAAAAUUCAUGGACUUAUUUAGCCCAUGAUACCCUGCUUUCCCUCAGAGUUGUGGUGGUUCAAGGAGGUUGAUCUCCUCCUUGUCUGUACUGUAAGGCUCUAUGAAUGGCUUGAGACGAUGGCCAUUAACUUUGAAGGUUUGAUUGCCUGUGGGAUUGAAUACUUCCACCACUCCAUUGGGGUGUACUUCAUGAAUUAUGAAAGGACCCGUCCACCUGGAUUUCAAUUUUCCUGGAAAGAGAUGAAGUUUAGAGUCAUAAAGCAAAACUUUUUGUCCUUUGGUAAAAUUUUUCUGAUUUACCAACUGAUCAUGCCAUUUUUUCAAUCUUGCUUUUGCAAUUUUUGAAUUGAGGUAUGCAUCAUUCCUCAUUUCCUCUAAUUCAUUCAAAUCCAAACAUCUCUUUAACCCGGCUUUUGUCAAAUCCAUGUUAAGCUUUUUGAUUGCCCACCAUGCUUUAUACUCAAUCUCUACUGGAAGAUGACACGCUUUGCCAUAAACAAGGCGAUAGGGAGACAUUCCUAGAAUGGUCUUGUAAGCGGUCCUAUAAGCCCAUAAGGAAUCCAGGAGCUUGAUAGACCAAUCCUUCCUAUUCACAUUGACCACCUUCAUCAAUAUAUUCUUGAUCUCUCGGUUGGCUAACUCAACUUGGCCACUUGUUUGGGGGUGAUAAGGUGUAGCUACCUUGUGCUUAACCUCAUACUUGGCUAGAAGAGUCUCAAAAGGUUUAUUGCAAAAGUGGGUUCCCCCGUCACUUAUAAUGGCUUUUGGCACUCCAAAUCUUGCAAAGAUGUGGUCCUUGAGGAAUUUAAGUACCACUUUAUGAUCAUUGCUCCUACAUGGGAUUGCUUCUACCCACUUAGAGACAUAAUCCACUCCUACCAAGAUGUAGGAAUGUCCAAAUGACAUUGGAAAUGGUCCCAUGAAGUUUAUACCCCAGACAUCAAAGAUAUCCACUAUUAAGAUGGGGUUCAAGGGCAUCAUAUUUCGGCGUGUUAGCUUACCAAGCCUUUGACACCGAUCACAUCCCUUGCACAUAGAAUGGGCAUCCUUGAAAAGAGAGGGCCACCAGAAGCCUGAUUGGAUCACUUUCAUAGCUGUUUUCUGGGAGGCAAAAUGACAUCCACAUGCACUAUCAUGGCAAUGGGAGAGAAUUCCCGAUUGCUCUUGCUCAGGAACACAUUUCCUUAUAAUUUGAUCUGCACAAUAUUUGAAAAGGAAAGGUUCCUCCCAAUAAUAGGCAUGGAUCUUAGCCAAGAAAUGCCUCUUGUCUUGAGCACUCCACUCACUUGGUACUUCUCCAGUAACCAAAAAGUUUGCAAUGUGAGAAUACCAUGGAGCUACAUCUACUGACAUGAGAGACUCCUCAGGGAAGUCAUCAUUGAUAGGCAGACCAUGUGAGUCAUGUGCUAUCACAAGUCUGGACAAGUGGUCAGCUACCACAUUUUCUACCCCCUUUUUAUCCCUGAUUUGGAGAUUGAAUUCUUGGAGCAAAAGAAUCCAUCUUAUCAAUCUUGCCUUGGCAUCCUGCUUGGUUAGCAAGUACUUCAAAGCAGAAUGGUCAGUGAACACCACUAUAGAGGACCCUACCAAAUAAGCACGAAACUUAUCCAAGGCAAAAACUACUGCCAACAGCUCCUUCUCAGUAGUUGUGUAGUUCUUUUGAGCCUCAUUCAAAGUUUUGCUUGCAUAAUAGAUCACAUAGGGCUUUCCAUUCUCUCUUUGCCCCAAAACAGCCCCCAUAGCAAGAUCACUUGAAUCACACAUUACCUCAAAAGGUAAUUUCCAAUUUGGGGCUCUCACUAUUGGUGCAGUUGUGAGGAAUUGUUUCAAUUCCUCAAAACUUCUCUGACACUUCUCAUCCCACACAAAUUUGGCAUCCUUUACCAAAAGGUCACACAGAGGUUUUGAGAUUUUUGAGAAAUCCUUAAUGAACCUCCUAUAGAACCCGGCAUGUCCAAGGAAUUGCCUAAUUCCUUUAACAUUUGUGGGAGGUGGCAACUUAACAAUCAGCUCCACCUUUGCCUUAUCUACCUCAAUGCCAUUUUUGGAGAUGAUAUGUCCUAAGACAAUUUCUUUUUGUACCAUAAAAUGACACUUCUCCCAAUUUAGCACUAGGUCUUUCUCAAUACAUCUAUGGAGAACAGCUUCUAAAUGCAUCAAACACUCCUCAUAAGAACUUCCAUAUACAGUGAUGUCAUCCAUGAAAACUUCCAUGAUGCGUUCCACCAUAUCACUGAAGAUGCUUAGCAUGCAUAUUUGGAAAGUUGCAGGAGCAUUACAUAGACCAAAGGGCAUUCUCCUAUAUGCAAAAGUACCAAAGGGACAAGUGAAGGUCGUCUUUUCUUGAUCUUCCAAAUCAAUUUCUAUUUGGAAGUACCCUGAAUAACCAUCUAGAAAACAAUAGAAAGGAUGUCCUGAGAUUCUCUCAAGGACUUGGUCCAUGAAAGGCAAUGGAAAAUGGUCCUUCCUAGUCACUGAAUUCAACCUCCUAUAGUCUAUAGACACCCUCCAUCCUGAGGUAGGACGUGUAGAGACUUCUUCCCCUUUCUCAUUCUGGAUCACAGUAAUUCCAGAUUUCUUUGGGACUACUUGGGUGGGACUCACCCACAAGCUGUCUGAAAUGGGAUAUAUGAUCCCAGCUUGAAGUAGCUUCAAAACUUCAUUCCUCACCACUUCUUGCAUGUGAGGAUUCAGUCUCCUUUGGGGUUGCCUCACUGGUUUUGCAUCUUCCUCCAUAUAAAUAUGGUGGGUGCACACCAAAGGGCUAAUCCCUUUCAGAUCAGAAAUUUGCCAUCCAAUGGCUUUCUUACAUUUUCUGAGGACUCCUAAAAGACUAUCCUCUUGAUCACUAGUGAGGGUUGAGGAAACUACCACUGGACAUUUCUCAUCAUCCUCCAAGUAUGCAUACUUCAAAUCCACAGGAAGUGGCUUUAAAAUAAGCUUUGGAGGGUCCUCCACAGUAACUCCUUGUGAGUCUUCCUGGUUGAACAGUGGUAAGAUCUCUUCCCGUCUCCUCCAAGGAGACAUUAUGGCUAGCACAUCAAAGGGUUCAGGGAACCCAUCUUCAAGGACUUCCAGGUUUUCAUUCAAGCUCUCCUCUAAACUCUUGUCACAGUGCUCUUCAACCAAAGUGUUGAUCAAGCACAUCUCCUCGAAUCCUUCCUCCUCUUCAGGGUAAAGAUGCCUCUUACAUAAAUGGAAUAUGUUUAAUUCCAAUGUCAUGUUUCCAAAUGUGAGCUGCAUCACCCCAUUCCUACAAUUAACAAUAGCAUUGGAGGUAGCUAGGAAAGGUCUCCCUAGGAUGAUUGGUACAUAAUUUUCUUCCUUGACAGUGGAAUCAGUAUCAAGCACCACAAAAUCCACAGGAUAGUAGAAUUUGUCCACUUGAACUAGAACAUCCUCUAUCACUCCCCUUGGGAUUUUGACAGACCUAUCAGCUAAAGAGAGGGUCAUGGUUGUGGGCUUUAAUCCUCCUAGUCCCAAUUGUUUAUACACAGAGUAUGGGAGCAAAUUCACACUUGCUCCCAAAUCUAAUAAAGCUUUUUCCACAUGUGUCCCUCCAAUGUUGACUGAUAUGGUGGGACAUCCCGGAUCUUUAUACUUAACUGGGGACUUACUCUAGAUGAUAGCACUCACUUGCUCAGUGAGGAAUGCAUUCUUUGUCACCUGUAAACCUCUCUUGACUGUGCACAAGUCCUUUAGAAACUUUGCAUAUGUGGGGACUUGCUUGAUCAUAUCAAGUAAAGGUAUAUUCACCUUCACUUGUCUCAGAACUUCAAGAAUUUCUGAUGAAUUCUUGAUUUCUUUCUUUCCAUGUAAAGCUUGAGGAAAAGGGGGAGGCAUAUGUUUCUUCAUCAUAUCCUCCUUAAUCACUAUCCUUGGUUCUUCUUCAAUGCUUGAUUUGGAUGCACUUUUCUUCCCACUCUGCUCUUCUUGGUUAUUGCCCUCUUUGAUCAAGGGUCUCUUUGAUCUGAGUUCUUCAUUAGGCCCCACGUUAGGCAAGGGUUGAUCAACCUCCUUCCCACUUCUCAAAGUGAUCACAGCUUUGACCUCUCUCAAAUUUGAAGACUCACCAUCUUGGGUUUCAAUUUCAUGAACACCCUUGGGAUUUUGGCUUGGUUGAGAGGGGAACUUUCCCUUCUCAAUCACUGUGUUUAGGUUGGUAAGCCUAGAGAUGGAGUACUGAAUAUUAUCUAUCUUCUGAGAUAGAUCAUUUUGCAUCCCCUCCAUUCUCUUUAUUUGAGAACUCUCAACAUUUUCAAUCUUUUGAUGCAAUUGGGAGUUAAUUGUCUUUUGUUUACCCACAAAGUCACCCAUGACUUUACUCAGGUUUACAAUGGCUUGCUCCACUGAAGAUGGUUGUUGAGGUACUUGGGUUUGGCCUUGUGGUUGGUAUGGAGGUGGCCUUGGUUUCCAAGAAAAAUUUGGGUGGUUUCUCCAGCUUGAAUUAUAGGUGUUUCCAUAAGAUGCACUGUUGUUGGGCCUAAAUUGCCCCACAACAUUUACUUGAUCACCUAACAUCUCUCUCACAGCUGGCAUGGUUGGACACUCAUCUACNNNNNNNNNNNNNNNNNNNNNNNNNNNNNNNNNNNNNNNNNNNNNNNNNNNNNNNNNNNNNNNNNNNNNNNNNNNNNNNNNNNNNNNNNNNNNNNNNNNNCAAAGUGAAAAGAUAGCUGAGUCUCAUCAAGUCUAUGAAGCUCUCCCUCUCUAAAGGUAUUACACACCUCCUCAAACUCCUUGAUGUGAGAAUAUGGAUUCUCACUCUCCAUUCCAUGGAAAGUUGGUAGGAGGGGCACAAUAUGGGGCCUUAUAACCAACUGCUCAAGUGGGGGCAGGAUGCAUGAGGGUGCACUCAUCCUUGGGGGAUGCAUUCUAUCCCUCAUGGAUAGGUAUGCAUUGGGAUUACCCCCUUGACCUUGUUGAGAAUUCUGAUCCUCUGGUGGAGGGUCCAUGAUAUUUACACAGAUAUCCAACUCUGUGUCUUGAGGAUUCUCAAUCCUUACUAAUCUUCCCUCUUGGUCCCUAAUCCAAUAGGGCAUGCACAAAUUCCUGUAAUAGUAAAAACAAAAGGAAACUAAAGAAAAGGAUAAAGUUAGGAAGAAAAUGAAAAUAAAAUUAACAAAAGGAAAAUGAAAGAAAAUGAAAUUAGUGAAAAAGAAAUUCACCCUGGUUGUGAUGAAAAUCACAAGUAGCCUCUAAAAGGUUGUAUCACUGUAUUGUGGCACCAUCCCCGGCAACGACGCCAUUUGAUUCGAUGCCCAGCCGGGUCUUUUAAUCAAAAACAUUUAUAAAACCUAUGACCUUAUACUGGCGUAGCAAAGCUACUAUAGUAUAGCAGUUCUAGGGUCGAACUCAGGGAUGAGUUUUCACUCUAUCAGUGACAGACUCUAAAUUAGAAAUUGAUUCUGAUGAUUUCCUUUAGCACAAACUUGAAAUUUAAAAGAAAAUAAAAUUGUUUUGAAAGUGGUGAUUUAAACUAAACUCACAUAGAACUAAGUAAAAAGUGGAAGAAAGAAAGUCUCCUGGAGUUAAAGGUUGCUAGGUUCAAGUUCCAGAUGCAAAGUGGAAAAUUCCGGAUUUUUCUCCUCGCAUUGGGGAUUUAACCUAUAGUUAUUUCCCGAACCGGUAUAGGUUUGACAAUGAAGUUUUAAUCCAUAAAAAGUCACUAGAGAUGGUAGUCAAGGUCCAUUAAUGGCUUAAGACACUAUGGGCUAUCACCUUGAAUCACUUUCCAAUGGCUCGUACAUGAUAACUAAUGGACUGAUAUNNNNNNNNNNNNNNNNNNNNNNNNNNNNNNNNNNNNNNNNNNNNNNNNNNNNNNNNNNNNNNNNNNNNNNNNNNNNNNNNNNNNNNNNNNNNNNNNNNNNAUCUUUCUCAUUUCAGCUCCAAAUCGUACAUGGUUUGAACCGUUGGAUUCUUGACUUUCUGAGCUUUGAAAUGGUAUAUAGAAUGUAAAAAAUGGACUUCGGGAAUUGCUCCAAAAGUGCAAUGAAAGACUGCAGCUGUGUCCCCUGUUUUCAUCCCCUGUUUUCCUCUUCUCCAUUGUUUCUUCCUUGUAUACUUUGAACGACUAAGGCAAAGGAUUAUGAGGCUCCAUAGCUUGAUUUCUUCAUAAAUUUAAGCUUUCAAAAGCUUUGCCAUGAACUAUAAAUAGCUCUCCCUCAUUCUUAAAUUGCUUUGGUGAGCAUAAAGCUAUCAAAAAGCACCAAAACUUAACAUAAUUGUUAGAAACGAUUGCAAGGGUCCCUAACAUGUUAAUUGGGUUAAAAGGUAAUAAUUACUACUCAAGGGUGUUUAAAAGAGCUAAUUACAAGCUACAAAAUAGCAUGUUUUGAGUAGUAAUCAGCUAUCAAGUAGUCAUGAUCUCGCCAAGUUGCUUCACUGUGUUGUCUCUCAACCUUGAGAGAAUAUUAAGCUUGUGCUAAAGUUAGUGGUGGUUUUGACCUAUGGGUGAGAUCGUAAGCUGAUCAUAUAUUCCCUAUUGAUUAGGUCAUUAUUGAUGAAAGUUGGUAGCAAUAGGUAUUUCCAAUAGAGGUACUAUGAUAUCUCUUGGAAACUAUGGGCAUAGUAGUUCCUUAAGUGGAGCUUAACGUAAGCUCUUUGAGAGUUAAAACAUGUCAGUUGAAUACACAAUAGGAGAAUCUGUAACUUAAGGAUGGUAGAGGUAGUCUUGAAAGGAUGAUAGCUUUCACCUUGUUAGACUAUGGACACCAAUUCAUGAGGAAACUAAACAUUAUAGAUGGCAGGUCAUAGACCUGAGCACGUAAUGUUUCAUUGUUAACAUAGGAUACUAGAGUUUAGUUGAUUCUUUAUAGUGGGAUGUUAAAUCAACUUCAGAAUUAGAUUAUGAGGAAGCUAGUAUUCUAUGAGCCCUAAUGGUUCCCGCUUUGAGCUCAUAUACCUUUUUGGCAUGGAUCAUGAGGGUCGGACUAGCUCUAAGUUCACUUUUGUGCAUAAGGGCACUUUGGUAAUUAUAUAGGUUGCACAAGGGUAAGUGAACAAGGUCUCUAGAUUGGGCUAAUUGAUUAAUUAGUAGGUCUUGUUGGGUUAAUUAAUCAAUUAGGACUUAUUUGGGCUAGAUUAAGUAACCCAAGCCCAUGUGGGCUCAAGUCACUUAAGCCCACUUAGGAACCAUAUAAAUACCCUUUAGGGGUUAGGGUUUCUAUAGUUUUUGUCUUCCACCAUCCAGAAAGAUAGAGAGUCAUAGCCUUCACCAUUUUUUCCUUCCCAUCGGAAGUGUGUCAAGAUCAAGGUUCGAGUCAUCGGGUGGAAAACUUCAGGUUUAUGAGACUUUUGGUAUUUCUUUCUUCAUCUUCACUACAUGGAUUUGAUUUGGGAACAUCCGAAUCUGAGGUAUGGUUUUCUUAGCAUUUUUUUAAUCCCUUAGAAUUUUAAAAAUAAAAAUUUUCUGUUGUAUAUAUCCUUUAGAAAAGGCUUAGGAUAGUUAUGCAUGUUCCUAACUUGAUCUGGGCUUGGGAAACAGAGAGAUUCGGGCUUUUCCCAUCAGCUAUGGCUUUCUAUCUUUCUAGAUGGUGGAAGACAAAAGCUAAUGAAACCCUAACCCUUGGGGUAUUUAUAAGGUUCCUAAGUCAGCUUAAGUGACUUGAACCUACAUGGGCUUGAGUCACUUAAUCUAGCCCAAAAUGGGUCUUAAUCGAUUAAUUAACCCAAUGAGGUCUACUAAUUAAUCAAUUAGCCAAAUCCAGAGACCUUGUUCAGUUAUCCCUAUGUAAUCUUGCGUAAUUACAAAAAUGCCCUUAUCACAAAAGUGAACUUAAAGUGGAUCCGAUCCUCAUAAUCCAUGCCAACAAAAUAUAUGAGCUCAAAGCGAGGACCACUAGGACCCAUAGGAAUACCGGCUCACUCAGAAUACAAUUAUAAAGUUAAUUCAACAUCCCAUUGUAGAAAAUUAAUUGAGCUCCAAUAUCCUAUGUAAAUAAAAAUGAGACAACAAGUCCUCGGGUUUGUGACUUGCCAUCCAUUAUGUUCAGUCUCCUUAUGAACUAGUGUUCGUAGUCUAUCAAGGUGAAAGCUAUCAACCUUUCAAGACUACCACUAUCAUCCUUGAGUUAAAAACCUCCUAUUGUGUGUUCAAUUAACAUAUCUUAGCUCUCAAAGAGCCUAUGUCAAGUUCCACUUAAGGAACUACUAUGCUAUAGUUUCCAUGAAUACACCUCCUUAGGAUCACCCAAGGGGACACACUAUCUCAAUCCCAAGAGAUAUCAUGGUCCCUCUAUUGAGAAUAUCUAUUGCUACCGACUUCCAUCAAUAGUGAUCCAAUCCAUAGGGAAUAUAUAAUCAGCUUAUGAUCUCACACGUAGGUCAAAGCCACUGCUAACUUCAAUACAAGCUCAAUAUUCUCUCAUGGCUGAGAAACAACAUAAUGAGGUAGCUUGGUGAAGUCAUAAAUACUUGAUAGCCUUAAGUCAUAACUCGCCAUAGGUCUUAUCUAAUGUGCAACCAUACACACUAGUGCACUGACCAUGAGAAACCCAUCCCAAUAGCGAAGACCAACCAUCCCUCUAAUUAGGAAGUGGUGCACUAUAACCUCUAAUGGGUUGCAUAGACUGAUGAAUUGGUUGUGAACAAGUCAUCUAUUUGUAAGGAACACAUGACUUAGAUAUUUUGUGAAACUCCUAAUGCAUCUAAGUCAGUUACAAUGCAAAAGAAGCAGACAAGAAUGCUCAUAAAGUAUAAUACAUGAAAUAAGGAUAGAUAAAAGUGAAAUUAAAAUAUCUUUAAAUAAAUAAUGAAUUCCAAAUUCAUUACAUCAUGUCAUACUUGUAAGGGCUCUAUCCUAACAGUUGUCUCUCAACCUUGAGAGAAUAUUGAGCUUGUGUUGAAGUUAGCAGUGACUUUGACCUACAAGUGAGAUCGUAAGUUGAUCAUAUAUUCCCUAUGGAUUGGGUCAUUGUUGAUGGAAGCCAAUAGUAAUAGGUAUUUUCAAUAGAGACACCAUGAUACCUCUUGGGAUUGAGAUAGUGUUUUCCUUUGGGUGAUCAUAAGAAGGUGUGUUCAUGGAAACUAUGAUCAUUGAAGUUUCUUAAGUGAAACUUGAAAGACUGAUAGGUUUCACCUUGUUAGACUAUGAACACUAGUUCAUAGGGAGACUGAACACAAUGGAUAGUAGGUCAUGGACCCGAGCACUUGGUGUCUUGUUGUUAUUUACAUAGGAUACUGAAGUUCAAUCGAUUCUCUGUAGUAGGAUGUUGAAUCAAAUUUAGAAUUGGAUUGUGAAGGAGCUCAUAUUCCUAUGGGUACCAAUGGUCCUUGCUUUGAGCUCACAUACCUUAUUGUCAUGGGUUAUAAGGAUGGGAUUAGCUCUAGGUUCACUUUUGUGAGUAAGGGUGUUUUGGUAAUUAUGUAAGGUUGCACAAGGAUAAUUGAAGAAGGUCUUUAGAUUGGGUUAGUUGAUUAAUUAGUAAGCCUUGUUAGGUUAAUUAAUCAAUUAAGACCCCAUUUUGGGCUAGAUUGAGUGACCCAAGCCCUCAGUGGGCUCAAGUCACUUAAUCCUAGUAGGAAACACUAUAAAUACUCCCUUAAGGGUUAGGGUUCCCGUAGUUUUUUCUAGAGAGCCGUUUUCCAUUUCUAGAAAAAGAGAAAGAGAGAGAGAGAGUCAUAGCUUCCACCCUUCCUUUCAUCUCCAUUGGAAGUGUGUCAAGAUCAAGGUUCGAGUCAUUGGGCAGAAGACUUUGGGUUUACAAGACUUAUACGAUUUUGUUCUUCAUCUUCACCAUGUGGAUUUGAUUCGGGAACAUCUGAAUCUAAGAUAUGGUUUUUGUUAUUACUUUCUGAAUCCCUUUAAAGUUUAAAAAUGUUAUUUUUCCAUUGAGCAUAGGAUUUAGAAAAAGCCUAAGAUAGUCAUGCAUGUUCCUAACCUAAUCUAGGCUUGGGAAAUGGAGAGAUUCAUGUUUUUCCAAUCACACAUAGCAUCACAUACUUAAGACUAUCCAUUUUAGAGUCAUAGGAUACCGCUUUAAUGUGAUUUUUUUCCUAUGAUGUCCAAGGACAUUGAUCUUGAGAAAGAUAGCCCUAAACCCAAAGGGUAACAAACCCUUCUUGGAGUUUUACAUUAUGUCCUUAACCAAAUACUCAUCAAUGUAGGUGACAUGACAUAAGUUUCCUAUUCUUAUAGUCCUAAAGGACCUUAACCCAAGAAUAUAUUAUGUCUUUCUCUAGAUUUUCAUCUAGAAUUGAGUAGGCUAGUAGGUCUUUACUAAUGACAAUAUCCCUACAUCAUAUCCAAUGAGUAGAGUGUCAUCUACUUGUGCUCUAACCAUGCAUCCCUACACCUUAUUGUACACAUAAGGCCCUUUGCUAUGAAAAUAUUUGGUUGUUAUAUCUUAUAAACGAGACACACUACAAUAGAUAGGAGUAACGUAAUGGAUUUAAAUAUGUGUUGAAAAGGUUUUCCAUAGUUGAAACAAAGUUUCAAACUAUAACCUUUAGCGACAGUCUUAGCCACAUAAAACUCAAGUUUUCCAUUUACUCCUAUGUUCCUCUUGUAGACCAACUUACACCUAUAGGUUUUAUCCCUUUAGAUGCUUUUAUAGGAACUCAAACUAUAUUAGAAUAUAAAGAUUCUAACUACCUCUUCAUAGCUCCUUGCCUUAAUGUGAGCAAAACACUGUUCAUUGCUUCAUCAUAAUCUAUGAGAUAUAAAACUCCCACUAUGAUGAGGCAGUAGUAUACUAGAAAUCAUAGGAAAUGUAUGCCUUUAAUCCUUUGGCUCUGUAUUAUCCUAUAUAAUGUGGGACUAUCUUCUAAUAUAUCCUCCAAUCUGUCUCACUUUUUACCUUAUUCUUUAUCAUAUAAUCUUCAUAAAAAAUCUUAUAUUUGUGUUAACAAAUAUCUUCUAAUGAUCUUAACUAUAAAUGUAACAACCAAAAAAUCUUCUUAUAUAUCCUAUAAAUUGAUAUACCCCUUUAGAAAAAAAAAAUUAUACAGUCUAUAAGAAAUAUCUUGAAAAAAAUCUGGGAAAAUAUGAGAAACCUAAUCCACGAUCUCACUAUUUCCAUCAAAGUUUGAUAUCUUCCUUUCACCUCUCUAUUUUAUAAUAGAGACACUAGUGUAUGUUGUUGGGAACAUUGGAUUACUCUGUUCCCAUGCCUAGGAUCAUGUAGGGUGCAUUCAAAUAUAUCAUAGGCUCUCUAAAUCUAUUGCGAUGAAUAAACAAGUAUUAAAAAAAAUAAGGAUACCAUAGAAAAUAUAGAAAUAUAUAAUAAAACAACAUACCUUUGAUCCGGAUGUUCCUGAAUCAAUUCUAAUCGAUGUAGAUAACUCCAAAGUCAUAAUGAAUCUCAUAAACACCAUGAUUUUCUACUCAAUGACUCUUCCUUGUGUCUAGGCACUGAGAUGGUGGAUAUCUCAAGUGUGGAGGUUAGGGUUCUCUCUCUAAAUUGAAGAGGAGAAUAACAAGAAUUAGAAACCCUAACCCCAAAAGGGGUAUUUAUAGGCUUCAUAUUAGGCUGAAGUGACUUAAGCCCACCAUGGGCUUGGGUCACUUAAUCUAGCACAAAAAGGUUACUAAUUGAUUAAUUAACCAUACAAGACCAGAUUAAUCAAUUAGCCCAAUUAAAGGAUAGCACUCACUUAUCCCUGUGCAACCUUAUAUAAUUACCAAAACACCUUUAUGCACAAAAGUGAAUAAAAAACCCAUCCAACCCUUAUAAGUCAUGCCAACAAGGAAUAUGAGCUUAGAGUGGGGACCAUUGAGACCCAUAAGAGCACUAGCUUUCUCAAAAUCAAAUUCUGAAAUUGACUCAACAUCCCACUACAAAGAGUCAACUGCAUUCCAAUACACUAUGUAUAUUACAAUGAGACACCAAGUGCUCAGGUCCAUGACUUACUAUCCACUGCACGUAGACUCCCUAUGAACUAGUGUCCAUAAUCUAACAAGGUAGUGCUAUUACCUAUCAAGAUUACCUCUCAAAUCCUUGAGUUACACAUCCCACUUGUUAUUGGAUCAACUAAUAUAUCCUAACUCCAAGAAGCAUAUGUUAAAUUCCACUAAAGAAAUUACUAUGGCCACAGAUUUCAUGAUCACAUGUCCUUUAGAUCACCCAAGAGGACACACUGUCUCAAUCCCAUGAAAUAUCAUGGUGCCUCUAUUGAGAAUACCUAUUGCUAACAAUCUUCGUCAACAAUGACCCAAUCCAUAGGGAUAUAUGACCACUUUAAGGUCUCACCCAUAGGUUAAAUCCUCCAGUUGAUUUUGGCACAGACUCAAUAUCCUCUAAAGGUUGAGAGUCCAUGCAAUAUAGUAGCUUGGUGAAUCAUGAAAAUUGAUAGUCUUGUGUUAUAAUUCAUCGUAGGUCCUACCUAGUGUGCAUCACAUACACUAGUACACUCAUCAUGGAAAACUCAUCCUGACAACCAAGGCAAUUUAUCUUUCUAAUUAAGAGGUGGUAAACUAUAGUCUCUACUAGAUUGCUCAAAUCUAUGAACCAAUUGUGGACAAUUUAUCUACUUAAAAGAAACCCAUGGCUUGUAUCUUCUGUGCAACUCUUAAUACACCUAAGUCAUGUACAAUGUAAGAGACAUGGGUUGAAUGCUCAAAUCAAUGUCAAUACACCAAAGAGAUAACAUGGGGAUAGUUAAGUCUAACUUUGUUAAAUCAUGUCUUGAUUUUAGGGGCUCAAUCCCAACUAACUUCCACUAGCCCCGAAAGCAGAUUGGGUACUAUAGAAAGAUUCUGCUUCACAAUCAUAUCACUUCUCUGUACUAUCUCACAAUAAGGCUACACUUCUUCUUUGUGAGGUUCUUUUUCUAGUGGUAUUUCAGUUCUUUAGACCAUGCAAUUGUCUCACUGUUAUCACUUAAUAAGAUCUUAGACGAUAUAGCCAAGGAAACUACCUAUAAGCCAAAAGGUUUCCUUUGUUGCUAUAGAAACAACAAAAAACCAUUUAGAGUGUACACAUACCCAGAAGUAGACUUGUGAGAGUCUUUGUCAAACUGAAGUCCAAUUUUCUGGUACAAAAGGAGUACUAACUCAUUACAAAGACUUACAAACAUAUAAUCCCUCAUUCUCAAAGACAUUAGAGUAUAUGUUUGACAUCGAACCAAAGUUCUAAGCAGGAAAUGGACUAAUAUCCACUUAUUAUUCCUAUAACAAAGCUAAUAUUUGGUUUAGCACAUAAUAUUGCAUACUUAAGGCCAUCUAUAGCAGAGGCCUUAGAUACUGCCUUGAUGCGAUCUCUUUUCAUAAAUGUUUAAGGACGUUGAUCCUAAGAAAAAAAACUCCAAAUCCAAAGAGUAACAAACCCUUCUGGGAGUUUUACAUCAUGUAGUUGACCAAAUGCUCAUCUAUGUAGAUGACAUUACACAAUUUUCCUAUUCUUAUAGUUCUAAAGGACCUUAACCCCAAGAAUAUAUUGUGUCUUCCUCUAGAUUUCAUCUAGAACUAAGUAGACUACCAGAUCUUGACUGAUGACAAUAUCCCUACAUCCUAUCCAAUGAGUAGAUUGUCAUCUACCUGCAAGAUCUUAGAGCAUCACCACGCUUCCCUUUGGCUUCUUGUACACACAAGGCCCUUUGCUAUGAAAAUGUUUGGUUGUUAUAUCUCAUAAAUGAGACACACUACAAUAGAUAGGAGUAAUAUGAUGGAUUUGAGUAUGACCACUAUUGAAAAGGUUUUCUUUCGUUGAAACAAAGUUUCAAACUAUAAUCUUUAGCUACAGUCUCAGCAACAUAAACCUCAAGCUUUCCAUCUACUCCUAUGUUCAUAGGUCUUAUCACUUUAGGUGCUUCUAUAGGAACCUAAACUAUGUUAGAAUAUAAAGAUUCUAACUACCUCUUCAUAGCUCCUUGCCUUGAGUGAGCAUAAACAUUGCUUAUUACUUUAUCACAAUCUAUGGGAUAUGAACCUCCCACUAUGAUGAGGCACUAGUGUACUAGAAAUCAUAGGAAUGGUAUGUCUUUAACCCUCUGGAUCCAUAGUAUCCUAUUCAAUAUGAGACAAUCUUCUAAUAUAUCCUUCAAUUUGUAUCACUCUUUGCCAUAUUCCUCAUCAUAUAGUCUCAUAAAAAAAAUCUAACAUUUAUGUCAACAAAUAUAUUUUGAUGAUCCUAACUAUAAAGGUAAUAACCCAAAAAUCCUCUUAGAUAUCCUAUAAACGGAUAUAUCUUUUAGGAAAAAGAGGUAUUACAUAGUCUAUAAGACAUAUCCCUAAAAGAAUCCAGGAAAAGAUGAGAAAUCUAUCCAUGAUCUCACUAUGUCCAACCAAAUUUGAUAUUUCCACCUUUUUGUUUUGCAACGGAGACCCUGGUGCACAUGACUAGGAAAUAAUCUCAUGCUUCAAAGGAAAGAAUCAAACUUACUAGACAUAUCACCUUGAUCUAAUCGAAGUGACUUGGUAUGUAUGUCCAAUAGGUUAUUCAAUCCCGCCUUAAAUUUAAUGAAUGUAUCCAAGGCAUCAAAUCUUCUAUGGACAUAUCCAAACCUAGAGUAAUCAUCACUAAAAGUGAUGAAAUACCCAUACCCUCCCCAUGCAUAGACACUAAAAGUUUCAUACAUGUUAGUAUGCACUAACUCCAAACAUUCCUUGGCUUUAAUCCUCUUAGUCAUUUUACCGUCUAUACAGGAUUCGUAAACUAAAAGAUCUUUUCAAAUUAAAGAGUCUAGACAUUACCAAUCUUUGGAUCCUAUUUAGAUUAAUAUGACCUAGGUCUAGAAACCAAAUAUUUAAUUAAUGCUAGGUUUAAUCCUGAGAUUUGACUAUUCUCAUCACUUGGCAAAGUAAUAAUGGAAUACAUAUAAAGGAAGAGGAUAUUACCUCCCACUAACAUGCAUAAAUAACCUUGCAUUUGAAGUUAAGGUAACUAUAAUCCCAUCAUUUAACCUUCUCAUUUGUUGAAUAUCCUAUAAGGACUUACAGACAGUGGACCUGGAAUCUAUCCACCAUAAAUGGUGAAAUCCACCACUAAAUAUUCAACAGUGAGAAAAUGAUGUAUACUUUCCGUUUUCUUUAGGUAAAUUGGCCAUUUCUUUUCUAAUGCCUAAAAGGUCACAAAGGAAUCACUUGCCCUUGACCUUGCUCUCUUAUUCCUUAUCUUGAACUUUCCUUAUUUGGUAUUGUUCUUCUUCUUCUUGAGAGAAGAACCCGAAGAACCUUUGACUACCAUAUGAACACCCUAUAAUCUUUGAGAGUUAGCCAUCUCAAAGGAAAAUGGUGAGGUCUCUAAGAUCAUAUGUAUACUUGGUGUUCAUAAUAGUCCUAAGAGUAGCUUUUCAAGGCUGAUCUACUCUUAUUACCAAAUAACCAUUGCAAGCUAGAAAGAGAAUAUCAAAGUCUCUAAUAAUAGAAAUGUGUUGCUAUUGCAACACAUUAUCCAAAGUUCCAAGUAUUAGACGCUUGGUCUUUUGAUCCAUCUAAUACCGCUUUGAUAUUCCACUCUUUCCUCUUGCUAGGUUAGUUCAUAAGGAAUAGCUAGCUCUACCUAAACUAGCUUCUGUGCAAUUACUUACUAUAUCUAGAAUACAAUUAGUCCAAUUGAUUAGUUAGGUUUGGCCUAUUAUGAGAAAAAGAGUGAUAAUAAAACCAACAUGAUAUCCAUAACAAAGAAUAUGACCAAGCAUAUGACAUAAUUGAGCAUUCAAGGCAUUUGGUAAUUAAUUUAGCAAAAAUGUAGUGUUCCCAAACUAUAUAUCCUUUUGCAAGGUAUCCUAGUAUUAUAAGAAUCAAGCCUAGGUGGGACAGGUCAUGACCUUAUUACUAGUAAGAGACCCUCUUAGAUUGAUCUCCCCACCUUAUCCAUAAAAGUAUCUUAAGGCAAGAUUAACAUACCUUUUAUUUAGCCCAUAGACUAUGAAAGUGGGACCACGUGGGGCAAUUCUAUCACUUCAUAUCCAAUGUCAAGUGUAUAACCAUUGUCCUUGAAUUAUCAAUGUCACCAAGUAAAGAACUCCACCUAGGGGUAGUCGCUCCCACUACAGACAUAUCUAGUCUCGUCCAUGCAGAGAGUCCAUAUCUCUUGAUUCUUAAGGCUAACCCACCGUAAGGGUGGUGAUGAACCCAAAUCAAGAUGGGCUCAACAAUGGAUGUCUUGGGCAUGCCUAAGGCCUUCUCCCACUUAAUGUUUUGAGAUAAAUAAGAGCAUUUUAAAACCAUUAGUAAUUUCCCUGAUGAAUAAAUUAUCUACUUUGAAAAUUUUCAAAAAUAUUUAUUUUCUAAUUGAAACCUAGUGUAAUAGGAGAAGACCAACAUGAAAAAUUUUAAAUUUCCAUGACAGUAAUUUUCAAAAAGAAUUUUUAUAAAAUAUCCACUUUCAAAAUUUUAAAAUCUAUUUUCAUUACAUUAUCCUUCUAUAUAUAAUUCCAAUUAAUAAAUAUUUUAUCUAGGAAAUGUUUCAAAUAAAUUUAUUUCCAUCAAAUUACUAAGCCUUUUGCUAAUAAUCUUGUAAUGAUAAAUUAUCUUUAAUGAAAAUUUUCAAAAUAUUUUUUUUCCAAAUUGGAAACUCUAGUGUAAUAAGAAAAUUACUAAUUCAUGAUAUUUUGAAUAAUCUUGAGAGCAACUUAUCCAAGAAAGGAACUUUUGCUUCUCAUAUUAAAAAAUCCUCAUAAGAUUUACUUUCCUUAUUCCUUACACUUUUCCAACUUAAUAAAUAUUUCCAUGAAAAUUUCAUAAUAAUUUAUGUCAUUAAAUACUACCAAAAGUAGGACCUUUUAAUAAUUUCUUAAUAGAUAAAAUAUUCUCCAUGAAAAACUCCUAAAAAUGCUUAUUUCUAAAAAGGAAUUAAACAAUCCAUUGUGGAAAGUAUUUUUAAAAUAUUUUGUAUCUUCAUUAAAUUACUAAAACUUUCCAAAGUUAUUUUGGUAACCCUUCUUAUCAUAAAAUCUUUAUCAUGAGAUUUUCAAAACCUUAAUUACUUCUAAACCAGGAUUCCUGUGCUAAAAGAAUUGCUUUCUUAUUCCUUAUCAUUGAAUUAUUCAAACAGAAUGGUUUCCUCCCUUUCUUUGAGGAAGAGAGCCUAGAGGACAAACUGUAGGUAUAGUUUAAAAAAUAGAUAGUUCUAAAGAAAUAACAAUCUUCUUAGCAACAACAAAUUUAAAAAGAUAAUCUUAGAAAAUAUAUUCUCAUGAAAAUUUACUAAGAAUACCAAAAAACUUUUCUUUAGGUUCUAAAACUUAUUUUGGUAACCACUCUUAAUUAUAAGUUAUUUAUCAUGAAUUUUCAAAAUUAACUUUUUUUCUUUCAAUUAGAAAUCCUAUGCAAAAUAGGAAAAAUACUAUUUUAUAAAGAUUUGGAAAAAUAAGAGCUUUUCCUUAAGAGAAAGAUUUUAUUCUUAGAGAUCUCAAAGAUUUGAGAAGAUUUUAAGUAAAGUUUAAAUCUCUAAGAAUUAAUUUUAAAAGGGAAGAAAGCUCUUAGUCCUUUGCCAACUUAUCUUUUUCUUUAAAAUAUAAUUUCCUAACUAUGCACAUUCCAAUUUAAAUAAGUUUUCCAAUUUUGAAAAAAACACGAAAAUUUAUUUUCAAUUAAGAAUACCAAAUCUUGAGGCCACAUAUACAAUCUAUCAAUAUAUAUAUAAGGGAAUAACUAAAUAGAAAAUUUCUCAUGGCUUUCAAGGAUCCAAUUGCAUAUUUGGUAAUUAAAAUUUGGAUAAAAUCCAAAUUACCAAAAAUAGUCCUACAACCAAAAAUAGGGUUAGUAAAAAUAGAAAACUCAAAUGGCCUAAUUGCCACAAAAAAUUGAGCCCAAGAAGAGGCCCAAAAUUCAGCCCAAACAACGAAAAGAAUCGGGCAUGUAUGCAAUCUCGUAACAGCAUGCUCUUUGAGCAGUAUUGCUUCAAUUGGUCAUAUCUUCCUCAUUUAAACUCCAAAUUAUUAUUCGGUUAAAGUAUUGGAUUCCUAACCUCCUAAGCUUCAAAACCAUAUGUGAUUUGCCUCAACAAAAUUAUUGGAAAUGGCUGUGAUUUUGACUCAAAUUUGACAUCACUGUGCUGCCAUGCACUUUGCACAACCUUGCUUCUUUUGACCAUAUCUCCCUCAUUUCAACUCCGAAUUGCAAUCUACUUGAUCCAUUGGAUUCAUGACUUCCCAAGCUUCAAAUCUAUAUAUGGAUUGCCUCAAGAAACUUUUAUGAGGUAGUCCCAAUUUUGAGUUCAAUUCAACAUCAUUGUGUUGCCAUGGAUCUCAAACCAAGAACUUCCAAGAUUGCUUCUUUCUUCUUUAACCACCAUAGAAUCACAAAAAGAACUUUCAAGAUUCCUUCUACAAUAGAAGGAUGUAAAAAAUUAAAAUUUUUACACUAAUAAAAAUUCCUAUGCUCCUUUAAUGGAGCUUAUAGCCCAUCUAUUGAAAAGAAAAUAUUUUUACAUUCAAAUAAAAAUCUUAUACCCCUUAUGUGGUGUACAACCCAAUCUAGAAAACAAAAGGUAAAGAAGAUAUCCAUUCAUAUUCAUUCAUUCAAAUGAAUCAAUAACAAUAAACCAAUCCAAAUAUAUUAAUACAUUAAAAUGAUUCUUCAUUCAUUCAUCCAUUAGGGUCAUGGAAUGAAUAAAACAACCCUGCAAACUAGAGUUAGCACAUCCUAAACAGAUCUAACAAGAUAGAAUCUACCCUAGGGCUCUGAUACCAAUUGUUGGAAACCCUAGGUUACUUCGUUCCCAUGCCUUGGAUCGUGUAGGGUGCAUACAAAUCUAUCAUAAACUCUUUAAAUCUAUCACAACGGAUAAAUAGGUAUUAAAAAAAAAUAAGAAUACCAUAGAAAACAUAGAAAUAGAAAAUAAAGCCACGUAGCUUUGAUCUAGAUGUUCCUAGAUCAAUUCUAAUCAAUGUAGUUAACUCCAAAGUCAUAAUGGAUCUCAUAAACACCAUGAUCUUCCACCCGAUGAUUUUUCCUUAUGUUUAGGCACUGAGAUAGUGGAGAUCUCAAGGAUGGACGCUAAUGUUCUCUUUCUAUACUAAAGGGGAGAAUAGUAAGACUUAGAAACCCUAACCCCAAAAUGGGUAUUUAUAGGUUACCUGUUAGGCUUAAGUGACUUAAGCCCAUCAUGGGCUUGGGUCACUUAAUCUAGCACAAAAAGGUUGCUAAUUAAUUAAUUAACCAUAUAAGGCCUAAUUAAUUAAUUAGCCUAGUCAAGAGAUAUUACUCAUCCAUGUGCAACCUUACGUAAUUACCAAAAUGCCCUUAUGCACAAAAGUGAACGAAAAACCCAUCCAACCCUCAUAAGCCAUGCCAACAAGGAAUAUGAGCUCAGAACGAGGACACUAGGACCCAUAAGAGUACUGGCCACUCAAAACUAAAUUAUGAAAUUGACUUAACAUCCCACUACAAAGAGUCAACUACACUCCAGUACCCUAUGUAUAUUACAAUGAGACACUAAGUGCUCAAGUCUGUGACCUACUAUCCACUGCAUGUAGACUUCCCAUGAAUUGGUGUUUGUAAUCUAACAAGGUAGUGUUAUCACCUAUCAAGAUUAUCUCCCAAAUCCUUGAGUUACAGAUCCCACUUACUAUAUGAUCAAAUGACAUAUCCUAGCUCUAAUAAGCAUAUGUCAAAUUUCACUAAAAGAAUUACUAUGGCCACAGAUUUCAUGAUCACAUGUUCUUUGGAUUACCCAAGGGGAUACACUAUCUCAAUCCCAUAAGGUAUCAUGGUGUCUCUAUUAAGAAUACCUGUUGCCACCAACCUUCAUCAACAGUGACCUAAUCCAUAGGGAUAUAUGACCAUUUUAGGUUCUCACCCAUAGGUUAAAGCCUCUAGUUGAUUUUGGCACAUGCUUAAUAUCCUCUCAAGGUUGAGAGUCUAUGCAGUAUAGUAGCUUGGUGAAUCAUGACAAUGGAUAACCUUGCAUCACGAUUCGUCAUAGGUCCUAUCUAGUGUGCAUUACAUACACUAUUACACUCACCAUAGGUAACCCAUCCCGAUGAUGAAGACAAGUUAUCCCUCCAAUUAAGAGGUGGUGCACUACUGUCUUUACUGGAUUGCCCAAAUCCAUGAACCAAAUAUAGACAACUUAUCUACUUACAAGGAACCCAUGACUUAUAUCUUCUGUGCAACUCCUAAUGCACCCAAGCUAUGUACCAUGCAAGAGAUAUAGAUUGAAUGCUCAAAUCAAUGUUAAUACACCAAAGAGAUAGCAAGGGGAUAGUUAAGUCUAACUUUGUUACAUCAUGUCUUGCUUUUAGGGGCUCAAUCCCAACAUACAUAACUGGGAAAUAAUUCCAUGCUCUAAUAGAAAGAAUCAAACUUAUUAGACAUAUCACCUUAAUCUAAUCGAAGUGACUUGGCAUGUAUACUCGAUAGGUUAUCCAAUCAUGCCUUAAAUUCAAUGAAUGUAUCCAAAACAUCAAAUUUCCUAUGUACAUAUCCAAACCUAGAGUAAUCAUCACUAAAAGUGAUGAAAUACCCAUACUCUUCCCAUGCAUGGACACUAAAAGUCUCAUACAUGUUAGUAUGCACUAACUCCAAACAUUCCUUGACUUUAUUCCUUUUAGUCAUUUUACCAUCUAUACAGAAUUUGUAAGCUGGAUGGUUUUUUGGAAUCAAAUAGUUCAAACUUUAUCAGUCUUUAGAUCUUAUUUAGAUUAUUAUGACCUAAGUUUAGAUACCAAAUGUUUAAUUAGUGCUAGGUUCAAUCCUGAGAUCUGACUAUCUUUCUCACUUGACAAAGUGAUAAUGGAAUACAUAUAAAAGAAGAGGAUAUUACCUCCCACUCACCUGCAUAACUAACCUUACAUUUGAAGCUAAGAUAAGUAUAAUCCCAUCACUUAACCUUCUCACUUGUUGAAUAUCCUAUAAGGACUUACAAACAGUGGGCCUAGAAUUUAUUCACCAUAAAUGGUGAAAUCUACCACAAAUGGUGAAAUUCACCACUAAAUAUUCUACAAUGAGAAAAUGAUGUAUACUUUCCUUUUUUCUUUAGGUAACUAAGCAUUCAUUUUCUAAUGUCCUAAAAGGUCAUAAUGGAAUCACUUGCUUCUGAGCUUGUUCUCUUAUUCCUUCCCUUAAACUUUCCUUAUUUGGUGUUGUUGUUCUUCUUCUUGAUAGAAGAACCUGAAGAACUUUUGACUUCCAUAUGAACACCUUAUAAUCUUUGAGAAUCCCCUUAGCCAUCUCGAAGAAAAAUGGCAAAGUCUCUAAGAUAAUAUGAAUACUGGUGUUUAUAACAGUCCUAAGAGUAGUUUUUCAAAGCUAACCUACCCUUAUCACCAAAUAACCAUUGCAAACUAGAAAGAGAAUAUCAAAGUCUCUAGUAAUAGACAUGUGUUGCUAUUGCAACACAUUAUCCAAAGAUCCAAGUAUUAGAAACUUGGUCAUCUGAUCCAUCUAAUACCACCUCGGCAUACCACUCUUUCUUUUUUCCAAGUUAGUUCAUAAGGAAUAGCCUGUUUUUCCUAAACUAUCUUCUAUGCCAUUAAUUACUAUAUCCAGAAUAAAAUCAAGUCCAAAUGAUUAGUUAGGCUUGGUUCAAAGUGAGAAAGAGAGUGAUUAUAAAUAACAUGAUAUUUGUAACAAAGAAUAUAACCAAACAUAUGACAUAAUUGAGCAUUCAAGACAAUUGGACUUAAUUUAACAAAAAUGUAGCCCUCUCAAACUACAUGUCCUUUUGCAAGAUAUCCUAGUAUCAUAAGAAUCAAGCUUAUGUGGGUAGGUCAUGACCUUAUAACUAGUUAGAGACCCUCUCAGAUUGAUCUCCUUGCCUUAACCAUAAAGGUAUCUAAAAGCAAGAUCAACAUACCUUUUAUUUGGCCCAUAGACUAUGCAAAUGGGACCGCGUGGGGGAAAUUCUAUCACUUCAUAUCCAAUGUCAAUUGUAUAACCAUUGUCCUUGAACUAUCAAUGUCACUAAGUAAAGAACCCACCGUAGAGUGGUCACUUUUAGUACAAACAUAUUUAGUCUUAUCCAUGUGGAGAAUCCAUAUCUCUUGAUUCUUAAGCCUAACCCACUGUGGGGUGGUAAUGAACCCAAAUCAAGAUGGGCUCGACAAUGGAGGUCGUGGGCAUGUCUAAGGCCCUCUCUCACUAAGUCUUUUUAGAUAAAUAGAUGCAUUUUAAAACAUUAGUAAUUACCUUAGUGAAUAAAUUAUCUUCUUUGAGAAUUUCCAAAAAUAUUUAUUUCCUAAUUGGAAACCUAGUGUUAUAGAAGAAUGUCCAUAUGCAAAAUUUAAAAUUUCUAUGAGAGUAUUUUAUCCAAAAAGGAAUUUUGAUAAAAUGUCUACUCUCAAAUUUUAAAAUCUAAUUGCAUAAAAAAUUCUCUUUCUUCACAUAAUUUCAAUUAAUAAAUAUUUUGUCUAAGAAAUAUUUUCAAAGAAAUUUAUUUCCAUCAAAUUACUAAAUAUCUUCUUCGUAAUAACCUUUAAUGAUAAAUUAUUUCUAAUGAAAAUUUCCAUAAGAUAUUUAUUAUCAAAAUUGAAAACUUAGCGUAAUAAGGAAACCUCUGAUUUAUAAAAUUUUGAAAAUUUGAGAGCACCUAAUCCAAUUAGGAAAAAUGUAAUUCUUCAAGGAUUCUCAUAAUUUUUUUUUAAAAAUAUUUUAAAUCCUUAAGAAUAAAUUUAGAAAUGAACUUUAGCUCUCAUACUCAAGAUUCCUUAUAAAUUUAAUUUCCUUAUUCCUACAUCUUUCCAAUUUAAUAAAUAUUCUUAAAUAUGAAAUCUAAUUUUCAUAAUAAUCUAUUCCAUUAAAAUUACUAAAAAUAAAACUUUUAAUAAUUCCCUUAAUGAUGAAUUAUCCAUCUUGAAAAUUUCCAAAAACAAAUAUUUACUCUCCAAAUUAAGGAUUAGUGUAAUAAGAAAGUUUCCAAAAACUUGAAAAAUAAAAACUAGAGAGCUCUUUAUCCAAAAGGGAAACUUUUAUUCUACAAGAAUUCUUACAAAAAAAAUUAAAGAAAAUAAUUUAGAAUCCUUUGAAAUAAUCUAGAAAAGGAAACUUUGCUCUCUAAUUUAUUUCCACAAGUUUUUUUUCUUAAUCUACACUAUUCCAAAAUUAAGUAAACAACAAGCUUUGGAAUUUAAUUUUCAAGAAAAUUUAUAUCCAUUAAGAUUACUAAGAGUUUCAUGGAACUUUCAUAAGAAGCUUUCAAUAAUUUUGGUGACCUUCUUAAAAUAAAUUAUCUAUCAUGAGAAUUUUCAAAAGCUUUGUUUAUUCACUAAAUUGGAAUACUUGUGCUUAUAAGGAAUAUCCAAUUUUAUAAAAAUUUUAAAAUAAAAGUGUAUUCCCUUAAUAUAGAAACUCAAGUCCUUGAAGAUCUCAAAAUUAGAAACUUUGAAAAAAAGAUCUUCUAAGUAUUUUUUGAAAAGGAAACUAGAUUCUCUCACAAAUUUUAAAAUAUCUUUCCAUAUAAAAAUUCCUUAAUAGUGACAUCAUUCUAAUUUUGAAUCAAACUUUCAUUUGUAAAUAGCUUUCUCAUAAAAACUUUUUUUCCAUAAGAAAAUCCAAAAUUAGUAACUUUCAAAGCACUUCUCAUCACAUGCAAUAUAACAAUAUGCAUAAAAAAUAAAAUAAAAAAAGAAAUAUUCAAAAAGAGAUCCCAUGGCCAAGGGAUAUUUUUUACGACUUUCCAAUUGUGAACCAAAGCCAUUUGUCUUCAACUUGGCACCAAUAUUUGGCAUCAAAACUUGCCAAAAGAAGCUCUUGCAUAGCUGCCACAAUUCAAUAACUUUCAAGCCCAACAAGUGGCCUAAGAAAUGAGUCCAAACAAGCAAAAAGAAUCAGACUCGUAUGCAAUCCCGUAAUAGAAUAACCUCUAUGCAACUUUGCGUCAAAUGACUAUAUCUCCCUCGUUUCAACAAUGAAUCACAAGUCGUUUACACCAUUGGAUUCCUGACUUCAUAAGCUUCAAAACCAUAUGCAACUUGCCUAAAGAAAAUCAUAAGAGGCAGCCCCGAUUUGGAGUCAAAUUGAAUGUUGCUAUGCAAUCAUGGAUCUCACAAAAACAAAACUUUUUUAUUAUUAUUAUUCAAUCAAAAGAAGGAUUCAACCUUUCUUCCACAUCCAUUAAAAUCCUUGAAUCUUCAUAAAUGAUGCUUUAAUAAAGAUCCAAUCUUUAUUGACAUCAUUAAGGAAUUCUUCUCUUGUAGCUCUCCAUAGAUAAUAAAAAACAUGACUUUAUAUCAUAAAAGAAAUCAUAUGCUCAUAUAAUGGAGCUAAUAACCCAAUCUCUAGAAAAGAUUAAAACUUUACAAGAGUGUAGACCCUCAAUUUUGUCCCUUUAGCACAUGUCUUUAAAUUCGUUUUCAAUGCCCCAUAGUAACUCUUUGGUGGCCCAUUACUACUCGUACGACUUACCUUUUUCUGAGUCACCCUGGAGAUUUUAGCUGAGGGAUUAUCUGACCUCUUAUUGCAACCUUUGGAAGCCCUAUUUUAGAGUUAGGCUUUUCAUUCAUUUUUAAGAUAGCUUUUAGGGUAGUCUACUUAGGUCUACUUAGGCACCCUAAGCCCACUUAGGCACUUAGGCCCAUUUAUGCACCCUAGGUCCAUUUAGGCACUCUUGGCCCAUUAGGCAACACCCUAGACCCCCUAGAUUCACCUUGACCCCUUUAGAUCCACCUAGACACCUUCUAACUUUCAUACAUUCACCUUAUGUCACUUAGGUCACUUAGACACCUUUUCAGAAUAGGUCCAUUUAGACACUCCAUUAGGCUUAACUUUUUAUAUAAUCUUUUUAUUACUAUUGCAUGAAUUCGAUAAUUACAUUUAUUCUGUUUAUUCAUUUUCAUUUUUACUUUUUAUUUGUUUAUUAUUAUUUUUAUUAUUAUAUUUAUUUAUUUAUUUAUCUAAUGGAAAAUUGCUUAAAUUGCUUAGACUUCAAAUGCGCAUACGACCCCUUAUUAAAUUAUGGAAUUAUAUAAUACGGUCUCUUUUGUUUCCUUUUCUUUUAAUCAUCUUUUAUUUUAUUACCAAUCUCGUAAUUUUCAUGAGUUACUUUUCUUUUAAUUUUUUAACCUUAUUUUAUUCUGUUUUGCAUGAGGAAACAAGCUGUCAUCUAUUUGGAAGGAAGAUCACCAGAAUUUUAGAGAUAAGAAAGUGACAACUACAUUAUUCUAUAAAGUUACCUCCACCAUGCAUAGAAGGAAGACACGACCACAAGGAAGAGGAAGAAGUUGCUGCCCAUAGAAAAAUAUAUGGAAACUUCCAUACAAAAGGGAAUUAUUGGAGAGACGCAAUCUCCAUAGAUGGGCAGAUACAUGGGAAGAAAGAUGAGAUUUUAUUAUUUUCUAAUUAGAGGCACAAAUAGCAAGGAGAUUCGAUACUAAGAUCAGGCACUAAAAGGAAGGCAUGCAUUGUAUCCUUUAAAAGCAUCUCCACGUCUACAGAGGAAGGGGCUCUCUUGGUCGUUUUUGGGGUUUUUUUUUCAAGAAAGAGACUGGCACCAUUCGGAGGGGGAAGGGAGAAGUACCAGAAUUUCAGAGGGAGGAUAAGGGAACACGCAUUCAUGGGGAAUGACGGCUGCCAAUGCGUGCAUUGCUAGGGGUCCUGCAUCAUUGAUAACAGGAACAUGCUGUCACUUUGAGGAUCCACCACGCACAGAUGGGAAAGACGCAUAAGAAGCGGGGAUGAUAAGGGUGAGAGCAGGAGACUUUUGGAGAGGGAACGGGUGCACAGUUUGGGGUAUGAGAAUGAGGUGAUCUUGUUUAUGGAGAGAGAAUCAGUGCAUGGUUCAAGAAAGAAGAAGACAAAAGGAAACUAGAUUUUUUAUUAAUCUCCAUGGGGCGCACUAUGAGUUUGAUGAAAAGACAAGUGACAGCAUUCAAUUUUUUUUGGAACACAACCGUACAGUGGGGAUUCUCCAAGGCUGCCACUUUAGGGUGAAGUUUUUUUUUUGAAAGAAAAGUGGCAGCAGGCUGCUACUUUAAGGUGAGUUUUUCUUGAAAGGAAAGUGGCAGUAGGCUGCCACUUUAGGGUGAAUUUUUUUUGAAAGGAAAGUGGCAGCAAACUGCUACUUUAUGAUGAGAUUUUUUUAAAGAAAAGUGGCAGCAGAUUACCACUUUAGGGUGAGAUUUGUUUUUAAAAAAAGUGGCAGCAAGUUGCAUUUUGAGGGGGGGAGAUUUUUUUGAAAGAAAAAUGGCAGCAAGUUGCACUUUUAGAUGGUGAGAUUUUUUGAAGGAAAAAUGGCAGCAGGUUGCAUUUAAGGGGUCCAUACCUCAAUUUCCAUAAAGAUCUUCAUGGUAUCUUCAAGAGAACCAUGAACGCCAUUGAUCCCCAAAACGAGUAGGCUGCAUCUUCCAAAGGUAAGUGAGUUUCCUUGUUCUUGAGUUUUUGAGAAAAUUGGAGCUUUGUUUGCUAAUUUUUUACUCUAUUAAGUUUUCGAGUCUCUCAAGUUUUAGUCGAUUAAUUUAUUUGGUUUUAUGUCAUCAUCAUCUUGUUUUAUUUAAUUUUAGUUCAUGGGUUCAUCCUAAUUAAUUCGUGUGAUGCUUUAAAAUUUUAAUGGAUUAAUUUAUUUGAUUCUAUGUCAUUAUCAUCAUGUUAUUUUAUUCUUUUUUUUUUUUUUUUUUUUAUCUUAGCUGAUUCAUGUGAUGCUUUAUGUUUUUAGGUGAUUAAUUCAUUUGGUUCUAUAUCAUUAUCACUAUGUUUAUUAAUUUCAGUUAUUUUUAUUUUUACUUAUUUAUUUAUUUUUUGAUUCAUCAUAUUUGGUUUAUGAGUCUUUAGAAUUUUAAUUAUUUAAUUUAUUUGACCCCCUGUCAUUAUAUCCAUGUUUUAAGUGUGUUAAGCUCUAGUUCCUGAUUGAUCCUUACUCAGUUCAAGUGUUUUAGAAUUGUAAGUUCUUAUGGUAUUAUAUUUAACAUUACCUUAAUCAUAGGUUUGUGUGUUCGACUAAUCUAAUUUAAUUAUUGAUUAUAUCCUCAAUUUAUACGCUUGACUAAUCUUCGUUAGCUUUUGAUUGAUAUCUAGUUGACUUUAUUUGAUCUAAGGCCAUUUAGUUAUUUUCUUUGACAUUUGUUCGUUUAUAUUUGAUUCAUGGGGGCCAUCGGAAAAUUGUGAAGAUUGGCCUCCAUUCACACCAUUUUAGUUUGCUUGGUUGCCAAAAAUUUUAUUUUAUGAUUUUGUUUCUAUUUGUUUUGUUUGGUACAAUUUUUCUCAUACGUUUUAUUGUUCUCAAAUUAAUUUCUCUUAUUUUAAAAUAAAAUACUUUUCUCAAAAUGUUCCUCAUAAAAACCUAUUUUAAAAAUUCAUUUAGAGUCCUUAGAAUCAAAAACCCCAUUUUCUUAAAAUAAUAUGCAACCAUUUUUUGAUUAGUUUGCAUCUUUCUCGGUUUUUAACGAAAAUUUUGGUUUGAAAUCAGACACGAAUCAAAGCUUGUGGUCCCACAUAAAUGGGAUAAUUUUGAGCUAAAUUCGUGUAUAUCAAUUGGGGAAUUGGUGAAACCCCUACAUAAGAAAAUCUUUUCAAAAAUUAUUUUUGUUGCCACUUUUGUCACUUGUUGAAAUUAUGUCUAUCUUUUUUUAGAAAUUGUAUACCAGAUGAGUGUGAUAAUUAUUGUUUUCAUAUACUGUGAUCGCUUUUACUAUGCUAAUUAGAUAAUGAGCAUGUUAGGAUUUCUAUAUUUUAUUAUUUAUUAUCUAACCCCUUACAACUUGAGGAAGCACGCUACAAAUUAUCUAUGCUAUCCAGGUAUGUCCUCUAUCAUCUACUUUCUGAAUUCUGUGAAUAUGCUUGUCAUUGUGAAAUAAUACUUAUGUCUAAUAAUGCUUGAGUGUCUUGAUAUGCAUGUUUCAUUGUUUGAUUAUUUCCAAUAAAAUACAUGUUGGAUGAUAUAUUGUUUAAAUUAACCGUUUAUGUUUUAUGAUAGCGCUUGAAGAGCGGUUCAGGUACGCACCCUAACUCUCCUUUAUUGUGAUUUGAUCUUGUUUAGCAUGCAACUUUUUUUGAAAUCACCUAGCCUACUUAGGUAUCCAUGAUCGACCAUUUAAUUGCCAUGCUUCCCUUAACUUAGUCAGUAGAGACCUUUUUAGGGCUUAGAGGGGUGCUACCUUUUAAAGGUACCUUCCCAAUAGGUAACCUGAUCCCCGGACUUAGACUCGGGUUUUUCAAAGACAUACUUUUUCCAAAAAUUAUGGAGUCACAUUUUAGGGUUUUUCUUUCUUGUUUUAUUUUCCCUUUAAAAUAAAAAUAAAAUAAGUGGCGGCUCCAACCUUUUUCCCAAAAAUUAAUUUUUCACAAAUAAAAAGCGAGUCUCGCCGAUCGAGUGGGGACGCACGUGAAAAAUGCGGGUCCACAAAGAGAAGAAGAAAACUUAUGCUCCUUUAAUGGAACUUACAACCAAAUCUAUGAAGAAACGAAGAAAACAAAUUAUCCCAUUUAAUCACCACAAACAAUAAUAAAAAGAAACAUACAUGCUUCUCUUGUCCAUGGGAUAACAUCAAGGUUGCAAAAAAGAUAUUAGCACGCCCUAAAUAGAGAUCUAAGCAUGUUUAUAACAUUAUGCUCUAAUACCAAUUGUUAGUAUCUUAGAUCUAAGCAAUACUAAUUUUUAUAAAAUUGAUCUUUUAGGGUUAAAGUACUAACCUUUAGGUUUGGAUGUUCCCAAACCUUAAAUUCCACUUAUUGAAGACAACCUUGAAGUUGUUGAAAGUCUCAUAAACUUAUGACUCAUUCUAUACUUGAUCAAAGAGGUAGACUUCUUAAGUUGAACUCAUAAAGUUGACUUUGAUUACUUUCAAAGGAUUUUUUGUCAUGCUCAAACCUUAUUAUCCACAUACCUUGUUUGACUAUGAUUAUUAUUUGUUUCCCGGGGUGAGUUAGUACAAAAUAUUGAAUCUUUGGUUAAGCAAAACUCUUUUACUUUUAUCUAAGAUUUAUGCUCUUAAAUGCAUACUGCUCACUUAUAACAUUUGGAAACACCAUCAAAGUGGACACAAAGGCAACCAUGAAUGAAAACAAAAAGAAAAAUCAAUUGACCAUGGUGUACAAUGCCUCCACUUUCAAAAAGAAAAAGAAAAAGAAAAAGAAAAGAAUAGGAGGAUGAUAUCAUACUAAGGGGGAGUCAAGUUAUGUUGUAUGUAGAUCAACGAGGCCAUGUUAAAUAUAAAUCUGAUGAUCUUAGUUCAAAUUGACUGGAUGUGUUCUUUAAUUUGACCAAAGGCAUGAGUAGAUCUCUUCUAAGUAAUUAAUUUUGAAAUAUUGAACUAGACAGUAAGUCAUAUUUCCUUGAAAAUCAAUAUUGAUGUUUCUAUGUUGACUCUCUUAUACAUUUAUAGUUAUGCAUUAGGUUUUCAAAUCUGAAAUUAUGAUUAACUCUGAUCAUUCAUCUUGAAAUUUCAUUCUUGAUGGAUCAACAUAUACUAUAUGAAGUAACAUACUUCAUCUAUUCCUAAUUCAGCUAAUGUUGAAAGUUUAUGACCUUAACUAUCUACUCUUUAUCGUUAAAAUUUGUUUCAAUUGGUGUCAAUUCUUGUUUAUAUGUUAGUUAGUUGAGUAUUCUAUCCAUUGUUAGAACUUUUUUUGGCUUUGGUUGCUCAAGCGCUAUAUUUAGCGUCCUUCAUGCUCAAGCACUCAAGCCUCAUCAAACGUCUCUACUGCUCAAGCGCUCUAAGUUGCAUCUAGUGGCGCAUCCAUUGAGCGUCUUGCUCGAGUGUUAAUCUGUAUCGGUAUGUCUGAGUAUAAAAAUCCAUUCAACGUGUCUUUUUUCUUUUCAAACAUUUUCCUAUUCUCUCAAGAGCUCUGGGACUUUUUUUAUUUUUUAUUUUUUUUUAUCAUUUGAGGUCAAGUUUCCUUGUUUUUCACAUUUUCGACUUCAUGGUAUUGUUCUACACAUUGUUUAGGGCAUUUCUAGCGGUUUAGAUUUUUUCUGAAAUCUUCUUGGUUUUCGAAUCCUUUGGUAUUCUCUUGGAUAUGGCUAAGAUGACCCCAUCUGGGACACCCAAACCCCUUAAAGGAUUUUCACUUCAUUUUUCUUUCGAUUUUGUGGCUCUACCAAUGAAUUUUUACUUUAUCAAAAGCCCCUAGUUCAAUAUUAUUUUUUUAUCCAUUGCUGUCACAUUGUGUUUGUGGGUUCAUUUCCUCAUUUGACCCUAGAACCUCAUAGAAUCAUAUUAUAUAGAGAUGGCGUCAGUGAAGUUCAACUCAUUCCAGUUUUGAUGCAUAAGAUGAAUUCAAUAAGAAAGGCUUGUGCAUCACUAGAGGAUGAGUGUUACUAACUCUUCCCAUACAUAUACUUUAGUACCGCCUUAUCCUUAGUAUUUCCCAUCUUCACAUGCAAAAUUUUUUUGUUGAUCUUAUAAUGGCUAUGUGCGUCAAGUUUUGCUCUGCCGCCACUGAACCUUUAGUGAAUUUGUUUUUUUGUUUUUUUUUUAUUUGGAUGUUUUUUCAUUACUUAUCUUAUGUAUCAAGAAUCAUAUUUUUAAUAUACAUAUUUUGUUCAUCUUUCUUCUUAUCUCUUAUGUGCUUUGGUAGUUAUAUUUCUAAUACUUUGUCAUUUUGUGACAAAAAAAAGAGAUAAUUGCAUAUUUAAUAUUUAACUCUGUUAAAUUAAUAUAAAAGAGAGAUAACAUUAAAUAUUUAGUUCACCUAAAAAUGAGGAGUUAAAAAAUGGUGAAAAUAAAAAGCUCCUUGAUUUAAGGGAAGUUAGUUUUUGAAUUAUUUGAUUCAUUAAUUUAGGUAAUUUAAUUGAAAUAUUGGAAGAAACUAAACAUAAGACAUUGAAGUAAAUCAAAUCAGCCUUAGGAAAUAUGACUUUACGAUUCAAGAGAGAUACCUAACACGGAUGUUUCCUGCAAAUUACUUUUGUUAGAAUUGUCGAUCUCUCUCUAGAACUAAUCCUAGUUGUAGAAGCUUUUUCCCAAGGCUUUCACUACUUACCUUAUUGCUGGAGAAUGCCCCCUGCUCUUUACUAAUAAAUUAUUAGGUCUCAUCUAUCUUCGAAUAUGUUUGGUUGAUUUGCAUACAUUCAAAUUCCUCUCGACCUUUUCUUUGUACCUUGGUGUCAUUAAAGGACUCUGUUUUUUUCAUGCUUUCAUAAGACAUCAAACAAAGUCUCCAACUAUCCUGUUUUGUUUUCAUAAUAUUAUUUUAUCCUUCACACUACUUUGCCUUUGGUAUAAUUUCUUGUAUGUGUUCAGGUUACAAGGUUGGAAGAUAAGUACUUCAAAGCAUUACAAAGUUUUCCCUUAAUUCAAUUUUAGUUGAGUGUUAAUGUGUGUUAUGUGAACUCUAUUAUGAGGAUCGAUAUUGAAAGGCUUAUGGCAUUGUAAAGUGCUUCAUAGGUACAUCUAAAAAAGUUUGGCUUAUGGCAUUGAAAGACUUAUUUGAGGUAUAAAAGGAUCGGUAUCAUUUUUUAACUGGUUAAUCUGCUCAGGCAGUCAACCCAUUCAAGCAGAGAGCUCUCAAGCGGUCUAAGUUUGGUCAAGCGGUCAUGACAACCCUAUCGAGUUUAAAAAUGUAUUUUCAAUGAAUUUCAACCCAACUAUAAUUUGGAAACUUAAGAUAUUGAUAUCCUUAUAGCUUUUGCCUAUAAUUUUUUAAAUCACCCAUUCACUCCUCUCAUCUCCCCCUUUCUAGGUGUUCCCUAUUGGACUUUCAAUUAUUCCAUUUUUUUUUUAUAAUUGUAAGAUUUACUUAUGUGAUAAAAAUUGAGAAAAUAAAAAAUUGAUAAAAUCUAAGGAAAACCAAGGAAAGUGCAUGUCAAAGGAAAAUGACAACAACAAGUAUUUAAAAAACAAAAUUUUAUCAACCUAGGAUGUCUAAGUGGGAAUGUACAAAAGUAGAAAAUUAAAUCAUGUGAAGAAAAACAUUGAAAAUCAUUUUAAAAUCAUGGAAAAUCACAAAGAGAACAUAAGUUAUGCAACCAGAGAGGAAGACAAUAUCUAUGUUUAAGAAAGAGUGUGCAUUAAGGAGAAAAUUGUGCAUUAAGGAUGAAGACACAUGCAAAAGGAAAAUAUGUGCUAAAAGAGUACACAAGAGGAAUUGUGCAUCGAGGGAAACGCCAAGUGUGCAUUAGAAAAUAAAAGAGGAGCACGCACAAAAAGAUAGUGCACUAAAGUAGCUUGCAUGCUUGGGAAUCACAUGCCUAAGAAGCACUACUAUGCGAAUGAAAGUGCGUGUGAAAAUUAUGCACUGAAGAGCUACACUAAUGUGCGCAAUAAUGCACUAAAGAAAGUUAGACUAUGCAUUGAAAAGUGCACACUACAAGACACCAGUGUGUGCACUAGAUUAUGCAUUAGAUGAAAAAGUGCACAUAAUUGCUUGUGUACUGAAGAACAAGUUGUGCACUAAAGGACUUGCACAUAUGAAAUGUGCACCUAAAUGAAGGCUAAGGAGCACAUAAAGAUUGUGCAUUAAAGAGGAGCUAUUGUGACAUGGGAAAAUCCUAAACCUCUCUGGUCCCCAAGCCCGAAUCAAGUUAGGAACAUAUGAAAAUAUCUUAGGCUUUUCUAAAUACUAUGCACAACAAAAAAAAAAAUUACAUUUUAAAACUUUAAAGGGAUUCAAAAAGUGCUAACAAAAGACUUACUUUAGAUUCAAAUGUUCCUAAAUCAAAUCCAUGUGAUGAAAAACGAAGUUGUAGAAGUCCCAUAAACCUAGAGUCUUCCACUCGAAGACUCGAACUUUGAUUUUGACACACUUAUGAUAGUAAUCAAUUAGGGUGGAGGCUAUAGCUCUCUCUCUAAAGGAGAAAGAUGAAUCUUUAGAAAAAGCUAUGAAAACUCUAACCCCUAAAGGGGUAUUUAUGGGGUUCCCCAUUGGGUUAAUUAACUUAAGCCCACUAAGGGCUUGGGUCACUUAAAUUAGCACAAAAUAGGUCAUAAUUGAUUAAUUAACCUAACAGAACCUACUAAGUAAUCAAUUAGAUGUGUAAUCCUGCUUAAUUACCAAAGUGCCCUUAUGCAAAAAAGUGAACCUAGAGCUAAUCUAACCCUCUUAACUCAUGCCAACAAGGUAUAUUAGCUUAGAGUGGGGACCAUUAUGACCCAUAGGACUACUGGCUCCAUUAAAAUCCAAUUCUGAAGUUGAUUUAAUAUCCUACUAUAGCGAAUCAACUAAACUCUAGUAUCCCAUGUAAAUAACAAUGAGUUGGGUCUGUGAUUUGUCAUUAAUUAUGUUCAAUUUCCCAAUGAACUGGUGUUCGUAGUCUAACAAGGUGAAAACUAUCAGCCUUUCAAGACUACCCUACUAUCCUUAAGUUGCAAUCCUUCUAUUAUGUGUAUAACUAACAUGUCUUAGCUUUCUAAGAACUUAUGUCAAGUUCUACUUAAGGAACUACUAUGGUCAUAGUUUCCAUGAACACGUGUCCUUAGAAUGAUCCAAGGGGAUACACUAUCUCAAUACCAAGAGAUAUCAUGGUACCUUUAUUAAGAAUACCUAUUACUACCAACUUUCAUUAAUAGUGACCCAAACCAUAGGGAACAUAUGAUCAGCUUAUGAUCUCACCCAUUAAUCAAAAGUCAUUGUGUGGACCCGCAUUUUUCACGUGCGUCCCCACUCGAUCGGCGAGACUCGCUUUUUUAUUUGUGAAAAAUUGAUUUUUGAAAAAAAGUUGGAGUCGCCACUUAUUUUAUUUUUAUUUUUGAAGGGAAAAUAAAACAAGAAAUAAAACCCUAAAAAAAUGACUCCAUAAUUUUUGGAAAAAACGUGUCUUUGAAAAACCCGAGUCUAAGUCCGGGGAUCAGGUUACUUAUUGGGAAGGUACCUCUAGGAGGUAGCACCCCUCUAAGCCCUAAAGAGGUCUCUACUGACUAAGUUAAGGGAAGCAUGACAAUUAAAUGGUUGAUCAUGGAUACCUAAGUAGGCUAGGUGAUUCCAAAAACAUAACAUAUCAAACAAGGUCAAAUCACAAUUAAGGAGAGUUAAAAGUGCGUACCUGGACGGCUUCCCAAGCGCUAUCAUAAAACAUAAGAGAUUAGUUUGGAGAUACAUCACACAACAUUUGUUUUAUUCAAGCAAAUCAGGCAUAUAUCAAGACAUUCAAGCAUCACGUCAAAUAUGGAUAUGGUCAUCAAUGACAUACAAGUCCAUAGAGUUCUAAAAAAAUAGAUGAGAAGAGACCGUACCUGGAUAGCAAGCUAGUACUCCUCUAUGGGAAACAAGAGCAUCUCAACAAUAAAUAUUAAGUGAAUUCAAGUAUUUCAUCAAGAAGAAUAAAAAAAUCAACAUAUCAAGUAAACGGUAUUGAAGUGAGUGUUAUGAAUGUCGGGCCCCCACCAAAGCCCUAAUUAAUUUUGCAUGAAUUGAUUCCAUAAAUUCCAUGAUUUGGAAUUAUGAAUUUUAUUCAUGCUUGUUGAAAAAUCAAGAAAACCAUGAAAAAUAGUUGAAAAUGGUGAAAAUGCAUGCCGGAAGGGAAAAUGGCAGCAAAUAGUAUGUUAAAAAAAAUCUGGAUUUUAGUGACUAAAAGGGCUCUAAAGAUUGAUUUUUCAAAGCUGGAAAUAUUUAAUUGAGAAAAAGAUUCAAAGAUUCAAUUUAAAAUAGGGAAUUCCUAAUCAAAGAAGCAAAAGGAGGAGGUGUGUGUAGCAAGGUAGGUAUGAUGGAGGGGAGUUGGGAGGUUUGGCUAUGACCGCAUUGCUGGUAAUUGCAGGUGCUGCUGUUAUUCUCUCUAAAUUUUCUCUUUCUACUCUGGUUGCAUGCAUUCAAGCACCAUACAUCGCUGCAUUCCCGGGCCUUUUCCGAUUCCUUGAAGUUCCCUAUAUGCGGACUUACUUCCAAGAGCUUUGGCAUUAAUUCCCCAUAUGAAUCUCUGAAAUUUGCUGAGAAAUUUAGUCUUUCUGGAUUGCCAUUUAUGAUAACUAGAGCAUUGAAAGUUGGGGAAUCACAUCCAAUUGGUUUUAGCUUUAGAGGGUGACCAUCGGUCAUGGUAAAAAAAUGAAAUCAAUUUCUGUUUCCUCAUGCCUGUUUCAAACUAUCCCGUUGUUGCACCAAGGACUUCCCUUUUCUAACUGCAACAUUUAACUUCUUUCUCAAAGAAGCUGACUUCUGCUCCUCUUGAUCAAGUGGAACUUGCGUCUCCUCCCUUUUCUGAUCCAAUGCUUCAACUUCACAUAACAAAGAUUGCAUCUUCCCCAUAUACCUAUCUCUCUCCCCCUUUGCUUCAGUCAGAUCACCCAAAGCCUCCUCUAAUUCUUUCUUCAAAACCACCACAUCUAGAUCCUUGGUAUCUGGUGCAUCUAUGGCUCUUGGUUCAUCACUAGAUGUAUCAGCAUUUUCGGUAUGGCACUCAUCAAUCCCUUCCCUAAGCACAGUUUUUCCCAAGGAAAGUCUAGUGUGAUUCUCUAUAAACUUCCUUAGCAUUGCAGACAGCGUGUAUAGCUGUAGAAGGGUCUCUUAGUGCGUAAGUUACAUCUCCAAUGCAACCAUGUGUGGUAUUGAAAGGUGGCAGCCUUCAAGUUCUGAAUGUUGCGGCUGUCUUCGAAUUUGAGAUGGUGCGUGGUGUAGAUGGAUGCAGCCCAUGAAGAAACCUGUGCAUAGAGUCCUUUGGUGCUCACAACUUCUUAAAAAAAAUUCUGGGGGUUCCUCUAGAAAGUGGACUAUGCAUGUACGUGUGUUCUCUGAAAAUCAAAACUGUGCGUGGGCUUCUUCAUGCGGCUGUGAAGACUUCCCGAGGUGGCGUGUUUCUGUUAGUGCGUGGUCCCCAUGGGAGUGCAGGCUGCCCCUCAAUCCGUGCUCUUGGAUUUCAAGUGUCCAUCCAAAGUGGCAACAUGAGAUGUUUGUUUCUCUCAAAGUGGGUUCAAAUUUUUGUUUCUCUAUAUUGAUGAUGCGACUGUUUCUCAGAAAAUCCUCACUUGGUACCCUCUCCUCCAUAUUCAGGUACGGAGCAAUGAACCCUCAAAGACUCCUUGGGAUCAAAUUUAAGAGACUGAACGUGAAUACCAGAAAUUCUGAUAAGCUAUGACAUUGUGUUUAAGUCUUUUGGAAAGUGACUUUAGAAAAGACUUCAAGGCAGAAUUCUGAACUGCAAUGUAAUGUGCAUGACAACCUUGGAAGUCUCAUCAGAAAAAGUUCAAAUUUCUUCCAUUGGAGGCCUCAAAUUCAACAACUUCUUGAUUCGUCAAAGAGGGUACCCUCAUCACUAGAGUUUUCCAUUACACUUCGAGAAUUUUCUGGUCUGUAUUAACUUUGAAAUUUUUCUGGCCCAUGUUCAGUUGAAUGAAUAUAUCCCCAAGGAGGUAUUCCAUGACUGCCCACAAUGAGAAACACCAAAGAGUAUAUGUGCAUUAAUCCAUAUGAAAUGUACAAAUGACCCAAAUGUUGUUUCAGAAGAGGAGGCAUCAACACUUAAUUCUUUCUCUUCCAGUUCUUCCUAAGUCUAUGUAGACUUCCUCAGAUACUAUAUUUAAUUCACAAACCUCAGACAUCAAUUGAUACUGAUCCAGAAUUCCAUGACACCCUUUCAGUACCUUUUGAAAUGCCCCUUCACCUGUUAGAUUCAAAUAGCUCAUUCGACAAACUUGGCUGCCACACAAACAAACAGAUACCUCAUACUCUUUCUUACUCUCUGUGACUGAGUUAUAAUCAAAGAUGAUCUCCUCACCACAUUGAAUUUGACGUACGGUGUAGAUUCCAAUCUGGUACUGACCUUCUACAGCAGUAAUUUUGGCUUCACGGUUAGGUCUACAUAAAUGACAAAUUCGGCUUGCAUAGUUAGCCUUGUGUAUUGCAUCAACAACUAAAUUCCACGGAUUCGGCUCUUGAUCCAAUUUUAGGUUCAAUAAAAGUUACUUUAUUCUGUGGUUGAAUUUUAACAGCAGCAUCAGGAACAUCUGCAGCAAAGGUAAUUGGAAUCCAAAUUUUAUUAAUUUUUCCUAAAACACUACUAUGCUUCUGAAUUGAAUCUUGAUCAACUAAAGAUUGGAGCUCUGAAAAUGAUGAGGGCCAUUGCUCAUGUCCAGCGCCAUCAAGAUAAUACCAGUCACUAAAAUCACCAAAGGCAAAGGCAUAAUCCUUGUCAGAGAAUGUGCUCAACCUAGAAUCCAAAGCUUCUUUUGACGUGAUUUCUGGGUAUCUGAAAAAUCUAUCUAUUCUUUGAUCAGGCUGUCCUCCAAUACGAAGUUGAUGCCAGGAUAAACCUUCAGCUCCCAAUUUCUCCCACUGUGCAUGCUCAAACGACGCCUGCAAAACUUCCCCCAGAGUCUCCAGCUCCCUGCCAGGAAUGAAGGUAAAACUCUUUAAUAAAGCUCUAACCCUUUCAUCAAUCUGAAGACCCUCUAAUGGCUCGGAUGCAAUGGAAUUGUCAUUGUUGCAAGACAUCGAUUGCAGCAAAAGUGGUAGGUGUUUCCUCUUCUAGCAGUUUGUUGGACUCUGUGGUAUCUCCAGCCCCGGCCAAUGGAUUACCAGGAGCCUCUGGAGGACUCACCAGUUGAGUUACAGUGUCUGAAACAAAGGGUGGGAAGUUCACAGGCACUAACAGAGAAGCUGCGUUUUUAAUAGUUAACCAUCUGUAGUAAACCUUUCUCUAUGAAAUUUCUUUCUCUCACCGAAGAACACAGAUAUUAACAAAACAUCAUUAAGAUCAAACAGAUCCUUGGGUUUGGGAAGAUCUAUGGAGAAUUCAUCAAAAUUCCUUACAAAUCUAGUCUCCUUCAAAAACUUCAACUACCGAAGAAUCUACCUGUAGGUCUUGCCAAUUCAUGUAAAGAUAUAUUAGGAUAUCCUCCUGUUCAGCCUGAGGCUUGCCUUCAAACCCAGGGGAUCCCAAUUUGACCAAGAUCUGUUGAUCUUGCAGCUCAGGGACUACAAGGGCUCUAAAUAAUGAACUUUCCACAGAAUCUGUAGGAUAUGAAAGGCAACACUCACCACAUGGCUUGAGGAAUGAACCAGACGGGAUCAUACACAGAUCUUGAUUUCGCAAUUGAAUGUAUGACUCUGUAACCAUUUUGUAUAUAGGCAGAGCACGUAAAACUUCAAGCUCUUCCCUUCUAUACUUAGAGCCAUUAGAAGAGAAAUCAGAAGCAAAAAGUGUACAGAGUUCCAUACGCUCUGAAGUUAGAAAAGAAUUAAGUUCAGGGAAAAUAGACAACCUGUUUAGCAACAAGCUUUCAAGCAAUAAUCUGCCCUAAUGACUGAUCAAGUGUAGAGAGGUAAUUACAUUAAGCCGCGCAUUCUAUGAAACAGCGUUUCUUUUUGACAUACUCUCAAACAAUUGCCUCGCAAUACCCAUGCAUCCAGAUUUUGAGUACACGUCAACCAAAGCCGUCUCCACAAACACAUUACCUUCAAAACCACCCCGAGCCCAAAAGAAUAGUGCACUGAUUUCGCAAUCUGGGUCAAGCCUAGAAACACUGCCUUCCGACAAGAGGAUCUCCUUUGGUUUUGUAUUCUCUGAUUUUUCCCACUAAUUUUCCUGUGCUUCCUUCCUCUUCUCACCAAAAUGAUCCCCACCCCCUUUUUUUCUUUCUUUUCUUUUCAAUGUCGUUUUCUCCCGUGCUCCCCAAUAUAUUCUCAGUGUAGAUACCCUGGAAUAAUCGAAUUCCAAGGAGCCACAUCUCUAAUCCCCAUAUGAACUCACAAAUUUACGUUAUGGUAACCAAACUUAGCAAGUGCAAUAAACAGCCGACAUACCUUUCGGACAAUCUUCUCUAGAUCCCAUAUUGUGAUAGCAGUUCCAGAAUUUUGAAGUGUUUGACCUCUUUGCUGAAUCUCAUGACUAUAUUCCCAAGCCUUGGAGUCACCCCCAUAUCAACAAUUGAUGGCUAUAUGACGGGUAGGAAGAAAGGCAAAACAGAUAUGGUAGAGAGUAGAGGAAACGAUGGGAAAACAGACAUGGGAGAUUAAAAGAAAAUAAAACCACAUCUCAUGAUUUUUCAAUAGGCUCAAGUUAGUGGGAACAGGCAUGGAGUUAUAUGCUUCCGAAGACAUUAAUGACAUCCAAAAUCAAAACAAGGCAAACAGGCAAGUAGCCAAUCUCAACAAAGCCAAUUGUGGCCCUUUUCGUCUACACAAAAAUCAACAAAACAAUUAAAUAUUCAGGAAUCGAACACACGGAAAAAUCAAAUAUAGGUAAGAAUUCCAAAAGGAACGAGGUGCAUACCUGGACAGCUUUGGUUGCAAUGGCUCGGCUUUUGGCUAUCUUUCCUCUUCCUUCUGAAGACAAUUCCCAGAUAAAAAUCCUCUUUUUGCUUGUUCUUUCUUCUUCCUCCUCCCUCUCUAGACUCCAAUACGUGUUGCUCACCCCCUAUUCUUUUCCUUUUCUCACCUAUAUAUAUCACCUAUUCUCUUCAAGACCUAAAUUUUCUUCCAAAAAGGAAAAUUUUCCUAUUUCCUUUCUUCUUCUCUUCUUUUUUUAAAUCCUCCAAUCAAAAGCAAUCUUCCCAAUUUCAAAUUCUCCUCCAAAACCUUCCAAGGAGAGUCCCACUUUCCUUAAACUCCAAUGGUAAGUUUCCUUGCAAAAACAUGAAAUUUUAGAAGUUAAAUAAUUGCAUGAAUAGAUAAAUAAGUAAAUAAAUUAGAAAAUGGUAAAAAUAAUAAAUAAAUAAAUAAGUUAAGGAAAAUAAUAUAAAGAGGAAAAUAAAAUAAAAUAAAAUAAAAAUAAACAAAUUAACAAAAAAUGGGCCCUAUGAGCCAUGCAAACACGCAAGUCAUAUAAGUCACGCUAAAAAAUGUCCAAAUGGGCCAAGUGUGCCUAAAUGGCCUAUGAUGAGACUAAGUGGGCCUAGGGUGGUGCCUAAUGGGCCAAGUGUAUCUAAAAGCUAUCCUAAAAAAAACAAGAAAAGCCUAAGUCUAAGUUAGGGCUGCCAAGGGUCACAAUAAGGGAUCAAAUAAUCCCUCAACCAAAGUCUCCAAGGUGACUCAAAAAAAGGUAAGUGGUAUGAGUAGCCAUGGGCCACCAAGGAACUAUUGUGGAGCAUUGAAAACGAAUUUUAAAGACAUGUGCUAAAGGGACAAAAUUGAGGGUCUACACAUUGCUAACUUCAACAUAAGUUCAAUAUUCUCUCAAGGUUGAGAGAUAACACAAUGAAGCAGUCUAGUAGGGUGAUGACUACUUGAUAGCAUUAAGUCAUAACUUACCAUAGAUCCUAUCCAGUGUGUAACCAUACAGACUAGUGUUCUCAUCGUGGGAAACCCAUUCGAUAACUAAGACUAGUCAUCCCUCCAAUUAGGAAGUGGUGCACUACAACCUCCAAUAGGUUGCCUAGACCCACAAACCAACAUGAACUAAUCAUUUAUUUACAAGGAACCCAUGACUUAAAUCUUUUAUACAACUCCUAAUAUACCCAAGUCACAUAUAAUGCAAAAGAUGAAACCAAAGUGCUUACAAAGUAUAAUGCAUGGAAGUAAGAUAGAUAAAAGUGAAAUGCAACUUUAUUAAAUAAAUAAUAAAAUCCAAAAGUCUAUUACAUCAUGUCAUGCUUUUAAGGGUUCUAUCAUAACAGCAUGCACAUAAGAACUAUGCAUUGAGAAGAGAUGGUCUAGGUACUAGGUAGCAUGUGGAGGGAAAUGUGCACUAAGAAUAAGAAUGGCAUACCAAGAAGCAUGCACACGUAAGAUAAAAUCACACUAAGAGGACAUAGAAUGUGUGCAAAUAUAUGAAAUUUGCACUUAAAGAACUGCCAAUGUUUGUAUGCAAAGACAUUGUGGACCGAAAAUCGCAUACUAAAGAAAAGUGUGCUCACAUAAGAGAAAAAGAGAGACAUGCAUGCAAGUGUACAAAUUGGAAAACAAUUCAAGAUGUACAUACUAAGAUAAGGAUGCACAAAAUACAACCUAAAUGAAGAGAUGCACACGUGUAAUGCACACCAAGAAGUUAUGUGCAUGAGAAAGACGCACAAAUAUUUCAUCUAAAGAGGAAAGUUGUGCACUAUUCAAUGCACCAAAACAAGACAUGAAGUGGGCAUAAAAAAAUACGCAAAACAAAGCAAGACACCAAGUGCAAGCCUACUACUCAAGAGAAAGAACAAAGUAUGCAAACCAAAAAUGCAAAAUAAGAGGAUGCACUAAUAGGGCAAAUGACUUGUGCAAUUUGACAUGCAAUACAAAACGAACACUAGAAAAAAAACAGACGUGCGCAACCCAAUUCACAAACAUAGUCAAACAUCGGUUGAAUGUACAACUUAGUGCAUAAAAACAAAAUAGAAUGUGUAAUCCUCAGCACAACAUGAAUAGAAUAUAGGGAGCAUGCAAUCUAGGUUCACAGUCAUGAACAUCAAAUACACUAACAAAAACGUGCAAAUCCUAAUAUGUGAACACAAUGAAACAAAGCCUAAGAUAUGCAGUCUUGAUGCACAAUCUUGAGCACUACAGAAGACCAAAGCAAAUAGGUAGCCACAGAGAACCAACUACAAAUGAGUGGCUUCAAAAUGCACACUAACCAAUUCACAAAACAAACAAUAAUCACAAGAAAAUCAAAUGAGCAAAGAAAAAACUCAAAAUACAAUAGGUAAAAAAUAAGAAAAGCCUCAUAUCAUGCGUUAUCAGUGGGCUUAAAAAACAAGUGAGAUAUCCAAACUAGAUUUAAAACAAGAACAAAAACAAGAUUUCAAGAUGUUAUAUGGAAAGAACGAACUAAAUUCAGGUUAAUCUCAAAUAAACUAAAGAAAAAUAGGGUGAACAGAACAAUGACAAGCCUAUAAACAUCCCAGAAUUGAAAAAUUAAUGUGUGGCCUCUAAUAUCCAUAUCCAAUCAACAAGCAACUUUUAACGAUAUCUAAUGAAAGAAAAACAUAACCAAAUAUGGGUCUCAUAAUGAAAAGAGCUUAACUGAGAAGAGAUGUAUUAGUUAACCUUUUCUUCUCUUUGUUUGGUUCUUUACUUUCCUUCUCUUUCAUUUUCUUCUUUCUCUAGUCCUUUUCUUUUUUUCCCUAAGCUCUUUCUCUCUAUCUCUCUUUUUACCCAACAAAUCCCUAAUGACUAGAAUAUUUUUGUGCAUCUCUCUCUCUCACACACAACAAUGUAGAAUGUGCUCUCAUACCUCUUAAAAAUGAGAGAAAAAUCCCCUACAAAAUGCCAAAAGGACCUUCCGAGCAAGGAUCCUACGUUAAGGCUCAUAACCAAAUUAAUGAACGUAGGUUAAACCUAAGGUGCCAUAGAAAGUCAUGCUAGAAUCAACAAAAAUUUCCCUAAUGGUCUCUAAAAAAUGGCUCAAAUAACAACGAACUACCAAGGGACAUGAUAAAUGGAAGGGAUCCUAAGUGCAUGUUAUGAAAGAGUAUAGGGCAAGGGGAAAAUAAACAUGAAAUAACAUAUGCUGGGAGGACAAAAUGGAAGGGAUCCUAAGUGCAUGUUAUGAAAGAGUAUAGGGCAAGGGGAAAAUAAACAUGAAAUAACAUGUGCUGAGAGGACAAAAUGAAGGGUCCGUAGGUUCCACAAUCCAACUGUUAGGAUAUUGCCCUUAAAAACAUGACAUGAUGUAAUAAAUUUGGAAUUCAUUAUUUAUUUAAUGAUGUUCCAAUUUUACUUUUAACCAUUCUUAUUCCAUGUAUUACACUUUAUGAACAUUUUGACCUACAUCUUUUGUAUUGUAUGUGACUUAGGUGCAUUAGGAGUUGCACAAAAGAUCUAAAUCAUGGGUUCCUUGCAAAUAGAUGACUUAUUCACAACUGGUUCAUGGGUCUAGGCAACCAAUUAAAGGUAGUAGUGCAUCACAUCCUAAUUUAAGGGAUGACUUGUCUUGGCUAUCAGGAUAGGUUUCCCAAGGUGAGUGCAAUGUGUGUAUGGUUACACAUUGGACAAGGCCUAUGAUGAGUCAUAACUUAAGGCUAUCAAGUAGUCAUGAUCUCACUAAACUACUCCAUUGUGUUGUCUCUUAACCUUGAGAGAAUAUUAAGUUUGUGCUAAAGUUAGCAGUGGCUUUGACUUAUGGGUGAGAUCGUAAGUUGAUCAUAUAUUCCCUAUGGAUUAGGUCACUACUAAUAAAAUUCGGUAACAAUAAGUAUUUUCAAUAAAGGCACCAUGAUAUCUCAUGGGAUUGAGAUAGUGUGUCCCCUUGGGUGAUUCUAAGAAGGUGUGUCAAUGGAAACUAUGGCCAUAGUAGUUCCUUAAGUGGAACUUGACAUAGGUUCUUAACCAAGAUAUGCCAAUUGAAUACACAAUAGAAAGAUUUGUAACUUAAGGAUAGUAGAGUUAAUCUUGAAAGAUUGAUAGCUUUCACCUUGUUAGACUACGAACACACCAGUUCAUAGGGAGAUUAAAGAUAAUGGAUAACAAGUCGCAAACCCGAGCAUGUAAUGUCUUAUUGUUAUUUACAUAAAAUACUAAAAUUCAGUUAAUUCUCUAUAGUGGGAUAUUGAAUCAACUUUUGAAUUGGAUUCUGAGAUAUCCAACUUAGUGGUCCCUACUCUAAGCUCAUAUACCUUGAUGUCAUAGAUUGUGAAGGUCAAAUUGGUUAUAGGUUCACUUUUUUGCAUAAGAGUGUUUUGGUAAUUAUGCAAGGUUGCACAGGGGUAAGUAAACAAGAUCUUUAGAUUGGGCUAGUUGAUUAAUUAGUAGGCCUUAUUGGAUUAAUUAGUCAAUUAGAACUCAUUUUGGGCUGAAUUAAGUGACCUAAGCUCAUGAGGGCUCAAGUCACUUAAGCUUAAUUAGGAACCUUAUAAAUACCACCUAGGAGUUAGAGUUUCCAUCACUUUUGUCUUCCACCAUUCAAAGAGAAAGAGAGUCAUAACCUCCAACAUUUUUCCUGCUUAUCAAAAGUGUGCUAAGAAUAAGAUUGAGUCAUCGGGCGAAAGAUCAUGGGUUUACGAGACUUCUAACAAUCUUAAGGUCAUCUUCAACACUUGGAAUUUAAGAUUUGGGAACAUCCAAACCUAAAAGGUUAGUACUUUAACCCUAAAAGAUCAAUUUUUUAAAAACUGAUAUUACUUCCCUUGCUUAGAUCUAAGAUGUCAACAUGGAGUGCAAGAUCACGGUUUGAGUCAUCAAGCAAAAAAUCUUAGGUGUACGAGACUUCCAAAUUCAUUGUUCAACACCUUCACUACGUAGAAUUGAUUUGGGAACAUCAAAAUCAAAGGAAAAUUUCUCUAAUGACUUUUCUCUUGAUCCUAGAAUGGUAAAAAAUUGAUUUUGCUUCUGUUGCAUAGGAUCUAGAGCCUUAGGGUAUUUUUGCAUGCACCUAUACGAUAUAGGGUAAGGGAAUGGAGAAAUCCAAGGUUCCUAGCAACGUCUCUUUUCCAUAAUUUUCUUUCUCAUUUCUCAUGUUAUGCAUUCCUUUAUUUGUCUUUGUUGCAUCUUUUCCCCCUCUCAAACUUGAGACUUAUCUCAAAAUAUAUGGAUAGGGUUUUUUUAAAUAAUUCAAGUUAAUUUAGGUAUUAGAAUAGAGCCCUUAAAAGCAUGACAUGAUUUAAAAAAUUUUGAAUUGAUUAUUUAUUUAGUGAUAUUCCAGUUUCACUUUUCUAUAUCCUUAUUCCAUCCAUUAUGCUUUAUAAGCAUUCUUACCUAGAAUGUUUUGCAUUGUACAUGACUUGGAUGCAUCAGGAGUUGUAUAGAAGAUCCAAGUUAUAGGUCUUUUGCAAGUAGAUAACUUGUUCACAACUGAUUCAUGGACUUAAGCAAUUCAUUUGAGGCAAUAGUCUACUACCUCAAAAUUAGAGGGAUGGCUAGCCUUUGCGAUCAGGAUAGGUUUCCCAUGGUAAGUGCACUAAUGUGUAUGGUUACACAUUGAAUAAGACCUACAAUGAGUCAUGACAUAAGACUAUCAAGUUGUCAUGAUUUCACCAAGCUGCUUUAUUAUAUUGUCUCUCAACCUUAAGAGAAUACUAAGCUUCUGGCCAACUUAGUAGUGGCUUUGCCCUAUGGGUGAGAUCUUAAAGUGAUCAUAUAUUCCUCUAUAGAUUAGGUCACUUUUGAUGAAAGCUGAUAGCAAUAAGUAUUCUUAAUAAAGGCAUCAUGAUAUCUCAUGGGAUUGAGAUAAAUUGUUCUUUUGGGUUGUUAGGAUAUUGAGUCUUGUUUAUAUGUUGUUAAUUUUGUUCUUUUUUAUGUUUGGUCAUAGCAGUCUUUUUAGAUAGCAACUUGCUCUACAUUCAAGAUCAAGUGUUGCAAUCUAUCUAAUCGGGAAGUCAUAAGUAUGUCUAAAAAGGUUUAACUUGUGGCAAUUUAGGAUCCAUUGAGGUAUAAAGAGGAUUGGUAAGUUUUUUGAACUUAAAAUUAAUUUUUAUAAAGUUUUUGAAAAAUAGAGGACACUCAAUGAUUCGUGCCCAACUGGUGUAUGCCUUGUUGAUUGGUGUUCAAUCAACUAGUGCACUCUGAUUUCAGUCCUCAGAUGGGAGUAAUCAACAAAAUUUAUAAACCUAUUUCACCAUAUACUAGGGUAGUAUUAGCUAGCAUAGCAUAGUGGCUCUAGGAUCCUCCACAAGGAUGGGCUUUCAAAUUACAACUGAUAUUAGUUCAAAAACUGAAUUGGUGCUUUUUCUUUUCAAGGUUAGCUUUAAAAGAAAACAUAAAUAUGUUUGAAAAGGUUGGUUUUAAGUGAAACCAAAAAUAAAGUAACUAAAAUUACUUACAAAGAAAAGUGCUUCUUGGAGUUUUAGAUCACUAGGCUCAGGUUUGUCAUACAAAAAAGGAGAUUCUGGUCAUUUGGAUCUUUUCAUCGCAUUGGGGAUUUAACAUAUAGUUAUUUCCUGAACCAGUGUGGUACAUAUUCUUCCCCUUAAUGGUUUCAAACACUAAAUCUCUAUCACUGAAUCAUCUUGCAAUGGUUCAUACCUCUCACUUAGUAUUAGCCAUUCAGGGUGAUCCUUAACCUUGGAUUACCCGUCAAAAGCUCGCAAGAGAUAACUAAUGGAUGCCUCUUGGGAGUCCAAAAGCUUACCAAGUGUUGGCUAUUCUAGAUAAUCCUACCUUUAAACCACCUUCCAAAGGCUCGCAAGAGAUAAACUAGUAUAUCUCAAUGGAUGGAGACCACUUGCCUUACCAAGUGUUGGCCUAGGUGAUUUUAAGGGAUUUUAAGUUAACUAAAAAGAUAAAAACUAUUAACGGGUCACACUUUCUCUUUAUUAAAAACUAAAACAACAGAACUUCCACUUUUGCAUUGGGAACCUUACCUAGCUUCCUUCAUUCCAAGAAAUAAAAAUCCUAGCCACUCAUCCUCUGGGAAAACAUCAUGAGAGUUCGAUUUGCUAGAAAUAAAAAUAACGAGAAAAAAAAAUGAGAAGUUAAGGCAGAGCAAAGCUCUGUGUAUUACUUUUUGAAAAACUAUACAAAGUGUCGUCUCCGAGAAAAAAUCCCGAGAGAUCCUUUUAAAAGAAAAAUUACAAUAGAUAUUAUAUAGAGAGAGGCUAUUCACCCCUCCUGCUAACUUCCUAACCAAGAAAACUUGUCAUUGGUGGGUUACAAGGAGAAAAUAGGGAUUUACACACAAAUAUCUAAAGAUAAAUAUCAAACGGAGUCAGUGCACAAAUAUCUCAAAUUAUAGGUGGAUCUCGCAAGUUCAAAUGCAACUUGCGAAAAUUUCACAAGUUGAAAUUAUCCAUUUCGCAAGUUGCGUAAUUGUCCUACAACUUAUCAGCUCUCUGUCCUACAACGAUUCCUUUCCUCUUCCUAUUUUGCAAGUAACGAAAAUUUCGCAAGUUGGAUUCCACAACUUACGAAAUUGCUAGAUGGUUGAUUUCUUUUGUGCUUUUCUUCAUUGCAUACUCGUUUGGUUUUGGCAAAGGGUUAUGAAGCUCCAAAGCUUAGUUUCUUCAGGAGUUUGAGCUUCAACUUGCUUUGCCAUGAACUAUACAAAGAUCUCCCUCAUUCUUGGAUUGUUUUGGUGAUCAAAAAGCUAUCAAAAACACCAAAACUUAACACAAUUUGAUUAGAAACGAUUGAAAGGGUCCUUAACAUGCCAAUUGAGUUAAAAGGUAAUAACUACUACUCAAAAGUGUUUAAAAGAGUUAAUUACAAGCUAUAAAAUAACACUUUUUGAGUAGUAAUCACUCCCCCCAACCGACACAUUACUAGUCCCUUAGCAAUGAAGGAGAGAAAAAUAAAAAUAAAUAGUACUAUAAUUUACAACAUCAUGCUGAUCACUACAAAAAAUUUCAAGUGGCAUGAUGAUCAAACUUUCACAUGAGACAUUAAAGAUAUAAAACUCAAACUUCAACAAGAGUUAUCAAAUAACUUGCCUAAUCACAAUUCAUAAAGAGAAGGCAUUAUGCAAAUUUAAGUUUUAAAAGAAUUUCCAUUCCCAAAGGGUCAAUCCUUACUCUUCUACAAAAAUCUAAGUGUUACUUAUUAGUUUCUGAAUACAAAAAGUAAAUAGAUGAUCAGGUAGUGGUGGGAGGAUCAUGUGGAGACGAUGGCUUUGCUGUGGUCUCCUGAGUGCUUUGGAUAGGAGUCUCGACCUCUGCUGUAGUAGUCUCCUCAUAGGGCAUAGUCUGCUCUGCUGGAGUAGCCUCCUGAGAUGGAAUAGCUUGCUCAGCUAGAGUAGCCUCCUCAGAUGGAGCUGUAGGCUCUAAUGGACUAGGCAUAUCAUGCUCAGAUGGUGGCAGAAUACCUAAAUGCUUCCGUAUUUGACUAAGGAUCGUAGUAUGUUGGGUUUGCAUGGCAAUAAGUUGAUCCUGACAUGCACGUAUGACUGUUAUCUAUUGGGCGAGAACACUUUGAGUAGUGCUCAAUGUCUGCAAUGUAUGACAUAGGCCUCUAAACUCUAAACUACAUAUAGUGAUAGAAGACUCAGAUGGAGGAGGUGCUAAUGUAGCUGGUACAACUAGUAAAGCUUCAAAAGUGGUAGAAGGAGCAGAAGAUGUAGCCUCGGGCGUGGGCACUGUAGAAGGUACUGUAGGGGUAGGUGGUAUGAUCUCUGUAGGUAUCUCAGCUUGUUGUGCCUGUGGUGGCUGCUCAUCUUGUGGUAACUCUGGAGGUGUUGGCACAUCUGGGGCCCUUGGGGGUGCAACAUAGGUUGUCAAAUGAUUCCAUUUGUCGAGAAUGAAUAGCUCUCGAAAAAUACGGCGGCGCUCAAGCUGAGGCUCAGAAGGAUGGCCCAAAUGCUCUAAUAUCUAACAGAGCAGCUUGGAAAAAAGUAAUGGAAUGGCAUCUACUCUUUGGAGCUUCUUCCUGUGGACCUUCUCUUCAAAGUAGAAAAGAGAGGUCAUAAUCAAAAUAUGAGGGCCAAAGUAGAAACCCUCUGAUAUUCGGAAUAAAGCCUCCAAUAUAGCUCAUCUCCUCUGCACCAUAUGCUGAAGUGGAAAUAUGUUGGAACACAACACCACAUCUAGAAGAAGCAUCACAAGUGGAAGCUCCUUCCUAAGAAGAAAUGAGCGUGUAGAGGUCCCCCUGGACAAUAUACGGACCAUGUCUCUCUGAGAGAAAUGGGACCACUCUCUGUAAUCUGCUAGACUCAUAGGCUCAUAUGGCAUGUGCAGGGCCUCUGCAAUGUGUCUAGCUCCUAGGAUACCAUGGCGUCCAUCAAUAGUGAAAUGGAUGACAGUAGGAUCCCAGACGCGACGAGUAGUCAUAGACUGAUAAAAGUCUAGUGCUACUCUGGGAUAGAAGAAGUCCCUAGGAGUCAUCAGGUGCUCCAAAUGGUAUCUCUGCAGUAGGCGGAAUGAAUCUCUAAGUUCCGGCUGCUGUUUGAAAGUCUCCAUAUCAAAACAUAGCUCAGAGUGGAAUGGCCUAGCUCAGCAAUCCAAAUUUCCCUCUAUAGGUGGCUGUGUAACCAUAGGUCGCCUGAUAAUCACUUCUAGAGUCAUCCCAGAAGGAAUCUGAGACUUUGUAGCAAGAGGCUGAGGCUGUGGAGGUGCAGAUGACUCUCCUGGGCCUGAAACUCUGGCUUUCUUUGCAGGAGGGCAAUGAACUGAUUUCUUGGGACGUAAAAUGCUUGCCCUAGGUGUAGUAGGUGGUCUCCUCGUCUCGUGCCUACGCUGAGGAGGGCUAGAUGGCACUCCACCCUCAGAAUGUGGAAUGGCAGAGGCCUGUGGAGCCUCAGAUGUGGAAUCCCGUGCAGGUGAAGCUCUUGGCCUUGGAUUGCAGGUUGAUGAAGACGCGAUGUAGGCUCCUCUUGUCUUGGCCAUGGCUGAAAUGGAGAGGCUUGUGUUCCACAAGGUGCGUGGAGGUGUGCGGAGUGGUUCUUCUUCAAACGCACAACUUUUGGGCUUCCAACUCUAGAAUUUGGGGGACUUUGCAACUUACAAGGUUAUUUUGCAACUUGAAAGGGCUAUGCGACAUGAAAAUGGAAAAAAUAAGAGGUUUAAAUAUGAAUUUAAACGUCGGUUGGCAUUUUCACAAGUUGGCCUGAAUUCGCAAGUUGGUUCGCAAGUUGCCCAUUUUCGCAACUUGAUUCACAGGUUGCGAAACUUGAAAUUGAACUUACGAAAUGGCACAUGUGUGCUUGGAGGUGCUUUCGCAGGCUCCAAAAAUUUUCACAAGUUGAAUAGUGGACUUGUGAAUUUGAGCUUUGAGGAUUUCGCAAGUUGGACCCUAUUUUCACAAGUUGGAAUUUCAGCUUGCGAAAUUUUCGCAAAUUGAAAUAUUGCUCUGUAUUUCAGGCUUUUUCUCCUUCUUUGGUUCUUUAAGGCUUUCCUCCAAUUCCUUUGAAGUUCCUCCUAAUUUUGAUCAUCCAAAAAGUCUAAGUUAAAUCAAAAUAAAAUAAAUUAAAGCUAGAAUUAAAAUUAAAACAAAUAAUAAAGCUUUUAAAUCAACAAAAUUGAAACAAAAAACAUGGACUUUGGUUAGUCUUCAAAAAGACUAAGUCCAUCUACUCCUUUUUGGUUAAGAUUGUUGUGGCUCAAGAAGACUGACUUCCUCCUUAUCUUGAUUGAAAGGCUCCAUGAAUGGCUUGAGACGGUGGCCAUUGACUUUGAAAGUGUUUGUGCUAUUGGAAUUGAGUAGUUCAACUACUCCAUUGGAAUGCACUUGGUGAAUAAUGAAAGGGCCUAUCCACCUUGAUUUUAGCUUUCCUGGAAAGAUGUGGAGCCUAGAGUCAUAGAGUAAGACUCUUUGUCCCUUUUGAAAUUCUUUGUUGGAGAUUAACUGAUCAUGCCAUCUCUUCAUCCUCUGUUUUGCAAUUUUGGAAUUGAUGUAGGCAUCAUUUCUCAAUUCAUCCAUCUCAUUAAGGUCUAAGCAUCUCUUCAUCCCAGCUCUGUUCAAGUCCAUGUUUACCUUCUUAAUUGCCCACCAAGCCUUAUAUUCAACUUCCACAGGGAGAUGGCAUGUUUUGCCAUAGACUAGGCGAUAAGGAGACAUGCCAAGAAUAGUCUUGUAAGUUGUUCUGUAUGCCCAUAGUGAAUCAUGGAGCUUAACAUACCAAUCUCUUCUGCUCGUGUUCACCACCUUCAUCAAUAUAUUCUUGAUUUCCGUAUUUGCUAACUCAACUUGCCCAGAAGUCUGAGGGUGGUAAGGUGUAGCUACCUUGUGCUUCACCCCAUACUUGGCUAAGAGAGUUUCAAAAGGCUUGUUGCAAAAAUGAGUACCUCUAUCACUGAUUAUGACCUUGGGCACCCUAAAUCUUGAGAAGAUGUUCUCGUUGAGAAACUUGAGAACAACUCUGUGGUCAUUUUGUUUACACGGGAUUGCCUCAACCCAUUUAGAAACAUAGUCUACCCCCACCAAAAUGUAAGAGUUACCAAAAGACAUAGGGAAAGGUCCCAUGAAGUCAAUGCCCCAAACAUUGAAAAGAUCAACUAUAAAAUGGGGUUCAUAAGCAUUUGGUUCCUACGUGUUAACUUCCUAAGCCUUUGGCAUCUAUCACAGCUCCUGCACAUGGCGUGAGCAUCUUUGAAAAGUGAUGGCCAACUGAAACUUGAUUGCAACACUUUCAUGGCUAUUUUCUAAUAGGCAAAGUGGCCUCCACAUGAGCUUUCGAGGCAAUGACUGAGGAUCCCCUGUUGCUCUUGUUUAGGGACACACUUCCUUAUUAUUCGAUAUGCACAAUACUUGAAAAGGAAAGGUUAUUCCCAAUAGUAGGCAUGAAUUUUUGUAAAGAAGUGCUUCCUAUCUUGUGCUAUCCACUCACUUGGAAUUUCACCAGUAACUAGAUAGUUAGCAAUAUGAGCAUACCAAGGAGUAUCUUCUAACAACAUGAGUGACUCCUUCAGAAAAUCAUCAUUAAUAGGUAAACCAUGGGAAUUAUGCGAUAUAGCCAGCCUAGAAAGGUGGUCAGCUACCACAUUCUCCACUCAUUUCUUGUCUUUGAUUUGGAGAUUGAACUCUUGCAGUAAGAGAAUCCAUCUAAUCAGCCUUGCUUUUGCAUCUUGCUUUGUCAAUAAGUACUUCAAAGCUGAGUGGUCAGUGAAAACCACAAUGAAAGACCUUACCAGAUAAGCACGAAAUUUGUCCACGGCAAAAACUACAGCCAACAAUUCUUUCUCUAUGGUUGUGUAGUUUCUUUGCGCUUCAUUCAAUGUUUUACUUGCAUAGUAGAUCACAUAGGGCUUUCCAUCAUCUCUUUGACCAAGAACAACUCCUAUAGCAAAGUCACUGGCAUCACACAUCACUUCAAAAAGUAGUUGCCCGUUAGGAGCCCUUACUAUUGGAGCGAUUGUCAAGAACUGCUUCAGUUGCUCAAACCUCUUUCGAUAUCUUUCAUCCCAUACAAAUUUAGCAUCCUUCAGUAAUAGUUCACAAAGAGGCUUUGAAAGUUUAAAGAAAUCUUUAAUAAACCUCCUGUAGAACCCAACAUGGCUAAGGAAUUGCCUCACUCCUUUUACAGUUGUUGGGGAUGGCAAUUGAUUACUACUCAAAAAGUGAUAUUUCAUAGCUUGUAAUUAACUCUUUUAAACACUUUUGAGUAGUAUUUAUUACCUUUUAACUCAAUUGGCAUGUUAAGGACCCUUGCAAUCAAUUCUAAUCAAAUUGUGUUAAGUUUUGGUGUUUUGAUAGCUUUUUUAUCACCAAAGCAAUCCAAGAUUGAGGAGAGUUCUUUGGAAUCCAUGGCAAAGCAAUGGAAAGCUCAGAAACAUGAAUAACCAAAGCUUUGAAGUCCUUUGCCAUAAGCAAAUCCGGAAUGCAAGGAGGGAAAGCAAAGAGAAAUCUGCCAUGAAGCAUUCUUGAUGACAGUCAUGUUAGCCACUUUUGGAGCACUUCCUGGAGUCCAAUUUAUGCAUGCUAUAUGUCGUUUCGAAGCUCAGGAAGUCAACAAUCCAAUGCUUCGAAAUGAAAUGAAGGAGUUAUAGCCAUUGGAAGCCGAUCACUCCAAGCUGAAGGAAGAAUUUUGAACGGCUGCGAAAUCACCCUUUUGCUGCGAAAUGAUUUCGCAACCAUUUUGCACAGUGCAACAAAAUUUCUCCUGAAGUUUCCCGAUAUUUGCGACCGACACUUUUGGAUAUUUUGCUUCAGAUUUUUGAUGUCUAAAUCCCCAUUUUCUCCUUGUAACCCACCAAUUAUAGGAUUCCUUAGUUAUUAAGUUUGGAAAAUGGGUGAAUAACCUCAGAUAUUUUGUUUUGUAAUUUUCUUUAUAUAUAGCUCUCGGGAGCUUGUUCUCAGAGCAUCAUGUAAUCCAACGGGAUAUAGAUAUAUAAAUAUAUAGAAUAUACAGAGCCUUGCUCUGUUUUUCCUUCUUUUUCAUUUUCUUUUUCUUUCUAGCCAACCAAACUCUGAGGAUUUUUCCUCAGAGAAUGAGAGGCUAGGCUUUUCGUCUCUUGGAGUGAGGAAAGCCGGGUAAGUUUCCGAAUGCAAAAUUGGAAGUUUUGUUGUUUUAGUUUUUAAUGAAGAGAAAGUGUGACCCGUUCAUGGUUUUUAUUUUUUUAGUUAACUUAAAACGCCUUUAAAUCACCUAGGCCAACACUUGGUAAGGCAAGUGAUCUCCGUCCAUGGAGAUUCACUAGUUUAUCUCUUGCGAGCCUUUGGGAGGUGGUUUGAAGGUAGGAUUUUCUAGAAUAGCCAACACUUGGUAAGCUUUUGGACUCCAAGGAGACAUCCAUUAGUUAUCUCUUGCGAGCUUUUGACGGGUAAUCCAAGGUUAAAGAUCACCUUGAAUGGCAAGUGCUAGGUGAGAGGUAUGAGCCAUUGCAAGGUGCAUCAGUGAGAGGGAUUUAGUGUUUGAACCCAUUAAUGGGAAGCAUCUGUACAAUACCGGUUGGAGAAGGAACUAUAUGUUAAUUCUCUAAUGCAAGGAAAAGAAACAAGUGACCGGAACUCCCUUUUUGUAUGAGGAAUCUGAGCCUAGUGAUCUGAAACUCCAAGAAAUACUUUUCUUUGUAGUUAAAAUCAGUUACUAUUUUUGGUUAGCUUAAAACCAACCUUUUCAACCAAUGAUUAUGUUUUCUUUUAAAGCUAACCUUGAAAUGAAAAGGCACCAAUUCACUUUGAAUUAAUAUCAUUUGUGAAGUGAAAACCCAUCCCAGUGAACGAUCCUAGAGCCACUAUGCUAUAGUAGCUUUGUCUUUGCUACCCUAGUUCAUGGUGUAAUAGGUUAUAAAUUUUGUUGAUUACUCCCUCAAUCAAGGAGCACCAGCUGGACACGAAUCAGCUGAGACACCAAUUGGGCAUGAAUCAAAUGGCGUCGUUGCCGGGGAUGGUGCCACUUUACAAUGAUAUCACCUUUUCAGAGUACUUGUGAUCUUUAUCACAAGUUUGGUGACUUUUCUUUUCUCUUUACUAACUCUUUUUAUUUGUUUCUUUUUCUUUGUUCAUAUUUUAGUAUAGUUUUUAUUUAGUUUUUAGUUAAUCUUAAGAAUUUUUUUUUUGUUCUCUAUAAUUUUUGUUUCUUUUGUUUUGUUUUGUUUUCUCUGUUUUUUAUGCUCAAAUUGCUAGUUGUGCAUGCCAUAUUGAAUACGAGAUAGCAGAGGAAGCUAUGAAUUUCAUGAAUUAUGUGGCUGAAGUUUCAAGAGGAUGUGAUGAACCAAAUGCUAGAGAUAUGGGAAGAAUGACGUCUCAACCUAAUGCUAAGGGUGAGAUGUAUAUUUUGAAUGAUGACAUAGACAUGAAGGCAAAGAUUGCAGCUAUGGCAAGGAGAUUGGAAGAGCUAGAAAUGAAGAAGAUGCAAGAAGUGCAAGCCAUCUCUCAGACACCAUUGCAAGCUAUGCCUUGUGCCAUUUGUCUAUCUUAUGAGCACUUGGUGGAAGAGUGUCCUAUCAUUCCAACGGUGAGAGAAAUGUUUGGUGAUUGCAACACCUACAAUUCCAAUUGGAGGGACCAUCCAAAUUUCUCUUGGAAACCACAACUGUCUCAGUACAAGCAACAUGUUCAAGCACUUCCGCAAGCCUCAAACCUUGAACAAGCUAUGGUGAAUCUUAGCAAGGUCGUGGGAGACUUUGUUGGAGCUCAAAAAUCUAUCAAUGCUCAUCUCAGUCAAAGAAUUGACAGUGUAGAGAGUUCAUUGAACAAAAAGAUGGAUGGAAUACAAAAUGAUCUAUCUCAGAAGAUAGAUAAUCUCCAAUAUUCAAUCUCAAGGUUUGCCAACCUCAACACAAUGCAAGAGAAAGAAAACUCUCUUUCUCAACCUCAUCAAAAUUCCAAGGGUAUCCAUGAAAUGGAGGCUAAGGAGGGAGAACCUUCACAAAAGAGGGAAGUCAAAGAAGUGAUCACUCUGAGGAGUGGUAAAGAGGUUGAUAUGCCCACAUCCAAGCUAGAGCAUAUGGUAGAGAAUGAAACAGAGAAAGAAAAGAGGGAGGAAAUCAAAGGAAAGAAAAUGGGGAAAAGUAUAGAGAAAGAUGACUAUGAUUUUAAUAUAGAAGGAGAACCACAGAGGAUAGUCAUCAAGGAAGAAUUGAUGAAGAAACACAUGCCUCCACUUUUCCUCCAAGCUUUGUAUGGCAAAAUCAUACAGAGCAAGUCUCAAGUGAGAGAUGCAAACUUCAUAUGGGAUCCGAGCAAGCUGAACCAAGGAUCAGAUUUUUUGAUGGACUUAGUCUUUUUAAAGACUAGCUAGUCCAUAUCUUUUUGUUUUAUUUAUUACUUGUUUUAAUUUUGAUUUCAAUGCUUUAAUUCUAAUUUGUUUUGAUGUAAUAUAGGUUUUUGGAUGAUCAAAAUCAAGAGGAAUGUCAAAAGAAGUGAAAGAAGGAAGUUGGGAAUCAAGAGGAGCUCAAAAGCAUAAAAAUUCAGUGGUUUGUGAAAUUUCGCAACCAAAAAUAGCCCCCUGCGAAAUCGCCACUUUGUUGCGAAAUUAUUUCGCAGCCCCAAGAAGUCGCUGCGAAAACGCCACUUUGCUGCGAAAUGAUUUCGCAGCCCCAUGCUCCCCUCUGCGAAAAUUUUCACAGCUGCGAAACCACCUCUUGGCACACGAGUGCCAUUUCGCAACCUCAUACCCUCAUUUCGCAGCUGCGAAAUGGCCGCAAAAUCUCCAAAGCGUAAAAACUCCCACUUUUCGCAGCCAAAGCCUCAUUCCGCAAGGAGUUUCGCAACUGAGAAACCAUUCUUUGGCACACGAGUGCCAUUUCGAAGCCCCGUACACUCAUUUUGCAGCUGUGAAAUGGUUGCGAAAUCCUCCAUGCCUUAAAAUCCUUCAGCGCGCACACCAUGAAGCCGCACCCCCAUUUCGGCAACUAUUGGACACAUUUAGAUCACUUCCUGAAGUCCAUUUCAUGCAUAAAAUCUGUCAUUUCAAAUCUUGGGAAGUCAGGAGUCCAACGCUUCAAACGGUGCUCAAUUUGGAGUUGAAACGAAGAAGUUAUGGCUGUUUAAGACGAACACGCAAAGCUAAGCGAAAAUUUCGCAGCCAAAGCCCCAUUUCGCAGGGUGUUUCGCACACGAGUGCCUUUGGCACACGAGUGCCAUUUCGCAGCCACCCAACCCCAUUUCGCAGCUAUGAAAUGGGCUGCGAAAAUGGCACCCGGCCGCGAAAAUCCCAUUUGGUUGCGAAAUGUUUUCACAGCCCCAUAGCUACCCCCUGCCAAAUCCUCCAUUUGCUGCGAAAAUGGUUGUUUGUUGCCAAAUGAUUUUCAAACUUCCAAAUGGCUAUGAAAUGAUCUCCAAGCUUUGAAAUGGUUGUGAAAUGAUUUUCAAGCUUCAAAAUGGGUUGCGAAAAUGUUUCUAUUUUUUCCAUGGGCUGCAAAAAUGUUUUUCUUUUUUCCCUUUGGCUGCAAAAUGAUCUCCAAACUAUGAAAUGACCUCCAUGCUAUAAAAAUGACUUGCAAAAUGAAGAGAGGUUUGCAAAAACACUUUGAAAAGCCAAGGGAAGUUCCGAAAAUGCCAACAUAGCCCCGCAACCAUGCAUCUAAAGAGGAGAGCCCUCUCACUAAGAUCACACACAUGAAGCCUCUCACUCCAUUUCUGACCUCCUUAAACCAUUAGAGCCCAUAGCUCCAGCUAAGGAGACUAUGCCACCUAAGGAGACUACCAGAACAGAGGCCAAAGUCCUGAUCCAACCCAUUCAAGAGGCCACCACAGAUGCAUCAGCUCCAUAGGACCUUACCAUUACUUGAUCAUCUCUUUAUUUUUUGUCUUUACAUAUUAUAUUAGUAUAAAUAAUUCCAUAUUUUGAUGUCUUAUAUUCUGAGAUUGGAUGUAUUACUAAUGAUGCAUCAUAUAUAGACAUCAUUUUUGUUAAAACUUAGCGUUUUUCUAUUUCCUCUACUCACUAACUCUUAUGUUUUCUUUGAAACAUGUGGUUUCUCCUAUACGACUCAGACUCCAUGUCACUCAGGAGGUACCACUUCCUCCCUAUUUUUCAAUCGCUUUUGUCACAUUGAGGACAAUGUUCAGCUUGGUUGGGGGGAGAGUUGAGGAAGUAAGUAUUGUUAAUAAUGCUAAGUUAUUUUGGUAAUUUAGUUGUUUUUUGCUUAAUUUUUUUUUAAAAAAAAUUUUAAAGUUUUUAUUCUACUCUCCAUGGUUAUUAAGGAAAAAUUUUCAAAAUAAAAAGGGAGAAAUUGAAUUUUUGUCUUUUUACUUGACUUAGAUUUUGUAUUAUGCUUACUAAAGUUGAUGAAUUGUUGAAACUUCUAUUGAAUUCAACCUUAGUUCUUCCACUUUAAGCUAUUCACACACUGUGCACAAUAGGUUCCGAGUAUAAGAUGAAAAACUAUUUCCCUCUUGACUUAGGAAAAUUUUAGACUUGGUACCUUUGACCUCAUUUAAUAGUGUUGGGACACCUUGUAAAAGGCCAAUGAGUAUUUGAAAAGAAAGAAAGAAAGAAAGAAAAAUGUUUGCUUGCCUUGAAACCCGAGCAAGGUCUGAGGGGUAUAUGGUGAAAAUCUUUAAAACCUGGUGCCCUAAGCCUUAAUUGGUUGGGAGUCACCGACCUCAAUGCUCGUUACAUGGGUGAAUAGGUGGAGUUUAACAUACUGUAGGUGCUUGGGUAUUAAAAAUUCAUUCUCAAAAGUCCGGGGUAAAAUCCGAGGAGUUAGUGGUUUAAAGAUCUUUAAAGCUUGAUGCCCUAAACCUUAAUUGGUUGGGAGUCAUCGAUAGACCCCCGUUACAUGGACAAUUUAGAAAAAAUACCUUUAAGCCUUGUACUCCUACAAUGAAAAAAAUUGUGAAAAAAGAGGUGCGUUCUUAGCCUAUUGGAGGUUCAUCAGUUUGCUAAGCUUUGAAAAAGAACUAGGUUGGGGGGAGAGAUUAGUUCAACAUACUAUAUUCGGAAGCUAAUAAGUAAUACUUAGAUUUUUGUGGAAGAGUAAGGUUUGAUCCUUUGGAAGUGGAAAUGAUUUUAAAGCUUAAAUUUGCAUAAUGCCUUCUCUUUAAGAAUUGUGAUUAGACAAGUUAUUUGAUAACUCUUGUUGAAGUUUGAGUUUUAUUUCUUUAAUGUUCCAUGUGAGAGUUAGAUCAUCAUGCCACUUGGAAAUUGUUUUUUGAUCAGCAUGAUGUUGUAAAUUAUAGUACUUUUUAUUUUUAUUUUUUCUCUCCUUCAUUGCUAAGGGACUAGCAAUAUGUCGGUUGGGGGGAGUGAUUACUACUCAAAAAGUGCUAUUUCAUAGCUUGUAAUUAACUCUUUUAAAUACUUUUGAGUAGUAGUUAUUACCUUUUAACUCAAUUGGCAUGUUAAGGACCCUUGCAAUCAAUUCUAAUCAAAUUGUGUUAAGUUUUGGUGUUUUGAUAGCUUUUUUAUCACCAAAGCAAUCCAAGAUUGAGGAGAGUUCUUUGGAAUCCAUGGCAAAGCAAUGGAAAGCUCAGAAACAUGAAUAACCAAAGCUUUGAAGUCCUUUGCCAUAAGCAAAUCCGGAAUGCAAGGAGGGAAAGCAAAGAGAAAUCUGCCAUGAAGCAUUCUUGAUGACAGUCAUGUUAGCCACUUUUGGAGCACUUCCUGGAGUCCAAUUUAUGCAUGAUAUAUGUCGUUUCGAAGCUCAGGAAGUCAACAAUCUAAUGCUUCGAAAUGAAAUGAAGGAGUUACAGCCAUUGGAAGCCGAUCACUCCAAGCUGAAGGAAGAAUUUUGAACGGCUGCAAAAUCACCCUUUUACUGCGAAAUGAUUUCGCAGCCAUUUUGCACAGUGCAACGAAAUUUCUCCUGAAGUUUCCCGAUAUUUGCGACCGACACUUUUGGAUAUUUUGCUUCAGAUUUUCGAUGUCUAAAUCCCCAUUUUCUCCUUGUAACCCACCAAUUAUAGGAUUCCUUAGUUAUUAAGUUUGGAAAAGGGGUGAAUAACCUCAGAUAUUUUGUUUUCUAAUUUUCUUUAUAUAUAGCUCUCGGGAGCUUGUUCUCAGAGCAUCAUGUAAUCCGACGGGAUAUAGAUAUAUAAAUAUAUAGAAUAUACAUAGCCUUGCUAUAUUUUUCCUUCUUUUUCAUUUUCUUUUUCUUUCUAGCUAACCAAACUCUGAGGAUUUUUCCUUAGAGGAUGAGAGGCUAGACUUUUCGUCUCUUGGAGUGAAGAAAGCCGGGUAAGUUUCCGAAUGCAAAAUUGGAAGUUUUGUUGUUUUAGUUUUUAAUGAAGAGAAAGUGUGACCCGUUAAUGGUUUUUAUUUUUUUAGUUAACUUAAAACACCUUUAAAUCAUCUAGGCCAACACUUGGUAAGGCAAGUGAUCUCCGUCCAUGGAGAUUCACUAGUUUAUCUCUUGCGAGCCUUUGGGAGGUGGUUUGAAGGUAGGAUUUUCUAGAAUAGCCAACACUUGGUAAGCUUUUAGACUCCAAGGAGACAUCCAUUAGUUAUCUCUUGUGAGCUUUUGACGGGUAAUCCAAGGUUAAAGAUCACCUUGAAUGGCAAGUGCUAGGUUAGAGGUAUGAGCCAUUGCAAGGUACAUCAGUGAGAGGGAUUUAGUGUUUGAACCCAUUAAUGGGAAGCAUCUGUACAACACCGGUUGGAGAAGGAACUAUAUGUUAAUUCUCUAAUGCUAGGAAAAGAAACAAGUGAUCGAAACUCCCUUUUUGUAUGAGGAAUCUGAGCCUAGUGAUCUGAAACUCCAAGAAAUACUUUUCUUUGUGGUUAAAAUCAGUUACUAUUUUUUGUUAGCUUAAAACCAACCUUUUCAACCAAUGAUUAUGUUUUCUUUUAAAGCUAACCUUGAAAUGAAAAGGCACCAAUUCACUUUAAAUGAAUAUCAUUUGUGAAGUGAAAACCCAUCCCAGUGAACGAUCCUAAAGCCACUAUGCUAUAGUAGCUUUGUCUUUGCUACCCUAGUUCAUGGUGUAAUAGGUUAUAAAUUUUGUUGAUUACUCUCUCAAUCAAGGAGCACCAGCUAGACACGAAUCAGCUGAGACACCAAUUGGGCACGAAUCAGCAAUUUGACAAUAAGUUCCACCUUUGCUUUAUCAACUUCAAUGCCUUUCUUGGAGAUGAUGUGGCCAAGGACAAUUCCUUGUUGUACCAUAAAAUGGCAUUUCUCCUACUUAAGCACUAAGUCUUUUUCAAUGCAUCGGUUUAGAACAACUUCCAAGUUGACUAAACAUUCCUCAAAUGUGCUUCCAUAUAUGGUUAUAUCAUCUAUAAAAACUACCGUAAUACGCUCCACCAUAUCACUGAAAAUGCUUAACAUACAUCAUUGGAAUGUUGCAGGUGCAUUGCAUAAACCAAAAGACAUUCUUCUAUAGGCAUAUGUUCCAAAUGGACAUGUGAAAGUGGUUUUCUCCUAGUCUUUAACAUCAAUUUCUAUUUGAAAAUACCCGGAGAAGCCAUCUAAGAAACAAUAGAAAGGAUGGCCUGAGACUCUCUCCAACACUUGAUCAAUAAAUGGCAAUGGAAAAUGAUCAUUCCUUGUCACAACAUUCCAUUUUCUAUAAUCAAUACACACCCUCCAACCUGAAGUGAGGUGUGUAGCAACUUCUUCUCCCUUAUCAUUUUGCACCAUUGUGAUCUCUGAUUUCUUUGGCACUACUUGAGUAGGACUCACCCAUGGGCUAUCUUAUAUGGGGUAGAUAAUACCAGCCUGAAGUAGCUUAAGAACUUCAACUUGCACCACCUCUUGCAUAUGAGGAUUCAAUCUUCUUAAAGGUUGACGAAUUGACUUAGUUUCUUCUUCUAUGUAUAUAUGAUGCGUACAGACUAAAGGGUUGAUACCUUUCAAGUCAGAUAUUUGCCAUCCUAUUGCUUUCUUACAUCUCCUGAGAACUUCAAGUAAACACUCCUCCUAAGGAGUGGUAAGAGAUGAAGAUAUAACAACAGGGCACUUCGUAUUCUUUUCUAGGUAUGGAUACUUCAACUCCGUGGGUAAUGGCUUUAAACUAAGCUUUGGGGCCUCCUCUUUAACAGCUUCUUGUAUCUCCUCCUCAUUGAACAAAGGUAGAAUUUCUUCUAUCCUCCUCCAACCUGGUAGAGUAGUAAGCAAAUCUGAGGGUUCAAGCAACCCUUCAUCAAGAUCCCUAAGACUUUCAUUCAAUUUCUUUUGUACUUUCUGAUUACAAUGCUCCUUCACUAAAGUGUCAAUGAUGCACACCUCUUCUAGACCUUCUUCUUCCAACUUGAUUGGCUUCUUGGACAUAUAGUAGAUAUUGAGUUCCAAUGUCAUGUUCCCAAACGUGAGUUGCAUGAGUCCAUUCCUACAAUUGAUGAUUGCAUUUGAUGUAGCUAGGAAUGGUCUUCCAAGUAUGAUAGAAACAUAAUUAGUUUCCUUGACAAUUGGGUCCGUAUCAAGAACAAAAAAAUCCAUUGGAUAGUAGAAAUUGUCAACUUGAACUAAGACAUCUUCAAUCAUCUCUAUUGGAAUCUUCCCUUGUCUAUCUGCUAGAGAUAGAGUGAUUGAUGUUGGCUUCAAUUCACCAAGUUCCAAUUGCUUGUAGACAGAGUAUGGUAGCAAAUUCACACUUGCCCCCAAGUCCAACAAAGCUUUCUCCAAUAAAGUCCCUCCAAUCAUCACUGAGAUGGUAGGGCAGCCCGAAUCUUUGUACUUCACUGGAGACUUGCACUGUAUGAUGGCACUUACUUGCUCAGUCAAGAAGGUUUUCUUAUUCACAUUCAACCCUCUUUUGAUAGUGCACAAGUCCUUCAAGAAAUUUUCAUAAGUCGGCACUUGUUUGAUCAUGUCUAGCAAUGGGAUGUUGACCUUCACUUGCCUCAAUACUUCAAGAAUUUCUGAUGCAUUGCUGAUUCCCUUUUUCCCAUGCAAAGCUUGAGGAAAAUGUGGAGGCAUGUAUUUCUUCAUCACAUCUCCAUUGAUAACUAUCUUCUCUGGAUCUUCAUUCACUGUUGAAUCAUGGUCUUCUUUCCUUCCACUACUUCCUUUCUUAUUUCCUUUUAUUUCCUCCUUCUUCUCUAUCUCUUUUUCACUCUUUGUUUCAUCAUGUGGCUUGGGUGUUGGUAGCUCAACCUCUUUACCACUCCUCAAAGUGAUCAUGGCUUUGAUGUCUCUCACCUGUGAAGAUUCUCCCUCAUGAGCUUCCACUUCAUGGAUACCCUUAGGGUUUUGGUGAGGUUGAGAAGGAAACCUUCCCUUCUCUUGCACUGUGUUAAGGUUGGUGAGCCUUGAGAUUGAGUAUUGGAGAUUAUCUAUCUUCUGAGAUAAAUUUUUUUGCAUUCCAUCCAUCCUUUUAUUCAAUGUAUUCUCUACACUAUCAAUUCUUUGAUUGAGUUGAGCAUUGAUGGAUUUCUGGCCUCCAACAAAAUCUCCCACGACCUUGCUUAGAUUCACUAUUGCUUGCUCAAGAUUGGAAGCUUGUUGAGAUGCUUGGCCUGGUUACAUGUACUGAAGUGCUCUUAGUUUCCAAGAGAAAUUUGGAUGGUUCCUCCAAUUUGAAUUGUAGGUAUUUCCAUAUGAAGCAUUGUUAUUGGGCUUGAAUUGUCCAAUGAUAUUCGCUUGAUCUCCAAACAUUUCUCUAACAACUGGAAUUGUAGGACACUCCUCCACCAAGUGCUCAUAAGAUUGACAAAUGGAACAAGGCAUAACUUGCAUUGGUGUUUCAAAAACAGCUUGCACUUCACGUAUCUUUUUCAGUUUUAGCUCCUCCAAUCUUCUUGUCAUAACUCCAACUUUUGCUUUCAUGUCAAUAUCUUCAUUCAAGGUAUACAUCCCAGCCUUAGCAUUAAGAGCAUUUGGUUGAGACUUCAUUUUUCCCACUUCUCCCUUGUUCGGUUCAUCCCAUCCUCUUGAAACUUCAGCAACAUAAUUCAAGAAAUCCAUGGCUUCCUCUGGAUUCUUACUCAUGAAAUCUCCUCUACACGUAGUCUCUAGGAGUUGCUUCAUUGAGGAAGACAUACCGUCAUAAAAGUAGCUUACCAAUAGCCAUGUAUCAAAGCCAUGGUGAGGAUAAGCAUUGAUAGCUUCCAUGUAUCUCUCCCAACACUCAGAAUUUCUCAUUCUCUUUAGCUAAGAAGUUUGAAAUUUGCCUUUUCAAGCCAUUGGUCCUAUGAGUAGGAAAAAAUUUCUUGAGAAAUUUAGCUUGCAAAUUAGUCCAAGUUCAGAUAUUCCUUGGCCUUAAAGAAUUAAGCCAAAUCUUGGCCUUAUCCUUCAAAGUGAAAGAAAAUAGCUUUAGCCUCAUCAAGUCAAUUGAAGCUUCUGCCUCUUGGAAUGUAUUACAAACAUCUUCAAAUUCUUUGAUAUGCGCGUAGGGAUUCUCACUUUCCAUCCCAUGGAAAGUAGGUAGAAGUGGCACAAUAUGCAGUCUGAUUACUAGCUGCUCUGUAAGAGGCACUAUGCAUGAUGAUGCACUCAUACGAGGUGGACGCAUGCGGUCCCUCAUUGAUCUGAAUGCAUUGGGAUUGUCCUGUUGACCAUGGUGACUAUGCUAAUCUUCAGGUGUAGCUUCCAUGAUGUUCAAGCACAAUUCCAACUCUGUUUAGUGAGGUGUUUCAAUUUUUACAAGUCUUCCUCCACUAUCUCGUAUCCAAUAUGGCAUACACAACUAGUAACAACUGUAACAAAAACAAAGAAAACAAAAGAAAACAAUACUACAAAAAAAAAAAACUAAGAUUAACUAAAAACUAAAUUAAAAGAUAGGCUAAAAUAUGAACAAGUAAAAGAAACAAUUAAAAAUAGUUAGUAAAAGAAAAGAAAAAUCACCAAACUUGUGAUGAAGAUCACAAGUGUUUUGGAAAAGGUUAUAUCACUGUAAAUUUGGCACCAUCCUCGGCAACGGCGCCAUUUGAUUCGUGCCCAGCUGGUGUAUGCCUUGUUGAUUGGUGUUCAAUCAACUGGUGUACUAUGAUUUCGGUCCUCAGAUGGGAGUAAUCAACAAAAUUUGUAAACCUAUUUCCCCAUAUACUAGGGUAGCAUUAGCUAGCAUAGCAUAGUGGCUCUAGGAUCGUCCACAGGGAUGGGUUUUGAAAUUACAACUGAUAUUAGUUCAAAAACUGAAUUGGUGCUUUUUUUUUUUCAAGGUUAGCUUUAAAAGAAAACAUAAAUAUGUUUGAAAAGGUUGGUUUUAAGUGAAACCAAAAAUAAAGUAACUGAAAUUACUUACAAAGAAAACUGCUUCUUGAAGUUUUAGAUCACCAGGCUCAAGUUCGUCAUACAAAAAAGGAUAUUUCGGUCACUUGGAUCUUUUCCUCGCAUUGAGGAUUUAACAUAUAGUUAUUUCUCGAACCGGUGUGGUACAGAUGCUUCCCCUUAAUGGUUUCAAACACUAAAUCCCUGUCACUGAAUCAUCUUGCAAUGGUUCAUACCUCUCACCUAGUAUUGGCCAUUCAGGGUGAUCCUUAACCUUGGCCGUCAAAAGCUCACAAGAGAUAACUAAUGGAUGUCUCCUGGGAGUCCAAAAGCUUACCAAGUGUUGGCUAUUCUAGAUAAUCCUACCUUUAAACCACCUCCCAAAGGCUUGCAAGAGAUAAACUAGUGUAUCUCAAUGGACGGAGACCACUUGCCUUACCAAGUGUUGGCCUAGGUGAUUUUAAGGGAUUUUAAGUUAACUAAAAAGAUAAAAACCAUUAAUGGGUCACACUUUCUCUUCAUUAAAAACUAAAAUAACAAAACUUCCACUUUUGCAUUUGGAACCUUACCUAGCUUCCUUCACUCUAAGAAAUAAAAAGCCUAGCCACUCAUCCUCUGGGAAAACAUCAUCAGAGUUCAAUUUGCUAGAAAUAAAAAUAACAAGAAAACAAAAUGAGAAGGUAAGGUGGAGCAAAGCUCUGUGUAUUACUUUCUAAAAAACUAUACAAAGUGUUGUCUUUGAGAAAAACUCCUAAGAGAUCCUUUUAAAAGAAAAAUUACAAUAGAUAUUAUAUAGAGAGGCUAUUCACCCCUCCUACUAACUUCCCAACCAAGAAAACUUGUCAUUGGUGGGUUACAAGGACAAAAUAGGGAUUUACACACAAAUAUCUGAAGAUAAAUAUCAAACGGAGUCGGUGUGCAAAUAUCUCAAAUUACAGGUGGAUUUCGUAAGUUCAAAUGCAACUUGCGAAAAUUUCGCAAGUUGAAAUUAUCCGUUUCGCAAGUUGCGUAAUUGUCCUGCAACUUAUCAGCUCUAUGUCGUGCAGCGAUUCCUUUCCUCUUUCUAUUUCGCAAGUUGGAUUCCAUAACUUGCGAAAUUGUCCAACUUGCGAAAUUGCUGCAUGGUUGAUUUCUUCUGUGCUUUUCUUCCUUGCAUCCUCAUUUGAUUUUGGAAAAGGGUUAUGAAGCUCCAAAGCUUAGUUUCUUCAGGAAUUUGAGCUUCAACUUGCUUUGCCAUGAACUAUACAAAGAUCUCCCUCAUUCUUGGAUUGCUUUGGUGAUAGAAAAAAGCUAUCAAAAAUACCAAAACUUAACACAAUUUGAUUAGAAACGAUUGAAAGGGUCCUUAACAUGCCAAUUGAGUUAAAAGAUAAUAACUACUACUCAAAAGUGUUUAAAAGAGUUAAUUACAAGCUAUAAAAUAACACUUUUUGAGUAGUAAUCACUCAAGCAAGGAGAAGUGAUCAACCCACCAAAGUGGGCUUGAGAGGUAAUGAAUUUUCAGCCAAGAUUCUUUCACAUAAAUUUGAUUUGGAAGUCUUUUAAAACCAAACCUCUUUGAGAUUUAAUUCUAUAUAUACCUCCUUAUAAUCCCUUAAGGGUUAGAGAUCGAAAAGAGAUCAUAAAGAGUUUAAAGAGAUUUCAAAAUGGAGUCUCCUAGAGUGAAAGCCUAAAGGGCCACAACAUUCAUAAUCUCUCAUUCAAGGAUUUGAUAUUUGAAUCUUGGUUUGAAGACCUUCAUCCCUUCAACAAGGCUGAAGUGUAUUCAUUGGAGCAAUCAGAGGUUGCUACAUCGUGGAUGUGGUUCAAGUUGUAGGUACUGAAGAGCAAGUCUUUAGGGUAAAGGAGCCAGGUAAAUCUGUGUAACUUGAUUUCAUAUAAUGGGUUUAGAUUACUGGGUCUUAGACCUCGUGGUUUUUUAUCUCCAUAGUUAAUGUGGGGGGUUUUCCAUGUAAAAAUUCGAUGCCCAUUGCAUAUCUGUUAAUGUCAUUGCUAUAUCUUUGAAUACUUGAUUAUCAUUGUUAUCCCUAACAACUUGUAGGUUAUCCCUAAUAGAUUAAAAUUAUAUUUUAAUUCUUAAAGAUUUCAAGUAUAAUUCAUUUGGUUAUACAAGGUAUCCUUGGGAUCUCUUAGGAUAAAAUUUGAGGAUCAUAUAUAUAAAUAUUUAUUUUGAAUUUUAAAAACACCCAUUCAUCCACCCUUUGGGUGUUCCCUAUUGGAGUUUCGAUUUUUUAUGGGUGAUCCUAAAUUAAGGAAUUACUAAAAGGUUGUGAUUUUGGUAGUAUUUAAUGGAAUAAAUUCUUAUGAAGUUUUCAUGAGAGUAUUUAUUAAAUUGGAAAGGUGCAUGGACAAGGAGAGUAAAUUUGUGAGGAAUUUUAAAUAUGAGAGAAAUAUUUCCUUUAGUGGAUAAGGUGCUCUCAAGAUUUUCAAAAUCUCAUAAAUUGUUAAUUUCCUUAUUUCACUAGAGUUUCCAAUUUGGAAAUUUUCAUUAGAGAUAAUUUAUCAUUAAAAGAUUAUUACCAAAAGGCUUAGUAAUUUGAUGGAAAUAAUUUUUUUUUGAAACAUUUCCAAGAUAAAAUAUUUAUUAAUUGGAUUUGUGUAAGAGAAAGAGAAUUCAUUCUAUUAUUACACUAGGUUUCCAAUUAUGAAAUAAAUAUUUUUGGAAAUUCUCAAAAAUAGAUAAUUUAUUCAUCAAAGUAAUUACUAAGGAUUUAAAAUGUUUUUAUCUAUCUUAAAAUAUUAAGUGGGAGAGGGUUCUAAGCAAGCCCACGACCUCCAUUGUCAAGCCCAUUUUGAUUUGGGUUCAUCACCACCCUUUCAAGAUGUAUUGGAAAAAAGAACUAGAUUGUGUAAUGAUGCACAAAAAAGAAUACAUGCCUAAAAUAUAUGAUCCUUUCUUGAGUAGACCAUAUCAUGGAACAAUAAAAAAAAAUGUUUUCACCUUCAAUCAUAAAUGACACUUCUAGAGAAAAUUAUAUUAGACAUGUUUGCAGUGGGAGUGACCACCGCUUCAAUGAGGUUCUUUACUUGGUGACAUUGAUAGUUCAAGAACAAUGGUUAUACACUUGACAUUGCAUAUGAAGUAGUAGAAUCACCCCCAUGCGGUCCUGUUUGCAUUGUCCAUAGGCCAAAUUUAGAAAGUAUGUUGAUCUUACCUUUAUAUACCUUCAUGUUUAAGAUAGGAAGAUCGAUUUGAGAGGGUCUCUAACUAGUAAUAAUGUCAUGAUAUGCCCUACGUAAGCUUGAUUCUUAUGAUACUAGGAUACUUUUCAAAAGGACAUGUAGUUUGAGAGCACUAGAUUUUUGCUAAAUUAAUUACCAAUUGCCUUGAAUGCACAAUUAUGUCAUAUGCAUGGUUAUUUUCUUUGUUACAUAUAUCAUAUUGGUUAUUUAUUAUCACUUUGGACAAAACCCAACUAAUCAUUUGGACUUAGUAUUAUUCUAGAUAUAAUAACUAUGUACUUGCAUAGAAGCUAGUUUAAGUAGAGCUAGCUAAUCCUUAUGAAUAACCUAGCAAAAAAAAAGAGUGGCGUAUCAGAGGUGGUAUUAGAAGAGUUAGAAAACCAAGUGUUUAAUACUUUAUCUUUAGAUAAUGUGUUGCAAUAACAACACAUGUCUAUUAGUAGGAACUUUGAUAUUCUAUUUUUAGUCUACAAGGAUUAUUUGGUUAUAAGGGCAGGUUAGCUUAAAGAAGCUACCCUUAGGACUAUUAUGAACAUCGGAUUUUAUAUGAUCUUGAGGACCUUGCCAGUUUCUUCAGGAUGGUUAAAGGGAUUCUUAAAGAACAUAGGGUUAUAUAAAUACUUUCUUACCAAAUCAAGAUGACCCUUUUGGGCUAGAUUAAGUGACCCAAGCCUUGAUGGGCUCAAGUCACUUAAGCCCAGUGGACAAUGCUAUAAAUACCCCCUUAUUCAAUUAGUCGUCUUCCACUUUUAGAAAGAAAAAGAGAGCUAAAGCUUUUUUCUUUCCAUUACCCAUAGUUUGGAAUGCCAAGAUUGUGGUUCAAGUCUUCGGACGAAAGAUCUUGGGUGUACAAGACCUUUAAACUUUUUCUUUUCCACGUGGAAUUGAUCUAGGAACAUCCAGAUCCAAGUAUGAGUACUACAUAUCUAGAUCUAUAAUUAAUGAUGAUUUUUAUUGCCAUUUUACUCACUAUGAUAGAUUUAAAGAUGCCUAGGGAUAGAUGCAUGCACCCCACAAGAUCUAGGGACAAGGAAUAGAGAUAUUUAGGUUUCCCAACACUAUCACCAAUAACACACUAAGAGCCAUAAAUUAUGCACUCAGUGAAAUAUAAUGAGAACAGCACCCUCUAAGGGCGAUAAACAAUAUUUUACACUUAGAGAGCACUUCAAUAGCGCAACUUUAAGUGAUAGUGUAGAUUGCAUGUUUAGGAAGCCACCAUAUUACACACUUAAAGAACUCUUCUCAAAUUGCACUUGGUCAAAUAGUGCACAUUUCUUAGGCAUCCAACAAUGGCACACCCAACAUAGGAGAACCCUUUGUAGGUUGUACACUCCAAAGGUAUCAAUCCACAUUGUACACUUGGAGAAGUGCACUUAAAGUGUGCACCAUUGAGUAAAGGUUUAGAUUGCUCACCUAAGAGUUAGGCUACAUAGUGUACCUCCUAUUAUGCACUAGCGGAACCUUUAUCAAGCUACGCACCAUUCAAGCGCACCUCAUCCCAACAUGUAUAGUGCUCACAAAACUAGUAACCAUUAGUGCAUUAUUCAUUCAACAAUAAAUCAAAUGCAUAUCAAUAUUCAUUAAUGUGCAAUUUUGUCACCAAUAACUUAGUACACUCCCCCUUAAUAAAGCGUCUUCUCUCACUUCAAGAAGUGCACCCCAUAACUCAUCUCACUACAUUAUCUUAAUAGCUUCACCAGGCAUGAGCUCCAAAAAUUACUCUUUCAUCAAGUUGCAUACCAAAUAGUGCCCUUGAGGCUCCUAAAUGUUCGAUCAUCACAUCAUUAUGCUGCCACACUAACAAAACAAGAAGUGCAACCACCAUUCAUACUACACUGACAUGUUUUGACUAAAACGACCACAUUGAUACGUUACUUAUUAGGAUAGAGCCUUUAAAAGGAUGAUGUGAUGUAAUAAAAUUUUGGAUUUUAUUGUUUAUUAAUAAAAUUUCUAGUUCACUUUUAUAUAUCCUAAUUUCGCACAUUAUACUUUGUAAGAAAUCUAGUCUGUAUCUUUUGCAUUGUAUAUGAUUUGGGUGCUUUGGCAGUUGCACGAAAGAUUCAAGUCACGAGUUCCUUGCAAGUAGAUGACUAAUUAACAACCAGUUUGUGGGCUUCCCAUUAGAAGUUCUAGUGCACUACCUCCUAAUUCAAGAGAUGGUUAGUCUUGGUCAUUAGGAUGGGUUUCUCAUGGUGAGUGUACUAGUAUAUAUAGCUACACAUUGGAUAAGACAUACGACGAGUCAUGAUUUAAGGCAAUGAAGUAGUCAUGACAUUACCAAGAUUCUUUAUUAUAUUGUUUCUCACCCUUGAGAGAAUAUUAAGAUUGUGUUAAAGUUAGCAGUAGCUUUGACCAAUAGGUGAGAUCAUAAGUUGAUCAUAUAUUUCUUAUCGAUUAGGUCACUAUUAGUGGAAGUUGGUAGUAAUAUGCAUCUUGAUAGAGGCACCAUGAUAUCUCAUGGGAUUGAAAUAGAGUGUCUCUUUGGUGAUCUUAAGGAGAUGUGUUCAUGUAAAAUAUGAUUAUAAUAAUUCCUUAAGUGGAACUUGGCAUAUGAUCUUAGAGAACUAAGAUAUGUUAGUUGAACACACAAUAGGAAGAUCUAUAACUCAAAGAUAUUAGAGCUAGUAUUGAGACGUUGAUAACUUUCAUCUUAUUAGAUUAUGGACACCAAUUUAUAGGGAGAUUGAAUGCAAUAGAUGGUAGAUCACGAACCCGAGCACUUAAUGUCUCAUUAUUAUUAACAUAAGGUAAAUCUCUAUAAUAGGAUGUUGAAUCAACUUUAGAAUUGGAUCCUAUAAGACCAUUCCAAUGGUCCUUGCUUGAGCUCUUAUAACUUAAUGACACAAUCUAUGAGGUUUGGAUUAACUUCAAGUCCACUUUUGUGCAUAAGGGCAUUUUGGUAAUUACAUAAGGUUACAUAACUGUUAGUGAAUAAAGUCUUUAAAUUGAAUUAUUUAGGACCUAUUUUUUACUAGAUUAAGUAGCGUAAGCCCUUGGUGGGCACAAGUCACUUAAGCUCAAGUAGGGAACCUUAUAAAUACCCCUUAGGGGUUAGGGUUUCCAUCACUUUUUAAAGUGAACCAUCUUCCACCAUCUUGAGAGAAAGAAAAAACAAGAGCCAUAGCCUCCACCCUCCCUUCCUCCCCACUUGUUGUGUGUCAAGAUAAAAAAGAGCCAUUAAGUGGAAGAUCUUAGGUAUUUGAGACUCUAACAACUUUGAUUUUCAUCUUCACUGCAUGGACUAGAUUUAGGAACAUCAAAAUCUUAGAUAAUGUUUUCUAAUGCAUAUUUUGAAUCUUAUUAUUGUUUUAAAAAAUGUAAUUUGGUCUUUGUGCAUUGGAUUUAGCUUUGGAAGAUUCGCAUGUACCUAACUUGAUCCUAAAAUAGGAAAUGAAGAGAUUUGACUUUCCCCACAUCACCUACAUGGGCAAGAGGUGUAGCUUAGAGGAAUAAAUUUGAAGUAAUAAAGAGAAGAGAGAUUUUUCACCUAUAAAUAUGGGAACUGUAGAUAGCAGUCUCUUUUAGAAGGAGACUUUCUUAGAGGUGGCACCUUAUCUCUUAGAGAGGAGAUACGUUCUUUUCUUCUGGAGUAAAGGUGUUAAGAAAAUAAGUUAGUUUUUUUUUCUCUCUUUCCUAUUCUUGUAAUUUAUUUUUUAUUUUAGUAAAGUCUUUUGUUUUUAAUUUCAAUAAAGGUUUUGGUUUUAAAUUUUAAUAAAGUUUUUUGUUUCAACUUUAUGUUUCUAUAUUCAUUGUUGUGUGUUUUCUUUUCUAUCCUUAUGUUUUUGUUUCUUAGUUUGUGAAGGGGACUAAGGUCUCCUAUCUUUGUUUGAUUCACCGUGAUUUAGCUAUCUAUGGUUGAAAAAAGCUCUACUAAGGUCUAUGGUCAUGAGAACCAAAAUGAGUCUCCACAUGCCAGAGUUAAUGGUUAUGAGGACCAAAAAGAGUAACCAUGGUCAUGAAUCUAUUAGACAAGAACAAACUUUUUGACAUAAGAAUAAACCCAUCUAAAUCAUUUGAUUGAGAUGACCAAAAGGAGAAAUUAGAUCUAGUUGAGCCUUUGUUGAGGUGGUUGAUUCUCUUAUUAACUAGAACCAUGUUUUUGGUGCAAAACCCUUUGCUCGAUCUAAAAGCCACAAGCACUAGGCCAGGACCAAGUGAGUGAGUUAAGCUUGAGAGAAGGAAUUUCAAUGACUUUCCUAUCUAGAAGCCUGUGUUCUUUUUCUUUUCAAUUUAUAGAUUUCCUACCUCCUCCCACCCCAAAAAAAAAAAAAAAACUAAAAAUAUGUUUCAUCCUACACACUCACACCCUAGGUUCCCACCUCUGAUAUUGUCAAUCCUAAGUUAUUUAUGGAGACGACCUAAUCUCUACACAACUAUUAGUUCCUCUUUGUUUCUUUAGUUUAAGAACUAAAAGUUUCAAUUACUAAACUAGUUUAAAUUUUGCUUGAAUAAAAUUUUACUAUCAAAUCAUUUUCAUAUUAAUUUUAUUGUUUUAUUUUUAAACCAGCAAAUACAAACCCGAACCAAAUAACACUCUUGUUGUCACAAUACAUAGGAGUAGGACGAGAAAGAGAAACACCCAUAUCAACAAGUAACCAACAUUACAAAACUAUCUUUCUAGUGGUAGAUGGAAUAUUAUGAAACAAUAGUUUGUUUCUUGGUCUUUUAAAAAAAUAAGCAAAUCCCCCAAUAAAAUAUACAAAAUCUAGUAAUAGACUUGAGAUCUUCAAGAUCACAAACCCAUAAUCAGUAUCAAAAUAUGCAUGCAACUCCAAAGAGGAAGUGGAUAGAAGUAGAAGGCUCCAAAAUAGAGUGCCCUUAAUAUACCAUAGAAUAUGAAGAACAACUACCCAAUGAACUAUAGUAAGGGAAGCAACAAAUUGAUUAACAAUGUGAAAAACAUAAAUAAUGUACCAUCAGAAAAAGAAUAAUGAACAUUAACUUCAAGAGGAGUAUCAAUAGUCUUAAUAUCAAUAAGGUGAGUACAAUUGAGAAUACCAACUAUGUAUUUAAACUACGAGAGACGAAACUUUUUACAGAAUAAGCUAUCUCAAUACCCAAAAAGUAUGGUAGAAAGCUCAAAUCCUUCAUUCUAACACAAGAAACUAAGUUUGAUUUCAACAUUACAAUUCCAUCAACAUCAUCACGUAUGAUAAUCAUGUCAUCAACAUGUAGAGAAAGUAGAAUACCCAUUGUAAAUUAGGUGGAAUUAAAACGAAUGAAUGGUUUUUUCUAUUCUCUUUUUAUUUAGCAAAUCCUUUUGAUGCACAUUAUAUGCUUCUUGUGUAGCUAGGGUAUAUAGUUUUCUUUAAAUUUUAUAAUAUGCUCUUCUAGCUUAUUAGAAAAUCAUAAAGAGGACCCCUUUGGCUUUUUUUUAUAUUAUUUUUCUAUACUUAAAUGACAAAAAUGAUGAUUGAGGUUUGGCUUUCUUGCUUAUAUAUACUCUUUUGGUAAAUGCUUCAAAGCAUAUUCAUGAUACUAUCCUCCUAAUCUUGAGGAUGAGGUAGCAAAACUUCACGAAGGUAUUUGCAAAGUAGAAUGUACAACUUCUAGAUUAAAUUUGUUUGGAACUAUUUAUAAAGUUUGGAUUUGAAAUCAUUAUGAACUAUUUUUAAUAAAGUAUGAUUUCUAGAAACCUUAUCAUGUAAUCUCUUUAUACAAAUAAUAAUAAUAAUUUUGAUGUCUUCUACAAUAUGUUUUCACUUCUAUAUUGUCUAAUUAUUUUUUAAUAUGUUGUCAUAUGUAUGUUUUCUAAUAUUAAUUUCUUCCAAUAUUUUACUUGGGAAUGAAAAUGAAAUACUGUAAUAACAACAUUUAGUUUGAACUAAGUUAAUUUAAUUUUGUCCUUUUUUUUCCUACACACACAUAUAUAGAGCCCAUCUAAAAAGGGAUUGAUUGGGGUUCAAUUCUUUGAACAAAUUUGAUCAUAAAUGAAAAUAUCCUAUUAAAAUUGUAACAAUGAAUCAAUUUAAUUAGUAUAAACAUAUUCUACUAAUUUAAUCAUGUAUAGUUUACUAUAAAAUAUUUCUAAUUCUUUCUUAUUUCAAACUAAAAAGUUAAUUUUUUAAUCAAAACUUUUUGUUUUUAAAAAUAAGUGAUACAAAAGGUUGACAAUUUUUUUUUAAAAAAAAAAACAUAGAAGAAGAAUAAAUUUAUGAUAUAUGAAAUAUGUAUAUAUCUCAACUUAGAAUUAUUGUAUUCUAUGUAAAGAGGAUAUAUAAAGAGACUGGGUCAAUAAAUUAUCUUAUUGAAUAUUUGAUUGAACAUGAUAUAUGGCAAUUAAUGGAUGAGAUCAUUUACCCUAUCCUAAAGCUAACCAAUCCUGGGAUAAGAUAUGUUAUCUCAUCUCUUAUCUCAUCCAAUAUUAUGUAUAUCAAGUCAACUAAAUAUUGUCUUACUUUAGUAAGUAAUACAAUUGAGAUGCAGGGGAUGUGGACUACUAUUACUUUAAGAAGAAAUAUAGAAGUGAUAUAAACUAUUAAUAAGUACCAUAUGGGUAACUCUAAGUGAUUCAAUUUAACAUCCACCUAUCUAAAUAUAUUUAUAAUAGAUCAUCUUGGCUUAUGAAAAUUACAAAGUUGAAACAAAAUUUGGAGCACAACUAGUAAUAAUAUGAAAACAAAUCAAAAUUGGUAUCAUCGCUGCAUGCUAGUUACCUAACUAUAUUUCUAGAGCAGUCAAUUGGCAAAGUGAAAUCCAAUUAAAAGGGCCAAGAAAUGGUGAUUGAGUAAGAAGCUUUGAUAAGAUGUGUUGCAUUGUUGGACGAGAUCUCGGAUUAGAAUGUAUGCAUUUGAGUGCCAACCAAACCACAAGAACUACAUCUCUAGCAACUUGUUGAUCUUGAGGAGAUGGGAGACGUGAAUCUAAUAUAUUAGUGAGCAUUAUGUUUUGAGUUGAUGAGGAAGACAAUAAGGUGAAAAGUUCUCCUGGAUGCUUUCCCAUCAUUGUCUCAAGCGCCACCACUCCAAAGCUGUAAACAUCACAUUUUUCUGUCACGACCAUAGUGUAGGCAAGCUCUGUUAAGAAUCAAAACAAGAAAAAAAUAUUACACAAAUGAGAAAGAAACAUUCAUUUAGUUUUCUCAUAUUAUCCAUACUUAUAAAAUGUUGAGAAUAUUUCAUAGCAUUGCAUUGACAUUUGGCUACAUUUUAUUUCUAAAUUAUGAUGAAAUUAUGUUAAUUUUUACAACUUAUAUGAAACCUUCGAAAAACCAUUCUAAGGAGAUUUUAAAAAUAUUUGGGACUUACUAGGAAAAUGAAGACAACUAUUUAGAAAAUGCUUGAGAGACCAUUGAUAAGUAUUUUGUAUAUAAAGUUCUCUUACUCUCAAAUAUCUCAAACCAUUUUUUACAACAUUUUUUAAAUAACCAUUAAGAAUUUCUUUUUUUUUUUUUUUGGAACUUUAGACGAAAUAAUUAAAAAAUAUAUAUUAAAGAUAUUUCAACUUCUAUGAAGGCCCUUUGGGCCCAUAACAAAUAAUAUCUACAUAAUUAGGAGUGGGUCAUUACAAAUUGUAUUAGAGUUAAUCUAUAACCAUUAUGUGGAAAUUUGUUUGACUCUACAAUCUCAUGGGACAUAAAUAAGAUGUUGUGUUUGCAUAAAGGAUGAGUGUGAUAUCCCACUAUAGAUAUGAAACAAAAAGUUCUGACAUUAAAUAUGAAUGAGUUUCCCUUAACCUUAUAGACAAUUUUUAUAAUCAUGUGGGCUCCUUGGACCCAAAGUGAAGAAUAUCUAUAUAGUUGGGAGCUAUUAUUUAGUUUGCAUGAAAAAUAUAAUGAAAAAUAAUAUGUUAAAGAUUUAGAAGAAUUUAUUCACUUUCAAGCUCUUCAUAAUUUUGAAAUAAGUAAUAAUAGUAGAAAAAGUUUGGUUUGGCUAGUAAUAAUAUUUCGUUUCCUUUCAUCCAACAUAAUUUGUGACUUAUAUGAAGUAUAUAAUAAGAAGUAUGAAAGUACUAAAUACUUCGAAUCUCAAAGAUAACAAACUUAUUAAAACGAAAACAACCAAAAGUUCAAAAGAUAUAUCGAAAGAGUAAAAGCUGAAAGAAAAACUGGUGUGUACUUACCUGGUGCUAUGUAACCAUAAGUGCCUGCAAGAAGGGUUUGAUUAGAUGAAUCAGGAUGUAGCAGUCUAGCGGUGCCAAAAUCCGAUAGAAAAGCAUCCAAUUUGGAGUCCAAAAGAAUAUUAUUGCUUGAUAUGUCCCUAUGAAUAAUGGGUGGAGUACAAUCAUGAUGCAUGUAGCAUACGGCAUGGACUAUGCUUUUAACCACAUUCACCCUUUUAAUCCAAUCCAAUUCCAAAGCUUCAACUUCAUUACUCAAUACACAAUACAAGCUUCCUCUUCCCAUGUAAUUGUAAAUCAAAAACAUGCAUCUUUUGUGUAGACAAUAGCCUUGAAGUUUUACAAUAUUUCGAUGGCGUAUCUUUGAUAAUAUUUGCACCUCAUUUUGAAAACUUUUCAAGUAUAUUGCCUCAUCUCUUUCCCAUCCAUGAAGCUUUUUCAGGGCUACCACAUUGCCUGUAGGCAAUUGAGCCUUGUAAACACUGCCAUAGCCUCCUGUACCUAUGCAAUAUUUGAUGUCAAAGUCUUCUGUUGCUUUAAUGAUAUCUUCAUAAGCAAUCUUCCCAUCAUAGUUCCAUACUGAAAAUAUAUCUCCAUUUUUUGUUGGUAUUUCCUUGGUUUGAAUUUUUCUUGUCUUCCGUGAAAGCAGGAGAAACCCAAGGACCACAAAAAAAAGAAACAAGGUUGUAGACAAAGAAAUAACAAUGAUGCGUGUGGUUUUGUAUUCUUCUUUGCAAUGAGGCAAGCCUUUGAUGUCACCACAUAAACCUUUGUUAUUGUCAAAUGAACCUUGGGAAAAUUUAGACUGCAAUUCAAAGGGUAUAUGACCCUCUAAAUCAUUGUGUGAUAAAUCAAGUGAUGGCUUUAUGUGGUCAUAUAUUAAAAGAGUAGGAAUGGAACCAGAGAGUUUAUUGUGGGAGAGAUUCAAGUAUGUUAAGCGCUUCAAGUUUUGGACUUGGGAAGGUAUCUUUCCAUGGAUCAAGUUAGCACUAAGGUCGAGUCUAGUUAGAUUAUUCAAAUUUCCUAUCGUAGAAGGGAUGUGACCAUUGAUUCGAUUUCCACUAAUGUUGAACUCAUUUAAAUGAAUGAGAUAACCCAAAGAUGAAGGAAUAACACCAGUAAGAUUGUUGUGAUCCAACCUAAGAUGGAUUAGAUUCUUCAGAUUCCAAAUUAUAGGAGGGAUAGAACCAUUGAUUUGAUUAUCACAAAGAUUCAAAUCUGUCAAUUUGGUAAGAUGACCAAAUGACAAGGGGAUGCCGCCCUGGAUUUGAUUGUUGAAGAGAUGUAAAUAAGUCAAAUUGGUAAGAUGACCCAAAGAGGGAGGAAUAGUACCAAUGAGAGAGUUAUGACUAAAGCAUAGUUGAACCAAAUUCUUUAAAUUCCCGAUUUCAGAAGGGAUGGAACCAUUAAUUCGAUUGAAAUUAAGGAAUAAGUAUUCUAGAUUGCUUAAAUUGGCAAGGGAGGAAGGGAUGACACCAGAAAGAGAGUUAGAAACCAAAUACAAAUGAGUAAGAUUCUUCAAAUUCCCAAUUUGGUAAGGAAUAGAACCAUUGAUUUCAUUGAUGCUAAGGUCUAAAUAUUUCAGAUUCUUCAAAUAUCCAAGAGAGGAAGGGAUGACACCAGAGAGCCCAUAGUUAAAACUCAAAUCCAAAUGAAUAAGAUUCUUCAAAUAUCCAAGAGAGGAAGGGAUGACACCAGAGAGAUUGUUAUAAGCCAAAUCCAAUUCCUCUAAUAGAGUAAGGUUACCCAGUGAAACAGGUAGCUCACCAUGAACAUCACAUUCAGAUAUACGGAGGUAAGUGAGUUUUGUAAGCAUACCUAUCUCAUCUGGGAUGCGACCAUAGAUGGAAGAAUGGCUAACGUUGAGAUGGAGGAGGCUGGGAAAUGAAGAAAACUUCAACUUGCUAAGCUCAACCAUUUUACCAUCGAUAUAUGAAUAGGUAAUUCGAACGACAUGUCCCUCCGUGUUGCAGGUGAUGCCUUCCCAUGUGCAGUGAUGAGAAGUAGUGUUUUCCAUGUACCACCACCAAGUGGAGUUGCGGAGAGCCUCGGCCUCAGCCUCCACCUGUGCCUCAGUUGUAGCAGCAGCAGCAGGUGGUGAUGAGAUCAAGAGCAUGUUAUAUAAUAACAAUACCAUUGAAACCACCAACGCCCUACAAGUAAUGGAACACCACUCCAUUUUUGCUUGUUUUCGAUUAAUAUUGCUUUGCCCCAGUUUCAGCCUUUAUUAACUCGUGUUUCAGCGGCUGCAACUCAAGCCAGUCAAAGAAGUCGGCUGGAAAUUCAGCGGAAAUGAAGAUAAGAUCAAGAGCAUGUCAUAUAAUAACAAUACCAUUGAAACCAACCAACGCCCUACCAGUAAUGAAACACCACUCCAUUUUUUCUUCUUUUCGAUUAAUAUUGCUUUGCCCCAGUUUCAGCCUUCAUAACUCGUGUUUCAGCGGCUGCAACUCAAGCAAGUCAAAGAAGUCGGCUGCAACUCACGCAAGUCAAAGAAGUCAGCUGGAAAUUCAGCGGAAAUGAAGAUAAUUAAUAUUUUUGAAAUUUUAAAAUAAAAACUCAAACGAUAAUGAUAUUAUAAAAAAUAAUAAUAUUCACAAUUUUUUUUAAAUUAAUUUUAGGAAAUAAUAAAACCUCACCUGUAUUUAGAAAAUGAUAUAAUAUUUUCUAACUCUAAAUAUAUGUAUUAUAAAAAUAUUACAAAGUUUAACGUUAUGUCAAUCAUUGCAAAAUAAAUGUUUUAUUUACCUUAUUAAUUUCAUUAAUUCUAAAAAGGAAAUCAAGACAAAUUCUAUUUUUUCUUUUCUUCUUUUGUCUUUAAAUCAUACCUACUUUACAGGUGUUGAGGAAACUACAUUAAGUCAACCAAGUCUUCGUGGGCUCACGUGGCUGGAAAGUAGGUGGAUGAAGUAUGAACAGAGCAAGAAUGUAUACCUAAAAAAAUAAAAACUUCUUAUAAGAAAAUGGUAGAAAUCUUGUACUGCAAUGAUACUUGAUCAACAACUCAAAUAAAAAAAAAAUUAAUUAACUUUUAGAAACUAAAUCAAAUUUUCAUCUUGAAAAAUUCCCACUUCAGUUUUACAACCACUUAACAACAUUCCGUAGUAUGAUUCAACUCUUUUUAAUUUUUUUUAUUUUAUAAAUAUUUUUUAGUGUAAUAUGUAAUUUGAUAAAUAAGAGAACAAAAAAAGAUGAAAGUCAUAUAUAUUAAAAAAUAAUAAAAAUAUAAAAUAAUUGAGGGGAAAUACAAUUGAAAGUGAGAGUUUGCAUGUGUUUCAAUUAUAUGAAUUACACAAAGUACAAACAUUUCAAUUUUUUUUUAAAUUUUUAUUUAUUAUUUUAUAAAUAUUUUUUUAAUGUAAUAUGCAUGGUUUUAAAAACUAGAUUAGACCAUCGGUCACCGUUUCUGUCCGAUUCGCACCUUUGAGUUGGACAGUUUUUGAAUCGCCUGAAACCGCCAGACUCGAUGGUCAAACUGGUGAAUCGAUUGACCCGACCACUUUUGGACAAAAAGAACGGUUCAAAAAAUAUAUAUCAAUCUCAAAACACCAUCACCAUGAUGAUGCCAUUCUGACGGUCCUAACAUCGACUCUUCCCAUAAGUAAUAAUUCAAUAAUUCAAUAGAUUAUUUUAAAGUUUUGAUAUAGAAAUGUCAAAAUGACUAAAUUUGUGGCUCUAAAUUAAUAAUUUUGUGAAUUUUAAAUUUGGUUAUUAAAUAAGUUAAAAAAAAUCUUGAUAUUUGAAUUGAUUAUCUUUAAAGAGAAAAACUUUAAAAUAUCCAUUUGUGGACCUUGCAUUUUGCUCGAUGCAUUCCUACUCAAUGGUGAAACUCGCUUUUUAUUUUAUUUGAUGAAAAUUUGAUUUUUAGAAAAAAAACUUGGAGUCGCCACUUAUUUUUGUUUUAUUUUUUUUUAAGGGAAAAUCCAAAUAAGAAAGAAAACCCUAAGUAUGACUCCUGAAGGAAAAAAACAGGUUUGUGAAAAACCAAGUCUAGGUCCGGGGGUUAGGUUACUUAUUGGGAAGGUAUGGUGGUAAGUCGUAGCACCCUUCUAAGCCCGCAUACGUAUGACCUCUACUAAACGAAUUGAAGAAAUUGUGACAAUUAAUUAUUUAAUUAUGGAUACCAAGAAAAAUAAUCAAUAUACAAGUCAUGGUGAGAAUUAAUAUGCACAAAAACAAUUAUGAAAUCUAAUUACAAAAAUACACAAUAUAAAUAAUAAGAUAAUUAUGCAAAAUGAUUUAUUGAAUUAAAUAAAUAAAAGAUAUUAAAAAAAGUUUUAAAGAAACUUCAAAAGAUUUUAUUAAAAAUGAUUUUGAAUUAAUGAUUUCCAUUUAUUUACUUAUAAAAAGAAACAAUUUAUUUUCUCAAUUUUAAUUGUAUUCAAUUUAAAAAAAAAAAAAAAACUAUUUACACUUAUUGUAUCAAAAGAAUUCAUUACAAAAUUUCAAUUUGGGCACAAAAAUUAUUUUUUACUUGCUUUUACUAGAAAAUAAUGAAUUUUUGUAAUUUUAUUUACAAAAGUAUUUAGAUUCAUUUUCAUUUAAAAGAGUGAUUUUUACAAAUUAUUUAAAAUGAUAUAACUUCACUUGCAAAAGAAAUUUUAAUUAAAAGGAAAAAAAAUAAAAAUAAAAAUAAAAAUAAAAAUAAAAAUAAAAAUAAAAAUAAAUAAAUUAAUCAUCUAUUUCUAAAAAUGACUUUUAAUCCAAUUUUAAUUAAGUAAAAAGAAUUAAAAAAAACAUUUUUUUGGACGAUUUUAUUAAAAAUUAAUUUUUGGGAUAACUUUAUUUACUUUAUAUUCGGAAAAUUUUUGUUAAACAAAGAAAUUUUUGGACAAAUAUUAUUUAAAAACAAAUUUUCAAAUUCCAUUAAAAACAUUUCUUUUGGAUUUUUCUAAAUGCAUUUUUUUGAAUUUUUAUAAAUAAAAAAUAAAAUAAAAUAAAAACUUUCUUUUAUUAAAAAUAAUAUUUUAAAAUUGUUGUUUUAUUAAAACGCAUUUACUGACUUCUUCCUCUCAUUUAAACAAAAUUUCUAGUUUGUUCGAUGUUAAAUUUUGUACACACUCAAUAAAUACAUGCGAACGAAUAUUUAUACAACUGAUAAAAAUAAAACCAAAUAAAAAGUGAGAAAUAAAAUAUGUACCCAAAUAAACUUACAAUAAGUUUCACGUGUCAUCAAUUCGUACUCAGCCAACAAGAUUGCAGAGUGGGUUCAUGCAAAAAACAAGAAUAGCACAGAUGUAAAUAUCCAGAGAUGUAUAAAAUCCCAGACAAAUAUCAAACCCAAAUUCCAAUUUCAAAUUAGUCCCAUAAAUUUUAUCAAUUAAAAUGAGCCCAAAUUACUAUCAGUCUUAACCCAGAACAUCCAAAUUAAUAACAAAAAAUACAAACACAAUCAACCAAACCUAAAAUUGGAUAAAUUAAAAUAAAUUCUACUAUACCUAAAUUUAAUAUUUCAUAAUCUAAGCCUAGUUUAAUAUACACCACAAUUGUCCCAUGUCCAAAUUAAGCAAUUCAAAUUGGUCAAGCCUAUAUCAAAUAUUCAAAUAAUCCAACAAAUUUCACCCACAUUAUGGGCCCCAAAAUUCACAUCAAUUAACAAGCCCACAUAAAAAAAUACAUAGUCAAGAGAAAUAAUAUUUCAAGCCCAAUCCAAUAAGCCCAAACAAAUAACAACUUAACAAUAGGCCCAAGUCCAAAUAAACAAUAUGCAAUUGAUAUAAUCCAAAUAUGUCCAAAUUAAUCAUCAAAUACAAUAUGCCCACAAAUCCAAAUUAACAAAUUUCAAAUUAAUUCACUAACAAUAAAUUAAAUCAAAUUACAUAUUGAUCUACCAAUAACAGAUUAACCCCAAAUUUCAUAUUAAUUCAACAAUCCAAAUUUCACAAACAACAAUUACUAUUAAAAUAAAAUAAAAUAACAACAUUAACAAUAAUAAUAAUAAUAAUAAUAAUAAUGGGAAACCAAUGAGUGGCUCGCCCGCGGCGAUUGACCGGUGGCUUUAUCAACGACAAUGAGGGUGAACGGGUUUUCAGGAAGCAAAAUAAAAUAAAAUAAAAAUGGGAGGAAGAAAAUGGGGAUGGAGGGAGGAAGAAGAUGGAGAAGGAAAGAAAAAAAGAAAAAGAAAAAGAAAAAAAAAAAGGAAGAUCCCCGAGUGGGGUGUCGGCCGCGUGAGAGGAAGAAGAGCGAAUAGAGGGAUGAAAAAUAAAAAGAAAUGAAUUCGGGCGCUUGCUGAGAAUCGGAGUGGAGUUGCAGAGAGGGGGAAAAGAGAGAAAAAAAAUUGGGGGGCCGCUCGUUCGGAGGUCGGGGGGGAGCUCAGGAAAAAAAAAAAAAAAAAUCUCCCCCAAAGCCUUAGGUCGAGUGCUGGCCGUGUGAGAGUGAAUGGAGGGAGGAGGGAGGAGAGAGAAGAGAGGAGGGAAAAAAAUGGGGGAAAAGAAAAGUGGGGCCGGGGGGGGGGGGGGGGGCCAAAGAGAGUUUUUGAGGAAGAGAGAGAAGAGAGUGGGAGGAAAAAAAAAAUUUGGGGAAAAAUUUAAGUGGCCGGUGGUGAGGAGAGAGAAGAAGUGGGUGGGUGAGGGCAGGUAGAGGAGAAAAAAGAAGAGAGGAGAGAGAAAAAAAAAUAUAAAAAUAUAAUAUAAUAUAAUGUAAUAAUAAUAAUAAUAAGUAAAAUUAAUAAGUAAAAAUAAUAUAAAUAAAUAAAUAAAAAUAAUAAUUUACAAAAUAAUGAAAACUAAAAAUUAAAGGGUGAGGGAGUCUAAAAUAACACAUGUAAUCGGGAUUUAGAAUUGAGCUCAAAAUUAAUGUAGAGAUAAAAUUGGGACAAAUUUUGGGGUCCACACCAUUAUAUACAUAGAAGUUUGUCAUUGAUUGAAAAUAAGAUAUGUGAUAGAGAAAAGUUAUUUUUUUAGUAUCAUAAUUAAAUUAAAAAAAUAAAAUAAAAUAGUGAAUUAAUAAUUCAAUAACAUAUCAAUAUUUUGAUUUUAACAUUUCAUAUCCGUGGUUAAAUAUGAAUUAUUAAAUAAAAAUGUCAUAAAAUAAUAUUUAAAUAUACAAACCCGAGAUUAUGAGUCUUUCACUCACAUUUUUAUAUUUUUUUUAUAUUUUAUAUUUUUAUUUAUUUUAUUAUUUUAUUUCCAUUAUUAUUUAUUUUUAUUUUACAAUUGUAAUUUUUUUAACUUUAUGGUUUCUAAAAUUUUAAUUUUAAUUCAAAUAAAUGAAAAUAUUAUGAUUUUAAAUAAAUUUAUGAAAAUAUUAUGUUACUCAUAAUUUAUCAUUUUUAUUUUUAAAAUUAUUUUUAAUUUUAAUAAUAUAUGAAAAUAUAUAUUUAUGACGCCACCAGUUCCACCGCCGGUCCGACUAGUGAACCGUGAACCGGUAACUUUUUCAUUUUAAUGACCGGUCCGGUUAUGAAAAUAUUGGUAAUAUAUCAAAGAAGAUAAAAAUCAUUUAAAUAUAUUCUAGCCUUUUACCCAUCAUUCAUCAAAAAAAGAAUGAAAUGUUGAAGAUUUUUGUAACUUGACAUGCUGAAGAUAAAUUUAUAUUUUCUGAUGUAAAAAAAUUAUAAAAAUUGAAAAACAAAAUUAGUGAAAUUGAUCAUAUAAUAUAAUGGAUGUCAUUAGCAAAUUCUAAUAAGAAGGUAAAAAAUUUAUUCCAUUCGUAAGUGCAUUUUUAAUUUAAAUUGAUAAUUUUAUCUUUUUUAUUCACAUGUAGGACAACUUAUAUUACUAUAUCAUAUACUUCAUCGAAGAUUUAAUGUUUCUAAUAAUCAAUCAAGGAUGAAAAAGGUUAUUUUAUUUUUUUUUACAUAUAAUGAAAACUAAAAUUAUUUCUUGUUUUUAUUUUUUUUACAUAAUAGUAAAUAUUUCUUAUUUUUUAUUUUAAUAGUAAUAAAUAAUAAAAUUAGAAUUAUUAAACAUUUUAAUAUAAUUAUAAACUAAAACAUACUACAUAACGCAUUAAAACCAUCAACGCAUUAUUUGAUCAUUAUCUUAAUUACUCACUGUGAGUGAAAUUCCAUGGUGAUCCUUGUCCUACAUAUUCGAAAAAAUUAUUCCAAAAGUUAUAUAUAUAUAUAUCAAUGACUUCAGUUGAGUGAAAUUCCAUAGCAAUUGUGUCUUCUAUGUCUUUUUUAAUUUUAAUUUUAUUUUAUUUUCUAAAAAGUUAUUCCAAAAACUAUAUAUAUAUAUUUCAAUUUCAUUGUCAGUGAAAUUCAAGGGUGACCAAGUCUUUCAUGUUGUUUGAAAUCUGGAAUCAAGGUAUAAAGGUAUAAACAAAUGAAAUUAGAAAACAAAUAAUGAAACUUGAAAAUAUGUACUUAAUACCACCACACCUUUUCCAAUAUCCAAUAGGUACUUAAAAAAUAUACUUGAAUACUAUAAUCAAAUCCUAAAUUAUGUCAACACUUUUUCUUUUAUCUUUAAAUGGUAGGUACUUUAUUAAAUUACCCUCUUAUGGUGGAAUAUUAGAGUAUGGGAGGAUUCUCACCACCAUCAUUGCCAGUCAUUUGCUGCCAUGGUGCUUAUGCUGCUUUCACUGCACACAAGUUAUUUUGAGUUUCUAAUUAACCUUAACAGAACAAUAAAAAUUAGACUCCAAAAAGAAUCAAGUGAUUAAAAUUAAGUGAAAAACAUACCUCUUUUAUCCACCAAAAGCUUGAGCACAUGAUAUCUAGUUGCAUAAAGAAAAGUAAGCUCUCAAGCCUUUUGCUACUUGAUUAAAACCAUAGUGAAGAAGACAAUAAUUACAUAAUAAUCAAAUACUGUUCACAUUGAAUGAGACACGAAAGCUCUAAGCAUUUUCAAAAUUCUUCUACUAAGUGAACAGCCGAAUUGUAUCCAUUGUAAAGGUCAAAUAAUCUUCAAGUAACUUACCCGCUUCUCAUGGUGCAUUAUCUAAAAAUCUAAAAAUCUCGUGACGAAUGACUAAGGCUUCCAAGAAUAUUUGAUGUAUUGAGCCAACAAAUAUUAGACAUAGAAUCCACACACAUGAGUAUUGUAGUCCUUUGUCCUACUAAAAAGAAUGAAUAAAUUAUUAGAUCAAUUCUUAGUGUCUGAAUACUGUAAUUUAAGUGUUAUAUUCUCGCUUACUUCACCACAAUAUUAAAGAAGAUCUGACAUUAAAAAAAAGUAAUAAUUAUUCAUAUUCAUGCCAUGAACAAGGAGCUCUUUUAUGUUAUGGAUAUAUAAAAUAUAUUAACAAUCCAUUAUGCCAUGUUUGAGAGCUCACACACAAAACAAAGUAUUGGAAUAAAUUAAUAUAAAUUCAGGACUGAUAGCUCCUAUCCUACUUCCGCCCUUUUUAUCAAAGCAAUUUCCCAUGCUUGGGCCAAACUUGUGAUGGGGAGGAGCAAAUUGGGGUGGGUAAGCACAAUUGAUAUUUAUUCUUGCCCAAUUUUCCCCUCAAUUUCUGUAAUUCGAUUAUAACAAGCUGAAUUAGGUAUCAAUAAUUACUAUGAGAAAAAAAAAACAAGGGAUUAAAGGUAUUUCUCUUCUUAGCAAUCAUACAUUACAAAGAGAAUCAAGAUUGCUUACCUAUCAAUUUUCUUUUCUUCUGCAUCAAGUUAAAAUUAUAGAAUAAAAGAAAUUAAUAAAAUGAAAAUACUAGCAACCAAACUAGUAAAAAGUUUGUUGGACCUUCAAAGAGAUGAUGAAGAGAAUACUAAAAAUGAUGAAAAUAUUGUUGGCAACAACAAUAAGAGUAUAGUAGUGAUGUGACAACAAUAAUGACGAAGAUUACUAGCUAUGACAUUAGAGGGAAAGAGUACCCAUGAUGUGAAUCAUUCAUAGAGAUGUGAACAACGAUAGUGAUAGAGAUGACUAUCAUACUAGAGCUAUAAUUGGAGUGAAGCUAAGAUAAGUUCCUCACAAGCGUUGAGGUUCAUUGAUAAGAAUUGUCACAUCAAUUUCUUGUCUUAAGGAUGCUCAUCUUUGCUAUAGUUUUUUUUUUUUAAUCUUUAAAUUUUGGGAUAAUUGUGUUUUGGAUUCAGUUAGACCCAAAAAUUAAACUUUGGUCCAUAUAAGUUCACUAUUUAAGCCCAAGACCCAAAGGAAGUGUAAAAAUUGAGAAGAAGGAUAUGAAUUUUUUAUCUUUUCGAAAAUGACAUUUGUUAACUAUGAAAAAAAAAAUCAGAAAAAUCCACUCUAAAAUUCCAUUUAUGUUACCCUAAUUUUACUCUCUCUGGCAUUUCAUUUCAGCCCUAGACAGUGGCGUUUUUCAUCUCUCCCGAUUUUCUCCCUCGCUUCCAUUUCAUUUGAGGCCUAAACAUUGCCCUAAUCUCUAUGGCGAUUUCCUUAUCUCUCAAUUUCAUCUCUCCCAACCAUUUGAUUUCAGGCCAGUGGCAUUUGUCAUCUCUACUGAUACAUUGCCCUCGUCGAUCCCCACCGGUGUUACCCUUUGUGUCAUAGUAGUUGGAUAUUUGAGGUUAGUUGGUUCUCCAAUUUCGUUUUCUCCUGAUUUCAUCUCUCUCGACCAUUUGAUUUCAACCCAAAUACAUUGCCCUAAUUUCUCUCCUGAUUUUAGUUCGUUGUUUAUUGUUCCCUCGUCAAUCCCCACCGGCGUUGCCCUCUAUGUCAACCGUAGUUGGAUAUUUGAGGUUAGUAGGUUCUCUAAAUCUAGCCCUAGAUUUGUUUAAUCCUAUAUUUUGUUUAAUCGUCGUUGGUAUGGGGAGAGGGAUUCUUGUUUUCUAUUAACCUUCAGUUUACGAAGUCAAUUUAAGGUGCUAUUAAUAUUUUUUGCAAACCUAUCUGUGAAUGGAAAUAGUUCUUAUUUAUUAUAGUGUUUUUGAUGCUGAGAUACAUAGGUGACUUAUGAAUUUUGGGUGCUUAGGUUUUCUCUUUUUACACUAAUGGAUUUUUUCGACAGUUGAACCAAAUUCUAGGGAUGGAAUGUUUCAAAAUUAUGCACCAUCCCUACUUAAUUUUUAGAUAGUAGUAUUCAUUUGUACCCUGUUUUAUUGGUGAUAGUCACUAGUGGCCCCCGUUUUUUGUUCCAAGAUUAACAGGCUUAGUUUUUAUCUACCUUUUAUGAGUGGUUAUGAAUUGUUCUCCUUAUGACAUAAAUUGAAAUUAUUCAUGCGCUUGAAUAUAAUGAGUAUCUAAAUGGAAUUCUAUGAUGGCACCAAGAAAUGCAAUGUGCCAAUAUUCUUAAAAAAAAAUAAAAAAUUAUUGACCAUGUUACCCUUUAGCCUUGAGGACUAGGGUUAUGGAAUCAAAUUCAAUCAACAUUGGCUCACACUUACCUCAAUAUGAGCAUGAACCUAUGUCCCGUGUGAAGGAAUAGUAGCUUAUAUGACUCAUCAACACCAUUUUGUAACUACACAACACAACAAAUUUCACUGGCAGAAUUGACAUUUCUUCAAUAAAUAAACAGAAUAGUGCAAACUGAAACAAACUUCGAACAACUUUUAGAGACAAACAUGUGAAUAUGAAAAUAAAGUUCUAAUGAAAAAGGAAAUCAUACACUACUAUUUUCCUUAAAGAAAAGAAUUUUGUUCCAAACCUUCGGCUCAGGGUUUGAUUUCCACCUCAAAAAAGGUACUUAUCAAAUAGAAUGUACAGAACAUCACUAUAGUUCCCAUACCAAGUCAAUUUUUAAAUUUUUGUAAGCAUAAAUUGAAAUUAUAUGAACAGUAAAACUCCUAUGCAUUACAGUACCUGAAAACCGAAUCUCUUAUCUUUAUUCACAAAGAAAAAGUGCUUAUUCAAAAGUUGUAUUCAGAUCAUGAUUUAACUUCAAUUAUUUAGAGACCUCCUUAUGGAAUAAAUAAAAGGGUUUGCUUGAACAAUGUCAAGUGUACCAAAUGGACUUGGUUUUCUUAAUCAAGUCUCUGAAUCAGUGUUAAGUUUGCUUUAAUAAUAGAAAGUUUUUUAUUCUGUUAGUAGUUCUGAGUCAUAUGCGCAUGAGCAUAGGUGUAAAUGAUGCUAUGAACAAGCUAUGGAACCUCAAAUUAGUUUAUCAAUGUAAGGUUGAAGACCUAGUCGGGUACUUCAUUCAUAGGAACCUGAAUUGGUUUUAUGAAGAUUAUGGAGCAUAAGAUCACAUAUGUUAUUGAAUAAGCUGGGAUUCAAGGCUUGGCAGUUAAAAGUUGUAGUAGAAGUGAUAUUCUGAUGCCUAGGUUAAAUGUUUCAGCAGGUACUAUGUCUCAUGUAUUUGUUAUUUAUUUGUUUCAGUCCAUUAUUCUGAUUUCAGGGAAUGUUUUAUUUUUUUUCAUGCUUGUCUUUAUGAAAAAAAAAACUUUCAAAAGUGACCAACACUAAGUCAUGCUAGGGUGAGCAUUUCUUAGGGUUAGACAAGGCACCCACUCCACUUUAGCUCAUGUUGUUGCAAUUUUCAAUAUAAUAGAAAGAACACAAAAUACAAAAAAAGUAAACAAAUAUGUUUGUGUUAUUACCUAUUAUUACAUCAAUUGACUGUCAAUAGACUGCAUAAUUAAUAGUUAACAGUUAUCCAUUUUCACAUCUCCAUUUCAGCAUGCUUAUUUGAUGUGGGUAGGCACCAUUACUUUAGGGCCUUUAUCUAGCAAAAUUGCCCUUUAUUCUUCACAACAUAUGUCUUGCUCUAAUCUUGCAGCUAAUGUUUCUUUCAUUCUCCAUAUAUCAGUGAUCUGUUCAAAGAGAACCAAAUAGUCACUUGGGCAUCAAUUCUUACAAUUCCUCCACUUCUACUCCUAUAAAUAUUUUAAAAUUCUACUGUAGGCUUAUUUGUUUUUCUUUUUUUUGGAUAGGAAAACAAGAAUAUAUAAAAGAUGCCAAUCAAAGAACACUGCAAGUACACGAGACAAUUCUACUAUAGUUAGUGAAGUUAUAUUUUAUAAAAUUUAAAUUCUGUUUAAUUUAAAAUCCUUAGAUUCAAAGGCUUGUUUUCACAGUUAUAACUUAAAUAAAAUCUAAACGACAUAAAGACCACAUAGGAAAAAAAAUAAGGCUCUAAUGUGAACCUUAAGAUAACCACGAUUUGGAAUUGAUUUGCUUAUCUCUCUUUCAAUACUCAUGUUUUUCAAUGUAUUAGUUCUUUAUAACAUUAAUAUAUCUUGUGUCCAUACUCUCAUUCAAAACUUGAACUUCUUGUCCUUCCAUCCAUCAAAUCAGUUAUGAAUACAAGUUAAUGAAAUUGGGAUGGAUGGGAGGGAUAAAAGCAUUUCAAAUAGAGCUCUCACUAACAUCAGAUUCCUUGUUUUUGAUAAAAGUCCUUUCCUCUAAGAGACAGUCUAUCUUUUAACCUUUCCUAUCACUUCUACGAUCAAUGCAAAGAAGAUUGAGCAGUUGCUUGUUAGGGAUGUGGAGGGAGAGGGUAUAAAACCUUGCAAAGUUGUUUGGUUGCGGGAAAGUGUCAUUCCAACUGCCUUUUCAGAUUCCUUUGAGGUGAAAGCAACAUGGAGUGUAGAAUUGGGGAGGUUAGCAUAUUAGAAAAACAUGAUGAGGUUCGAACUCAUGACCUUCUAACAAUUAAGGCUCUAAUAGCAUUUUAAGCUAUGGCAUUGCCCCAAAUCAGCUUGAUGUGCAUUAUGGCCCCAUCAUUACCUAACAUCGGCAAACUUUUCAAUCAACUUUGUAGCUUAACUUUGUAUGAAGGGCCAAGUUGUCAAGAAGUCAGAAGUUCAAACCUCACUGUAUUGUUUAUUUUCCCAAUUUAUUGAAGUUAUGUGCAAUUUCAAAAGAAAUAAAGUAAAUGCAUGCUGAUUCGUCCCUAGCAGUGUCUCAGCUGAUUUGUGUUCAGCUGGUGCUCCUUGAUUGAGGAAGUGAUCAACAAAAUUUAUACCUAUAACACCAUACACUAGGGUAGCAAAGACAAAGCUACUAUAGCAUAGUGGCUCUAGGAUCGUUCACUGGGAUGGGUUUUCACUUCACAAAUGAUAUUAAUUCAAAGUUGAAUUGGUGUCUUUUCAUUUCAAGGUUAGCUUUAAAAGAAAACAUAAAGAUGAGUUGGAAAAGGUUUGGUUUUAAACUAACCACAAAUAGUAACUAAUUUUAUUUAUAAAGAAAAGAUGUUUCUUGGAGUUCAGAUCACUAGGCCCGUUCCUCAUACAAAAUGGAGAGUUCCGGUCACUUGUUUAUUUUCCUCGCAUUAGAGAAUUAACAUAUAGUUCCUUCUCCAACCGGUGUUGUACAGAUGUUUCCCAUUAAUGGGUUCAAACACUAAAUCCCUCUCACUGAUGCACCUUGCAAUGGCUCAUACCUCUCACUUAGCACUUGCCAUUCAAGGUGAUCUUUAACCUUGGAUUACCCGUCAAAAGCUCGCAAGAGAUAACUAAUGGAUGUCUCCUUGGAGUCCAAAAGCUUACCAAGUGUUGGCUAUUCUAGAAAAUCCUACCUUCAAGUCACCUCCCAAAGGCUCGCAAGGGGUAAACUAGUGAAUCUCCAUGGACGGAGAUCACUUGCCUUACCAAGUGUUGGCCCAGGUGAUUUAAAGGCGUUUUAAGUUAACUAAAAAUAUGAAAACCAUUAACGGGUCACACUUUCUCUUCAUUAAAAACUAAAACAACAAAACUUCCAAAUUAUACAUGUGGAAACUUACCCGGCUUUCCUUACUCCAAGAGACAAAGAGCCUAGCCUCUCAUCCUCUGAGGAAAAAUCCUCAAAGUUUGGUUGGCUAGAAAAUGAAAAUGAAGGAGAAGACAAGAAUAUAUAUGAAAAACAGAGCAAGUGCUCUGUUCGUUGAUUCUAUAUAUUAGAUUACAUAUAUUUUUACAUUGGAUGCAAGGGAAUAUAUAUAGAGGAGUUUUUCCAACCUUCCUAGCUAAGAAAUCUUAUGGUUGGUGGCUUACAAGGAGAAGAAUGGAAAUUUAUACAAAAAUAUCUGAAGAAAAGAUCUAAAAGAGUCGGUGCACAAAUAUCAGGAAGCACUAAGGACAUUUCGUAGGUGAAAAUGGUGUCUGCGAGAUUUCGCAGACACUCAAGAGGGCUGCGAAAUAUUUUCGCAACAACAAGUUAAACUCGCAGGGCUGCGAAAUUGGCUUCCACCUUGAGGUUCUCAGCGUUCCAGCUUGCGGCAUGUAUCGGGUAGCUUCAGGAGGAAUUCCAUAGCACUGUACAAAAAGGCUGCGAAAUUCUCGCAACAAAAGGCUGAUUUCGCAACACUUUGGAGUGAUCUGCUUGCAGUGGCUGUAACUUCUUCGUUUCAACUCCAAAUCGCGCACCGUUUGAAGAAUUGGAUUCUUGACUUCCUGAGCUUUGAAAUGAUAUAUAGAAUGUAGAAAAUGGACUUCUGGAAGUGCUCCAAAAGUGCACAAGAAGACUGCAGCUGCUGUCCUCUGUUUUCUUCACUCUGUUUUCCUCUUCUCCUUGCUUCUCUCCUUGCAUACUUUGAACGACUAAGGCAAAGGAAUAUGAGGCUCCAAAGCUUGGUUUCUUCAUGAAUUUGAGCUUCCAAAAGCUUUGCCAUAACUUGUUCAAGUAGCUCCUCCAUCAUUUGGCAUGCUUGAAUUGAUUCAUAAGUUGAUAAAAACAUGUAAACUUGCCACAAAAUGGUUAAAACCAAUUACUAAGGACCUUAAUGAAUUAAUUGGGUUAAAUGAAUAUGAUUACUACUCAAAGGUGCUUAAAACCAUUAUAAUUAGGUCUACAAAAUAGCACUUUUUGGUAGUAAUCACACCCCCCAACCGACUCAUUGCUAGUCCCUUAGCAAUGGAGGAGAUAAAAACUAAGUAAACUAUAAUAAUAUACAUAAAAGGGAUCAUGAAAAUCACUCCAAAAAAUGAUAUGAGUGGCAUGAUGGACAUCCAUGGAUCAAUAAAGAUGUGAAACUCAACCUAUAAUAAGAGUUGUCAAAGCAUUCACUUGAUCAUAGAGUACAAAGAACGGAUAUUAUGCAAGUUUAAGCAUCAAAAGAAUUUCCACUCUCAAAGAUCCAAAUCAAAUUCUUCCACUAAAAGCUAANNNNNNNNNNNNNNNNNNNNNNNNNNNNNNNNNNNNNNNNNNNNNNNNNNNNNNNNNNNNNNNNNNNNNNNNNNNNNNNNNNNNNNNNNNNNNNNNNNNNAGAGUUCCGGUCACUUGUUUAUUUUCCUCGCAUUAGAGAAUUAACAUAUAGUUCCUUCUCCAACCGGUGUUGUACAGAUGUUUCCCAUUAAUGGGUUCAAACACUAAAUCCCUCUCACUGAUGCACCUUGCAAUGGCUCAUACCUCUCACUUAGCACUUGCCAUUCAAGGUGAUCUUUAACCUUGGAUUACCCGUCAAAAGCUCGCAAGAGAUAACUAAUGGAUGUCUCCUUGGAGUCCAAAAGCUUACCAAGUGUUGGCUAUUCUAGAAAAUCCUACCUUCAAGUCACCUCCCAAAGGCUCGCAAGGGGUAAACUAGUGAAUCUCCAUGGACGGAGAUCACUUGCCUUACCAAGUGUUGGCCCAGGUGAUUUAAAGGCGUUUUAAGUUAACUAAAAAUAUGAAAACCAUUAACGGGUCACACUUUCUCUUCAUUAAAAACUAAAACAACAAAACUUCCAAAUUAUACAUGUGGAAACUUACCCGGCUUUCCUUACUCCAAGAGACAAAGAGCCUAGCCUCUCAUCCUCUGAGGAAAAAUCCUCAAAGUUUGGUUGGCUAGAAAAUGAAAAUGAAGGAGAAGACAAGAAUAUAUAUGAAAAACAGAGCAAGUGCUCUGUUCGUUGAUUCUAUAUAUUAGAUUACAUAUAUUUUUACAUUGGAUUGCAAGGGAAUAUAUAUAGAGGAGUUUUUCCAACCUUCCUAGCUAAGAAAUCUUAUGGUUGGUGGCUUACAAGGAGAAGAAUGGAAAUUUAUACAAAAAUAUUUGAAGAAAAGAUCUAAAAGAGUCGGUGCACAAAUAUCAGGAAGCACUAAGGACAUUUCGCAGGUGAAAAUGGUGUCUGCGAGAUUUCGCAGACACUCAAGAGGGCUGCGAAAUAUUUUCGCAACAACAAGUUAAACUCGCAGGGCUGCGAAAUUGGCUUCCACCUUGAGGUUCUCAGCGUUCCAGCUUGCGGCAUGUAUCGGGUAGCUUCAGGAGGAAUUCCAUAGCACUGUACAAAAAGGCUGCGAAAUUCUCGCAACAAAAGGCUGAUUUCGCAACACUUUGGAGUGAUCUGCUUGCAGUGGCUGUAACUUCUUCGUUUCAACUCCGAAUCGUGCACCGUUUGAAGAAUUGGAUUCUUGACUUCCUGAGCUUUGAAAUGAUAUAUAGAAUGUAGAAAAUGGACUUCUGGAAGUGCUCCAAAAGUGCACAAGAAGACUGCAGCUGCUGUCCUCUGUUUUCUUCACUCUGUUUUCCUCUUCUCCUUGCUUCUCUCCUUGCAUACUUUGAACGACUAAGGCAAAGGAAUAUGAGGCUCCAAAGCUUGGUUUCUUCAUGAAUUUGAGCUUCCAAAAGCUUUGCCAUAACUUGUUCAAGUAGCUCCUCCAUCAUUUGGCAUGCUUGAAUUGAUUCAUAAGUUGAUAAAAACAUGUAAACUUGCCACAAAAUGGUUAAAACCAAUUACUAAGGACCUUAAUGAAUUAAUUGGGUUAAAUGAAUAUGAUUACUACUCAAAGGUGCUUAAAACCAUUAUAAUUAGGUCUACAAAAUAGCACUUUUUGGUAGUAAUCACACCCCCCAACCGACUCAUUGCUAGUCCCUUAGCAAUGGAGGAGAUAAAAACUAAGUAAACUAUAAUAAUAUACAUAAAAGGGAUCAUGAAAAUCACUCCAAAAAAUGAUAUGAGUGGCAUGAUGGACAUCCAUGGAUCAAUAAAGAUGUGAAACUCAACCUAUAAUAAGAGUUGUCAAAGCAUUCACUUGAUCAUAGAGUACAAAGAACGGAUAUUAUGCAAGUUUAAGCAUCAAAAGAAUUUCCACUCUCAAAAGAUCCAAAUCAAAUUCUUCCACUAAAAGCUAAGUGUUAAUGUGAUUAGCUUCCAAGAAUAGUAUGGAUAACUAUCAUCUCCCCCCAACCUAAGUCUUUCUUUAAGCUUAGCAAAAUUAACCAUCUCUUGAUAGGCUAGGAACGCACCUCUUAUUCACAAUUCUUUUCACUUACUAAACUUAACCAAUUCACCCAUGUAACAAGCAGAGGAUCGGUGACUCCCAACCAAUAAAGGCUUAGGGCACCAGGCUUUAAAGGCUUUCGCCACCCCUUUGGACCAUGCUCAGGUUUCAAGGCAAGUAAAGAAGUUUAUUCUAUUUAUUUAUUUUUAUUUUUUUUUUUUUUUCUAUUUUUUCAAAGACUCAUUGGUCUUUAUGAGGUGUCCCAACACUAUUAAAGAGAGGUUAAAGGUGUCAAAUUAUGAUUUCUCAAGCUUAGAGGGUGAGAUAGUUUCACAUCUUAUAACCGGAAUCUAAUGUAUGUGUGUGCGAAUAGCUUAAGGUGGAAGAGAUAAGUUUGCAUGCAAUGGGAGUUUCAACAAUUCAUCAACUUUUAGAAGAGCAUAAUACAAACUCUAAGACUCAUGUGAUCAAGUUGAAACUCGACUUCUCUCAUUUAAUUUUGAGAGUUAAUCCUUAAUAUCCAUGGAGUUUAAAGCAAAAAUUUUAAAAUUUAAACAAAAAGUAGCUAAUUUACCAAAAUAACUUAGCAUUAAUAACAAAACUUACUUCCUCAACUCUCCCCCCAACCAAGCUGAACAUUGUCCUCAAUGUGACAAAAGCGAUUAAAAAAUAGGGAGGAAGUGGUACCUCUUUAGUGACAUGGAGUUUAAGUCGUAUAGGAGAAACCACAUGUUUCAAAGAAAACAUAAGAGUUAGUGAGUAGAGGAAAUAGAAAAAUGCUAAGUUUAAACAAAAAUGAUGUCUAUGUAUGAUGUAUCAUCAGUAAUACAUCCAAUCUCAAAAUGUAAGACAUCAAAAUAUGGAAUUAUGUAUAAUAUAUAAAGACAAAAAAUAAAGAGAUGAUCAAGUAAUGGUAGGGUCCUGUGGAGCUGAUGUGUCUGUGGUGGCCUCUUGAAUGGGUUGGAUCAGGACUUUGGCCUCUGUUCUGGUAGUCUCCUUAGGUGGCAUAGUCUCCUCAGCUGGAGCUCUCAGCGGGAGCUAUGGGCUCUGAUGGUUUUAGGAGGUUAGAAAUGGAGUGAGAGGCUUGGUGUGUGUGAUCCCAGGGUGUGCGGGGCUCUCAUCUUCAUAUUCAUGGUUGCAGGGCUCUGAUGGCAUUUUAACAACUUCCCUUGGCUUUGCAAGGUGUUUUUGCAAACCUUCCUCCAUUUCGCAAGUCAAUUUCUCAACUUGAAGGCCAUUUCAACUUUUGGAGGUGAUUUCGCAGCCAUUUCGAUGCUCAAAAGUGAUUUCGCAGCUCUAAAAUGAGUGUACGGGGCUGCAAAAUGGCUCUCAUGUGCCAAAAAGUGGUUUCGCAGCUCAAAGGUGAUUUCGCAGCUGUAUCGCAGCUUCGAAAUGAAGGGAACUAUGCUGCAAAAUGGCACUUGUGUGCCAAAAGUAGUUUCGCAGCUGCAAAACACCCUUCCAAAUGGCGUCUCGGCUGCGAAAUUCCCGCUUAGCUUUGCGCGCUUGUCUUCAAACGACCAUAUCUUCUUCAUUUCACCUCCAAAUCGCAUACCGUUUGAAGCGCUGGACUCCUGACUUCCCAAGCUUUGAAACGAGAUAUCGUAUGUAUAAUUUGAGCUCCAGGAAGUGCUUCAAAAAUGUGUCCAACAGUAGCAAAAUGGAGGUGCGACAUUUCCGUUCAUGGUUUGCACAGUCAUCUUCAAACAGCCAUAACUUUUCCGUUUCAAAUCCAAAUCUAGCACCGUUUGAAGCUAUGGACUCCUGACUUCCCAAGCUUUCAAAAAAGAUAUCGUAUGUAUAAUUUGAACUUCGGGAAGUGAUUGAAAUGUGUCCAACAAUUGCCGAAAUGGGGGUGUGGCUGUGAAAUUGGGAUUUUUCACGUUUUGGGACUUCGCAGCCGUUUUGCAACUGCGAAAUUGGGGUCACUGUGCUGCGAAAUGGCACUCGUGUGCCAAAAGUGCUUUCGCAGCCGCGAAAUCCUCUGCGGAAUGGGGCUUUGGCUGCCAAAAAAAAUGAAUUUUUUUUUUUUUUUUUUUUUUUUUGGGUUUCGCAGCCAUUUUCGCAGCUGCGAAAUGAGGGUACUGUGCUGCGAAAUGGCACUCGUGUGCCAAAAGUUGGCUUCGCAGCUGCGAAACACCCUUCCAAAUGGAGCUUUCCUUGCGAAAUGGAGGAUUUCAUGCUUUGGUGGUUCGCAGCCGCUUUCGUAGUUGCGAAAUGGGGGCUCCUGUCCUGCGAAGUGGCACUCGUGUGCCAAAAGUGGUUUCGCAGCUGCGAAAAUUUUCGCAGAGAGGGCAUUUGGGCUGCGAACUGGUUUCGCAGCAAAGUGCCGAUUUCGCAGAGGCUGCGAAAUUUCGCAGACCCCUGUUUUUCCCCUGUUUUUGCUCUGUUUGACUCCGAUUUUGCUCCGAUUUUUCUCCGAAAGACUUCCUUCAAUUUCUUUACAAUUCCUCUUGAUUUUGAUCAUCCAAAAACCUAUAUUACAUCAAAACAAACUAGAAUUAAAGCAUUGAAAUCAAAAUUAAAGCAUUGAAAUCCAAAUUAAAACAUUGAAAUCAAAAUUAAAACAAGUAAAAAGUAAAAUAAAAAGAUAUGGACUAGCUAGUCUUUAGAAAGACUAAGUCCAUCAAAAAAUUUGCUCCUGAUUUAGCUUGCCCGGAUCCCAUAUGAAGUUUGCAUCCUUCAAUUGAGACUUGGUUUGUAUGAUUUUCCCAUACAAAGCUUGGAGAAAAGGUGGAGGCAUGUGUUUCUUCAUCAAUUCUUCCUUGAUGACUAUCUUCUGUGGUUUUCUUUGUACAUUAACAUCAUAACCAUCUUUCUCUAUGCUUUUCCCCUUUUUCUUUCCUUUGAUUUCCUCCCUCUUUUCUUUCUCUGUUUCAUUCUCUACCUUAUGCUCUAGCUUGCAUGUGGGCAGAUCAACCUCUUUACCACUCCUCAGAGUGAUCACUUCUUCAAUUUCCUUCACCAUUGAAGAUUCUCCCUCUUGAGCCUCCAUUUCAUGGAUACUCAUGGAAUUUUGAUAAGGUUGAGAAGGAGAGUUUUCUUUCUCUUGCACUGUGUUCAAAUUUAUGAGCCUUGAAAUUGAAUAUUGGAUGUUGUCAAAAUUUUGGGCCAUAUCAUUUUGCAUUCCAUCCAUCCUUUGAUCAAGUCGAGCAUUGGUGGCUUCUUGCUUUCCAAUAAAAUCUCCCACGACCUUGCAAAGAUUCACCAUAGCUUGUUCAAGGAUUGAGGCUUGCUGUGGUGCUUGAGCAGGUUGCUGAUACUGAGGUGGCUGUGGUUUCCAAGAGAAAUUUGGAUGGUCCCUCCAAUUGGAAUUGUAGGUGUUGCAAUCACCAAACAUUUCCCUCUCGGCUGGAAUGGUAGGACACUUAUCCACCAAGUGCUCAUAAGAUAGACAAAUGGCACAAGGCAUUGGUAGCAAUGGUGUUUGAGAGAUGGCUUGCACUGGUUGCAUAUUCGUCAUUUCUAGCUUUUCCAAUCUCCUUUCCAUAGCUGCAAUUUCUGCCUUCAUGUUCAUACCAUCAUUCAAAAUAUACAUCUCACCCUUAGCUUUAGGUUGAGACAUCAUUCUUUCCAUAUCUCUAGCAUUUGGUUCAUCCCAUCCUCUUGAGACUUCAGCCACAUAACUCAUGAAGUUCAUAGCUUCCUCUGCUAUCUCUUAAUCAAUAUAGCAUGCACAACUAGCAAUUUGUGAAUUAAAUACAGAGAACACAAAAGAAAACAAAAGAAAAACAAUUCAAAGAAAGAAAAUUAAGGUAAACUAAAAACUAAAUAAAAGGUAUACUAAAAUAUGAACAAUAAAGAAAUAAAAAGAGUUAGUAAAAGAAAAAGAGUUAGUAAAAGGAAAAGAAAAGUCACCAAACUUGUGAUGAAGAUCACAAGUACUCUAGAAAGGUGAUAUCACAAGUACUCUAGUAUAGUGGUGAGUGUCCCCGGCAACGGCGCCAUUUGAUUCGUCCCUAGCAGUGUCUCAGCUGAUUUGUGUUCAGCUGGUGCUCCUUGAUUGAGGAAGUGAUCAACAAAAUUUAUACCUAUAACACCAUACACUAGGGUAGCAAAGACAAAGCUACUAUAGCAUAGUGGCUCUAGGAUCGUUCACUGGGAUGGGUUUUCACUUCACAAAUGAUAUUAAUUCAAAGUUGAAUUGGUGUCUUUUCAUUUCAAGGUUAGCUUUAAAAGAAAACAUAAAGAUGAGUUGGAAAAGGUUUGGUUUUAAACUAACCACAAAUAGUAACUAAUUUUACUUAUAAAGAAAAGAUGUUUCUUGGAGUUCAGAUCACUAGGCCCGUUCCUCAUACAAAAUGGAGAGUUCCGGUCACUUGUUUAUUUUCCUCGCAUUAGAGAAUUAACAUAUAGUUCCUUCUCCAACCGGUGUUGUACAGAUGUUUCCCAUUAAUGGGUUCAAACACUAAAUCCCUCUCACUGAUGCACCUUGCAAUGGCUCAUACCUCUCACUUAGCACUUGCCAUUCAAGGUGAUCUUUAACCUUGGAUUACCCGUCAAAAGCUCGCAAGAGAUAACUAAUGGAUGUCUCCUUGGAGUCCAAAAGCUUACCAAGUGUUGGCUAUUCUAGAAAAUCCUACCUUCAAGUCACCUCCCAANNNNNNNNNNNNNNNNNNNNNNNNNNNNNNNNNNNNNNNNNNNNNNNNNNNNNNNNNNNNNNNNNNNNNNNNNNNNNNNNNNNNNNNNNNNNNNNNNNNNCAGCUUGCGGCAUGUAUCGGGUAGCUUCAGGAGGAAUUCCAUAGCACUGUACAAAAAGGCUGCGAAAUUCUCGCAACAAAAGGCUGAUUUCGCAACACUUUGGAGUGAUCUGCUUGCAGUGGCUGUAACUUCUUCGUUUCAACUCCAAAUCGCGCACCGUUUGAAGAAUUGGAUUCUUGACUUCCUGAGCUUUGAAAUGAUAUAUAGAAUGUAGAAAAUGGACUUCUGGAAGUGCUCCAAAAGUGCACAAGAAGACUGCAGCUGCUGUCCUCUGUUUUCUUCACUCUGUUUUCCUCUUCUCCUUGCUUCUCUCCUUGCAUACUUUGAACGACUAAGGCAAAGGAAUAUGAGGCUCCAAAGCUUGGUUUCUUCAUGAAUUUGAGCUUCCAAAAGCUUUGCCAUAACUUGUUCAAGUAGCUCCUCCAUCAUUUGGCAUGCUUGAAUUGAUUCAUAAGUUGAUAAAAACAUGUAAACUUGCCACAAAAUGGUUAAAACCAAUUACUAAGGACCUUAAUGAAUUAAUUGGGUUAAAUGAAUAUGAUUACUACUCAAAGGUGCUUAAAACCAUUAUAAUUAGGUCUACAAAAUAGCACUUUUUGGUAGUAAUCACAUGCAUUUUUCCUAACUUUCAUAAUUUAUGGUUGAUAUGCAUAAAUGUUGAUUACUUGGGGUUUGUUUGGAUAUAUUUAUUAGCUAUUUUUUGUGUCUAAAAUCAUAAAUCAGAGCAUAGUAGGUAUUUUUAUAAAAUAUGUAAAAACUCUUUAAGGUUGAUAAAUAAAUAUUUGUGGGAAAAAUUAAGGUAUUAUAAAACUUUAAGUAGUUUAAAAUUUCUCAUCAUUAAAAAAUGAUUUUUCAUGCUAAAGUUAAAUUUUUGUAUAUAUAAAUUGUUGUUUUUAAUAUAAAAUGUUUUAUGUAUUAUUCAUCAAUUUUUAGAAAUAGAGCGUGGGAAAUGUAUUUAUAUCAAUUUACAUGAUGCAUUUUAAGGAAUGUACAUUGUGAGGCAUUGGGAGUGUUAUGUUACUUAGGGCUAUAAAUUAUGCAAUUGGCAAGACUAGAAAAUUGUCUUAGUCAAUGAAUUAGGCUUGCAAUAUGCAUUAUGCAGUUAUGUUAUUUUAUUUUAUUUUCUAUUGAGAACAUUAGAAGGUCAAAAAGAGUUAUACAUCCAAAUGACUUAAGAUAAAUGCAUAUGAUAAUCAAUGAACAUGACUCAAACUCAACAAUUUUUUCACAGGUUUGGUUUAAGUAUAAAUGAGUUUGAGUUAAAUUCAUACCGCUUUGUUUAAACCUAUUUAAUAAGUAGGUAGUUUAUUUUGUCAAUCGACAUAAUAUAAAUGUUAAUAUUGUGAGUUGGUAGCUAGGUAAAGAUGGGUGUCAAGUGUUUUUAGAAUCACUUUGUAAUUGGGAAUGUCCAAACCAAUCUUUGCAGUGGUCCAUCUACCAACUGAAAUUGGUGAGGGCAGAGGCUAGACUACUCAAGGUAGGGUGCAUGUGGUGUUUGUGGUGAUACCCCUACGUGAAAAAAAAGAAAACUCCAUCCUCAUCCACUUCAUUCUACAACCCAUUCUCUUUUCCCAAAUACCGAAUAAAUACCACCAUCAUCAGAAUAUGUUUUAUGUUUCCAAAUGAUGUUCAAAUUGAUUACCUCCACUAUUAAAAUUUAAGCCCAGUUGUACUUGAGGUGGAGACAUAAUCGCCCACGUGUCAAUUCCCAUUGUGGCCGCCUAAUUUCUCUCCCAAGCUCUCAACUAGAUAGGCCUGCUUGCCUGCUAUGUGAGAGUGACUCUACUCUUUAUAGUCUCUACUCUCUCCUCUAUAUAAAAAGGUUAUGGUCUGUGGCAGAAGGUGCUGACAUUCAAGAUUGAAGUUUCUCAUUUCUCUGCAUUUUCGCUACAUCUUACCCAUUUUCCUUUUUACUGCCACUACUUGCUUCAUCGUCCUCCCAGAAAACCCUAUAAACUCAAAUUAAGGAUAGGUUCAGAUGCAAGUGCAGACAAAUGACAUAUUCAUUUUAUCAUGAUCACUAGCAGCAUCCCCACUUGACUUGGCUCAUUUCCCCUUCUACCUUCCAUUUCACAUGCUUCUUUUUAAUUACUUGUUGUUGGCUUCAAGUUAAAGGAAUGAAAAAAUAGGCCUCACACUCUGUUUGAACAAUAAAUCUUGGUGAUAAAAUGUUGGUGAUAUUAAUUUGUAUGGGAACAUUACCUAUUAUGAGACGAAAAAACUUUUCGGAUGACAUUGAAUAUGCAUAAUUGUUUGUUCAACAAUAUGAAUUUUUUACUUUGUUUGAAUAGGUUGAUGGACGCUACAAAUAGGAUAUACUGUUACAUUUUUGUGGGAGGCAAACUUGUCUAAAAAAAUUAUGGGCAAUGGGAAUACGUGUGUGGAAUAAGCAAAGGUAUUCACAAAUAUAAAGGAAUACCAUUUGAAGAAUUCACUAAAAAAGUCUUAGAGAAAUUCGACAUCUUCCUUGAUGUGAUGAAGAUGCACUACACCCUCAAGUUUAACCCUAGAGUCAUCCAAGAUUUAGAAGAUGAGGAUGACUUGGAUAAUGUGGUUUCCCACAGUGAUGACUUUGCAAAUGUGUACAUAAUAGAGUCACCCCGUGUGGAAGCCAUUGAGGCAAAUGUACCAAAUACACAGUUGGCAUUUGGGUAAUGCGUUUUGACAUGAAUGUCCAUUUAAAAUAAUGUGAAUAUCAAUUUUACGCAUGAUGUAGUCUAAUGUUGUUUAUGUAUGUAAAUGCAGAGGUCUACCUCCCACGUUUCCUUCCUCUAAUGCAUCAUGCGAUGCAAUUCCUAAUACUAUGAUGCUAUCAAGAGGUUUUGCAUCGCGUUGUGCAUAUAAUGAGUACACCCCUUUGGAAUUGAAUUAGUUUCAUGAGGCAAUAUUAAGGGCAGGACAUACAUUUAAAAAUAUUGAGGAGUUUUGAAAUGCAAUAUACUAGAUGUCAUUAGGUGAGAGGUUUCAAUAGAAGUACAAGAAAAAUUCACCUACUCAUAUGUCCAUAAAGUGUUCGGUUGAGGGUUGUCCUUGGAAGAUAACAGUUCACGCUGUAGAAGGGAAUGUAAUCUUGUGAGUUCAUACUUACCAAGUGAAUCGUAAUCAUAUAGCUCAAGAUGAGUGUUCAUCUAAGGUGAGGGUUACUUCAAAGAGAGGCAUUGUUAUUGUUGAAGAUGUGUUUAGAACCACUCCAGAAUAUCUUCCUUGUCAAAUAUGCAAGGAUUUGAAUGUGAUCAUGGAGUUGAAUUGACAUAUAACCAAGCAUGGCACCUUAAAGAGAAGGAAAAAUAGCACAUAUAUGGAGCUCCACGUGAGUCCUACGUGUUUUUGCCUUGGUUAUGCCAUAGACUAAGGGAAAUAAACCUUGGAACUAUUGUGGAGUACACUUCUCAUAAAGGUCAUUUCAUGCAAUUGUUCAUUGACCAUGCAUUUUCAAUUCAAGGGUUCAUCAUGGGGUGUCGAUCGAUAUUGGCAAUUGAUUCUUGCCACCUAAGCGGUCCAUAUAAGGGAGCUCUUUUGUCUACCAUUGCAUAUAAUGUAAACGAUAGAAUGUUCCCUCUAGCUCUUGGUGUGGUCAGUUUAGAAAAUUAUGAAGACUAGUAUUUAUUCUUGGAGAAAUUAAAGGGGGUCCUAGAUGGUAAAGAAGUAAUUAUUAUAUCAGAUAGACAUCAGGGGAUAUUCUAUAAUGUUUCCAAGUUGUUUGGGACAGAAAAUCAUGCAUAUUGUUAUCGACAUGUGAAGAAAAACUUUUCUAGCUUUUUCAAUAGGCAAAACAUUAGAGGAAAGAAAGGGAAAGAAGAUGCUUUGUUGCUUUUGGACAACAUUGUGUAUGCUAGGUUGGGUAUAGACUACAAUGAGCCAUUUGAAAAACUUGUGCACUUCAAUGACAACCUAGCAAAAUGGGUUAUGGAAAACAAUCCCAAGCAUUAGGCGAUGUCAAAGUUCCUUAAAAAAUUUUGGGAUAAAAAGACAACUAAUAUUGUAGAGUCCUUCAAUGCAUGGUUAAGAGAUGAGCGCCACCAAACAAUUUAUACGUUGUUGUUGAUGCACAUGGAUAAGCUUGUAGGCAUAUUGGACACCCAUAUUCGUGGCUACCUUAUUUGGGGGAGGGGAGGGGAGGGGGGGGAGGGGGGGGGGGGGGACAUUUAAGGGGUUUAUUGGGGAGGUUUAUUUGGUUGUGGAUAUGCAUCAACGUAUGUGUACUUGUAUGACAUGGAAAAUGUCCGGAUUGCCCUGUGCCCCUGUAUGUGCUGUCAUCCCCCCAAUGGGACCCCACGUGUAUGAGUUUAUCGACCCCUGUUUUCAUGUUUCCCCUCCACCUUUGAUUUACUCGGGAUAAUUUCAACCCUUNNNNNNNNNNNNNNNNNNNNNNNNNNNNNNNNNNNNNNNNNNNNNNNNNNNNNNNNNNNNNNNNNNNNNNNNNNNNNNNNNNNNNNNNNNNNNNNNNNNNUAGGUUGGGUAUAGACUACAAUGAGCCAUUUGAAAAACUUGUGCACUUCAAUGACAACCUAGCAAAAUGGGUUAUGGAAAACAAUCCCAAGCAUUAGGCGAUGUCAAAGUUCCUUAAAAAAUUUUGGGAUAAAAAGACAACUAAUAUUGUAGAGUCCUUCAAUGCAUGGUUAAGAGAUGAGCGCCACCAAACAAUUUAUACGUUGUUGUUGAUGCACAUGGAUAAGCUUGUAGGCAUAUUGGACACCCAUAUUCGUGGCUACCUUAUUUGGGGGAGGGGAGGGGAGGGGGGGGAGGGGGGGGGGGGGGACCUUUUAAGGGUUUUUUGGGGAGGGUUUUUUUGUUGUGGAUAUGCCUCCACCUAUGUGUACUUUUUUUAAAUGGAAAAUGUCCCGAUUGCCCUGUGCCCCUGUUUUUGCCGUCCUCCCCCCCAUGAGACCCCACCUGUAUGAAUAUAUCCACCCCUGUUUUCCUGUCCCCCCCCCACAUUUUAUUUUCCCCGGAUAAUUUCCACCCUUUCCCAUGCCCCACAUGCCCCAAGUUUGUGAGGAUGGGAGUUUGCCACCCCCCCCUGUGUGACCUCCCCCCGGAAGAUCCCCACCAAAGCCCCUUUAGUCCUAAUUUUGUCCUAAAAAAACAAUUCCUUUCUCCCCAUGUAAUGGCCAAAGUAAAAACCACCCCAAAAAUAAAAAUUCCUUGUUGUGACAUGUCCCCUUUUUUGCUUGUAAGGUUUUCUUAUUUUUUACCCUCCCNNNNNNNNNNNNNNNNNNNNNNNNNNNNNNNNNNNNNNNNNNNNNNNNNNNNNNNNNNNNNNNNNNNNNNNNNNNNNNNNNNNNNNNNNNNNNNNNNNNNAGACUAUAAAGAGUAGAGUCACUCUCACUUAGCAGGCAAGCAGGCCUAUCUAGUUGAGAGCUUGGGAGAGAAAUUAGGCGGCCACAAUGGGAAUUGACACGUGGGCGAUUAUGUCUCCACCUCAAGUACAACUGGGCUUAAAUUUUAAUAGUGGAGGUAAUCAAUUUGAACAUCAUUUGGAAACAUAAAACAUAUUCUGAUGAUGGUGGUAUUUAUUCGGUAUUUGGGAAAAGAGAAUGGGUUGUAGAAUGAAGUGGAUGAGGAUGGAGUUUUCUUUUUGGGGGGGGGGGGGGGGGACAUUUAAGGUGUUUAUUGGGGAGGUUUAUUUGGUUGUGGAUAUGCAUCAACGUAUGUGUACUUGUAUGACAUGGAAAAUGUCCGGAUUGCCAUGUGCACAUGUAUGUGCUGUCAUCCGCACAAUGAGACACGACGUGUAUGAGUAUAUCGACCCAUGUUUUCAUGUCUCCACUCAACAUUUGAUUUACUCGGGAUAGUUUCAACCAUUACCAAUGCACAACAUGCCCAAAGUUUGUGAGGAUGGGAGUUUGCAACCUCCACAUGUGUGACGUCCUCCAGGAAGAUCCCGACAAAGGCGCAUUGAGUCAUAAUUUAGUCAUAAGAGAACAAUUCAUUGCUCUCGAUGUAAUGGCAUAGGUAAUAACUACUCUAAAUAUAAUAAUUCAUUGUUGUGACAUGUCCCUUUUUGUGCUUGUAAGGUUUUCUUAUUUUGUACCAUCCCUCAUUAUUCCAUUCUAUGGUAUAUGGUAGGGGGGGUUAAUUGAUUUUGGUUCUUAUGUAUUGGUCUUGUUAUAGGCACGAUGAACUAUCUUUUUAUUUUUACAAUUCAGUGUUGGUUUGAUUAAUCACUUUAAUUGAAAGUACAAUUUGAAUGUGGUAUCUUUUCACUUGUUGUUUAAUUUCAUAAAGGUGUCUACAUUAUGAUGUAUUUCUUGUUUUGCAUUAUCAAAAUAAUGUUGAAUAUUAAGAGGGAGUAGGGUUGUUGAGGUUAUCGAUCUCAAUCUUGAUUAAUUUCAAGGUGUAAUUGUUCUCAUAGAUUUCAUCAAUGAAGAUCUCUAUUUAGCCAGAAUCACUAACUUUUAGUUAAUGAAAACAAUAGAAUACCUACAUUGUCACAUUUACAUUUACUUCUAUGCACUCUGGUAUGGCCAUUUUUUCACAUCUUGAAUGGUUAGAUGGACAAAACAUCAUUGUUAGUCCAACAACUUUUAGUUGGACAUGUUCUUACAAAUAUUGGGGCUGAAUAAAGUGCAUAUAGCAUCUCUUUCUCGUUGAAUUAACUGUGCUUUAUAUGUACGUACUUUUCUUGCUACUAAACUACAAAAGCAGUUGCAACAAUUGUCUUGUUGUGUGAAGCAUUAUUCAUGCCAGAAAAUAAGUCCACCAUUGUAUAAUAUUUUAGAGUGAACCAUGUAAUUGAUUGGCAUGUCACUAUAGAAUCAAUUUUUUAACAAUGUUUAAACUUCUCUUCAUUUUAAUAUGAUAUUGUUAUGCUCUUCUCAUCCUUAAGGUUCAUUAUAUUGAACUAAUACAUAUUAGACAAUGUCAAAUUUGUAAUAUAAUUUAUUAUUGAGUUGCAACUCUCAUCCUCAAACAAUUUUUGCAGUUUGACUGGUUUUUUAACAAUUUUUUUGCUUUGGGAUGUCAAUUAUUUAGAACCAGAUUCCAUUGGUUUAGUGAUGUCUUUGAUAAAUAUCUUCAUGUUCAGUAGUUGUUGUAUUUAAAGUUGAGGGUCUACUCUAAUGUAAUGUAAACUUGAGAUAAAUCUAUCCCAAGGAUAAAUGAAUUUUUGAAUUGCUAAUUUGCUAAAAAUGUUAGUAGUUUGAUUGGUUCAUGGUUGAAUUAGUGUGUUGCAAUGUGUUUUAGAUUUGUUAGAGAUUUUUUUGUGUUUCACAUUUGAGAAACUAACUAUCAAUUAAAUAUAGAUUGUCCCCAGUAAACUUGUCUCUUCUCCGCAUAUCACUAUCCACAUGGUUGAGGUGUUCAGAUGCAUGGAUAGUUGUUGUCAGCUCUUGAUGUUGUAUCUCUUUGAAGCCUAAAUGAGAAAGAAAGUUUGUUAUUAAAUUAUGCCACUUAUUGGUCUUGGUCUUUUUUUUUUUUUUUUGGGAGAGAGAGGGGGAGGGUUUGUCCUUUAUUAUUUCCACUUUUUGGUCUUUUCUUCUUAUCGCAUCACAUUAUGCUUGCACCUAUUUGAAGUCGUGAUGAACUCCGAACAUGUAAGAAAAUCUGUCUUUCAAGGUCUCUCCAAUGAGAUAUACUUGUUACGUAGCUUGACCCUAGGGUUAUUCUAUAUUAAAUUCUUCAUUAUGUGAAUUCUGGUAAGUUGGCAAAAGAAUAGUAGUUCAUAUAAGUACUUGCUUCCGAAGUGGAAGUUCUAUCCUAAAUUGCCAUUUUUUGGGUUUAAUUCAUUGAUUUUUUCCUUAUAAAUCUGAAUAUGGUGUGCCAUUACCAAAUUUAUCAGUCUGAUGAAUGGUAUGGCUGUUUAAAUGACCAUUCACUUUAUUAUGAGUUAUUCUAGGUGGGAAAUAACUACUAUAAACCAGAUUUCAAGUAAGCAGUUGCUGCAAGGUUGAAGCCUACAAGGAUAUUUUCAUUCUUCAAUGGCCUCUGUGGAGGUAAUGUAUUAUUUCAUGUAUUUUAUUUUCAUCAAUUUUCUCUAGAACUUAAGAUUUUAGCCUACUUGAGACAAUUAAUUGUGUUAUGUGUUAAGGAUUGUUUAUUGCAUGAGCAUUCACUUUCAAAUUAUUGAUCCACAUGAGCUCAUUGUCAGGACAAACUAUAACUAGGCAGCUAUUAUGCAAUUUGUUAGAACAUCUAGUACAAAAUUUAAUUCCGCGUUCAAUGGCAACAGUUAUAUACUCUUUUUUAGGCUACAUGAGAUUGAACCUAAGACUUCUUUAUAUUAACCAUUCCUUAAUCUCUAACUUCUUCCAUCUUUAUUCCCUUAAGUUUUCAAAUCCAAUCAUUAGGGACAUUGCAUUAGGCCCUAUUCAGAUUUGAACUAUUAUUGGCUACAAAAUAAUACACCCAUAUUACUAAUUCAAAUCAUUUAUACUAGAAAUAGAGAAUGUAAAAUUUAUGACAUAUGAAAUAGAUUACACUAAAUUUUAUAGAAAACAUUCAGGAAUUUGUAGCACUAGUUAAGAAAGGAACCUUACCUCGUGAAAUUGAUGCUCUAGCUCCAACUUUGACCAACCACGUCAUGAAAUUAGAUUAAAAUCCAUGGCAGUGGCGAUUAAUUAGAUAAAAAGGCAUAGAUCAUGAACAGUAAGAAGCUUCAAUGCACAGUCCAUUUUUCUCAUGUCCACUACAAUUUAGACCUAUACUAUUUCUCCACAAUACUUAAUUAGCAGCUGUAUUUAUGUUAAUGGUUUUUGAGACUAUUGAUCUCCAACAAUUUUAAAGCAGGCCACCAGAUUGUCGACACACUGCUCAACUUCAAGAUUCCUAAAACUAUGCAAUAGGUUACCGAAUGAUAAAUUGGAAGUGGUUCAAGACCUCCAGUUUGGAGGUCUUCUUAACAUAAACUAUAAGGAGAUAUGCCACAAUAUGUCUUUGGCUAAUCCACCAUUUUAAUGUUGGAUUCGGAUGCAUAGACAUCUCAGCCGACAAAAAAAUAUGAUGUUAUAGCUGUUGAUGUGGGGCUUGUCUUUGGCCUUCCGAAAAAUCGGAUGAAUUCUACCAAUUGCAUCAACCCCAUUUGAUCUUCCGUUCGGUACAAUCUGCACAUGUGAGGAGAGGCUCCUUAACUUACUUGUUGGAGAGGAGUUCUGAAUAUGCUUCAUUUACUACAUUUGUGCGACAAUAUUGGCCCCCACCUCAAGAAUUGAUGGAUGUCGAAACUUAUGGCAUACCAUCCAUGAAGAUGGUUUCAUAAAUGAUGUUAACUGGGGCCAAUUUGUUAUUAACAUGCUUGUAGAGGGUAUAAAAUGAUACAAGCAAAGUAAUAGUGCUUGGGUACAUGGUUGCAUCCUCUUUCUACAGGUAUUGCAUUUUUUUUACAUGUGUUACUUGAUAAUUUUUGAAUUGUUAACAUCAAUAGCCCCAACUAACCAUUGCACAUAUGUUUAUUUGCAUGGUGCAACUCCAUUAUGUCAUGAAAUUCAAGAUUCCUUCCAUCCAUAUUCCCAUUACAGUGCCCUAACUGUCAGCAUAGACAAAUAAGUUGAUAAAUCAGCAACUAGCUGUUGAGAUCAAGGAGUUUGGAACUUUUGGACAUGGCGAGGUAGUCAUAUAGUCUAUAUGCAUGUAGAAAUGUAAUUUGAUGACAUGCCAAUUGAACACUUUAAAGGUCUAUGUGUUCUAAACAAGCGUCAUGUUCUUAAUUGUAGGGGUUCGAUGAAUCGCCACCACCACCUACACAUGUGAAGGCCGAGAGUAGGCCCAUGAGUAGUGAUGUACGCAUGAUUUGUUGUUAUUUUACGACUUCAAUCCAUUUCAAUGGGAUUAUAAUUGGGCUUACUUAUCAAAAUAUUGUAAAAUAAGGGUUUUAAAUUUCUUUUAAAAGAUUUUUAUACUGAAUAGACUUGUGCACUUCGGUUGACAUGUGAUAGGAAAUCUAGGAGCAAUACCAUAAAGUAGAACACACAAUAACGAACUAUCAGAAGGGCAUACAAUAGCAACCUGGCGUCAUACGUGGGCUAAUGCAAAGAUUGGGGGCUCGAAGAGAAAUAGGUGUACCUUCGAGUGUUACUGGUCACUCUGGGUAUUCAUCUGAUGUCUUUCUCGUGCCCGAGUAGCAUCCAAACUCUGCCUAAGAUGACAUGGCAUGGCAUGGUACACAAGACGUACCUGACACACCACUUAGGUAGCUAACCCUAGAUUUUCAUACGGAGGUCGAAGAGUCAAAGUCAAAACUUAAUGGUAACAUUCUAGGGGACAUUCAUUACUGCAAUAGUUCCUACAAAAUAACUAAUGUAAUAGUGUCCUUUAUUAAACUGAUUAGUUGUUAGUCCAAACCAACAAAUGAUGAAGUAGUUGUCCAUGACAUAAUUCCUUUGCGUUCUGUGAUUUUGGCCCCGUCCGAGAGGGGAGGGAGGAGAUAGAGAGUGCAUUAGAUGGCUCCCAAUCUAUUGUCACCAUUCAUAGCGCAGCCACAAAUACGACAGUCUACCAUAAAGAUGGACCUGAAACAAGCAGUUGUAGUUGUAUUUGAUGGGGAUUUGGACCCAAGGUAUGUAGAACCAUAUUCUACUCCAAUUUCAAUUAUAUGAACUUGAAAAAAUUUGUAUUACCCUAACAUAUAUGUUUAUGGUGACAGUGAGGAACUAGUGGCAAUGCAUGACACAAGUUUAAGUAGAGGCAAUCUCGCCUUUUUAGAAUGAGACAAUUGGAUUAGGAAUGAUGUUAAUAUCACAAUUGAUCCAUGAUCUUCCAUUAUUUUAAGUUUCAAUUCAAGUAACAACUGGUCAUUAGUGAUUGUUAAUCUUGCUUACACAUUAAUCAUUUUUUGCCUUAGGUCGUGGAUGCAUAUUGUAGGAUGCUGCAGUUUGAAGAUGUAUCAAAGAUAAAACUGUUUUUUUUUUUUUUUUUUGAUAUACAUAGUUGUAAUGAAGAACUUUUAUAGAGAUUGAAUUUCAAUGAUUAGUUGUUAUAACAUGUACAAAAGUUUUGCUAAAUUUGAAAGCUUUAAUUGUUUCCAUAUGAUAUGUAGGAAAUGGUCAUGUGCUCCAACACUAAACACUUGACGAGAGAAGCACUAAUAGCCCGUUUUGAACCACAUUUGUAUCCCAUGGAUGUUUCAUAUCGGAAUGUGAAUGAGGUGAGGUGGACUGCAUUGUUUUAUGUUUGUAAUAUUAUAAUCUCAUUAACCCAAUAUUGGUUGUAAUUGAUUGUAAGUCGAAUAAUACAGGUCUACUUACCGGUUAGUGUAAAGAACCAUUGGACACUAUAUGUUUAUGACUUGCAGAACAAGAGAAUCCAACUCCUGGAUUCUCGUUUGAGAAGGAGGAGGAGUUGUAUGAGUGGAAUACAACAUAAUUUGGUAAAGUAGCUUGUAGUUGGGUAUACUUUUUUGCAUUGUACAUAAGAAUGGAAGUUUAAAUUUGUGAAAGAAUUGAUUGUUUCAGGCGAAGGUUGUACUAUGGCUUGCUACCCACAAGAAGGAAGUAUUGGAUAUAGAUUUGAAGAUGUUCAGUUUCAUGACGCCAAAUGUACUGGCCCAGCCAAAUGAGUGAGUGUUUAGGUUGCAGUCCAAAAUAAUGUUUAAAUUGAUUGAAACUUAUUUUAAGUAUAUUAUAAUUGUCAUUCCACAAAUAAUGAAUAAUCUGUCGUAAUAUUCUAUGUUAGCCAUAACUACAGAAUAUUUAUUAUGAAAUUCAUGGACUACUGGUCAAUGGGAGGAUUCUCCAAAUCCAUUGAUGUGGUAUGUACAUGCACCAAAGUAUUAUAAUCUCAUUUAUAUGAAAUUAGCAUUACAUAGGCAACUUAAUUAACAUUUUCUUAUAUGUCUUUUAAACUUGAAUGAAUAUAGGGCAAGUUGAAGAAGUAUAGACUGAAGAUUAUGGGCAUAUUGUUGUUUUCCACAUAGAAUCAACAUCGACAUUGAUUUAUGGCAGAAUGAUGGGGAUUGUUGAAUUGGAUGUGACGAGGUUAAAUUGAGAUGGUUGUACAUUAUUUGAGAAAAACAAAUUGAUGUAAAUGUAUGCAUAUGUUAUUUGGUAGUAUUUGGGGCAGAAUACAUAGAUAGAUUACAAGUUAAGACCGAUUUAAAUUAAAACUGACCACAAUGAAAUGGUGAAGACUUCAGACUGAUUUUGGACAUAAUCACAAGUGAAAUGAAGUUGUAUAAUAGAACUAUGUCAUAUAUUACUACCUCAGCUAUGGUGACUUGAUUUUUCAAGUAACACGGUGUUAUUGGGAAUGUGGAAAUAGGUGUGGAGGUUGAUUUUGGACAUGUAGAUUACGAUGAUAGUGACAAUUACACAAUGUGAUCUUAUAGGAAAGCUAUUGUUCAAAACUGAAUGUAAUUGUAUGGCAAUUGUACAAGGACUUUGGUUAAAGUGUUUUUUUUUUUUUUGUUUAAAAGUAUAUUGAUUGUAUAAGAGAGUAUUGUCAUUUGAAUUAUGUAAGGAGUUUAAUUAAGGUUGAUAUUACAAUUGAUAAGAAGGUAUUAGGUGGUGGGUGUUUAAUUGAAUUAAUUGUCUUCUAGUUUUAAUAUAUUAUGUCUACCAUAUUAGUUACACUAAACUUUAUGCCCAAGUAUGUUGGGUUUAAUAAUAUUUGUGUACUUCUAGUGGGAAAACUAGAUAGGUAUAUGGAUUUACCUUAGGGAUUAAAUAUCUCCAUUUAAUUGAGGUAUUACUUCCAGGUAAUAGGUAGAGAAUUGUAAUGAAAACCCAAAAACUCCUUUAACUGCUUGUUUCAUGUCAAAAAUUAUAUUGUUCCAACCCAUCUACAUUUUCACUGUAAAGAGCAGCAAAAGGUUCCUUUUCAGUGGGACCAAACCAAAUAGGAAAGCUGUAAAUUGAAGUUUGAAUCAAAGUUGAAAAUGAUACAAAUAGAUUAAGGAAAAUUAAGGUUAGACUUGAGAGUAGGGAUUUAGGAUGUCCAAGCGGACAAGUAGAAUGAAUUUGAUGUAUCUUUAUGGGACAUAAGAUACAGUAGAUAUCAUUGAAGUCAUGUGACAUUCAUCAUUAGGAGGAACAUAAACAAAAGUCAAUAAAGAUGAAUCAAGUCCAUUGCAAGAAUGGUUAAUUUGAUCAAUUUAAUGAAUGUGCCAUUGCAAUGCAGUGUUGAAGUAGGAUGGUAACUUGUUUAGCAUCAUAUGCCAUGAGGCGUGUGUCCUUAGGAUUCUAAUUUACUAUCUAACUUUAUUGAAUAUAAUUGCAUGGUUUGUUGUACCAAACUCCCAAUCAAAAGACAACAAACAAUAAAAGAGUCAAAACAUUUUAUCCCAUUUGGAGGCUUAUUGAAUAUAUGAUGACCAUUCCCACUUGGUGAACCAUCUUAUGUAUCAUGCCCCCUGCACAUAUGGAUGCUUCAAAUUUCCUACUUUUCUAUAAUAAUAAUAUAUCUUAAUAGGUUUAUAAUUAUCACAAUCAGAAUGGUUUGACAAGAUUUAUAUCUUAUAAUGGAAAAGAGAAUAUAACAUAGAACUGGUUACAUGGAAGGACAUAAAUAGUGUAACUCGAAUCUAAUCGGACAUGUAUUCAAGUAUGCGCAAAAUGUUUUCAUACUCCCACAUUGACAAAUCCUGACCAUUGUCUUAUGCAAAUUGGAUGCAAAUACGCAAUAAUGACUCACGAGCUCUAUGAUGCAUCAUUCGAUUAUUUGCUAUGUGUAUCUCAACUAAUGCAUAUUCAAAUGCAAACAUUCUUUCAUGAUGCAUGUGAACAACAAUUAAUGGGGGAACCUCGACAAGUAGCUGUUGUAAUUCCAUGACUAAAUCAAUUUGUUGUUGCAUAUUAUAAGCCCACUCUCUACGCAUUAUUCGUAAUUGAUCAUUGAAGCUAGCACCAUGUGGAACGCUUAAGAUGUCUUCAACUAGGAUCUAAUUCCUUCUUGAAUCCAUCCUCUUAUGAACAAAUAAAUUGAAUGAUGGCAAAAGAAAUUCGUAUAACACAAGAAACCCUUAUUGUAAGGCGAUAUUGUAAAUGUCAUGGAUAGAGUUCUAUAUAUAUAUAUAUAACAAAUGCAGUAAGAAACAUUCAUUUCAUUGAAUAUUUAGUGUAAUGAAAAUAAGAAGAAAAAAAAAUGAGGUUGGAUUUUGAUAGUGCUCUAUUAGAUGUGACUAGACAUACAUAUUUUAAUGACAAGACAAUGAUGUUCUCCAUUUCCCAAUGGCAUUACAAAUUUUAAAUGUUACCAUUGUAAUGGAAGUUGGUGCACAUGAGUGUUAAUAUGAAAAGACAACAAAAAGUAUUGUCACAAGUUGGCAUAGAUGCAUGUGCCAGUCUGAAAUUGAGAAGACAAUAAAAAAGACUCAUCUAAAGUUGACAAGAUUAGACUAAAGUACUUUGAAUGGCCCACAAAUCACUAUCGAGAUUCAUUGUAUGCAAUUGUCAUAGGAAACAGUGAAAAUAUGACAUGAUAUGUACACAACAGAGACACUAUAGCAUAUAUUUAUUUGAAAGUAAGGAAAUUGAAAUUUUAACUGUCUUCAGUUGUUAAUCAAAAUUUUGGGCAUAUGCACACUUCUUUGGCAGGUUCAACUGUUAUUGUAAGUGAUAGACGAUAGAAGGGGUAGACGAUAUCUUCACUUAGGGAAGUACUAUUGGCCAAGGGAUAUAUUUGAGCUAUCAAGCCCAUAUUGGGCAUUAGGAGAUGAUAAUUUCAUGUACUUACUAAAGCCAUUGGAGAAGUAUUUGGAUGUGACCAUGUGCACCAUGGAAAAUGAGUAGAUGCAUUUGGGGGAGGAAUCAACAAUUCUAGUCCAACAACUGACUAUUUUAAGUGUACAUGUACCACGUAGAAAUUCGUUGUCUGUUCGUCAAUACAAUCAAAUUAGUUUAUCCGAAGCACUUAAUAAGAUCAGGGAGGAAAACAACAUGAUGGCUAUUAAAAAAAAUAGGGUAAUAAUGUUGGAAGAGGCAUGGAACAAGGCAUUGGCAAAUGGUAAAGAACUCAAUGAAGAGGAAGAAGCAAAAAUUUUGUCUCUACUAUAAUGCAAAUUGGAUUUUGAAAUCUCUGGUGAGGAGUAGUAACAUAUAUGAAUGACCUUACCUGAAUGAACCUUAUGUAACGUAUGUAAUAUUGUACUCCGAAUUUUGGGAUAUUUGUUGCAACUUAAGUAAGCAAAUGGCUAAUAAUUAAUGAUCAACUUUGAUUCCAAAUGUCCCAUUAUUAACUGACCACCCCAUGGUAUAACAUUCAAAUUAACGUCACAUAUUGUUAGUCUUACAAUCAAUUUUAAAUAACAUUGGCAUAUUACAUGUCAUGGCGUAUCGAAUAUAUUCAUUCUGUACACAUUAUAGGUGAAGUACAAUUUGGUUAAGAAAAAUUAAUAACUAUCUUUUUGAAUUUACCAAUGAUUCACAUUUUGCCACUUUUUGUCAAUAUGUGAUAGCAAAAUAAAAUAAUAAUAAUAAUAAUAAUAAUAUAUAUGUUAUAGCAAACCGAAUCGAAUAUAUUCGUUCUAAAGAUCUUUCCGGGAGCCAGAUAUGACGUUAUAAUGUAGGUGAAGAACACUUUGAUCAUAGGAUAUUAUUAACUUUUACCAAUGACUGAAAGUGAGGGUUCACGAGAACACUAUUCAUCUUAAAAUUGACUACACAAUGACACUUUUAAAAAGCACACGUAUUUAUAUUUAAAAUUUUAAUGUAGGUCUUGUACUUUUAUGUGUGUAUUGCAGAUAGGCCCUCAUGCCAAUAUUAUGACUAGGCCCUCCAACCAUUCUUAAAACUAUAUAAAUGCUAUAACCUCAACUUUAACACCAUUGUCUGGUUCAAAGCACCAUGUAAAGAACCUUGAUUCCAAACGGAUAACAACCAUAUUGUUCAAGUAUGUUUGAAGACAUAAAUUUAUAUUUCAUUUCUUCAAUUAAGCAUAUUAUCAAUGUUAUUGGCAAAUAUGAAAGAAAUACUCAUGCAAAGAUUGUGUGAACCCGCAUUUUUCACGUGUACCCCCACUCGAUCGGCGAGACUUGCUUUCAUUUGGUGAAGAUUUUGUUUUUGGAAAAGUCGGAGUCGCCACUUAUUUUACUUUAUUUUUAAAGGGAAAAUAAAACAAGAAAUAAAACCCUAAAAAAUGACUCCAUAGUUUUUGGAAAAGCAUGUCUUUGAAAAACCCGAGUCUAGGUCUAGGGAUCGGGUUACUUAUUGAGAAGGUGCCUCUAGGAGAUAGCACCCCUCUAAGCCCUAGAAAGGUCUCUACUGACUACGUUGAAGGAAAUGUGGCAAUCAACUGAUUAAUUGAGGGUACCUAGGUAGGCUAAGGUGAUAUCAAAACUAGCAUGCCAAACAAGAAAAACCAAUCACACCCAUAAAGGAAAGUUAGGAUGCGUACCUAGACCAUUUCUUAAGCGCUAUCAUAAAACAUCAAUGGUUAGUUUAGAUAAUAUAUCACUCAACAUGAAUUUUAUCAUGAAUGAUCAAACAAUGUAGCAAAUAUCAAGAUAUCCCAAGCAUUCUCAAACAUAGGUAUAAUUCAUAAUGACAAUCAUAUUUACAGAAUUUAGAAGGUAGGUGACAAGAGACGUACUUGGAUAGCAUAGAUAACUUGUAACAUGCUUCCACAAGACAUGAAAGGUUAGAUAACAAACAAUAAAAUAAGAAGUCCUAGCAUGCUUGUUAUCUAAUUAGCAUAGAAAAAAAUUAUCACAAUAUACGAAACCAUCAAUUAUCACUUAUAUCUUCUAUAUAAUUCCUAAAAAUUAAAUAGACAUGAGUUCAUCAAAUAGCAAAGGGGGCAACAAAGAUGAGUUUUGAAAAUUUUCCUUAUGUAGGGGUUUCACCAAUUCCCCGAUUGAUAUACAAAAAUCUAGCCUAGAAUUAUCCCAUUUGUUUGGGACCACAAGCUUGGAUUCAUGUCUUACUCAAAACUUUAAUUUUAUUUGCAAUUUAAGAAAGAUGCGAACUGAUCAAAACAUGGUUGCACAUUAUUUGAGAAAAUGAGAUUUCGAUUCUAAGAACUCUAAAUGAAUUUUUGAAAUGGAUUUUUAAAGGGGUCUUUUGAGAAUAGUGUUAUGUUUUAAAAAUAAAAGAAAUUAAUUUGAAAACAUAUAAAACAUAUGAAUCAAAAUACCAAGCAAAACAAAAGAAAACAAAAUCACAAAGUAGAAUUUUUUAUAACCGAGAAAAUUGAAGUGGUGAGAAUGGAGGCCAAUCUUCACUAUUUUCUGAUGGCCUCCUAAAAUUAAAUUUUACCAAAUACUACCAAAGCAAUAAACUAUUCAAACUUAGAUCAAAUAAGCUAACGAGAUACCCACCAAGAAUUAAUGACGAAUAUUCAAGAAACACAUCCAUUAAGAAUAACAAUCAAGAAUUAGCAUGAGAUCAAUUAAACACACAAACACAUCUAGAUUGAUUAAAAUGAACCAAAUUAAAUCAAAGCAAACAAUAAUUUUCAAACAUAGAAUUAACUUUAUUAAUGAACUAAUAUUAUAUAAAAUACCUAAAUCGAAAAGAUGUGUGAAACUAAAUUAGAGUAAACUAAAGGCAUGAAUUUUCAAAUAUAGAUUGAUUUUAUUAAUGACCUAAAAUUAUACAAACUCCUAAAAUAAUUAAAAUGAAUCAAUUUAAACGAAAGGAAACUAAAACAAAAUAUGAAUUCAAGGAAUCUAAUUUCGAAAUAAACUUACAUUAUUAAAAUGAAAUAUAGGCUUAAAAAAAAUAUAUUCAAACAUAGAAUUAACUUUAUUAAUGAACUAAUAUUAUAUAAAAUCACUAAAUCGAAUAGAUGCAUGAAACUAAAUCGGAGUAAACUAAAGGCAUGAAUUUUCAAAUAUAGAAUUGAUUUUAUUAAUGACCUAAAAUUAUACAAACUCCUAAAAUAAUUAAAAUGAAUCAAUUUAAAUGAAAGGAAACUAAAACAAAAUAUGAAUUUAGGGAAUCUAAUUUCGAAAUAAACUUACAUUAUUAAAAUGAAAUCUAGGCUUAAAAAAAAAUUUCAAACAUAGAAUUAACUUUAUUAAUGAACUAAUACUAUAUAAAAUACCUAAAUCGAAUAGAUGUGUGAAACUAAAUAAGAGUAAACUAAAGGCAUGAAUUUUCAAAUAUAGAAUUGAUUUUAUUAAUGACCUAAAAUUAUACAAACUCCUAAAAUAAUUAAAAUGAAUCAAUUUAAACGAAAAGAAACUAAAACAAAAUAUGAAUUCAGGGAAUCUAAUUUCGAAAUAAACUUACAUUAUUAAAAUGUAAUCUAGGCUUAAAAAAAAAAUUCAAACAUAGAAUUAACUUUAUUAAUGAACUAAUAUUAUAUAAAAUACCUAAAUCAAAUAGAUGUGUAAAGCUAAAUAAGAGUAAACUAAAGGCAUGAAUUUUCAAAUAUAGAAUUGAUUUUAUUAAUGACCUAAAAUUAUACAAACUCCUAAAAUAAUUAAAAUGAAUUAAUUUAAAUGAAAGGAAACUAAAACAAAAUAUGAAUUCAGGGAAUCUAAUUUUGAAAUAAACUUACAUUAUUAAAAUGAAAUCUAGGCUUAAAAAAAAAUUUUCAAACAUAGAAUUAACUUUAUUAAUGAACUAAUAUUAUAUAAAAUACCUAAAUCGAAUAGAUGUGUGAAACUAAAUCAGAGUAAACUAAAGGCAUGAAUUUUCAAAUAUAGAAUUGAUUUUAUUAAUGACCUAAAAUUAUACAAACUCGUAAAAUAAUUAAAAUGAAUCAAUUUAAAUGAAAGGAAACUAAAACAAAAUAUGAAUUCAGAGAAUCUAAUUUCGAAAUAAACUUACAUAAUUAAAAUGAAAUCUAGGCCUAAAAUAUAUAUAUAUAUAUAUUUAACACUAAUAAAGGCAAGUCUAAAAUCAAAUAUUUAACACCUAAUAUUAAUUAUUUUAACGAACAAAAAUUUUACAAGAGCACCUAAACCUGAAGUUAAACAAAAACACUAACCAUAAUAUAUUUUAAAACAAGAUCUCUAACCUAUAGAAUUAAUUUUAUUGACAUAUGGAUAAAUAGACAACACAAAAAUAAAUAAUAUAAUUAAAAAAAACAUGAAUUAAUGGAAUCAAUUUUCUAAAUAAACUUACAUUAUAAAAAUGAAAUCCAAGCUUAAAAUGAAUUAAACACUAAUUAAAGCCAAUCUAAACUUAAAUUCUUAAUACACAUGAUCAAUUAUUUUAACAAACUAAAAUUUUACGUUAACCACAAAUUAAAUUAAUGGAAUCAAUUUUCUAAAUAAACUUACAUUAUAAAAAUGAAAUCUAAGCUUAAAAUGAAUUAAACACUAAUUAAAGCCAAUUUAAACUUAAAUUCUUAAUACACAUGAUCAGUUAUUUUAACAAACUAAAAUUUUACCUUAACCACAAAUUAAAUUAAAAAACUACUUGAGAUAAAUUUCUAACCUAUAAAAUUAAACUCAUAAUCAAAUGGUUAAGUUGAUGACACAGACAAAAAAAUAUGAAUGAACUAAAAUAUGAAUGAAAUAAAAUAUGAAUGAAAUGAAAUACAAACUCAAGGAAUUAAAUAUUUUUUUUAAUAAACUUAUGUUAGUAAAAUAAAUUUGAGCUUAACAAACAUUUUUAUCACUAAUUAAGGCAAUUUUAAAAUAUAAUACUUAACACAUAAAAAUCAAUCAUUUCAACAAACUAUAAUUUUAACUAAACCUAAAACCAAUUCAAACCACCUUCAAUAGAUUUUAUUUUAUUUUAUUUUAAACUGAAUUUUUAACCCAUAGGUUCAAUCUCAUUAAUAAAUAAAUAAAUAAAUAAGUUACAAAGCAUUAGAUUAGUAGCAAAUAAAUAAAUAAACAACUAAUAAUUAAAUGAAUCAAAACUAAAUUAAAUAAAGAUCAAACUAUAUGUUUUUUCUUAAAGUAAAACUACAUAAAAAAAAUUAUGUUUUCCAAAUUUAAUAUAAUAAAUCAAAAACUAACCCUAAACACAAUUCUCAUGUUGCCAUAUUAAAACGAAACAAAUACAUGUUGGCACUAGUAAUAAAAGUCAAUCCACUUACCUAUUAUAAUAAUAAUUCCACUAAAGAAAAAUAUCCAAACUUGCACUGUUACAUAAACCUAAAUAACAAUUCUAGUCUUUAAACUCAUGCUACCAUAUUCAAAAUCAAUACACGCCGGAACUUGUAAAAGUCAAACCACUUACCUUUAUAAUAAUAUUUCCACUAAAAACAUAUCCAAACUUGCAUUGUUACAUGAAACACAUGCUGCCAUAUAUAUAUAAAAAAUGACUCACCUAGCUUACCAAAACAACAAUAUGUAGAUAUUUUCUCCAAUAUGCUCGGGAACCAAGGUGUUUUGGUAUGUGUGUUCAACCAAAUGGUUUCGUUGGUGAGUUCAAACGGCCGCUCCUCUAUUCUCAAAUCUCCUUACACCGAUCCUUUCACACAAUCUCUCUUGCUUGUGAUGAUCUCUGGAAGCAGUAGUAGUCCCCUGAUCUAAAUAAAAAUCAGCAGCAGCAGCAACCCGCUCCUCCAUUUUCUUCUUUCUUAAUGACGCCCUUUCGCUCUGAAAAAUUCCUUGCAUAGAUCCAAAACGACAACUCCCUCUCACGCUCUCAAAGCUCACUCUUUCGAUCCCUUCAAACAACCCAUCUCACGCUCUCAAAACUCUCUCUUCAGAUCGUCUCAAACAACAACUUCUCACGUUCUGAAAACGUGGACUGAUCUUUGUUCGAAUAGCAGCCUAUGAUCUUUUCAACAUGCCUACUGAUCUCUUUCCAAAUGGUCGUCUCUAGUCCCCUCCAUUUUUCAUUCGAUGAUCCCCCUUCCAGAAUGAUAAAAAAAAUUGAAUUCACAACCGUCAGAGGAUCAAAAAGCUCUCUUCUUCCCCUUUGGUGAUGAGAAAAUAUAUCCCUCCCCAUGUCAGCAACCCGCUCAUUUUUUUCUUUCUUUUAUUUUUUUCCUUUUUCUGAAAAUUUCCUUUCCCUAAAAAAAAAAAAAAAAACAACUCAAGUGGUUAAAAGUCAACAUUGGUUUCACUAAAGUUUGAAGAAGUGAUUAAAUAAGUAAAUAAGAAAAUAUGAAUAAAUAGAUGAAAAGGAUAAUAAAUAAAUAUUAGACAUAUUCAAUAAAAAAGAAAUUAAACUAAUGCAACAUAUAAUAAUAAUCAAAGCGUCAAACUCGAACCACCAAAAAUUUAAAAAUUCCUUUCAUGCAAUCAUAAAAUAAAAUAAAUAAACAAAAAAAUAUAAAUGAUAAUGAUAUAAAAUAAAUCAAAACUCACUUAAUCCUAAAAUUAAUCAAUAAAAUAAAUGAAUAAAGAAAAAAAUGAGAAAACAAAUCUAAGUGAAACUAAACCUAGAAAAGUGUCUAAGUGGACUUAAGGUUCUGCCUAAUGGGCCAAGUGCACCUAGAUGAGCCUAAAGUACCUAAGUGAACCUAGGAUGGUGCCUAAUGGGCCUAAAGUGCCUAAGUGGGCCUAGGGUGGUGCCUAAGUGUAUCUAAGUGAACCUAAAGUGCCUAAGUGGGUCUAGGAUGGCUAAGUGAGCCUUGGGUGCCUAAAUAGCCCUCGGGUGCCUAAGUGAGCCUAAGUCUAAAUUAGGGUUGCCAAGAGUCACAAUGGGGUUAAAUGAACCCCUCAACCCAAGUCCCCGAGGUGGCUUAAAAAAGAUAGGCCACACGAGUAGUAAUGGGCCACCAGGGAAUUGCUGUAAAGGACAUGUGCUAGGAGGACAAAAUGGAGGGUCUACAAAUAUGCCCCUCUUCGGUAGAGAUCACGAGUGUAAGGAAUGUGAGUAAAAUAUGAAUAAUGAGUGGAACGAAGUGAACUAUACCGAAGAAAAAAAAUAAAAGGACCAAAGAUUUUGUCCUAGCACAUGACGAGAGUAAGCUCGGAACACAAGGUCGCAAUCACAAAAAUGGAACAACUCUAGGUCGUGAGCUCAAGGCUCUACGUGGAAAGAAUGACUCUGGGUCAUAGAUGAGAAAACGACUCUGGGUCAAGAGAUUUACGCUCUAAAUGGAAAAGAAAUGACUCUGGGUCAUAGAUGAAAAAACACGACUCCGGGUCGAGAGCUCUGGGCUCUAAAUGAAAAAUAAAUUACUCUGGGUCAUAAAUGAAAAAAAAAACGACCCUAGGUCGAGAGCUCUGGGCUCUAAAUGGAAAAGAAAAGACUCUGGGUCAUGAAUGUAAAACGACUCUGGGUCGAGAGCUCCGGGCUCUAAAUGGAAAAGAAAUGACCUUGGGUCAUAAAUGAAAAUCGACUCUGGGUCGAGAGCUCUGGACUCUAAAUGAAAAAUAAAUUACUCUGGGUCAUAAAUGAAAAAAAAUGACUCUGGGUCGAGAGCUCUAGGCUCUAAAUGGAAAAGAAAGGACUUUGGGUCAUGAAUGAAAAACGACUCUAGGUCGAGAACUCUGGGCUCUAGAUGGAAAAGAAAUGACCCUGGGUCAUAAAUGAAAAUUGACUCUAGGUCAAGAGCUCUGGGCUCUAAAUGGAAAAGAAAUGACUCUGGAUCAUAAAUGGAAAAUCGACUCUGGGUCGAGAGCUCUGGGCUCUAAAUGGAAAAGAAAUGACUCUGGGUCAUAAAUGAAAAACGACUCUAGGUCGAGAGCUCCGGGCUCUAAAUGGAAAAGAAAUGACUCUAGGUCAUAAAUGAAAAACGACUCUAGGUCGAGAGCUCUCGGCUUUAAAUGAAAAAUAAAUGACUCUGGGUCAUAAAUGAAAAUCGACUCUGGGUCGAGAGCUCUGGGCUCUAAAUGGAAAAUAAAUGACUCUGGGUCAUAUAUGAAAAUCGACUCUAAGUCGAGAGCUUUAGGCUCUAAAUGGAAAAGAAAUGACCUUGGGUCAUAAAUGAAAAUUGACUCUAAGUCAAGAGCUCUGGGCUCUAAAUGGAAAAGAAAUGACUCUGGAUCAUAAAUGGAAAAUCGACUUUGGGUCGAGAGCUCUGGGCUCUAAAUGGAAAAGAAAUGACUCUGGAUCAUAAAUGAAAAACGACUCUAGGUCGAGAGCUCCGGGCUCUAAAUGGAAAAGAAAUGACUCUAGGUCAUAAAUGAAAAAUCGACUCUGGGUCGAGAGCUCUGGGCUCUAAAUGGAAAAGAAAUGACUCUGGGUCAUAAAUGAAAAACGACUCUAGGUCGAGAGGUCCGGGCUCUAAAUGGAAAAGAAAUGACUCUAGUUCAUAAAUGAAAAACGACUCUAGGUUGAGAGCUCUAGGCUCUAAAUGGAAAAGAAAUUACUCUGGUUCAUAAAUGAAAAUCGACUCUAGGUCGAAAGCUUUGGGCUCUAAAUGGAAAAAAAAUGAAGACUAACUCGAAAGUGGAUAUGAAGCAAAUGAGCUCAAAGUCGUAUACUCGAAAUGCCAAGGGUCAGACUAUUGAACUUGGGAAAUGAAAUAUGCCCCAGUAUCCAGGGUGCUCACAAUGCUGAAACAACCAAUAAACCAAUCAUCCACUGAAAUCAAUGAGUCAGAAACUGAUGCAGCAUGACAAACCUCUAAAAAAAAACUAAACCGAAAGAACUCUCUAUGUCUCACAAGCUGCUCUAGCAACAAACCCUCUAAAUGUAAAUCUCACAGUGUGUAUCGCAACUUAUCCAAAAGCAGAUCUCGAAGUGUACAAAGAAUACUGCUCAUCUAGAUAACCCAAUCUGUAAUGUAACAAUGACGAAAGCAAUCUAUCUCAUGAGCAUCCGACUAAAGAAUCCACCCAUGCUCAUACCGCCACGCAAACAAAAUCUCAUCAAGAGAGCAGUAUGCCCCAGUAUAGUAUCUAAUGUCAGAGUCUUGAGGCAAAUAACCAACAAUGUUCAUCCAUCUAUGUAUAACCCCAUCGAGGAGAGAGAAAUAUGCCCCAGUAUGGAUAUCUGGUGCACAAUAAAGAACAUGACAUCGUCAACCAAACAUCUGUCAACGUCAAUCAAUCACCUGAUAACAUCAAUCAAACAUCUCAAUGAUCAAGAUCAAGGAUAGCCACACAACCCAACCACGAUUAAGGAUAUUGGAGCAAAGGGAAAAUAUGCCCCAGUGUGGAUAUCUGAUGCACAAUAAAAGGAUUAAUCUAACAUCAUCAAAGGACUGUCUCCAAAUAAAAAAUCCAGUAAACAUUGAUAUACCAAGCAAGAGAGAGAAAUGAAAUGCUUCCAAAAGUAUCUCCCAUAAAAGAAAGCAUAGUAACGACUAUACUUCAACCAAUCUACAUAAGCCCACCCAAGUGAAAACUGUCUAAGAUAGCGUCUGAUCUCAUGGCCUCAGGGUGGUCUUAAGACACGGGAUGUAAUGUAGGCCAAGGUGAUAGGGUGAAAGAAAUGAAAGGAAACUAGGUUCAAAUACCCAAUAAUCAAACCCAUACCCUCAUGUACAAGAUGUAAUGCAUAGAAGAAUUCUCAUGAGCCAUGGACCUAAAGGUCGUCAAAAGAAAUGUCGAUGGAGAAAUAAGAGAAAGAAUAAGUGGUCAAAACAUGAAUGAAACAUGUGAAAGAUGUGAAGAAGGUAUCAAAUAAAAAAUGUGUAUCAAUAUGUAGGAAAUGGACAAAAGGUGGAAAACAAAAGAUCUGGAAAGAGGUGAUGACACCCAAAAUAAGGCAAUGAGAAAAUGGAAUGAAUGAUGAUCAAUGCAUAUUAAUGCAAUAAAGGAAAGUCAUAUAACCAAUGAUCGAAUUGUGGGUAAGACAAUGAUCCGGAGACCCUAGUAAAAGGUUACUCAUCUCUCAUACCUAAUACAUAUCAACCGUGAUCCAAGAAGCAUAAGAUCUCAUAGACCUUACAUAUGAACUCUCAACACUCCAAAUGCAUAACAAAAGUGGCUUAAAGAACACAAAAAAAAGUCAUCAUGGAAAACUCGCACAAACUCUCAGUGACAAACCCAAUAAACCCUUAAAUAACAACACAUGCUCAAUGGAGUAGGAUGUUAAAUACAAACAUAUUUUUUUUUCUUUUUUUUUUGUUUUGUUUUUGUUUUUGUUUUUUGUUUUUGUUUUUUUUCUUUUUUUUUUUUGUGCGCAUAUUCUAGUCAUCAAUAAGUCAUACUCCAAUGAGAAACUACAAGGAAUGAAUAAACUCUCUCAAAUCAUUGAUGAACACACGAAACCCUAUCCUAUGAGACAACCUCUCAAGCUAAAGUCUCCAAAUCAAUGCCAAAUGAUGGAAUAAAGAGAGUGAUACAACUACCCAAUAUGCAUCAAUAUGUGAAGAAUCAACAUUCCAUGUGAAGAAAAUAUGAAGUGUAACAACAAAUGAUAAGAUUCGAGAUCAAGAUAAAAAUGUGGAAAUAAUGGAGUGCAACAGACAGGGUGAUGAAGUGAUAAUAGAAAAGAUGAGAAAGAUAAACCUAUAAGUCCACAACUCAUGAGGCUUUACUAGCAAAUCAUAACUAUACAUCAAAGGGCCCCAACCCGGGUAUAGAAAUGAUAAGCAAGGCUAUAGAAAAGAAAAAGUUAUAACAUACCACGCGAGGCUCAAUAGGCUAGCAAUGGUCUAAUAUAUCAAUAAAGGUGACAAGGUGUAAGGCUAACCGAUAUGACGACCACCCAUCCUGCGACCAUAAUCUCAAACGUAAUACUUCUUCAACUGAUCCACAUUGGUAGGCUCUGAAAAUUGGUUUCCAUCUAAGUCAGUCAACCAUGCAACCUCUUCUAGAGUUAACUCUUGAAUAACAUAAGGCCCACUCCAACUAGGUCUGAACUUCCUCUAGGGUCUCCAACUAAGCCUCUAAGAAUCCUCAAAACCAAAUCUCCUUUCUGUAAUGGUCUCGGCUUAACUCGUUUCCUGAAAGCACGAGCCAUCUUUCUUUGAUAGGAUUGAACAUGAUUAGUUGCUUUCAAUCUCUUCUCAUCUAAAAGGUUAAGUUGAUCAAAUCGAGCUUGAGCCCACUCUGUCUCAGAGAUUUUCUGCUCGAGAGCUACUCUCAAUGAACCCAUCUUUGUCUCAACUGGUAAAACAGCCUCCAUACCAUACAUCAGAGAAUAAGGCGUAGCUCCUGUAGAGGUGCAAAAAGAGGUAUGAUAUGCCCACAAUGUAAAAGAGAGUUUCUCUGAUCAAUGUUGAGAGGUUUCAACCAUCUUCCUCAAAAUCUUCUUAAUAUUUUUAUUUGCGGCCUCUACUGCCCCAUUAAUCUGUGGCCUGUAUGCAGAAGAUCUAUGAUGUCGGAUGCCAUAUUUCUGCAACAAAGUGUCAACCUCAGCUCGAAUGUGUACCCCUCUGUCAGAAAUCAACUCAUGUGGCACCCUAUAAUGACAAAUGAUGUGUGAUUUGAUUAAAUUGGCGACUCUAGCAGAUGUUAACUUUCCAUAUGAUGCAGCUUCCACCCACUUGGUGAAAUAAUCUAUGGCAACUAAGAUAAACUCAUGACCACUAGAAGAUUUCGAUGAAAUCUUCCCAAUAAUAUCAAUACCCCAUAUUGAAAAUGGCCAUGGCAAAGUCAAAGCAUGUAACUCUGAUAGUGGUGCAUGAAUGAGAUCACCAUGAGUCUGGCACUCGGGACAUCUCUGAACAAACUGACAACAAUCUAUCUCCAUAGUCAUCUAGAAGUAACUAGUCCUCAUAAUCUUAUGGGCCAGCAUGUGUCUUCCCAUGUGUGAACCAUAAACUCCAGUAUAAACCUCUCUCAUCACUCGAUUUGCAGAGGUUCGAUCUAAACAUAAUAAAAGCAUACCAUCAUUUGAUCGCCUAUAUAGAGUCUCUCCACAAAUAAAAAAUCUUAUGGCCAACUACCUCAAUGCCCUUCGAUCCUUGGUUGUGGUUGCCACUGGGUAUGUGCUAGAUCUAAGGAGCUGAUAAAUGUCAUGAUACCAAGGUAGAUCAUCCUGAGUCUCCGUCUCUCCAACCAGACAAUAGUAAACGGGUGCAAACCUCAACUCAAUCAGCAAUAGACGUAUAACCACAUUCAUUGGAAUGUCCACGGAAGAAGUUAAGAUAGCUAAGGCAUUAGCAAACUGGUUUUGCGCUCUAGGUAGACGAGUGUAUCUCAAGUCAUCAAACCUCUCAACCAGUAACUCUAAAUAAGCAUGUAAGCUUUACAUCCCUAGUCCUCCAAUCACCCUGAAUCUGUCUAAGUACGAGAUUGGAGUCACCAAAUACUUCCAUCUGUCUAAUGCCAAGCUCCAAUGCAGUCUCUAAACCAAGGAUACAAGCCUCAUACUCAACUAUGUUGUUCGUGGUGGGAUAUUGAUCUGAAAACGUCAAGCGAACUGACUUCAGAAUAUAAUCACCCUAGGGGGAUAUCAACAAAACACCUAUCCCAAACCCUGAGUGGUUAGCUGCACCAUCAAAGUACAUACACCAACCGGAUAAGCUAGUCAUAGCAAUGAACUCUUCAUCUGGAAAAUCAUCAUCAACUGGUUUACUAUCAGAUAUCGGUAAUGAGGCCAAGUGAUCGGCGACAAUACUUCCCUUAAUAGACUUUUGAGAAACGUAUUGAAUAUCAAACUCUGUCAAAAGUACGAACCAUCUCAUCAAUCUACCAGUCAAUGCGGGUCUGUCAAACAAAUACUUCAAUGGAUCUAGCCGAGAAAUCAAACACACUGAAUACUAGAUCAUGUAAUGCCUCAAUCUCUUGGUGGCCCAAACUAACGCUAAGCAAAGGUGCUCAAUCAUAACAUAUCUCAUCUCAUACUCCAACAUCCUCUUACUCAAAUAGUAAAUAGCUCACUCCUUCCCAGAGUCAUCGAGCUGAGCUAGCAUGCAUCCCAAGGCCAUGUCUGAAACUGACAAGUACAGAAGAAAUGGACGUCCUGGCAUAAAAGGCACUAAAACAAGAGGAGAAAGCAAGUACUCCUUGAUCUUCUCGAAUGCAAUCUGGCAAUCAUCAUUCCAAACCGUUGGCUGAUUCUUCCUCAAAAGACGAAAGAUGGGCUCACAUAUGUCUGUCAAUCUUGCUAUGAAACGACUUAUAUAUUGUAACCUGCCUAGAAAACCCCUGAUCUCUUUCUCAGUCCUGGGCAAUGUCAAGUAUGGCUUUGAUCUUAUCUGGGUCAACCUCUAUACCCUGCUUACUGACCAUAUGCCCCAAUAAUUUCCCAGAAGUCAUUGUAAAUGUGCACUUCUUGGGAUUCAACCUCAAUCUGAAUUUUUGAAUCCUUUCAAAGAAUCUCUCUAGAACCGCUAGGUGAUCUGCUCUGCUUCAGGAUUUCACAAUCAUAUCAUCUACAUAAACUUCCACAUCCCUAUGCAUCAUGUCAUGACACAAAGUGGUAGCGGCUCUCUGAUAAGUAGCUCCUGUAUUCUUCAACCUAAAUGGCGUAACUCUGUAACAAUAGGUACCCUUCUCGGUAAUGAAGUCUGUCUUCUCCAUAUCCUCUAGAGCCAUCAAAAUCUAAUUGUACCCCGAAAAUCCAUCCAUGAAAGACAACAUCGAAUGACCUAUAGUGCUAUCGACCAACAAAUCAAUAUAUGGGAAAUGAAAAUCAUCCUUAGGGCUGGCUUUAUUAAGGUCUCUGAAAUUGACACAAACUCUAACCUUGCCAUCCUUUUUAGGAACUGGGACGACAUUAGCCAAACACUUUGGAUACUCAACCAUUGAUAUAAACCCAACACUAAGUUGUUUCUGAAUCUCCUCUUUCACCUGUAGACUCUAAUGUGGGUGCAAUCGUCUCAAUUUCUGCUUAACUGGUUUGACAUUUGGCAAGAUAGACAAAUGGUGUUGGAUGAUAGAAGGAUAUAGACCUGGCAUGUCCUCAUAAGACCAUGCAAAAACAUCCAAGUAUGACCUAAGUAAAUGAAUAAGUCUAUCUCUCUCGUCUGUAGAUAGUGGUGAACCAAUCUUCAGCUCUCUAGGCUAAUCCUUUGUGCUAAAAUCAAUAGUCUCAACAUCCCCUACAGUAGGUGAAACUCUCUCAUCUAUCGGAUCUGAAUCACGAUCAAAAGAACCUCUAUCUGAAUCAGGCUGCAUGAUCUCAUCAUCUAUAUCCAGUAUCUGUGGACUGAGUGAGUAUGGUGUAGAUAUAUAAAUACUAUCACAAGAGACAGGUAAAUACUCGAAAAUACUCAAAUCCAUAGAUAUGGAAUCAUAAACAUCGUCAGAGCGGGAAAUAAAUCCCGAUAAAAUGUCAAAUGAAAGAGGUAGGUCCAUAAAGUCGGACGUUCCUUCAAUAAAGCCAAAAAUAUCCUCAAACUCAUCAUCACCAAUUGUAACAUCCUCCAUAAGCUCUAGAAAGAGAAUUGUCUGGGUCUCCUUUGCAACCUCAAUAGCAGACACCCCGAACAGAUCGAACGAUGAAGCAAACUCAGGCUGAACCACCUCGGCAAUCUGACUCAUACUCAUAUCCACCUCAUCCCAAUACUCGUCCUGAGGAACAACUCCAUUAGUCACCCCACUAGACUCAAUGUCUACUCCAUAAUCAGUAGUCUCCUCUAGAAAGCAUAAUGAUAAGAAACUGGCUCGAUCUGGUGACGAAUGAGCAAUCAUCACUGAAACUGGUGCACCAGAAGUCUCAUCUCCUAACUAUAAAUGAUGAAACUGAUGCUGAAGCUCAUCCACUCCCUUUAUAUCAGUUGCAGCGUCAAAAUCCCCCAUAUGAGGAUGGGCCUCUGAUCCUCUAACAAAAUAGUCUGCCAAGCUCAUCCCAUAAGGACAAACAAGAUAAUCGAAUGGUGUGUAUGUCAGACGGGCUCUCACUCUCUCCCAGUGCAGACGUGCCAUAUACUUAUAGUUAGCCUCUAUAGGAACAAACCCAAGCCCAAAUGGUGUAUCAUGAUCGACAGUAGCCACAAACUCCAUGGGUCCAUGCUAAUGUCACCCUAACCCUAAACCAGGCAUAAAAGACAUACCCUUCAUCAUGUCAAUUACCACCAUACUGCUAUGCUGAUCAAAUGACAUAGCUACGAGAUCUCUACAGAAGUCCUCAACCUCGAGAGUCUGCACCUCAUCAAAUGUAAACCAGGACAAAAAUAGGUCCUCCUCACUAUGACUGAUCUAAAACACCUGCUUGGAUGAGGCAAACAUAUCUUUAGGAGACUGUACCGUGAUGACCUGCCCGUCAUGUAUAAACUUCACCUUCUGAUGAAGAGAAGAUGGAAUAGCCCCGACCUUAUGAAUUCAUGGUUGGCCCAGAAGCAAGUUAAAGGACGUGGGAAUCCUCAAAACCUGGAAUAGGACAUCAAAGUAUCCAUGACCUCUCUCUUAGUACUAUCAUAUGCUCUGACCAUCUGUGUAGAGGGACCGAAGUCUGAAGGUGCAUAACUAAAGGCAAUAGCAGUAGUCAAUGGGCAAACGUUCAAGGCUUAGCCAUUGUCCAAUAGGACGGAUGGAACUCUGUGGCCUGAAUUACCAACUGUAAUAUAUAGAGGGCGUGUAUGGUCUGAACCCUCUGGUGGCAAGUCAUCAUCUGAAAACACAAUACAUGUGGCCCUGUCGGCCGUCAUCAUAUGAAUCAACCCUUUCGGGGUAGUGGUGGUCUCCACGUGGAUCUGGCUCAAAGCCCAAAUCAAUGCAUCUCUAUGAGUACUAGAAGAUGCUAGCAAACUCCAGAUAGAUAUGCGGGCUUGUGUACUCUGUAACUGCCUCAGUAUCUCAUCAUCCUCUCUCUUAACCUCCUCAUGAGAAACUGCGCCAUCAAAUGGCCUAGCUACUAGAGGUGGGGGUUGAGCUACUCUCCCACUACAGGUCACAAUCUAUACAUCUCUCCCUUCUAAAUCAUCAUCAUCUAUGAUUCGUGCCCAAUUGGUGUCUCAGCUGAUUCAUGUCCAGCUGGUGCUCCUUGAUUGAGGGAGUAAUCAACAAAAUUUAUAACCUAUAACACCAUACACUAGGGUAGCAAAGAAAAAGCUACUAUAGUAUAGUGGCUCUAGAAUCGUUCACUGGGAAUGAUUAACAAGCUAUCAAUGAUACCAAUUCAAAGUGAAUUGGUCUUGUUUCAUUUCAAGGUUAGCUUAAGAAAUAAAACACAAACUUUGAUUGGUAAAGGUUUAGACUUAAACUAACUAACACAACAAGUAAUAGGAAUAACUUAGGAAGAAAAACAUUCCUUGGAGAAUUAGGUUCACUGGGGUGGUUCCUCAUGCAAAAGACAUAGCUCCGGUCAGAUGGUUCAUUUCCUCGCGUUAGAGAUUCAACAUAUAGUCAAUUCUCUAACCGGUGUUGUACAAAUACAUCCUUCAAUUUGAUUUCACUUUAAUUCUCUCACUGAUGCAACUUGCAAUGGUUUAAGCCUCUCACUAAGCCUUAACCAUUCAAGGUGAUCUUUAACCUUGGAUUACCCGUCAAAAGCUCGCAAGAGAUAACUAAUGGAUGUCUCCUAGGAGUCCAAAAGCUUACCAAGUGUUGGCUAUUCUAGAAAAUCCUACCUUAAAGUCACCUCCCAGAGGCUCGCAAGGGGUAAACUAGUGCAUUUCCAUGGUUGGAAAUCACUUGCCUUACCAAGUGUUGGCCCAGGUGACUCUAAGGUGUUUUAAGUUAACUAAAAACAUAGAAAUCACUAAAGGAUUUCACUUCCUCUUCAUUACUAGCUAAAACCACAAAGCUUUGCAUUCUUGCACUUGGAACCUUCCCCAGCAACCUUAGCUCCAAGGAAUUAGAGGUUUAGUUACUCAUUCUUUGGGGAAAACUCCUCAGAGAGUUCAUAACUUAGUAAUAAAUAAAAAAUACAAAGUGAUAAGAUAAGGCAAUACAAAGAACUGAACUUUACUUGCUUACCCAAAACUUUACAAAAGGAUCUCCUCCCUGAGAACAGGCUCCCGAGAGGUAUAUAUAUGAACAUAAUAUAAAACUAAUUAUUACAUAGAUAUUUUCUCUUUUUUACUAACUUAAAAGCUAAGGAAUCUUGUAAUUGGUGGCUUACAAGGAGUAUUUUGGGAUUUAGACAACAAAAAUCUGAUGUAAAAUAUCUCCCAAUGUCGGUAGCAAAUAUCGGGAGGCUCCAGGAACCAUUUCGCAAGAGAAAAUGGUGUCUGCGAGAUUUCGCAGAUACUCAAGAGGGCUGCGAAAUCAUUUCGCAACAACAUGCUAUCUUCGCAGGGCUGCGAAGUUGGCUUCCACCUUGAGGUUCCCAGCUUCCCUCUCGCGGUAUAUGUCGGGCAACUUUAGAAGGAAAUACACCCUACUGUACAAAAAGGCUGCGGAAUCACUUCGCAACAAAAGGGUUAUUUCGCAGCACUUUGCAAAAUGCUUCCUUCAGCUCGGAGUGAUUGGCUUGCAAUGGCUGCAACUUCUUCGUUUCAACUCCGAAUUGCUCACCGUUUGAAGCAUUGGAUUGUUGACUUCCUGAGCAUUGAAAUGGUAUAUAGCAUACAUCAAUUGAACUUCAAAAAGUGCUCCAAAAGUGGCUGCUACGACUGUCAUCAAGAAUAUGCUUCAUGGCAGAUUCUCUUUACUUUUUCUCCUUGCAAUCCGGAUUUACUCUUGGCAAAUGACUCUUAAGCUUUGCCCAAGAUUCCUCAUAACUCUCCUCAGUCUUGACUUGCUUUGGUGAUCAAAUUACUAACAAAAACACCAAAACUUACAUAAAGUGAUUAAAAUCCCUUUCAAGGGUCCUUAACAUGCCAACUGAGUUAAAAGGCCUAAACUACUACUCAAAAGUGUUUAAAAGGAUUAAUUAUAGGCUAUCAAAUAGCACUUUUUGAGUAGUAAUCAAUCUAGUCGUAGGAUAAAUGGGACUGGUGGGCCCUAACGUGCUAUAGUCGACAGUGCAGUAGGAGUCAACUCAAAUGGUAACGGCACCAUUUGAUUCGAGGUUCGAUCCCCGGCAACGGCGCCAUUUGAUUCAUGCCCAAUUGGUGUCUCAGCUGAUUCGUGUCCAGCUGGUGCUCCUUGAUUGAGGGAGUAAUCAACAAAAUUUAUUACCUAUAACACCAUACACUAGGGUAGCAAAGAAAAAGCUACUAUAGUAUAGUGGCUCUAGGAUCGUUCACUGGGAAUGAUUAACAAGCAAUCAAUGAUACCAAUUCCAAGUGAAUUGGUCUUGUUUCAUUUCAAGGUUAGCUUAAGAAGUAAAACACAAAAUUUGAUUGGUAAAGGUUUAGACUUAAACUAACUAACAUAACAGAAGUUUGGAAUAAUUUAGGAAGAGAAGCAUUCCUUGGAGAAUUAGGUUCACUGGGGUGGUUCCUCAUGCAAAAGACAUAGCUCCGGUCAGAUGGUUCAUUUCCUCGCGUUAGAGAUUCAACAUAUAGUCAAUUCUCUAACCGGUGUUGUACAGAGACUCCUUCAAUUAGAUUUCACUUUAAUUCUCUCACUGAUGCACUUUGCAAUGGUUUAAGCCUCUCACUAAGCCUUAACCAUUCAAGGUGAUCUUUAACCUUGGAUUACCCGUCAAAAGCUCGCAAGAGAUAACUAAUGGAUGCCUCCUAGGAGUCCAAAAGCUUACCAAGUGUUGGCUAUUCUAGAAAAUCCUACCCUGAAGUCACCUACCAGAGGCUCGCAAGGGGUAAACUAGUGCAUUUCCAUGGUUGGAAAUCACUUGCCUUACCAAGUGUUGGCCCAGGUGACUCUAAGGUGUUUUAAGUUAACUAAAAACAAAGAACUCUUCAUUAAUAGCUAAAACCACAAAGCUUUGCAUUCUUGCACUUGGAACCUCCCCCGGCAAACUUAGCUCCAAGGAAUUGGAGGUUUAGUUACUCAUUCUCUGGGGAAAACUCCUCAGAGAAUUCAAAACUUAGAAAUAAAAUGAAAAUACAAAGUGAGAAGGUAAGGUAGUAGAAAGAAAAUAGACUUUACUUGCUUACCCAAACGUUUACAGAAGGAACUCCUCUUUGAGAAUAGGCUCCCGAGAGGUAUAUAUAUGAACAUAAUAUAAAACUAAUUAUUACAUAGAUAUUUAGUCUUUUUACUAACUUAAAAACUAAGGAAUCAUGUAAUUGGUGGUUUACAAGGAGUAUUUUGGGAUUUAGACAACAAAAAUCUAAUGGAAAAUAUCUCUCAAUGUCAGUAGCAAAUAUCGGGAGGCUUCAGGAACCAUUUCGCAGGAGAAAAAUGGUGUCUGCGAGAUUUCGCAGACACUCAAGAGGGUUGCGAAAUAUUUUCGCAACACCAAGCUAUCUUCACAAGGCUGCAAAGUUGGCUUCUACCUUGAGGUUCCUAGCUUCCUUCUCGCGGCAUAAAUCGUGCAUCAUCAGAAGGAGAACCACCUUACUGUACAAAAAUGCUGCGAAAUCACUUCGCAACAAAAGGGUGAUUUCGCAACACUUUGCAAAAUGCUUCCUUCAGCUCAGAGUGACUGGCUUGUAAUGGCUGCAACUUCUUCGUUUCAACUCCGAAUUGCACACCAUUUGAAGCAUUGGAUUGUUGACUUCCUGAGCUUUGAAAUGGUAUAUAGCAUGCAUCAUUUGGACUUCACAAAGUGCUCCAAAAGUGGCUGCUACGACUGUCAUCAAGAAUAUGCUUUAUGGCAGAUUCUCUUUGCUUUUUCUCCUUGCAAUCCGGAUUUACUCUUGGCAAAUGACUUCUAAGCUUUGCCCAAGAUUCCUCAUAGCUCUCCUCAGUCUUGACUUGCUUUGGUGAUCAAAAUACUAACAAAAACACCAAAACUUACACAAAGUGAUCAAAAUUGCUUUCAAGGGUCCUUAACAUGCCAAUUGAGUUAAAAGGCCAAAACUACUACUCAAAAGUGUUUAAAAGGAUUAAUUAUAGGCUAUCAAAUAACACUUUUUGAGUAGUAAUCAACUACUACUCAAAAGUGUUUAAAAGGAUUAAUUAUAGGCUAUCAAAUAGCACUUUUUGAGUAGUAAUCACUCCCCCCAACCGACAUAUUGCUAGUCCCUUAGCAAUAUAGGAGAGAAAAAAUGAAAAUAAAAAGCAACCUAUACUAAAAUUUACAACAUCAUGCUGAUCAAAAACAAUUCUCAAGCAGCAUGAUGAUCUAAUUCUCUCAUGAAACAUUAAAGAAAUACAAAUCCAAAUUUCAACAAGAGUUAUAACAAACUAUGCUAAACACUUUCAAUCAAGGGAGUGCAUUAUGCAAACUGAAGUUUUAAAAUCAUUUCCACUUUCAAAGAACCAAACUUUAAUCUUCCACAAAAAUCUAUGUGUAUUGGUUCCUUAGGUUCCGAGAAUAAUAUGCUAAACUAAUCUCUCCCCCCAACCUAUCUCUUUUCAACACUUAGCAAAUUGACCAAAAUCAAUAAAGAAAGAACACACCUUUUUUUUUUUUUUUUUUUUUUUUUUUUUUACAGAGGCUUUAUGGGAUACUCUUUCUGAAUUGUCCAUGUAAUGGGGGUCCAUCGAUGACUCCCAACCAAUUAAGGUUUAGGGCACCAAGAUUUAAGGAUCUUCCAACCACUAACUCCUCGGAUUUUACCCCGGACUUUUAAGAAUGAAUUUCUAAUACCCAAGCAUCUACCAUAUGCUAGCUCUACCUAUUCACCCUUAUAACGAGCAUUGAGGUCAGUGACUCCCAACCAAUUAAGGCUUAGGGCACCAAGCUUUAAAGAUUUUCACCAUAUACCCCUCAGACCUUGCUCGGGUUUCAAGGCAAGCAAACAACUUUCUUUAUUUCAAAGGCUCAUUGGCCUUUUGCAGGGUGUUUCAAUUUUUAUCAAAUGAGGUCAAAUAUACCAAGUCCCAAAAUUAUCCUAAGUCAAGAGGGAAAUAGCUUUUCAUCUUAUAAUCGGAAUCUAAUGUGCACAGUGUGUGAAUAGCUUAAAGUGGAAGAACUAAAUUCAAUUUCAAUAGAAGCUUCAACAAUUGAACCACUUUAGUGAGCAUAAUCCAUACUCUAAGUCAAGUGAAAAACAACAGUUCAAUUUCUCCUAGUUUAAUUUGAAAAUUUUUCCUCAAAAUUCAUGGAGAUUAGAGUAAAAAGAGUAAAAAGUAAAAAUUACAACUAAUUUACCAAAAUAAUUGCAUUACCAAAAAGAUUUAGCAUACUUCCUUCCUCAUUCCCCCCCAACCGAAUUGAGCAUUGUCCUCAAUGUGAUAUGAGUGACUGUAAUUAAAGGGAGGAAGUGGUACCUCCUGAGUGAUAUCAAAUUCGAAUAUUGAUUGGAGAAACCACAUGUUUCAAAAAGAAUAGAAUAUGUGAGAAAAGGAAAUAAGGAUAACUUAAUGCUAACUGUUAACAAGAAAUAUUAAACUUGUAUUACUUUAAAUCCAUUCAAGUACAAUGCAAAAGAAAAGUAAUACAAGCAAUCCCAAAUAUAGUACCAAAAUAAUGGGAUUUCUUUCCAACUAAACAAAACAAAAUACAUAAAACAAAAAUAGUAGAUAUAUAAUAGUCUGAUGAGUGGGUGGUGCUGGGGCUAGGCAGAUGGGUCUGCCUCUUCAGUAGGUGCUUCAGCUGGGGCUUGGGGCUCUGGAGGAUGAGACUCUGAGGGAUGAGAGUGUGGCACUGCUGGAGUAGAAGUGGAGGGCUCUACAGCUGGUGGCAAAUCGAAAUGAAGCUGGAGCUGCCUUAAAAUGGCAGUGUGUUGAGCCUGAGUAGCCAACAUCUGCUCUUGGCAUGCUCUAAUGGCUGCCAUCUCUUGAGCAAGACUGCUCUGAGAAGCUGUGAGAGUGUCCAAUGAACGGCACAACACUCUAUAUUCUGAUAUAGGAAUGGCCAUCCUCGGUUCAGCUGAAGUGGAUGGCUGAGAUGAAGCUGGUGCAGCUGGUGGAGCACUAGGAAUGGCAGGAGCUGCAACUGUUAUACCCUCAGGUAUGUGUCGUGGGGAUGCUCUCCUUGCAACAAGCUGAGGCUGCUCAGGCUGAUAAACUUUGUAAGCUGUCAUGUUGUUCCAUUUGUCGAGAGUAAAAAGCUCACGGCAAAUGCGCUUUCGCUCCAGCUGAGGCUCAGAAGGAUAUCCCAAGUGCUCCAGAAUUUGGCAUAGCAGCCUUGGAAAGAGGAGGGGAAUGCAAUCAGCUCUCUGAAGCUUCUUUUUGUGUACCUUCUCUUCGAAAUAGAGAAGGGCUGCCAAAAUCAGAUGAUGAGGCCCAAAGAAAAAUCCCUCUGACAUCUUGUACAAGGCUUCUAAGAGGACUCCUCUUCUUUGAGUCCAAUGCUGCAAUGGGUAGAGAUUAUGACGCAAAAAUGCAUCAAUCAAAAACAUAAUUGGAGGAAGCUCCCCCCUCAAUAGAUGUGAUCGAUUGGCAGCUCCUCUAGAAAGGGUGCGCACAUCUCCAGCUCAGUAGGAUUGGUCCAAGCUCUAAAAUUAUCGAAUUGGGUCGGCUCAUAGGGAAUUUGCAAGGCUUCAGCUAUAUGGCGUGCUCCCAAUAUGCCAUGCCUCCCAUCAAUAGUGAAAUGAAUUAAAGUUGGAUCCCUGACCUGGUUGGUUGUCAUGGAUUGAUAGAAAUCCAUGGCCACCCUUGGGUAGAAAAAGUCUCUCGGAGUCAGCAAGUGCUCCAUGUGGUACCUUCUCAGCAGGUUGAAUGACUGUGUAAGCUCCGGCUGCAAUCGGAAUGCGGCUAUGUCAAAGCAUAGCUCAGAGUGGAAUGGCCGAGCUCUACAGUCCAAAUUUCCCUCAAUUGGGGGCUGAGUUAGCAUUGGCCUCCUGAUUACUUCUUCCGGAGCUAUUUCAACUGGAAUUUGGGGCUCGAGAAGUGGCGCUUGAGGCUCCUGAGAUUUUGCUUGCGGUGCCAGAGAUGGCACCGGCGACAGAAGUGGCAUGGGAAUCGGCGAGGGAACUGGAGUUGGAACCGGUGAUGGAAUUGGUGAAGGCUCUGGAGAUUGCUCCGUCAAGUCGAUGGGUUCUGAGCUUUCAACCCUGGGUCUCUUUUGUAGUGGUCGACCCCCUGACCUGGUAAGGUAACGCCUCGCCGGAGGCUUUGUCGGCGCUGGCUUCACCGGAGGAGGAAUUGCUUUCGGCUACGAAGGCUCAGAAGCAGAAUCUGGAACUGGCUCAUUUCGCAGGCUUUUCUUGCGGUUUGAAGGGGAGGAAGACUUAGUCCCUCUGGUUCGCGCCAUUUCGGGUUGCCGAAAUUUUGCCGGAACGGAUAAUCGGAGAAGAUAACCGGAGGCUUGCGCGGUGAGGCUUGAGGAAGGAGAUGGACGGUCUGCGAGAAUGGCGCGCUCUGAUUUUGAAACCCUUUUCGCAGCAAAAAAUGACCGGUAUAAAUAGGAAUAACGGAAGACUAAGGGUCAGUUUGAGUUUCGCAACAAAACGCCAAUUUCGCAGCAAAAUGCCAAUUUCGCAGCCACUUCGCAAUGCGUUUCGCAGCUGCGAAAUUAAUGUUACUGUGUUGCGAAGUGGCACACGUGUGCCAAAAUCACUUUCGCAAUUGCGAAAUACCCUGCGGAAUGGGACUUUUGUUGCGAAAUCAGGCUUUACCACUUCGCAAUGCAUUUCGCAGCUGCCAAAUGAGGGCUCCUGUGUUGCGAAGUGGCACUCGUGUGCCAAACUCGCCUUCGCAGCUGCGAAAAUUCUCGUAGAGAAUCCCAAAGUGUUGCGGAAUGGUUUGGCAACAAAAUGCUCAUUUCGCAGAAGUUUUCUUCAGCCUGCGAAAUCUCGUAGAGCUCUGUUUUUCCUCUGUUUUCACUCUGUUUUUGCUCCGAUUUCGAUCCGAUUUUUUUUCUUUCAAUUUCCUUGUAAUUUCUUUCACCUAGGAUCAUUCAAAAAGAUUAAAAUAUACAUAAAAACAUGAUUUAAGAUCAAAAACUAAGAUCAAAAGUAUGGAAAAAACUUGAAAAUUUACAAAAUUUACAAAAAUUUUGGACUGUGGUAAAACCACGUCCAGCAAACCCUUCUUUGCUUAGGCUUUUUGAGGCUCAAGGAGGUUGAUCUACUCCUUUUCUGGUUUGAAUGGCUCCAUGAAUGGCUUGAGACGAUAUCCAUUGACUUUGAAGGUGUCCUUGCCAUUGGAAUUCAAUAAUUCCACCACUCCAUUGGAACAUACUCGGUGAAUUAUGAACGGGCCUAUCCACCUUGACUUGAGCUUCCCAGGAAAGAUAUGGAGUCUUGUGUCAUACAGUAAAAAUCUUUGCCCUUCCUGAAAUUCCUUGUUGGAGAUGAGUUGGUCAUGCCACUUCUUCAUCCUCUGUUUUGCAACUUUGGAAUUGAUAUAAGCAUUAUUUCUUAAUUCCUCCAUCUCAUUAAGGUCUAGAUAUCUCUUUUCUCCUGCCUUGAUCAAGUCCAUAUUCAACUUCUUUAUUGCCCACCAAGCUUUGUAUUCAACUUCCACAGGGAGAUGACAUGCUUUGCCAUAGACAAGACGAUAAGGAGACAUCCCAAGAAUAGUCUUAUAAGCUGUUCUAUAUGCCCACAAUGAAUCAUGAAGCCUAAUAGACUAAUCCUUUCUGUUGGAAUUCACCACUUUCAUCAAUAUGUUCUUUAUUUCCCUGUUAGCUAGCUCAACUUGCCCGGAAGUCUGAGGAUGAUAAGGUGUAGCCACCUUAUGCUUCACUCCAUACUUGGAUAACAGAGCUUCAAAAGGUUUGUUGCAAAAAUGAGCACCUCCAUCACUGAUUAUGGCUUUGGGCACCCCAAAUCUUGAGAAAAUGUUCUCUUUAAGAAACUUGAGAACCACCCUGUGAUCAUUUUGUUUACAGGGGAUUGCCUCAACCCAUUUGGAAACAUAAUCCACCCCCACCAGGAUGUAAGAAUUACCAAAAGACAUUGGGAAAGGUCUCAUGAAGUCAAUGCCCCAUACAUCAAAUAACUCAACUAUUAGAAUGGGGUUCAUAGACAUUUGAUUUCGUUUUGUUAGCUUUCCAAGCCUUUGGCAUCUAUCACAACUUCUACACAUGAUGUGGGCAUCUUUGAAAAGAGAUGGCCAAGUAAACCCUGAUUGCAAUACCUUCAUAGCUGUUUUCUGAGAGGCAAAGUGGCCUCCACAUGCAUUCUCAUGACAAUGAGAUAAAAUCCCUUGCUGCUCAUCUUCAGGGACACACUUCCUAAUUAUCUGAUCUGCACAAUACUUAAAAAGAAAGGACUCUUCCCAAUAAUAAGCAUGAAUUUUGGCAAAGAAGUGCUUCUUGUCCUGUGCAUUCCAUUCACUUGGAAUUUCACCAGUUACUAAAUAAUUAGCAAUAUGAGCAUACCAAGGAGUUUUCACUAGGAACAUGAGUGAUUCUUCAGGAAAAUCAUCAUUGAUAGGCAAGGGAUGGGAAUUAUGUGCUAUAACUAACCUUGAAAGGUGGUCAGCUACUACAUUCUCCACUCAUUUCUUAUCUUUGAUUUGGAGAUCGAAUUCAUGUAACAAAAGAAUCCAUCUAAUCAACCUUGCUUUUGCAUCUUGCUUUGUCAAUAAAUACUUCAAGGCUGAAUGGUCAGUAAAGACAAUGAUGAAAGACCCCACUAAAUAAGCACGAAAUUUGUCCAAAGCAAAUACCACAGCUAACAAUUCUUUCUCUAUAGUUGUGUAGUUCCUUUGAGCUUCAUUCAGUGUUUUGCUUGCAUAGUAAAUCACAUAGGGCUUCCCAUCUUCCCUUUGGCCAAGCACAGCUCCUAUAGCAAAGUCACUGGCAUCACACAUCAGUUCAAAAGGUAAUUGCCAGUUAGGGGCUCUCACUAUUGGAGUUGUUGUUAAAAAUUUCUUCAGUUGAUCAAAGCUACUUUGACACCUUUCAUCCCAUAUAAACUUAGCAUCCUUAGCUAACAGCUCACAAAGGGGUUUUGAAAGACUUGAAAAACCUUUUAUAAACCGCCUAUAGAACCCUGCAUGGCCAAGGAACUGUCUUACUCCUUUCACAGUUGUUGGAGAUGGUAAUUUGACAAUGAGCUCCACCUUUGCUUUAUCAACUUCAAUGCCUUUUCAGAGAUGAUAUAGCCAAGGACAAUUCCUUGACGUACCAUAAAAUGGCAUUUCUCCCAGUUGAGCACCAGGUCUUUUUCAAUGCAUCUGUGAAGAACUGCUUCCAAAUUAACUAAGCAUUCCUCAAAUGUACCUCCAUAUACGGUGAUGUCAUCCAUGAAAACCUCCAUAAUUCACUCCACCAUAUCACUGAAAAUACUCAACAUACAUCUUUGAAAUGUAGCAGGUGCAUUGCAUAAACCAAAAGGCAUUCUCCUAUAAGCAUAUGUUCCAAAUGGACAUGUAAAAGUGGUCUUUUCCUGAUCUGCCAAAUCAAUUUCAAUCUGAAAAUACCCUGAAUACCCAUCCAAGAAAUAAUAGAAUGGAUGUCCAGAGACUCUCUCCAGCACUUGGUCAAUAAAUGGCAAUGGAAAAUGAUCUUUCUUGGUUACAGCAUUCAGCUUUCUAUAAUCAAUACACACCCUCCAACCUGAAGUGAGGCGUGUAGUAAUUUAUUCCCCUUUUUCAUUCUGAACCACUGUGAUCCCUGACUUCUUUGGUACCACUUGAGUAGGACUCAUCCAAGGGCUAUCAGAUAUAGGGUAGAUGAUUCCUGCUUGAAGUAGCUUCAGCACUUCAGCUCGCACCACCUCUUGUAGAUGAGGAUUCAACCUUCUUUGAAAUUGACGAAUUGGCUUUGCUUCCUCCUCCAUAUAGAUAUGAUGAGUACAAACUAAAGGACUAAUGCCUUUCAAGUCAGAUAUUUGCCAUCCUAUUGCCUUCUUACACCUCUUGAGAACUUCCAUUAAACAAUUCUCUUGAUGACUGGUCAGAGAUGAAGAUAUCACAACAGGACAUUGAUUAUUUUCUUCAAGAUAUGUAUAUUUCAGCUCCACGGGUAAAGGCUUCAGAUUGAGUUUUGGAAUUUCUUUUUCAGCAGCUGCCUCCGCUUCUUUAUUGAACAAAGGUAGAAUCACUUCUAUCUUUCUCCAACUUUGUAGAGUAGCAAGCCCAAUAGGAGAUUCAGACAAACCGUCUCAAAAUCCACAAGACUUUCAUUCAACUUGUCUUGCAUAUUUUGAUUACAAUGCUCCUCCACCAAAGUAUCAAUAAUGCACAGCUCUUCUGGACCCUCUUCUUCUUCCGGAAUGAUUUGCUUUUUAGACAUAUAGAAAAUAUUGAGAUCCAAUGUCAUGUUGCCAAAAGUGAGUUGCAUCAGCCCAUUCCUGCAGUUGAUGAUUGCAUUUGAGGUAGCAAGAAAUGGCCUUCCAAGGAUGAUAGGAACUAAAUUAGCUUCCUUUACAGUAGGAUCUGUAUCAAGAACUAUAAAAUCUACUGGAUAGUAGAAAUUAUCCACUUGAACCAAUACAUCCUCAAUUACCCCUCUUGGAAUUUUCACUGAUCUAUCUGCCAGAGAUAGAGUGAUUGCUGUUGGCUUCAACUCCCCAAGUCCCAAUUGCUUGUAGACGGAAUAUGGAAGCAAAUUCACACUUGCUCCUAAAUCUAACAAGGCUUUCUCCACUACCUUUCCUCCAAUCAUGACUGAAAUGGUAGGACUUCCCGGGUCUUUGUACUUCAAAGGAGACUUACAUUGUAAGAUUGCACUUACUUGCUCAGUCAAGAAGGCUUUCUUAUUUACAGUCAACCCUCUUUUGAUAGUACAUAAGUCCUUUAGGAAUUUUGCAUACGUUGGAACUUGUUUAAUCAUAUCCAGCAGUGGAAUAUUGACUUUCACUUGUCUCAAUACUUCAAGGAUUUCAGCUGCAUUUCUAAUCCCUUUUUCCCAUGUAAUGCUUGAGGAAAAGGUGGAGAGGUUGAUUUUUUCAGCAUUUCUUCCUUCAUAAGUUCCUUCUCUGGAAUUGCAUUGAUUGUUGAAUCAGAGUCCUUCUUUUCUUCACUGAUCUCACUCUCUUUAUCUUCCAUUUCCUUCCCUUUCUUUAUCUCUUCUUCUUUCUCAACAUGUGGCUUGGGUGUUGGCUGCUCAAUUUUUUUACCACUCCUUAUAGUGAUCAAGGCUUUGACAUCUUUCACCUGUGAUGAUUCUUCCUCCUAGCUUUCCACUUCAUGGACACCUUUGGGGUUUUGGUGGGGUUGAGAAGGAAAUCUUACCUUUUCUUGCAGUGUAUUCAAAUUUGUAAGCCUUGAAAUUGAAUAUUGGAUGUUAUCAAACUUUUGGUUCAUAUCAUUUUUCAUUCCAUCCAUCCUUUUAUUCAACAUACUCUCCACUCUAUCAAUUCUUUGAUUGAUUUGAGCAUUGGUGGCUUCUUGCUUUCCAACAAAAUCUCCCACUACCUUGCUGAGAUUAGCCGUUGCUUGUUCAAGACUUGAAGAUUGUUGAGAUGGUGGAUCCAGCUAUUGGUACUGAGUUGCUCUGGCUUUCCAUGAGAAAUUUGGAUGAUUCCUCCAACUCGAGUUGUAGGUAUUUCCAUAAGGCACAUUGUUAUUGGGCUUGAAUUGUCCAACAACAUUUGCUUGAUCUCUAAACAUUUCCCUUUCAGCUGAAAUUGCAGGGCAUUCUUCCACCAAAUGUUCAUAUGAUUGACAAUUAGGACACAACUUCACUUGUACUGGUGCUUCAGCAACAGCUUGCACUUCAUGUAUUCUUUUCAGCUCCAGCUCCUCCAAUCUUCUUGUCAUAGCUGCCAACUUUGCUUUCAUAUCAUCAUCUUCUUUCAAGGUAUACAUCCCAGCCUUUGUAUUGAAAGCAUUCAGUUGAGACUUCAUCUUACCCACUUCUCCUUUGGUUGGUUCAUCCCAUCCCCUUGAAACUUCAGCCACAUAGCUCAAGAAAUCCAUAGCUUCCUCUGGAUUUUUGCUCAUGAAGUCUUCUCCACACAUUGUCUCGAGGAGUUGCUUCAUUGAGGAGGACAUACCAUCAUAGAAAUAACUCACUAGUAGCCAAGUAUCAAAGCCAUGGUGAGGACAAGCAUUUAUAGCUUCCAUGUAUCUUUCCCAACACUCAUAGAAUUUCUCAUUCUCUUUAGCUGAGAAGUUUGAAAUUUGCCUUUUCAAGCCAUUUGUUCUAUGAGUGGGAAAAAAUUUCUUGAGGAAUUCAGCUUGUAAAUCAGUCCAAGAACGGAUACUCCUUGGCCUUAAAGAAUUAAGCCAAACUUUGGCCUUAUCCUUUAAAGUAAAAGGAAAUAACUUAAGCCUCAUCAAAUCAAUUGAAGCUCCUCCCUCUUGGAAUGUAUUACAAACAUCUUCAAAUUCCUUGAUGUGUGCAUACGGAUUCUCACUCUCCAUCCCAUGGAAAGUUGGUAGAAGUGGAACAAGAUACGGUCUGAUCACUAGCUGCUCUGUAGGGGGCACUAUACAUGAUGGUGCACUCAUACGAGGUGGAUGCAUACGAUCCCUCAUUGAUCUGAAUUCAUUGAGAUUAUCUUGAUGACCUUGGUGACUAUGCUGAUAUUCAGGUGUAGCUUCCAUGAUAUUCAAGCUCAAUUCAAAUUCUUUGUUCUGAGGUGUAUCACACUUAACAAGCCUUCCUCCACUGUCUCGUAUCCACUUUGGCAUACACAACUAGUAUCUAUCUGCAACUUAAAUGAAAAUAAAGAACAACAACAGAAACAGGGCUACAACAACAAAAUUAAACUAGGCUAAAUUUUAAAAUAUAAACUUAGAUUAUGAAUAAAUAAAGAAAGAAUGAGAAUUAGUAAAGUGAAAGAAACUUUACCAACUUGUGAUGAAAAUCACAAGUGCUCAAAAAUGGUAUCACUAUAAACUUGACACAGUCCCCGGCAACGGCGCCAUUUGAUUCGUGCCCAAUUGGUGUCUCAGCUGAUUCAUGUCCAGCUGGUGCUCCUUGAUUGAGGGAGUAAUCAACAAAAUUUAUAACCUAUAACACCAUACACUAGGGUAGCAAAGAAAAAGCUACUAUAGUAUAGUGGCUCUAGGAUCGUUCACUGGGAAUGAUUAACAAGCUAUCAAUGAUACCAAUUCAAAGUGAAUUGGUCUUGUUUCAUUUCAAGGUUAGCUUAAGAAAUAAAACACAAACUUUGAUUGGUAAAGGUUUAGACUUAAACUAACUAACACAACAAGUAAUAGGAAUAACUUAGGAAGAAAAACAUUCCUUGGAGAAUUAGGUUCACUGGGGUGGUUCCUCAUGCAAAAGACAUAGCUCCGGUCAGAUGGUUCAUUUCCUCGCGUUAGAGAUUCAACAUAUAGUCAAUUCUCUAACCGGUGUUGUACAAAUACAUCCUUCAAUUUGAUUGCACUUUAAUUCUCUCACUGAUGCAACUUGCAAUGGUUUAAGCCUCUCACUAAGCCUUAACCAUUCAAGGUGAUCUUUAACCUUGGAUUACCCGUCAAAAGCUCGCAAGAGAUAACUAAUGGAUGUCUCCUAGGAGUCCAAAAGCUUACCAAGUGUUGGCUAUUCUAGAAAAUCCUACCUUGAAGUCACCUCCCAGAGGCUCGCAAGGGGUAAACUAGUGCAUUUCCAUGGUUGGAAAUCACUUGCCUUACCAAGUGUUGGCCCAGGUGACUCUAAGGUGUUUUAAGUUAACUAAAAACAUAGAAAUCACUAAAGGAUUUCACUUCCUCUUCAUUACUAGCUAAAACCACAAAGCUUUGCAUUCUUGCACUUGGAACCUUCCCCGGCAACCUUAGCUCCAAGGAAUUAGAGGUUUAGUUACUCAUUCUUUGGGGAAAACUCCUCAGAGAGUUCAUAAUUUAGUAAUAAAUAAAAAAUACAAAGUGAUAAGGUAAGGCAAUACAAAGAACUGAACUUUACUUGCUUACCCAAAACUUUACAAAAGGAUCUCCUCCCUGAGAACAGGCUCCCGAGAGGUAUAUAUAUGAACAUAAUAUAAAACUAAUUAUUACAUAGAUAUUUUCUCUUUUUUACUAACUUAAAAGCUAAGGAAUCUUGUAAUUGGUGGCUUACAAGGAGUAUUUUGGGAUUUAGACAACAAAAAUCUGAUGUAAAAUAUCUCCCAAUGUCGGUAGCAAAUAUCGGGAGGCUCCAGGAACCAUUUCGCAAGAGAAAAUGGUGUCUACGAGAUUUCGCAGAUACUCAAGAAGGCUGCGAAAUCAUUUCGCAACAACAUGCUAUCUUCGCAGGGCUGCGAAGUUGGCUUCCACCUUGAGGUUCCCAGCUUCCCUCUCGCGGUAUAUGUCAGGCAACUUCAGAAGGAAAUACACCCUACUAUACAAAAAGGCUGCGGAAUCACUUCGCAACAACAGGGUAAUUUCGCAGCACUUUGCAAAAUGCUUCCUUCAGCUCGGAGUGAUUGGCUUGCAAUGGCUGCAACUUCUUCGUUUCAACUCCGAAUUGCACACCGUUUGAAGCAUUGGAUUGUUGACUUCCUGAGCUUUGAAAUGGUAUAUAGCAUGCAUCAAUUGAACUUCAUAAAGUUCUCCAAAAGUGGCUGCUACGACUGUCAUCAAGAAUAUGCUUCAUGGCAGAUUCUCUUUACUUUUUCUCCUUGCAAUCCGGAUUUACUCUUGGCAAAUGACUCUUAAGCUUUGCCCAAGAUUCCUCAUAACUCUCCUCAGUCUUGACUUGCUUUGGUGAUCAAAUUACUAACAAAAACACCAAAACUUACAUAAAGUGAUUAAAAUCCCUUUCAAGGGUCCUUAACAUGCCAACUGAGUUAAAAGGCCUAAACUACUACUCAAAAGUGUUUAAAAGGAUUAAUUAUAGGCUAUCAAAUAGCACUUUUUGAGUAGUAAUCAAUCUAGUCGUAGGAUAAAUGGGACUGGUGGGCCCUAACGUGCUAUAGUCGACAGUGCAGUAGGAGUCAACUCAAAUGGUAUCCAAUCUGAAAUCAAACUUAAUGGAGUAGAAGUCUAUGAACACACUGUGUCAACCUCAUAACUAUCAUCUAAAACAAUCAGCUCUGGCAAUCCAUCAUCCCAACUCAUCAUGUGUAUGUUGUCAUCCUCUACAAAAUCUAUGUGAUGGAUACCGCCCGGGGGUGGUGGCACUGCAUGCAUAAAGUGAGCCGGUAGAGGGUUCAUGGUUACACUUGGCUACCCCAAGUUAACCAGACCCUGAUCUAUCAAGUCCUGUAUAGCAUGUCUCAAGGCGGCUCAAUGAUCCGUGUCAUGCCCUGGACCCUGAUGGUAGGAACAAUGCAGAUCCAUCCUGAAGCACGAUGGCACGGGUUGAGGUAUAGGCCUAGGUGCCAACUAAGUCAACAAACCACCCUCUACAAGAUUUUGGAAAGCUCGACUCAAAGGCAUACCUAGAUGGGAGAACUGUCAUGUUAGCCUCUGUACAAGAGGAAUAGUAGUAUGUGGGGCUCUAGGCCGAGAGUAUAAAGUAGGAGGCCUCUUAGAGACCUAUGCAGUAAAAACAGGCUUUGAGGUGUGGUGUAGGUAUGUAGGAGCCAUGGGCCUGGGCAGUCUAUACUGAACAUAAUGUUGUGGGUAAUAGGCUCCUGAAGUCUGCCUAAAUGUCUGAUAGUGCCUGGGAGAUCUUGAUCCUACUGAAUUGAUAGUACCCACAUCUCCUGGUCUCUGUCCUCCUGAGGGCUUCUUCCCCUUUGAAUCAGAAGGGGAAGACUUGGGUCACAAUCCUCUAGCAAUGUCCUCCUCUAUACUGUACAAGGCCUGUACCAAGGAUCCAAAAUCCGUAUAAGGAAAUCCCAUCAAAUGUCUAGCAAAUCUGGGCUAUAAGUUCUUUAAAAUCAUACUAAUCCGGUCCUUCUCUGAAGGACGAUCAACAAUCUGGGCGAUCUUCUCCCUCCAUCGGGAGAUAAAUGAAGUCACUGACUCAUCUGGUCCUUGUCUCAAGGCCUCUAACUCUCUCUUCAAGACAUCAAUGACAAUAUUAAAGGGGAACUGUCUCAAAAAUUCUUGGGCCAAGUCAUCCCAAGUCCUACGACGUGAAGCGACUAAAGAAACAAACCAACGCUGUGCUGCACCACUCAAGGACAUGGGAAAAAGCAUAAUCAAGUGGGCCUCAUCCAACCCGUGGGCCCUCAUCACACUACUGUAUAGCCUCAAAUGAAUCUUAGGGCAACUUAUGCCCGUGUACCUCUCAAUCUCUGGCAUCAUGAACUGGGCCGGUAAACUGGCUAUCGGUGCUCCAUCAAAAUCAUCCCAACUGAUAGCUCCAUCCGAAACCCUGAUCUGUCUCAUCCUUUGCUUGAGUCUAUCCAUACGAGCAUGUGCACCCUUUAAGGCCUAAAUGGGUGUUACGACAGGAAGUGGGGUAGCAUCAGUCUAACUAUGUAAAACAUACGGUGCCAGGUGUGGAACCGACUGACUGAGUGGAGGGGGUGGUGGUGCCGCAGAGUCAUACCGUGCACUAUCCUGAGGCUGGGCCUGCUGCCCAUCUAUCUUUUGGCCAAGGCCGGUUAUAGCCUCCUGAAUCGAAGCCAUGGCCGCGGCAAACUGGUCGACAAUGACUACUUGGGAAUCCAUAUCUCUUUGAUCUACUCUCUAGUCUGGCUGAUCUGAUACUCUAGUCAACCUGCCUCUAACUCUAGCCCACGAAGGCGAAUCCAGACUGGCCAUAAAAAAUACUCCUAUAAACACGGAACCACUAGAUGAGACAUUGUACAAGGGUAGCUCUGUAGGAAUUGACUAAAAGGUAAUCAAGCAUAUAACCCAUGUAUACUCAAACUGAUACCCGUAUUUGAUCAUGCCAAAAUGAGACUAUGGAGAGGGUAACAAAACCCAAUAGUAACCAAGGCAGCUCUGAAGGUCCACAGAUGCACCUACGUGUAGGAAUGAAAUCCUAAUUAGGUCUAGCCUAGCCUACAAGGUUGUGGUGGUUAUAUAAAAUAAAAAUGGGUGGGUUAAAGGAAUCCUAGUAGAAGCGAUCAUACCCUCUGGUGGUACACAACCCUCUGCACACCUCCAAGAAGAUGGGGUGCUUCCAUGCAAGGUGGUCAUCACCUCCACACAUGCACUUCCUCGCGUUCCCAGGGGGUUUCCUAACGGUGAAGACUCUCCCAUCUCUCAACACUUAGGGAUAAUCUAAAGUGCAUAGUGAAGGAUGUGGGUGCAUCCGAAAAAUCUAAGAUCUAAAGUGAGUGAACAAAGACAAUCAUACAAUCAUGCAAGAGAAAUGGUUGUCAUGCAACAGGUAGUCAUACGAAGCAGAUAAAUAUCAAAUGAUCAAAGACCUAUCUAUCAUAUGUGAGAGUGAAUCAUGCCAAAGUAAACAAAGCAGUCAAGGAAUCAUUCAAGGCAAUCAAACAUGUUAGGAUAGCAAAGCAAUCAAGCAAGCUAACUAAAUCACCUUCCCUAAAAGAUGAGGUACCCUCUAAUUGACCAAUUAAACGCCACAUUUUCCUCAAAUAGUGUUCAAGUUUGAUCCUCAAUAUCCGCAGCAGAGUCACCAAUUUGUGGACCCGCAUUUUUCACGUGUGCCCCCACUCAAUCGAUGAGACUCGUUUUUAUUUGGUGAAGAUUUUGUUUUUGGAAAAGUCAGAAUCGCCACUUAUUUUAUUUUAUUUUAAAGGGAAAAUAAAACAAAAAAUAAAACCCUAAAAAAUGACUCCAUAGUUUUUGGAAAAACAUGUCUUUGAAAAACCUGACUCUAGGUCCAGGGAUCAGGUUACCUAUUGGGAAGGUACCUCUAGGAGAUAGCACCCCUCGAAGCCUUACAAAGGUCUCUAUUGACUACGUUGAAGGAAAUGUGGCAAUCAACUGAUUAAUUGAGGGUACCUAGGUAGGCUAAGGUGAUCUCAAAACUAGCAUGCCAAACAAGAAAAACCAAUCACGCCCAUAAAGGAAAGUUAGGAUGCUCACCUAGACCAUUUCUUAAGCGCUAUCAUAAAACAUCAAUGGUUAGUUUAGAUAAUAUAUCACUCAACAUGCAUUUUAUCAUGAAUGAUCAAACAAUGUAGCAAAUAUCAAGACAUCCCAAGCGUUCUCAAACAUAGGUAUAAUUCAUAAUGACAAUCAUAUUUACAGAAUUUAGAAGGUAGGUGACAGAAGACGUACUUGGAUAGCAUAGAUAACUUGUAACGUGCUUCCACAAGACAUGAAAGGUUAGAUAAAAAACAAUAAAAUAAGAAGUCCUAGCAUGCUUGUUAUCUAAUUAGCAUAGAAAAAAAAUUAUCACAAUAUACGAAAGCAUCAAUUAUCACUUAUAUCUUCUAUAUAAUUCCUAAAAAAUAAAAAGACAUGAGUUCAUCAAAUAGCAAAGGGGGCAACAAAGAUGAGUUUUGAAAAAUUUCCUUAUGGGCCUAAGUGGACCUAAAGUUCUGCCUAAUGGGCUAAGUGCACCUAGAUGAGCCUAAAGUGCCUAAGUGGGCCUAGGAUGGUGCCUAAUGGGCCUAAAGUGCCUAAGUGGGCCUAGGAUGGCUAAGUGAGCCUUGGGUGCCUAAAUGGGCCUAGGGUGCCUAAGUGGGUCUAGGGUGCCUAAGUGAGCCUAAGUCUAAAUUAGGACUGCCAAGAGUCACAAUGGGGUUAAAUGAACCCCUCAACCCAAGUCCCCGAGGUGGCUUAAAAAAGAUAGGCCACGCAAGUAGUAAUUGGCCACCAGGGAAUUGCUGUAAAGGACACAUGCCAGGAGGACAAAAUGAAGGGUCUACAGAUUAUUUAUUUGUUUGCAUCAGUAUAAACAAGUACAUGACAAAUGAAGACAAGUUCUACGUUGUUUUUGUUGGAAGGAGAUCUGGUGUAUACACAACUUAGCCUGAAUGUCAAGCUCAAGUCAUUGGUUAUAAGGGUAACGUUUAUAAAUCCGACAAAACUCAUCGUGAGGUUGUAUCGACAUGGGUGAUGUACGAGCCUCGAUGGAAAUACCUUAUGCACUUAUUGAAUCCUCCGAGCCAAAAGAGGUUAACUAGGUUAUUGGCCAACUAGUAGAUGACCAAGUAUUAAAGAAGACUACAGAUCGAAAACAAAAUUUCCUUGCUCCUUUUGUCCUCGGAUGUAUUGUAACAUUCACGAUUAUGUUUGUUGUUCAGAAUUUCUUUUAGGUAUGCUCAAAUGUGGUGUGACUAAGCUACACGUUGUACUUGUUUUACAUCUCUUGAAUGCAAUGGUGCUUUGGCCUUUCAUCCUUCAUUAUUUAUUUUAGUUUUAAAACAAUACUAAAAUGACAUAAAACAAAAUAAGAAGUUAUAAAUUGUCGAUGAUGAAAUUUAAGAGGGAAAUGACUAAAUGAGUUCUUCAAAAUUCUAUAUAAUCCUUUAGGAUAGGCUACCUUGUACACCUUGUACAAUUAGCACAUGUACCUUGUACAGUUAGUGUAACUGCCUUGUAUAGUUGCACAAUUCACAUAAACCUAUAAUGCAAUGUGUGCAUAUGGGUGGGUUAACUAUGUUUCCAUUGUCAUGGCUCAGGAAAAUAGGUAAAAAAAAUAAAAAUGAAAUCAAACCCAACCAUGUAUCCCUAAUCAUCAUUUAUGAAUACAAGGUGAUGAAAUAAACAUAUAUGAGGUCAAAUAAAUGGAAAAGCUAGACGUGAUCAAUCAAUAUGUGUGAGGAAUGUCUCUCAUCGUCAAAAGAGGGAAAUGACAAAGCUAGUUCCUCAAAAUCAUUUCAAAUACAUCGAGACAAGUACCCUUGUACAUCCUUGUACAGUUAGCAUAUUUUACUUGUACACUUAGUGUAAAUGCCUUGUACAAUGGCAUAAAUUCCAUACACUAACAACAUGUGAAUCCAUAUGGGUGGGCGAACCAUGUUCCAAUGUCAUGAGUGAACAAAAUUUGAAAAAAUUGAUGCCAAAUUACGUUUCUAUUCAUCAUUACUAUGGUAAGUAAUAUGAUGAACAUGUACGAACUCACAAAAAUGAAUGGUAUGAGUGUGUGAUCAAGUAAUGUGUGUGAAAAAUGACCCUCAUCAUUGGAAUAUGGAAAUGAGCAAGCGAGUUCUUCAUAUACCUUUGAAAUCCUUAUGGAUAGCUACCUUGUACACUUAGUGUAAAUGCCUUAUACACUUGCACAUUUACAUACACCCAUAAUGCAAUGUGUGCAUAUGGGUGGUUUAACUAUAAUUCCAUUCUCACGCCUCAGGAAAAGAGGUAAAAAAAAUUUAAAUCGAACCCAACCAUAUAUCUUUAAUCAUCAUUUAUGAAUACAAGGUUUAAAUAGUGAACAUGUAUGGGGUUAAAUAAAUGCAUAGGUUGCACGUGAUCAACCAAUAUGUGUGACGAAUGUCUCUCAUCUUUAAAAAGGAAAUGAGCGAGUCAUUUCCUCAAAAUCAUUUGAAAUCCUUUAAGACAGGUACCCUUGUACACCCUUGUACAAUUAGCAUAUUUUUCUUAUACACUUAGUAUAAAUGCCUUGUAUAGUGGCAAAAAUUCGACAUAGCUAAAGCUGAACAUGUGCAUAUGGGUGGGUUAACCAUGUUCCAAUGUCAUGCUUGAGGGAAAAGGGGGAAAAUUAAACCCAAAUUAGCUUCGUAUUCAUCAUUAGUAAAGGUGGGUCAUCUAAUGAACAUGUAUAAGGUAAUAAAAAUUGAAUGGGAUGAGAGAGUGAUCAAGAAAUGUUUGUAAGGAAUGUCCCCCAUCCUUACAAAAGAGAAAUGAGCAAGCCAGCUUUUAAUUAAAAAAGAUUUGAAAUCCUUUAACAUCAGUACACUUGUACACCCUUGUAUAGUUACCAUAUUUGUCUUGUACACUUAGUGUAAGUACCUUGUAUAAUGGUAAAAAUUAAACUUAGCUACACCUGAACAUUUGCUCAUACACGGGUUAACCAUAUUUGCAAUGUUUUGGUUCAUAAAAUGAGGAAAAAGUGAAGUCUAAAUUUGUUCCCCAACUACUAGUCAUCAUAUAAUUAAAAAACAACUACUAGUUCACGAGUCUUACACAAUAAUCAUACAAACAAAUCAGUGAAUGAUGCAUAUGAAAAACCUUUCUACUGACUUCCUACAUGCACAACAUUUGAUAUUCAAAAAAAAAAUUCCCUAUUAUUAUUCUCCUUCCUAAUACAUAAAGGUGUUUCAAUCAUACAAUUAAUGGGGUCCCAAACAUAAAGAAUUUUAACAAAUAUGUAUGUGACAAUUCAUCCCUAAACCUAAUAAAAACACCCUCAAUCCUCCACAAACCUCGGUUCCAAUUCCAAAAACUAUACUAACCCGAAAACCACUUCAAUAUAUGGAACAUAUUUUCAUGUUCAAAGGAGGUCAUUAGGCAUAUACCCCACUACCAGUGCUGCAGCAACUUUAGAUCUUCAAGGGAAUUCUUGUUUUUCAAAUUCGUUUGACCCAAAGGAAUUGUGGAGGAAUUACAUGAUCUUCACACAAUUGUUUUUCCCAAACUUCACCAUCUCUCUCUGCGAACCAUACUCUAAUUCUCUCUCUAAAUUUAUUUUAUUGGACAAUAGACCCAGGUCAUAGCCACAUACACAUUUUAAAGACAUCUAGCAUGGCAAAUUCAAUUGAUCACAUAUGAAACCCAAAUUUUACAAACAUCUCCUAUGGAAAUUUGAAGGGUAUAUUUGUCUAAUGAUAUUCUACAUCCUCUCUCUCAAUUAUGCAACUUAUAUGGCCGAAAGGUUAAUUUUUCAUUGGAAAUGAGUGUGUAAGUUCUUCAAAAGCAUUUGAAAUCCAUCAAGAUAGGUAGCCUUGUACACCCUUGUACAGUUAACACAUUUGCCUUGUACACUUAGUGUAAAUGCCUUGUACAGUCAUAGAAAUUCCACAUAGGUACAAGUGAACGAGUGCUUAAGGGUGGGUAAACAAUGUUUCCAUUCUCAUGGAUUAGGGAAAAGGAAGAAAAAUUUUACCCUAAUUUCAGUUCAUAUUCAUGAUUAGUGGAUGAGCUAAUAGAAUGAAUGAACAUGGCAGACAUCAAAUAAAAUGCAUGUAAUGGGUGUGUGGUCAAGCAAUGUGUGUGAGGAAUGUCCCCCAUGAUUGGAAAAAGCAAAUAAGUUCUUCAAAAUCAUUUCAAAUCCCUUAAGAUAGACACCCUUGUACACUUUUGUAUAGUUAGUACAUUUGCCUAGUACACUUAGUGUAAAUGCCUUGUAAAGUGGUAGAAAGUUGACAUAACUACAAUUGAAAAUGAGUGCAUAUGGGUAGGUUAACCACAUUCCAAUGUCAUGGCUGAGCAAAAAAGGGGAAAAUGAAACCCAAUUUAGGUACCUAUUCAUCAUUACUACGGUAGCUCAUCCAAUGAAUGUGUACGAAGAGGAAUGAGGAAUGUCCCCCAUAUUUAGAAAAGGGAAAUGAGCAAGCCAGUUUUUUAAAAGGAUAUGAAAUCCUUUAACAUAGGUACCCUUGUACACCUUUGUACAGUAAGCACAUUUGUCUUGUACACUUAGUGUAAAUGCCUUAUACAGUGACAAAAAAUUGACAUAGCUACAACUGAACACAUACAUAUGAGUGGGCUAACCAUGUUCCAAUGUGAUGCCUAAGGGAAAAAGGGGAAAUGAAACCUAAUAUAGGUUCAUAUUCAUCAUUAGUGCGGGAGGUCAUCAAAUGAACAUGUAUGAAGUGAUAAAAUUGAAUGGGAUGAGUGCGUGAUCAAGGAAUGUGUGUGACAAAUGUCCCUCAUCCUUACAAAAUGGAAAUGAUUUUAAACGGAUUUGAAAUCCUUUAAUAUAGGUACCUUUGUACACCCUUGUGCAGUUAACACAUUUACCUUGCACAAUUAGUGUAAAUGUCUUGCACAGAGGAAGAAAUUCCAUACAACUACUACUGAAUAUCUGCUCAUACAUAGGUUAAUCAUGUUUGUAAUUUUUUAGUUCAUAAAAUAAGGAAAAAAUGAAGUAUCAAUUUCUUCCCCAACUACUAGUCAUCAAACAUAAAGGAGUUUUAAUCAUACAAUUAAUGGGGUUGUGCUUUGGAUCAUAGUAUAAUCAUUUUCACAAAUAUGAAUGUCACAAUUCAUCCCUAAACCUAAUAAAAACACACUCAAUUCUCCAUAAACCUAGGUUGGAAUGCCAUAAAAUAUACUUACCCCACAAUUCUACUCCAAAAGGCCAUAUACCUUAUUUAAUGUAUUUUCAUCUUCACAAGAGGUUGCUGAGCCACUGUCAUCAUCAUGACCACACCUAUAGUUGCUUUAGAUCUUCAUUGGAGUUAUUCAUUUUCUCUAUUUUGUGUAGUGGACCAACCUCACAAUCAUGACAACCAUCUUCUUUGCUUUUAAUAUACGUUUGAUUCGAAGGAUAGCUAUUAUGGAGGAAUUGCAUCAUCAUCAGAGAAUCUUCUUUCCCAAACUCACCGUCUCUCUCCGUCAACCAUGCCCAUUUCUUUUCUUUGGACGAUUGACCCAACAAGCAUAUUUUAAAGUCAAAAUUUUAAGACAGGUGACAUGCCAAACUUGAGGAGAUCUUCUCCAUUUUUGAGUUGCUCACAAUCCUCAGCUGCUGAAGGAAUUGAUUGGGGGACGUCAUAGUUGAGGGAAAUAAAGAGAUAAGGGGUGGUGACCGACCUUUAUUUCAAAUUUUUAAGAUAGGUGACAUGACAUUUUUUUUAUUGGUCUCUUAAUAUUUUAUAUCCUCCCCAUCAAUUAUGCAACUUAUAUGAACCAAAGCUUAAUUUUUGGGUCCAGUUGGGUCCAAAACCAAUUGUCCCUUAAACUUUUGCUACUUUUGUAUGUUACUAAUGGAAAUGUUCAUAAUUGAGAGUAGGAAUGACUCUGCUAAAUAUUAAAACUCAUUAUUUCAUGUCGGAGAAAAUGAAGAUGACUUCAAUGGUGGAUAGUGUGAUAAGAUUUAGGGUUUGAGAUUUGAUAGAGAGAGAGUUGUUAAUGGAAAUGGGGCUAUCUUUUUCCACUUUUCACUUUAUAUGGGGAGUAUUUUGAAAUAUUAAGAAUAUGAAAAACAAAUUAAUUUGUCUUUUUCAUUGAUAAGAGGGGCAAGUGAGGAUGGGUUAACACAACCUAAACUUGUCCAAGAUAUAUAAUCCAUGCUUGACUUGCUUCAGUUAGGAUUUUUUCAAAUCCAUUCCAUUAGAAGUGGUAAUGAUAGCUAAUGCCACAUAUUAAAAACAAAACCAAAAUUAAGUACUAUUUAAUAUUUUAAAAAAGAAAAAUAUGAAGAUGAUGUAAAAUUAUUAGCAACAUGUGUUCAAAAAUCAUUUUUGAAACUUUUUGUUCUCUUUGAAAAUGAAUAAUUUUUUUAAAAAAAAAUUCGAUUUGUGUUUUAAAUAUGGUAAGUUUUCAACAGUUGAAAAUGAUUAAUUAGUUUUGCAGGUACACUGGAAACUAUUGGUUAGUCGCAAAAUAAGAAUUUUCUAUAAAGUUAAACAAAUGUUUUCCUAAUGAAAUUCAUAAUUUCCCUAUAGAUGAUCAAUAUAUCAAAUGCCACAAUAUUGAAGGUCCAACAAUAAAAAUGAGAAAGAUUAAGUUAGUCUAAUUGUUACGCCUACAAAUAAAAGAAAUUGCAAAAUAGCUUAUUCAAAAACCAACUAUAUAGACCGAGAUGCAAUAAUACUAUCAAGACUAAGAUUUGUGUCUUUGAUAAUGUUUAUAUUCAAAGUACUUUAAAUGAAAGUCUUGAUGAAAAAAUAACUUAUUAAGCAUUUCUCCAGUAAAUACCAUAAGUGAUUUUUCAACUUUUUAAACAUAUUUUUUAAAUUUUACUAAACGCUUAUUUUUUUCUUUAAAAAUACUUUUUAAAAUUGUUACCAAAUAGGCUCAAAGAUGAAAAUAUUUCUCAUCUCCAUAUGUCAAUGCAAAUAUAAAUACAUGAACAUUUCAUUUAGUUUCAUAUAAUAUAGAUGGUAAAUAAUUUAAUUGGUGCAUAUUAUUUUAAAAUUAACUCUUAUAACACUAGUCAACAAUAAGGUCAUCCAAUUCUCUAGUGUGGGAUGCUCACGUCCGUCUAGCAUGACUCUUAUUUUGUGUAGCCGUAUCUUCGUCCAUCCGUUCAAGGAUUUGGACGGAUAAAGACUAUCCGAGCACUACUUAUUACUACCUGUCAAACACUAAAUAUGAAACACAUUAAGAACAUUGAGUGUCACAACCAUUACUAAGCAUAAAUGACAGACUUUAGAGCUUAAAAACUGUUAUGCAAGCCAAUUAAAAGGCAUUAAAGACAAUUGAAACACAUGGGACAUGUUAUGGCUUGGCUGAAGAUAAAUAGCCAUCAAACGUCAGAAUGAAGGUAGGCAAUUAGAACCCAGUGACCUCUUACCCAACUCCCCUUUGUCUAAUUUAAGCUUCAGAGGGUUGUGCCCGGAAAAACCAUCCGAACACUCCUUAUUGUAGGUGUACUCGUCGUCCAAACCAAGAGGAGGCCAGCCGGAUGCAAACAUUGUUGGUCAUGCACCAACAUCUAGGACUUAAAAAAAAAAAGUGGCAAGCCCCAUGUUGCUUCAACUAGUAGUUGUCAAUUCUAAAUACCCCGCACUCCAAAUAACACCCUAAUUAGUUAGGGUUGUUCCAAAUCAUCACUACUCACUCUUAGAAAUUUCACGCCUAUUCCUUUAAGUUCUUGCCCAUACAAUCAAAAUUCAAAUAAAUUUACUAUAUAACAAAAUUAUUUACACAUGUAUAAAACUAUUAUAUUUUAAAUAUGAGUCUUUUAUUACGAAUUUUUUUUACAAACUGAUAAAUAAAUACAACAUUAAUUUCAUUUGACAUUUGCUUCAAUUUAUCAUAUAAUGCAUUUCCUAAAUUCCUAAAUAAUUUUGUCUCAUUUAGAGUAAUUAAAUUGUCUUAUGCAUUUCUAAGCUUCCUUAGUAAUUUUAUUUUCGUUUAGAAAAUAGUAACUAAUGUUAUUUCAAUUAGGAAGGUAACUUUACUCUCAUGUGGCUACUUUAUUCAGCAUUUUACUAUUAAGGAGUAUUAUAUAUAUAUACCAAAAUCUUGCAAGUUUAAGCUUUUAGGAAAAUUGGUAAUUCAAAAUCAUAUCAUAACUUUAUUUCAAAUUUUAUUUAAUGAGUGGAAUUAUGAAAAAUGGAAAUGCAUGUAGAUUGAAUUCUGACGUUAAGAUCUCAAAAAUUACUUGAAGAGAUUUAAAGUUCUUCCUCAACUCUCUAGAUUUAAAGAGAUUUAAGUAUGGAUCUUAAAUAACAAGUUUAUUGCUUAAGAUUAAUGAAAAUAAAUAUUAAUUAAAAUUUUUAAUAAUAAACAUGAAUUAAAACUAAUAGGAUAAAUAUGUCAAUUCAAUAACUUAAAAUAAAUUCCAAGUUAAUUUUAUACCUUACUACUUAAAAUAAAAAAAUAAGUAAUAAGUUUUAAGUUAAUGACUUAAAACCAAUUUAACUUAAAGUCAACUUAAGUCAUUAAAUAAUAAGUAUUAAGUUUUACCAAACAUCCAAGUUGACUUUAAGUUAAAUUAUUCUUAAGUUGUUAACUUAAGACUUAUUACUUAAUUGUUACUUCAAGCAUUAAGGUUGUUUUGUAAACUUAGCUUAAAGUUUAUUCUAAAUCAUCAAAUUAACUCAUUUUCCCUCAUUAAUUUUAACUAAUAUUUAUCCUUAUUGAUUUUAACUCAUAUUUAUUUUCAUUAGUUUUAAGCAAUAAAUUUAUUUAUAUAACAUUCAUACUUAAAGUAUUGUAGAUAUAUAAUACAACCAUAAAAUGUUUAUUACAAAAAAUGAGUUAUGGAUGUGAAGUCACAGUUUUAAAAUGCAUUUACUGUGAGCAAAUGAGACAAAAAGAAUUUUACAUUAAGAAUAAGUUAACUAUUUUAACUUAAUACUUAAAGUUCAAAGUGAUUUUAAGUUAUAAUAUUAAGUUAUUUUACUAAUUUAAUCUAUUUAAUGACUUAAGUUAUUAAGUCAUUAAGUUUAUUUACCAAACAUCCCCUAUGUCUAUUACUUUUUCUUGACCAAGCAAAUUUAUAUUUUUUAGUAUAGAAAUAACUAUUGAUAUGUAAAGCUUAAUUAAAUGAAGGUGACCAUACAUCCUAUAAUUUAGAACUAAAAUGACAACCAAGUCAGACCACAUAUUUUUAUCUUCCUAAUCGAUUUAUACACACAUCUUUAAGCUUAGACUAGCUUAUAAUACCCAAACACCCAAAACUAAACAUUAAUAAAAAUAUUUUCAUAAUUAUGUACCGAAUACUAUUUUUUUUUCCAAUAGAAAGCUUAGUAAUUUAUGAAACCUCAAAUACUAAGAUCAUAUUUGGCAUGUGUGAAUCACGAGUGAAUAGAUAUCUAAUUCAUCUUCUCAUCCAUUUUCAUAGUUGGAUAACUCAAGUGAUGAUGGAAUAAAAUUAAUAACGAUUUCAAAGGAAAUGAAAUCUCACUUAUAAGUGAGAUUUCAAUUUAUUUCUAGUAGGAGGCAUUUUUGAUUCCCUAUGUUGAUUCCUACAAGUUAUUUUUAAAAGCACUUUUCAAAAAAAAAAAUAAAAAAAAAAAACCUUUUUAGAUAAGUUGUUUUUUAAAAUAAUUUUUGUAUUUUGAUUUUAUAAAAAAUAAAUUGUAAUUUAGUUUAUAUAAUAUGAACUAAAUUUAAUUCAAGUCUUAAUAAAAAUAAAAAUAAUUUUAUAAUUAAAUAAAUAAAUAAUAAAUAGUGUUUAAUAAAAUAUGAAUAGUAAUAUUAUAAUAAAAUCAUAAAUUACAUAUAUGUUUUUAUAAAUAUUAUAAAAAUAUAGAUUUUAUUUUGUUAAAAAUAAAUCAAAUUCAAAAUUAAUAAUUACUAAUGCUAUUUUAUGUUAAAUGAAUUUAUAAACAAACAAAAUUAAAUUUUUUUAGUAUAUAAAUGAGUCAAAAUUUUCAUUACAUGCAUACAUUUAGUACUCAAUAUAUGGUAUUAUGAAAGUUUUAAUUUAACCUAUAAUUAAUUAAUUGAUUUUUUGAAUUUCAAAUUAUUCUUAGAAAUUAGAGGAUUCAUUAAAGAAUUUAAAGCAUUAAUUAUAUCUAUUAUCUUUUAUAGUCAUUAUAUAUAUAUAUAUAUAUAUAUAUAUAUAGUUUCAAUUUUAAUUAGAAGUUUCAUAUUUUUAAAAUUAUUUUUAGUCAUCAUAGAUAAUUAAUUGAAACUUCUUAAUAAAUUUAUUACAAAGUCUUGUUUGAUUUGAAAUUCAUUUUUUCUAGUAAAAAAAUUGGAAAAACAAUAUUCUAUUUUACUUUAAUUUUAAAAAUUAUUUUGCAGCCACUCCUCACAAGAAGCUAUCUCAGGUACUUAAAAAUAUAUUCAAAAAUUAAGGGGAACGAGCAAAAUACUUGGCUAACAUAUAAAAGCCAUACACUUUUUGUGGAGGAGGUUGAGAUGUUAAUGAGAGAGUGCCCCUUGCGUCUAAAAUAAUUUAAAAUAAAAUUUGUUUUAAACUAUAGAUACAAAUAUUAUUGUUAAUUUAUUUCUUUUUUCAUUUUCAUUCCAAAUAUUACUUAAGAUUGAAAUGAAAACUAAUAAUCAUUCCGACCGUACAUUCCUAUAUAUAUAUCCAAGCAUAAGAAUUAGAAUCACUAAAUUCAUUAAUGUAAAAUGAGAAAUAGGAAUGGAUCGAAAUAAAAUACUCACUUUCAUUCCUCAUUCCAAUGUACCAAAAAUGACCUAAGGUUUUUUUUUAUUUGUUGGAAUCAUGAUCUGAAAUGGUUGAAAAUAUUAAAAGAAUUGAUUUUUUUUGUCCUAGACAAGUAUGUCCAUACUUUCUGUGUAGCCUCGUCAAUAACAAAACUAUCAAAAUGUACGUGUUUUCUUUAAUGGACUUGACAUCUAUGGGUUCCAAUAUCGUAGUAGAAUAAUUCUAAUUUCUCAUACUUGGUUGCAAAAGCCUAAUGAUAGGAACUCUUUCUUAUUAUACAAAUAAUGAUCACAUGAAAGAGAGUCAUGAUUUUCUUUCAAAACUUGCACAGUUAUUUCUCACCCAUUUCUAAUGUCUUAUUCCAUAACUUUAGGAAAGUGUAUUGUCACGGACUUAGUCUUUUCCUAAGCUCGUGCGAUACCUAGAUAAGUCAAGACACUUGAUCUUACUAAGUCAGCCUUACUCCCAAUGCUUAGCUUACUAAGCUUAGAUGCUCACGACUUGGAAACUUUAGAAGGUAUAGUAGGCAACUCUUAAAGAAUGGAAGCUUUUAUUGCUCAAAGGAAGCUUUACAAGUGCUUUGGGAACUCACUUGCUUGGUUAGGAAUUGAUUUGGGUGGUGCCUUGGCCAAAUGAGGCCUUAACCUAUUUAUAGGCACCAAUGGAACUCUUUGAAACCUUGGAGGGUUCCUUACAAAUCAAGAAUAAUCUAGAAGCUCCUACACUAGUCUAUGUACAAGGGUAUGUACAAGAUGACUUUGGAAGAUUCUAGAACACCCCACACUAUUCCAAUGCUCUCCUAGCCAAGUGUAGAGAUGUGUGGACAUCUCUAGCCCUCUCUAGAAGCUUCCAUGCUCUUCCACUUUGUAGCUAAGUGUAGAUGUCUCCAGGGUUUCUAGAAGCUUCUCACCUCCUAUAUAAGCCCGUGGGGAGGGUCAUUUGAAGCAUCUUGUGAUAGUAUGGUCUCGAUAGCAUUCAAAUUGCCCUUUUACACUUCCUCUUGGUAUAUGUAGCAAACCUCUUCUUUUGCAACAAAUAACCUCUUCACCACUACCAAAAUAACUUUUAUAUCCUUGUUUAACUUGUGCAAAUCUAGACAUUAGUUUGAGGUUGGAACGUUGGUCUCCAAACAUAUAUUAUUUAUGCAUAUAUUCUUAGAGCCACUAGACUUUCUCAUCCUAAUUGCACCAAUGUCUCUAUCUUUGUAAUUUGAAAACAACUUCAAUUAAGGGAUAACAUGCAUGAUAUAAGGUUAUGGUCUCUACAAUGCACUCAAUUCUAUGAUCACUAAUAGGGAUUUAAUCCAAGUGUUAAUUUGACAUGAUAUAUAUAACUGAUUCAUUACCAAAUAGCUUAAACAUUUAUAUCAUAUAUAUUGAUAGCUUAACAUGUUUUUAAAGCCUUAGUUCAAGGGAGAUCAUGAUCUUGAGCUUCACACAUGGUUAUUUCUCAUACUUAUUGAACCUGCAUACAAACUGAAAGAAGGUUUUCUCUUAUACAAGGUAUUGAGGGUUUAGUCCAAGUGCUACCUCAUUACCAAAUAAUUUAAUUAGGGAUGACAAUACAAUAAGUUUUUUUAGGUACUCAUCUCAUCCUACCGUGAAUAGAAUAGGUUUGAAAUGAAGAUAAAUAGGUUAGGGAUAGAGAUUUUUUUACAUAUAUAAACCAAUGGUGGGUUUAGGUAUUACCUUGUACCCUCCUAUCCUAUCGCAUCCCAAGUAUAUGCAUAAUUAAAUUUAAAAAUAGUUUUAUUUUUUAUUUACUCAUUUUUAACACAAAAUAAUAAUAAUAAAAUCUACUUCUUGAAUAAAAUAAAUUAUAAAAAUUUAUAAUAUUUAUUUAUAUAUAAAAUAUAUUUACUUUUAAUAUUUUAAAAUUUUAAAAAUAAAUAGGGUUGGGUGGGGCCUGUGCAACACAAGUAAUAAGAAAUUUUCAUACCGGUAGCCUUGCCCUACCUUACACCGCCCUGUUUAAUUUUUUUUAUUGGGUGGGGGUAGCAAUAGAUUUAUAUAAAUGUGACAAGAUUGGAAUAUGGGUGAUGCAUUCCAAACCCGUCCCAUUGUCAUCCCUAAGUUUAGCUUUUAGAUUAUGUUGGUAGCUUAACAAUCACCAACAUUCAAAAGUUCAUGUUGUAGUAUCCUUGUUCUAUUCCAUUACCUGAGGCUGCCUCUUCUUUUCCUUUCUGUAAACACAGUAGUUCUAUUUCAUAUGGCCUUUUUUGCCACAAUAUCCAGACAUCUAUCCACUAUUGAUACCAAACUCUCAUCAUGCUUAUAUGCAGCGGAUGUAGUAUUCUUUUUCUCUCUCCUUUUUCUUUCUUAGGUUUGCCUCCUUUAUUUCCUUUCCCAAACAACAUAGUUCUUUUCUAAAUUGCUUUCUGCCACAAUGAGCAUUUCAUUUUCUCCUUGGAUUGAAAUCUUUCAUUGGACUUAUUAUAAUAAUUCUAUCCUCUGCCUUUAUUCCUCCCUCUAUUUUCUAUCUAUUUAUAAUAUGAGUGUUCCUUCUUGUCUCUACAUCAAACAAAUACUAUUCACAAUAGAUGUCUUGCAACGAACACAACAACAAAGAGACUUGCAUCUCAUCAUCAAUUGCCAUUUUCGUAGUAACUAAUUGAUUUACCGUGCUUUGAAAAGCACUUCACAUGGUUGGCCACUGAAGUGUUUCCUUCGACUUCAAUCUAGUUAAGUUAACACACCUCAAUGUGGUAACUAAAAUGUAACUCACUUUUUUCAGUUGCCUAACUAGACACCUCAGCCAAGUUAUUAGUUUAUUGAAUUAGAAUUUUUUUUAAAGUAAUUUUAAAAAGCGUUUCUAACAUUUGAAAUUUUUUAUCUUUCAAAGUAUUAGAAAGGUUAAAAAUAUUUUCUAAAAUCACUAUCAAACACACUCUUAAAUUACUAGUCUUGUGAAUAUGACCUUUCACCCCGUCACCUAGACAAAUACUUUAGUAGAGUUGCUAAAACUUAAUUGGACUGGCCUCUCCUGUUGGAGAAAAUAGCCCUUAAAUAGAUUAGAAACAAGCAAAAAGCAAAAAAAAGCUUUCUAUAGCAAGAAUUGAACAAGGACCUACAACAAUGUAGAAUAGAUCUCAACUAGAAAUUAGAAAUUAGAUUGUAAACCAACAACACAUUAUGAAACGCAUGAGUAUCCAUCCAAGAUAAACACCAAUGACCUUACUUGGAAAAAACCCUUCGAGGAGGUGAAAGAAGCCAUUCAAAAAUGAAUGUCCAUCAUAUAAAAUAGGAAUUAAUCGGUGUUCGUGCAAGUCUUUUUCCAAAGAUAUGGGAAGGGAACUAGAAAUGGUGUUAUUCUCAAGCUUACAAAACCAGCACACAGAGUGGAAAGGAUCUCACCAAAUACAAUUGCCACAUUUGAUAUGGAGAAAACCCUUGGUUCAACCAAAACCAAGAAUGGUGAAGAAUCCCUAUUCUAGCAUAAAAGCCUAACAUAAUUAGGCUCAAGUUGCUACUGGAAGAAUCAGCCCACACAUUGGGUUUCUUGAGAUAACACAGAGACAGAGGUUCACUAAAUGAUCCCCAAGGACUAGACCCCCCAUCAGAAAAAGGAAAUGUAAUGAGUGGGAAUUGCCAUCAGUAAGGCAUAUGCAGGAGACUCAACUCUCUAGCCAUUGCUCUAUGGAAAUUUAAAAUGCCUUUUGUUAGCUAAUAAUAAAUUUAUGAUUUAUGACAAUAUUCUUUGGAAGAUCUAUUACUGGGAUACAAGUUUCAGAUUUGGGUGAUUUAGCCCUAUGGCAAGAACAUGAUUCUUAAAUGUAAGACUAAAGAGUAUAUUUGUAGUGAUUCUAUGAAGGCCAAAAGUGCUCUCUAAUACUUGAAGCAUUUUCUUAUAAAAAUUAGGGUCGUAUUCAGUUUAACUUGUUUUUUUCUUACAUUUUUAAAGAAAAUAAAGAACAAUUUGGAAAAUAUGUUUGGAUAUUUCUAUUUCUAUUUUCCCAAGAAUUGAGUUUAGAAAAUGGAAAAGGGGAAAAAUGCCAAAUUGGUAUUUUCAAAAUUUAAUUAAAAAAGUGAAAAGAGUUUCUAAAACGUAAAAAUACAAAAGUAAAUAAUACAUGAAAGAAAUGCAAAUAUGAAUUUGAUAAUAAUAUUACAAUAUUAUAAUCAUCUUCCUCUUUUUUACUAAUAAUAUUACAUUUUUAUAUUAAAAAAUAAAUUAUUUUAAUAAGCCAAAUAUCCCCAAUUGAUCAAUUGCUUCGUUAAUUAUAAAUAUAUUAGAGUAUCAAAAUAAAAUUUUUUAUUAAAGUAUCAAAAUAACUAAUAAAACAAAUAAAAUAAAAAAUAAUGAAAAAUAUAAUUUCAUUAUUUUUCAUGUACAAAAAUUAGUACCUAACAAAACAACACAACAAUUGGUCAAUUCCUUUAUUAACUAUUAAUAUACUAUAUUUUUUAUUAUAUAUUAAAAUAACUAUAAGAGAUGAUAAUUGAAAGAGAAUAAUCAAUAAAUACAAUUUAAUUAUUUUCAUUGUGUUUGAUUUAAAAAUAUAUAUAUCCAGUACCAAACAAGGUUUCCAAAUUUUUAUUUUUUGAAAACCAGUUUUUAUUUUUAUUUUUAAACAAAAAUAUUAAUUACAAGAAAUGAAAACAAAGAAAACAAAAACAAUUUUUAGAAAAAAUUAAAAGUAGAAAAUAAAAACUAAAAAUAUUUUCCAAACCAAAGGCAACUUAAAUUACUGUGUAAUAUUUUAGAAAAUAUUUUUUUUUUAAAUCUCUAGAAUAAAAUAGAUAAAACAUGGAUCUAAACAUCCUUGCAUCCAUGAAAAUAUUUUUGGAGAUAAAAUCGGAAAUGAGAAUAGAAAAUUAUUUCAUUUUUUAUUCAUUUUGAUGUUUAGAUCAUUUAUUAAAUAUAAAAAUAGGAAUAAAAAGUUAUUAUUAUUGUUUUUUUUUAAUAUUUGUUUAAACAAAAAUAUGUAAAGAUACAUCAACCGAACCCAAUAGGCUUCGGAGAAUUAAAAACAAUGGCUAGUUUGAACUAGCAGACUAAUAAUAGAGACAAUUAUCCAACUUCUCAUACCAAUGUUAUCAUAAGAUAAAAGUUGAAUCAUAAAUACUUGUACAAGACAUUCAUUACUUGAAUUACAAUCUCUGUUUCCUUCUUCAAAAACACAUAAUAUCAUAAUUAAAGCAAAAAAGUGUUAUACACCAAGUAUACAUACCAUGCAGGAAGGGUAAAAAAAACCCGAAGGGAAAGAACAACCAAAAAACAAUCACUCCCUCCCUCAUCAAGAACCUACCCAAUCUACAAAUUUAAUAAGAGACGUUGAUCUACCUCUAUAUACAUGUUACCUCGAGACAUUGAUCCUACCUGUAUAUACAUUUUACCUCAUGACAAUAGAUUACUAAGGAAUAAGUGUUUCAGUGAUUGAAUCGGCUGCUCCUUGCUUUCCAAUACUCUGUGGUUUCUUUCCUUCCGAAUUGUUCAAAAAAUACAGAGGGAAGUUUCUCUCUAAACUCUCUUCCUAUGUCUUCCCAUAAAAGAACCAUACCACCCUGAUAUAGUAUCUCUUACCAAAGAAAGGACCUAAGCAAGGACGAACAAAUUAAAUCAAGAUAACAAUGUCUUUGUUCAACCCAGAGAGGUAGGUUUUUCAUUUUUGAAAUUUUAAUUUGAGUGAUAGAUUGGUUAAUUCAAAGGGGGUUGUUGCUCCAACCUAAUGUCGCCUUGCAUCAUGGAGUGGAAGAACAUCCAGCCGAGUGAAGAGGGUCGUGCAUAAACUCAUCACAGGUAACAGAGUGUAUGUAUCAAGGAUGUUCUUUUUCUGACUAUAAUAUCCAUUCUUAGAUUAAUAGGUCUGUCUGCUGCAACAUUCUCAACGCUUGAAAUCAGGAAAUUUCCUACUCCGAAAACCGGUGGUAAGAGGAUGCGGGGGAGGUGACAUCUCUUACUAUAUAAUCCAUUAGAAUGCCUUGGCGGCCUUGAAAGUAAGGAGCACUGCCAUGGACUUGUAUCCUUGGAGGAGUAAGAGCUGCCUGGCAAUCCUAAAUUUUGAAAUUAGAAGACUGCUAAUCAGGAGAAGCGGAAGACUCUGCAGUUUAGUCUCCAACCUUGCAUCACUUUCUAUCAGAGAUAGUGGAUCUAAAGUUGCCAUUAUCGGAGUUGGGCCUCCACAGGCUUACUUCUAUUUCAUCAUUGUACAUUUCUGGUGUAUUUCUAGAUAUUCCUUGGCUUCUCUGGCUCUCAAAAACCUCCCUUCCUUUGAAAGUAAAUCCAUCUAUGGGUGCCCUAAAAUCUGGUUCAUAACCUGAAACAUCUUCAGGACUUGAGACAAGUGAAAAGUAUUUUUGUUUUUAAAAACUCAAUCAGGUAUGGCUAUUUGCAACUCAAUCCCAGCUCCAGAUUGUCCUCUCCAUGGACCUAUUUGUUGAAAAUCUGAUUAAUUUCAACUUUAAAUUCAGAUGGGAGCUGCUUUAUUCCUUUGACAAAUAGAUGGCUUUAGCAGCAGUUGCAAAGUGACAUUUUCUCUAAACUUGCCGGCCUCAGUUAUACUGUUCUAUUGAAUUUGCAUGCGGUUUUAUGGUUUUAAUAAAUAAAAUAAAUAUAAAGCUAAAACUAUGUGUAAGCUCUCUUGCCAUGUUUAAUUGGACUGCUAUUAUUUAUUUAAGAUCAAGAGAUAGAAAGUUUUUCUGCAUUUCCAGUUAUAAUUGAGUUUGUUUUAUAAACAUAUUCAAGUUUAUUCUCUGUUUUUUCUUUCCUUCCUUUUAUUUUUAUGAUUUUCUAUUAUCAUUUGUGUUAUUAAAGAUGAAAGCUCAUUUUUUACUCGCUUUUAUAGAAGUACUUCUACAAUGAAGAAAUUCAGGUUAGGAUUUUGCUAACACAAUAAAAUCUUUGGCCUGCUUGAUAUCUAGUAUCAAGUUUUGCCAAAGGCCAUAACUUCUAUUGGUUAUCUAUGAGUCAACCAUUGCUGGAUGGAUAUGAAUAGGAGCUUGUCCUGCCUAUGGGCAGGGAUAUGCGCGCAAUCACCUGUUUUCUGCUUUUUAAGUAAUGAAGUACCAACUAACUGCUUCUACAAUAUCAUUUCCAUUUUAAUCAGCAUUGAGUGUGUCCUGUCAUGGUUGGUUGGACCACUUAACAAAAAAAACAGCAAGGGCUUUUCUUCAAAAUCUGCAUUCGACAGGUUCUCUGUUAAUUCUUUGCUUUUGCUUUUACGAUAACUUGUUGCAAACUUAUUUAAAAAAAUUGUGCCCUUCUCUUGUUGACUAGGUAUUUAACUUAUGCAUAAUCUUGUGAUGCAGCUAUGGCUAGAGAUACUGUACUUGUCACGCUCUUUUCUAAUUGGGCAUGUAAAGGGCUCUAGGGAUGUCCACUUGUCUUCAAGUACAGUUGAUUUCUUUGGUACAAAAAUGCUGACUACAACUACAGAAGAUAAACUUGAACUAGUUGUUAAGCGAACUCUUUUAUGUUAUAUUAAAAAAUUUCUAAAGAAAAUUUCUAUUGAGAAAACUAGGGAUGUUUUAACCAUCAACCUUAACUUAAUUUGUGUUUAAUGUGUGAUACUGUCCUCUUUACUUGGAAUAUGUCUAUGAUGGUGCUUGUCUAUGCUUCAUCAUUGCUUAUUUAUUUUAUGACGUCUUUGUUGAGCGUUUUAGCUCCAGGUGGAAGAGCUGUGUUGUCUGAGAUGCAUAGGGAACUGUCUCAUCAGUGACUAUGCCAAUUGGAUGAGGAUUCUGGAGAGAACUCUCUAUCUGAUCCAAGUGUCUCCUGACUUCUACCAUAAACUCCUGAAUAGAAGCAAGCUUGUUUGACGUCUCAACUAAACUGUCUGAACUAUUUGAACUUUGAUAUGAAUCUGAUAUGAUCAAUCGACCUCCAACUCUCCUCUAAGAAUGUGACUCCCUAUAAUGCAAACAAAAUGGAUGAAGGACAUAAGAUAAGACCCUAAAAGACAACAGUGCAACAUGCAAACACAUGGUCCUGAGGUGGCAAUCUGAAAUCUGGAUGUAUGAUGAGAGCUCUAGAGACAUAAAGGUGUCCACUGUGAGAUGGCUACAAAUGUGACUAAAGAAUUCCUAUCAAUAAUCCAAGAUGAAAGAGGUGUGAGAAACACACUAUCAUGAGAUUGAUACUCCAUCUAUAACCACAUAUCCUUGACUCAACCUUCAACCCAAGCUCCAUAAGAGAAAAGAUAAGGUGAUCAAGGCGACUCUCAAAAAAGGUGUGAAUGUGAAAACGUGCCUUUCACCUUUCCGUAAUGAAAAUGUGAGCAUCGAGUUGAAAAUUGAAUCAAGGAUCAAACAAAGAAUAGGAUACUAGGCUCAUGAUAAGUGUACGGUAUAAAGAGAUGAUCAUAAUCAAUGAACAUAUCCUAAAGCAUCAAGCAAGUGACAACAAAGUGAAAGGAUGUGCCAAGCCAAGAGAGGGAGACGAAAGCUCUAUGGAGAAAGCAUGCUAAACUCAUCAAGUGAAAAGAAUAAUCUAAAGCGACAUGACAAAAGGUGAUCCAACUGAUACUGAAACUUGUACCGAUCUCUGAGCACUCUCAACUGGAAACCAAAGGUAAAAGCACUGGGUCCAGGUGGUGAGUAAGACGGCCCUGAAGGCUCUCAGAUGCACCCACGUGUGAGGAAGGAAUCCUAAUCAAAGGAUCUAAGCUCAUCCUAUAAGGUUAAGGUGGCUUUAAAAAGAGAAAGGUAGGCUUUCAAGGGUCCUUAGAAGAAGCGAUCAUACCCUUUGGUGGUAUGCAACCCUCUGCACGCCUCUAAAGAGAUGGGGCGCUUCUCAUCACCUCCACACAUGCACUACCUCGCAUCCCAAGGGGCUCCUAUGGUGAAGGCUCUUCUAAUGGCUGGCAUAUCUCAUAACUUUGGUCACUCAUCAACAAUCUAAGGUGCAUAGUGAGUUGUGUGGGUGCAUCCGAAAAUCCUAUGAAACUAAAAAGAAAACACAUUGGUCACACAAAUAUCCUAAAAUCCAGCUUUGGGCUAUACAAGUCUUCAAAGAUCGGACCCCAAUCAACAUCAAUGUGUCGGCCAUCUCCAAAAUGCUCCCAAACAUAGAUAUAAUCCAUCAUUAGACCUUACUUCAAAUCACUAGCUUGGUCGAAGAACAAUCAAGGUGAUAAGUCUCAUGUCAAAUAAGAGAUCAAGGGAAACAAAGUCGAUUGAGACUAGGGAAUUGGAAAUAAGGGGAUAGGUGUGAGACCCACAUGGACAAACAAUACAUGCAUCAUGUAGAAGGAGAGUAGUCAUAUAACAAACAGUUAUGCAAAGCAGGUAUAUAUCAUACAAAUCUACACAUAAGCUAAGUAAGAAGAUAAUCGAGAUGAAUAUCUAGCAAGAAUAAAUGGCAUGCUCAGAGUUAAUCGAGGUAAUAUGUAACAAAGAGAAUAAACAUGUCAAGAUGAGCAACAAUGAGAAUAUACAAGUCAGGGUGAGCAGAGCAAUCACACAGUAAGGAGAGUUGAUAUGUGAACACAAACAAGAGGAUCAAAUGAUAUAAUCAAGAUGUCAAUGUCUCAAACAAAUACACAAAUCAAGCAUGCAUCAGAGAUAAACAUAUCAAAAGUUCUCAAUGUGCAAUCAAUAGUCAAACAUACAAAAGCACAGAGAGAGAAGGGUACCCACUGAUCAACCAAUCAAACAUCACAUUUGCCUUAAUCUAAGUUCAAGCUUGACUAUCUAGUGAUCCCCAAUGGAGUCACCAUUUUGCGGAACCCGUAUUUCUCCACAAUGCGUUCCCACUCGAAUGGUGAUACUCACUUUUUAUUUUGAAAAAAUGACUUUUGAAAAGUUUUUGGAGUCGCCACUUAUUUUUCUUUUAUUUUUAAAGGGAAAAACAGGUCUGUGAAAAACCAAGUCUAGGUUCGGGAGUGAGGUUACCUAUUGAGAAGGUACGAUGAUAAGCUGUAACACCCCUCUAAGCACCUAAAAAUGGGUCUCUAGUAAUCAGAUAAGACAAGCGUAGCAAUUGAUUGAUUAAUUGUGGAUACCAAAUAGUGAUCAAGGGUGUACUAGCAAGUCAUGCAUGAUAAUGGAUAAAUAAAUAAGUAUGAUUAUGUAUGAGAUGCACCUUAGCAGCGAAUAAUGAUGUGCUAUCAUAAAACGGGGUUAGCUCAAAUAUAAAGUAAUGCGUGUCACAUAUUAGAGCCAAAAAUCAAUCAAUAAACAAUCAAACAAAAUCAACAAUCAGAUGACGAAUGUCUCAUAUGUUAGGCCACACCAAUGCCCAAAUUAUUUUCGGCAUGAAUUACUUCUACAAAUUCCAUGAUUUUUGGAAUUAUAGACUUGUAUUCAUGGUUAUUUAAAAACAUUUAAAAAAUCAAGAAAAAAAAAAGUGAAAAAUGCUUGCCCAAAAGAAAAAUGGCAGCAAGUUUAUCAAAAAAUGGAUUUUUGAUGACCCAAAACUCUAUGGAUGAAUAAUAAUAAAAAAAACUGAAUAGUUAAAAUUAUUUGAAAAUUGGAAUUAAAAAAAAAAAACAAUUUUUGAAAGCAAAGGUGAAUAAUUAAGAGAACAUGGCCUAUGGGAUUGCAUGUCAAAGUUGGCCCAGGGUAGGUAGUGAAUUGGCCAUUGAAUCACUUUAUUGGACAUGCAACUUGCUGUAGUGGUUUGCAUCCAUGGAUAUUGACUGUACCGAAACUUGGAAUGUCGACCAUGUCGUUCAUUGGAGAUGUACCAAGUGACAUGCUUCAUGGUGGCGGGAUUUAUAUGCUGCAUCACUUUCUUCUUAUAUAAAUACUCAGCACCUUUGGCAAUGCCAUUGCACUAGAACCACUACAAAGACCUCUAACAAUGAAUGAUGAUCUAGCCAUACAGCAUUAACGAGCUUCUCACCAAACUGCUACUUGCUGAAACCGUUCUUUAUCGUGUUAUACCCAUAUCUUGCACCGUCCAUUCCAUGCAUGACUUGAUUAAGUCCUUCAAGUAAGUAUUCAGGCCAUAGCUUAGCAAAAAUAGAGUCCCCUGACAUCCCUUUAAGACUAGGUCUGCUGAAGUGAUUUAAGUGUCAUGAAGGAGAGGUGAAGGACGGGUAUUGCACAAUUGGAAUCGCAGCACAUGCAACCGUUCUUCUCAACCAUGGUAACAUGAAUUCUACACGUUCAUCCUUAGUUUAAGGGACAAUGGGGGUCAGUCGACAUGGCAACAAUGACAUUCAGAAAUGCAUCCCUGCAAAUCUUUCCAAUAAUCUUUCCCAGAACCACCCAACAAGCCACCUGAAGGAAAUGGAUGUCCUGAAUUAAUGUCAGAAUCCUUAUAUCUGAUAUGGACGUUACUAAUGGGAAAUCUUAAGGAUUCCAAUUAUGGUUGCAAACAGAGAACCCAACCAUGAAUUUGCAUCAGCUGGACUUCCUUCUUGAUAUUGAUGAAGUUCCAACUUCAGUUGCAGUAAAUGGUAUCCCCAACUCCGGACUACUGUCAUUUCUUGAUGGGAUUCAAGGCAUUGAACUUACAAAAUCAUCGUAGCCUUAGUCUUCGUGCACAGAAGACCUCUUUCUCUCAAACUCCUGGACACGACUUUUUCAAUAGGGGUAAGCAUCGGGAUAUCUAGCCCAUUUUCUGACCUUGUAUGAGACGCUCCCAGAAAACCCUUCAGAAUUGUUUAGUGAGUUGCAUCUUUAGGACCACCAGAAGCAUUAAAAAGCUCAUAGUUUUUGGUUGUCAAAGCACAAGGGUGGCAUUUGGUUUUGUCGAAUGGCACAGCUAGCUCAUCACCUAAUUUCUGACCAAUAUGAAAUGAUUGAGACACUUCAGCGAGUUCCUUGACAUCACUUCUUGUAUGAUUCAGCCACUCAUUUCCUUUUUGGACAUUUGGAAUCCAUGAAUUCAAAGAACUCGUACGCAUUUUCACAGGGACCUUGAUACAUGAUUUUCCCAUAAGAGAGGAGAAUCUUAUCAUUAAAUAGGUUGCAGGUUUCUGGUACUGGUUGGAGGAGGGAGAUCAAAGCAGUUCCAUUAAGAAUGAGGAUGAACUGCCUGAGUGAACUUACAAUCUGAAAAGCUGUUGAACUAUCCAAACGAAUUACCAUUUCAUCCAUGGAAAAAAGCUCUGUUUGUUUCUCCAUCGACUAGUGCACCAAUUAUCACCCCAUCUCCUCAUUGACCAAGAGCUUUCCUGACUCCAUCUUAUCAUCAUCAAUAAUCUCCAGUAAUAGCUCUUUCCAUUCUGUCUCUAGACAUUUCAAUGUGGUCCAUAUGGCUUACAGGUGUCUAGAAAUUUCCAACAGUAUGUAAAGUGGUUCACAUGGGGCUCUCUCAAAAGCACCCCAACCAAAAUGGCCAGCCCAAAUGGGGAUACUCAACACCCCGAACUUACCAGAAUCAGGCGAAUAAGAGGAAAAAAAAAAAAGAAAAGAAAAAAUAGGAGCAGAGCGAGGACUGAAGAAAUAGCAAAAGGAAAUUAAGCAGAUAACAAAUAUACAAAGCCUCAUUUCAGGUGACAUCCAUGGACUAAUAACAUGUGGAAUUAACAAAGAAUGCAAGCAUGAUUCUUAUAUAUCAAGUCCAGGGAUGAAGCCAUGCAUCAACUACUUACAGGAGGAGUCAAGUAAACCAAGAUAAAAUCAAACAAAGCAUGUAUGCAAACAAACAGAUUCGGUCAAACAGACUAAUAAUCCUUCAAGUCCAAGCCAAUCAAUAAAAUAACACCCAAGAAUCUACAGAAAAAUGUAGAAGAAUAAUAUGAAAAUGAGAAAUGUGAGGUUCAGAUAGACCUUACCUGGAAGACUUCCUUUCGAGCAAGAUUUUUGUCCAACUUCCCAACUAUUCUUCCUCUGCUCCAACUCUCUUUAUCUCACAACUUUUCUUGCUUUCUCUGCUCCUCUAGACACUCUUUAUAGCUCCCCUUCCUUCAGCUCCCUGUUUUUCCUAUUGUCCUCCUUCUCCUCCAUUCCUCUUCUCAACGGUCUCUGAAUCCUCUCCUUACAUGUCACCUGCUGGUUUCCCACAGAAAAAAGUCCUUGCCAGCCCACUAUCUCAUACACCUGCUGCCAAAACCUCUUAAAGGGUGGUAAAAAUAUGGCCCCUAAAAUAUCCCAAAACUUCUAGAUCAAAAUGAGGGUCUACACCUUAUAUUCCACAAGCUAAACCUUUUUAGACAUACCUAUGACUUCCUAAUUGGAUGAACAACAACCCUAAUUCUUAAAUGGAGAGCAAGUUACUAUCUAAACAAACUUUUAUGACCAAACAUUAAUUGGAACAAAAUUGCCAACAAUUACAUAAGACUCAAUGUCCUAACAAUCUCCCAUUUUGGUAAUUUUAUGACAAAACGUCAUUAAUAAACCCACCUAAACUCUCAUAAUGAAGUUUACAUAAUACACAUUAAUGCUUAAUUAAAAAUAAACUAAGGGAAUGCUUUGCAAUGCUUUGUAGUACUUAUCUUCCAACCCUUUAACCUACACACAUACAAAAAAACUAUACCAAAAUUAAAGCAAUGUGAGAGAUAAAAUAAUAUCAUGAAAGCAAAAUAGGAUAGUUAGAGGUUUUUCUUGACACCUUGUGAAAGCAUGCUAAAUGAACAGAUUCCUAUAGCGCCAUCAAGGUAUAAUGCUAAGCUCAAGAGGAAUAUAGAUGCAUGCAAAUCAACCAAAUAGAAUAUAAGCUAAAUAAGACCUAAUUAUUUAAUAGUAAAGUGAAGGGGGCGUUCACCAACCAUAUUACUAGCAAUGAAAGCCUUAGGAAGAAGCUUCUAUGACAAUGAUUAGUUAUAGAAAGAUAGAACAUUCAAAUAGUAAUAUUUUGCAGGGAACAUCCGUGUUAGGUAUCUCUCUAAACUAUCUAAGUCAUUCUUCCAAAGGUUUAUUUAGUUUACUCCAAUGUCUCAUGUUCAAUUUCCUCCAAUAUUUCAAUUAAGUUCCCUUAAUAAAUGAAUUAAAGAAUUCAAAUAAUUCAAAAAUUAACUAACUCCCCCUAAAUUCAGGAGUUUCUAUGAUCACUUUAUCUCCCUAUUUAUAACUCUCUCCCCAUUUUUAAAUGAAUUAAAUACUAACUCCCCCUAAAUUAAGAAGUUUCUAUGAUCACCAUAUCUCUCUAUUUAUAACUCCUCCUUUUUAAAUGAAUUAAAUAUUCAAUGUGCUCCUCCUGUUUCUUUAUUUAAGAGAGUUAACUAUUCAAUUUUCUUUCCCUUUUUGUCACAAAAAUGGUAAAGUAACAUAAAUAUAAACACGAAAAAGCACAUAAGAAAUAAAGAGAAAGAUGAACAACAUAUAUAUAUAUAUCAAAAACCUGAUUUUGGAUACAAGAUAAGCAAUUAAUAAACAUCCAUAUCAACAAAAAUAGAUAGAAAGAUAAACUAAAUAUCUAAACAUCAAGAGGAAGUGGAGAAGGGAAUGAGCUUGAACUGCUUUGAGCAUGGAUCCACAAAAUAAUGUAAGUCAAUUGACCUUAGAUCUCAUGAAGUUGAAUGUCCUGUGAGUCUAACCUUUGAAGCACUAUAGUCAUGGGAUCCAUUUCUUGUGUAGUUGGGCCUAUAGAAGUUGAUGCCCCAUGAGAAGCUCUAGAUUUGCGAGCACGACCUUGAUUGGAGCAAGUCCUAGGUGCAACCUCAAGAACAGGUGCAUCCUGCUCCAUAGCUCGGAUCUCAUCCUCUUCUACAAGUGCCUAUUGACCAGCCUAUUGACCUGGUGCAACAUCUUGGGGGCCAUCAGGAACCAAAGGAGCCAUGGGACCAUACACAUGGUUGUAAUGUUUGGCCCAAGAGCUCUCUUCCAACAAGGUAUGAACAGCUUGGACCCUCUAUGCAAUAAUAUUCUUAAAGCUAAUAUGCUUUAACAGUCUAAAGAUGAGGAGUCUGAAAGGAAGUGCACCACAUCAGAAAGAGAAGUCUCAGUAUGGGGUGAUGGUAUCGAUAAUGACUUGUCCUAUGUCGAACUGUUGUCCCGAGAGUAUGGUGUGGAAGAAAUGAGCAGUCGAUCGACGAAUCUUGGUAAGAUUGGAUGAGAGAUAGAAAGAAUAUGUAAGGAAAGUAGUAAGAAUCCAAGAUGGCUUAGAGAAGCUAGCUAAAGGAAUAUAUGCAAGAAACUCACAAGAAGCACCAUACAAAAAAACCAGAAUUGAAAUGAGCUUUCCAUGAUUGAGAAACUAAACCCCUGGAAGGAAAGAAGGAAGACAAGCAUCAAGUUUUGGUAUGUCGAGUACAUGCUUGAUUGAUAAAGAGGUGAUAUGAAAGGACUAACUAAACAUGUUUGCAUAGAACAUGAGAACUAGAAGAGGAUAACAAGAACCUUGCAAAGUGAACAAGGAUUCCCAUUCUUUUUCUCCGAGAAUGGCGGAAGAAGAGUGUCCUAAAAGGCACAAAGGUUAAUCGAGCAUUCAACCUUAAUAAGACAGAUCUAAAAAUGAGCAUAGAAACGAUCACAUGACUUUUGAGAGUAGAAGCACUCUAUGGGAAGACCAGAAGGAUAAAAAGGACUCUAAAGAGUGAUGCCUUAAAUGGGCUCAGGUGACUUAGGAGGAGUCACCUCUUGUUGAUGCCUACAACUAGACAUAACUAGUGGAAUAUAAAAAGACACAAAAACCAAGAAAAAUAUGAAAAAAAAAUCUAAACCACUAGGCAUGUCCUAAAUGAGGUGUAGAAUAAUACUAUAAAGUCAAAAACACAAAAAAACAAAGAAAACUAACCUUAAAUGACAAAGUAACAAAGUGUUAGAGCACUUGAGAGAAUAGGAAAAUGUUUGAAAUGUCAAAAGUCUUGUCAGAUAGGUUUUUAUACUCAGAUGUACCACUAGAUUCAAAUUAGUGCUCGAGCAGGGCACUCGAUGGAUGCACCACUUGAUGUAACUUAUAGUGCUUGAGUGGUAGAGUCGUUGGUUGUGGCUUGAGUACUUGAGCGUUAAGGACAUUGGAUGCAACACUCAAGCAAUUAGAGCCUAAUUUCAAUUCUAAUAGGGAUAAAAUACUCAACUAACUAACAUAUAAAUAAGGAUUGACACCAAUUAAAACAAAUAUUUAACAACAAACUAAAAAAAGCAGAUAACUAAAUUCAUAAACUCUUAGAUCAAUCGGUAACAACUUAAGUAAGUUACUUCAGAUAGUACACAUCAAUCCAUUAAGAAAGAAGUUUUGAGUUCACAAGUUAGAGUUAAUCAUAAUCUCAAAUUCAAGAACCCAAUGGAUAACUAUCAAUGUAUAAGAUAGUCAGCAUAGAAACAUAAAUAUUGAUGUUCAAGGGAAUACGAUUUACUAUCUAGUUCUAUAUUUCAAAAUUGAUCACUUAGAAGAGAUCCAAUCAUGCCUUUGGUCAAAUUAAAGAAUACAUCCAGUCAAUUUGAACUAAGAUUGUCAAAUUUCUAUUUAACACAACCUCAUUGAUCUACAUACAACACAACUUAACUCCCCCUUAAUUUGAUAUCUUUUUCUUUUCUUUUCUUUUCUUUUUUGAAAUUUGAGUCAUUAUACACCAUGAUCAAUUGAUUUUUCUUUUUAUAUUCAUUAUUGGUUGCCUUUGUAUCCACUUUGGGGGUGUUUCCAAAUGUUGCAAGUGAGCAAUAUACAUUUAAAAGCAUGAAUCUUGGACAAGAGUAUAAGAGCUAUGCUUAACCAAAGAUUCAAUGUUUUGUAUCAACUCACCUCAAGAAACAAAUAAUGAUCAUAGUCAAACAAGAUAUGUGGAUAAUAAGAUUUGAGCAUAACAACGGAUCCUUCCAAAGCAACCAAAGUCUACUUUAUGAGUUAAACUUAAGAAGUCUCCCUUGUGAUCAAUUACAAGAUGUAACUAAUAUUGAUAUUCCCACAUACAAGGACAUUUAAUUAUCAAGAAUCAAAUACAUCAAUAGUGAUUAACAAAUAUCUAUGAAUCCAUCCUCAUCAAAUCUUAUAGAUAUAGUAUUGUAGAUCCUCUAUUUUGUCCCUAGUACACACGUAUUUUUUAUUUUUUAUUUUUUGUCUCACUUUGCUCCUUUUUAACGUAUGUUUAGGAUCCCUUUUUACUCAAUUUUUCAUCGUCCCUUAGUGGUCCAUGUCUACUCGGCUCAUUAUUGAUUUUUGAGCUACAUUUUGGAGACCAUCAGGAGAUUAUUUUGGGUUCAAGCACGAUUAUUGGAGGCCUCAAGAUUGUUUUUUUAGAGUAUGUUUUUAGAGCUUUAGAGCUCUUUUGGGCAGUUUGGUUGGGAUUAGGACACAUGUCCUCAUCCUAGCCGUCACUUUCUCUUCUAAUUUUGCCUUUUACAAGGGGCCUUUUUAGGCCUACCUUUUUGGAGCACGUUUUGGAGAGGAGAGUGGGGAGACAAUUUUUGUAGGGAGUAGGAGGUUGGUUAGGACAGGGGAGGGAUAUUCUCUACAGUGGUGACACGUAGCAGAGAGACAGGAGGUUUUUUUUUUUUGGGUUUGUUAGAGAGGAGAUGAACUGCAGGUCACUUGAGGUGGAGUGCAGAGAAUAUUCAGGUGGCCGGAGCUGAGAGAAAGAAAAAGAAGGAGCUAUGAACGAGAGUGAGAGGGUGAGGUAGCUGUUUUGAGAAAGCCAUUUUGAGAGAGAGAGAGCUGUGAGCUGAGGAGGUGAGCCUAAUGAUUUUCCUGGAUUUUAGAGAGUGAGUUGAGUGGAGAUUUUGAAAAAAAAAAUGAGAGUGAGUGGAAGAAAAAGUAUUCGGUAGGGAGGUUUUUGGGGGAGAGCUUGAGAUAGAAUGGACUGAGUUGUGAGAACAGAGAGAUUCAACAGGAAGGUUUUUGGGGGGAGUAGGAGGCUUUCCAUGUAGCUGUUGGAAGAAGGAACAAAACAGUGAGAGAGAAAAAAAAUGAGAGGAAAAACAGAGAGAAGUUUAGAGGGGGUGAGCUAGGCAUGGAGGUGGAUUCUUGUCUAGGUUUGAGUGUGAGAGGCUUCUGAAAGAAGGUUUUAGAGAGACUGUUAGUAGGAGAGAGGGGAUUGACGAUUAUGGAGAAAGCUUGAAAGGAAGAGGGAAGGUGGUGUCUGAAGGAAGAAAGUCUACCAGAGGGCUUUUUCAGGUAAGUUUGCUGGAUACUUCUCUUGUUCGUUCUCACUUCCUCUGCUCUUCAUCAUCUGUUUUUGCUACUUGAGCAUCAUUAGUUUGUGUGGUUAUGGAUUGAGUUUGGCUGAAUCUGAGUUUGUUUUCAUGGUUGCUCUGUUUUGGUUGUUUCAUGCUUUCUUUGAUUUCUCUCAUAAAUAAUUGAAGUGUGGAUUGUUUUUUUAACUUAUUACUUGAUCAAUCAAGUCAUUGCUCUCUACUUGUCUCACCCGUUUAUACCCGUUGAGUGCAGCAUGAAAUGGGGUCUUGAUAGUGGAUUGCUUAUUUUGUUUGAACAUGCUCUGCUUCUUGAGUCCUCCCCUUUUGCUUUUGAAAAAUACCAACCAUUACUUUUGUAAACUAUCUGGAAGCUCCAGAAUGAUGGGAAAAAAAAAAUGCUUUUAAUUCCCAAUGGUUUCUAGAUGUGAUGAACCGGGAAAGUCAAAAGAUCAAGUUAUUGGUCUGGUCAUCGUUGCUGCUGGAAUAGGUGGAGGAACGGGUACUAGUGGGGCUCCUGUGAUUGUAGCUGCAGAAUCAUUGGGGAAGGGUCCUACAUCUUGGCUGAGAAAUAGAGUUAUUGAAUCAAUAUAUAGCCUUGAGGCUCUCUUAUUGUUUCCAUUGGAAUUGUUGAUAACUAAGGAAUGGAAGAGUAUAAAGCUUGAACUUCAGCUUCUGACAUCAGGUUCACUUGACGGCUAAGCACCCAUUGCUUGAAUGGGUUGGUUAGGAAAAUCACUACCAGAAUCACCAUCACUUAGGUGGUGUUUGUUUUUUUGGCUUUUUGCUGAAAAUAAUUUAUUUUUAGAAUUUAAGUUGUUUGUUUUUUUACUUUUUCAUGACUUAUUAUAAACUUUUUACUAAAUAGAAAAAACCAAAAUAUGUAGUUUUUUCUUAAUAGAAAAAAUAACAUUGAUUUUUCUUUACUUUUUAAUACUUAAUAGAAAUAAAAUAUUACAAAAACAAACAACUUAAUAUUUAACACUAUUAAGCAUUAAGAUUCUAUUUAGAAUUAAGUAAAAAAACAAACACUACCUUAGGUGGUGUUUGUUUUUUUACUUAGUGUUUCCUAUUAUACAAACUCUGUAGCAUGGAGGUGUAAUGGGUCUAAUAAUGGUGUUUGGAGUGCUAAUAAGCCUGCUCGGUACACUGGUGCUCAUGCAAUUGCUGGAAGCAAGGCACAUGCCAGAUUUUCAAUGAAACUGAACCUCUAUUUCACUGCACUGCUUUAAGCUUAGAUCCUGGCAGUCUGUGAUAUCUUUGUUGGGGAAAGAAGUAUGAGCAAGAUGAAAUCACAACUUGGUAGAGGAGAAUAAAUGUCAAUGCAUGAAAUGGCAAACAAGAUGAUGUUUGAGCUAUAUUUUGUCAGCCUGAAGAAGCAGAGAUGCUUGGUAAAACAAUAUUGGAGACUUGCACAGAUCCCUACUCUGCUGUUAACAAACCAAAAUGAAGUUUCUGGUGAAGAACUGAAACCAUUUCCAGAGAGGCUUUAUGUGGUUCUUUCUAGAGAAACCAUUGAAGAAAUCAUUGGAACGCCAAGGGAGCUACCAUCCUUCUGAAUUUUCAUCUGGAGAGCAUCUUCUUUUGCUUAAUCCACCAAAGAAGCAAUUCAGUGGCCAAUUGCCAUCUCUCAACGCCUCACUGGAACUGCAUUGCAAAAAUUCAGCUCAGCUGAGAAGUUUGCCAUUGGAAAAUUGCAAUUUGGUUGGUCCUGUGCCAAAAUCUUCGGGGAUUGGUAAUAUUAAGACUGUCAAUGAAUGGCAAGAACACAACAGCCCAGGAUCUGCUCUCAUAGCCAGCUUCGUACCAAAUCUUUCUCAUUGGAAACAGUUCAGAUGGGUUUGAGCUGAAUCAUUUGGGAAAUGAAUAACUUAUGAUUGAUUGCAUAAAUGGUGGGGCCUACAAUCCAGAAGAAAACCCUCUCAGAAGACACAAACUCCUUCCCAUUCUUUCCCAUUCUGUUUGUUCCCAGCCUUGAUACCUUCAAUACCUGGCAGUCUCCACACAACUCAUCCAAAAUCCCUCCAUCAAAUUUGAACCCAAAGCCAAACAACUCCGUGUCUAAAACCUUGGGACUAGCUCACCACCUUGUUUUUCUUCAUACCCACCACCUUCAGCUUCACUCAUCACCAAGCCAACUUCUCUCACAUCCUCCACUACUCAUUUCCUACCCAACCUAGCUCUAUCUUUCUCACCUAACAAGUGCUGGUGAUGACAGUGAAGACUGGUCACGCUCUCUUUACUCAGCUCCAGCGAUAAGACUAAUGCCUUCGAUGAUUCCGAUACUUUUGUUUCUCCAGUUCAGGGGUUUGCCUGUAUUAGAUGAAUGGCUCCAAGAGUACAUGAAGGAAAGAUUGGUGAUGUUAGUAGCCCCAAGGAUGGUGAUAAAUCUGCUGAGGAAUCCCUAUUGGUUUUACUUCAUGCACUUGAUAAGCUGCCUGUGAAUCUUCAAGCCCUUCAAAUGUGUAACAUUGGCAAAUCUGUUAAUCAUUUACGUACUCAUAAAAACUUAGAAAUUCAGAAGAAAGCAAGGAAUUUAGUUGAUACAUGGAAGAAACGUGUUGAGGCAGAAAUGAAUAUUAAUGAUGCAAAGUCUGGUUUAAGUCAGGCUGUUCCAUGGUUCUCGAGGCCACGUCUUUCUGAAGUUUCUCAUGAUGGGAACAGACACUCUGGAGGCUCCUCUGAGAUUGCCAUGAAGAGCUCAGUCAUGCAGCUUUCUUCAUCUAAAACAGCUCCAGUUAAUAAGAUUAUACUGGGGGUUGUCUUCAAUUAACUAGAUUCAAUACUAACCAUUGUUGCCCGACUAAGUGUUUAGAGAUCCAUUCUUAACACCAUUGGACAAAGAGGAUCUUGCAGAGGCUGGAAAAGCUCAAUUUUCUCAUGACUACAGUGAUCAUCUUGCACUUGUUCGGGCUGGAAAGAUGCUGAAAAGGACCAAAUUGGAUAUGAAUAUUGAUGGAAAAAUUUUCUUUCGGCACAUUCAAUGAAAGCUAUUGAUUCUCUUCGGAAGGAGUUCUUCUCUUUGCUAAAGGAUACUGACCUGGUUGAUGACAACAUGAACACCUACAAUGCAUGGAGCUAUGAUGAGCAUCUCAUUUGAGCAGCUAUUUGUUGUUGUUGUAGUAUGUGGCUCAUAUUUGAGCAAACAGAAAUAUGGAGAGAAAGGGGCAAAAUGUCGGAGCAAAGCAGAGCAAUGGCAUUUGCCAUUUAGGGUUGUACUUCUUUGUUGUGGGGCAAACGAUAGGUUGGGGGGNNNNNNNNNNNNNNNNNNNNNNNNNNNNNNNNNNNNNNNNNNNNNNNNNNNNNNNNNNNNNNNNNNNNNNNNNNNNNNNNNNNNNNNNNNNNNNNNNNNNGGGGGGGGGGGGGGGGGGGGGGGGUUGGAGGGGGCAUUGCCCCCCACAGUACAAUUCAGGGGUAUUUUUUGAAUUUCAUUCCUAAGGGUUAGUAUAUAUACCCUUUUUAUGUAACCCUAAUUGUAACAUAGUGAAAAUCCUCUUUUCCCUGUUCCCGAUGACAUAGGCUAGCCAAACCACGUUAAAUCUGUGUUCUUCUUUCUCGCUUUUUCUAUUAUUUUUGCCAUAAAUCGUUGCACAGAUUUCAACAAUUGUGGCAUGUAUCCUGAAAUUUGCUCUGUUGUGCAAAAUGAAAUGUCAUUCUCAUUGAAAACAAUGGAGGAUGGUCAAGUGAUCUUGCAUUCGAAUUCAAUUAAUGCUCAAGAGUGUAAACUAUGUUUUCCUCCAGGAUUCAAUAGUUAUGUCUGAUUUAGUGUUUCUUCUAUUUGGGGGCGACAUCUUGAGAGAGAAUAUGAUGGGUACCUUGAAGAAUCUUGGAUAGUCAGUGCUUGAAAAUAUAUCAAUGACUAAGCAUUCCAGCAAGAUUUUGGGACCAAAAUGCAAUUGGAAAGGAGCAGUUUGUAAUAAGAUUGCUGGUUUGACUGCUAUUUCAGUUGAUCUUUCAUUUGUUCCUUUGGUUGAAUCUAUUGGGAUGGAAGGAAGGGACAUGGCGUUUUCUUCCAAAAGUAGCUUAUCAUCAUAAUCAAAUGCUGGAAACAUCCUCAUGGACAAUGCGGUGGGUUCACUAAUGGGGUCUCCUUUGAGAGAUAUCCAAUGAAACUGUAUAAACUGAGGAUCUUUUGUCUCAUUCAGAAAGGUUCAGACGACUGGAACAUAGAUGCUAUUGUGGUAAAUGAUGUCACUGAGCAAGGAAUUGAAACCACUAGCAUCCAUAGAGUAGACACAAUUGCACCCUGACCCCCACGUGUGCAUGGUCAUGCAUGGCCACCUUGGUGCACACUCUCCUCCACCAUAUGCUUCUUUUUGGUGACUUACACUUUUUUUUUAAUCAGAUUUUCAAACCUAUUUUCAAUUGAAUAAUCCUUGCUGUCAAAAUUUGAUUUUCAAAACUUCAGCUUUCAAAUAAUUUUAAUUCUACUCUAGUUUUCAAAUAAUUGUAAUUCCCCAAUUUUUCUCCCUUCCUUAGAGUUUUAGGUCACCAAAAAUCCAUUUUCAAUAAACAUUUGCUAUCAUUUUUUCUCUGGCAAGCAUCUUUCACCUUUUUUCCUUGAUUUUAAAUAAGUUUAUCUAUUUUCACGUUUUUAAUGAGCAUGAAUGCAAUUUUCAUAAUUCCAAAAUAAUGAAAUUUAUGGGCUUAAUUCAUGCAAAAUCAAUUAGGCAAUGGUGGGGCCCAACAUCUGUGAUUGAUAUUGAUUAACUUAUCCCCUACUCUUACAUGCAUGUGAUUAUUUUAUACAUAAGCUAACCUUUUUUUUCAUGAUAGCACAUUAUUAUUUGUUGCUAAGGUAUGCUCCCACUCCCACUUUGCUUAUUUAACCUCUAUGAAUGACUUGCUUCCAUUAUGUGAUUAUUCCUUGGUAUCCAUUGAUCUCCUUAUCAAUUGCCACACUUACCUCACCUUAUUUAGUAUAGACCAAUUUUUAGGGGGCUUAGAGGGGUGCUAUAACUUGUUGUUGUACCUUUCCAAUAGGUAACCUGACCCUCAGACCUAGACUUGGUUUUCACAGACCGUCUUUUCAUAUUAGAUCUCAUAUUUAGGGUUUUUCUUUCCUAUUUUGUUUGCCCUUUAAAAAAUAAAAUAAAAUAAAACUAAGUUGCGACUCCAAUUCUUUUUUCUAAAAAUCAAUUUUCUUCACAAAUAAAAAAAUGAGUCUCGCCAUCGAGUGGGAACUCAUUGUGAAAAAUGUUGGUCCACAAGUAUAUUUCUUUAAAACACAAACUCAAGGUAUUACAAAUCAUGCUAAUAUAUCAAGUAAAUAAACAAUCAUAUGCCCAAAAUAAAAUAAGGCUAAAGGUAACAAAAAGAUAUAAACACUAAGCUUAACAUCUUUGAACCUAUACCUAUGAUGAGCAAUCAAUUAGGCAUAUGCCCAAGGAUUUCCUAUGGUACUUAAACCUAAGAAAUCCAAGGGUUUGGUAAGAAUAUCUGGUUAUUGAUGUUCAGUGAGGACAAACUCUAGAGAAAUUACCUUUUCUUCUACAAGAUCCCUAAUGAAAUGAUGAAGAAUUUCAAUGGGUUUACUAUAGGAAUGAAAAAUAGGAUUCUUUGAGAUAUUUGUAGUACUAGAGUUGUCAUAGUGUAUGUUUAUAGUCCCUUGUUCAAUUCCAUAGUCUUUAAGCAUUUGCUUCAUCCAAAAGAGUUGUGUACCAUAGCUCCCAGUAGCGAUAUACUCAGCUUCAAAAAUAGAUAAGGAUAUAGAGUUUUGUUUCUUACUAAGCCAAGCCACAAGACAAUCACCAAUAAAAAAACAAGCAUCAGAUGUGUUUUUUCUAUCCUCAACAUUUUCGGCCUAAUCAACAUCGGAAUAUCCAACAAUCAUAAGAGAAAUUCAUACGGAUACCACAAACCAUAAUCCAGAGUAUCAUUUAUAUAAUGAAUAAUUCUUUUAACAAACAUUAAGUGUGACUCUUUGGGGUUUGCUUAAUACCUAACAUAGGCUCUAACACUAAAAGAUAUGUUAGGACGACUUGCAGUGAGGUAAACUAAGCUUCCUAUCAUACUUCUAUAAAGCUUUUGCUCAACAUCCUUUCUAGAUGCAUCCUUGCUAAGCUUAGCAAUAGUGCCCGUAGGUGUCCUAGAGUGUUUAAUUUGGAGGAUUCUAGACCAAAUUUUUUAACUAAUUCCCUAGCAUACUUGGAUUGAGAAAUAAAGAUCCCAUCUUUUAGUUGCCUAAUCUGCAAUCCUAGGAAGAAUGAUAAUUCACUUACCAUGCUCAUCUCGAAUUUAGUCUUCAUCUCUUUGAAAAAACUAAGGGCAAGGCCACUAGAUGUAACUCCAAAAACUAUAUCAUCUACAUAAAUUUGAACUACUAGCAACUCAUAAUUGGAGCUAUUUAUAAACAAGGUUUUGUCAACUCCCCCUAUUUCAAACUUUUUAUCCAAGAGAUAGGUUUGCCUCUCAUACCAUGCUCUAAAAGCUUGCUUUAAACCAUAAAGGGCUUUCUUUAACCUAUAGACAUAAUUAGGGAAUUUCGAAUCCUCAAAUCCCUUAAGUUGCUAAACAUAAACCUCUUCACCUAGAAUCCCAUUUAGAAAUGAACUCUUAACAUCCAUUUGGUAAAGCUUUAUCCUCAAGGAGCAUGCUAUUGCCAAAAGUAUCCUAAUUGAUUCUAGUCUAUCUAUAGGUGCAAAUGUUUCUUCACAGUCAAUCUCCUCUAUCAUUGAGUAUCCUUGGGCAACUAGUCUUGUUUUGUUUCUCAUAAUAACCUCAUUCUCAUUUUGCUUGUUCUUGACUAUCCAUUUUGUACCUAUUACAUGUUUAUCUUUUGGCCUAGGGACUAAAUACCACACAUCAUUCCUAGUUAAUUGAUUUAACUUUUCCUGGAGUGUAGUACUCCAAGAUUCAUCUCCUAAAGCUUCCCCACAUUCUUUGGCUCCAAUUGGGAGGUAUAGCAUACAAGACCCAUCUCAUUUAAUCUUGAUUGUCUCUUAGUAACCACUCAUUCAUUUACAUUACCUAUAACAUUUGAGAUUGGGUGGUUCUUAGGUAUCUUGGAUCUAUGUUUAUCCUUUAUUUCUUUAGGAGUGUCAUCUAAAGGUACAACUUCAUCAUUAUUAGGGUCAAUGUUUCUAUCAAGGAUGUCAUUAGGGUUUUCUUUUGUGGUCUCCAAGUCUUUAGGGUCAUUCCCAAUUGAUUCCUAGAUUAAAAUUUGAUUAUCAAUUAUAUCCUGAUCAUACCCAAUAUCAUUUAUACUACAUUAGAAGGUUCCUAGAUGAUGUGAGAAUUUUGAUUAUACACCUUAUAGGCUUAGCUAGAAGUAGAAUAGCCUAGGAAGAUACCUAAAUUAGAUUUAGCAUCAAAUUUACCAAGGUUCUCUCCAUCCCUAAGUAUAUAGCAUUCACUGCCAAAAUUCAUAAAAUAUUUAAGAUUAGGUUUUCUCUUAGUCCAUAAUUCAUAAGAUGUAUUCUUUGUUCCUAACCUAAGAAAAAUCCUAUUGGCAGAAUAACAUGUAGUAUUAAUUGCUUCUACCCAAAAUUGCAUAGGGGUAUUAUACAUAUGAAUUAUGGACUUUGUUCUCUUUUUCUGCUACUUCAUUUUUUUUAGGAGUUCUAGGGGUUGAAAACUCAUGUUUAAUUACUUUUGAUUCACAAAAGAGGUCAACAUCCAUCCACAUUGUUGAACUCUCUCUCUCUCUCUCUCUCUCUCUCCCCUAUUACUCCUAAUCCUUACAAUUGGAUGGCUAAUUUCCACUAGUAUUCUAUUAAAUAAAGACAUUAAAUGUUCUAUGGCCUCAUAUUUCUCCUUAAGAAAACUCACAAAGGAGUAUCUUGAAAAAUCAUCUACAAUCAUAAGGACAUAUCUCUUGCCACCUCUACUUUUAGUGUGCAUUGGACCCAUAAGAUCUAUGUGAAGAAGCUCUAAAGGUCUAAUGGUCCUUAUCUCCUUAACCUUUUUGUGUGAACUCUUAGUUUGUCUUCCUUUCAUGUACUCACCACAAAUGGGUUUAGGUUCACCACUAAGUCUAAGGAUACCUCUAACCUUUUCAAUAUUCACUAAGUGCACAAAGUCCCUAUAAUUUAUAUGACCAAACCUUCUAUGCCAAAGCUCAGUAGGAUCAAGCUUAGCCCUACUACACAUAAGAGGUGUUCUAGAGUUAGGAUUUAUGGCAUAAUAGUUAUCAUCUGUCCUAUGUCCUAUGAUGACUAUUUUUCCUUCUUUAUUAACUACCUCGAAUAAGUCUUGGUGAAAAUUCACUUUAUGAUCUUUAUCGCACAUUUGACUAAUGCUUAGGAGGUUUGCUUUGAGUCCUUCAACAUAUAGAACUCCAUCUAGUUUGGGACAACCAGGGAUAACUAUACUAUCUUUGCCUUUUACUCAAGUUAGGCUUCCAUCUCCAAAAGUAACAACUCCACCAUCAUAGUUUUCUAGAGAAGUAAAGGAGGAUUUGUCUCUUGUCAUGUGUCUAGAGUACCCACUAUCAAGGCACCACUUACUAGAAGAUUUAGCUUUAAGAGCAUUGAACACAACUUGACAUUUAGACCUAUCAUUUCUUAACCAAACUUGUUAUGUCUUGGGUGGUGACUUGGAGAAACUAGAUUGACUUCUAGGUUUUUGAUUAGUUUUGUUCCCUUUCCCAUUGUUCAAGAUGUUAUUUUUAAGGGAAUUAAAUUCAUUCAUAAGUCUGUUCAUUUGAGAUUCAAACCUUUCAAGAAACCUAGUGUAGCAUCUAAAUUGAGUGUGUCCAGUUUUCUUAUAGUGUGUGCAUAGUGAUGUCUUUUUAGGAGAUUUUACUUUUUGUUAGGGGCACCGUACUUACCUUUGACAAACAUAGUUUCUCCACUAUAGGGAGUUUCAUUUUUAUUAGUGUACCCUAACCCUCUUUUAUCUCCAUGGGUUUUGCAUUCAUUAAGAAUUUCAUUAAGCACUUUAGUUCCAGGGUGAAAAUUUUCAUUCACAAAUGAAGAAGUCUUAUUAUUCUUGAUAUCUUGAGUGCGAGCAUUAUUCUUCUCAAGGAGAAAAUGAUGCUCAUAUUUAAGAAAGCUGGCUUUCUCAAGCAAAUUAGACUUUUCAACAUUUAGCACAUCAAUAUUUUUUUUAUGAGCUUUAAGAACAUCAUGAUUUUUCAUAGAACUUUGGAUCAAUCUUUCAUGCUCAACAAUAAGAUUACUCACAAAUUAAACCUUUUGUUCAUUAGUAAACUCAUCAUCAUCACUAUCACUAUCACAAUCAGUAUCAUUCACAGGUUCCAUAAACGCAACAAAAGCUAACAUGUCAUUAGAAUCAUACCUUGCAUCUUCAGAAGUUGUGGAAGCACUCUCUUUAGAGUUUGAAUCACUCCAUGUUGCCUACAUAGACUUUUUGAUAUUUUUUUUGGGCUAGGACAAUCUUGAGCAUAGUGUCUUAGACCUCUACAAUGAAAGCAUUCAACUUUCUUACCUUUGAGGAACAUUUUACUUUCUCAUUGGAUGAUUAUCCAUUAGGUUUUUUUCCUUUUCCAUAUUCUCGAUUAUUGUGGAACCUUUUAUUGAAUUUCAUGACGCUUUUAAUCCUUUUGGCCAUAUGGGCAAAUUCAUCCCUAGUUAUAUCAUAUGACAUUUCAAUAUAUUUUUUUCUCAUCCUCAGAAGCCUUAAAGGUAAAGUCUUUAGGCUUUUGGAAACUAGGCAGGGUCAUCUCUUAUGUCUAAAAGGAGCCAACGAGUUCAUCAACUCUCAUGGAAUUGAUGUCCUUGCUCUCCUCUAUGGUAGUUACUUUGGGUCUAAAUCUCUCUAGAAGAGAUCUCAAUAUUUUCCUAACUACAUUAGAAUAUGGAAUAGGUUCUCCAAGGUUGAAUGAAGAAUUUACAAUAUGACUUAAUUCAAAAUAAAAAGAAGAAAAAGAUUGAUUUUCAUGCAUCCUAAUAAUCUCAAACUUAGUAGCAAAUAUUUGUAACUUAGAAACCUUUACAGCAGACGUACCUUCAUGAGUGACUUGAAGAAUAUCCCAUGCUUCCUUUACACGCUUGCAAUUUGCAAUCCUAGAAAACUUGUCUAGACAAACUCCAUUAAAAAUACUAAAUAAAGCCCUAGCAUUGGCUUAACUACCUUCAUUAUCGGCUUUGUCCCAUUCAUGUUUAGGUUUAAGUUCUCCUGUUGAUCUUCCUUGAGCAUCAAGGAUCAAUGGUGGUCCCCAACCAUAUUCAACUGAAUUGCAUACCCUUUUGCCUUGAAUUUUAAGGGAAAACAUCAUUCGUGCUUUCCAAUGAGAGUAAUUAUUCCCAUCAAAAUAGAGUGGACUAUUCAAAGAGGCACCACUUUUUUACUGUUCCAUAUCAGACUUAUAAGAUCAAUAAAAUUUUGAUUUUUAUCCUAUAUGAUCAAUAAAAAUUUGAUUUUUAAACAAUGAAAGCUAAAUCUUUAAUCAAUAGGAUAGAGAAUCGGUUUUUUAUCUUGUUCUAAUACCAAUUGAAAAAUGGGUAUUGCUCAAAUACCUCUUGAAUAAUAAUUGAAAGUCCAAUAGGAAACACCCAAAGGGGGAGGAGAGAAUGGGUGAUUUAAAAAAUUUAAAUUAAUAUUUAUAAGUAAUAACUAACUUUUUCUUACUCUAAUAGAUAAUAGGGAUAUCGCAAAUAACUAAAUAGAUUAUACCCAAAAUAUUUAGGUUUAUAAAAAUAUCUUGUGUCCUUAAGUUUAUUGAGAAUCUGUUGAACAUUGAUAACGAAUUGGAUGAUGAAGACAUCACUAUCGAAAAGGAAAGAAAGUUCAGAAUUCUAAUGCAUGUGUAGAAGCUUUGCAACUUAUUCGAGAUAUUAUGCCAGUUUCAGGGAGUGGAACUUCUCCAAAAAAAAAUCUUGAAUGCCAUUUCUCCUCUGCUAAUUUCUGCUAGACUGGAUAUACGUUUGUUUAUUUGUGGCCUUCUUGGUGAUCUUGCUGAAACUGACCCUUAGGUACUCUCUGUGGAAAAUCUCAUAAAUGAAUUGAAUGUGACCUCUGUUAUGGAAACGAGUGGCCUGGAUCAUGACACCAUAGUUUAUGCUUAUGAAAAGAUUAGCAUGGAGUUCUUUAAUAAUAUCUCAGAGAAUCAGGCACUGGUCAUUUUGUCGCGUUGUAUAUAUGAUAUGUCAUCCAAUGAACUGAUCUUAAGGCAUAAUGCAUAUAGGUUAUUAGUCUCUUCUGCUGAACUCUCCGUCCAAAUUCCUAAACUUGAAGUGAAGAGUGACCAUGAAACGCCUGAAGCAACGAUAACAUUCAUAGCUGAUGGUUGGUAGAUUUAAGCAUGUAUUCAGCGCAUGAUAAACAAAUUCCUUUUGAAGCAUAUGGCAGAUGUAGUGAGCAAGGAAAAUUUUGUUCAGAAGGAAUGGGUUGAUUUACUCUGAGAAAUGGUGCUGAAGCUUCCAGAUGUGCUAAGUCUUCACUCAUUCAGGAUCCUGUAUUGUCUGAAUGUGUUAAUAAAAUUGGACCAAUGGAAGAUGCUGUGAAGGCUCUAUUUGCCUAUGGGCUCCAUCUAACUGGCCGGUAUAGGUUUUCUGAAUGAGAUGAUCAUGGGAAUGGCCAAAUUUGGGAUUUCCGCAAGGUAAGAUUACAGUUAUUGCAGUUUAGGGACAGGCUGGAGACAUUCCUUGGGAACAAUGGGAUGAUAAUUUAGAGUCACCAAGAAGACUUAAUGAGGCUGCUGCAAUGGAAAUGGAUCUUGAAGACAAAGAAAAGGAUGGCCUUUGCUGUAGUUGCUUUGAUGAGUUCAGUUGUAGUAGACAUCAAUAAUAAGCAGCUCGUUCAACUCUCCAUCUUUCAUGUGACCACACUGGUUAAUAGAACUUUGGAAAAUUCUGAAAUUUGUCGACUAUUUGUGGAAAAUCAGGGAUUGAAGUUCUAUUCGAACUACUGUCGUGACUUAAUUUUUCCUGUUUUUCUGAAGUAAUGCCUAUUGCUCUACACAAUAUCCCGGUUGGCAAAAGGCUUUACUCAUCAUCAUCCAGCAUUAGUACUACGUAAAACCGGCCAACAAUUCUACAAGUCUCCAAGGCUUCCUCGUUCUCAAUACUAAUGGUGGUGGUGUUUUCUCUGGUUUGGGUUCACUUUUUUUAGCAUCUCUCUAUUGAGUAUUCCAAGAAAGACGGAAAUUUCAUAUAGGCCAUGUCCUCGCAGGUUUCCCUGAGAUUAAAAAUCCAUGAACAAGGAUUUUCUGGAUCAUCUAAAUUUUCCUAGUCAUAUUCUUAAAGAUUCUAGUGAAAUGAAAAGAGGAUUUUUCCCCAGAUCAGUUGAUAUCUAUAUCUAAAACAAGACUGCUCAAUCAAGUCAGAAUUGCUUGAACUUCUUCGUAAGAUGGAUCAAUCAAGGGAUCGAAGUGCAGCAUGCUCAGUCCAGUUCUUCAGAGAGGAAUUCAUUAUUUGAAAUACCAGAACCAGAAAUUUUUAUGGGACCGUAGAUCACUUUCAGUGAAAUCAACCCUCUGCUUCUCAAGAUUUGUUAACAACCUUUGGCUCCUCUUUGGCAUCAGUUAUGGAGAUGCACAAAUUAAGAUUUGGGGUAUUUUGAAUGGUCAGAUUCAGAUUGAAUUUGCAGACAUCAUAUCAACAGACGCAACUAAUUUAUACAACAAACCUGAAAGAGGCCACCUUUCAGUCGAUUAUACUUGUUUAAAAAUGGUUGUUUCUGGACAGCAAGACAAAGAAAAGGGAAGCUUCAAUGUUCGUUAUUAGUGUUGGGAACAGGCAGCGGUGAUGCUUUAACACUUGAUGUAGCUGUUGGUGAGUUGAUGGUGGAGAAAUUAGGGAAGUAUGUUUCACUGCUGUAGCUGAUCAACUCUACAAUCAGAUUGAAACUAGUAAAGUGUAUUUAAUUUCCAAAGGGAGCCUGGAACCUGCUCGUCACUUUCAAUCACCCUCGCAACGAUCACAGGGGUCCAGAAGAUGGUGAUGAUGGUUCUGAGCAUGAAGGUGGCAACACAGAUGGCUCAGAUGCUGGAAAUAAUUUUUACAAGGAUGAAGAUGAUAGUUCAAAAAUUUAUCAGGGAGUCAGAUUGAAUGGAUUGGACUCGUUAUCAUAUUGAACUCAUGAUGUUUGAUAUGAGGGUUCAGCUACAAUUCUAGGUGCAGCAAAAACCAUUGUUCAAAUUAAACCUUCUGGAGUGGAAGUUCAUUGCACUGUCAUAGCUUUAAAUGGAAAGACAAUUGAGGCCAAUAAUUUUUCAGAGGGCAAAGGUUCAUAAAUCCAUUACGAAAACAGACAGCUUGGAAAGAGUAGGGUGUAUUUGAUAUCAAACAGGUUGGUAAGUCCGAUAGAGGGAACGAUGAAGCUGCUGAUACUAUUGCCUCAAAAUAAGAACAAACUUUGUUGGAGGUGAUCUUCAUAAUGAGAUCCAAAUAGAAGAACAAGGACUGUCAUACCUAGAAAAUCCUGAUAUUCACUUUGAGUAGGUUGUCGAUGUCCAGCUUGAAUCACAGGAAACUAAUAAAAUGCGAGAAGAGAAUUUUUGUGAAAUAUUGAAAAACCUCUCAACGUUUAUUCAUAUGCUGCUAAGUGCUGACUAUCAUUUCAAAGUGGGGACUUGAUUGUUCUCAAUGGAUUCGGCUACUCCAAAAUAAUGAAAGGAACUAGUUCAGUCUAGUCAUGGGAUAAUGCUUACUGUGUUCUGGGAAAAGAUCAGUCGCCUAUGGGCUUUGCUUUAGAAAAUGCUGGUGCAAUUGCAAACGACAAGGUCUUCAUGAUGGAUUUUCUCUUCAUUUUUUUUAUUUUUUUUUCUGCUCCUUCAAUCUGUGAAUUCUCCAAGGAUCCCUGGUUAGAUCAGUCCAAGAAUCAGUACUAAUCAAGGAAACGAUCAAGAAAUUGCACUCAGGGAGGAAUAUUGAAGUAUUUGGGAUUCAAGGAAACUCAACCAACUAGCAAACCAAGGGGCUUAGGAUAUAUGACGAAGAUCGUGGUUAUCCAAUCUGAAGAUGACUCGGACUCAUCAAAUGGAAGAGCCCAGGGUAUGGAGGGGGCCCUAGAAUAUCAAGCACAGCUCAUAGACCAAUAUGGGACAAAGAAAGAAAACACAAGAAGGAAGAAGGAGAAAAUCCAGAGAGAAUAACACCAGUGAUUUGCAGAGGUCUUCUCGAAUCUGUUUCAGCAAUGCAGUCUCAAGUGCACCUCCAAACCUCACUCACAUAGUGGCCACCUUGCCACGCAUCAUACUCCUCCUAAUGCUUCUUCCUUUUCUUUUUUUUUUUCUUUUUUUUUUUGUGAUCUUACACAUCUUAAAUAUGAAUUUCAAAACCGUUUUCCUUAAAAAAUAACUCUAGUUUUCUUUAAAAUUCCUUAAGAGUUUCUAGGCAUAAAAUUUAGAUUUUUUUUUAAUAAACUCUUUGCCGCCAUUUCUCUCCCGGCAUGCCUUCUCAUCUUUUUCAACUAAUUUUAACAGCUUUUCUCGUUUUUUUACAAGCAUGAACAAACUUCGUGAUUCCAAAUAAUAGAAUUCGUAGAAUAAAUUCAUGCAAAAUUAAUUAGGGCAUUAGAGGGGGGCCCGACAUUCAUGAUAUUCUCUUCGAUAGUGUUUGUUUGAUAAUUGAUUGAUUGUGCUUCCUCUUUGUGUUAUAUAUGAGAUUAUUUUGAAUUAGUUAUUGAGCUAACUUUGUUUCCCAUAGAGGAGUAUUAACUCGCUAAUCAGGUACGCUCUUCCCACCCUACAACUCUAAAAUUCUAUGAAUGUGUACGUUAUCAUGAGCCAUGACUAUGUUUGAUGCCAUAAUUGAUUGCCUUGAUGUUUGUUUGAUCAUCUUUGAUAAAAUACAUAUUAUGUGUCAUAUUUUCAAGCUAAUCUCUCAUGUUUUAUGAUAGCGCUUGAGAAGCCGUUCAGGUACGCACUUCGACUCUUUCUUAUGGUUGGUUUUCUUGUUAGGCAUGCAAUAUUCGAAAUCACCUAGCCUACUUAGGUAUCCAUAAUUAACUGACUAAUGGCCACACUUCCCUUAACUUUGUCAGUAGAGACCUUUAUAGGGCUUAGAGGGGUGCUACCUCCUAGAGGUACCUUCCCAAUAAGUAACCUGAUUCCCGGACUUAGACUCGGGUUUUUCAAAGACAUGCUUUUCCAAAAAUUAUGGAGUCACUUUUUUUUUAGGGUUUUAUUUCUUGUUUUAUUUUCCCUUUAAAAUAAAAAUAAAAUAAGUGGCGGCUCCAACUUUUCCAAAACUAAAUAAUUUUUCACAAAUAAAAAAGCGAGUCUCGCCGAUCGAGUGGGGACGCACGUGAAAAAUGCGGGUCCACAGAGGCAUAACUUUUUUACAUGGAAAACCCCCCACAAAUUGUGGAGAUAAAAAAACACAAGGUCUAAGACCUAUCAAUCUAAACCCACUAUUCAAAAUCAAGUUACAUAGAUUUACAUUACAUAGAUUUACAUAGUUACUUUACCCUAAAUACUUACUCUACAACACCUGCAACUUGAUCUACGUCUGUGAUGCAACAACUCCUUAUUUCUCCCUAGUAGAUCCUUCGACCACUCUAAAGGGAUUAAGGUCUUCAACCAACAAUUCAAAUAUCCAAAUCCUUGAAUAAGAGAUUGCGAAUGGUGUGACAAUAAGGAUUUCUCUCAAUAACUCCCUCCCUCAUGAAUGAAAGGUCUCAACGAUAUAUUUUCAAUCUCCCCAAAAAUUUCUACACAAUCUUUUAUCCUUAAUGGGUUAUAAGAGAUGUAUUUAUAGGCAAAAGUCGUAAGAAUUUCGAUAUCUCAAGUUUCCAAAUUUGAGUUUGAAUGAAAUUCAUCCAAAAUAUGUUUCUAAACUCGGCAAGAAUAACAUGAUUGCUUAAGUGGACUUAGACAUCUUGAGCGGUUCAUACAAUUUGAGCGGGUUGACUGCUUGAGCAAGAUUAACCACUUGAGCCCCUAUUUUUUGAAAAAAAAAAUAACAUUAUAAGUCCAAAAAUGAAACCGAACCUUUUAUACCUUAAAUAAGUCUUAUAUGCCACAAGACAAACCUUUUUAGAUGUAUCUGUGACUUCUUGGUUAGAUGAACAAGAACCAUUGAUCUUCAAUGGAGAGCAAGCCACUAUAUACAAAGACUUCUAUGUCCAAACAUUGAUUGGAACAAAAUUGCCAACAAUUUCACAAGACUCAAUGUCCUAAUAAACAAGAUCUCUAGUUUGGGUUAAUUGAUUAAUUAGAUGACCCUAUCUAGUUAAUUAAUCAAUUAGGACCCAUUUUAGGCUAGAUUAAGUGACCCAAGCCUUAAUGAGCUUAAGUCACUUAAGCCUAAUGGUUAACCUUAUAAAUACCACUUUUAGAGUUAGGGUCUCAUAUAACUUUUUGAUAAGAAUUGUCUUCCACCUCUAGAGAAAGAGAGAGUCAUUGCUUCAUUUCUUCCAUUAUCCACACUUUAGAGUGUCAAGAUCAUGGUUUGAGUCAUCUUCCGGAAGAUCUUAGGUGUACAAGACCUCCAGACUCUUUAGGCUUCUUCUUGAUUAGAUGGAUUUUGAUUUGGGAACAUCCAAAUCACAAGUAUGAAUACUAUAUCUCUAGAUCUAUGGUUAUUAAUAGUUUUUAUUGUCAUUUUAUUUCAUUAUGAUAGAUUUAGAGAUGCCUAGGGAUAAAGAACAUAGUACUAAGGCAUGAGAAUAGAGUACUCUAGGGUUCCCAACACCAAGAUCAUCGUUUAAGUCAUCGAUCAGAAGAUCUUAGGUGUACGAGACCUUUGGUUCAUCGAGUGGAAUUGACUUGGGAACGUCUCAGUCAAAAGUAAAAUUUAGUAAUGACUUUUCUCUAGAUCGUAUAAUGUUAAAAUUUAUUUUUUACUUUCGUUACAUAAGAUCUAGAGGCGUAGAGAAGUUUACAUGCACCUAUACAAUCUAGGGCUUGGGAACAAAGAGAUCUAGGGUUCCUAGAAAUUGGUAUCGAUGCCCUAUGAUAAGAUUUUGUAUGUUAGAUAUGCUCUAAGGUGUGUUAACUCUAUUUUGAAAGGCUUGUUUUUCAUUUGAUGGCCCUAGGGAUGAAUAUAUGUGGGUUUUCAAUAUAAUAUGAUGGUUAUAAUUAUGAUUGGAUUGUUUUAUUUUUGCUAGAAUAGGUUGUAAGCUUCAUGUUUAGGAGCAUAGGAUUUUUCUUGGUUGUAAAAAUCUCUCUUUUAUUAGAUUGGUUGUAAACUCCAUUAAUGGAGUAUAAUAUUUUUGUGAUGUAAAAGAUCUUUUUUUUUUUUUAACAAUCUAGUAACUCAUGAAAGACAAGAAAGCAAUCUAAGAUGUCAUUUUUAACCAUCAUGACUCCCACACCAGCCAAGGUAAGUUUUCUAUGGAGAAAACAAUCAAAAUCUACAAAAGAAAUAGUCUCAAGUGCUUAGGAAAGGUGACUUGGGUGCUCGAGCAAUCACUUAUAAUGCUCGAGAGAUAUGAUUGAUCGAGUGGUGCUUCCAAUGAUGGUAAGUUGCUUCUAGCAUCCUCAAAAAAUUUUGAGCGCUCUAGUGUAGGUGACAAUAGAUGUAUAAUAAGGAAAGACAACAACAUAAAAAUUGCAAUUCGGGAUUUUUGUAAUAGAUUAGGGUAUUUAUGUAACUAACCCUAUUUUCUGUUACAAAUAUAACUUGGGUAAAUUUGGAUUUUUUAUCCAAAUGGGUUACCAACUUUAUGUAACAAGAUCCCCAAGGUGAUGGAAACCAGUUCAUUAAUUUAUUUAUUUUUUUCUGCUUAGCAUGUGUUAAAUAAAGAAUAAAUUGGAAAAAUGAUUUUGGAUUUUUCUUAAGGAAAAUAGAUUAUCAUGAGAAACUUUUUCCAAUAUUAUUUUUCUUUUGAACUAGUUGUUGUUAAAGACAUUGUUAUUCCUUUUUGGAUUAUCCACUUGGUUAAUAGGUGGUUCUCUAAGAUCAACCCCUUAGAAAAGGAGGAAAUUGUUUUGUAUAUGGAUAGUCUAAGGAUAAAGGAAUAAGAGAGAAAUUCUUUUAGCACAAGACUCCUAAUUUAAGAAGUAAAUAACAGAAUUGGAAAAUCUCAUGAUAGAGAAUUUAUUUUAAGAAAGGUUAUCAAAAUUACUAAAAGUCACUCUUUUCAAAAUAUUAAUUAGGAGAGGGCCUUAGCAAAGACGAUAACCUCCAUUGUCAAGCCCAUCUUGAUUUGGGUUCAUCACCAUCCUCACAGUGGAUUGUAAGCCCUAGGAAUCAAGGGAUAUGGACUCUCCUUAUGGACAAGGCUUCACAUGUCUGUAGUAGGAGCAACCACCCCCAUGGUGGGUUUCCUUGCCAGGUGAUAUUGAUAGCUUAAGGACAAUGGUUAUACACUUAACAUUGGAUAUUAAGUGGUUGAAUCACCCCACACAAUCCCACUUGCAUAGUUCAUAGGUCAAAUAAAAAGGUAUGUUGUUCUUUCCUUUAGGUAACAUUCAUGGUUAAGGUAGGGAGAUCAGUCUGAGAGAGUCACUAACUAAUAAUAAGGUCAUGACCUAACUUAUGUAUUCCUAAACAUAACUAAGGCUAAUAAUAAGGUCACUAACUAAUAAACUGUGUUGGAAGAAGGAAUGCCCUAAAUUCCUAAAGAGAUAGUUAGUAAUGCAUUUUUCUUUUCUAGUUGAAUCAUGUUUAGUGUUGGAUUCUACUAAUUCUUAGUGGAUAGAUUCCAAAGCUUUUGAUCAUGUCUAUAAUUCAUUACAGGGGUUUCAACUAAGCCGAAGGCUAAAUGAUUGAGAUAUGUAUCUAACAUUAGCUUCUAAAGCGAGACUUGUUGUGCAGGCAAUGGAAGAUGUUACCUUUAUAUUUUCUUAUAAUAGUCUUUUAGUAUUAAAGGAUUUUCUUUAUGUUCCCGAGAUUAUGAAGAAUUUGAUUUCAAUUUCUAAUAUAUGUAAACUGAAUUAUUCAUUUUUUUUUCUAUUAAACAGGUUUGUAUUAGAUUGAAUGAUUCAUUUAUAUGCUCAAGAUGAUUGAUAGAUAAUCUUUAUCGUGUUUCUCUAUUAUGUAUUUUGUGAAGUAAUGAGAGUUAUCUUAUUUCAUAGAAAAUGAAGAAAUCUAGCAAUAAUCAAAUACAACUUUAGCACUUAUACGUAGGUCAUAUAAUCUAAACAAGGCCUAAAGAUUGGUUAAGUUUAUAACUUUACCAUUCUUGAUUCAAAAGAUCUUACAGUUUGUGAAUCUUGUAUAGAACGUAAAAUGACCAAGAAGCCUUUUACUGCUUGAUUACUACUCAAAAAGUGCUCUUUGAUAGCUUGUAAUAAACUCUUUUAAACACUUUUGAGUAGUAGUUAUUGCCUUUUAACCCAAUUAACAUGUUAAGGAUCCUUGCAAUCAAUUUUAAUCAAAUUGUGUUAAGUUUUGGUGUUUUGAUAGCUUUUGAUCACCAAAGCAAUCCGAGAUUGAGGAGAGUUAUAUGGAAUCUUGGGCAAAGCAAUUGGAAGCUCAGAAACAUGAAUAACUAAAGCUUUGAAGCCCUUUGCCAAGAGUAAAUCCGGAAUGCAAGGAGAAGAAAGAAAGAGAAUCUGCCAUGAAGCAUAUUCUUGAUGACAGUCGUGUCAGCCACUUUUGGAGCACUUUCUGAAGUCCAAUUGAUGCAUGCUAUAUACCAUUUCAAAUCUCAGGAAGUCAACAAUCCAAUGCUUCAAACGGUGCACAAUUUAGAGUUGAAACGAAGAAGUUACAGCCACUGCAAGUCAAUCACUCUAAGCUGAAGGAAGCAUUUUGCAAAGUGUUGCGAAAUCACCCUUUUGUUGCGAAAUGAUUUCGAAGCCUUUUUGUACAGUGUCGUGGAUUUCCUCCUGAAGUUGCCCGAUAUAUGCCGCAAGUUGGAAGCUGAGAACCUCAAGAUGAAAGCCAACUUCGCAGCCCUGCGAGAAUAGCCUUUUGUUGCGAAGUGAUUUCGCAGCCCUUUUUGUAUGUCUGCGAAAUCUCGCAGACAUCAUUUUCUCUUUCGAAAUGGUCCGUAGUGCUUCCCGAUAUUUGCUACUGACAUUGGGAGAUAUUUUCCAUCAGAUUUUUGUUGUCUAAAUCCCAAAAUUCUCCUUGUAAGCCACCAAUUACAAGAUUCCUUAGCUUUUAAGUUAGUAAAAAGAAUGAAUAUCCAUGUAAUAAUUAGUUUUGUAUUAUGUUCAUAUAUAUACCCCUCGAGAGUCUGUUCUCAGAGGAGGAGACCCUUUGUAAAGUUUUGGGAAAGCAAGUAAAGUUCAGGUCCUUUGUUUUGCCUUACCUUCUCACUUUUUAUUUUUUAUUUCUUACUAAGUUAUGAACUCUCUGAGGAAUUUUCCCCAGAGAAUGAGUAACUAAACCUUUAGUUCCUUGGAGCUAAGGUUGCCGGGGAAGGUUCCAAGUGCAAGAAUGCAAAGCUUUGUGGUUUCAGCCAUUAAUGAAGAGGAAGUGAAAUCCUUCAGUGAUUUCUAUGUUUUUAGUUAACUUAAAACACCUUAGAGUCACUUGGGCCAACACUUGGUAAGGCAAGUGAUCUCCAACCAAGGAGAUGCACUAGUUUACCCCUUGCGAGCCUCUGGGAGGUGACUUUAAGGUAGGAUUUUCUGGAAUUGCCAACACUUGGUAAGCUUUUGGACUCCAAGGAGACAUCCAUUAGUUAUCUCUUGCGAGCUUGAGAAGGGAAGUCCAAGGUUAAAGAUCACCUUGAAUGUUUAAGGCUUAGUGAGAGGCUUGAACCAUUGCAAGUUGUAUCAGUGAGAGAAUUAAAGUUGAAAUCUAAUUAAAGGAUGUAUCUGUACAACACCGGUUAGAGAAUUGACUAUAUGUUGAAUCUCUAACGCGAGGAAAUGAACCAUCUGACCGGAGCUAUGUCUUUUGCAUGAGGAACCACCCCAAUGAACCUGACCCUCCAAGGAAUGUUUUUCUUCCUAAGUUAUUCCCAUUACUUGUUUUGUAGUUAGUUUAAAUCUAAAUCUUUACCAAUUAAAGUUUGUGUUUUAUUUCUUAAGCUAACCUUGAAAUGAAACAAGACCAAUUCACUUUGAAUUGGUAUCAUUGAUAAUUUGCUAAUCCUUCCCAGUGAACGAUCCUAGAGCCGCUAUCUUAUAGUAGCUUUUUCUUUGCUACCCUAGUAUAUGGUGUAAUAGGUUAUAAAUUUUGUUGAUUACUCCCUCAUCCAAGGAGCACCAGCUGGACACGAAUCAGCUGAGACACCAAUUGGGCAUGAAUCACUGCUAAAGAAUAUAAAGCCAAGGAAUGUUUGGAGUUAGUCAAUCUUGACAUUUGUGCAUCUUUCAAUGUCCAUGCACAAGAAGGAUAUGAGUAUUUCGUCACGUUUACAAAUGAUUACUCCAUGUUUUGAUAUGUUUACCUGAUGCAUAGGAAGUCUGAUGCCUUGAACAAAUUCAUUGAAUUUAAGACAAAAUCAGAAAACUAAUUGGGUAAAUGUAUCAAGGCACUUCAAUCUGAUCGAGAUGGUGAGUAUAUGUCUACUCAAUUUGAUUCUUUCCUUAAGGAGCACAAGAUUAUAUCCUACUUGAGUGCACUAGGAACUCCACAAUAAAAUGGAGUAAUAGAAAGAAGAAAUCAAAUGUUGAUGGACAUGAUGAGAUAUAUGAUGAGUUUCUCAUCACUCUUGUAUCCUUUUGGGGAUAUGACUUAGAUAUUUCAUCUUACCUUCUCAUUUUCACAUUUAGGGGUGCCUAGGACAUGUGCUGAAGCUAAAGGUAGACAAAUUGAAAGCAAGGCUUGAUGUAUAUCAGUUUGUAGGUUAUACAAGAGGAAUGAGAGGCCUUUACUUUCACAUCCAGGUCAACCAAAAGGUAUUUUUCAGUACAAAUGCCAAAUUUCUGGAAGAAGGUUAUAUGAUGAAUGAUAGGGUAAAACAUGAUAUAGAUUAGAGGACACUUGAAGACACUCCCACAUUAGCACAAAGAACUAUGAGCCAACAAGUUCCUACACCUACCAUUCUAGUCAAUUCUAGUACAUUUAUGCCUCAUUGUAGUGGAAGGAUUGUUAUACAACCAGACAAGUUCAUGUAUUUGAGAGAGUUUAUCAAGGCAAUUCCAAAGGAACAUGAAACCGAUCUCAUAGAUUAUAAUAACGCAAUGAGUAGUAAUGAUGUUAUUCUUUGGCAAAGAGCUAUGGAGGUAAAGUUAGAAUCUAUGUAUUCUAAUGGAAUUUGGGAUCUUGUAGAAGUACCUGAACUGCUAAAACUCAUAGGCGGUUUAAAAAAAUGAAGAGAAGUAAAUGGAAAGAUUGAGACAUACAAGGCUAGGCUGGUAACGAAGAGUUAUAGUCAAAAACUUGGUUUUAACUAUAAGGAGACCUUCUCACCAAUAGCCAUGCUAAAAUUCGUCUAAAUACUCCUAUCAAUUACAAUGCACCUUGAUUGUGAAAUAUGAAAAAUAGAUCUCAGGACAAUGCUCUUGAAUGGUGAUCUUAAAAAGAGCAUCUAUAUGAUGUAACUAGAUGGAUUCAUAGCAAAAUGAUAAGAACAUCUUAUGUGCAAGUUGCAUAAAUCCAUUUAUAGAUUAAAUUGGGCAUCUUGCACAUGGAAUAGGCAUUUUGAUUAGGCUAUCAAGACUAUUGAUUUUGAUCAAAAUCAGGAUGAGUCUUAGGUGUACAAGAAGAUGCAGGAAAGCAUGGUGGUGUUUUUGGUCUUAUAUGUUGAUGACAUUCUAUUCAUUGGGAAUGAUGUAGGGUUAUUGUCAUCAAUUAAGAUCUGGCUAUCUACUUAAUUCUAAAUGAAAGGUCUAAGUGAGACACAAUAUAUUCUUAGAAUUAAGGUCCUUUGGGAUUGUACGAAUAGGAAGAUUGCGUUGUCAUAGGCCACCUACAUUGACAAGGUUUUGGUCAAGUAUGUGAUAAAGGACUCCAAGAAAGGUUUCUACCCUAUGCUUUUGCAAUGGGUAGCCUUAUGUAUGUGAUGCUAGGUACCAGACUAGAUGUUUUCUUUGCUAUAGGAUGGUGAGUAAAUAUUAGUCCAAUCUAGGUAUGGAGCAUUGGACAAUAGUCAAAUAUACUCAAGUAUCUUUGAACAACGAGGGAUUAUAUGUUGGUAUAUCAUUACGAUAAGUUGUUACUUCUUGGGUAUAUGGAUUCAUACUUUCAGUCAAAUAAAGACUCUCACAAGUUUACCUUUGAUUUUGUGUUCACUCUAGGUGGUGGGAAUAUUAUUUAGAAAAGGUUGAAGCAAUCUUGUAUUGCUAACGCUACUAUGGACAAUGAGUAUAUUGCUACUUCUAAAGCAGCAAAGGAAGUUGUUUGGCUUCAAAGGUUCCUGUUAGGACUUGGGCUAGUGCUCUUGGCUAUAUCACCCCUGGUACUAUUUUGUGAUAAUAGUGGGAUGGUGGCAUAGUCUAAAGAACUAAAACAACAACCUGAAGAGUAUUACUUGAUACGUGAGAUAGUAAUGAAGGGAGAUGUAGUUGUGGAGAAAAUCACUUCUACUGAGAACUUGAUAGAUCCCUUCACAAAGACUUUAUUUACUAGAGUCUUUAAUGGUCAUAGGGAUAGCUUUUGUGUCAAAUGUGUUCCCAACAUGCUCUAAGGCUAGUAGGAGUUUGUUGGGAUUAAGCCCUAGAAAGCAUGACAAGAUGUAACAGAUAGAGAUUCAUUUAUAAUUUUAUUUAUUUGUGUUUCUUUAUUGUGUUAUUAUCCUAUUUGUAUUAAUUGGUUAUUUAAGCAUACACACCUCACAUUAAUUGCAUUGUACAUGACUUGGGUGCAUUAGGGGUUACAUAGACCAUCUAAGUCAUUGGUUUCUUAUAGAGUGAUGAGUUGUCCAUAGUUGGUUCAUGGAUUUAGGAAAUCCAUCUGAGACUAUAGUGCACUACCUCCUAAUUGGAGGAAUAACUUGUCUUAGUCGUCAAGAUGGUUUUCCCAUGGUGAGUGCACUAGUGCAUGUGAUGAACACUGCAUUAGGCCUACGGUGAAUCAUGACAUAAGGCUAUCAAUUGUCAUGAUUCACUAAGCUACUAACUAGAUGAACUCUUAAGCUUGAGAGGAUAUUGAGCCUAUGCCAAAGUCAAUAGGAGGCUUUAACCUACGAGUGAGUUCCUAAGGUGAUCAUAUAUCUCUAUGAAUUAUGUCACUAUUGAUUAAGACUGGUGACAAUAGGUAUUCUUAAUAGAGGCACCAUGAUAUCUCAUGGAUUGAGAUAGUGUGUCCCCUUCGAUGAUCCAAAGGACAUGUGAUCUAGAAGAUUUGACAUUUUCUUUAAUGGAAAUUUGACAUAUGCUCCUUGGAGUUAGAGUAUGUCAAUUGAUCACAUAAUAAGUAGGAUUUGUAAUCCAAGGACUAAAGACAUAAUCUUAAUAGGUGAUAACACUAUCUUAUUAGAUUGCAGACACCAGUUCAUGGGAAGUCUGCAUGUAGUGGAUAUUAGGUAACAAAUUUGAGCUUUAUAUCAUUGUUAUUUACAUAAGUAUUGGAAUGUAGUUGAUUCUCUUAAAUGAAAUGUUGAAUCAACUUCAAAAUUAAAUUUUAAGGGAUCCAUUACUCCUAUGGGCCUAGUGAUCCCCACUCUAAGCUCAUAUAACAUGAUGACAUGAUUUUUAAGGGUUAGAUUGGCUCUAGGUUCACUCUUGUGCAUAAGAGUAUUUUGGUAAUUAUGUAAGGUUGCAUAGGAGAUAGUGAACAAGGUCUCUAGAUUUGACUAAUUGAUUAAUAAGAUGGCCCUAUGUGGUUAAUUAAUUAAGACAUGUUUUAGGCUAGAUGAAGUGACUCGAGCCUUUGUAGGCUCAAGUCACUUUAGCCUAGUAGGGAGACCUUAUAAAUACCCUUUUAGGGGUCAGUGUUUCCAUCACUUUUCAAAGACGGUCGUUGAUUACUACCAAAAAGUGCUAUUUUGUAGACCUAAUAAUAAUGGUUUUAAGCACCUUUGAGUAGUAAUCAUAUUCAUUUAACCCAAUUAAUUCAUUAAGGUCCUUAGUAAUUGGUUUUAACCAUUUUGUGGCAAGUUUACAUGUUUUUAUCAGCUUAUGAAUCGAUUCAAGCAUGCCAAUUGAUGGAGGAGCUACUUGGGCGAGUUAAGCAAGGAUUUUGUACGUUUAUAGGCUUGAAUUUCAAGUGGAAACACGAGCACAAGCAAUGGAGAAGAGGAAAACAGAGUGAAGAAAACAGAGUGAAGAAAACAGCUGCAGUCUUCCUUUGAACUUUUUGAGCACUUUCCGAAGUCCAUUUUUUUCAUACUAUAUACCAUUUGAAAGCUUAGGAAGUCAAGAAUCCAACGCUUCAAACCGUGUAUGAUUUGGAGCUGAAAUGAGGAAGAUAUGGCCUUUGGAAGGCAACUGCAUCAUGUCAAAUGCCCAAUUUCGCAAUGUGAAUUUCACAUUGCGAAAAUUUCGCAAGGAGAUUUUCUUCAUGGUGCGAAAUUUUGCCAUUUCGCAAUGUGAAUUUCACAUUGCGAAAAUUUCGCAAGGGGAUUUUCAUGGUGCGAAAUUUUGCCAUUUCGCAAUGUGAAUUUCACAUUGCGAAAAUUUCGCAAGGAGGAUUUAGUCACAUUGCGAAAUUCCUUUGAAUCCCCUGUUUUGAGACGUUGUUGAUGUUAUUCCACUACCGGUUCUCCAAGAUAUUUUGCUUGAUUUUUAGCUUUGUAAAUACCUAUUUUACCCUUGUAAUCAACCAAUGAAUAGGUUGCUUUUGUAAUAGCUCUUGUAAUUUAGCUUGUUAUUGUCUUUAAAUAGAGGUGAAGAGCCUCAGAUGAUCGAAUCUUGUAACCUGUAACUUUAUAAGUUAUAAGAGCACUUUUGUUCAUACGCUUCUUUUCUCUUUUCUUUCUCAUUUUCUUAGUAGCCAAACAUCCUUGGAGGAUGAAAUCCCCAAGGAUGAGAGGCUAAAACCUUUUAGUUUCUUGAAGUAAUGGAUGCCAUGUGAAGCUCCCGUGUCAGGAUGGAGAUUUCCAAGCCAUGAAUGUAAGUAGCUGAGCGUCAUAAAUGUUUUCAUUCAAAGUAAAGCUUUUAAUCCCUCUGACUUGCUUUGAAUGGCCAAUACUUGAUAAUCUUUUGGUCUCAGUGGAUUCUUAUUGUUAGAUCCACUGAUGUUCAUUAGUUAUCCCCUACGAGCCAUUGUAUUGCAAGUCGAGGAGAUGACCUAUAUCAUUAAAAGAGCAUUUAUGAGGUUCAACUACCCUUUUUGUAAGUUUUCAAGGACUAAAACUCAGUUGUUAAACUCAUACCGGUUCGGGAAGUAAGCAUCACCUUAGUUGCUUCCCCAACUCGAGGUGAAAAGUCCCAAAAUCUCCAUUUUUACAUAGUGAGUUAAGCAUGGCUAUCCAAAGCUUUGAGAAACUUCUUUUUCCAUAUUUUAACCUAUUUUCAUGUUAGUUUAGUUUACACACCUUCAUCUUUAUAUGUUUUCAUCUUAACUUAAUUUUUAUUAAGAAAAGUUCACUCCAUCCUCCGAACUUCACCAGUUAAAGUAAAAACCCUUCCCAGUGUUCGAUCCUAGAGCCACUAUGCUAUAGUAGCUUUGCUACUUUAGUGUAAGGACGUUAGGUAUAAAUUUUGUUGAUACCCUUACAUGCCAAGCUACCAAGAGUCGGGUUAUCAAAUGGCGCCGUUGCCUGGGAAGGUGCUACUUCACUGUGAAUACAUCAGCCGGAGGUAACUUGUGAGACUUCUCAUGAGUGAGGUGAAUUCUAUCUCAUUUUCCUUUUACUAACUUUUUAUUUUAUUUUAUUUUUCUUUGUUCAUGUGUUAGUAUAUCUUUUAUUUAGUUUUUAGUUAAUCUUAAUAAUUUUUUUUUUUCUUUAGAAUUUUAUUUUCUUUUAUUUUCUUUUGUUUUCUCUGUUUUUAAUUCACAAAUUGCUAGUUGUGCAUGCCAUAUUGAAUAUGAGAUAGCAGAGGAAGCCAUGAACUUCAGUUAUGUGGCUGAAUUUUCAAGAGAAUGGGGUGAACCAAAUGCUAGAGAUAUGGGAAGAAUGACGUCUCAACCUAAAGCUAAGGGUGAGAUGUAUAUUUUGAAUGAUGGCAUGGACAUGAAGGCAAAGAUUGCAGCUAUGGAAAGGAGAUUGGAAGAGCUAGAAAAGAACCAGAUGCAAGAAGUGCAAGCCAUCUCUCAGACACCAUUGCAAGCUAUGCUUUGUGCCAUUUGUCAGUCUUUUGAGCACUUAGUGGAGGAGUGUCCUACCAUUCCAGUGGUGAGGAAAAUGUUUGGUGAUUGCAACACCUACAAUUCCAAUUGGAGGAAACAUCCAAAGUUCUCUUGGAAACCACAGCCACCUCAGUACCAGCAACCUGCUCAAGCACCACAGCAAGCCUUAAACCUUGAACAAGCUAUGAUGAAUCUUAACAAAGUCAUGGAAGACUUUGUUGAACCUCAGAAAUCCAUCAAUGCUCAGCUCAGUCAAAAAAUAUCACUCCCUGACAGAGUAGAGAGUUCAUUGAAUAAAAAGAUGGAUGGAGUGCAACAUGAUCUAUCUCAAAAGAUAGAUAAUAUCCAAGAUUCAAUCUCAAGGUUUUCCAACCUCAACACAAUGCAAGAGAAAGAAAACUCUCCUUCUCAACCUCAUCAAAAUCAAAAGGGUAUCCAUGAAAUGGAGGCUAAGGAGGGAGAUAAAGAGGUUGAUCUGCCCACAUGCAAACUAGAGCAUGAGGUAGAGAGUGAAACAGAGAAAGAAAAGAGGGAGGAAAUCAAAGGAAAGAAAAAGGGGAAAAGCAUAGAGAAAGAUGACUAUAUAGACGAAGAACCUCAGAAGAUAGUCAUCAAAGAAGAAAUAAUGAAGAAACAGAUGCAUCCAUUUUUCCCCCAAGCUUUGUAUGGCAAGAUCAUACAAAGCAAGUCUCAAGUGAGGGAUGCCAAUUUUGUUUGGGAUCCAGGGGGAAUUCAGCAUGAAGUGGGUGUGUGAGUGAGGAUGAGCUAAAUAGUUCAUCUUCUUUUUGGGGUACAUGCUAUCAGCUUCAUUUAAAUUCUAUGCUUUCUUUAAAUUUAUGCAUGUUUUAGUUUGAAUUUUUAGCUUUAAUUUAGUUUUAAUAUGUUUUUAAGAUGAGUUUUGAAGUGUUCAUGCAGGUACAAUGCAUGCAAAAAUCGAAAUGGAGGUGAAACAGAGGAAACAGGGGAGCCAAAAUGCAUAAGCAAAGCUCUCAGUGGAAUUUCGCACCAUAAACACACUCAGUGCGAAUUUUUCGCACAGUGACAGUGCAUGGUGCGAAAAGGAAUUUCUAUACAUUUUGGAAAGCCAAGCCUCUCGGGAUGCUAUCUUCGCACCUCAAUUACCAGUGCGAAAACUUUAGCACCUUGUUUAUCUUGGUGCGAAAUGAUUUUCAAACUAAUUUCUAAAAACAAAGCUCUCGGGAAGGCCUUUUUCUUGAAUUCCAUGUUUUUCCAAGUUUAAAAAUUCAUGAAUGCAUUUCCAAACCUUUUGUUUUCAAAUCCCAUCCAUCCAAAACUUUUUAAAAAUCAAAUUUCAAAACCAUUCCAUGCAUGGCCAUCCACUUUGAUUUUCAUUUUCCAUCAUUUAAUUUUGUUUUCCAUCAUUUAAAAACUACCCAAACACCUUAGGAAUCUUGUUUAGAGCCUAACCAUACCUUUUAAAAAACCAUUUUUGAAUUUUUUCCCAAAACUUGGAAAACGCACAGUCGGGCUUCAAAGGAGGUGAACAGUGACUGUGCCAAUUUUGGCACUCACUGUUCACUCCUCCUUUGUUUUCCCCUGUUUGAGCCAAAAAUCUCCAAUUUUAACACCCUGCAAGCUACAUUCAAAUGUCAUUGCAACUUAUAUGAAUAUACCAUCAUGGCAUGGACCCUUUGAGCCUUGUCCUCAGCUGCUCAAAGUGGGGCCCACUCAUCAUUUUUGUAAAUAUUUAGUAUAAAUUCCUCUCUCAUUCAAUUUUUGAAUUUUGAAACAGGUGGUUCAACCUUCUCAACUCCAAGUCCACAUCACAUGAGGUACCACUUCCUUCCUCCUUAUUUUCGAUUCAAACAUUGAGGACAAUGUUCAUCUCGGUUGGGGGGAGAGAUGAGGAAGUAAGUAUUAGUUUAAAUUUUUAUCAUACUUAGUUAAAUUAGCUACUUUUUGUUUAAAUUUAGAAAUUUUUGCUUUAAACUCCAUGGAUAUUAAGGAUUAACUCUCAAAAUUAAAUGAGAGAAGUCGAGUUGCAACUUGAUUACAUGAGUCUUAGAGUUUGUAUUAUGCUCUUCUAAAAGUUGAUGAAUUGUUGAAACUCCCAUUGCAUGCAAACUUAUCUCUUCCACCUUAAGCUAUUCGCACACACAUACAUUAGAUUCCGGUAAUAAGAUGUGAAACUAUCUCACCCUCUAAGCUUGAGAAAUCAUAAUUUGACACCUUUAAUCUCUCUUUAAUAGUGUUGGGACACCUCAUAAAGACCAAUGAGUCUUUGAAAAAAAAUAGAAAAAAAGAAAAAGAAAAAGAAAAAAUAUAUAUAUAUAUAAUAAACUUCUUUACUUGCCUUGAAACCUGAGCAUGGUCCGAAGGGGUGGCGAAAGCCUUUAAAGCCUGGUGCCCUAAGCCUUUAUUGGUUGGGAGUCAUCGAUCCUCUGCUUGUUACAUGGGUGAAUUGGUUAAGUUUAGUAAGUGAAAAGAAUUGUGAAUAAGAGGUGCGUUCCUAGCCUAUCAAGAGAUGGUUAAUUUUGCUAAGCUUAAAGAAAGACUUAGGUUGGGGGGAGAUGAUAGUUAUCCAUACUAUACUCGGAAGCUAAUCACAUUAACACUUAGCUUGUAGUGGAAGAAUUUGAUUUGGAUCUUUUGAGAGUGGAAAUUCUUUUGAUGCUUAAACUUGCAUAAUAUCCAUUCUUUGUACUCUAUGAUCAAGUGAAUGCUUUGACAACUCUUAUUAUAGGUUGAGUUUCACAUCUUUAUUGAUCCAUGGAUGUCCAUCAUGCCACUCAUGUCAUUUUUUGGAGUGAUUUGCAUGAUCCCUUUUAUGUAUAUUAUUAUAGUUUAUUUAGUUUUUAUCUCCUCCAUUGCUAAGGGACUAGCAAUGAGUCGGUUGGGGGGUGUGAUUACUACCAAAAAGUGCUAUUUUGUAGACCUAAUUAUAAUGGUUUUAAGCACCUUUGAGUAGUAAUCAUAUUCAUUUAACCCAAUUAAUUCAUUAAGGUCCUUAGUAAUUGGUUUUAACCUUUUUGUGGCAAAGUUGACAUGUUUUUAUCAGCUUAUGAAUCGAUUCAAGCAUGCCAAUUGAUGGAGGAGCUACUUGGACGAGUUAAGCAAGGAUUUUGUACGUUUAUAGGCUUGAAUUUCAAGUGGAAACACGAGCACAAGCAAUGGAGAAGAGGAAAACAGAGUGAAGAAAACAGAGUGAAGAAAACAGCUGCAGUCUUCCUUUGAACUUUUGGAGCACUUCCCGAAGUCCAUUUUUUGCAUGCUAUAUACCAUUUGAAAGCUUAGGAAGUUAAGAAUCCAACGCUUCAAACCGUGUAUGAUUUGGAGCUGAAAUGAGGAAGAUAUGGCCUUUGGAAGGCAACUGCAUCAUGUCAAAUGACCAAUUUCGCAACGAGAUUUUCUUCAUGGUGCGAAAUUUUGCCAUUUCGCAAGGGGAUUUUUCUUCAUGGUGCGAAAUUUUGCCAUUUCGCAAUGUGAAUUUCACAUUGCGAAAAUUUCGCAAGGAGGAUUUAGGCACAUUGCGAAAUUCCUUUGAAUCCCCUGUUUUGAGACGUUGUUGAUGUUAUUCCACUACCGGUUCUCCAAGAUAUUUUGCUUGAUUUUUAGCUUUGUAAAUACCUAUUUUACCCUUGUAAUCAACCAAUGAAUAGGUUGCUUUUGUAAUAGCUCUUGUAAUUUAGCUUGUUAUUGUCUUUAAAUAGAGGUGAAGAGCCUCAGAUCAUAAAAUCUUGUAACCUGUAACUUUAUAAGUUAUAAGAGCACUUUUGUUCAUACGCUUCUUUUCUCUUUUCUUUCUCAUUUUCUUAGUAGCCAAACAUCCUUGGAGGAUGAAAUCCCCAAGGAUGAGAGGCUAAAACCUUUUAGUUUCUUGAAGUAAUGGAUGCCAUGUGAAGCUCCCGUGUCAGGAUGGAGAUUUCCAAGCCAUGAAUGUAAGUAGCUGAGCGUCAUAAAUGUUUUCAUUCAAAGUAAAGCUUUUAAUCCCUCUGACUUGCUUUGAAUGGCCAAUACUUGAUAAUCUUUUGGUCUCAGUGGAUUCUUAUUGUUAGAUCCACUGAUGUUCAUUAGUUAUCCCCUACGAGCCAUUGUAUUGCAAGUCGAGGAGAUGACCUAUAUCAUUAAAAGAGCAUUUAUGAGGUUCAACUACCCUUUUUGUAAGUUUUCAAGGACUAAAACUCAGUUGUUAAACUCAUACCGGUUCGGGAAGUAAGCAUCACCUUAGUUGCUUCCCCAACUCGAGGUGAAAAGUCCCAAAAUCUCCAUUUUUACAUAGUGAGUUAAGCAUGGCUAUCCAAAGCUUUGAGAAACUUCUUUUUCCAUAUUUUAACCUAUUUUCAUGUUAGUUUAGUUUACACACCUUCAUCUUUAUAUGUUUUCAUCUUAACUUAAUUUUUAUUAAGAAAAGUUCACUCCAUCCUCCGAACUUCACCAGUUAAAGUAAAAACCCUUCCCAGUGUUCGAUCCUAGAGCCACUAUGCUAUAGUAGCUUUGCUACUUUAGUGUAUGGACGUUAGGUAUAAAUUUUGUUGAUACCCUUACAUGCCAAGCUACCAAGAGUCGGGUUAUCAGUCGUCUUCCACUUCAGAGAGAGAGGGAGAGAGCUAGGAUUCUUCCCUUCCAAAGUCCACACUUUGGAGUACAAAGAUCGUGGUUCAAGUCAUAGGGCAAAAGAUCUUCGGUGCACGAGACCUCCAAACUCUUCAAGCUUCAUCUUUAACUAGUGAAAUUGAUUUGGGAUGUCUAAAUUAAAUUUAAAGUUUUCUAAUGACUUUUCUUUGGAUCCUAGAAUGUUAAAAAAAAAAAAAAAAAAAUUCAUUUCCGUUGCAUAAGAUCUAGAGGCAUAAGGUAGUUUGCAUGCACCUAUAUGAUCCAAAGCUUGGGAACAAGGAAACCUACCCAAAAUAAAAGGUACUCGAUAUGAUGAUUUGAAAUUUUUGCAAGGAAUUACAAUUGCAAUGAAUGUAGCAACAACCUCAUAUGAAAUUCUCGGUGAAGUUUCUAAUUCUUCAAAGCUAGUGAAAAGGCAUUACAAAGUCUUGCAAAGCCAUGUUUGUUGAAAGGUAUUUCUACAUCCAAGUUGGAAUUUUGUGAGCACUAUCUAUUAAGAAAAAACACCAGGGUAAAGUUUGGUAUUGCAGUCCAUCGCACCAAGGAAACAUUAGAUUAUGUGUAUACAAAUGUCUAGGGACAUACAAAAACAACUUCUUUAUGAGGUAAGCAUUGGUUUGUGAUUUUUUUUUGUGAUUACUUAAGAUAUGUGUAGGUGCAUUUAAUGUGAUAUAAAAGUUAUGCUCUUAAUGUGUUUCUCAAAAGACAAUGGUAGAAAAUAAAGUUAUUAAAAAAAAUAUUAAGAAGCAUAUAUUAAACAAUUAUGGGGAAUAUAAGUUAAAUCCUUUUACGCAAAUUAGAGAAAAAAAAAUGAUUGUGUGACAUUUGCCAAUCAUGAAUAUUCUACAAGAAAACGGGGUAGUAGAGAAGACAAAUCACAAAUUGUUUGAGAAGUUGAGGUGCAUGUUGUCUAAGAGCAUAUUGAGGAAAAGAGUUUUAGGUUGAGGUUGUAACAUAUACAUGCCAUCUUAUUAAUAGAUUACCUUCUAUAAUACUUGAGAUCAAGACUCCCAUGGAGAUACGAUAUGGUACUCCAGUUUCUGAUUAUGAUUCAUUACAUAUAUUCAGUUGUUCUUCUUACUACCAUGUUUUAGAGAAUAAGUUAAAGCUUAGAUCCAAGAAAAUAAUUUUCUUAGGUUUUAGUAGUGGUGUUAAAGGCUAUUGUUUAUGGUACUCUUUGCAAAGGAAAAUCAUUGUGAGCAUGGAUGUUGUGUUGAGUGACGAUGUUAUGUUAAAAAAGAGUUUCACAGAAGAUGGAGUUUGGAAGUCAAGUUGAAACUACUAAGAUGUCUCCUCUAGAUCAUUUAGGUAUGGAUUUAGAUGUCAUAGUAGAUGAACUAGAGUUUACUUCCCCAAGGUCCAAUGAAUAUUUUAAGUCAAUUGCAGUAAGUAGACCACAUAAAGAGAUAUUGUCACCUGCAUGAGAUGUUGAAUUGGUUGCAUAUGCAUCACCCAUUGUUACUAAAGAUAUUCCAUACACUUAUAGGGAUGCAAUUCAAAGUCCUUAAAGUGAAGAUUGGAAAUUGGAAAUAUAGAAUAGAUGAACUCUCUCCACAAAAUUAAGACAUGGAAAUUAGUUCCAUUUCCUCCAUGAAGAAAGUUGUUGGAUGUAAAUGGGUGAUUACUACUCAAAAAGUGCUUGUAAUUAACUCUUUUAAACACUUUUGAGUAUUAGUUAUUACCUUUUAACUCAAUUAGCAUAUUAAGUACCUUUGCAAUCGUUUCUAAUCAAAUUGUGUAAGUUUUGGUGCUUUUGAUAGUAAUUUGAUCACCAAAGCAAUCCAAGAUUAAGGAGAACUCUAUGGAAUCCUUGGCAAAGAAAUUGGAAGCUCAUUUACAUGAAUAAUUCAAGCUUUGGAGCUUUAUAGUCCUUUGCCAUAAACAAAUCAUGAAUGCAAGGAUGAAAGCAAAGAGAGAAAUCUAACAUGAAGAAUCCAAGAAUACAUCAACUGUUUGACACUUUUGGAGCACUUCCUGGAGUCCAUUUGAUGCAUAAUAUAUGUCUUUUUGAAGCUCGAGAAGUCAGCAAUCCAACACUUCAAACGAUACAUGAAUCGGAGUUGAAAUGAAGAAGUUAGAGCCAUUGGAAGCCGAUCACACCAAGCUGAAGGCCAAUUUCGCAAGCUGCGAAAUCAACCUUUGGCUGCGAAAUGAUUUCGCAGUCAUCUCGUGCGUCUGCGAAAUUUUGCAGCCAUCUUGUGCACCUACGAAAUGCUCCUGAAUGCUUCCAAAUAUUUGCGACCGACAUUUUUAGAUAUUUUUGCUUCAGAUUUUUGAUGUCUAAAUCCUCAUUUUCUCCUUGUAAUCCACCAAUUAUAGGAUUCCUUAGUUAUUAAGUAAGAGAAAAGGGUGAAUAACCUCAUAUAUAUUGUUUUGUAAUUUUCAUUACAGAGAUUUAUCGGGAGCUUGUUCUCAGAGACGAACAUCUUUUUGUAUAGUUUUGAAGGAAGUAAAAUACAAAGCUUUGCUCUGCCUUACCUACUCAAUUUGAUUGUAUUUUUCUUACUAGCCAAACAAGCUCUAAGGAUGUUUCCUCAUAGAAUGGGUGGCUAGGAUUUUUGUCUCUUGGAGCUAAGGUAGCUGGGUAAGGUGCCGAAUGCAAGAAUUGGUAAUUUUGUUAUUUCAGCUAUUAAUGAAGAGAAAGUGUAACCCGUUUAUGGUUUCUAUGUUUUUAGUUAACUUAAAACGCCUUCAAUUCACCUAGGCCAACACUUGGUAAGGCAAGUGAUCUCCGUCCAUUGAGAUGCAUUAGUUUACCUCUUGCGAGCCUUUGGGAGGUGACUUGAAGGUAGGAUUUUCUAGAAUUGCCAACACUUGGUAAGCUUUUGGAUUCUAAGGAGACAUCUAUUAGUUAUCUCUUGCGAGCUUGAGAAGGGAAGUCCAAGGUUAAUGAUCACCUUGAAUGGAAAAUGCUAGGUGAGAGGCAUGAGCCAUUGCAAGAUGCAUCAGUGAGAGGGAAUUAGUGCUGAAAUCCAUGGAAGGGAUAUAUCUGUACAACACCGGUUGGAGAAUGAACUAUAUGUUAAUUCUCUAAUGCGAGGAAGAGAACCAAAGUGAUCGAAACUCUGUUUUUGCAUGAGGAUCCUGACCCCAGUGAUCCUAAAACUCCAAGAAAUGCUUUUCUUUAUAAGUAAUUCCCAUUGCUUUCUUUUUCGUUAGCUUGAAACCAAACCUUUUUCAACCAAAGUUUAUGUUUUCUUUUGAAGCUAACCUCGAAAUGAAAAAGACCAAUUCAACUUUGAAUUGGUAUCAGUUGUAAGUUGAAAACCCUUCCCAGUGAACGAUCCUAGAGCCACUAUGCUAUACUAGCUUAUGUUAUCCUAGUGCAUGGUGAUAUAGGUUAUAAAUUUUGUUGAUUACUCCUGUCUGAGGACCAAACUCAAGGUACACCAAUUGGGCAUGAAUCAAAUGGCGCCGUUGCCGGGGAAGGUGCUAAUUUUACAGUGAUAUUAUUUCAGAGUACUUGUGAUUUUCAUCACAAGUUUGGUGACUUUUCUUUCAUUUUACUAAUUUUUGUUUUUAAUUGUUUCUUUACUUGUUCAUAUUCUAAUAUAUCUUUUAAUUCAGUUUUAGUUCAUUUUAGUCUUUUUGUAGUCUUGUUUUCUUUUGUUUUCUUUUGUUUUUGUUUUAGUUACAGUUGAUACUAGUUGUGUAUGACAAAUUGGAUACGAGAUAGUGGAGAAAGGCUUGUUAAACGUGAUACACCUCAUAACAAGGAAUUGGAAUUGAGCUUGAAUAUCAUGGAAGCUACGCCUGAAGAUCAGCAUAGUCACCAUAGUCACUAGGACAAUCCCAAUGCUUUCAGAUCAAUGAGGGACAACAUGCAUCCACCUCGUAUGAGUGCACCAUCAUGUAUAGUGGCCCCUACAGAGCAACUAGUGAUCAGACCGCAUAUUGUUCCACUUCUACAAACUUUCCAUGGGAUGGAAAGUGAGAAUCCCUAUGCACAUAUCAAGGAAUUUGAAGAUGUUUGUAAUACAUUCCAAGAAGGAGGAGCUUCAAUCGACUUGAUGAGGCUUAAGUUAUUUCCUUUCACUUUAAAGGAUAAGGCCAAGAUUUGGCUUAAUUCUUUAAGGCCAAGGAGUAUCCGUACUUGGACUGAUUUACAAGCUGAAUCCCUCAAGAAGUUUUUUCCUACUCAUAGAACAAAUGGCUUGAAAAGGAAAAUUUCAAACUUCUCAGCUAAAGAGAAUGAGAAAUUCUAUGAGUGUUGGGAAAGAUACAUGGAAGCCAUCAAUGCUUGUCCUCACCAUGGUUUUGAUACGUGGCUAUUGGUGAGUUAUUUCUAUGAUGGGAUGUCUUCCUCAAUGAAGCAACUCCUCGAGACAAUGUGUGGAGGAGAUUUCAUGAGUAAGAAUCCGGAGGAAGCUAUGGAUUUCUUGAGUUAUGUGGCUGAAGUUUCAAGGGGAUGGGAUGAACCAAACAAAGGAGAAGUGGGAAAGAUGAAGUCUCAACUGAGUGCUUUUAAUGCUAAGGUUGGGAUGUACACCUUGAAUGAAGAUGUUGAUAUGAAAGCAAAGUUUGCAGCUAUGACAAGAAGAUUGGAGGAGCUAGAACUGAAAAAAAUGCAUGAAGUGCAAGCUGUUGCUGAAACACCAGUGCAAGUACAGCCAUGUCCUAUUUGUCAAUCUUAUGAACACUUGGUGGAGGAGUGCCCUACAAUUCCAGCUGCUAGGGAAAUGUUUGGAGAUCAAGCAAAUGUCAUUGGACAAUUCAAGCCCAAUAACAAUGCUCCGUAUGGAAAUACUUACAACUCAAGUUGGAGGAAUCAUCCAAAUUUCUCAUGGAAGCAAAGAGCACCUCAGUACCAACAGCCGGCUCAACCAUCUCAACAAGCUUCAAGCCUUGAACAAGCAAUAGUGAAUCUCAGCAAGGUUGUGGGAGAUUUUGUUAGAGACCAAAAAGCCAUCAAUGCUCAACUCAGUCAAAAAAUUGACAGUGUAGAGAAUACUUUGAAUAAAAUGAUGGAUGGGCUGCAAAAUGACUUAUCUCAAAAGAUAGAUAACCUCCAAUACUCAAUCUCAAGGCUCACUAACUUGAACACAGUACAAGAGAAGGGUAGAUUUCAUUCUCAACCUCACCAAAACCCUAAGGGUAUCCAUGAAGUGGAAACUCAUGAAGGAGAAUCUUCACAGGUGAGAGAUGUCAAAGCCUUGAUCACUCUAUGGAGUGGUAAAAAAGUUGAGCUGCCAACACCCAAGCCACAUGUUGAAGAGGAAGAAGAAGAAGAGACAAAGAAGAGGGAGGAAAUCAAAGGAAAGAAGAAAGAUAUCAGUGAAGGAAAGAGGACCAUGAUUCAAUAGUAAAUGCAAAUCCAGAGAAAGUACUUAUUAAGGAAGAAAUGUUGAAGAAACACACCUCUCCACCUUUUCCUCAAGCUUUGCAUGGGAAAAAGGGGAUUAGAAAUGCAUCAGAAAUUCUUGAAGUAUUGAGACAAGUGAAAGUCAAUAUUCCAUUGCUGGAUAUGAUUAAACAAGUCCCAACAUAUGCAAAAUUCCUAAAGGACUUGUGUACUAUCAAAAGAGAGUUAAAUGUGAACAAGAAAGCCUUCAUGACUAAGCAAGUGAGUGCUAUCAUACAAUGCAAGUCUCCUUUGAAGUACAAAGAUCCGGGAUGUCCUACCAUUUCAGUCAUGAUUGGAGGAAAGGUAGUGGAGAAAGCCUUGUUAGACUUGGGAGCAAGUGUGAAUUUGCUACCAUACUCUGUCUACAAGCAAUUGGGACUUGGUGAAUUGAAGCCAACAUCAAUCACUCUAUCUCUAGCAGAUAGAUCAGUGAAAAUUCCAAGGGGGAUAAUUGAAGAUGUCUUAGUUCAAGUUGAUAAUUUCUACUAUCCAAUAGAUUUUGUUGUUCUUGAUACGGACCCCAUUGUCAAGAAAGCUAAUUAUGUUCCUAUCAUCCUUGGAAGGCCAUUCCUUGCUACCUCAAAUGCAGUCAUCAACUGUAGGAAUGGACUUAUGCAACUCACUUUUGGCAACACGACACUUGAGCUCAAUAUCUUUUAUAUGUCUGAAAAGCAAAUCACUCCGGAAGAAGAAGAAGGUCCAGAGGAGGUAUGCAUUAUUGACACUCUAGUGGAGGAACACUGUAAUCAAAAUAUGCAAGACAAGUUGAAUGAAAGUCUUGGGGAUCUUUAAGAAGGGUUACCUGAACCCUCUGAUGUGCUUGCUACUCUACAAGGUUGGAGGAGGAGAGAAGAGAUUCUACCUUUGUUCAAUAAAGAGGAGGCACAAGAAGCUGCUAAAGAAGAGACCCCAAAGCUCAAUUUGAAGCCUCUGCCCAUGGAGUUGAAAUACACAUACCUAGAAGAGAAUAAACAAUGCCCUGUUGUUAUAUCUUCAUCUCUUACUAGUCAUUAGGAAAAGUGUCUACUUGAAGUUCUCAAGAGGUGUAAGAAAGCAAUAGGAUGGAAAAUAUCUGACUUGAAAGGCAUUAGUCCUUUGGUUUGUACACAUCAUAUAUACAUGGAGGAAGAAGCUAAACCAAUUCGUUAACCUCAAAGAAGAUUGAAUCCUCAUUUGCAAGAGGUGGUGCGAGUUGAAGUGUUGAAGCUACUUCAAGCAGGUAUUAUCUACCCCAUAUCUGACAGCCCUUGGGUGAGUCCUACUCAAGUGGUACCAAAGAAGUCAGGGAUCACUGUGGUUCAAAAUGAAAAAGGAGAAGAAAUUACUACACGCCUCACUUCAGGUUGGAGAGUGUGUAUUGAUUAUAGAAAAUUGAAUGUUGUGACAAGGAAAGAUCAUUUUCCAUUGCCAUUUAUUGAUCAAGUCUUGGAGAGAGUCUCUAGCCAUUCUUUCUAUUAUUUCUUGGACGGGUACUCCAGAUAUUUUCAAAUUGAAAUUGAUGUUGAAGAUCAGGAGAAAACCACUUUUACAUGUCCAUUUGGAACAUCUGCCUAUAGAAGAAUGCCUUUUGGUUUAUGCAAUGCACCUGCAACAUUCCAAAGAUGUAUGCUAAGUAUCUUUACUGAUAUAGUGGAGCGAAUUAUGGAGGUACAUUUGAAGAAUGCUUAGUCAACUUAGAAGCGGUUCUUAACAGAUGCAUUGAGGAGGACUUGGUGCUCAACUGGGAGAAAUGCAAUUUUAUGGUACAUCAAGGAAUUGUCCUUGGCCAUAUCAUCUCCGAGAAAGGCAUUGAAGUUGAUAAAGCAAAGAUGGAACUUAUUGUCAAAUUGCUGUCCCCAACAACUGUAAAAGGAGUAAGGCAAUUCCUUGGCCAUGCAGGGUUCUAUAGGAGAUUUAUAAAAGAUUUCUCUAAUCUUUCAAAACCUCUUUGUGAACUUUUGGCUAAGGAUGCUAAGUUUAUAUGGGAUGAAAGAUGCCAAAAGAGUUUUGAUCAACUGAAGCAAUUCUUGACAACAACUCUAAUAGUGCGGGCUCCUAACUAGCAACUACCCUUUGAAGUAAUGUGUGAUGCCAGUGACUUUGCUAUAGAAGCUGUGCUUGGCCAAAGAGAAGAUGGAAAGCCCUAUGUGAUCUACUAUGCAAGCAAGACAUUGAACGAAGCUCAAAGGAACUACACAACUACAGAGAAAGAAUUGUUAGCUGUAGUGUUUGUCUUAGACAAGUUUCGUGCUUAUUUGGUAGGGUCUUUCAUCAUUGUUUUCACAGACCAUUCAGCCUUGAAGUAUUUAUUGACAAAACAAGAUGCAAAAGCAAGGUUGAUUAGAUGGAUUCUCUUAUUACAAGAGUUCGAUCUCCAAAUCAGAGAUAAGAAAGGAGUGGAGAAUGUGGUAGCUGACCACCUUUCAAGGUUAGUUAUAGCACACAAUUCCCAUGUCCUACCUAUUAAUGAUGACUUUCCUGAGGAAUCACUUAUGUUGCUAGCAAAAACUCCUUGGUAUGCUCAUAUUGCUAACUAUCUAGUUACUGGUGAAGUUCCAAGUGAGUGGAAAGCACAAGACAGGAAGCACUUCUUUGCAAAGAUUCAUGCUUAUUAUUGGGAAGAGUCUUUCCUUUUCAAGUAUUGUGCAGAUCAAAUUAUACGGAAGUGUGUCCCUGAAGAAGAGCAACAAGGAAUCCUCAGCCAUUGCCAUGAAAGUGCAUGUGGAGGCCACUUUGCCUCUCAGAAAACAGCCAUGAAGGUGUUGCAAUCAGGGUUUACUUGGCCAUCACUCUUCAAAGAUGCCCACAUCAUGUGUAGGAGCUGUGAUAGAUGCCAAAGGCUCGGGAAGCUAACAAGAAGGAAUCAAAUGCCUAUGAACCCCAUUCUAAUAGUUGAUCUCUUUGAUGUUUGGGCCAUUGACUUCAUGGGACCUUUCCCAAUGUCUUUUGGUAACUCUUAUAUCUUGGUGGGGGUGGACUAUGUUUCUAAAUGGGUUAAGGCAAUCCCCUGUAAACACAAUGAUCACAGGGUGGUUCUCAAGUUUCUUAAGGAGAACAUCUUCUCAAGAUUUGGGGUGCCCAUGGCCAUAAUCAGUGAUGGAGGUACUCAUUUUUGCAACAGACCUUUUGAAACCCUAUUAGCCAAGUAUGGAGUGAAGCAUAAGGUAGCUACACCUUAUCACCCUCAGACUUCCGGGCAAGUUGAGCUAGCAAACAGGGAAAUCAAGAAUAUAUUGAUGAAUGUGGUGAUCACGAGUAGAAGAGAUUGGUCUAUUAAGCUUCAAGACUCACUAUGGGCAUAUAGAAUGAUUCGUGCCCAAUUGGUGUCUCAGCUGAUUUGUGUUCAGCUGGUGCUCCUUGAUUGAGGGAGUAAUCAACAAAAUUUAUAACCUAUAACACCCUAUACUAGGGUAGCAAAGAAAAAGCUACUAUAGUAUAGUGGCUCUAGGAUCGUCCACUGGGAAAGAUUAACAAGCUCUCAAUGAUACCAAUUCCAAGUGAAUUGGUUUUGUUUCAUUUCAUGGUUAGCUUAAGAAGUAAAACACAAGCUUUGAUUGGUAAAGGUUUAGACUUAAACUAACUAACACAACAGAAGUUUGGAAUAAUUUAGGAAGAAAAGCAUUCCCUGGACAGUUAGGUUCACUAGGGUGGUUCCUCAUGCAAAAGACACGGCUCUGGUCAGAUGGUUCAUUUCCUCGCGUUAGAGAUUCAACAUAUAGUCAAUUCUCUAACCGGUGCUGUACAGAGACUCCUUCAAUUAGAUUUCACUUUAAUUCUCUCACUGAUGCAACUUGCAAUGGUUUAAGCCUCUCACUAAGCCUUAACCAUUCAAGGUGAUCUUUAACCUUGGAUUACCCGUCAAAAGCUCGCAAGAGAUAACUAAUGGAUGUCUCCUUGGAGUCCAAAAGCUUAUCAAGUGUUGGCUAUUCUAGAAAAUCCUACCUUGAAGUCACCUCCCAGAGGCUCGCAAGGGGUAAACUAGUGCAUUUCCAUGGUUGGAAAUUACUUGCCUUACCAAGUGUUGGCCCAGGUGACUCUAAGGUGUUUUAAGUUAACUAAAAACAUAGAAAUCACUAAAGGAUUUCAAUUCCUCUUCAUUACUAGCAAAAACCACAGAGCUUUGCAUUCUUGCACUUGGAACCUUCCCCGGCAACCUUAGCUCCAAGGAAUUAGAGGUUUAGUUACUCAUUCUCUGGGGAAAACUCCUCAGAGAAUUCAUAACUUAGUAAGAAAAUAAAAAUACAAAGUGAGAAGGUAAGGCAGUAGAAAGAAAUAGACUUUACUUGUUUACCCAAACUUUUACAGAAGGAACUCCUCUCUGAGAACAGGCUCCCGAGAGGUAUAUAUAUGUACAUAAUUUAAAACUAAUUAUUACAUAGAUAUUUAGUCUUUUUACUAACUUAAAAACUAAGGAAUCAUGUAAUUGGUGGUUUACAAGGAGUAUUUUGGGAUUUCGACAACAAAAAUCUAAUGGAAAAUAUCUCCCAAUGUUGGUAGCAAAUAUCGGGAGGCUUCAGGAACCAUUUCGCAGGAGAAAAAUGGUGUCUGCGAGAUUUCGCAGACACUCAAGAGGGCUGCGAAAUAAUUUCGCAACACCAAGCUAAACUCGCAGGGCUGCGAAGUUGGCUUCCACCUUGAGGUUCCAAGCUUCCUUCUCGCGGUAUAUGUCGGGCAUUGUCAGAAGGAGAAACAUCACACUGUACAAAAAGGCUGCGAAAUCACUUCGCAACAAAAGGGUGAUUUCGCAACACUUUGCAAAAUGCUUCCUUCAACUCAGAGUGAUUGGCUUGUAAUGGCUGCAACUUCUUCGUUUCAACUCCGAAUUGCACAUCGUUUGAAGAAUUGGAUUGUUGACUUCCUGAGCUUUGAAAUGGUAUAUAGCAUGCAUCAUUUGGACUUCAGAAAGUGCUCCAAAAGUGGCUGCUAUGACUAUCAUCAAGAAUAUGCUUUAUGGCAGAUUCUCUUUGCUUUUUCUCCUUGCAAUCCGGAUUUACUCUUGGAAAAUGACUUCUAAGCUUUGCCCAAGAUUCCUCAUAGCUCUCCUCAGUCUUGACUUGCUUUGGUGAUCAAAAUACUAACAAAAACACCAAAACUUACACAAAGUGAUCAAAAUUGCUUUCAAGGGUCCUUAACAUGCCAAUUGAGUUAAAAGGCCAAAACUACUACUCAAAAGUGUUUAAAAGGAUUAAUUAUAGGCUAUCAAAUAGCACUUUUUGAGUAGUAAUCAUAGAACAGCUUAUAAAACUAUUCUUGGCAUGUCUCCCUAUCACCUAGUCUAUGGCAAAGCAUGCCAUCUCCCUGUGGAAGUUGAAUAUAAGGCUUGGUGGGCAAUCAAGAAGUUAAACAUGGACUUGAUCAGAGCCAGGGCAAAGAGGUGCUUAGACCUUAAUGAGAUAGAGGAAUUAAGAAAUGAUGCUUACAACAAUUCCAAAGUUGCAAAACAGAGGAUGAAGAGGUGGCAUGAUCAAUUAAUCUCCAACAAAGAAUUCCGAAAAGGACAAAGAGUCUUACUCUAUGAUUCAAGGCUCCAUAUCUUUCCUAGGAAGCUCAAGUCAAGGUGGAUAGGCCUUUUCAUUAUUCACCAAGUGCAUCCCAAUGGAGUGGUGGAAUUACUGAAUUCCAACAGCACUGACACUUUCAAGAUCAAUGGUCAUCGUCUCAAGCCAUUCAUUGAGCCAUUCAAGCAAGAAAAAGGAGGAAAUCAACCUCCUUGAGCCACAGAAAGCCUAAUCAGAAACAGGUUAAAUGGACUUGGUUUCACCAAAGUCCAUAUUUUUUGUUAAAUUUUGUUAAUUUAAAAGCUUUGUUAAUUCUUUUGAUUUUAAUUUUGGUCUUAAAUUGUGUUAUUUAUAUGUAACUUAAUCUUUUUGAAUGAUCUAAUUUAGAAGGAAUUGCAAAGAAAAUGAAGGAAGGUCUCUUGGAGCUAAAAGGAUUUCAAAAGCAAAGGAAAAUUCAUGGCCUGCGAGAUUUCGCAGCCCAAAGGAAGCCUCUGCGAAAAUGGCCCUUGGUUACGAAAUGAUUUCGCAGCCCCAAGAAGAGCGCUGCGAAAUGAGGUAUCCGUUGCGAAAACGCCCCUUGGCUGCGAAAUGAUUUCGUAGCCCCAAGCCCCCACUCUGCGAAAAUUUUCGCAGCUGCGAAACACGCCUUUGGCACACGAGUGCCAUUUCGCAGGCCCCCACUUUAUUUCGCAGCUGCGAAAUAGGCUGCGAAAUCCCCAAGCUUUAAAACUCCAAUUUUCGCAACCCCAAGGAAGCCGCUGCGAAAUCAGGCCUCCGCUGCGAAAUAGCCCCUUGGCUGUGAAAUGAUUUCGCAGCCUCAUAGCUCCCUCUGCGAAACCACCUAUUAGCACACGAGUGCCAUUUCGCAACCUCCUACCCUCAUUUCGCAGCUGCAAAAUGGCUGCGAAAUCCUCAAAGCCUUAAAAACUCCAUUUUCGCAGCCAAAGCCCAAUUUCGCAGGGUGUUUCGCAGCUGCGAAACACCCCUUUGGCACACAAGUGCCAUUUCGCAGCACACCCCCCUCAUUUCGCAGCUACGAAAUGGGUUGCGAAAAUGCCUUUUGUUGCGAAAUCGGCCCUCCGCUGCGAAAUCGGCCCUCCUCUGCGAAAAUUAAAACGACCCUUGGCAUCCAUUUUAGAACUUUAUAAAUUCCACCUUUCUUUUUAAAACUGGUCAUUUGAAUUGCAAAAAGGUGCCAAAGAGGAGCCAAGCCAAAGUGAUUACUACCAAAAAGUGCUAUUUUGUAGACCUAAUUAUAAUGGUUUUAAGCACCUUUGAGUAGUAAUCAUAUUCAUUUAACCCAAUUAAUUCAUUAAGGUCCUUAGUAAUUGGUUUUAACCUUUUUGUGGCAAAGUUGACAUGUUUUUUAUCAGCUUAUGAAUCGAUUCAAGCAUGCCAAUUGAUGGAGGAGCUACUUGGGCGAGUUAAGCAAGGAUUUUGUACGUUUAUAGGCUUGAAUUUCAAGUGGAAACACGAGCACAAGCAAUGGGGAAGAGGAAAACAGAGUGAAGAAAACAGAGUGAAGAAAACAGCUGCAGUCUUCUUUUGAACUUUUGGAGCACUUCACGAAGUCCAUUUUUUGCAUGCUAUAUACCAUUUGAAAGCUUAGGAAGUCAAGAAUCCAACGCUUCAAACCGUGUAUGAUUUUGAGCUGAAAUGAGGAAUAUAUGGCCUUUGGAAGGCAACUGCAUCAUGUCAAAUGACCAAUUUCGCAAUGUGAAUUUCACAUUGCGAAAAUUUCGCAAGGAGAUUUUCUUCAUGGUGCGAAAUUUUGCCACUUCGCACCAUGAAGAAACACAUUGCGAAAAUUUCGCAAGGAGGAUUUAGGCACAUUGCGAAAUUCCUUUGAAUCCCCUGUUUUGAGACGUUGUUGAUGUUAUUCCACUAUCGGUUCUCCAAGAUAUUUUGCUUGAUUUUUAGCUUUGUAAAUACCUAUUUUACCCUUGUAAUCAACCAAUGAAUAGGUAUCUUUUGUAAUAGCUCUUGUAAUUUAGCUUGUUAUUGUCUUGAAAUAGAGGUGAAGAGCCUCAGACAAUCAUCUAAUCUUGUAACCUGUAACUUUAUAAGUUAUAAGAGCACUUUUGUUCAUACGUUUCUUUCUCAUUUUCUUAGUAGCCAAACAUCCUUGGGGGAUGAAAUCCCUAAGGAUGAGAGGCUAAAACCUUUUAGUUUCUUGAAGUAAUGGAUGCCAUGUGAAGCUCCCGUGUCAGGAUGGAGAUUUCCAAGCCAUAAAUGUAAGUAGCUGAGCGUCAUAAAUGUUUUCAUUCAAAGUAAAGCUUUUAAUCCCCCUGACUUGCUUUGAAUGGCCAAUACUUGAUAAUCUUUUGGUCUUAGUGGAUUCUUAUUGUUAGAUCCACUGACGUUCAUUAGUUAUCUCCUACGAGCCAUUGUAUUGCAAGUCGAGGAGAUGACCUAUAUCAUUAAAAGGGCAUUUAUGAGGUUCAGCUACCCUUUUUGUAAGUUUUCAAGGACUAAAACUCAGUUGUUAAACUCAUACCGGUUCGGGAAGUAAGCAUCACCUUAGUUGCUUCCCCAACUCGAGGUGAAAAAUCCCAAAAUCUCCAUUUUUACACAGUGAGUUAAGCAUGGCUAUCCAAAGCUUUGAGAAACUUCUUUUUCCAUCUUUUAACCUAUUUUCAUGUUAGUUUAAGUUUACAACACCUUCAUCUUUUUAUGUUUUCAUCUUAACCUAAUUUUUAUUAAGAAAAGUUCACUCCAUCCUCCGAACUUCACCAGUUAAAGUAAAAACCCUUCCCAGUGUUCGAUCCUAGAGCCACUAUGCUAUAGUAGCUUUGCUACUUUAGUGUAAGGACCUUAGGUAUAAAUUUUGUUGAUACCCUUACAUGCCAAGCUACCAAGAGUCGGGUUAUCACAAAGAAACCGUCCAUUUGCUCCCCCAUCUGAGCCCAAGCCGCGCGCACCUUCGGCUGCUUUCCGUCAGUCAGCCAUGGCAAGAACCCAAGGAGUUAAGUCCUCGUCUCUGUCAGACCGCAAGAGAGCCCCAAAAGAGACCCCUGUUCAAAGCUCCAUGUCCGAGCCUCCGCGACCACUAGUCGUCCCACCUCCGGUUGAGGACACACCAUUGAGUCCUCCGGCAAGGAGCUAUCAGACAAGGUCAAGUAGCCAUCCCCCAAAGAAGAAAGCCACGGUAUCAGAGCCAGAGCUAAUUGACUUAUUAGAGCCGUCUUCAGAGCCUCCAUCAAAGCCGCAACCAUCUCAACCGCCACCCACACAGUCUCAGAUUCCCUCAUGCAUGACUCCUGAGGUGCUUAUCAGGCGUCCCAUGGUCACUCAGAUGCCCAUUGAGGGUAAUUUGGAUUGCAGGGCUAGGUCAUUCCACUCCGAGCUCUGUUUUGACACAGCCACUUUCAGACUUCAGCCAAAGCUCAGGGACUCCUUCCAUCUACUGCAGAGGUACCAUAUGGAGCAUUUGCUGACUCCCAGGGAUUUUUUCUAUCCCCGUGUAGCAAUGGACUUCUAUUAGUCCAUGACCACACACCAGGUCCGAGAUCCUACUGUUAUCCACUUCACCAUAGACGGACGUCAUGGUAUUCUGGGAGCUAGACACAUAGCAGAGGCAUUGCGUAUUCCCUACGAGCCAGCCCGUCCAGAGGAUUAUCGAGUCUGGACUCAUCCUGCCCAGAGCGACAUAGUUCAUAUUAUGUCUAGAGGAGCAUCCACACGCCAGUAUCUGUUGAGGAAGGAGCUCCCUCCUAGCAUGUUUUUCAUAGAUGCACUCCUGCGCCAUAACAUUUUUUCACUUCAGCAUUGGGUACAGAGGAGAGGAGUUUUACUAGAGGCAUUGUUCAGGAUAUCCGAGAGAUUCUUCUUUGGCCCUCAUCAUCUCAUUAUGGUCGCUCUUCUGUACUUUGAAGAGAAGGUCCAUAGCAAGAAGCUGCUCAGAGCGGAUGCAAUUCCACUUCUUUUCCCCAGAUUGCUAUGUCAAAUUUUGGAGCACUUGAGGUACCCAUCAGAGCCUCAGCUUGAGCGCAAAUGCAUUUUCCGAGAGAUAUUCACUCUCGACAAAUGGACGAGUAUGACAGCCUAUAGUGCAGAGCAGGGAGCCCCAGCUGGAGCAGAGCAUCUAGAUAUUCCACAUCCAGAGCAGCCAGAGGAGCCACAGCCGGUUGAGAUACCAGCUGACAUGAGAGCACCUGCCCCUAUAAUGCCUUCUACAGAGCCUAUACCAGAGGUUGCACCCUCUGCUCCUCCUGCCACACCACGGACUCCCCCUGUUAUUCCAGCUACAUCAGAGCCCUCUUCUUCAUCUGAGCCUAGGAUUGCCAUAUCCAUUUCCGAGUACAGAGGUCUAUGUCACACUUUGCAAACAUUGACCACUUCUCAUAGCAUCCUUGCUCAGGAGAUGACAGCUCUUCGUGCUCAUCAGGAGCAGAUUAUCGCCACUCAGACUCAGCAUACUGCCAUCCUGACGCAGAUUCAGCAUCAUCUGGGUAUUCCAUCAGCUCCUGAGCACCCCAUGCCUGUCCUCUCAGAGCCCACAGAGCCAUCACAGGCCCCUCCUUUCGUGGAGCACACUAUGCCCUCUGAGGAGCCGACUACAGGAGAUGCAAAGACAUCCACCUGAGCCAUCAUCUUCCCAUCAUCAUCCUCUCACUAUCUGAUCAUUUGCAUAAUUUCCUUUAUGUAUUUCCUUUAUGUAUUUCCUUUAUGUAUUUCCUUACUAUAGUAGCACUUGUAAUCCCAUGCUUUUGAUAAUUUAUAUAUUGGGAUUGGUUGUAUUACUUGUUUUCCUUUAUAUUGUACUUUCAUGAAGUAAUACAAAUCUAUCAAUUUUUUAGCACUCUUAGCAUUAUUUUAUUUUAAUUCCUCUACUCAUAUCUUUUGUUCUUUUUGAAACAUGUGGUUUCUCCUAUUCCACUCGAACUUCAUAUCACUCAGGAGGCACCACUUCCUCCCUGUAAUUUCAAUCGCUCAUGCCACAUUGAGGACAAUGUUCAACUUGGUUAGGGAAAGAGUUGAGGAAGGAAGUUUUUUGUUGUUAAUACUAAGUAUUUUGGUAAUUUAGUUUAUUUUUGUUUAAUUUUAAUUUUUUUUUAAGUUUUUAUUCUACUCUCCAUGGUUAUUAAGGAAAAAUUCUCAAAUUAAAAUAAGAGAAAUCGAAUUUUUGUUUUUACUUGACUUAGAUUUUGUAUUAUGCUUAUUAAAGAUGAUGAAUUGUUGAAACUUCUAUUGAAUUCAACCUUAGUUCUUCCACUUUAAGCUAUUCACACACUGUGCACAAUAGGUUCCGAUUAUAAGAUGAAAAACUAUUUCCCUCUUGACUUAGUAAAAUUUAGACUUGGUACCUUUGACCUCAUUUUAAUAGUGUUGGGACACCUUAUGAAAGGCCAAUGAGCUUUUGAAAAAAACAGAAAGAAAGAAAAAUGUUUGCUUGCCUUGAAACCCGAGCAAGGUCUGAGGGGUAUAUGGUGAAAAUCUUUAAAACCUGGUGCCCUAAGCCUUCAUUGGUUGGGAGUCACCGACCUCAAUGCUCGUUACAAGGGUGAAUAGGUGGAGUUAAACAUAUUGUAGGUGCUUGGGUAUUAAAAUUCAUUCUCAAAAGUCCAGGGUAAAAUCCGAGGAGUUAGUGGUUGAAAGAUCCUUAAAGCUUGAUGCCCUAAACCUUAAUUGGUUGGGAGUCAUCGAUGGACCCCCGUUACAUGGACAAUUUAGAAAAGAAUACCUUUAAGCCUUGUACUCCUACAAUGAAAAAAAAAUUGUGAAAUAAAAGGGUGCGUUCUUAGCCUAUUGAAUUUGGUCAGUUUGCUAAGUGUUGGAAAAGAACUAGGUUGGAGGGAGAGAUUAGUUUAGCAUACUAUAUUCGGAAGCUAUCAAGUAACACUUAGAUUUUUGUGGAAGAGUAAGGUUUGGUCCUUUGAAAGUGGAAAUGAUUUUAAAGCUUCAAUUUGCAUAAUACCUUCUCUUUAUGAAUUGUGAUUAGGUAAAGUAUUUGAUAACUCUUGCUGAAAUUUGAGUUUUAUAUCUUUAAUUUCCCAUGUGAGAGCUUGAUCAUCAUGCCACUUAAAAUUUUUUGAAGUGAUCAGCAUGAUUUUGUAAAGUAUAUUACUGUUUAGUUUAUUUUUUUCUCUCCUUUAUUGCUAAGGGACUAGCAAUAUGUCGGUUGGGGGGAGUGAUUACUACUCAAAAAGUGCUAUUUGAUAGCUUGUAAUUAACUCUUUUAAACACUUUUGAGUAUUAGUUAUUACCUUUUAACUCAAUUAGCUUAUUAAGUACCUUUGCAAUCGUUUCUAAUCAAAGUGUGUAAGUUUUGGUGCUUUUGAUAGUAAUUUGAUCACCAAAGCAAUCCAAGAUUAAGGAGAGCUCUAUGGAAUCCUUGGCAAAGCAAUUGGAAGCUCAUUUACAUGAAGAAUUCAAGCUUUGGAGCUUUAUAGUCCUUUACCAUAAACAAAUCAUGAAUGCAAGGAUGAAAGCAAAGAGAGAAAUCUAACAUGAAGAAUCCAAGAAGACAUCAAUUGUUUGACACUUUUGGAGCACUUUCUGGAGUCCAUUUUAUGCAUACUAUAUUUCUUUUUGAAGCUCGGGAAGUCAUCAAUCCAAUGCUUCAAAUGCUGCGCGAAUCGGAGUUGAAAUGAAGAAGUUAGAGCCAUUGGAAGCCGAUCACACCAAGCUGAAGGCCAAUUUCGCAGGUUGCGAAAAGCUGCGAAAUGAUUUCGCAGCCAUCUCGUGCGUCUGCGAAAUUUUGCAGCCAUCUUGUGCGCCUGCGAAAUGCUCCUAAAUGCUUCCAGAUAUUUGCGACCGACAUUUUUAGAUAUUUUUACUUCAGAUUUUUGAUGUCUAAAUCCCCAUUUUCUCCUUGUAAUCCACCAAUUAUAGGAUUCCUUAGUUAUUAAGUAAGAGAAAAGGGUGAAUAACCUCAUAUAUAUUGUUUUGUAAUUUUCAUUACAAAGAUAUCUCGGGAGCUUGUUCUUAGAGACGAACAUCUUUUUGUAUAGUUUUGAAGGAAGUAAAAUACAGAGCUUUGCUCUGCCUUACCUACUCAAUUUGAUUGUAUUUUUCUUACUAGCCAAACAAGCUCUAAGGAUGUUUCCUCAUAGAAUGGGUGGCUAGGAUUUUUGUCUCUUGGAGCUAAGGUAGCUGGGUAAGGUGUCGAAUGCAAGAAUUGGUAGUUUUGUUGUUUUAGUUGUUAAUGAAGAGAAAGUGUAACCCGUUUAUGGUUUCUAUGUUUUUAGUUAACUUAAAACGCCUUCAAUUCACCUAGGCCAACACUUGGUAAGGCAAGUGAUCUCCGUCCAUUGAGAUGCACUAGUUUACCUCUUGCGAGCCUUUGGGAGGUGACUUGAAGGUAGGAUUUUCUAGAAUUGCCAACACUUGGUAAGCUUUUAGACUCUAAGUAGACAUCCAUUAGUUAUCUCUUGCGAGCUUGAGAAGGGAAGUCCAAGGUUAAUGAUCACCUUGAAUGGCAAAUGCUAGGUGAGAGGCACGAGCCAUUGCAAGAUACAUCAGUGAGAGGGAAUUAGUGCUGAAAUCCAUGGAAGGGAUAUAUCUGUACAACACCGGUUGGAGAAUGAACUAUAUGUUAAUUCUCCAAUGCGAGGAAGAGAACCAAAGUGACCGAAACUCUGUUUUUGCAUGAGGAGCCUGACCCCAGUGAUCCUAAAACUCCAAGAAACGCUUUUCUUUAUAAGUAAUUCCCAUUUCUUUCUUUUUCGUUAGCUUGAAACCAAACCUUUUUCAACCAAAGUUUAUGUUUUCUUUUGAAGCUAACCUUGAAAUGAAAAAGCACCAAUUCAACUUUGAAUUGGUAUCAGUUGUAAGUUGAAAACCCUUCCCAGUGAACGAUCUUAGAGCCACUAUGUUAUACUAGCUUAUGCUAUCUUAGUGCAUGGUGAUAUAGGUUAUAAAUUUUGUUGAUUACUCUUGUCUGAGGACCAAACUCAAGGUACACCAACUGGGCAUGAAUCAAUGGGUAAGCAAAUAAAGAGAACUCAAUAAAAAAAGGUGGUAUAAGUUUCAAGGUUAUAUUAGUUGCAAAAGGGUACGCAUAACAUAAAUAUAUUCAUGAUAAUAAAGUGUUUUAUCCUAUUGUUAAUCAUUCUUCUAUUAGAUUAUUGUUUGCUCUUAUUGCUCAAUAUGAUUUGGAGUUGUCUUAGUUAGAUGUUAAAAUUGAUUUUCUCCAUGGUGAUUUAGAUGAAGAGACAUCUAUGUCUUAACUGGAAAGGUUUUAAAGAACCAAGAAAGAAUAAUUUGUUUGUAAAAUUAAACAAAUCAUUAUAUCAUUUGAAGCAAUCCCCAUGGCAAUGGUACAAGACAUUUGAUCAAUUUAUAAUAGGAAGAAUUACAUUAGAAGUAAAGUUGAUCAUUAUGUUUAUUUUAGUAAAUUAUCUUAUGAAAAUUAUAUUUCUUUGUUAAUAUAUGUCGAUGAUAUGUUGAUUGCUUGUAAGCCUCUGAUAGUCAUUCAUAGGUUAAAAAAUUAGUUGAGAACUAAAUUUGAAACUAAGGAUCUUAGAAUGCAUGAAAAAUUAUUGGAAUGGAGAUGACAAGGGAUAGAAGAAAGGGGAUUGAUGAAUUGUCACAACAACAAUGUUUGUAGACAUUACUUUAGCAUUGUGGUAGGACUUCCAAAAUAAAAAGUGUACUCCUUUGGCACCUCAUAUGAAACUCAAUGUAGAGAUGUCUCAUAACUUAGAUGAAGAAGUAGAGUACAUAUGCAUAAUGUUCCAUAUGCUAGUGUCGUUCGAAGUUUGAUGCAUACCAUGGUUUAUAGUAGACUUGAUAUUCCACUUGUUGUCAUCAUGGUUAGCAGGUAUAUGCAUAAUCCAAUGGCUCUAGCAAACAGUAAAAUAAAUUUCAAGAUAUAUUCUAUGCACAACUGAUGUUGGAAUAGUAUUUCAACAAGGAUGUUCAACACAAGAUAUGGGUUAUGCAUAUUUAGACUAUACAACUAAGCCUUGUAAGUGUACGUCUAUUAUAGGUUCUGUAUUUACACUUGUAGGUAGACCUAUUUGCUAGAGAUCAACAUCUAUUGUGGCUUUGUCUGCUACAGAGCUAGAAUAUAUGAUAAUUAUAAAAGCUUUCAAGGAAGCUAUUUGGUUACAUGGUUUGGUUAAGGACUUGGGAAUCAAACAUGUCACAUCAUAACUUAUUGUGGUAGUUAAAGUGUCAUUCAUUUGGAAAAGAAUCAAAUUCAUCACUCCCAAACAAAGCAUAUUGAUGUUUGAUUUUAUUUUAUUAAAGAAAUUCUAUAAGGUGAUAUCUUUCUUCAAAAGAUUGCUACUAUAGAUAAUCUAGCUUAUAUGUUGACAAAGAUAGUUUAUGGGAUCAAGUUCAAUCAUUGUGUAGACUUAAUCCAUAUUGAGAGGAUAUGAGUAUCCUCAAGUGCAUUUGGCUACAAGAUCCUUAAAAGAAUUUGUGUAGCGUUCAAUCUUGGCAAGGUGGAGAUUGUUAAAUUGGCUUCACUUGAGUUAAUCAACCAAAUAUUGCAAGAGAAUUUUGAAGCCUUAAUAGUUAAACCAUAUAUUGUUUUUUUAGGUGAUGGUUGAAGAAUAAAGUCUAUAGUUACAAUGCAUGUAGUUGGUUUGAAAAGUUUCUUGAGGAACAUAGGAUAUAAUUGAUGUUCUCUACAUUGGUUUUUCUUUUUUCUUUUUUCAAUUUUGAAAUUCCAGAGAAAACUAUCUUACAAAGGAGAAAAUACCACACUUAGGACAAAGAGUACUUUGUAAUUAUUCUAUACUCUUUUGAGAUCUUUAGUGAAUGAUCUUACUAUAGGCAAAAACCUUAAAGUUUUACAACGUUAUGAUGUAGUAUUUCCAAUAAUAUAUGCACUUCAUUUUCAAAACCUUUCAAGUAUGUUGCCUCAUCUCUUUCUUGUCCAUGGAGUUUUUUCGAGGCUACCACAUUGCCUAUACAUAAUUAAGCCUUUAAACACUACCAUAGCCUUCGAUACCUAUGUAAUUUUUGAUAUUGAAAUCUUCUGUUGCCUUGAUGAUGUCUUCAUAAGCAAUCUUACCAUCAUAGUUCCAUGCCAAAAAUAUAUAUCCUUAUGGAUGUUACUUUGGUUUGAUUUUUUCUUAUCUUCAAUGAAAGUGGGAGGGCCAUAAAAGAAAGAAACAAAGUGGUAAAAAUAAUAAUAAUAAUGAUGAGUAUGAUUUUAUGUCCCUUCUUAGAAUGAGGCAAGUCUUCUAUGUCCACACAUAAACCUUUAUUGUGGUCAAAUACUGUAAAUAGAUGUUCAAACUGCAUUAGAUUCUUCAAAUCCCCAAUUUCAAAAGAGCUAGCAUCGUUGAUUUGAUUGUAACAAAGAUAAAAAUGAGUCAAAUCAGUAGAUGCCCCAAAGAUGAAGGAAUAACACCAAUAAGGGAGUUAUGACUAAAAGACAAUUCCAAGAAUUCUAGGUUGGUAAAAUAUCCAAGUGAGGAAGGGAUGACUCUGGAAAAAGAGUUAGAACCCAAAUCCAAGUGAAUCAGAUUCAUUAAAUUCCCAAUCUAGUAAGGAAUAAAACCAUGGAUUUCAUUGUAGCUUAGGCUUAAAUAUUUAAGCAAGUAAACAAUAAUAGCACAAAAUAAACAAGAAAAUAAUAACAUAAUUAUUUCCUCAUGGGCUUUAAGGAUCUUAUUGCACAAUUAGUAAUAAUUUGGAUAAAAUCCAAAUAACGAAUAUUACCAAAAAUACCUAUAACCAAAAAUAUGAUUAUAAAAUAAAAAGAAACCUUAAAAAUGAUGGGAAAAACUUGAAUCUCUCCAUUUUCCGAGCCUAGAUCAGGCUAGGAACAUGCUUAACUAUCCUAAGCUUUUCUAAAUCCCAUGCAUAGUGAAAAAAUUGCAUCUUUAAAACUUAAUAUGGAUUUAAUAAGUGCUAACGAAAACAUAAUUUGGAUUCAAAUGUUCUUAAAUCCAAUCCACAUAGUGAAUAUAAAGAAGGAAUUCAUAGAAGUCUCAUAAACUCAAAGUCUUCCAUUCGAUGACUUGAACCUUGAACUUAACACACUUCAGGUGGGAAUGUAAGAUAGGGUAAAGGCUAUGGCUCUCUCUCUCUCUAGAGGUGAAAGACAACUCUCUCAAAAAAACAAUGGAAACCCUAACCCUUAAGGGGUAUUUAUAGGGUUUCCCACUAGGCUUAAGUAACUUAAGCCCAUUAAAGGCUUGGGUCACUUAGUCUAGAAAAAAACAAGUCCUAAUUGAUUAAUUAACCUAAUAAGGCCAAUUAAUUAAUUAAUUAGUUCAAUUUAGAGAACUUGUUCACUUGCCUUGUGCAACCUUACGUAAUUACCAAAAUGUCCUUAUGCAUAAAAGUGAACCUAAAGUUAAUCCAACCUUUAUUACCCAUGCCAACAAGGUAUAUGAGCGUAGAAUAGGGACCAAUGGGACACAUAAAAGUAAUGACACCCUUAAAAUCCAAUUUUGAAGUUGAUUCAACAUCCCACUACAGAGAAUCAACUGAACUCCAAUAUCCUAUGUGAAUAACAACAAGACACCAUGUGCUUGAAUCUGUGACCUGUUAUCCAUUACGUUCAGUCUCCCCAUAAACUUGUGUCCAUAGUCUAAUAAGGUGAAAGCUAUCAGUCUUUCAAGACUACCUUUGCUAUCCUUGAGUUAUAGAUCCUUCUAUUUUGUUUUCAAUUAACAUAUCUUAGCUUUCCAAGAGCUAAUGUCAAGUUCCACUUAAAGAACUACUAUGACCAUAGUUUCCAUGAACAUACCUCCAUAGGAUUAGCCAAGGGGACACUCUAUCUCAAUCCCAUAAGAUAUCAUGGUGCCUCUAUUGAGAAUACCUAUUGCUACUAAUUUCCAUCAAUAGUGACCCAAUCCAUAAGGAAUAUAUAAUCAGCUUACGAUAUCACCUAUAGGUCAAAGUCAUUGCUAACUUGAACAUAAGCUCAACAUUCUCUCAAGAUUGAGGGACAAUACAAUGAAGCAGCUUGGUGAAGUCAUGACUACAUGAUAGCCUUACAUCAUAACUCAUCGUAGGUCUUGUCCAAUGUGCAACCAUACACACUAAUGCACUCACCAUGGGAAACCUAUCCUAAUGGCCAAGACCAGUCAUCCCUCCAAUUAGGAGGUAGUGCACUAUAACCUCUAAUGGGUUGCCUAAGCCUAUGAACUAGCUGUGAACAAGUCAUCCAUUUGCAAGGAACCCAUGACUUAGAUCUUGAAUGCAACUCCUAAUGCACCUAAGUCACAUAUAAUGGAAAAAAUGCAUGCCAAAGUGCUUACAAGAUAUAAUGCAUAGAAAUAGGAUAACUAAAAGUAAACUAAAACUUUAUUAAAUAAAUAAUAGAAAUUCACAUGUUUAUUACAUCAUGUCAUGUUUUUAAAGGCUCUAUCCUAACAAAAAAAAAUACCUUAAAAAUGUCAAAUAGCAAUCAUUUGCACUUUAGCGUCCCAAGGGUCGUUGGAAGGACUACUCAAUCACUUAAGCAUUGAGGCCACUUGAGUGCUAAUCUAAGUGCUUAAGCACUACAUCCUACACAUGAGGUUGUUUCUAUAACUAUUUUAACCAUCGUUUCUAUGAAAGCCUCAUCAUUUUGGAUGACUUUUUGCACCAUGGAUGCUCGUGAAUGCUUGGAAUCUUUAAUCUUCAAGUUUUGGGUCACCAAAGACGGAUAAAAUUUUGAUUUUUACAUUAAGAAAAAUCUUAUGCUUCGUUAGAUGGAGUGUACAGUCCAUCUAAGAACAAAAGACUUGAUAUUUACUUAUAAAAUCAAAAUUUUAUGCUCCUAACCACAAAGUUUCCAACCUAGUCUAUACAAAGAACAAAUCCAAACACUUAAUCACAAUUAUAAACAUCAUAUUCAUAAAAAUAACAUCCAUGCAUUCAUCCCUUUAGGUCAUGGGAUGAACAAACAUGCCUACAAAACCAAGUAAGCACACCUUAGAAUGGAUCUAAUAAGCUUUUUUGUAACCUAGGGCUUUGAUACCAAUUGUUGGGAAAACCUGGAUUGCUCCAUUAUCAUGUCUUGGAUCGUUAGUGUGCAUGAAAACCUAUUCUAGGCUCUCUAAAUCUAUCAUACAAUAGAAACAUUGCAAUUGAAACCAAAAAGAAUACCAUAGAUUUAGAGAUUAGUGCCAUACAUGUUAUUUAGAUAUUCCUAGAUUGAUUCCUAUCAUUGUAGAAAGCUCCAAAAUUGAAGAAAAUUUAUAAACAUCAUGAUUUUCCACCCAAUGACUUCUCCUUGAGUGUAGGUGCUAAGAUGGUGGAGAUCUCAAGGGUUGGAGGCUAGGUUUCUCUCUCUAGACUAUAAGGAGAGAAUGGUAAGAUUGAACUUCACUAGAAACCCUAAUCCCCUAAAGGAGUAUUUAUGGGCUUCUUACUAGGCUCAAGUGACUUAAGCCCACUAUGGACUUGCGUAAGUUAAUUUAGCCUAAAAGGGUGCUAAUUGAUUAAUUAACCCUAUAGAGCUCCAAUUAAUCCAUUAGUCUAAUCCAGAGAUAUUGCAUACUUAUCCUUAUGCAACCUUGCAUGAUUACCAAAGAGUCAUAAUAUUCAUAAGUGAACUAAAAACUCAUCCAACCCUCAUAAACUGUGUCAUCAAAGAAUAUGAGCUCAAGUGAGGACCAUUAGGACCCAUAGGAUAGAACUAGCUCUCUCAGAAUCCAAUUCUAAAGUUGACUCAAUAUCCCACUAUAGAGAGUCAAUUGCACUCCAAUACCCCAGGUAUAUUACAACGAGACACUAAGUACUUGGGUACGUGAGUCUCUUCAUGAACUGGUUAUUGAUAGUCUAACAAGAUGAAAGCUAUUAGCUUUUGAAGACUACCUUUACAAUCCUUAAGUUACAGAUCCUCAUCUUAUUAUGUGAACAAAUGACAUACUCUAGCUUACUAAGAGCAUGUGUCGAAUUCCACUAAAGGAAUUACUACAAGCCCAUAAACUUCAUGAUCACGUGUCCUUAAGAUCACCUAAGUGGACAUACUAUCUCAAAGUCCAUGAGCUAUCAUGGUGUCUAUAUUGAGAAUACCUGUUACUACUGGUUUCCAUCAACAGUGACCCAAUCCAUAGGGAAUAUAUGAUCAGCUUACGAUCUCAACCAUAAGUCAAAGCCACUACUAGUUUCUACACAAAAUCAAUAUCCUCUCAAGGUGAGAGACUAUAUAGUAUAGCAACUUAGUGAUGUCAUGACUCCUUGAUAACCUUAUGUCAUGACUCAUCGUAGGUCUUGUCCAAUGUGUAACUAUACGCACUAGUGCACUUUUCAUGGGAAACUCAUCCUGACAACCAAGACUAGCCAUUUCUCUAAUUAGGAGGUGGUGAAAUACAACCCCAAAUGGAUUGCCUAAGUCCACAAACCGAUUGUGAACAAAUUAUCUACUUGCAAGGAACUCAUGACUUGUAUCUUAUGUGCAAUUGCUAAUGCACCUAAGUCAUGUACAAUGCAAGGCAAGAGAUGCUAAGCCAAAGUGGUCAUAGAGAAUAAUCCAUGGAAUAAGUAUAGAUAAGAGUGAACUUGGAAUAUCAUCAUGAAUUUCAAAUUUGUUAUACCAUCUCAUGCUUUUAAGGAUUCUAUCCUAACACUGUGUACCUUGAGUAUAUAGUUUUCUUUAAAUUUUAAAAUAUAUUGUUGCUUUCUUAUUAAAAAAUCAUUUAAAAAAACCUCAUUUGACCCUUUGUAUAUUGUUUUUCUAUACUUGAAUGAUAGAAAUGGUGAUUUAGGUUUGGCUUUCUAGCUUAUAUGACUUUUAUGGUAAAUGCUUCAAAGCAUAUUCAUGAUACUAUCUUGCUAAUGUUGAGGAUGACGUAGCAUAACUUCAAGAAGGUAUUUGCAAAGUAGAAUGUACAAUUUCUAGAUUAAAUUUUUUAGAAAUGUUUAUAAAGUUUAGAUUUGAAGAUUACUAUGGCUUAUUUUUAAUAAAAUAGAAUUUGUAGAUAUCCUAUUAUGUUAUUGCUUAAUACAAAAACAAAAAAACAAAAAGAAAAAAAAACAAAAACAAAAAAACAAAAACAAAAACAAAAACAAAAACAAAAAGAAACACAAAAAAAACACAAAAAAAAAAACAAAAAAAAGGGUUUAAUUUUGAUGUCUUCUACAAGAUGCAUUCACUUUUAUAUUAUUUAAAUAACAUUUUCCAAUAUGUUGUCAAAUAUAUGUUUUCUUAUAUUAAUUUCUUCCAAUAUUUUACUUAGGAAUAAAAAUGGAAUAUUGCAAUUAUUUUUAAUGUUGCAAUUAUUUUUCCUACACACACACAUAUAUAGAGCCUAUCUAAAAAGGGAUUGAUUAGGGUUUAAGCUUUUUCUUUGCACAAAUUUGAUCAUGAAUGAUACUUACAAUGAAUCAACUUAAUUAAUAUAAACAUCUCAUACUAAUUUAAUCAUAUAUAAUUUACUAUAAAAUAUUUCUAAUUCUUUCUUAAUUCAAACUAAAAAUUUAAUUCUUUUAAUCAAAACUUUUUGUUUUAAAAAUGAGUAAUACAAAAGGUUGACGAAAAAAUUAAAAAAAAAAUGUAGAAGAAUAAUAAAUUUAUGAUACAUGAAAUGUGUAUAUAUCUCAACUUAGAAUUAUUAUAUCCUAUAUUAAAAGGAUGUAUAAAGGGAUUGGAUCAAUAAAUUAUCUUAUUGAAUGUUUGAUUAAAUAUGAUAUAUGAUAAUUAAAGGAUGAGAUCAUUUAUCCUAUCCCAUAGCUAACCAAACAUGGGAUAGGAUAUGUUAUCUCAUCUCUUAUCUCAUCUAAUAUUAUGUAUAUUAAAUCAACUAAAUACAACCUUACUUUAGAAGGUAAUUCAAUUGAGAUGUGGGGAUGUGGACUACUAUUACUUUUAAAAGAAAUAUAGAAGUGAUAUAGACUAUUGAUAAGUUGAGUGGAUUAUGGGGGGGAUACGUUGAGUGGGUUCAAUUUGACAUCCACCUAUCUAAAUAUAUUAAUAGAUCAUCUUGGAUUAUGAAAAUUAUGAAGUUGAAAAACAAUAUGGAGCACACACUGGUAAUAUAAAAACAAAUCAAAAUUGGUAUCAUCAUUGCAUGCUAGUUACCUAAUUAUAUUUGUUGAAUAUUUAGUUGCCAAAGUGAAAUCUCAUGAAAAGAUUCAAGAAAUGGUGAUUGAGUAAGAAGCUUCGAUGAGAUGUGUUGUUGGACGAGAUCUCGGAUUAGCAUGUAUGCAUUUCAGUGCCAACCAAACCACAAGAACUACAUCUUUAACAACUUGUUAGUCUUGAGGAGAUGGGAGAUGUGAAUCUAAUAUAUUAGUGAGCAUUAUGUUUUGAGCUGAUGAGGAAGACAGUAAGGUGAAAAGUUCUCCUGGAUGUUUUCCCAUCAUUGUCUCAAGUGCAACUACUCCAAAGCUAUAAACAUCACAUUUUUCUGUCACAAUCAUAGUAUAGGCAAGCUAUGCUAAGAAUCAAAAUAAGAAAUAAAUAUUGCACAAAUGAGAAAGUUACAUUCAUUUGAUUUUCUCGUAUUAGCCAUAACUAUAAAAUGUUAAUAAUGUUUCAUAGCAUUCCAUUGACAUUUGGCUACAUUUUAUUUCUAGGAUUGUGAUGAAAUUAAGUUAAUUUUUACAACUUAUAUGAAAUCUUUGAAAAACCAUUCUAAGGAGUUUUUAAAAAUGUUUAGGUAUUAUUAGGAAAAUGAAGACAACCAUUUGGAGAAUGCUUGAGAGACCAUUGAUAAGUAUUUUCUAUAUAAAGUUGUCUAGCUCUCUAAUAUCCUAAACCUUUUUUUUUAUAACUUUUUAAAAUAACUAUUAAGAGUUUUCUUUUUCUUUUCUUUUUUUUGGGAAUUUUAGAAUAAAUAAAUAAAUAAAAAGAGAAAAAUAUGUUAAAGAUAUUUCAACUUCUAUGAGGGCCCUUUGGGCAUAUAGCAAAUAAUAUUUACACAGUUGGAAGCACAUCAUUAUAAAUAAUAUAAAGUUUGUUUGGCUCUGUAAUCCCAUUGGACACAAAAAGGAUGUUAUGCCUGCAUAAGGGAUGAGUGUGAUAUCUCACAAUAGAUAUUAAAACAAACAGUUCUAAAACUACAUAUGAACGAGUUCUUCUUAACCUUGUAAAUGCAUUUUGAAGUCGUGUGAACCCUUAAGCCUAGACUAAACAAUAUCUACGCGGUUUGGAGAUAAUAUCUAGUUUGCAUGAAAAAAUAAAGAAAAAUAAUGUAUUAAAUAUUUUAAAGAAUAUAUUUACUUUUGAGCUCUUCAUAAUUUUGAAAUAAGUAAUAAUAUUAGAAGUUUUGUUUGGCUUGUAAAAAUAUUUCCUUUCCGUUCAUCCAAUAUAAUAUAUCACUUCUAUGAAGUACAUAAUGAGAGGUAUAAAAGUACUAAAUACAUCAAAUCUCAAAGAUACCAUACUAAAACGAAAAUAGCUAGAAGUUCAAAAGAUAUAUCCGAAAAGUAAAAGUUGAAAGAAAUAUUAGUGUGUACUUACCUGGUGCUAUGUAACAGUGUCUGCAAAAAGUGUUUGGUUUGAUGAAUCAAGAUGUAGCAGUCUAGCAGUGCCAAAAUCCAAUAGAAAAGCGUCUAGUUUAAAAUCCAAAAGAAUAUUGUUGCUUGAUAUGUCCCUAUGAAUAAUGGAGGGAGUACAGUCAUGAUGCAUGUAGCAUAAGGCAUGGACUAUGCUUUUGACCACAUUCACCCUUUUAAUCCAAUCCAAUUCCAAAGCUUCAACUUCAUUGCUCAAUACACAAAAUAAGCUUCCUCUUUCCAUGUACUUUUAAAUCAAAAACAUGCAUUUUUUUUGCAGACAAUAGUCGUGAAGUUUUAUAAUAUUCUGAUGUUGUAUUUUUGACAAUAUCUGCACCUCGUUUUGAAAACUUUUCAAGUAUGUUGCAUCAUCUAUUUCCUAUCCAUGAAACUUUUUCAGGGCUACCACAUUGCCUGUAGGCAAUUGAGCCCUAUAAACAUUGCCAUAGCCUUUGGUGCCUAUGCAAUAUUUGAUAUCAAAAUCCUUUGUUGCUUCAAUGAUGUCUUCAUAAGCAAUCCUACCAUCAUAGUUCCACAUUGAAAAUAUAUCUCCAUUUUUUGUCGAUGUUGUCUUGGUUUGAUUUUGUCUCGUAUUCUGUAAAAACAAGAGAAACCCAAACGUCGCAAAAAGAAAUAAGAUGGUAGAUAUAGCAAUAACAAUGAUGCAUAUAAUUUUAUGUCCUCUUCUACAAUGUGUCCAACCUUUGAUUUCACCACAUAAACCUUUUUUGUGGCUAAACACCUUAGGGUGAUGUUCCAACUGUAAUUCAAUGGGUAUAUGACCCUCCAAAUCAUUGUACGACAAAUCAAUUGAUGACCACCUAUAUAUUGGAAGAGUAGGAAUGCGACCUAAGAGGUUAUUGUGGGAGAGAUUCAAGUUUUGGAGCUGGGAAGGUAUCUUUCCAUUGAUCAAAUGCAAAUAUCAAAGUUGCGGGUGUUUGAAUAUAUAUUCUCGUUAUGGCAAGCUGAAGCGUGAAUUUCAUUGAGUCUAUGGACCUACUGCUGCCCCUAUGCUGGACCAAAACGCACAGCCAUUAGUGACAUUCCUUGUUUGGCGACUCAUUUAAAAGAUGAUUAAAAUUGGGUCAAAGCUAGACACUGACAGCUAUGCAAGAAUGUUGGGUUUCUUGAUUUUGGUGCCUUUGGCUCUCGUCCGUUCUGGUUGGCGGGUCUAUUCUCAGUCAAUUUUCACGUCAAUACAGUGCUUGAUUCGAUGAGAGUUUUUCUUUUUCUUCUUCUUCUUUCGAUAUUGCGUUCGAGGUCAAAGAAGUCACAGCUUCGAUUCCUCUAUCUGAAACCAAAUGGACCUAAUAUCAAUGUCCCCAAAAUUGGUGCUGCUGGUCUAAUCAGAAAAGAUUCAUUAUCCUUGUUCCGCUGUUUGGAGGAUGUUGAGCCGCUUAUCUAUGGUUCUUUUGAUGAACUUGGUGAUUUUGUGAACUCUGGGUUUGAUCUGUAUGGCGAUGAUCUAGAACGCGAAAUUCUUUUUUGAAGUGCUCCGACGCAUUAGUAGUAUCAGCCGACAACUGGGCAAAACCGCUUCAGCACUGUUUUAUGAAUCUCUUAUUGGUGCAUCAAUUAUUUCACCUGAAGAAGUUGUUCCUCGCAGUUUCUCCACCCCCUCAAACUGUCAGAGACCGAAGAUGCCACGUGUUUCUGGACCAUCAGAAGCUCCUCAAAAUUCAGAGGUGGCUGAAAAUGUUACUUCAUCACCUCUAACACCAAUUUCUUUAUCAAACAUCCAGCCGGUAUCAACUUCUUCUGUCAAUGAUACUAGUCAACACUUGGAGAGAAAAGUUUCGUUGGAAUUCCUGAUAAAACUUCUGGUACAAUCAAAGAGCAACUUGCAUCAGUCACACCACUAAUAGAAGAUCUAAAAUCGAAGUUUGGUGGAUGUUCCGGGUAUUUGGGCAUGAGAGAAUCUGGAUGUUGAUGGGCAAUGCAUUAGUCAACCUCCUUACUUUUCAUCUGGAUAUCUUCAGCAACCUGUUCCUUAUGGGACAGAAGCCGUACCGUGUUAUUCAUGAUUUGACUUACAUUGGAGAUGCUACAAAUGGAACCAUGCAUGUAUAGUCAUUCAUCCCUACCCGUGCCAUUACUCACCUCCAUUAACCUAAACCUCCCUUCAUACCCACUGCUCGUUUCCCAUUGAUUUAAUUCCUACCCUACCCUAUCCUACAUGCAGGACCAUCCUCCAUAAUACCCAUGUACAUACCCAUUUUCCAUACCCAUUAAAUCAUCUAUCUCUCCCCCAUCUCACUACAUUUUUUUUUUUAUCUUUUUACACUCUCAUCAUCCACUUCCCUCACUAUUUUCCAUCACCCGUCUAUCCCUCAUUUCCUACCCGUUUGGCUUCAUUACCUACGUCCUCAAUACCCACCUCAUCCUUCAUAACCCUCCACACCUAUACCCAUCCUUCAUGCCAUGCCCAUCAUCACCCUCUUCAGUGAGCUCCACCAUCUUAAUUCAGAGGAAACAGUUUGGACAGAUGGGUCACUUCCAGUACAUAGCUUCAUGAGCAUUAUAAAAAGAAAGUUCUCCGUAGAUGAGUCCGGAUCAGAUUUGAAGAACACUAUCAGUAUAUCCUAUCAAAAUGACGCUGCUAUUGCUCACAGUAUUGACAGGGAUACGAUCAGUGGCGAUGAGAAGAACGUGUUACAAAUGCAGGGGAACCAUCCAAAUGAAAGACGGCAGCCUUGCCAAGACCAGUGGAAGUGCCUACAUUAGUGAUCGUGUUGAAUUUGUUGAGAUUAGCAAGAGCAGUAUGUGCAGAGGUAGCACAAGCAGUGACGUGAGCGAGGCUUCGGUUCUAGAGGAUGCCUAUGCUGCAUGAGAAAUAGACUGCGUUGCAGUGAAGCACAACUGAGAGUGUGGUACAAGCCAAUUCAGACUUCAAGUCCCAAGACAUUGACCUCGAGAUGACCGGUGGCGCCAGCGCUUCUCGGAGAGAAUCAUUCGAGUUUAAUCUGUUUGAUGUUCAGUAUUUCAAGGUUAUGGACUCAGCGGAGCAGUUCGUUGUUGUCCAGUUCGGUGUUUGUCUCUUUCUAUGGGACAGUUAUAGACAUUGCUUCGCAGCUCAUCCGCAUAAUUUUUGCGCAUUUCCUCGGUAGGAGCUUCCAGUUGAUGACCCCUUCAUAUGAGUUCCUCUGCCAGAGAACAAGAGAAUGAAAUGCUGAUGUCUGAAUUCUGAAUGUGACGAAAUGCUGAGAUGCCUGAAUUCUGAAUGUGAUGAUGAGAUGUCACUGUUGUGGCAUAACAUGAAAGAAGUUAAAUACAUUCCAUUAGUUAGUAUGGCAGAUGUUUUCUUCAGCAAAAGAAUGAAGGCACGGCACCCGAUGAGGAUAAUAGGCGAAUAAUCUACUGCUGCUUUACAGGAAAUGGUUGGCAUUUUUGAAUCAAGGGAAUGUGAUCAUCACGGCCUUUUCAAAAGUGGUGGGCCUUGUGUUUUAGGCCACCGAUAUUCUGUCAAAAGAUGGAAUCCAUGUUGAAGAGUUUGCGCUCAUUUAAGCCCUUGGGCCUCUCUCCUAUACAUAUCCAUGCCUGUCCAUCUCCCUAAACCCUUUUCAUGGCCCAUACAGAAAGCUCACAUGAUUCAGUUGAAGAUGGGCUAUUGGUACAGUGAACACAUGCAACAAUCUGAGAUUCACACCUAAGUGGUCAUCAUUCCCCAUCUCUUCCACUUAUGCAUGAAUUUUAUAGCAACUUUUAGGCCGCAUGUCUUUCUGCCAUUGCUCCAUCUUUGACUUUGGAAAAUAAUUGCCUCAUUUCCCAUUUUGUGAAUGUUUUUUUUUUUUAAAUUCCAAUUUUCAAAUAAUCCCAACUUUCCCCUCCUUCAUCCUUAGACUGUUUAGGUUUCAAAAUUCCUUUCAUUUUUAAUAAAAUUUUGCUGCCACUUUUCUUCCUGGUAAGCCAUUUUCACAUCUUUUCUGUUUUUUAAAAUGUUUUUUUAAAUAAGCAAUAAUCAAAUUUUGUAAUUCCAAGUGAUGGAAUCCAUGAAAUUGAUUCAUGCAAAAAUAAAAUAGGCAUUGGUGGGGGCCCAACAUCAAAUAAAUUUUCGUUAAAAUGAAAAUGAAUUUUGAAUGAAGUGUCGUGCGUACUAUUAGUGGAUUUUCAUCUGGUUCGAUGAUAUGAGUGACAUAUUUUGUAUUCAUUACUAUGCACUAACCUCAUUUCUUGAUAGUGCUUUAUGGAUCACUGCCCUAGUACGCAUCCAUUCCACUUUGGUCAUUUUCUAUGCAUGAACUGAUUCUCAUAUGUGCACGAUCGAUUUGAGUAUUCAUUGUUUUCCUUAUUAGAUGUCAUGAUUACUUCAUUUCAUUAGUAGAGACCCGACUUUAGGGGCUUAAAGGGGUGCUACGAUCUUUACCGUACCUUCCCGAUAAGUAACCUGACCCUCGAACCCGAUCCGAUUUUUCACGGACCACCUUUUUCAAACAAAGAGUCACACUUAGGGUUUUCUUUUUUAUUUUGUUUACCCUUUAAAAAUAAAACAAAAAUAAGUGGCAACUUCAAGUCAUUUUCUAAUAAAUAAAAUCAUUUUUUCAAAUAAAAAUCAAGCUCGCCAUCGAGUGGAAGCGCAUGAGCCGAAAUGCGGGGCCCACAGGUAUAUAUAUUUAAUUCCACCUUUUUUUGUAAUUAAAUUUUUCUCUACUUGUCAUAUAAUCACCAAAUAUUUUUUAUUUUCUAUUUUAUAAUAAUAGUGAUAAAAUUAAAAUCACUAAUAUGUUUAGCAUUGAUAUAAAUUAAAAAAAUAUUCUAUGACAAUAAAAGUCAAAAGAUUGCAUUUUUACUAUUUGGUUGUCAUCCACCUUACAUGAUUAGUUUGUUUAAGACUUUAUUUGAUUUUUCUUCCAAGCAAAGAAUGUCAACCAAGUCUUCUUAUGUCCACUUCUUAGACCACCCACUGUUUUCUAGUCAUGCUUCUAAUUAACUUGGAAAUUUCCCCGAUUUGAAAGCUUGAAAGCCCAGAUUUGAUCAUAUAUGUAUGGAUGAAGAUAUAACAUUAAAUAUUUUAAAAUUUUAUUAAAAAAUAUACAUAUGAAUCACCCUAAUUAAUACUGCCACAUUCUUCCCAUUCAAUAAACAAUAAUAGCAUAAAAUAAAUAAAGGAAUAAGAACAUAAAUAUUUCCCCAUGGCCGUUAGGGAUCUUGUUGCAUAAUGGUAAUAAUUUGGAUAAAAUCCAAGUAACUAAUAUUACCAAAAAAUCUUGCAACCAAAAAUAGGGUUAUAAAAUUUAAAAAAAAAAUACCCCCAAAACGUCAAAUAGGCAUCAUUUGCGCUUGAAUGUUCGAAAGGCUGCUGGAAGGACUACUCGAUCAAUUAAGCCGCUCAAACACUAACAUGGUCGUUUGAGCGGUGAGGCCACGCAAGCACUAAUCUAAGUGCUCAAGCACCACAUCCUACACUUGUGCAUACAAGGUUGUUUCUACCACCGUUUCUCCGAAAGUGUCACCUUUUCAGAUGCCUUUUUGCACAAUGGAUGCUUGUGAAUGCUUGGAAUCUUCAAUCUUUGCUUUUGGGUCACCAAAGAUGGAUAAAAAUCUGAUUUUUACAUUAAGAAAAAUCUUAUGCUCCAUCAAACGAAGUGUACGAUCUAUCUAAAAACAAAAAAAAAAAUUAUUUUUACAUGUAAAAUAAAAAUCCUAUGCUCCUAACCAUGAAGCUUACAACCCAAUCUGUACAAAGAACAAAUCCAAACAUUCAAUCACAAUUAUAAACAUCAUAUUCAUAAAAAUAACAUCCAUAUAUUCAUCCCUUUGGGUAAUAGGAUGAAUAAACAUAUUUGCAAAACCAAGUAAGCACACCCUAAAAUGAAUCUAACAAGCUUUUCCCUAACCUAGGGCUCUAAUACCAAUUAUUGGGAAAACCUGGAUUGCUCCAUUCUCAUGCCUUAGAUUGUUCGAACGCAUGAAAACCUAUUCUAGGCUCUCUAGAUCUAUCAUACAACGGAAACAUGGCAAUUGAAACAAAAAAUAAUACCAUAGAUUUAGAGAUUAGUGUCAUACUUGUGAUUUGGAUGUUCUUGGUCAAUUCUUAUCAUUGUAGAAAUCUCUAAAACUGAAGAAGAUCUCGUGAACACCAUGAUCUUCCACCUAAUGAUAACUUCUCCUUGAGUCUAGGUGCAAAGAUAGUGAGAUCUCAAGGGUUGGAGGUUAGGGUUCUCUUAUUGACUGUAGUGAGAGAAUGGCAAGACAAAACUUCACUAGAAACCAUAACCGCUAAAGGAUUAUUUAUAGGCUCCUUACUAGGCUUAAAUGACUUAAAUGACUUAUGCUCACAAUGGGCUUAGGUCAGUACUGAAUCUAGCCCAAAAAGGGCACUAAUUGAUUAAUUAACCUUAUAGGCCUCCAAUUAAUCAAUUAGCCCAGUCUAGAGAUAUUGCUCACUUACCCCUAUGCAACCUUAUAUAAUUACCAAAAUGCCCUUAUGCAUAUAAGUGAACUAACAACUCAUUCAACCCUUAUAAACUAUGUCAUCAAAGGAUAUCAUGAGCUCAAGCAAGGACCACUGAACCCAUAAGACAAUAUUGUCUCUCUUAGAAUCCAUUUUUGAAGUUGACUCAACAUCCCACUAGAGAGAGUCAACUACACUCCAGUGCCCUAUAUUUAUUACAAUGAGAUACCAAGUGUUCGGGUCUGUAACCUACUAUCCACUGUAUAUAAUCUCCUUUUGAACCAGUCGUCGAUAGUCUAACAAGCUGAAAGUUAUCAACCUUUCAAGAUUACCUCCACAAUCCUUGAGUUACAGAUCUUUUCAUUAUGUAAUCAAAUGACAUACUCUAGCUCACUAAGAGCAUAUGUUGAAUUCUACAAAAGGAAUUACUAUGGGCAUAUAAAUUUCAUGAUCACACAUCCUUAGGAUCACCUAAAGGAACACACUAUCUUAAAGUCCAUGAGAUAUCGUGGUGGCUAUAUUGAGAAUAACUCUUGCUAUUAGCUUCCGUCAAUAGUGGCCAAAUCCAUAGGGAAUAUAUAUGAUCAACUUAAGAUCUCACCCAUAGGUCGAAGUCAUUGUUAACUUUUGCACAAGUUCAAUAUUCUCUCAAGGUUGAAAGACAAUAUAGUAUAAUAACUUGGUGAUGUCAUAACUACUUGAUAGUCUAUAUCAUGACUCACUAUAGGUCCUAUCCAAUGUGUACACAUUAGUGCACUCUUCAUGGGAACCUCAUCCUGACAACUAAAACUAUUUAUCCCUCCAAUUAGGAGGUGGUGCACUACAAUCUCAAAUGGAUUGAGUAAGUCCACAAACCAACUAUGGACAAAUCAUUUAUUUGUAAGGAACCCAUGACUUAGAUCUUUUAUGCAAUUGUUAAUACACUCAAGUCAUGUACAAUGUAAGAAAUGGUAAGCUAGAAUGUUCAUAGAGAAUAAUGCAUGGAAUAAGGAUAGAUAAAAAUGAACCUAGAAUAUCAUCAAAUAAAUAAUGAAUUUCAAAUCUGUUACAUCAUGUCAUGCUUUUAAAGGCUCUAUCCUAACAAUGUGUUCAUUGGUAUAUAGUUCACUUUAAAUUCUAUAAGAUACUAUUGAAUGCUUAUCAUCAAAUUACAAAAGGACCCAUUCAGCCUUUUUUAUAUUGUUUUUCUAUACUUGAAUGAUAAAAAUGGUGAUUUAGGUUUAACUUUCUUGCUUACAUGUACUUUUACAAUAAAUGCUUCAAAACAUAUUCAUGAUACUAUCAUGUUAAUCUCAAGGAUGAGGUAACAGAACUUCAAGAAGGUAUUUGCGAAGAAGAAUGUACAAUUUCUAGAUUAAAUUUUGUUUAAAAUGUUUAUAAAGUUUGGAUUUAAAUAUUAUUGUGGAUUAUUAUUAAUAAAAUAGAAUUUAUUAGAUAUCCUAUCAUGUAAUCUCUUUAUUUAAAAAAAAAUGUUUAAUUUUGAUUCAUUCUGCAAUAUGCUUUCACUUCUAUACUGUCUAAUUAACAUUUUCUAAUAUGUUGUCAUAUAUAUGUUUUCUAAUAUUAAUUUCUUCCAAUAUUUUACUUAGGAAUGAAAAUGGAAUAUUGCAACAACAACAUUCAAUUUGAACUAAAUUUAAUGUUUCAAUUAUUUUUCCUACACACACACACACAUAUAUAGGGACCAAAAAAGGACUAAUUGGGGUUAAGCUUUUUCUUUGCACAAAUUUGAUCAUGAAUGAUAGUUACAAUGAAUCAAUUUAAUUAGUAUAAACAUAUUCUACUAAUUUAGUCAUGUAUAGUUUACUAUAAAAUAUUUCUAAUUCUUUCUUGUUUCAAACUAAAAAUUUAAUUUUUUUUAAUCAAAAGCUUUUGUUUUAAAACUGAGUAAUACAAAAGAUAGAUAAAAAAAUUGAAAAAAAAAAUGUAGAAGAAGAAUAAAUUUAUGAUACAUGAGAUAUUUAUAUAUCUCAGCUUAGAAUUAUUAUAUCCUAUGUAAAAAUGAUAUAUCAAGAGAUUGGAUUGAUAAAUUAUCUUAUUAAAUGUUUGAUUGAACAUGAGAUAUGAUAAUUAAAGGAUAAGAUCAUUUACCUUACCCCAAAGCUAACCAAACAUGGGAUAUGAUAUGUUAUCUCAUAUCUUAUCUCAUCCAAUAUUAUGUAUAUCAAAUCAAUUAAAUAUAGCCUUACUUUAGUAGGUAAUUCACUUGAGAUGUGGGGGAUGUGAACUACUAUUACUUUUAAAAGAAAUAUAGAAGUGAUAUGGACUAUUGAUAAGUACCAUGUGGGGGAUAAGCUGAGUGGAUUCAAUUUAACAUCCACCUAUCUAAAUAUAUUAAUAGAUCAUCUUGUCUUAUAAAAAUUAUGAAGUUGAAAAACAAUAUGGAACACAUAUUGGUAAUAUCAAAGCAAAUCAAAAUUGGUAUCAUCAUUGGAUGCCAGUUACCUAAUUAUAUUUCUUGAAUAUUUAGUUGCCAAAGUGAAAUCCCAUGAAAAGGUUCAAGAAAUGGUGAUUGAAUAAGAAGCUUCGAUGAGAUGUGUUGCAUCGUUGGACGAGAUCUUGGAUUAGAAUGUAUGCAUUUAAGUGCCAACCACACAACAAGAACUACAUCUCUAGCAACUUGUCGAUCUUGAGGAGAUGGUAGACGUGAAUCUAAUAUGUCGGUGAGCAUUAUGUUUUGAGCUGAUGAGGAAGACAAUAAGGUGAAAAGUUCUCUCGGAUGCCUUCCCAUCAUUGUCUCAAGCGCUACCACUCCAAAGCUGUAAACAUCACAUUUUUCCGUCACAGCCAUAGUGUAGGCAAGCUCUGUUAAGAAUCAAAACAAGAAAUAAAUAUUGCACAAAUGAGAAAGUAACAUUCAUUUAAUUUUUUUUCAUAUUAGCUAUACCUAUAAAAUGUUGAGAAUGUUUCAUAGCAUUGCAUUCACAUUUGGCUACAUUUUAUUUCUAGAUUAUGAUGAAAUUAAGUUAAUUUUUACAACUUAUAUGAAACCUUUGAAAAACUAUUCUAAAGAGUUUUUAAAAAUGUUUGGGACUUAUUGGGAGAAUGAAGACAUCUAUUUGGAGAAUGCUUGAGAGACCAUUGAUAAGUAUUUUGUAUCUAAAGUUCUCUUACUCUCUAAUAUCUCAAAUCAUUUUUUUACAACAUUUUUUAAAUAACUAUUAUGAGUUUCCUUUUUUUUUUUUUCUGUUUGUUUGGAACUUUAGAAGAAAUAACCAAUAUAUAUAUAUAUAUAUUAAGUCCCUUUGAGCCCAUAACAGAUAAUAUCUACACGAUCAGGAGCAGGUUAUUACAAAUGGUAUUAGGGCUUAUCUGUAACCAUAGUAUGGAAGUUUGUUUGGCUCCACAAUCUUAUGGGAUAAGUGUGAUAUCCCACGAUAGAUAUGGAAAAAAAAAAAAAAUUCUAACAUUAUUUAUAAAUCAACUUCCCUUAACCUUAUAGACAUAUUUUAAAUUCAUGUAGGCUCCUUGGACCCAAAGUGAAAAAUAUUUACACAGUUGAGAGUUAUUAUCUAGUUUGCAUGAAAAAUAUAAAGAAAAAUAAUAUAUUAAAAAUUUAGAAGAAUUUAUUUACUUUCAAGCUCUUCAUAAUUUUGAAAUAAGUAAUAAUAGUAAAAAAAGUUUUGUUUGGUUGGCAAUAAUAUUUCCUUUCCCUUCAUCCAAUAGAAUUUGUGACUACUAUGAAGUAUAUAAUAAGAGGUGUAAAAGUUCUAAAUAUAUUGAAUCUCGAAGAUACCAAACUUAUUAAAACGAAAACAACCAAAAGUUCAAAAGACAUAUCGGAAGAGUAAAAGCUGAAAGAAAAACUGGUUUGUACUUACCUGGUGCUAUGUAACCAUAAGUGCCUGCAAGAAGAGUUUGAUUGGAUGAAUCAGGAUGUAGCAGUCUAGCAGUGCCAAAAUCAGAUAGAAAAGCGUCCAGUUUAAAGUCCAAAAGAAUAUUGUUACUUGAUACAUCCCUAUGAAUAAUGGGUGGAGUAGAGUCAUGAUGCAUGUAACAUAAAGCAUGGACUAUGCUUUUGAUUACAUUCACCCUUUUAAUCCAAUCCAAUUCCAAAGCUUCAACUUCAUUGCUCAAUACACAGUAUAAGCUUCCUCUUUCCAUGUACUUGUAAAUCAAAAACAUGCAUCUUUUGUGCAGACAAUAGCCGUGAAGUUUUAUGAUAUUCCGAUGUUGUAUUUUUGACAAAACCUGCACCUCAUUUUGAAAACUUUUCAAGUAUGUUGCCUCAUCUCUUUCCCAUCCAUGAAGCUUUUUCAAGGCUACCACAUUACCUGUAGGCAAUUGAGCCUUGUAAACACUGCCAUAACCUCCAGUACCUAUGCAAUAUUUGAUAUCGAAAUCUUCUGUUGCUUCAAUGAUAUCUUCAUAAGCAAUCUUACCAUCAUAGUUCCACACUGAAAAUAUAUCUCCAUUUUUUGUCGAAGUUGCCUUGGUUUGAUUUCUUCUUGUCUUCCGUGAAAGCAAGAGAAUCCCAAGGGCCACAAAAGAAAGAAACAAGAUGGUAGAUAAAGAAAUGAUGAGAAUAGUUUUGUGUCCUCUUUUGCAAUGAGGCAAGCCUUCCCUUUCACCACAUAAACCUUUAUUGUGGCCAAAAACCCUUGGUGGAUAUACAAACUGCAAUUCAUGGGGUAUAUGACCCUCAAAAUCAUUGUGUGAAAAAUCAAUGGAUGACCCUUUGUGGAUAUAUAUAGAAAGAGGAGGAAUGUGACCCGAGAGUUUAUUGUGGGAGAGGUUCAAGCUUUCUAAACUCUUCAAAUUUUGGAGCUGGGAAGGUAUCUUUCCAUCGAUCAAGUUAUCACUAAGGUCGAGGCUAGUCAGAUUAUUCAAAUUUCCUAUCUUAGAAGGAAUGUGACCUCUGAUUCGAUUUCUACGAAUGUUGAACACAUUUAAAUGAAUGAGAUAGCCCAAAGAAGGAAUAACACCGGUAAGGUUGUUGUGAUCCAAUCUGAGAUGAAUUAAAUUCUUCAGAUUCCAAAUUACAGGAGGGAUGGAACCAUUGAUUUGAUUAUAACGAAGAUACAAAUGAGUCAAAUUGGUAAGAUUACCAAAUGACAAGGGGAUGAGACCCUGGAUUUGAUUGUCGAUGAGAUGGAAAUAAGUCAAAUUGAUAAGAUUACCCAAAGAUGAAGGAAUAGUACCAAGAAGGGCAUUAUGACUCAAGGACAAUUGAACCAAAUUUUUUAAAUUCCCAAUUUCAGAAGGGAUGGAACCGUUGAUUCGAUUGAAAUUAAGGUACAAGUAUUCCAGGUUGGUUAAACUUCCAAGAGAGGAAGGAAUGACACUGGAAAGAGAGUUAGAACCCAAAUCCAAAUGAAUCAGAUUCUUCAAAUAUCCAAUAGAGGAAGGGAUGGCACCAGAGAGGUAAUAGUUAUAACUCAAAUCCAAAUGAAUUAGAUUCUUUAAAUUCCCAAUUUCAGAAGGGAUGGAACCGUUGAUUCGAUUGAAAUUAAGGGAUAAGUAUACCAGGUUGGUUAAAUUUCCAAGAGAGGAAGGAAUGACACCAUAGAGGUCAGAGUUAUGACUCAAAUCCAAAUGAAUAAGAUUCUUCAAAUAUCCAAGAGAGGAAGGGAUGGCACCAUAGAGGCUAUAGCAAUGACUCAAAUCCAAAUGAAUAAGAUUCUUCAAAUAUCCAAGAGAGGAAGGGAUGGCACCAGAGAGGUAAUAGUUAUAACUCAAAUCCAAAUGAAUUAGAUUCUUUAAAUUCCCAAUUUCAGAAGGGAUGGAACCGUUGAUUCGAUUGAAAUUAAGGGAUAAGUAUACUAAUAGAGUGAGGUUACCCAGUGAAACAGGUAGCUCACCAUCAAGUCCACAAUCAGAGAUACUGAGGUAAGUGAGUUUUGUAAGCGUACCUAUCUCAUCUGGGAUGCGACCAUAGAUGGAAGAAUAACUAAGGUUGAGAUGGAGGAGGCUGGGAAAUGAAGAAACUUCAACUGGCUAAGCAUACACCGUGG
RNAcentral lists this long non-coding RNA (464732 nucleotides) under Vitis vinifera (wine grape). Its description in RNAcentral is "long non-coding RNA (VVIN_LNC003285)". The stretch from base 27034 to 27164 matches the Rfam family "MIR845_2 microRNA precursor family". Lineage: Eukaryota; Viridiplantae; Streptophyta; Magnoliopsida; Vitales; Vitaceae. The record is from RNAcentral.